UUCGCUGACCGCACGAACCGUCGCUGACCCGCGCGCCCCUCUCUUUUCUCUUCUCCAGAACCCCUUUAAGCAAAAAUGGCUACCGAGGGCAAGGAGCACCUUUCCAUCGUCAUCUGCGGUCACGUCGACUCCGGUAAGUCGACCACCACCGGCCGUCUCAUCUUCGAGCUCGGAGGCAUCCCCGAGCGUGAGAUCGAGAAGCUCCGCGCUGAGGCCGAUGCCCUCGGCAAGUCCUCCUUCGCCUUCGCCUUCUACAUGGACAGGCAGAAGGAGGAGCGUGAGCGUGGUGUGACCAUCUCCUGCACCACCAAGGAGUUCUUCACCGACAACUGGCACUACACCAUCAUCGACGCCCCCGGUCACCGUGACUUCAUCAAGAACAUGAUUUCCGGCGCCGCCCAGGCUGACGUCGCCCUCCUCAUGGUCCCCGCCGACGGUAACUUCACCACCGCCAUCCAGAAGGGCAACCACAAGGCCGGUGAGGUCCAGGGCCAGACCCGCCAGCACGCCCGCCUCAUCAACCUUCUCGGUGUCAAGCAGCUCAUCGUUGGCAUCAACAAGAUGGACUGCGACACCGCGGGCUACAAGCAGGAGCGCUACGAGGAGAUCCGCAACGAGAUGAAGAACAUGCUCAUGAAGGUCGGCUGGAAGAAGGACUACGUCGAGAAGUGCGUCCCCGUCCUCCCCAUCUCCGGCUGGCAGGGUGACAACCUCAUCAAGAAGACCACCAACAUGGGCUGGUGGUCCGGCGUCGAUGUCAUCGACUACGAGAUGAAGGGCGACAAGCACCACAUCGACACCCUCCUCGACGUCCUCAACGGCAUGGUCACCAAGCCCCCCCGCAACGACGCCGCCGACAUGCGCCUCCCCAUCUCCGGCGUGUACAAGAUCAAGGGUGUCGGUGAUGUCCUCGCGGGCCGCGUCGAGCAGGGCGUCGUCCGCCCCGGUGAGGAGGUUGUCUUCAUCCCAACCCACACCGUCUCCAACCCCUGUGUCGGCAAGGUGUUCACCGUCGAGAUGCACCACAAGCGCGUCGACGAGGCUCACCCCGGUGACAACGUCGGCAUGAACAUCAAGGGUCUCGACAAGAUCAACAUGCCCCGCACCGGUGACGUCAUGAUCUACAAGAAGGACACCACCCUCAAGGCGUGCAAGAACUUCAACGCCCAGGUCCAGGUUCUCGACGUCCCCGGCCAGCUCAAGCCCGGCUACUCCCCCGUCGCCUUCGUGCGCUGCGGCCGCUCCGCGUGCAAGAUGACUGAGCUCAUCUUCAAGGUCGGCAAGGAGACCGGUGGCAAGAAGAUGGAGUCCCCCGUCGCCCUCAAGUCCAACGAGGUCGCCGAGGCUGUCUUCGAGCCCCAGCACCCCUUCGUCGUCGACCACUUCAAGGCUUGCGACGGUCUCGCCCGCAUUGCGUUCCUCGACGGCAACACCGCCGUCAUGCUUGGCAAGAUCACCAAGGUCCAGUUCAAGGAGGACAAGUAAAGUGUUUGACGUUUGCUGCUUAUAAUAGACGUUGUAUACUUUGAAUCUCAUGAAAGACGUAAAAAUAAUCAUCGCAACCCAUAUUUAGCCCUCAUCCAAUCACGACCGUCUUCACCGUGACGGGCGCGCACGCUUCCUUGAGCCACGCCUUCACCUUCUCAUCCGUCACCCUGGGCGACACCUUCUCCCAAACGACCGCGUGGUACUGGUUCAGCCACGCCACCUCAGCACCCGACAUGAGAGAAAAGUCAAUCAGCUUCUUUUGGAUCGGUAUGUGCGUCAGGUAGUCAAACGUGAGGUACUUCUUGUCGCCAAAGUUGUGCGAGGUCUUCGCCUCCCUCACCACGAGCAGGUUCUCGAUCCUGAUCCCGAAUCCGCCGUCCUCGUAGUAACCCGGUUCGUUCGAGAGGAUCAUCCCGGGCACGAGGCCCGUCAUGUUCCCGAACCUCGGAGAGAUGCUCUGCGGGCCCUCGUGCACGUUGAGCGCGGCGCCGACGCCGUGGCCGGUGCCGUGCCUGUAGUCCAGCCCCGCUUCCCACAGGUGCCUACGCGCGAAGGCAUCGAGGACGAACCCGCUGGUGUCCUGGGGGAAAACCGCCGUGGUGAGUCCGAUGUGGCCCUGUAAGACGCGGGUGUACGCGUUUUUCUGGUGGUCGGUGGGCGUUCCGAGGUGGUGAGUGCGGGUCACGUCGGUGGUGCCGCAGUCGUACUGGCCGCCGCUGUCGCACAGGAGGAGCGAAUUUUGUCCCACCUUUCGUGCGCUCUCCACGCUGGCGCGGUAGUGGAUGAUGGCGCCGUGUGGUCCCUCGCCGGCGAUCGUCGCGAAGGAUUCCUCGCUAAACCCCGGUUGCUCGGCGCGAAACUUGGAGACCCACUCGCCGAUCUCGUACUCGUCCCACUCCUUACCCUGCGCCGCCUGCUCGUCGAGCCAGCACCAGAAGGACGCCAUCGCGACACCGUCCCGGAGGUGCGCCUCGAGCAUGCCCGCGAGCUCCGCCUCGUUCUUCACAGCCUUGGCUAACGGGAUCGGGGAGACGCCCUCCUUGAUGGUUUUCUUCGCGUCGUCGUUUUCCGUCUUUGCCUUUUUCUCCGCGGGGCCAGCCGCCGCGGCGGCCUCCUCGGCAGCCUCCACGAGCGCCACGCUCACCUUAUCGGCGUCGAUCCAGAGCGUCUUGCCCGCGGCGGCGGCGGCGCGCAUGUCCCCGGCGCAAUCGUCGUAUGGCUUGACGACGACGCCGGCCUCGUCGAGGUGCGCCCUCACUUCGUUCGUCACCUUGCCGAGGUCGACGUAGAGGCAGGCCUCGUCCUUGCUCACGAGUCCGUAGCCCAGGGUCACGGGGUUGUAAUCGAGGUCACCGCCGCGGACGUUGAAGAGCCACGCCACCUCGUCCAGCGGGGAGACGACCAGGACGUCGCUCUUGUUCUCAUCGAGCUUGGCGCGGAUGAAGUCAACCUUAUCGGCGACUGACUUGCCGCUGAACUCCGCCUUGUGAACCCUCAGCGGCGCGGUGGGAAAGGCCGGUCGAUCCGCGUCCCACACCGUGUCCACUGGAUUGACGUCGAGGGUGACCAGGGCGCUCCCGGCGGCCUCCAGGGCGGAUCGGAGGGCUCGAGCCUCGGAGAGGGAGUGCACCGCGGGGUCGACGCCAACCUUGGAUCCCUUGGCCAUCUUGUCGGCGAGCCACUUGGAGGGCUCGGGGACGCCGGGCUGCCCCCCUCGCAUGAGCGUCCACUCCGGACCGAGCUCCUGCUCAGCCUGGAGGAAGUACCGGCCGUCGGUCCAGAGCAGGGCCUCGUCGUGGGUGACGAGCGCGGUGCCUGCGCUGCCGGUGAAUCCGCUGAUGAACAUCCUUCGCUCGAAGCACGUCGGGACGUACUCGCUGAAGUGGGGAUCCUGGGACGGGACGAUGAACGCGUCCACACCCGCGGCCUUCAUCGCCGCGCGCAUGGCGACGAGCUUGGGAUCGGGAGCCAUCUUGGUCUCGGAGCCUUCGACCUUGACGUCGCUCGCGGCGCUGGAUCUGGCGCGAACUGUGCCGGGCCUGACGCGAAGAGACGCGACGGCGGUGGCGAGCUGAGAGGGAGUCUGGGUCGGCUGCGGGGCGCGCUUGCCUACGAUCGGGGUUCGCUGCAACAGGCGAAGGGCGGAGGCUCGGAGCAUCCAGUCCGUUCCGGUCACGGCGGAGGCGCGAACACACUGUGCCAACCCUAUCGUUUGACAGUGGCUUGGGGGGCAAUAUUUUUGCCACGUCCCCAACAAAAAAUCCGAGUCCAGAGUGCUUGCAGUGGUCUAUUUUCAGUCUCUGCGCCUCUUCCGCGCGUCGCGCUAUGUUCUACUCACCCGUCAGCACCGCUCGAACACCCGGUACAGCUGCUCGAGGCACGCCACCUGCAGCACCGUCCCGUCGCUCGCGCUCGCCCGCGUCGGCACGAGCUUCCUGGCAAUCGCCGGGAAGAGCACGUGCCGGAUCUGCCAACGCUCGUCGUCCACCCCCGCGAUGUCCGCGUGCCGGCCUGAGUCCGAGUCGCCUCCUCCUCCCCCUCCCCGUCCCUCGACCCCGGCGCGGGCGACAGCCUCCCCCGGCGGCACGACGUUUUCGGCGUCUUCGUCUACGUCUUCGUCGUCGUGGCCCGAGUAGAACGACGCUAUGGAUCUGGCGCACGUCUCAAAGCACGGCUUCUCCUCCUCCCAGUUCACCUCGUGCGCCAGGGAUAGGCAAAACUCGGGGAGCCGCGCGAGGUUCGGCGCGUGACCUUCGCACAGCACGGGUAAGCCCACGAGAGUCCGCGCGCGUUGGUCCACGUCGACGCCGAAGUACUCGCGAAGCAUCUCAGCCUUUUCCGCCACGAGCGCGGCGGCGGCGUUUGCGAUUUUCUCCUUGGCCUCCUCCGCCUUUGCCUUCUCCACGCCUUCGGGAACCUCCUCGUCGUCCAGGGCCAUUCGCACGAGCGCCGCGAUGGGCGCGGGCUCGGCGAGGGCGCGGCACGGGUGUCGCCCGAACCUCGCGACGACGCGCUGGUAGAAGAGGUCGCGCGCCAGCCGAUUGACGCGCGCCAUGUACAGCUUCGUGCCGUGCUGCAGGAGCCACAGCCCCCGGCGCUCGUCCGCGCAUCCAACGAGCGUCAGACCCGCGAGAACCCUUCGGAGGGCGACGUGCGCGUUCGCGGUGAUCUCCGACCAGAGCUCGCGCACGGACGUGAGCUCCGUGGUCUCCCCGUCUGGAAGCUCCGGAGAAAUUUCCGAGAUAUUUCCGUCUCCGCCGUUUCCGACGUCGUACCCUCGAAGCUCAGCCUCCUCGUCGUCCACCCCCGCGGUCGAGUCGCCGCCGCGCGCCGCGUACCUCCGCGCCCGCGCCUCCCGCCGCGCCUCGUCCAACCGCGCGCGCUCGGCGUUCGCGUUCGCGUUCGCGUGGAAGAACUGAUCGAGAGAACCCGCCGCUAACGUCGCGUCGGUGCGAACCAUCCGGUGCUCGCCCCCCGCCUUCUCCCGCGCCGUGAGCGGCUUCGAGCGUUUGUUCCGACCCGUUUGUUCGAGCGUUCCGACCCCUCCGUCGCCGCGCUCGUCGCCGUCGUCGUCGCCGUCGUCGCGCUCGUCACGCCCGCGCGUCGCCCCGGGCCGCGAUGCGCCGGGAAGCAGCGACUGCCUCGCGGAUCUUUGCGGAUCUUUGCCGCCAUCGCCAAACGCCCCCGCCCGACCAGUCACCGCCCGACCAGUCACCGCCUCGUCCACCUCGGUCCCGACGACGGCUCCGACGGCGAACGUCCUGCUCCCGUUCGCCUCCACGAGCCUUCGCUCCAGCGCGCGUUGCACGCGCUCCACCACCUCGUCCUGCCGAAGGAACGCCACCUCCCUCUUCGUCGGGUGCACGUUGACGUCCAGCGUGUGCGGCGGGAGCCGCAGCGAUAGGUACGCAAACGGUUUCUCCGCCUUUGGGAGUAUGGCCGAGUAGACAGCCUCGCACGCGCGUCGCAGCGGGGCGCACUCCACCAGCCUGUCGUUUAUGAAAAGUAUGAACGUCGUGCGGCGGGAGUGGUAGCCCGCGGUGGACACCAGGGCGUCCACGCUGUACUCAGCCGCCCGGUCGCCGUCGCCGUCCGCGUCGCCAGCUGUGUCGUCGCCGGGCGUGUCCGCCUCUGCCGAGUUACUCAGCGUCAUCGGCGUGAGCUCGCGGGCCACCUGAGAGCCGUAUAUCGCACGCAGCCGGUCGAUCCGGUGCGGGGUCACGGCGCAGUGCAGCGACGGCCUCGCCUCGCCGUGUUUCCUGCACGUGAAGGCGACGUCCGUUCGCGACGACGCGUAUCGCUGCACGACGUCGAGAACCUUGGCAAACUCCUCGUGUGGGGACUUGAGCGCCUUGCGUCGGGUGGGGACGUUGUAGAAGAGGUUCUCGACGGUGAUGGUGGUGCCGGGGUUACCCGCGCAUGGCCUGGCGCCGCCACCGUCGAGGGCGCCGUCGCAGUACGACGCCUUGAGCGCGUGCGUGGCGCCCCUGGUCAUGGUGGUCACGGUGAGGUUCGCGACGAAAGAGAUGGACGCGAGCGCCUCGCCCCUGAACCCGAAGGUGGACAUCGCGCUGAGAUCCUCGAACUUGGACAGCUUGGACGUGGUGUGGCGCUCGCAUAGGAUGGGCAGGUCCGCCUCGCGUAUCCCGCAUCCGUUGUCCGUCACCUGCAGCAGCUUGUUGCCGCCAUCCUUCACCGUAACCACGAUCGAUGUCGCGCCCGCGUCGAGCGAGUUCUCGAGGAUCUCCUUGAGCGCGGACGCGGGCCGGUGGAUGACCUCGCCCGCGGCGACGCGAUUGACGACCUCAUCGGCGAGACGGUGGAUGGGCUUGGGCUCCAUGGCUCCCAAAACGUCCCUGGCCAGAGCCCUCGCCCCUUACCAAUGCCCUGACGUCUUAGAUCUGGCGCGGCGUUUUUCAAAGUUCUCGGACCAAGCCUGCUCGGUCUGAAGAGAGAGACGAUGUUGGCAGUGGUCCCACGGGAAGGCGAGAGAGCCGCGCACAACACGCGCACCCGAACCGCUCGAGGAUCGACGCGCGCGAUGACCACAACGAGCGCAUCGUUGUUGUGUUCAGUAAGUAUCGCGACGAUCCGUCGCGGGUGGCGAGGAGCGUCCUCCUCCGGCCGCACCCCGAGCGCGCACGAGACCGUUCCGGCGGCGGUGCAUGCUCCGAGGAUUCGCGCCCCGCCGCUGCGAAGGACGCCGCGCGCCCCCGGGGCCGUCGCCGAGCCCCCGGGUCCGACGUCCCCCUUGACAGACACGAGCUCCUCGAACUGGCGCGACAACCCCUUCGCGCGAUACUGCGACGACGCCAUGGCCAUCCCGGAGGUGGUCGAGGGCCUCCGCGUGCUCGAACAGACCCAUCCCGAGAUUGACGGAAACGUGGUGCUCUUCGCGGUGUGGCGCGCGACGCGGGGCGGGGACGCGCGUCCAAUGUCUCACGCCGCGCUGCGCAAGGCGACCAAAAUAUCGGAGCGAUGGCGAUGGCGCGUCACCGACGGUCUCGCGCGCGUCGAGGCGUCCCUGCGCGGACCCGACCUCGCGGAGUCGCCCCAAGCCGCGAACCUCGCAGCCGCCGUAGCCGCGCUGGGCGACGAGGUCGACGACGUGGCCAGGGCGGCGCUGUUCGAGCUGGCGGCCUCAGAGGCGUGGUGGUCCGACGGUGACGACGCGGGCGGUGGCGGCGACGACGCGGGCGACGCGUUGGCGUACGAGUCGGGCAAGGCGACCGUGCGGGGCCCGACGGCCGUCGCCGCGGCGAAUCUGCGAAUGUACCUGCUGGAAUACCUCGGAGCUCGGUUCAUCGCGAACGAGUGGCGACGCGUGCGGGGGGUGCUGGACGGGUGCCUCGCGGUGGGGGGCGUCGACGCACACGCCGACAUCAUCGGCAUCGUGGACGCGCGGGGCGGGACCGUCGGUGACGCGCCAUCGUCAUCGAGCGGCAUGAGCGACGAGGCGUGGCGGGCGGUGCGAGGGUGCGUGGACCUUACGAUGACCAAGCCGCGGCGCGAUCGUCCCGGGGAGGCCAACAGGCGGUACAUCGACGCGAGGCGUAACCUGCGAGAUGCGGACAGGCUGUGGAAGGCGACGUGCGAGGACUACAGGCGGGCGAGACGGACGGUGAAGCACGCGCGUCACGAGGUGCACAAGAGCAGGAAAGCCGUCAGGGUGGAGUUCCGAUGACUCGAUCCGACGAUGAUAUCGCGCACCUUCGUGACGACACUUAGAGUGGUUUAAGUUAAUAAGACAAACGGAUCUACGUGAACACCCUCAGCGUUCACUCCGCGGCUAUGUACAUCACGCGGGCGACGGUUUAGCCUCCGCCUUGGUCGCGUGCCUCGGUGAUUUUCUCGGCGACUUUGGCAUCGUCUCCAGCAGAGCUUUCGCGUCCUGCGCAAACAUGUCGCCCGUUCCCUUUGCAGCCUCCUUGUGCGCGUCGGCCACAUCUUUGCCUCCAGCCUUGAACAGGCCGCAUAUGUCGGGCGGGCCGUAGUCCUUGUACACCUGAUCGGCCCACUUGGCUAUCCCGCCGCAGGCGUUGUACCUUGGACGCUUGAGAUCGUGGCCCUCCCCUUUCUUCUUAUCCGCCGAUCCGACAAUCGACGCGAUGAGGUCAGACUCGAGCGCGAGCUUGUUCUUGGCACUCGGCUCCUGCUUCACCUCGUCGCCGAUCUCCUUGCGAAGGUCCGUGCCGAUGGACACGGACAUGGCGGCGCCGCUCUUUCGCUUGGCCUCCCUCCCGCUCUUCGUCUGCUCGUCCAGCCGGAGAAGCUCGGCGCUCAGGUUAGCCGACCCGAGCGGCCUCACGCGGCCCCGCAUCCCACCGUCGCCGCCGGUCCUCUGCGAGCCGUCCGGCCCGUAGGACAGCUCGGGGGCGUCCGGCACGGGCGCCGCGGUGCCCGUGAGCUCGGACAUGAACCUCGGCGUGGGUCCCAUGAUGGGCUCGGACUCCGCCGGGGCUUCGCCCGCGCUGAUCGCCUCGAGCUGCACCGCCCGGUCCAGCGCCUCAAACUCCACGUGCAUCUCCUCCUUUUCCUUUCCAGCCUGGAUGCGCUCAGCCGCGGCGGCGGCAGCCUCCUUCGCCGCGGGCACCCCGACGCCGGCGGUCUUGGCGAGGGAGAUCUUAGCCUUCAGGUCCAGCUUCUCCACAGCGCGUUCCUGCGCGAUGGAAAACGUCUGCGCCGCCUUUGCCCACUCGUUCAUGUAGCACAUAACCUGGCCCAUUCGAGCCAGCCCGAUGCCCCAGCGGGGACCACCCUCCUUAAGCGCCGUCUCCGCGUCCACCGCGGCCGCGCUGCUGUUACCCACGCGCAUGCGGGCCAGCGCGCGGUUGGCGAGCAUGGCGGGUCGCCACGCCGCCAAGGGCGUAUCCGCGCCGUUCAUAUCCUCCAUCUCGAGCGCAAACGUGUACAGCUCGUCGGCUCCGGCAAAGUCGCCGCACCAGCAAAAGAUGUUGGCCAUGCACAGGCAGAUCUUAGCCUGCUCCAGCGGCGUGAGCGAGUCGAUGUUCACAGCCUCGAACGCGAGGUCCAGCCACGUGGAGUCCUCCGGGAUCGGGAGUCCCUCGUGUCGUUUCUUGGCAAAGAGCGACAUGGCGCGCUCCGCAAAGUGCUCCUUCUCGGUGUACUCCUCGGUGGUUAUGUCGUUCUCCUUGAGCUGAUCGUCCUUCAACGCCUUCGUGGCGUCGUUGUUCUCCACGGCGUCGACGAUCGCCACGAGCACGCCGUGUGGGCACGCUUUCCUGCGUAAAUCGUACCACUCCUGUGACUUGACACAGUCCAGUCCGAUCGCCUCCCACUCCUUGUCCAUCUGCUCCAGGGACAUCUCGAACACCUUCCCGCCCUUGCUGCCUCCGCCGCCGUUCAGCUUGGGGGUACCGUUGGGACCCAGCGUCGGCGUCGCGCCCGUGGGGGUGAUACCCAGCGGGGUCACCACCGUGUUCCUCAUGCGCUCCAGUCCUCGCGCCACCGCGACUGACUUUGGGUCGAGCUGCGCGGCUCGCUGGUACGCCCUCAGCGAGGGCUCGUUGCCCCCGGCCGCCUCGUACACCGCGCCGAGCCGCAGGUGCGUCUCCGCCAGCUCCGGGGCGCUGUCCACCCCCGCUUCGGCGUCCAUCAUCGCGAGCCAGAUCUGUCCGAGCGCCAGCCUCGACUCGCUCCGGGAGCUGAUGAUCUCGCCCACGAUGCGCCUGUGCGCGGCAACCAGAACCGAGCUGGUGUCCGCCUCGUUGCGCCUGAUCUCCAGGCGCAGACCCUUGGCGACCUGGAUGGAGGUGAUGACCUUGGCUUCGUUCCACGACAGAACGCAGUCGCCGAGCGCCUGUGUUUCGUUUGGGGACGUGAGGGCGAAGGGGCCUUGGUGAGCGACAAUCCAAAAUCCAAAAUUGGCGUGGGGAACGUCCGACAGACAAGCGGACCGGAGCGGCAAAAGGGGCGCGGGCUCGGAAAAGUGAUCGGGCUGGGGGCGCACCUCGGUGAAUCUCUGGACCGCGACGUCGUGCCUGCCGUUGUUGGCGGCGGCCUUCGCUUUAUGGUACCGGCGCAACGCGGAGACCAGGGUCCCGCUCACAUCCCCGGGGAAGCUGGAGAAGGACGUGUCCGUGCCUGCGUGGGGGCGGGUGAUGGGGCGGGACGCGAUGAGAAAAUUUGCGCAAGGGCGAGCCCGGUCUUCUUUUUCGCCGAAACGGUGUCCGAUUUGGCGCCGGGAACGGGGCGCCCGGGCGGGUUCGGGGCCUCAGACGGCGGGUUCGACGAUGUCGACGGGUCGUGACAUACCUUCACUGCUCACGAGUCGCUCCGCGAGGGCCUCCAUGUCUUCGCCCAGGCGGCGAGACUCCUCGCACGCCAGCACCCAGCCGGGCUUGGCGAGCGAGACGGCCUCAUCUUCCACGCGAUUUCCCGGCAUGCCGUUGCGCUGCGCGAAGGGGUUCUGGAGGGCGUCCCUGGGCUCCUCGGUGCGCAUAUCACGCCUCGCGCCGCUCCCUUGGGUUCGUCCGGUGCGGAACCAAGGGUUUGGGACGCGUGGGUGCGAGUCGACGCGCGAGGAAGCGCUGGCUUCCGGUGGUGGAUCGCCGUAUGAGGAAUAACACCCGACUGGGUUGGCGAGUGCUCCAUCGCGUUUUCCGUCAAGACCGACCGGAGUUGUCCGGCCGAAACCUCACGCCCGUCGCGUCGCCCCUCUUCUUCACUCCACGCGCUUUCACAACCGAGCGCCAUGGCCAAGCUCCUCGGCUGGGAUCAGGACGUCACCACCGUGUACGCGCGCUUCACCGUCCCGAAGGGCACAAGGGCUUCGCAGGUGCGAGUGGACGCCGCCGUCAACUCUCUGUUGGUCUUCGUCCUGCCGGCGGACUCCACCCUGAGCUACGUGUACGAGGGCCAAAAGGAGGGCGGGGAGCUGAGCAAGACGAUAAUCUCCGCCGACGUGCUGUGGACGCUGGAGGAGGACGAGAAAGGUCGGCGGGUAGUUCACGUCGUUCUGCCGAAGAGCACCACCGGGCAGCUGGACAAGCCGUGGCGCACCUUGUUCGCCGAGCACGAGGAGGUUGAGGGCGACGAGGAAAAGUCUAUGGCGGACUGCCUGAAGGAGCUCACGUUCUGCGACGAGCCGUCCACGCCCUUCGACGAGCUGCCGCUGGACAUACGACUGCACAUGGAGGAGCUACGGCGGCGCAAGUACGCCAUGGGCGCGGGGUACCUAAACCCGGCGGAGGACUUUGACGACUUCAGGAUGGUCCUCACGGAGUGAGACGACCCCUGUGAAAGAGUGAGACGACCCCUAUGAAAGGGUGAGACGACGGGAAAGAGUGUCGACGCCCCGUCCUCUUGUCCACCCACCCACCACCCGUUCUCCAUCGAAAACGAACGAACGGUCAAAGUCAUCGGUCAACACCAAAUAGCGCUACUCUCACGUCCGGCACGGGGGAUGCGCCGGGCACUCGCCCUGUCCCUUACAAACCGGGCACUCGUCGCACGAGCACCCGCCCCCGGCCCCGACCCCGACGGCUCCCCGCGCGCGUUUGGCGCCGUCCCCGCACCUCGGCGGAUCCGGGCACGUUCCCUUCGAGCCGCACUUGGGACAGGGCGCGCAUCUCGGGCACCCUCCCGCGUCGCCGUCGCCUCCGUCGCCAGCUGUGUUGCCGCCGUUCGUGUCCCCGUCGUCCUCCCUCUUGGCCACCACCGCCUCCGUCGUCUUCGCCCCUUCCGCGUCUCGCGGGGCGGUCGCACCGUGCGACGACCCAACCCCGGACCCCGCCGCGCCUUCGCACUUGGGGCACUCGCGACGCGCGGGAUCCGGGCACCUCGUGGGCUCGCACCGCGGGCAGGUGGGACACUGCAGCGCGUCAACCUUGCCGGAGAAUCCACCGCGGCCGAAGAGCGCCGUGGACGACUUCCUCUCGCCGUGAUAGACGCCGAAGAGGAAGCCCGCGACGACGGUGAGGCCCCAGAGGAGGGUCCAACCGACUCUCCGAUGCUUUCUCCCCGUGCGAUCCUCCCGCUCCAUCGUCGCACCCCGAGGGCGCGCGCGUUUGUUCUGGUUGUUACCCCGCCGGUCAUCAAUUCUCUUCCCCGGCGGUCUCGCGACUUUCGAGUGAGGACGCUCAAAAUCAUUAGGGUUCCUUCGCGCUGUGGCAGUGCGCGACGGCGCGACGGCGCGUUCCCGGGAGUGCCGAGCGGCACAGUGAACACCCGAGAGGAUGCCGGCGUCGGCCAUGGACGUCGACGCGCCCAGGGCCUGGCUCCCCGACGUGCGGCGGCAGCAUCUGGACCUGGACGUCGGGUUCGUCCCCGGCGCGGGAGGGUACGUGCGGGGGCACACCACGAUCGUCUGCAGGCCGCUGCCGACGGAAUCGGGGGACGCCACAACGCUCACGCUGCACGCUCACGAGCUCGUGGUGACGCGCGUGACGGUGAACGACGCGCCCGCGCGCGUGAUCCGACGAGGGAGGACCGCCGUGCGUCCCGACGGGUCCGACGAUCCAUCGGGUGACGACGUCGACGCCCUCGCCGUCGCCGACGCCGGCGCGCUGAGCUCCGGGGCCAACAUCGCGAGGAACGCGUGCGAGGGAAUGCUCGCGGACGCGCGCGCCGUCGCCGACGGCGCGGCGGACGAGCUCGUCAUCGCGCUCGAGGACGGCGGGGUCAUCGCGAGCGGCGGGUCAUCCGAGGAUGUAGUCGUCAGGGUCUGGUACGGCGCGGGCACCGCGAUGAACGCGUUCGGGGUCCAGCCCCCGGACUCGUGGAGGCGCAUCGCGCCGCUCGUGGCGCACCCGCGCCCUCCGCGGGCGGGCGAGGACCCGGGGGGGAACGACCCUACGGGGGGGAACGACGCGGGGGGCGACGGGAACGGCGGCGAGGGAACCGGCGGGAACAAAGUCGCACAGCUGGACGAAGUCGCACAGCUGGACGAAGUCGCACAGCUGGACGAAGUCGCACGAAGCCGCGGGGAGGAGCCCAUCGACGCGUACGCGGGCUGGUGUAACCCCGGGGACGGGGCGUUGUGCGCGUUCGUCGAUUCGGACGAGGGGAACGCGCGGUAUCUGUGCGCGCCGGGCUCCGCGUUGCGUCCCGCGGCGUGGUUCCCGUGCGUCGACGACGGCGGCUCGUUGGUUCACUUUAGCGCCGUCGUUAAGGUCGACCCGGACCUCACCGCGGUUCUCCCGGGGGUGCUCACCAAGACGGACGUCAUCGAGGAGACGAUACGUAGCCCGGACGACGGCGCACCCGCCCGGACGCGGUCGCGACGGGCCUUUCACUACGUCUCCGGGGGGGUGCCGGUGCAGGCGCACCAGAUGGUGUUGGCGGUUGGCACCUUCGCCACGCGAAAGAUCCCGACGUCGACGGCGCACGGGGAUACGUUCGCCGCCGCGGCUCGGGCGGAGGAGGAGGACAAGGAGGAGGAGGCGGCCAAGAACGACGCGGACGGUACUAACGCCAGGUUCCACCAGUACCUGGACAACGCCGCGGAGUCAACCGCGCACAGCUCGACGCACGCGCUUCACUGUCCGCCGUGCUACGCGGAGAACGAGCUUCCCGCGGCGGCUUCGUGCGCCACGUCGGCGCUGAAGUCGUUCGAGACCUACCUGGGCCGACCGUUCCCGUACCCCGGCGGCCUCACCUUCUGCUUCGUUCCCCCCGACGCGCUGCCGGUCUCGAUGGACCUGCGGUUGCCCGCGAUGCUGGGCGCGGGCGUCACGAUUCUCUCGACGGAUAGGCUCGGUCACCCGCUCUCGGCGGCGGACCUCGUCACCUCUCGAACGGCGAUCGCGGAAUGCGCCGCGAGGCAGCUCUUCGGCGGGUUCCUGGAGCCAAGGGAGGACACCGACGCGUGGCUGGCGGAGGGACUGGCCAGUUACAUGGCGGGCGCGUGCUACAUCUCGUCGCUGAUGGGCGCGGAUGAGCUGAAGUAUCAGAGGGCGCGGGAGGUGGAGGCGGUGGUCGAAUGCGACGACGGCGACGCCUUGCCUCCGCUGGCGUCCCCUUCCGCGAGGAUAUGGGCGCGCGGACGGUCCGCGUGCGGCGCCUCCGCGGAAGAGGUGAAGGCGCGGGCCGUCGGGGAGGCGCGCGCGCGAGGGGAGGACCCGGAUGCCGUCGCGGCUCUCGAGCACGCCAGAGACGUCGCCCCGGCGAGCAAGCCGCCGAGGCCUCCCGCGCCAGGCGUCGACACGCUCGUGCGGUGCAAGGCCGUGGCCGUCGUGGAGAUGCUCGAGCGCAAGCUCGGGGAGGAGGGGAUGCAAAAGGUGAUCAGGAAGCUCGCCUCGCUGCAGGGCAAGGCUCCCGGCGCGGAGUCCCUUCAGGAGGCUGCGAUUGCCGCGUCAAAGGCUACCAGGGCGGCUAAGGAAAAAGCUGCGGCGGCGGCGGAGGCGGCGAAGACCGAGGGCGCGGACGAGUCCGCGAACGCCGCCGCGAAGGAGAAGGCCGCCGCGACCGCGCGCGAGCAGCUCCAGCGGGAGCACCAGGAGUCCAUCGCGUACCACGCCCUCGCGGAGUCACCGGCUCGGUUCCUCCGGUCGCGGGUGUUUCUCAACCUGUGCAGGCAAAACGCGACGAUGACGAAGGCGGACAUGUCCGCGUUCAACGCGCGCUGGAUCGAGGGAUGCGGCUGCCCCAGGCUCACCGCCGCGUACACCUUCCGCAAGACCCGGCGACAGGAGCUCCUGUUCGCGAUCAAGCUCGACGGUUGCCUCGCCGCCGCCGCGGCGGACCGGGUGGCGUGGAGCAAAAACCCGAAGGUUUCCGUGACUGUCCGGAUCCAGGAGAACGACCUGCCGCCGUCCGACCACGCCGUCUCCCUCUCCGCGCACGACAGGGCGUACGUGCUCAUGCCCCUGCAGCUCGUCACCAAGCCCAAGGACAGGCGCACCAUCGCGCGCCAACAGGAGGCUGCGAUGAGACGGCAGCAGCAGGCGAUGGAAGCCGGCAAGGCGAACCCGGAUAACCUCGACGCGAUGGCCGCCGCCGAGGUGCUCCAGUGGGAGUGCCCGGUGUCGUGGGUUCGCGUGGACCCCGAGGGGGAGUGGCUUGCCAAGGUGGUCCUGCCCUCGGCGCAGCAAGGUCUGGAAGGGAUGAUCACCAAGCAGCUCAUGUCGGAGCGCCCGGCGGAUCCGGCGGCUCAGAUGUGGGCCAUCCGGUUCUUGCGGGAGCGCGCCGAGAACGGCUCCACCUCGGCGGUUAACGCGCUGUUGCAGUGCGCCGAGGACCCUAAAACGUUCUGCAGGGUCCGCGCCCUCGCCGCGAUGGCGUUGGGCGCCUGCGCGUGCGACGGGACGCAGAGAUCCAACCUCGCGUUGUCGUCGGUGACGAGGACGUACCGCAGGCGUCGAUGCGAUCCACGAACGGGCAAACCUAAACCCACCGACCUCGCCGACUUCGCCGCCGCCAUCGUCGACGAGGGCUUGCUCACCGCGCUGGGCCUACCCCGCGCGCCCCCGGAGUCCACGAGCGGUUGGGAGGACGCGGACGACGCGUGGGUUACCCCGACGGAGUGCGUGGAUUUGCUGGUGGACGCGCUGAACCACACGGAGAGCGACGGGGAUCCGCACGAUUCGUCGUCGCUCAUCGCGACCGCGAUUCACGCGCUCGGCCGGGCCAGGCCCGCCACCCUCGACGGCGUCCGGCGGAUCACGCGGGCGAUCGCCGGGCGCAUGCGCGAGAACGCGACCAUCUGCGGCGUCGGCGGGCGCGCGCACGAGGGCGGCCGGCGGGUCAUGGUCGCGGGGAUGCUCGCGCUUCGGACACUUCUGGAGCGCCUUCCGCCGCUCCCGGAAUCCAUCCGAGCCGCGAACGAGGCGAAGAAGGCCAUCGAAGCGGCGGGCGGCGGCGCGAACGGCCAAGGCGGACCCGGGGUCAGGCGGCGGCGCUCGGCGGUGACGUCCCUCGGUGACGCCGAGGAGAAGGCGCGGCUCUCCGCCGUCGCCGUCGCCGCCGUCGUCUCGGAAUGCGUCGCGACGGCGAGGUCUUUCGUCGCCGAUCGCGUCGGAAUAGACCCGUGUCCGGCCGUGCGACGCGCCGCCGUCGCGCUCCAGUUUGGCAUCGAGGCGUCGCACGGCGGUCCGUGCGGCGUCGCGAGGGCCCUCGCGUUUGCGACGCUCGCGUGCAAAGCCGAACAAAGCGGCGGGGUUCGCGCCGCCAUCCUCUGGGACGCCCGCGACGCCCUGCGUGCGAUGCCGGACGCCCCCGCGCAGCUCGCAGCGCUCACCGGGGGAUCAGGCACCGGCACCGCGAGCGACCCCGACCGCCACGGCUUUGACGUCUUUGAGUGGACCGCCACGUCGCUGCGCAUCGCGUCGCGGCGGGCGGGGGCGGAGACGGCGACGGCGGCGCUCGCGGUGAUGCGCGCCGCGUCCGGGCUCGACGACGAUUACCCCCACGAGCGGGACCUCGCGGACUUAAAAGCUAGGGAGGCGGCGAGGGAGGCUGUCCUCGCGGGCGCCGCGCAGGCUGCAAACGACAUUGAGGACGAGGCGGACGAAGCGGAGCGUUUAGAGCGCCGACGUAAAAAAGAGGAAAAGGCGAAGGCCCGCGCGGAGAAGGAGGAACGAAGGGCGCGGAAGGAGGAGAGACGCGCGAGGCGACGCGCGGCGGAGGCUGCCGCGGCGGCGGAGGCGGCGGCGGAGGCUGCAGCCGCGGGCGGCGGGGUUGGGGACGACGGCGCGGGCGCGUCCGAGAUGAUCACGGACGCGGAUGGGGACGUCACGAUGGGGGGUUUCUCCGACGGCGGGCCCGUGUCCGGUCUCACGGGUGGCGUCACCGGCGUCACGGGCGUCACGGACGACGCGGAGGACAGCGGAGCCGAGGGAGGGGCCGAAGGGAAGAGCGCCGAGCCGCUGUCGCAGGCGACGGGGACACCGUCGCUGGAGACGCCCGUGACGGCUCCGGCGCCCGCGGCUCCGGCUCAUCCGGCGCCCCCUCCCCCUCCCGCUCCCGUUCCCGCUCCGGCGGCUCCGGCUCCGGCUCCGGCACCCGCCCCGGCGGCGGCGGCUCCUCCUCCUCCCGCCGAACCCGCGCAGGUCGUCGGCGUCAAACGCGACCGGGACGAGGCGUUCAACUCCGCGGCGGGAACUCCGAGCUCGGCGGCGGGGGCGGCGGGGGCGGCGGCGGCGGUCACGCCGGCGGAGCAGCCGGCCAAGAAGCCGAGGCUGGUGUUUGCCUUUGGCGCCAAAAAACCCGCGGCUGCCGCGGCGCCCGCGGCGCCCGAGCCCGAGGUCAAGGAGAAGAAGGAGAAGAAGGAGAAGAAAGAUAAGAAGGAGAAGAAGGAGAAGAAGGAGAAGCGAGAAAAGGAGCGAGCGGCGGCGGACGCCGCGCCGUAGCAGGGCGCUCGCGAAAAUAGCCGACAGUGAUGAUGGGAAUGAAGAAAACAAAACUACAACGCCGAGUCAUCAGAAAUCCCGCGCCGCCCCACGACACCGCAGCAUGGGUAGCGGCCGCGACAAGCGGAAGAAGGCCGCGAAGCGCAGCGGCAAGGACGGCUCCGGCCCGUCCGGCGAUGCCAAGACGUCCGCCAAGACGGAUAAGAACGCGGCCAAGCUGGAGCGUCGCAUGGCCAAAGCCGCCGCCGACGACGACAUCGACGCGCUGCUCGCCAACAUCAGGCUGAUGGACUCGAAGCUGAAGGAGGUGGAGGUACACGAGGAUUGCCCGAAGCCUGGCCCGAGGUGCAACUGCUCGUUCACCCCGACGCUAGCGCAGAAACCCGCGGAGGUCAUCAUGUUCGGCGGCGAGUGCGUGGACGCGACGGGCAAGACGCAAACCUUCGGGGAUCUCUUCCGGUACGACGUCGAUCGCAACAAGUGGACGAAGGUCGUCUCUCCCAACUCGCCCCCGCCGAGGAGCGCGCAUCAGGCGGUCGCGCACGGCGGCUACCUCUACGUCUUUGGCGGGGAGUUCACGUCCCCGAAUCAGGAGAAGUUCCACCACUACAGGGACCUGUGGAGGCUCGACCUCGAGGAACACGCGUGGGAAAACAUCACGCCGAAAGUCGGCCCCAGCGCCCGAAGCGGCCACAGGAUGGUGACCCACCCCAAGGGCAAAUCGCUGCUGCUCUUCGGCGGGUUCUACGACACCGGCGACGACAUCCGGUACUACAACGACGUGUGGGAGCUCAACCUGGAGGCGAUGACGUGGCGGUGCAGGUUCGGCGGUGACGUCGCGGGUGGCGCCUCGACGUUGGAGGGUCCGAGUCCUCGGUCCGCGUCGCACGUUUCCGCGUCGAACGAUUCGCUGUGGGUGUACGGCGGCUACCGUAAGUUCGCGGGCGACGGCGAGGGCGACGAUGGGGACGUCGAGAAGGGCUCGACGCACAGCGACCUGUGGAGGAUGGACCUGAAGAGUUGGCGAUGGGAGAAACAGAAAAAGGCGGGCAUGGCGCCCGGGCCGCGCGCGGGAGCCACCUCCGCGACGCACGGCGCGAAGAAGCGGCACGUGCUCUUCGGCGGCGUGGUGGACCACGAGAUUCGCAAGGGCGAGGUGAUCAUCUCGGAGUUUUUCAACGACGCGUACUCGAUGAGCCUCGACAACGGCCGGUGGUACCCGGUUUGCCUAUACGCGGACAAGGGCUCCAAGCCGGAGGCGCCGCGCGAGGCGACGGGACGCGAGGAGGCCGAACGCGUGGCGCGCGGCGAGGUUUUCAACGAGAACUUCAACGUGCGCGACGCCACGGUGCGCGCGGCGAUCAAGAUCCAGGCGCACUACCGCGGGUACGCGGUGCGAAAGGCGUACAAACUGUACCGCAUCGGGGGGCAGGUUUCGGAGCUGCUGUACUCCCCGGGCUCCGGCGAGGCCGCCCCGAAGACGGCGCCCAGGCCGCGCGGGCGCAUGAACGCGGCGCUCGCGGUGCGAGGCAACGCGAUGUACCUGUUCGGCGGCGCCGUCGAGAUUGGGGACGUGGAGGUUUCGCUGGACGACGUGUGGGCGCUGGAGCUCUCCGCUCGUCCCAAGUGGCGAAAAAUCGCAGAGUACUCGCCCGAGGUUGCGGAGAGGGUGCACGGGGAGGCGGUCGAGUCGAGCGACGAGGAGGAGGAGGAGGAGGAGAAAGAGAGGGCGCACGCGAUGGAGUUUCGGGCGAGGAAGACGGUGGAAGGGAAGGAAUGAGGGAUGCGCGGAUGGAGUUUUAUCAGACUAGCUAGUAGCUUAGCAGUGGAAGACGGAACCUCGCCUCGUCAUAACCGUCGACUCGAUUUCGUGAACUCACAUCACUGAAGCGAGCUCCGAGCCGAGCGAAAAUGCCACGUCUUCCUUCUUCGUGGCUUUUUAUCCCCCGGCUGGUCACAGCGAACGGCGCGUGAGCUUCGACAUGAGCAAGCCCGCGGCGGCCGCCGCCGUCGCGUUCAUCACGCUUCUCGCGCGGCUCACGCUCCUGCCCGGGGUUGACGCUCAGUUCUACCAGGUGCGCGGCGAUAACCCCUCAACUUGCCGUGACCGACAUCUCGGCACCCUGCUAGAAAAAAUCGACGUCAUCACCGACGCACCCGCUGGUCACCAGCCUAGGCCAGCCAGCCGGGCUCGCGCUUCGGGAACACCCGACCGCACUCUCGGGAUUCGCCGAUGUAAAUUUCUGACCCCUUCCCACCCCGUCCCCAUCAGCCCGGAGACAAGCUCCCGGCGAGCGCGAUCACCGAGACGUUCGAUGUGGCGUGGCCUCCAGCCGUGAACGACGUCUCCCUGUCCAGAUUCGACUACACCCGCAACGCGGACGGCGGCAAGUGGGUGACGGUGAUCGCCACCUUCUACUCCGGAUGCACCCCGGGGCGCGCGGACUACCCUUCUUUCACCAAGCACGUCUCCUCCCUGCGCCAAAAGGUGGCGGCCGGCUUCUUGGGCUCCGGCAACGUCGCGUUCAUCGCGUCGCUGAAGAACGGCGUCAACGACGGCGUCGCGGAGGCGUGGGCGAAGAUCAACGGCUCGGACGUCUCCACGUCAGCGUCCGACACGAACGGCGGGUUCCCGUACAUAGUGGACGACAGGCACAGGAGCCUGGUGUACAAGUUCUUCGACGCGGCGGUGCACCCGGCGUACGCCAUCGUCGACCACUGCAUGACGUACCGAGCCCUGCUACCCGCGCUACCGGACCAAACCGGCGACGACACGCUCGAGAAGACGGUGGAGCGGCUGCUGUUAAAGACGGACGAGGCGUGCCCCGUGGCGCCGUCGAGGCAAAUCGAGGCAAUCAGGCCCAAACGCGAGGUACGAACGUUCAAAGCGUCGAACGAGAACCCGUCGGCGGCGAACGAAAAGUGCGCUCCGGCUUUUGGAUCGGGGACGCCGUCGGCUCGGAGGCUUGGCGUGAGCGACGGGGUUAGGGGUGGGUCACCCCUGGCGCAGCCGCGAACGUUGGCGUUCCAUCCGAGCACGGGUGAGAUGUGGGUGGGAAACAACGACACGGAUUCGGUGACGAUCCUGCGCGGUUCGUUCGACGGCGUCAAAGGCGCGGCGGCCGUCUCGGGCGUCGUUCACAGGUUCGACCGGGCGCACUACCACUACAUGGACAAGAUGGCGGCGAUGUCGUUCAAGGGCGACGGCGCGGUCGUCACGUGUCAGGAGAGCGAGAACACCUACGACGGAAUGAAGAGGGCGAACCGCUUCAUGGGUCCAUCGCUGUACGACACCGUCCCGAAGAUUGGAAACGUCAAGACCGGGGGUUGGCCCGAGGGCAAGAACGUUUUCGUGAACGCGAAGGGGGCAAAGUGCGACCCGGAUGGUCUAUCGGACGGCACGGACAAUAACCCAACCUGUUUCAUGACCCACACGGAUAUGCUCCACGCGUCGCCCAACUGCAUGGGCGUCGCGCACGAUCCCGAACCGAACACUCCCUUCGGUAACGUCUUCUGGGUCUUUGACGGGCUCAACUCGACGCUAAUCAGGUACGAUUUCGAGCAGCCGCACGGUCCCGGAUCGCUGGAUCACUCGCUCGCGAACGUGAGGCGGUACCCCGAGAUCAAGCUCACGCGCGUCCCCGGGGUACCCGGUCACAUGACGGUGGACCCCGAGACUCGCGCGCUGUUCAUCGCGGACACGGGCGGCGGUAGGGUUCUCGCCGUCGACGCGGAUAGCGGCAGGUACGCCGCCGAGGCCAGGAACGAUCUCGGGGGUAAUUUCACGCUGUGGUCGUCGCCCCUUCCCUCGUUCGAGUACACGCUGUUCGGAUGCGCCUCGUUCAAGACGUUCGCGACGGGGAUAGACAAACCCUCGGGGCUCGCGCUCAGCGGCAACGUGCUGUACGUCGGCGAGCACGGCACCGGCAAGAUCAUCGCGCUGCACCGCACCACCGGGGAGAAACUCGGCGAGUACGCCACCGGCGCGAAGAAACUCUUCGGCCUCUCGGUCAAUCCAACCUCCGGCCGCCUGUGGUACGUGGACGGCGCCGUGAACGACGCCGUGUUUUACCUCGAGCCGUCCGCCGAGUGCGCGGAACCGGUUCCCAACGGCGCGGCAAUCGCGUGGCCGGCGUCGACCGUGUCCGAGUCCGGCACAAACUGGUGCGGCAUCAGCACCAGCGUCGCGACUCUCGGCCUCGCCGUCAAGCACAUACAACACGAGGACGGAUACCUGAACAUGACCCCGCUGGGCCCCGGGUACGGCGUGACCGAUGAGUGCAUGAAGUGCGGUCCGGGCUGCGACAACGACAUGCUGCUGAUGUCGGGGUUCCUAUGCCACAAGUGCAUCCCGGAUAAUUGUCGGGGCGGUAUCUACCCAACGUCCGCCGGAACGUGCGAAAACAUAAUCGGGGAAGGGUACAGGUGUAAGUGCGACGACGGCGCGUACGGCGAUCACUGCCAGUUCAGGGUCGUGAGCGGUAGUGAGCGAUGGGUGCCCAAUUUCGCGGGAGUGAUGCUCGCUUUGCUCGUCGCGAUGUUCAUUCACUAAAAGGGACUAGCGGCUAGCUGUGUAGAUAAAGAAACCGGCGCCGCGCGGCAACAUUCACACGCACGACUCUCGCCGCUUGCGCCCCGGCUUCGUCUCCAGAUCCGCGCACGCCCGUAUCGGUGCCAUCAGAAGCCACCAGACCGCGAACGCUGCCGCGAGCGCCGCCGCCACCGGCAUCAACAAAACCGUGAUCAAAAUCGCAAACGCCGAACCCACCACCGGCGUCCUCAGCACGGACGCGCACCACCUCGGCACGUGUCCGGCUUCCCCGUGCGACCCACCCCGCGGCGUCCCCGCGCGUCCGAACGCCUUCGCGGGGAACACGUGCUGACGCCAGCCGUCGUACAUCGCCCGGGUGAGCGGGUUGGCCAGCGUCGCGUGCGCGCUUUGAGCCACCGAUACGGCGUUUUCCCUGUCCUUACCCCUCGGCGCCUUCUCGAUCGCGUUCACGAGCGCGUCGUACCGUUCCCUCAGCUUGCGCGUACUCAGCGAGCGCGCCGUAUCGUUCCGCACCCCCAGCACGGCGUAGUAGUCCGACUGCCUGGCCAGCACCCUGGCGACGGCGCCGCUCGGUUCGUCCGACUCGAAUUCAUCGAUGGCGCCGUAGACGGGGGAGUCGUCACCGGUGUUCGUCGUCGUCAGUUUCUCAUCCUCGCCGUCGCUGUCCUCGAAGACGCGCGCUUCCUUGUCCCACUCGAAUACCCCGGGUUCCAUCCUGUUCACGAUGAGCGCCGGGAUGUACAGCGAGAUGGCGACGACGAGGGAGACGUGAACCGGGUUGGACGCCGUGAAUCUCGGCAGACCAGACUCGGGUCCCUCGAUCAGGAGCACACCGAGUAUCGCGAAGAAUAAGGCGAGCGUCACGGACCCGACGAUCGCUCUCACUUCACUGCCCCAAGCCCGACUCGCCAUCAGGCAGGUCCCCAAGAGGAUCAUCAUGAUGCCCAUCAUCGUGAUGAACCAUGCUCCGGUUGCGGGUGUGCGGUGCUCGUACAAUCUCGCGCCGGAAUGUCGCAGGCUCGGGGAGGGUGGCGCGGGGGGCGGCGGCGCUGGAUCGUACUCGCCGUACAGCUCGAUGGCGUGAUAAGGUAAGAAGACGUGAUAAAGACCGAAGACCGUCACGAAAGCUCCCAAAAGGCCGUUGUAUGCCUUCAGGAGACCCAUGUUCAACUUCAACACCCAAAUGUGAUGCGGCAGCCGGCAGUUGGUACAAGUACCGCCUUUCUGGACGCGUUCGGAAGGCCAGGUCGCCGAUACCCGCGAGUUUCGAGCUGAGAUCGCUCGUAUGAGCCCAAAGGCGCGGUCGGAACCCCAGGGAACGACACCGCGCCCUGGGGUCUGCCACGACGGUCCGUGGCUCCAAGCAGAAUAUUCGCCCAGCGCGCCAAAGGAUCCUCGAACACGCGGACACGCUCGGAGGACACGCCGGACUUGUUGGCCAGGCGCAAAAUUGAGACCUUCUUCGUUCACUUCUUCUCACGUAUCUAAAGCUACCUCGCGUCAAACGCUCCUGUCCUCGGGGGGAACGUACUCGAGUCCGAGGUACUCGAACACGUCCCUCUCGUCCCUGAACUUCGCGUCCCUCACCGCGGUCAUGUCGUUGCCCCGCACCAGGUUGAACCCCCUGUCGUGUAGGCUUAACCCCUUUGCCUUGUCCGCCCACGUGCGCAUGGACCGGUUGAAGUACCCCGAGCCCGUGAAGUACAGGAGCGCGAACGGCAUCUCAUCCGGAGUGUACGUCUUUAUGUCCAUGCGCCGGUGUAAUCGCUUGGGAGUCACCACCGCCACGGCACCGUCGCCUUCGGCCCCGUCCGUCGUCGUCGGCGCCAGCCGCUCGCGGCUGUCCGGGAGCCUGGCCACUCCCAUCCAGCUCACCGUCCCCGUCGAUAGGUCAUCCGUCACGACCCCUCGCGUCCUCAGCCGCGCCAAAACGGCGGGCAAGAUGUCCUCCACCGUAUCCACCGUCGCCCCCGGAGCUCCUUGCGAUCCACCCCUGAUGAACUCCUCGCUGGGACAGAGCAAGACGUCGACGUCGCCGCAAGAAGUCUUUCCCCGGCGGUAGGAUCCGGCAACCGUGACGGAGCAGCCGGGGCAAACGGCCGCGACCGCGUCCUCGACGUGGCCCGCCAGAGCCUCCACCUCGUCGCGCGGUAUUCGCUCCUUGAACUCCUCGUAAAACCUCAGACCCACGUGCUGAUUCGCGCUGAGCUUUCCCGGUUGUCGUGCCGCCAGCGCUCGAAGCUGCGCGACGGUGGAGACGCCGUCCUCCCGGUGGAGCUUCCGCGCCGUCUCCGUGCCUAUGCCCCACACCCCGGAGAGCUCCAGUACGGCCUCGACGUCCGGUUUGCGUUUAAGCUCCUCGAGCUUCGCGAGCUUACCCGUCGCGAGAAGCUCGCGGAUCUUAUCUCGCACCGUGGACGUCUUCUGCGCAAACGCGGGAGUCACCGGCGGGUCGCACAGCUGUUCCACAUCCGUCACGACGAAAUCCAGCCUCUCCACCGCGCCCGCCACCUGCUUGUGGUGCCUCGCCUUGUACGCGUUCGUGCCCCCCAGGACGUCCUCGUAUAUCGCCGCCAAUUCCUCCAGCGGACGGGUGAUGUGGGGGUUCAAGUUGACGGGAGCCGCGGUGGACGGGCGCUGGCACGCGAAGGCGCCUCUUUUCUUUCCCAACCACGGGCGCACCAAACCGUCGGCGCCCGAUCCAGAGUCGACGACGACGUGCCCUUGAGACGCGUCUUGAGACGAAGGCGGCGGACCGAGGCGCAUGGGCGACGCGACGGGCGGCAGGGGCGAGGAGCUCAGGCUGGCCGGCGGGUUCACGCCGCCGGUGAGCGCCGGCGGGUGCUCAUCCUCGGGCCUCAGCUCGCCCGCGCGGAUGCACGCCUGCGCCCAGUCGGGCGAUACCAGCCUCGCCGCGGGGUUCCAGUGCCGGUACGUCGUCGACGUGGUCAACACGUGCGUCACGCGCGGAUCGUUCACGUCCCUCGCGACGGCUCCGCCUCUCUCGGUGAUCCUGUCUCCGAGGAUGCCCCGGCGGGUCUUGCUCACCUCGGGCGCGAAAUACGCCACCACGGGUGAGAAGAACCGUUUCGGGUCCCCCGGGCUCGCGGCUGCCGCCGGCGGGUCGCGAUCGGGGUUCACGGACGCCGCGCCGCCGUCAACAUCUCGCCUGGACGCCGCCGCGACCAUCUCCGCCAGUCUGCGGUACGGUGACCUCGAGGAUUCGUGGUUUAAAACGCACCCCUCGUCGCCUCGCUCGAUUCCUCCCGAGUUUCGGGGUUCUCCCCCGAGCGCCCGGGCCGCGGCGGCUUCGUUCCUCCUGAGCGCCUCGUCCACCUCCUCCUCAUCGUGCUCGAAAUCGUACGUAUCGCCGCCCACCUUGACGCCUCCCUCGCUCUCGACGUCGACGUCCGCGAAGGAGGACGUCGCGUGUUGUUCGAUGAGCUGCGUGGGCAACGCGAGGCUCGGUUUCGGCAGCUGCGUUUGCGUCUGCGUCGGAACCGGUUGUCCCCCUUCGAGGUCGCCCGCGCGCAGGGACGCGGGAAGGCCGAGGACGAGCGUGUUCGCGGUCGCCUGGGUGCCCAACUGCUGGAAAGGGCGGUCCGGGGUCGCGCUGGGGUCCCGGAGAUCGCGGCGUCGGCUUCUUCGCCGGGGCGGCGAGGCUGCGACGGGCGAAUGAACGGUGGGCGUGCAUUGUUAGCAAUUUCGCCCCGAACGAAACGAAGGGGGAGUCCUGGGUCUUGGGUUGGGGCGCACCCGAGGGGAUGCUCGCGCAGAGCUCCUGCGCGUCUCGCUUCGGCCGCCGGCUCUUGUUCUUGUCCAUGUUCUUCCCUGACGUUCACCUCGCGGGCUGGCUACUCAGUGUCACUGUUCUCAUCACUGCCAGCGCUGCUCUCAUCGGAGUCAGAGCCGGAGGUCACCUCGCUCGCCCCUUCCGAGUGAUACGACUCCUCGUCGUCGCUGUCGUCGCGCUUGACGGUGAGCGGCCUGCGAUACGUUCUCUGCCCGACGAUUAUUCGAUCGUUGCUCAGCACCGGGUUGUUUCUGCCCGAGCGAGUCGCCGCCCUCUACGUGUGUGUGCGGGGGGCUUGUUCAGAUCGGGGCUCGUGUCUUUCGGGAAAAGGUUGGCACCCCCGCGACUUACGAAGGCUCGGAGUCGGCGCUCACGACUGGACGUGUCCGCGUUCUCGUCCGGCGCGGCACAGGCUGCGGUAUCGCCUAUCGGCCUGACGAUCGGGAGCGUGCUGGGGAAAGAUACCGGCGCGAGAGUCAGGUUCAUGCGCACCGGCUGUUUGUGGAGGGUGCCGUCGAAUUCGUGGCACCCGCCUCGGACCGCCCGAAGCGACCUGCUGGAGAUCGCGCCCGUCACUCACUUCUAACCCUCCGUUUUUGAACGGGCACUCCGUCAGGCGCGGGUGAGGCGCGAGACGUGACGGGAUAACAUGCUCAGGCGCGCGGCGUCGUCGGCGGUGGCUCGAGGCGGGCUCGGUUUCAACCGAACGUUCGCCGCGAGCGCCUCCGCGCGGGGUUGGUGGUCGGGAUCGGGUAGCGGAGAUCCGGGGGAGAAAGGUGCCGACGUGGCUGGAACGCCGACGAUGGACUCCGCGACCGAGCGCGUGGGUGAGACCAUAUCGGGCGACGCGGCGGUGACCGCCACGAGCGGAUUGAUCGACGCGCCCUCCUCGUUCGACCCCGUGGGCAUCGCAGCCACCGCCAUCGAGCAGGCGCACGUGAUGACCGGCCUCCCGUGGUGGGCCACCAUCGGGUGCACCGCGCUCGCCGUGCGCGCCUCGCUCUUCCCGUUCGUCCUGAAGCAGACCAGGGCGGGCGUGCUGCUCAACACCGUGAAGGCGCGCGCGCGUGGACCCGACGGAAAACCCCCGGAGACGUUCCGCGAGGUCCUCGCAGCCGCGGGCGAGCUCCGGCGACGCACGAACGCCACCCCGCUCUACUGGCUCGUCGCCGGCCCCGUCGUCCAACUCCCCGUCUUCAUCACCGCCGUCCUCGCCGUGCGCAGGCUGGCGGCGACGCCGGGGAUAGGCAUGGAAAAUGGCGGCGCACUCUGGUUUCCGAACCUCACCGAGGUUGCGCUGCACGUCGACGCGGUGGUGGCGCCGAUGGGGAUGGCGGGCGCCGUGCUCCCUUGCGCGACGGCUGCGGCGCUCUUCCUCAACGUCAACAGCGCGUGGGGUAAGAUUGCAGAGACGAACCGGGGGUUCCAGUUCGUGAAGCUGGCGCUGGAGUGGCUCACGUUGCCCACGCUGCUCGUGGGGAUGGUGCUACCGCAGGCUGUGCACUGCUACUGGCUGCCGAGCAGCGCGUCGGCGCUGGCGCAGAGCUACGCCAUGCGGUCGGAGUGGGGACGUCGGAUGAUUCGCGCUGAUCCGAGGCUGCCGCUGGGAGCCUCGCCGCGAUCCGGGUCGGACGCGAACGCGGCGUCGAACGUGCGGUUCUCGCGUCCGCUGGACGAGACGGAGGAACGGGCGAUGAUGGAGGCUGCGAAGCUCGUGGCGGAUAAGAAAGAGGCGCUCGCCGAAAAGCUUCUGGAGGCGGCGGCGGCGGCGGCGGCGGGCGGGGCGGUUGAUUCGGGCGCUUCGUCGACGGACGGAGCGCACCCUAACCUCCUGUUCGCGCUGGGCCAGACGAGACAGACGCUGAAGCGGUGGAAACUCGCGGCGGAGGCGUACGACGCCUGCGCGGCCGCGGAGGUUCACCCGACGCAGCGCGCGAGGGCGCUUCACGGCGCGGGCGUCGCCAGGGCGCGGCUCGGGGAUCUCCCGGGGGCGGCGAGGCGCCUGGAGGAAGCCAUCGACGCGAGCCAGAGCGCGGGGGUGGCGCACGUGAAGGCGAUGCUGAGCCUGGCGUCGGUGAGGAAGACGGACGGGGAUGCGGCCGGCGCCAUGGAGGCGUUGAGACGCGCGGAGAGGCACGCGCCGGAGGUGAGGGAGCGAUACAUCGAGCCUCUGGAGAGGCAGAUGGCCAAGGAGAAAAAGUCGCGCGGUCGAUGAGUAGUCCACCUUGUAAUGGGUUGUUUGUGGCGAGUUUAUAGCGCUCGUCUCGCUUGAUUUUAUUACACUCGCGGCAGCGACUGUCCCUCAUUUGCUCCCCGCAGCUAUUGCUUCGGAAGCUUAAGCUGGCAAGGGAAGAGCGCGCCCAUGCAGUAGCAGAGGCACAGGUUGAUGUAGCAGCCAUCGUUAUAGCCACACUGGUCGAGGUUGCGCUCGAAGAACAUGUAAUCGGCAAGGAGGAGCACGCCGAUGAGGGAGGCACGCUGCUGAGGCGUCACGGACGGAUCAUGGAUCUCGAACUGGAACAUGUCGGAGUCCGUGAGCAUCUCGCGGAUCGCGCCAGUCAGGGACUUGGGCUUGAGCUUGGUGAUGGUCGCGAUGUUGCCAACGUCAACCGAAACGCUGCCGUCCUUGUUGACUCGCUUGACCCCGAAGGGCACGUUGCAGCAGUUCUCAGAGCACCCGCCGAAUAAGGUGGGACCCACGACGGACGCCCAGUGCUCGUCGCUGGUCGGAGUGCGAUCCAUCACCUGAAUGGUGGGGUGCAAUCCUCCGGCGAAGGGCACAGGCUGCUUCAUGCGGCCGAUGACGCGAUCCUUGGGGAGCUUGCCAGCCUGGUGGGCCUCGACGUUUUGGAUGGCGCCGGCGUGGACGUAGGCUUCUUGGGCGCAACAGUCGACGCAGACGAACCCGCCCGUGCAUGGUUUGGAGCAGCAGCCCUCGCGCUCCAUGGUGAUGACUGCGUGAGCCGGGGAUAGAGGGCGCGUAAAACCGUUAACAACGGUGCGGUGCUGUGACAAUUAAAAGAAGGUGCGGCUCGGAUUUCGGUUGGGAGGGGCGGUUGGAGGGCGCACCUGGGAAGAUCUCGUUUCCGGCGGGGUCGAGCGCGUUGAACUCCAGGAUAAUGCUGUGGUGGGGCUUGCAGCAGAUUCGCGGCAAACACUCGGACCUCUCCUGCACUCGAAUAAGCGCUUGCUGGGUGUCCAAGUUGUAAAUCGUGUACGUGUUUGGCUGCUCGAUGCAAUUGUCGAAGAUCUUCACAUGCUGCUGGACGGUGAACUUGUUGAUGCUCCCGAGGAUGUUCGCGGUCUGCGCGUCGAUGAGGGGGACGGUGUCUCCCAUGGCUCCUCCAGCGGGCCCCGGCAGGCCAGCUGCGCUGUGAAGAAGUGCGACCCGUUGGUCGUGAGGCGAGAUAUUUCCAGAAUAUUCCAGCGCGGCAGUCAGACGACAUCCAGCAGGAUCCGCCAAGGAUCCGCGGCAUCUGUCGUCUGUCACAGCCUUGGGACGGUUUGAGAGGUUCAGCCGACUCGACCUUCUACGGCUAAGACGAGACUCGGUUUCACGACAGGUCGAACCCCGACCCUGACUUUAUCGCGUACAGCAGCUUCUUCCGCACCUGCUCCUUCGUCCUGUACGGCGGCAGCUUGAGCAGGUUCAUGCACGUCGCCGCCGUCGGCAGCCGAGCGGUGUCCGCGUCAGCCUCGGACCCGCGGCUCCCGCCCGUCAUGCCCGCUCGGUGCACGCAGAACGGCGGCGUGAGCUGGCCGAAACCCAGGAGCGGCGUGUUGGGACACGCCGUCACGAACCGCAGCAACUCCCGUUGCUCCUCCUCCGUGAACUCGUUCACAGCCUGCCACAGCGCCACCACCGUCGGGUGGUCGGGCGCGUACCCGCCGCUGUACGUCGCCGAUCGAGCCAAGUCGCCCACGUCGAUCCUACCGCCGGCGCCGGCGAUCAGGAGCCUCAGCUCCGCGGGGGCGAACACCCUCAGCCACCGCGGCGCGACGAGUGAACGGAAACCGCGCACGAACGCGUCCGAUUGCGAACGAACCUGCCGGUGGAGCAGGUGGUGCGCCAUCAGGUGCACGUAUCGCGUUCUGUUGAAAGCGGUGACCCUGACGUCGGAUCCGCCGGGCGCGAGCUCCACGUCGCCGGCGGUGGACGCGUCCGUCGCCGUGAAGUGCAGGAACAGGUCCUCCACCUGGUGAGGCGGUAGGCGCUUGAGCGAUAGGAGGUGGUGGUACAACUCCGGGUCCAGCGUGGCGAGGUCGUUGAGCUCGGGCGGUCGCCCGUCGCGAAGCUUGGCGAGGAAGAAACCCGCGAGGGGCAAAUCGACGAGGAUGCCCUCGUACACGGCUUUUCCCAACAUCGCGCCGAGGAACUCCAGCUUUCGCAGGUGAUCGGGCCCGCACCUUCGCACCGACGCCGGGUUGGGGUACAGGGUCCUGUCCGGAGUCUCGGCGAACAGGCCCGUCUUGACCGGAUCAAACGCCUCGGCGAUGAGGUCGUUGAGAAAAUCCUUGAACAACCCGCCGCCGUCCACGCCGGCUUCUUCCACGCCGUGCUCGUUCGUGAACUGAACGCGCACGAUCCCCUUGAGACUACCCGGCGGGCGCUCGUCGGGGUGCUCGCGUCGCCACGUCGCCUGAUCGCCGCUGAGCACCGCCGGGCCCAGCGCCGCGAGCGCGUCGUCAAACACUCGCCCGCGGUUGAUCUGAAUGUGAUGCUCGGGGGCGAGUCCCCACGAUUCCACCAUCGCCCCGCGCCCGGCGUGCUCCGCGCGGUCCCGAAGCACCUCCGCCUUGAACCACCGCACUCGCGCGCCGAAGGGGACGAGGCUGGGCGCGCGUCGAAGCAGCUCCUUCGCGCGCGUCCGCCUCCCGGUUUUCGCCGCCUCGGCGAGAAACGCGUCGAUCGCGCCGUCGCUCCCGAGCGAUCCCCCGCGAAACUCCGUCGCGAUGAAAUCGUCGGGGGGAACGAGCCGGAGCCGGCCAUUCCUGUCGUGCAACUGCGCGAGCGCGCGGGCGAGCGCCUUGGUGACGGGUCCCCGCGACGAACUCUGUUGGGCGGCCAAGCUCGAACCAGGCGUCGCGUACGACGAAUCCGGGUCGCUCUCCACCCACAGUAUGUGCCACAGCGAGUCGCGAAGGCACGCCACGAGGUUUGGAAAUUCGCUCGCCGGCAACGGUCGGCCUUCCCUGAACUCCUCGUCGUCGCCGGUGAGCAAAAACGUCCCGUACGCCUCGGCGAAAACCCCGAGGGACGUCACCCACGCCUCGUUCAUCGAUCGGGUCGUCCCGAGAUGCUCCCGGGAACCCUCAAAGCCGGGGCGUUCUCCCGCAUCAAUAGCCGCGCCUCCCACGACGGGCCACGCGCGCCGCGCCUGCAUCCUCCCCAGCACGGUCCACGCCGCGUUAACGAAACCCCCGAACGCGAGCGAUCGCAUCACGUCGCCGCGGUCCGACGCGCGAAGCCUCGAGGACGCGGCGACGACCAACGCCGAGACGGUUCGCAGCCCAAUCUCCGCGGCUCGAGCCGGGUCGAGCGGGUCGCCCGCCGAACCCAAAGCCGGGCCUCCGCCGAAGGCUGGCGCAGUCGCAGCGGUGGAGCCAAAGGCUGGGACGCCGCCCGAGCUGCCAAAGGCGGGUGCCGGAUAGGUCGCCGACGGCCACGCGCCCUCCCCGGGAAGCGCCGCGGCGACCAGAGCGUUGUACGCAUCCGCGGAGCACAGCGACGCCAGCUGACGCUUCACCUCGCGGCGUAACGGCGGGUACGAGCGCCCGUCGGUCCGCGAGGAGUGUUUCGCCGCGCGACGCCGUCGCGCGGCUCGGUGUUCCGCCUCGUCGUCAUCGUCGUCGUCGUCGUCGUCAUCGUCCGAGUCCGAGAAGCGUUCAUCCGCGUCGCCGCUCCCGCCGACGCCGUCAACCCGCAUCGCGUCCCCGCUCGCGUCCUCGCUAGCGCCAAUCGAAGCGCCGGGAGGGAGCUUUUCCAGCAACGCGGACGCCACGGCGGCGAAACGCACCGCCACUCUCCACCUUCCCUCGCGGUUCGAUCGUACGAGUCGGGCGAGUGACGCGGGCGCCGCCUCCGCCAGGUUGCCCAGGUGAAACCCCGCGUGUAAGCGCUCGUGAAAGUGCCAGUCCGACGUGUCACCCACGGUUUCGUCCGGCAGGGAAUCGAUCCCGCGCUCGUGCAGGGUGUCCACCGCGUACGCCCACAGGACGGGCGCGCACCUCUCAAAAGCCGCCCCGCCAGCGGUGAAACGACGCCAUACGUUUUUAACCCCAAACACCCGCGCGGCGAGCGUCAAGUCGGGUCUCGCGUGCGCAUCCGCGCGGCUCUGCGCCACGCGCUCGCACAGCGAAAACGCCAGCUCCUCCACCGCGGCUCUGGUGGCGGGCGUGGUGGCCGGCGCGUGGGCCCCUCCACCGCGGCCUGCGUGAUGAACUCCUCCCUCUGCAGGGAGGUGCAUCUCGAUCGCCUCCGCCAGAGUUUUCAUCCCGCCGCUCUCGCACACCUCGCGCAAGGCGACCUCGGCGGAUCUCGCGCCCCCCGCGCCGGCGCCCCACGCCCACGGGUCCGUAAUCCUGAGCACCGUCUGCGCCAGGGACGGCGCCACCUCGACUCUGCGACCGUCCGCGGUGGCGAUCGUUCCGCCCCAGAAUCGCGUGAACUGGGGCUUGGCCAGCGCCGCGAGCGCGAACCUGGCGCACUCGACGCAUCGACGGCGCACGCGAAGGAGCCGAUGAGCGUCGAACGAAUGAGUGCCCUCCUCCUCCCGCGGGUUCAUCACCGCGGGGUUCCUGUGCCCCGCGAACACCGCGUCGCACGCGGACGCGAGAAGCUCGGCGUCCUCGCGGUUCACGCCGCCGGCGUGGCGCGACCACGCCCUGGCGUUCGCGAAGAAGAGGAGCGCGGGGAGGAAGGCGCCGUCAGGAUUCACGACGUCGGAUGCAACUCUCGGGUCUGUGGCCCACGCCACGGGAUCCACGCCGUAGCGCGAGCGCCACUCGUCGCGGACGCGGGCCCUCGCGCGUUGCAGGUCGCGACUGGCGCGCCACGCCGCCUGGAAUCGGUGGAGGGGACGUCGUCGUGGUCGGGCGUGGUCAGCAGCUCGUGGUCAGCGGCGGGAGGCGAAAAGGCGAGACGGGGUGCCCAACGACGAUUCGGGAUCUCGGGGUGGGGCGCCCACCUGUAUGCGCGACGCGGAUCUGAUCUCCGCGCGGUUCUGGGAUCGUUUCUCCCGGUCUUUGCGCGCCUGCUCCAGCAGAGCCUUCUUGUCCUGCUGCUCCCGCCUGGACGCCCCGCCCAGCGCCACCCUCGUCUUGGAAACGGACCUGAAGUCACCAUCGAAGAAGCCCGGUAUGCCCGGCAUCCUCCUCGACGGACCUUCCGAGGAUCGGGACACGCGAACGCCCUUCGCCAGUCGCCGUCGCCCGAAGCGUUCGACGCCGAGGUCGCUCCCCGGGAACCGCAAGGUGGCCGCUCUCCCGCGUGCCUCGAUCUGAGACGUGCGCGGAGCGCUCUAGCUCUAAAAGUUAGCGAAGGCCAACGACGAAACAUCGCGAAAUCGAAAGAAAUUUAUCGAGCUGCGCGCCAACUGAAAAUUGGUGUUACAGGUUGAACGCUUCGUGAGGCCGCGGAAGGCGUUUCUCUUCGUCUGUUCCGAGACGGAAUCCCGCGGCCGCUGCCAUAGCGUUCGGCGCACCGCAGCGAUAUUCGAUCGAAUCGCGCUCGGUUGUCGCGAUGAGCAAGAAGAAGGAGGACCUCGAGGCCGAGGUCCAGCGGCUCUUGGCGAUGAACGCCAAAACGGUGGACACCAAGACCGAUGCCGUCAAGCCAGCCGCGCCGAUGGACAACAACAAGUCCAACAAAUCGGGCGAUGAGUCCACCCCGCUGCUCGAGCCCGAGGACGGCGCUCCGAAAAAGCCGUGGUACGCGUGCUGCACGUUCAGCUGCGGCAACCCUCUCAGCGCUUGCGGCAACCCUCUCAGCGCUUGCGGCAGCUGCCUCAGCUCGGUGCAGAGCACGCUCGGCGUGAUGGGGUCGUGGAUCGCGGGCGCGCUCGUCGCGCUCCUCGUCGUCUACCUCUGCCUCACGUUCCUCAUCCCGCCCGGGGACCACGGCGACAAGCCGCUCAAGUUCGAGCCCGCACACGCCACAUCCAUGGCCGCGAUGGCCUCCGCGGCGUACAGGCCGAUCGAUAAGAUCACCUCGUGGACGUGCGAGCCCUGCCAUAAGGCGCAUCCCCAGCCGGAGGAAGUCUCAGUCACCCAGGUCAACGAAGCCGACGGGCUCUUCUACACCGCUAAGAUCAAGACGGACGAAUAUCCCGACGGUGCGCUCGUGCUGGUAAUCCGCGGUACCAUGCUCGAGUCCGCCAGGACGUGGGAGUCCGACCUGGACUUCUUCUACAUGAAGACCACGGGCAUCGGCAAACACACGAACGAUCAUUUCGGCCGCAAGAAGGAUGUGUCGUGGCUCCCGACCAAGGUCGACGUUCACCCCGGUUUUUUCAAGCUUUACCAGCUGUACCAGAAGAAGAUCAUUCGCACCGCGGCGGAGGACACGUACCUGGUGCAGAACCAGGGCUAUCCCGUCAUCGUCGUCGGUCACUCCCUCGGCGGCGCGCUCGCCACCUACGCCGCGUACGACCUCUACGCGUCUGGUUUCAACGUGAGGGAGGUGUGGACCUUCGGGUCCCCGCGGGUGGGCUCCGAGGCGUUCGCGUCCGCGUACGCGCAGGCUCUCAGUCACCGCACGUGGCGCAUCGUUAACAACAACGAUAAGGUUCCCCACGUGCCCCACUACCCCAUGUACCACCACGUCCCCGCCGAGCUCUGGUGCAAGAACGACGACGGCUCUUGCAAAAAGUACGAAUCCGGCGACGGGACGGGCGAGGACUGGUCCCUCUCCGGCCACUACCACUUCGCGGGGAUGCCCAUCAAGUCCCUCGUCGACCACAAUCGCGGUAUGGGCAUCCCCUUCGACGGCGCUCCCACCUUCACGGAAGAUGCGCUGCUGACGACGUUCAAGAAUGGGCUGUUCACCAAGGAUUUCGACCUCAUCGUGGGGCCCUUCGACGACCCUUGCGAGAUUCGCGAGGACAAGGACGUCUGCGAGGCGGAGAGGGCGGAGUUCAUCGAGACGAAGAAGCGCGCGAACGCAUGGGCGACCGCGAACGAGCAGAACGCCCUCCAAAAGCUGAUGAAGAGGAAGAGCCACAGCCCGUCGCCGCCGCCGCCGAGCCCGCCCCCGGGUCAGCUUGAGUUCAUGGGCGUGGACACGGGAUACAUGCCAGAGGCGGAGAAGUACGGAGAGGCCAAAUACGGCAAGUGAACGCGCAUCGACGUGAAACGCGCGAGACGCGCGGCCCGCUCACCGCAGAGUGUACAUAUGAUGGCACCUUCGUACUAGUAUUAGCAAGGCUGUGGCAAUCAGAUUUCAUUUCCACCUCGUCAGCUCGACUGUCGCAUCGCUCGAGAAUGUCAGCUCGUAUUUCGUGCCCGUUGCGAGUGCGUUUGCCCAUAGGUUGCCCUAAAAUCAAAUCUCGCUCCGUCCACAACUCGCGGAGCGCACGCGGAGGCGCCGCCUGGAGUCAGCGCGCAAGUCCGCGCGCCAUGGCGAGCUUCUCGAGCCUCUCUACGGGGCUUUCCACUGGUGGUAUUCUCGGGAUGCGCGGUCUGAACGUCUUCAUCCAGGACAUCCGCAACGCGCCGAGCAAAGAGCACGAGCAGAAGCGCGUGGACAAGGAGCUGGCGAACAUCCGCAAGAAGUUCAGGAACACCGACCUGAGCUCUUACGACAAGAAGAAGUGAGUCAUCGCACGCGUCAGAGUCCCACGCGGCGACGGAUCCGGCGCUUCAACGUCCGAACCCGUCGCCCCACCCUCCCGCCUGAUGGAGACGCAAAAAUCCGCCCCUCCAAGCGUCGUCGUGCUUUAGCAACGACCACUAACCCUCCCCGUCCCGCUCCCACCGCGCAGGUACGUGCUCAAGCUUCUGUACAUGUACAUGCUCGGAUACGACAUCGAGUUCGGUCACACGAUGGUCGUGAGCCUGAUCAACGCCACAAAGUUCGAGGAGAAGCAGGUCGGAUACACAGCCACCGCGGUGCUCCUCAACGAGUCUCACGAGUUUCUUCGCAUGGUCAUCAACUCCGUGAGGGAGGAUAUCAUAGGAAAGUUCGAGCACAACCAGUGCCUGGCCCUGGCGCUCGUGGCGAACGUGGGCGGGCGUGAGUUCUCCGACAGCAUCGCGCCCGACGUCCAGCGCAUCCUGUGCUCCCCUACCUGCCUUCCCGUCGUGCGAAAGAAGGCUGCGCUGUGCCUCCUUCGACUGUACAGGAAAAACAAGGAGAUCCUCGUAGCGGAGACGUGGGCUGCGAAGAUGGUCAAGCUCCUGGACAACGAGGAUGACCUCGGAAUAUUACUCGGGGUCAUCUCGCUGCUCAUCGGCAUCGUCAGCCACGACUACCGCGGGUACGAGGGGUGCAUUCCCAGUGUCUGCGCGGUGAUGCAGCGGCUGGCCCGCGCCAGGAGCGUCCCCCAGGAUUACCUCUACUACGGCAUCCCCUCCCCGUGGCUGCAGGUGAAGUGCAUGCGCGUCCUGCAGUACUUCCCCACCCCGUCCGACCCCGACUAUGUUAGGUCAGAGACGGAGGUGAUCCACCACGUCCUCACCAACACCGGCUCGGUCAAGAACGUCAACAAGAACAACGCGCUCCACGCCGUCCUCUUCGAGGCGGUCAACCUGGUGACCAACCUGGAUUUACCCGACCAGAAAUCCCUGCUCGCCGAGUCCGUCGCGGCGCUCGGCAGGUUUUUGGACGUCAACGAGCCCAACAUCGUGUACCUGGGCAUGUCCGGGCUCACCAGGGUGUGCGCGCCGGACACCAUCAAGGCGGUUCAGUCGUUCAAGUCCAAGGUUGUGGACAAGUUAAACGACGCGGACAUCUCCAUCCGGAAGAGGGCUCUCGACCUGCUCUACGAGAUGUGCGACGAGACGGUCGCGAAGGACAUCGUCGACUCCCUCCUGCGAUACCUCAUCACCGCGGACUUCGCCAUCAGGGAGGAGUUGGCGCUGAAAACCGCGGUGCUGGCGGAGAAGUACAGCGCGGGUAACGCCAGAUGGUACCUCGACGUGGCUUUAAAACUCGUGGAGAAGGCUGGCGAUUUCAUCUCCGACGACGUGUGGCACAGGGUGGUUCACGUGGUGACGGACGCCCCCGAGCUGCACGUUCACGCCGCGAGGGUGGCGCUGGAGAAGCUGAGGCUUAACUCGUACGAGGAGAAGUUUGUCCGUCUCGCCGCGUACUUUCUCGGCGAAUUCGGCCACAAGCUCGGCGCGUCCGAGCCCCCGUUUGCAUACGCCAAGCUGCUCUUCGAGCACUUCAAGACGUCCUCCCCGACCACGCAGCAGAUCAUCCUCACGGCGCUGGCUAAGAUAUCAAUGCACCCCGGCGCGGACGAUGACCUCCGCGGCAGGCUGGGUAUGCUGUUCAGGCAGCACGCGUCGAACAAGGAGGUUGAGCUGCAGCAGAGGGCGGUGGAGUAUUACGUGAUGACCAACGUCGGGAACAACUCUCAGAAGCUGAGGAGCGUGAUGGACCCCAUGCCGGAGUGGAACACGGGCAGCAGGCAGAGCAAGCUGGAACGCCACCUCGCCACGCAAAACGCGGAGGCUGCGGACGCGGUGCGGGUGAACAAGGCGCGGGGCGGCGGCGCCAUCGCGCCAAUCGCGCCCCCGCCCGAAGACGUCGAGCCGGGGACGCCCAUACCCACGAUGGGAAUAGCGGAUCUUCUGGGCGGGGCUCCGGUGCCGAGGGUGAACGGGAACGGUCCUGCGGCGGCUGCCGCGGGUGGGGAGGCGAACGGCGCGGCGGCGUCGCCGGCGGCUGCGCGAUGGGGCCAGGUCAGGGCGGCGGUGGUUGACCCCAUGAGCGACCUCCUGAGCGGGCUCGGGGUGCACCCGGGGCAGCCCGCGGCGGCGGCGCCUUCGGCCGCCCCCGCGGCCGUCGUGGAUCCGCUGGCCGCCUCCGUCGCGGGUAUGGGUCUGUCCACGGCGCACGCGGCGCCCCAGUCCAACCCGGUCCCCACGAUCAACGUCGCGGAUUGCCUCAAGAAGCUGUACGCGGCGGACAACGGCUUGCUCUACGAGGAUCCCAACGUGCAAAUCGGGGUCAAGUCGCAGUGGCAGGGUAACCAAGGACGGGUCAUGUUCUACGUCGGCAAUAAGAGCCCGGGGACGCUGACCGACGUGGCGCUGGAGCUGACUGGCAACGUCCAAGGGCUGCACGCGAGGCUGGCGGCGCUCCCCGCGCAGCUGGAGCCCAAGAAGCAGCAGCAGGUGCUGCUCGAGCUCGCCGCCGCGGGCGGCUACCGCGCCGCGCCGGGCCUGAGCCUUCGGUACUCCGUCCCGGGCCAGGCGCCUGUUCAGGUCCCGCUCAAGCUCCCGUACGGCCCGCAUAGGUUCAUGCAACCCUGGAGGCCCGCGAACCCGCAGGAAUUUUUCGCCAAGUGGCAGGAAGCGUCGGCGCGACACUCCGAGGCGAAGGUUGUCACGGUCGCGCCCGCGAUGGCGCAAGGCGGGUUGGCCGCGAUCCAGGCGGCGCUCUCGUCCGUUCGGAUGACCCCGCUGCCCGGAAUCGAUCCCAACCGAAAGAAUCUCACCGCCGGGAGCUUCGCGCGGUACGGCGGCGCGAACGGCGCCGAGACGUUCGCGCUCGCGAGGGUAGAGUCGGAUGCGAACAAUCCCGCGGUGUUUCGCGUUACAGCAGCGUCGGUUGACGCCGCCACGGCCGGCGGGGUGCUGGAGGCGAUCCUGUCGCAGAUCGUGCCGUGAAAAGGAGGUGGUUUCGGCGGAUGCCCGUAAGUCUUAGCAGAUGCGGUGGUUGUGAAUUACACGAGAUGCUGUACACACGCGCGGCUGCUGCUAUUCGUUCGUCUCUCCCGUUUAGAUUGCUAGCCAGUACACCGUGGUGAUGCACUGGAUGGUGUUGUUCUCCCACUGCACCGUGUGCUUCCCGUCAACGUUGGAGUCCCACAGCGCGGUGCUCGCCGUGUGCAUCCCCGCCCCGGCCUUCUGCACGAAGUUGACGGUGCAGACGAACUUGAAAGGCUUGUUCAAGGCCGCUAGCCUCUUGAGGCAACCCUCCUGCGAAGCGCGGGGAUGGCGAGGAAAAUCGGGUCAGAGAGUGCCGUUGGCGGGCGGUCGAGGGAGGAAUUCGCUCGGCGCGAUCUGGGGCUGGGACUCACCACCACGUUGGACGUCCACUGGUUCACCUUCGUGUGCAUGAACGCGCUCUCGCCCACCACCUUCUUGAUCUCCUGCUCGAUGCGACGACGGCGGGGUCGGACGGUCAGUCGCUCGGUCGCACGGGGCACUCUGGGAACUUUGGGCGACUUCAUGUGGCGGUGUCGGGGGAUGGAGACGGGGGGUUGGUCGGCGCGACACGCACCUCCUUGAUGAGCGUGUCGAUCUCAUCGACGGUCACCAGCUGGUCCUCGGAGAGGCCAGAGAUGAGACCGUCCUCAUCGGGAACGGCAGCGACCAUCGUGGCUGGCGCGCUCGACUCGUGUAGCCUUAUUUGGGUCGGGCCCCGUCACUUUGCUUGGGUCUUGGUCUAAUUUCACGCAAAAAAAAAAAAAAAAAAAAAAAAAAAAUUUUGUAAUUUCAUGCGUGCCAACCCGCCCGAAGCAUCCUUUUUUUCCGGCUGGUGUUCUUCCCUCGUGCUCAACCCUUGUCUAUGCUAACGAACGUGUCGGACGGAUCACUCGCCUCCUCCUCCCAGGGCACGCGCGAUCGCGGCGUUGCCCUCGCCGCCCGCGUUCCCGCCGUCCCCGUUCCCGUCCCCGCCGUUCCCGUUCCCGUCCCCGCCGUUCCCGCCACCCGCCGCCCUCCCUCCGAAGAAGACGCCGCGGACCCCUCCCUCGCCGCCGUUUCUCUCGCCACCACCUACGGGCCCGUCCACCGCGGCCUGUCCGAACGCGUACCUCACCAACGCGGGCGUCUUCAGCACGCGUCUGUUCGUCAUCGUGGGGUAGACGUCCUCCAGGAAGUAAUACACGUGACCCGCGGCCAUGCCGAGGAGAUCGACAACCGGAGACGACCCGAGCAUGCACGAGAAGAUCAACAGCACCCACGGCAGGUACGGCGCCGUGAACGAGAACAGCCCGAGGAAUGACAUCUGCACGUAACGGUUCCGUCGGCCCCAGACGUACACCAUCAUGAACGUGAGCGACGCGCCCAGGAACUGGAUGUUGAUGAACGGCGCCACCGACGACAGCAGGGCGCUGCCAAAGAGAAGCAUGUAGAAGAAGUCCGCGGAUCGUCCUCGGAAGGUGCCCUCCUCGAGGAGCCGACAGUACCUCGAGAGGAAGAACAUGUGGAACACGAAGUCCAUGCCGAGCGAACCGAAGAAGAAGAAGUUGGUGAACAGGCGCCACAGCUGGUACUUGCGGAAGAUGAGGUGCGAAUUAUAGUAGACCGAGAAGGGCGAGAUGAGCUCGAGGGCGCAGCCCGCGGUGGUCAGGAACGAGAGCGUGAGGUAGCUCCUCGUCACCACCGGCAUCUGCCGGUACCACUGCUCCAACGUGACGGCCAUUUCGCCCGAACCCGCGCGCGAACCCGCCUCGGCGCGUCUCGUUCUGAGAUCCCCCGACACGUCCGAGGAACUUCAAGUUUGUGACUCGCCCGAGCCAAUCAGCUCUCGAGUUUUUUCACACAAAGGUGCCCAGCAGCCGGGCUCUCAUCAGCACACGUGACUGCGCGAUGGGGGACAAGGUUAAGAUUCUCGCCUUCGGCGACGUGAACGGCAACUUCGACAAGCUGUUCAACACCGUCGAGCGGCUGAACGAGCGCGCGGGGCCCUUCUCUGCUUGCCUCUGCUCAGGUCGGUUCUUCCAUCCCGACGGUUCAGGGAACGAUGAGCUCUUACCCUACCUCCAAGGUCGAUUGAAGGUCGCCGUGCCCACCUACUUCAUCGUCGGCGGCGAGGACGCCAACCCGGUGGACGGACUACCCGCCGACGGCGGCGACCUGUGUAAAAACCUCACGUUCCUCGGCCGAGCGGGCUGCCGACGCCUUCCGAACGGCUUGAAGGUCGCCUACCUGUCGGGAGCGUACGAUUCGAGGAGAUUCGACGAGAGCGGAGUGUUCCACCGGGGAGGAAGCUCGUUCAAGCCGUUCUACCUGCGCGAGGACGUCCAGCGCGUGGUGGACGCCGCGCGUACCGGCGAGGAGGAGGAACUCGCGGGCGUGGACGUCUUGAUGACCGCGGAGUGGGGCGAGAAGUUCGACACCCUGCUCCCCGAGGACCAACCGGCGCCGCUCGCCGCCCGCGCGGUCAACACCCUCUCCCCCGCGGUCACCACGCUCGCUUCGUCGGUGCCCGCGAGGUACCACCUCGCGGGCACCGAGGGCGUGCACCUGCAGCUGCCGCCCUACAGGAACGGGCUGCACGCCACGCGGUUCUACGGCCUCGGCGCGGUGGACGGAAAUUUGGGGCAGAAAUUUGUCGUCGCGCUGGCGGUGACGCCGACGGUCCAGCUCGCGCUCGCCGCGGCGAGGGACGGAGUCGAGGAGGGCGCGGACGCGACGCCGUGCCCUUACAUGUCCAAGCCGCGUCCGAAACCUUCGGCGCCGACGCCGGAGGUGGUUGGACCGGUGGCGAGGGACGACGUCGACGACGAGUGGUCGCGGGGCGAUCAUAAGGACUUGGAGGGCGGGGAAUGGCGGUGCGGCGAGUGCGGCAACGUCAACCGCGCGCAUCAGCGGGACAAGUGCAACAUGAAGCGAUGCGGCGCCCCUCGCGAGGGGUUGGAGCUGUGGAGGCUCGAGUCAAUGCACGGAUUCAACGCGAGGGGCGCGAAGCGAACGGCGGAUGGCGACAUCAUGUCGGGGUUCCAGGCUCCGAAAACGUACACCAUGAUGACUCGGGAGGAGGCGGAGGCGGAGGCGGCGAGGGCGGCGGAGGCGGCGCGAGAGGAGGCGGCGCGAGAGGAGGCGGCGAACAAGAAGCAGAAGAAAGGGGACGCCGAGAAAACCUCGCUGUACGCGUCCCAGAAGCCGAUGUCGCAGAAGGCGAAAUACAGGAAGGGGACUAGGAAUCCGCAGGCGUGGCGCUAAGUAGGCUGCCAGAGCUCGGCGGCGAGCUCCCUUUUCUUUUCCUCUCUUUAAUAAAAUACAACAUUCUCAGCCGAGCAACGGUCUGCGUUCGUCGUGAGGGUACGAGUCGUACCGCUCGUACGGGCGGGCGUCGAGUUUGCUCGCCCGGUGGCUCGCGACGCACGCGAUGAAAACCGUCGCGCACACGCCGGAGACGACGACCCAGACGGUGGAAUCGACCGACCUCAUCGCUCGCAUGACGUCGGAUCCGCUCACGUCCGCCUUUUCCUCCAUCAGCAGCUCCUGCUCGGCGUCGAGGUAACCCUCGUGGCGACGACGCUCCGUCUUCUCCAGACGGUUGAUCAUCUCCUUCGCGGUCACCCUCUUAUUCUUCUUGCGAUGAACCACCUCAACCUCCUCCGUGUCGGACUUUUCCGACUGCGCCAGCCACAUCGCGGCUUUGGCCUUCGCCUCCUCGUCCUCGCGGAUGUACUCGGGUUCGCCGAGGAUCGGCGAGUUCUUGAUGGCCUCCUUGUACUUCCAGUAGACGUUCUUCGCAACCUGUAAGGGGUCUCCCUGGGGUUCGGUGGUGAACGAUUUGCCGGUUUCCUCGACCCACGCGCCGACGAUGUCGGCGUCCUCGCGCUCCCAUGCGUCCUGGUCCCAGUCGGGGUGGACGGCGUGGGGAAUCGGCGAUGGACGCUUCGCGUCCUCCGCCUCGAUCAUCUCGAUCAUCUCCGCGGCUGUGGACUUGCCGUCCCGCGGGUUAGCCUUCUCGGACUCCCCGGGGUUCCUCUCGGAGUCGCUAGAAUGCUUGCGGUGCGAGUGGUGGGAGCUCGAGUGAUCUUUGUGAUGGGAGGACUGGUGCUUGGUCUCGGCGGAAAAGGCGCCUGGGGUAGUGCAGUGCAUCUUGCCGGUGUCAUCCGGAGCGCAGCUCAAUUCCUUCACGAGCUCCUUCUUCUUAAGGAGCUCUUCCUCGCCAAUCUUCGCGACCUUGGCGUUCUUCUUCUCCUUCUCCUCAGCCUUCUCAAUCGUCGUCACCACUCGGCGCAGGAAAGCGCUCCAGCGGCGAUAGUACAGCCCCUGGUCGCCCUCACCGACCCUGCCCAGCAUACCGGACCACUGCCUGUUGGAGUAGUCGUGCAUCGGGUGGCCGAGGGGCGCGCCGAGCUUGGAACCCGAGGGGCCGAAACCGGAGAUGAGAGAACGCGCGGAUCGCUCCAAGUUUGCCUCAUCCGACUCCUUAUUGCGCUUACCCGCCCAGGACUUGGCGGACUCGAUGUAGUUACCGAGGAGGAACCCUUUGUGCGACCUGAGAAGCGCAUCCAUGUCGUCGAGCAGCUCCAACAUCUGCGUGCCGUACAUCUUAGCCUCGGAGGCGUUGUUGGAGUUGAGGGAAUCCCUGAUCUGCGUCGCGAGGACGUUCGACUGCCUGGCGAGCAGCUGCCUCCCCACGUCCACGAUGUCGUAGUCCACGCGCGUCCCCGCGCCGUUAGCCCGCAGCGUGGGCGCCGCGUCGAUGAGGGGCUUGAACGCGUAGUCCACAACCUUGGCGGCGUCGAAGUAAUCCGGCGAGAGUUCAUCCGCUCGGAGCGACGGCUGCCACGAGCACGCGUCGCGCACGUGGUCCUCAUCCUCGCCCUUCGCGCGGGCUCCGUACACCGUCUUACCCAAAAUCUCCCAAGCUUCGCGUGCGCGAUCGUACGCCUCCUCCUUGCCCAUCUCGCCGUGCUUGGCGGGGUCGUACCACUCCCCCGGGCCGAGGUAUCCGGGCGAGCCCGCGAUUGGGUUGUUGCCCACGAUGAAACCCGCGAGGAAGGCGCCUUGUCCGGUGCCCACGGGUAAGGUCGUGGGCGCGGGCUGGCGGACGGAGUAGCCGCCGUAGCGACGUCGGGAGUAAUCCGAUAGGAACCAGUCCACGUCGACGCCCUUCUCCGACUGCGACGUCAGCGCCGCGAGCUCGUACACGACGGGAUUUUGCUCGACACCCUCGGCGGUUAUUCCAAACCCCACGAGCUGGGACUUACCGACUUUACGCGAGCCGUGCGUCGCCUCGCGGGAGACCCUCUUAUUAUCCGCGAGCAUCCUGCGCGAUGAUCCGACCCGGGUGCCGCGUCCGUGAGUCGUUCCCCGCUCGCCGUCGCGACGGGACGCGAGGGAGUCCAUAGCGGCGGCGGGCCCAGUCGCAAUCGCACUCAGCCGGCCCCGCAUUCCCAGGUUACCUCCGUGGUUGUGCUUCACGCACCACACGAACGGCUGUCCGGCGAAGUGCACAGGCUCGCGAAGGUAGUACGGGUCCGUCUCCGCCGCGCUGUCGAGCACGAGCAUGUCUCCGAUGUCAACCGACCGAAGCAGCGCCCCCCUGCGACCCUCGUUCCAGAACCGGGGGUUCCUGCGGAAGGCGUCCGACUGGAACACCCACGUCGCGCGGGGGUCCGCCGAGCGCAUCGCCGCGAGCGUCGCCGCGCCCACUCGCACCACGUGCGUUUCGGAGAAAUCAUCGUUCGGGUCGCGAAUCUCCCGGAAAGUGUCCGCCAGGUAGAGGUGGUCGGUGCCAAAGUCCUCGACAAGCUGCUUGGUGAAGGCGGCGCCGAGAGACUGGAACAACGCGUCGCUCGGGUCGAGGAAGUGAACGGACCGGACGGAGUCGUCCUUCUUCGCGUAUUUUCCGAGCUCCGCGUCCUUCUCCUGCUUCUUCUUCUUAGCGCUCGACUCGCGGAGAGCCAGGUCGGCGUGAUGCGACUCCUCCUCCUUCUUCUCGUCCUUCUUCUCCUCCUCGUGGUGAUGACUGGCGUGAUGCACCUCGGUCCUCUCCACCUUCUCCACCUUCUCUUCUUCCUUCUUCUCCUCGUGGUGAUGCUUCUCCUCGUGGUGAUGACUGGCGUGAUGCACCUCGUGCUCGCUCCACUUGCUGUCCUGCUCGACGAGGAGCGCGAGACUGUCGUCCCCGUCCCGCGCCGCGGCGUGCGCCUUCCCCCCCUCCUCCGUCGGUGCCGGACGCUUCCGCUCGCGGUGGUCUCUCUCGACGGUGGUCUCGCCCGUGAGCCAGUUCUCCACGCGGCGGAGCUUCGCCUCGGGAAACCUGCGCGCGAUCGCCGGCGGGACGUGCCCGUUGAACCCCGGGAGCACCGGCGUCAUGCCGAAGUCGCGCAUCAGCUUCACGGCGUCGCGCUGAAGAUCCCACUGGCGCUUCAGCCACUUCUUCGGUCUACCCCCGGUCCACGACCCCUGCGCGGCGCCGUUCCGCGCCCACGCCUGGUGCGCGGGAUCCCCGAACCACUCCUCCACCUCCGACUCCUUCAGCCCGAAGUCCUUCGACGUGAGCACGCGCAUCCACACCUGCUCCACCCCGUUGAGCGCCAUCGGAGUGUUCACGCCGUGGAGCGCCAUCCACUCGAUCUCCUUUUCCCAUCGCUCGUAGUCCCAGAACGCGGUGCUGUAACUGAACGUCUCGGGAUUCAUGUACACCGUGCGCUCGAACGGGAGGUUAACGACCACCCCCGCGUCGUCCACCGGCGGGAGCGAUCCGCGAGGGACCGAGUGAAGCUGGUGGCCUCCAGUCGCCUCCCAACCCAGGUGGGCGCCGCAGAAUCGCCGGAGGUAGUGGUGCAAGCCCGCCGCCUGCUCGACACCGGUAGAUCCCGCGAUGGAGAUCGUCCCCGGCUUAUCCCCGUUCUGGAUGGAGAAACACCGCGCGCCUUCGGCGCACCCGCCGUCGCGGUGUCUCCCUCGAAAUUCGAUCAGGUUCGACCCGGCAUGGUUGGGCAGGAGCCGCUCCAUGAGUCGCGUCACCGGGUCGAUCGAGUCCUCCUUCGACGCGCCGACCGUCAGUAAGGUCGUGAGGACCAAUAAGGUCGACACAAACCGCAUGUUCGCCCCUUGUCUCUCCCUUGCGCGCGCCUCUUUCGCGCCGAGACGACUGCGUGGGGCUCACGAAGAGGCUGGUGGUGUUACAAUUUUAACCGAUCCUACGUGGCUGGCAAAUAGUCUAAUCGAAUGCGACUGAAUUACGACGCGUAACUGAAUACGAUGUGCGGUAUUUCCGAAUUACGUAAUUUGGGAAAUCGACUGACACCUCGUCGGUUGGGAUCCCAGAAAUGUGCUUGAAAAUGGACAGCUUCGCAGUCAGGUUUUUGUCACGAUACUGAAUGUGUCCGAUCGAUCGCCGAAACGGUCCGAGGACUCGCGUGUACUACAGCGGUUACCUCUGCUGAAGGGUCGGUGUCAGCCCGUGAAGCUGCGUUACCGCCGGCGCUUGGUUACUGUGCGCGGCGCCCGCCGACUCCACUCGGCUCGGCAGUCGUGUCCCACGCACGUAAGAUGAUGGACAUCGAGGCUGCGCCCGUCCACCCCGAGAGCGCGCCGCUCCUCGGCGCGACGAGCGUCGAAACACCCGCCUGGCGCAGACGCAUCGCGGUUGGGGCGUCGAUCUUUGGAACCGUCGCGCUGUGCGGCGCCGCGGUGGUGGCCGGCGGUGAGUUUCGGUUCCACGAAACGCGCGCCGACUCGUCCCAAACUUUGUUCUCGAUCUUUCUCGCGCGAGAUGGUCCGCGAUACUCUUGAUUUCGCUCCCAUCGUCGCGAACGUCGCUGCCCAUCCGGUCGACCCAAUCAUCUUCAAGAUCUCACCAACACCUCCCGCCUUCUCCGCGCUGCAGGCAAAGGCGCUCGGGACUCGGCCCGCCUCGGCGAGGCGUGGAACCCCGCGACCUGGAACCCCAACACGUGGAACACCUGGAACCCCAACACGUGGGCCAACGCGUGGACCCCCACGCCCCAGCCCAUGCCCACGCCCGAGGUCCAGCAGUGGACCCAGCCCCAGCCAGCCACCGCCGGGUGGGACACCUCCGUCAACUACAACACCUGGCCGGGUGCGCCCGCGGACCCGCAGGCGUCGCUUGGGCAGUGCCAGUCCUCCCUCCGCGACUCCGCCGAGAUGGUGCAGCUGGGCACGUACAUACCGCCGGAACAGUGCCAGGCGCUCGUAGUGUGCGCGGGCUCUCCGAGGGCGUCGUCCACCGCCGAGUGCACCAUCGCGCAGCACGUGCUCGAGUACAUGCUCACAGGCGAGAAGCAGAAGGGGUACACCGACCAGGACAAGGCGACCUAUCUCGGCUACUGGAACUAUCAUCUGCACACGCUGUGCGGCGACGGCGACGGAUGCGAGCAGAAGUACCCGGCCGACCUGAGGUACCUGCGCACCAGGAUGGACUGGUCGGCCAAGCUGGAUCAGACGUACGACGAGGACGCCAAGACCCGGCUCUCCGGCAUCCUCAACGAGAUGGACCGCUACUACGAGAAGCGCGACGCCAUCUCGCCCUCGAGCAUCAUCAUGACCAAGUCGCACGAGUUUGACGGCACGUUGAUGAACGUGUGCAAUAAGCGGAUCGUGCUGACGAGCUCGAGGGAUUCGGAGGAGGUGUUCGACUCCGGGUUGAACCUCGGAUGGUUCACGUAUCCCAAGGAGGAGUCGCGGGAGACGUUUGACAAGUAUUACGCCCUGUGGAACGGCUGGAAGUCGUGCUGGGAGUCCGCCGCGGAGAACGACCUCAACUCCGUUCUCUUCGACCUCGACUACAGCCAGCUCACCACCGAAGGGUCGUUCAGGGCGGUCGUCAUGCAGAUGACGUACGAGAUUGCCCAGCUGCUCAACCUGCAGGACGUGGACAUGGGCGGCAUUGUGGAGAAGGUGCUGCAGCGAGACUUUCAGCGCGAGCUCAACCCGAGUUUGACCACGGGAGGCCUGCCCGUGAAACAGCCGGGAACCCUCGGGAAAGGCGAGUCGAAGCCCGUGGGGCCGCAGUACAUGUUCUGGUGAACAGCCGGACGAGUAGAUAAGCGCUGAGCGUAGCGCGCCUGCGAACGAGUAGCUUCAUCAAAUUGUAACCACCAGGUGAAGAAUUUAUUUUUCAAACUGUCGGCGUCGAAGCUUGCGCCUCCCCUGAUCUGCACUACGCGACGACGUGAUCAGAACGAUAAGGCAAAAGGUGAAAUUUCAGCGUCUAAUCUAGUUGAAGUAGGAGCACUCCCCGUCGGAGUUGUAGUUGAGCUGGCACAGGAGUCUGAACGUGUCGGGCGUGAGCGGCUUUCCGAUCCACUCGAGCGGCUUUUGCUGGAAGUACUUGCCCACCGGCAACCCUCGCUCCGCUCCGCUGUCGUCGCUCAGGCUCGACCGCCACGGGUCGAUGUUCGACACCUCAGGCACGAACGCCUUAACGGAUUGGAUGACGGCGUCCAUGUUCCACGCCAUGUCUUCGUAACGCACCUGGAGAGUGCUCAUCGACGGAUCCGCCAGGAGGUUCCUCGCCAUGACCAUCUGCUCCAUGUAGUACCCCUGGUUGAAGGGGUGCUUCUCGCUUGUCCAGGAGAAAGGGUGCCUGGUCAGCACCACAAACUUGACGUUAACGCCGAGUUUUGCGGCGGCGUCCCGGAUCUUCGUCGGGCGGCAAAGGUUCUGCGGGGUCUUGUCCAUGAGCACAGGCUUGGACAUGUCCCACCACUUGUGGGCGAAAUCCUUGUAUGCGUACGCAAACUCCGCCGCGGUGACGUCUUCGGGGUCGCAGUGAACGUUCUCGUUGAUGAACCCCAUGUCCUCGAGCAGCACCGUGUUUUCGCACUGCCAAGUGUUAGAUUUACAUAAGUCGGUGAUGACGCCCGAGGUGCCCAACAGGCCCUCCAGCGCGGAUGUCCCCGAAAAAGACAUGCCCAGCACGAUCAGCAGCGUCUUGCCGGUGAAGUCCACGUCGGGCAGGUUGGCGAGGUUGAGAUCGGUCACCAGCCCGGUCUUGCUGAAGCGGCGUUUGAGCAGGUCAUCGACGCCGAACUGUCCUCCGCGGGCGACGAACGCCACGCACGCGAAGACGAAGACGGCGCCCGCCGCGAUCGCCGCGAGCGCGCGCCUGGGGGUGGCCCCGAAGAUGCUGCCGUGCGCCUUGGCCGAGACGCCAGCCUCCUCCACCAGGAGCGGGGAGGCCUCGCCGCCCAGCCUACCCGCCGAGGAGCGGGUGCUGACCAUCGUGUCUAAGCGUCGUUUCCCGCCGGUCGGACUUGCGAGCCGCGAACCUCCACGGCGCGCGCGUCGUCAGUGGCGCAAGUAGGGCGCAGAUCUCCCGACAGGGUGUUUUUCAGGACGCAAAUCUCAAGAAGGUGUUACAGUUUUUUUCUGUCACUUGGGCCGAUCCGAGGGGUGGCUGCCAGUCUGAUGGACUGCUGAAAAAAAUCGAAGGAACUGCCGAAUACAGAGUAGCACGAAUUCCCACGCGCGAAACCCCCCUUCACCGCGUUCAACACGGUGUACACAGCGGUAAGCGCGCGCGAGCCCCGGAGUGGCGAGCGUGCCCCGCGGAUAUCAUGGUGAGUAUCGUGAUGGGUGAGGGCGACGAGAGGUCCGCUCUGCUUCCCGAGACGACCGGCGAGUCGGCUCGCGCGUCGGCUCAUCAAGGGGGUGUGGGUGUUGGGAAUGGGUUCAACCGCUGGGCGAGCGGCAAGCGCGUCGCGAUGAUCGCGGUCGGGGCGGUCCUCGGCGUCUGCGGCCUCGUCGGUGGAUACAUGCACUCCAUGAUGCCCGGCGUCGCGCCCAAGGAGGGUGACCCGGAUUUCCGCAGGCUUCCGCCGGUCGACUUCGACGACAAGACGCUGCUCAUCGUGGUCGGGCUCCCAUUCUCGGGGACGUCCGCGCUGGAGGGCCUGUUGGGCACGUCCGGGGUCAUCGCGGACCUGUGCAAGGCGGACACGUGGCAGUGCGAGAACACGGAGCUGCUCCAAAAUCUGGGAUUCAAGAGCAAAGACGCCGACUGCGACUGCUGUGAGGACGAGUACACCAGCAUGAGCGACGUCACCGCCGCCGAGUACGCCUACGCGUACAGAGAUUUCGCCAACAAGUGGUGGGACAUGUCCAAGCCCGUGCUCAUGGACAAGACCCCGAACAUGCUCUGCAGGCACCGGUUCGUGCGCGACGCCGCCGCCGCGCUCGGUAUCCCCGUCAAGUUCGUCGUCCUGACCCACCAUCCGUUCAGCUGGAACAGCGAGUCGCACCCUUUCAACGAGGAGUACUACGCCGAGAAUCUGGCAUACACGGUGGACAUCCUCGCGGACCCGUCGGUGGAUUCUCUCCAGGUGCGUUACGAGGACAUGGCGUGGAACAUGGACUCCGUCAUCGAAUCCGUCAAGGCGUUCGUGCCCGCGGUGAAAAACUUGGACCCGUGGCAUUCCAGCCUGAGCGACGACAGCAAGGGCGACCGCGGCAUGGGCGUGUCCGAGUACUUCCAGCAGGAGCCGCUGGAGUGGAUCGUGAAGGACUUGGAGCCGAGCACGUACGCCAUGCUGUGCCAGCUCGGGUACAACGAGGACGGGGAGUGCGCGGCGUCGGCGGGCGCGAACGAGAGCCCCAGCGGGUACGUGGAGACGGACGAGUACGAUCGUUAGGGGAGGGGAGAGAGGAAGAGGACGGGUGCGCGGUCACCGGGUGUCGCCGACGACUAACUCAUCCAUUUUGGAAACCAUUUUGAAACUGUAUUUAUAGUCAGUUUUUAUUAUUCGUUCAAAGAUGUUUACUCGUACGCGCCAUCGACGCUAUUUGGCGUUACGCCUGUUAUCGAGCAUCCGUUGUUGACGCUGCUGCGCCGGGGAUUCUCGGGCUUUUCAAACCCGGACGACCCGGCCCCUUUGGAUAUAGCGAGCGGGCGCAAGGGAGGAGCUUCCCUCGCGCUCGACGAUUAGCCGCGCUAAUUCGAGCGGCUCGGCACGCUCGAGGAGAAGCGCGCCUCGACGUCGUGGCGCUCAUGACUUCGCCGAGGAGCGCCGAGAGGAUGGGAGGAAAUUGCUGAGUGCCCACCGGAAAGGUCGUGAUGCGAACGAGGAGCGCGCGACGCGAGCGCGGGGGCGACGUCGCGCCGGGUUUCCCGCGCUGCGACGACCGUCAGAAUGGUCCCGCGUCCUCGGCGCGAUCCCGCGGGAUAUCGGCGCCGUCUCGCCUCCUGCGGCUCGCGUUGCUCGUGGGAAUUCUCGUCGCGGGCGCGGCGGCCCCUCACGACCCCUCCGUCGACGCCGCCGCGCACGUCGGCGGCGACGUGUACGCGCUGGACCUCCUCCCGAGCCGAGGGCCGGCGCUCGGCGGCACGCGCGUCACCUUCCACGGCCGCGGUUUCACCACCGACAUGGCGUGCCAGUUCGGCCCGCACACGAUCCUCCCGACGAGCGUCUCCCCCGAGGGCGACGCGCUCGUAUGCGUGACGCCGCCGUUUGGGCGCCCCGCCGGCGGAUUCAUCGCCGUCGGGAUCACCAUCACGACCGCCAAGGCGUGGCCGGCCGAGAGGGGGGGUGCCGAGGGGGGUGCCGAGGGGAAAGGGCGGCCGGCGGCAACCCCGAGGGGCGCCAGGUCGUUCGAGUACGCCGUGGCGUGGGUCCUUCGAUCCGUCGCGCCGUCGCGAGUGGAUUCCGCGGGCGGCGGCGUGGUGUGGGCCACCGGGUCGCACCUCCACGCGGCGGGCUCGUGCCGAUUCGAAUCACCCGCGUCUUUUGGCGGCGGUUCGCCUUCCUCGUCGUUCGCGGCGGCUCGAGUCGUGUCCUCCGCGUUGAUUGCGUGCGAGGCGCCGGCGAUGGGGAUCGGCGUCGGCGCCCUCGCGGUCGUGUCGGAGAACCCGUCGGCGGCGCAGGAGGUGCUUCGACACGGGCACGAUCCGGGCGACGCCGGCGUGCCCGGGCUCGCGCUGGUCACCCGUCGCCCGCCCAAAGUCCACCGAGUCGUCGCGCGCGGAUUUUCAUCCGGGUUUUCAAACUACUUGGCGGGUACAUCGCUGACGAUGUACGGCUCCGGGUUCGACGCGAACGGGGGUUCCAAUAGGGAAGACGCGUCGCCCGGGAACGACGCGGGCGGGGACGGUUCCUCCGGGGGUGGCGACGACUGGCCCGGGAACGGGGCGGGGGGCGCGGUGGGAACGGUGUGGGUGGCGGCGACGUAUUCGUCCCCCGGCCGCGUCGAUUGCGUGGCUCCGGACCUCGCUCCGGGCGCGACAAAAUCUCUCCGGGUGGCGUACCGCGACGCGCGCGACCCGGCGGGCGUCGGCGUCGAGUGGCUGGCGAUCGAGCGCCCGGGCGGCGGCGAGUUUGGCGCGGCCCGGGAGUUUGGGGCUUAUGGGUCGGCGGCGAGUGGGGCGUUUUUCGUCGCCGUUCCGUCGACGGCGGCGACGCGGGGGGGCGGCGCGGCGGUGGACUUUUUCGGCGCGCCGCCGGACGACGCCUUCGGGGUUUGCGGCGACGACGACGUUCACGCGGGAUCAUACGGCGGCUCGGGUUCGGGUUCGGGUUCGGGUCUAGGUAAGGGUUCGGGUGCGGGGUUUAGGUUCGGGUGCGUCGCCGGCGCGAGGCCCGGCGGCGGGUUUGUCGCCGUCUCCGCGCGCGGGUCCUCCGCGUUCCCUUCCGGCUCAUCCGCCGGCGCUCCCUUCGUCGCACUCGCGUUCGCGUACGUCCGCGCGCCGUCGCUCCGCGCCGUCGCGCCGCGCGAGGGUCCAUCCGCCGGCGGCUACGUCGCGUGGAUCGUCGGCGACAAUCUCAAAACCUUUGGCGAUGAGACGGGUUCGGCGGUGAGAUGCCUCUUCGCGUGGGCGGGAGCGGAUGCCGUCGCGCGCCAUUCGCCGCCCGCGAGCGCCGUAUCCUCGACGCUGGCGGCGUGCGAGGCACCGCCCGCUCCGACGGCGUCUGGACGAGACGUUCGCGCGUUCGCCGUGGACGUCGGCUCGCACGCGCUGGGGUGGUCCGAGAUCGGGUCGGCGCUCAUCGCGUGGCCCGUCUCGCUCCGAGUCGGCAGCGUGACCCCAUCCGUCGUCUUAUCCGCCGGGGGCGUGUUCGUGAGGCUCUCCGGCCGAUCGUUCCCAGCCUCCGCGGAGGCGGCGUGGUGCCGCGUGGGCUCCGUCGGACCCGUCGCCGCUCGAGUCGAAUCGUCGGACGCGAUCGGGUGCGUGACCCCCGCGACGCGACCGACGGCGGCCGUGCCGGUGACCGGUCCGAGCGCCGCGGUGGGGGUGGUAUCCGUCGACGUCGUCGUCGGCGGGUGGGGCGAGCGCGGGGUGGGCUUGCCGAGCGCGUUCCCGGCGAGGACGGGAUCGGGAUCGGGGUCGGGAUCGGGGUCGGGGUCGGGGUCGGGAUCGGCGGUGGCGUCGGCGGACACGACCGCGGGGUCGAUGGACGCCGCGACCGACGUUCGGACACCCAUCGCGCGGAUGUACCCGCUGGGCGCGGCGCCCGAUCCCGGUUCGUUAGCCGCGUGGCUCGCCGACGGCGCCGCUCGAUGCGUCUUUUCGAACGUCGUCGGCGGCGGCUUCGCGGCGGCGUCCGCGGCCGGUCUUCACGCGGUCGACUGCCCCGUCCCGCUCGCGCCUCCGGGGUUCGUCUCCGCGCGCGUCGUCGUCGGGUCGCACGGGUCGUCCGUGGAGGCCGUCGGGUCCGUCGAGAUUGAGUUCAGGCCGUCGCCCGUCGUCUCGGGGCUGCGAGGCGGGGUUGGAGAUUUCGGCGGCGGCGGCUCGACGGCUUCCGCGGGGGAAAACGCCGUCUUCGACGUCGACGGCGCGGGGUUCUUCCCGGGUUUGACGUGCGUCUGGUGCGGCGUCGCCGGCGCGGAGGCGAACGUGCUCUCGUCCGUCGCGGCGCGGUGCGAGCAGCCGGGGUUGGAGACGUUGACGUUGACGGCGGCGGGGGCGACGGAGGGAGUCGCGUGCGCGCUCGGGCUGGUGUCGGGCGGCGCCGACGACGGUCUGUUGGGCGCCGCCGCCGUCGCCGACGGACCGACUGCGCUGGUCAUGCCGUUUCCCGCGGAGAUGACGGCGGUGACGCCGAGCGCCGGACCGGCGUCGGGCGGAUCCGUCGCGAUCGCGCGGCUGGCGGGUUUUUCGUUUACGCGGAGACGCGCGGAAACGCACGGAAACGGGGGAUUUUCCUGCCGAUUCGGGACGAUCGGCCCCGUCGCGGGAGCUCCCGCGGGUGGAGGCGCCGGCGGCGUGCGUUGCGAGACCCCCGCGCAUGUGCCGGGCGCCGUUGCCGUCUCCGUCGCCGGCGCGCGGGGCGGUUCGUCGUUUGCGUACGUCGACGACGGGGGGAUUUCUAUUUCCUUCCGGAGGGAUUCCGGAAGCGUGGCGCCGUCAGCGAUUCCCUCCUCCGGGGACGCCGCGGGUCACGACGCGGUGGACGUGCACGCGCGGGGGUUCGGCGGCGGGCUCGUCGCGGCGGGGAUCGCGUACCUGUGCGUGCUCGGGGACGGCGGCGGCGUCGCGAGCGCGACGACGAGAGGCGUUGGUUGGACCCGGUGCGGCGUCUUGCCGUCGACGGCGCCGAGCGGGUUCACGACCGUCUCGGUGGCCGCGCGCGAGGGUGCUGAGGGUGCCGAGGGUGCCGAAGGUGCCGAGGGCGCGUACCUCGCGGGGUUCGUCGCGGCGUCGGGAAGCGUCGAGGUGUACGUGCAGGCGUCGGUACAGGCGUUGAUCCCGCGCGACGUCGUCUCCGGCUGGGAUUCGACCCUGACGCUGCUCGGCGAGCACCAGCGGAGGGGCGACGGCGGUGCGGGGUGGACGGGGGAUGCCCACUUCUUUUGGUGCUUCUUCGGCGACGGCGUCGCCGUUCCCGCGCGGUCCGUGUCCUCCGCGCUCGCCGUCUGCGAGAUUUUGCCCGCCGCCGCCGACGACGAUGAACGACGAUCGUCGUCGUCGCGUUUGGCGUCUUCAUCGUCGCGUUUGGCGUCGGACGACACGAACGACGCAUCCGACGAGUCCGACGAGUACCCGACGAGCGUCCGACGGGCGCACCCGCGCACGCGUCGCGUCGACCUCGCGGCGCCCGCCGCUUUCAAUCGCGGCCGAGGCGCGCCGUGCGGCGGACCGGAUUCCGGCUGCCGAUCCUUCACGCACCACCCCGCGCCCCUCGCCCUUCACCGCGUCCGACCGACGUCCGUGGCGGUCACGGGCGGCUCGAUCGUCGCGAUGCACGGCUUACGCUUCGCGGACGUUCCCAACCUCGGCUGCCGCUUCGGGACGAUUGGGCCGACGUCGGCGGCGUGGGCUUCGGCGGCGACUGUUCGGUGCGUCGCGCCCGGACGAGCCCCGGGACCCGCGCCGGCGUCGGUACUGGGAACAUCGUUCGACUCCCAAGUCGCCGUGACGUUCCGGGACCCGGUGGUGGACGCGACGAAGGGCGGGGUUGUCCGCGUGGCGUCGCGAAGCGGCGGAUCGUCGACGCUCGUCGUGGUCCGCGGGAUAUACGCGGGUACGUCGACGGCGGAACCCCUCGUCGCGACGGUCCUCGGCGUCGGCGGCGGCGGACACGCACGGGCGACGUGUACGACGGGUGCCGAGGGUGCCGAGGGUGCCGAGGGUGCCGAGGGUGCGUACUUGGCGGGGUUAAACAGCGGGUGCGGCGGGCGGCUGGGCGCCGGGGCUGGGGCUGUCGUCGCGCGGUUCAACGUUCCCGCGCCGGGGGACCGGUUCGAGUCGUUCGGCGGCGUCGCGUUUCGGGUCGUCGCCCUCGGUUUCGACGCCGAGACUUUCGCGCACGGCGGCGAACACCCAAACCCCGGCUCCGGGGACGUUCCCACCGUCCCGUCGCACUCGGCGUCCCCGGGGUGGGAGGGUUCGAUCGAGGUUCAGUACCUGGACGACCCCGUCGUCGUCGCCGCCGUUCCCGCGGCGGCGAGCGCGGCGGGCGGCGCGCUGGUCACCGUACUCGGCGCGCCCGGUCCGUCGUCGUUUCGCGUCGACGAUUCUCGAGUCUUCCGGUGCGUCUUUGGGCGAUUGGCGGUUGCGAUGAACGCGGUGUCGUCCGUCGUCGCCGUCUGCGAAACCCCGCCCGCGACGGGGGAGCGGGAAGGGGCGGGGAGCUCCGCGGCGAGCGCGCUCGGCGCCUCCGUCGACGGCGUUUGGUUCGAGUCGCGGACGUCGGCGGCGUCGUCGGGCGGGACGGUUUCGUUUUCGCACCGCGCGCCCGUGGUGACGCUCGACGUCGCGCCCGCGCGAACGGUUACGAACCGACACGAACCGUUACAAACGUCGCCGAUUGUGUUGACGGUGACGGGCCGCGGGUUCGGCGCGACGUCGACGGAUGGCUUCGGGGCGUCCGAUCCGUGGGCGCCCGCCUGCCGCGUGGGCACGAUAGGUCCCCUCGCGACGACCCAAACGUCCGCGACGUCGGUUCGAUGCGUCGCCCCCGCGGGUAACGGCCGUAACGGCCGCGCGACGCCCGUGGCGGUCCUGCGCGACGGCGUCAGGGGCGGUCCGCACGCGCCGACUUUGGCGUUUGUCGAGUUUGUCGUCGACGCGUCUUUGGCGUCCGAUGGAUCAUCCGAUGGAGCCGAUAAUCCAUCCCACGACUCUCCGGCGAAUACCGCCAGGCGCGCCUCCGAAGCGCUCAUCCGAGGAACGGAUCCCGCGUCCACGACGGGCGGCGUCCCUGUGGAGAUUCGCGGCUCGGACGUACCCCAUCGCCAGUGCUGGUGCCUCUUCGGCCGCGCGUACGUAUCGAAGGUGCUCCGCGUGUCCUCCGCGGUGUCCAGGUGCGCGGAGGCUCCGAUGAGUGGCGGUUUAGGGGUUGGUGGGGGCGGGAGGACGCGCGUCGUCGUCAGGGUGGCGUGCGCCUGGGGCGCGGCGGGUCCGCCAGCCGCGCUCGAACCGUCGGACGCCGCGACUCUUUCGACGGCGGCGGCGUCGGCGUUCGCGAUUGGCGAAUCCGGGGUGGCUCUCUCCCUCGUCUCGCGCCCUGUGAUAUCGUCGGCGUCGCCGCUUCACCUGUCCGGCUCCGGCGGCGUCGCGAUGACCCUCACCGCGUCGUCGCUCCAGCACGCCGGCGGCGACGACGCCAACGCCGACGGGGACGGGUCUCGGUACGGGUGCCACUUCGGGUCGGUCGGGCCGAUCGCUGCGAGGUCCAUCGGAGAGGAUCGGGUCGGGUGCGUCGCGCCGGCGCUCGGCGUCGGAAAGGUGACGGUCGGUUUAUCGCUGGACGCCAACGCGCGGGAGACGGAGUGGUCCCACCUCGUCGUCGUUCGCGUCGAUUCGUAUUACCUGGAGGGGUUUCUCGCUCGUGGCGCGGAGGGCGCGGGGAUGCCGAGCGGCGGCGCCGCUUCGGGCGGCGCGACGUACGAAUCCGUCGCGGACGUCGCGGGUAUUCGUUCAUCCGCUAAUGCCGACCGGACAUCUGUAUCCUCCGUCGUUCGAUGCGCGUUUGGCGACGCUCGCGUCGCGGGGACGUGGAUCCACCGCGGCGGAAACGGGGCGGGCGUCGGCGGCGGCGGGGUCGCGUCCGUGCUGUGCGUCACGCCCCCGCGGCUGACGUCCGCGGGUUUCGUCCCUGUUCGAAUCUUCGUCGACGGCUCGGACGCCAACGCGCUCGGCGAUUCGGCGAUUUUUCAGUACGCCGUCGCGCCGGACGCGAGGGUGCGGACGAUCUUCCCGCGUACCUCGUGGGGCGCCGAGGUGGUGUCCGUGGCGGGUGCGCACCUCGCGGGCCCCGGGGACGCCAUCGGCGGCGCCCCGAGGCGAUCGAGCGGAUCCGAAAACGCGGGCGAGACGCGUUGCGUCUUCGCCGGCUUCGUCUUUCCCGCGCGCGUGGUUUCGUCGGCGGUGAUGACGUGCGAGACGCUCGCGGAGGUUUGGUCGCCCGGGCGGGCGAAUAGACGCGGGCGCGCGUGGUGGGGACCCGACGCGUACGACGACGAUGGCGACCAGUCACCGCCCGACCAGUCACCGGUCGGGGCGUCGCUCGCGAAGGGCGCCGAGGGGCUUCGGGUUCACGAGGGUGGCGACGCGAGGCGCGGGGUUCGCGCCGUGUCGGCGUGCGCGAUCGGGUCGGAUUGCGGUUCAACCGGCGACGGGUUCGGGGCGGGUUCAAACGGCGGUUCGAACGUGGGCGGCGCAAACACGCUCUGGUUCCAGAGCGUCCGGGCCAGUUCGGUGAAAGAGGCGGACAUCGACGAGGGUUGGGACGACGGCGGGACGCUCGUGCGUCUGGCGCUGUCCACGCGGACGCCGGCGGAUUGGCUGGAUUGCGUUUUUGGCACCACGCGGGUGCCCGCGAGGCCGGCGGCGGCGUCGAGCGACCCGCCGCUCGUCGACGCCGAGAGCGCGAGGGAGCUGGCGGACGCGAUGGCGCGUUUGGGAGGCGGGAAAAGCGGGGCGAACAUGGACCUGGAGUGCAUAUCGCCCGCGCACGCGCCGGGAGUCGUCGACGUCGAGAUCGCGCUGACGCGCUCGAGGAUGCCGUCAUCGGGAGGCGCGGUGAAAUUUGCGUACGUCUGAACCGACCAUGGUGAGGCGGGUGCGGGGGCGAGUGUUGGGUCCGUCGUGGCUUUUUUCCUCUCUCCGUGUCGUUGUUAUCGUUCCGGUUGAGUUGAGCUAUUUCUUGCACUCCUUGCACCUGUGGCGCCGAUGGCCGUGCUCGCAGAUUUGAGACCCGCCGCACUCCUUGCAUUGAGGGCGCUGCCGGCCGUGCUCGCAGAUUUGAGACCCGCCGCACUCCUUGCAUUGAGGGCGCUGCCGGCCGUGCUCGCAUAUUGAUGACCCGCCGCACUCCUUGCACGUAGAGCGCCGACGACCGUGCUUGCAGAUUUGAGACCCACCGCACUCCUUGCACGUAGAGCGAAUACGACCGUGCUCGCAGAUUGAUGCACCACCGCACUCCUUGCACUGAGAGCGCCGACGACCGUGCGGACAAGCCCUGCACACCGUGCAGUUCGACCGGUACUUCACCCCGUGCUCGCAUGACCCCUUCGUGGGAGGGCCUCUCUUCCUCUUCACGCCCUUCUUCGUCGCAUCCUUCUGCUCCUCUUCGCUUUCCGAUCCCUCCAUCUCGGCGACGCUGGCGUACAGCCGGUCGAGGUUGGGUCGCCAAAUCGUCGACAUCUUCCCCGCGAGAUCCUCCGACUUUUCGUCUUCUCCAUGGUCGUCCGCAGGAGGUUCGACGUUGACGGCGGGGGGUGUGUGGUGGUCGUCGUCGGGCUCUUCUUUGACGACGAUGGGGACCCCGUUCAAGAAGGGUGGGUGCCAGAUGGUGUUCAUGGCGCACGGCGAUACGAGUUAUGACGACCCUGGGGCGGGCUCGAGCGUUCCCAGAAAACUGACACUGACGGUUUCCCUCUGAUCUGCAGAUCCCGAACAAAGCGCCCCUCUGCUAGGUCACAGAUCUCGGCGCGUCUUUCGUCCGUGACGUCACCCCCGUUGACAUCGUUCAAAACGAUGGCCAUGCUGCGCACAUCCACGCAUCGCCUCAAAGGACUGCGCGAUGCCCAGAUCUUACAAACCUGCGCGCGCGGAUACCACAAGAACGUCGUGGACCACUUCGAGAACCCUCGCAACAUGGGCUCCUUCGACAAAGAUUCGGCGAACGUGGGAACCGGCUUGGUGGGCGCCCCCGCGUGCGGCGACGUGAUGAAACUGCAGAUCAGGGUCGACGACGACGGUAACAUCGUGGACUCGUGCUUCAAAACGUUCGGAUGCGGCUCCGCGAUCGCGAGUUCAAGCGUCGUGACCGAGUGGGUCAAGGGGCAACACGUGGACCAAGCGGUGAACAUCAAAAACGAUGAAAUCGCAAAACACCUGAAUCUGCCCCCAGUCAAGCUGCACUGCUCGAUGCUCGCGGAGGAUGCCAUACGCGCCGCGGUGAAAGAUUUGAAGCAGAAACAGCAGAAACAAUAAGGAGGGCGCCGCCCAGGACUCAACCGUGUGUACACUUAUCACCAAUUUGUAAUACCAAUUUGUAAUACGUCCUCAGCUCGCGGGCGCUGGGCUACUCUAGACUAAUGAUCACACGAUAGAACACUACACGUCACCUCUUGACCUCAUCCUUCGUCUUCAGCUCGAUCCACGGGAUGACCGUGCCGUCGGGCUGCGUGACCUUGACCAUGUUGGUCUGGUCGUCCGAGCCGCAACCUCCGCAUUUCGCGAGUUGUCCCUUGGAGAUGCCAUCCGUGUUCUUGGGCAGACCCACGUGUCCGCAGGACCAGCACACCGCGGCCUGGCCCAUCCCGUUGGUGCCCUUGCCGUCGGGUCCCUCCCGUAGGACGCGGAGGUAUCCGCUCACCCGGUCCACCAGCCGCUUGGCGCACUCCGGCCGCUUGACGAAGCAGAAGAGCUCGACGGCGGCGUGCAGAUGCGGCGGAAAGUUCUUGUCGCCCUUCUCGUCCUCCUUGGGGACCACCUUGAGCGCCACGAACUCCUUGCCGACCUCGACCGAGGUGGCGCCUUCCGGCACGUGAAAGGGCUCCGCGCCGUCGACCGGCGGCGUGGGGUCGCUCGCCAUCUCGGCUGCGCGCCCGAGGAGUGGUUGAGAGAACCGUCUCGAAAUUUAUUAGAGAAAAUGGCACUUUGGGCAAAUUUCGCCCACGCCGCAGAGGACGAAGUUUAGCUAGCGUUCUCGCAGUCUCUCGCGGCUUCCUUGGGCAUGAACGACCAGUACCUGUCCCUCUCCUCCUCGCCCACGCCGUGCCACGCCGCCAUCUUCAACCCCUCCUCGCAGUGCAGCUUCCUCAGCCCCUCCAGCUGCGGCCUCAGGUGUUCCCUCAGCGCGUCGCGAUCGCCGUCGCGGACGUUUCCAACCAAACGCGCCUUUGUCCCGGGAUCCUUCACCCGCCCGGCGUUGGCGUGCGCCGCGUCGCCGAUGAGCUCCAGAUCCGACGCGUCCACCCCCAAGUGCGACGCGAUGUCCUUCAGCGCCGCCGCCGGUCUCUCGAAGUAGUACGAGUUUGGUAACACCAAAAACUGAUCGGCGGAGAAACCCGCGUCGAGGUACUCGCGGAGCACGGAUUCGUACCGAGUCUUGACAACCUCGUUGAACAGGUUCUUCAUGCGCCUGCGUUCCGCGCGUUCUCCUUUACUGCCGAGAUCGCCGACUGACUCGCCUGACUCGGCAUCAAAUGUCGCGUCUUCAUCCGCGUCAUCAUCGAGCGUCUCGGCCAUCUGCGCCCCCGGGUUUUCCAACAGUCCGCCCGGUUUACUCGCCUCUGGCAGCGCCGCCACCGUCUGUUUGAGCCAAUCCGCGUACGUGGCAAAGUAAUGCGUGUACAGGUUCCGUUCCCACACAUCAGCCUGGUCCCCUCCCCAGCCGUUGUACAGCGUCUUGAAGAACGUGAACGCGCUCUUCAGCCGCGUCUCCGGGUCGCAGACGGUGGCGACGAACCUCAAUCGUGCUCGCUGUUCCGGCCGAGGGUACGCCUCCGCGAUCUUGGCGCCCACGCCGGCGUUGAAGUACGCCGGGGUGCCGUCGACGUGUAGCCUCGGGGUGCGCGAGGUCGCCAUGUCGAAGGGAUCGUCCGGGCCGUGCGCGCUCAUCUCGUUGGCCAGGGACGACGCCACGGUGGCGCAGGUGUCCGCGUGCCGCGUGAGCCACUCGCGAAACGGGGUCGGGUCCUUGUUCCACUUGAGCAUGUUCACGAAGCGCCCGCCCGUGUCGAAGUAUCGCAUCUCCUUCGCGGGCGCGCCCUUGUCGUCGUGCAUUGGCCUGAGCGCGGGGAUGUGCGAGAUCAUGUCGUCGUACAGCGACGUCGUGCCGCACUUCUCUACGCCGAUGAGGAACACCGUGGGCAUCAGACGGUCGUCCUCGGUGCACAUCGGGCCGAGCGCGCGCCGCGCGGUUUCGGUUACAGUUUCGCCGGCGCCCAACUCGCUGACCGCCUCGCGCGCCGCGCCGGGGUUCCGCGCGGACAUGACGGACACGCCGACGACCGCGAUGAGCGCCGCGGUGCCCAGCGCGGAUACCGCGAGUGCCGCCACACGCAUCACGGACAUUCCCUUGGGCUUCAGGCGCCGCUCCCCGAGCAGCGGGGCGCCCUCCUCCAUCGACCGCUCCCACAUCUUCGCGCGCGGCCUCGAGUGAUGGCGCGCCUCGCCCGCGUCCGAUGAAGUGGGCUGCUGAUUCCUGCUUGGUACCGAAGCGUGGCGCAUCGCACACGCGGGUGCUUUUGCCAAAUAAAAAUAACUCGAGAACGGAGGUUCGACUUUUCCGCAUCGAGAAAUCACGUCCGGGUGUCAGCUCCACAGCGGGCCACGUCAUUUUUCGCCACGUUGCUGGCCAGAACGACGUUUCAGAACUUUUUCGCCGCGUAACGCUAUCCCGGUCGUGCACUUCCGCGCGCGCACACGCACACCAACACCUCAUAUCGCUCAAGAAACAAUGGCCAUGUCCCUCACCCUCUCCUCCCGCGUCGCCCUCAGCGCGCGACCCGCCGUCAAGGCGACCAAGUCCGCCCGCCGCGCGGCGAUCGUGGCCAAGGCUGAGAUGUCCGUCGAUGAGCCCGUCGUCGAGGCGGCGGUCGCGCCCGCCCCUGCUUCCAUGAAGGACAACUUCGUCAACGCCAUGUCCUUCGGCGGCUGGGCGCCCGAGACCAUCAACGGCCGCGUCGCGCAGAUCGCCUUCGUCGCCGGCCUCGGCGCGGAGCUCUCCACCGGCGAGUCCUUCACCUCCCAGUUCGCGCACCACGUGCCCUCGCUCGUGUUCGCGUCCGGCCUCAUCACUCUCGCGUCGUUCAUGCCCAACAUGCAGAACACCGACGAGUACAAGGCCAACCCCGCCACGUUCAAGUCCAUCGAGCGCCCCUUCACCGUCGAGGCCGAGCGAACCAACGGCCGCGGCGCCAUGGUCGGUCUCGUCGCCAUGUUCAUCGUCGAGAAGCUCAUCGGCGGCCCCAUCACCGGCAUCUUCUCCGACUCCGGCGACGAGCUCCUCACCUCCACCUUCUACGACGAGUCCUUCGCCGCGCAGGUCGAAGCCCCCGCCGCGGCGCCCGCCAAGUUCGUGGACUUCGAUUCCGCCGUCGUCGCCCCCGCGCCCGUCGUCGCCGCCGAGUCCGCGGACGCCGCCGCCGCGUACGAGGCUGCCGAGGCUGCGGAGCCCAUCCGCGUGGAGGGUGCCGUCGACGCCGACGUCGAGGCGGAGGCCAUGGCCAUGGGCCGCGCCGUCUCCAUGGCCGAGGACGCCAUGUAAUCGUCUCGAAAACGAGACCGCACGCACGCACGCACGCAGCUUCGCUUUGAUUGUUUGAACGCACGCAACUAGACCGCUCGCAACUAGCCUUUAAUACGAAUAGCUCUCGAAAAGAAGAUGAACGCAUCACAGCGCCUUCAAACCCGCCACCCGAACUGCGCGCUGCGUGCCCCACUGCGCGAUCGCGCUGACCAACGACACGCACGCCAGCACCCUCGCCGCAAACACGUCCCCAAUUGUCGCCACGAGCACGUUCAGCGGCGCCGCCGUCGCCAUCGCCAGCCCGCUCGUCGCGUGGUAACUCCACAGGUACUCGGCGAGAAACCAGGCGUUUGGCGUCGCCGCCAAGACGCAUAAAACGUUCUUGAUCGUCCACGCGAGAUCCCCACCCACGGCCAACGCCGCGUGCGGGGUGGGCGGACCGUCGAGCGCGUCCGCCACCGCGUUGUACGCGAGAGAUAUCACGAUCGCGGCCAUCGGGGGCACGUACCGCUGCGUCCCCGACAGCGAGUCGAAGAGCAGCUCGUCCUCGUGGAGUAGGAGCAGGAUCGGCGCGACGGCGAAGACGGUGAAGCACGAAUCGGGACGCGACCACGUCGCCAACACGGUCGCCGACGCGAACGUGAUGAACGUGGAGAUGUUACCCACGACGGGCAUCCACCCGACGCGCAUGGCGCGCAACGCGCGUUGCGCCAGCGCGCCCCCGGCCGACUUGAACCUAGCCGGCGACCGACCGGAAAACGGCUGGAAGCGCGACCUCGCGUCCCUCAUCGUCCCCGCGUGACCCCGCGCCCCACCCGCGCGCGCCGCACGCGCAGCUCCCGGGUUCGCGGACACCGCCGCCACCUUGAGCUUCAGCGCGAACGCCAUCUGCGCGGUGAGACCCGCGGUGACGCCCACGAGGCCGAUCCGGGCCUCCCGCCCCCGCGACCCGGCGCCCGGUCCGUCGAAUUCCCCAUCCUCCUCCCUUUGGGUCCAGAACGCCACCCCGAGGCAAACCAGAUACGCCGCGAACACGUGCGGCAUCACCGCCGGGGACGACGCGGAUGGAACGUACGUGAACGCGAGGAAGACGGCGCACAGCGCGCACGCCGCGCACAGGCUGACGGUCACGACGGAAUCACCCCGGAAGCUCGGGAAGUACUCCACGGACAGGUACAGCCCGAGCGAGGCGCCAGCCGCGGCGGAUAGCAUCGCCCGAAGCGGCGCGGGCGUCGCGUGGGUUCCCGUCGCGCCCCUCCUGGGCUUGGGCGCGGACGCCACGAACACGCCGAGUAGGACGGUGGCGAUGAGCAGCCAGGCGCUGUACCCGCGCCCGCUCGCGUCGCGCCUGUCGCCGUAGAUGUCGACGUCGUCGGGCUCCGUGUCCGGAACAUGGUCCGCGUCGUACCAGAAACCAAUCUCGCCCUUCCACGGCAUCGGCGGCCUCAGCGACACCAGCGCGCCGCCCGCGGUGACGACGAGCGCGAGGCCGCGUCUCGCGGCGGGGAGGUGAGAGAAGUGUCGUCUCACGAGCGGAGUCGACCCGGCGCCGGCGAAUAAAAGGAGCCCUCCGAAGAGCGUCGCGUCGGAGGGCCGGUGGCCGGUGACGGCGAAAACGACGUCAAACACGGCGAACCUCGCGUGGACCAUCGCCAACCCGAGAGACAACACGUGCGCCAAACCCCUCGCGACGGACAUUCGCGCCCGCCGCCCACUCCCCGUCAUUGGCGAUCCGACGUUGGACGAGUCAAACGCGAACGGCGCCGUCGCCGCCAUGCCCACGAGGACGCAGGGAACCAAUGCCCUCGACCCCGGCAGCAUCACCAGCGCCAGCUUACCGACGUACACGCACCGCGCCAUCCACGCCGUGGCCGCAGUCACCUUGCCCGUACGCUCCAGCGAACCCGCGAGCCAUACGCCCAGCGCGGACGUCGCGAGCACGAGGUACGCUGGGUACAUGGGCUCGCCGUCUUCGAGCGCCUCCGAGUGGAGCGCGUCCUCGCACCUGGCAAACACCAUCGCGUGGAGGCACACGAGCAAACCGAGAGACGACGGGUGAACGUUGAAUCGCGCCAAGCCCGGAGCGAGCGCGGAGGCGCACAGCGACAGGAACAGCAGCUGGCACAGCUCCGCGAGGGGCAAGCCGUCGAUGUUCACGUCGAGGCCCCAAAAGUUUGAGUGAAGGAACCACGCGCCGCACGCCCCGACGCCGCCCGCGAACAUGGCGAGGUCCACCGCGCCGCCGCGGAGGUAAAACCUAGACGCGCCGAUGGAACCGAUCGCCGCGAACGGGAGCAUCCACGGCGGCGCCCCCGUCGCCAGCGCCGCGGCGCACCCCGCCGUCACCAGCGCCGCCUGGUAGAUCUCGCUCGGCACCCCGUUUUUGCUCCCAACCGACCCCGACAGCGCCGCCACCGCGGCCAACAGCCCGCCGUACACCGCGGCGGUGACCGCGACGACGCCGGGCACCCCCGGUAACCUGACGUACUCCCCGAACCCGCGGAACAGCACGACGCCCUCGAGACCGCCCGUGAACAGCACGAGCGCGACGGCGGCGACGACGGCUCGCGUCGUCUUCCCUCGACUCGAAUCGACACUUUUUAAACUCGAAUCGCCGAGCGCCCACCACAGCGCCCCCCGCUCCGCGUAGACGCACAGGAACAGCACGGGGAACGACAGCAGCAGCGCGACGGAGCAGGCGUGCUCGAACGCGUUCGCGACGUGGACCAAGUUUGUACUCGAGUGAGAUCCCAACCCGAAGAGAUACCGCGGGUCCAUCGCGGGCGAAUGCGCCGCCGCGUACGCGCACGCCGGGGCGAAGCACGUCAUGGCGCAAUGCGCGGCGGCCUCGCCGGCGCCGAGCACGAGCGCGUCUCUACCCGUGGAUACUCCCGCGUCUCUACCGGUAUCCGCCGAACGAGGCCGCGAUGGCGGGCCGCGAAACGAGCUCGGCGUGGGGAACGAGAAGGUCUUGUAGAGCCACGCAAAGGCGGCGGCGGCGUAGAAGGGCGCGUGGCCCGCGCCCACCGACGCGAUGGCCGUCCACGCGCAGAUGGCGCCGCACACGGGGGGUAUCGCGGCGAAUAGUGCGCGUUCGCACGCCAGCGCGACGCCCGGGAACCCGGUCUGGACCCACCGGAACUGCAGCGUGGCCCAGAGCCCGGCUAGGAACAGGCAGAGGCAGUUGGAGAUGAGCAGCGCGAUGGACGCGAGGGGCGAUCUCGCGGGCGUGAAGAGAUCGGUGGCGACGAGCAUGGCGAGGUAUACGCCCACGAGCGUGCACCACAGCGAGAUGAGCGCCGCCUCGGCCAUCUUGAGCACGUCCAGGAUGUACACGACCAUCAAACCCACCACGAGCGUCCCCAUCAUCAGCCUCCCGCCGUCGCUCACGACCACGACGAUCGAAGGGAUCAGAGCGAGCGCGACCCUCGAGUUGUGCUUCCAAGGGCCGGGUCUGUACCGCGGGGGAGCCUUGGGCGGCGUCGGAGGCGGAUCAGAGCUCCCCAUGGAUCCCGUGAACGCGUCCAUCUCGUCCGAAAAUCGCGGAUGAGGACCCUCUACGCCUCGCGCGCCUUCUCGAGUGAACAGAGCGCCCCAGCAGGAAUCACACUCACUUGAGCACCUCCGUCAGUGGAGCGCCGCGUUCAGCAGUUCAGAGCCGUUGCGAAACGUUGUUGUUUGCUCGAGCGAACCCCGGCCCGACCCACAACGCAAGGCGCGAGAGCCGCUCCACAGGGAAAUCGCCAACCUCGCGACGAUGACAGAAGAUGCGAAGAAAGCCGUCGUCACCAUCGCGAGCAUCGCCGAUGACGUGAGCAGCGGGGCGUACUGCGAGCGCAUGCGCAUCGGCGACGUCCAGUGCCGAGCAGCGUGGCUCGGGCUGAUGGACUUCAUCCUCAACGCCAUCAGGAACAACAAGGUGCGUCACGCGACGGACGCUGGAGCGAUCUUCUGAAGUGUCUUUUACGUCGCGACUCGACCGGGCCAACCGUGCGUUCGCCCCGUCGCGCGUGCGUUCUCGACCCCGCCCGCGCCCGCGUUCACAGCUGUCCUCGUCCGUUUUCAAAGCGAUUCUGAGCCCGCCCGACCCGUCCUCCGUAUCGUAUCUUCCCAGGGUGUAUCGCUUCCCGGCCUCGGCAGCUUUGCCGUGGGACGAUGUACCGAUCUUCUCCACGGGGGCGCCUCGGUUCGCGCGCCGGUCUUUGUCCUUCACCCGAAGUUCGACGUCCUGCCCCAGAAGAAGGCUCGAUUCUUCCUCAAGAAGCCCGCGACGUACACGCGCAUCAACUCCCUGGGCCUCUCCAAGCGAUGCGGCUUUCACAAGGCCGGCGUGACGCACGUGCUCAAGGAGUUCUUCGAUCGCAUCGCGACGUGCCUCGAGAACGAGUCCCCCGUCGACGUCGACUUCACCUUUGCGCGCCUGACCAACGUCCACGGCCGCGUCGAGUUUACCUUUUACCAGUCGUUCCUCAACGACUACGACAUCAUGGGCGAGGAGCAACCCGAGGUUGUGCGCAGGCGGUACCUCAAGAUCGGCGAGGCCAAGGAGCUGACCGACAAGGUCACUAACGUCACGCCGCUCGCGCAGGAAGAGGCGGCGAAGAAGGCUGCGGAGUUGAAAGCCGUCGCCGAGCGGAUCGCGCCGCAGGUUGAGGAAUCCACCGCCGAUCUGCCCGCGCCGCUUCGCAACCGCCCGCUUCACGACUCGCCCCCGACCGCGGCGACCGACCCCGGUGAUCGCUUCAUCGCCAUCUGCGGCAAGCUCGACCGCAUCGGCAGCGGAUGCAUCGAUCGGUUCGUCCUGGAGCGCGUGCUCAACGGCGAGGAAUGCCGCGGCUUGAUACGAGACGUUCGCGCGGGAUUUCUCUUCGACCUGCUCAAGGCGCACGCGGGAGGACGGUCGGGACGGUUCGUCCACUACCUGCCACUGCUCCGUGAUCUCGAGGCGGAGAACGUGGCGAUCGCGAGGGCCAAGGAGGAGGCGGCGGCGGCGAGGGAGCGCGAGCUGGCGCGGAUCGAGGAGGAGGAGAGAGUCGCCGCCGAAAAGAGGGCUCGUGCCGAGGAGGAAGCCGCGGCGGCGGCCAAGGAAAUCGCGAGGUGCGCGAUCGCCAACGUCAUCUCCAAGCCCGUGGACCCGGCCGAGUCGAUCGGGUUCCUCUUCCACUCGCAGGGAGCCGGGGCUAAGGGGCAGGAUAGGUCCCAACUGGCCAAGUUUAACAGGGAAUACGCCGCGGCGGUAGCUGCGUACAAGAAGGGGAGCGCGGGCGGCGUGACCCCCAAGGUAACCAACAACCACGCCGCGGACGCUGCGGCGACGGAGUCGCACGUGAACCAGCUCGGCGCGUUCCUUCAGAGCCAGAUGGACGAGAAGAUGCGCAAAGAAAGGGAAGAACGGGAAAACUGGGCACAGAUUGAGAACGAACGCAUCGAGCGGGGCAGACGCGAGGAAGCGGAGGCUCACGAUCAGGAGCGGGAGAAGGCGAGGAGGAUCGCGCAGGAGCUCCUGGCGGGUUGGGAGAAGCAGCAGGCGGACCGUUCAAAAAUCAAGCAGAGCGCGCGGGUGAUGGGAGAGUCGUGGCCGUUCGCGCCGGAACACUUCAAGCCCACGACGCCGCUUCGACUGUAAUGUGUAGGAAUGACACACUUUAGUGGAAACAAUAAAAUACUCUGGCUAGGCGUUCCUUGCUAGCAGGAAGCUCCGCCGCCGCGCCUAAUUAACUUAACUUAACCGAUUCACGCCGCGGGGACCCUAUGCCCCGGGGCUUUGCAGUUUACGGAUGCGCUUUCACCCGCGACACCUCCUAACUCGAUCACACCUGCGGCCUCGUCUGCACCACGUAGAGAGCGCCAUCCGCCGCGAUGCACCCCUCGAUAUCCUGCGGCGAUCCGAGCGCCUGUUCAAUCUCGUUCGCGGCGUGCGCGAUGGCCGCGAGCGCCUGCGCGCGGAAAGUCUCAUCGCUCACGAUGGGAUCCCUGGAGUAGUCCACCGGCCUGAGCUUCGCCUCGUGCAUCUGGAUCGAGUCGUAUAGGCCCGCACCCGCGAAGCCCUCCAGAUCUUCGCCGUUUGAGUCGGAGCGGAAGAUGAGCGUGGGCGCGUCGGUGAACAGCCCGUUCGCCUUGGAAGGGAAGCCGGUCACCCUGGCGUUGGUCAGAUCGUCCUUCCUCGCCACGAAGCUCAGCGCACGGCCCGGAAAGUUACCCACGAGCGCCUCGCCCAUGCCGCAGACGACCUCUCCGUAAAUUUCGUUGGGGUCGCCAGUCUGCGGGUUGGUGGUGUGCAGCACGAAUGCGUACUGCGACUGCACCACCGGCUGACACAGCACCGCCAUGGACACGUUCUCGUGGCUAAGACCCGCCUUGCGGCAGCUCAGCACGGCGCGAUCGUUGUACUUGGACGCCCACACGCCGGUGACGGCGGCCCACGCGUGCGCCGCGGCGCCGCUCCCACCCGCGCCCUCCGGCCCGAGGUGACCCUCGGGCCACGGCAGCCGCUCCGCCGCGAACGCCCGCGACAUCUCGUCCACGAGCUCCGGCGUGGGAACCAUCUGCAUGAUGCACGCGCGGAUCCUGCCCAGAAGGUCCUGGAACGCCGCCUGGUUGCUAAAGUCGAGGUGUUCCAACUCCUGGCGCAGACCCUGCAAGUGCUGCGCGAUGUGACCAUUGUUGGGAUGCGCGAGCACGGCGUCGAACGUGCAGAACGGGAGCGCCACCUGCGCGGGAAGAUUGAUCCAGUCCGGAAGCCUGCCCCGGAGCUCCUGCAGGUUCCUAGACUUGCCUCCGACGAUCGCGCCGGUAAACUCGGGCGAGGGAACCGCGUACCGGCCCAUAAACUCGCGCUUCGCGAUGUUAACGCCGCUCGGGGGAGCCGACAUGGACAUGUUCACCGCCCCGGCACCGGGCGCCGCACCGAGCGAGGACGGAUCCACGGACGUGAUCCUCAGGUCGUCCGCCCCCACCGGCGCGCAGUUAACAGCCUGGCCGUGCAUGCCCUCCAGCUCGGACAUGCGACCGGCGUCAAAGACGGUGGCAAAGAGGACGCGCUCGUUCCUCGCGCGAACCGAGGUGUGAGCGAGAACGUCGGGCAUGUCCGGGGUGAUGAGACCCACCACGCCGGGCGGGAUGUCCUCCUCGCCGCCCACGCGGCGAGACACCAGCACGGUGGGCACGGAGUAUGUUUUGUUCUGGACAUCCUUGAGGUCGUUGAUGACCUCGAUGACGCCCGCGGCUUCGACGGGGGAGAUGAUGGACCAGGAGCCCAUGUUGGACAUCUCGCGGAGCCUGGGGUCCAGCGCGCGAAGCAUCUGCGAGAGGGGCGCCGCGGGCGUGCCGCGGACCACCUCCUCGGAGAAUAUGUCGAGGACGUGGCCGUCGACCCCGAGCCUGCCGCCCAUGGCGUGCGCGGUGGGCUGAAGCGCGUUGAUGUAUCGCUGGGAAACCUCGCCCAGCGCGUUGUUCACGCGGUCAACCACGGAUUUGGCCUGGAGCGCCCAAUCGUUUCCGCCGUUCAUGGCGCUGCCCACCACGCCCUGCCACUGCUGCAGGCAAAUGACGAGCUCAUCGUUACCGCCGGACGACAGCGCCAGGUUCUCGAGCGCGAGGCCGGUCAUCUUGAGGACGUCCACCGGAGCGCGAGUCGCCAUGGAGGAGAGAUUCGCCUCCACAACCUGCCGCACCGCCGACUCGAGCGCGAGAUCCAGGUAGAUGACAUCCUUGAGGCGGCUGUUGUCGGAGCCUCCGGGCCUGGUCCAGUUCCAGAGCUCGCGCCUAGCCUCCAACAUGGCCUCCAUGGAGUGCAGGGGUUCGCCGAGGUCGCGGAAGCCGCGAGCGCUGUGCAGCAGCGUUCGCAUGCGGUCGGUGGCAACCUCGGUGACGGGGGGCAUGUUGAUCUCCUUGCCCUUGCACGCAUCCUGGUGGUAGCCCAUGACGUUCUCCGCCGCGGAGUCGAGGUCUGCGCCGGAAUGCACAGCCUUGAGGGUGCGGAGGUACUCCUUGAGGUCGCGGGUGAGGCCUUCGUACUGGUCGGGCUUGAACGAGGGCUCGCCACAAAUCUUGCGAUCGUAGCUGGCCAUGCGCUCCUUGGUGAUGCCGUUGGCGUGGAGGUGGUCCCAGUAAACCGAGAUGUCGCAGUCGGCGGCUAUGAACUUGAUGAGCGCCUCGCAGAUGGGGACGUCAUCGGGCGAGGUGUUGUUGUGGAGUUUCUGGUGCCACUCCUCCAUCAUGCCACCCAUGCAGUUGUUGUUGCGCUGAACCACGAGAAUCUCGUCGCGAAUGCGCUGGCCGACGUCUCCGUCGCCGCCGCGGCCGAUGGUGGCCAUGAUGAAGCGGGUGACGUCGCGCAUCGCCGGGUCGUCCUUGUGCAGCGCCGCGAGCUGCGUCGUGCACUUGAGUUGGGCCGCGGAGAUUUCCCUGGGCUUGAUGUUGUAGUCGUUGUUCCAAACCAGCUGCCUGAGCGCCAUGAAGCGGAACCAAACCGCCAUCGCGACGAGGCCCGCCUCGCCCUCGCCCUUGCACUGAGGGAUGAGGUCGGACGCGAUGUUGAAGCGGUGCAUGAGCGAGCGCGUCGCGCCCUCCUCCGAGUUGCAGAUGUUGUCGACGGACCCGCCCGCGACGUUACCGGCGGCGCCCGCGUGGCCGAGCGCGCCCUGAUGCAUCUUGAUCUCGUCGUGGUUCCAGUCCUUGCGCUUGAUCACCUCGGGCCUGGCGGGCAUCUUGACCUCCUUGACGGUGGUGGUGCUGAGCCCCCCGCGCUUGAGCUUCUGCGGGGAAGACCUCUGUUGCUCGCGCUCGCGGCGCCUCUGCUCCUCUUUCUCCGCCUUGCGCCUCGCGCGCUCCUCUUCCUUGCGCCUCUUGACGAUGGCGCGGACAUCCGUCAGAGUCGUCGCCUCAUCCGCGAAGCACAUGAAGUCCUGGCCGUCGUCCUUGAUCCAGUGCGCGCUGUCGGCGGUACGGAUGACGAAGACGAGACCGUCGCGGUCGCACGGCGCCUCGAUGGUGGCGGCGUGCCAGCCCCGGGCGGUGGUCAGAGCCUCCAUCUCCGUCUCCCAGCUCGCGCCGCCGGUGCCCCACGAGUUCUCGGGCAUCGAGCUCCAACCGUGCGGGGGAUUCUUCCACUCACCGGCGGGCUGGUCGAGCCCGGCCCAAUGCAGCACGAUCCCCUGGUCGGACCUGCCGAAGACGAUCAUCUGCAGCAUGCCCUGAGCGGUGCGCCGGCCCUCGAUGACCAUGAGCUUCACGGCGUUGGCCUGGCCGAGGUUGAGCUCGCGUCGCCAGAGGAGCUGAGCGCCGUUUGCCCUCGCCUCGCAGAGGUUGGCAAUGUCCAUGGGGGUGGCCUCGCCGACGACCGGCGCGGGCGCGGGCGCGGCGUCGUACCCGUAACUGGGCGCGGGAGCGGGCGCCGCCUUGGGCGGCGCCGGAGGGGUGAACCCGGGGGGCGGCGUCGGCUUGGCCUGCGUGGGCGCCGCCGCCGGAGGCGCGGCGAGCGCCGCGGUUUGUCGCACGAGUCCCGGGGGUACCCCAAACUCCGUCUCCAGCGCCUCGACGCUCUCGCCGCUGUUCAGCCUCUGCGUGAUGUGGUUGACGGCGUCGGAGUAGAUGCGGUGUUUUUCGUCCUCGUCCACGCGGGGCUUACCCAUCUGCUCCCAUCGGAGGUACGCGGCGACGCCGAAGAGGACGUCGAGGCCCGCGGCGAGUUCGUUCACCGCGGAUGACCCCCUAAUGGCCGCGUGCUGCGGCGGGGCGGCGUGCGAGGGCGCGGGAGGCGGGGACGCGGGCGUGGGCGGCAUGCGCACGUCCAGGGUGUACUCGGGCGCGAACGAGUUGGACGUCGUGGGAGCCCUGGGCGCGGCGCCCGCGCCCAUGGGCGAUCCGCCGAGCUCGAUGCGAAAGUUCCUACCGUGGUCGUUGAUCCAGUCGCCGGUGGUCUCAACCUUGAGGCAAAAUUCCACGGCAUCGACGCCGGGAUCGAGGACGAGCUGGAGGGCCCCGAACGCCGGGAACGGGGACUGGAGCGCCUUUUGCUUGUACACGACCGUCCCGGGCGGGUUGAGCUCGGGCGGGAGGAGCUGCCAGUCCUGGGACACCGCCGAGCGAAUCACGCCCCAGUGGAGCAGGAGUCCCAACGGCGCGUUGGGCUCGCACUGGAGGCUGAUGGUGUGGACGCCCUGGGGGUUGGUCUUGACGGUGGCGAUGAGCUGCCUUCCCUCGGGGAGGGGGAUGCCGAUCAUGUCGGUGACCUCGCCGAGGAUGGCCGCGCGAACCGCGACGGCGUUUCGACGGGCCCGGGACGGACCGACGGAAGGCCUCGCGGACCCGGUCCUCCUCGACGCGUCGCGGAGUGCGGGGUCGACGACCCGGCGCGACCUGCGGUGGGAGGGCGGGGGACGGCGUGUUAUCGUCAGUCAUCGGUUCCUUUACGAUGCACGCGCGGCGUGGACGCCGUCCACGGAGGUCAAGACGGAGGUUCACCGCCCCAACGAUCACGAGGUUAAAAAACCAACGACACCAAAAGCGAGGGAUCGCGACCGAAGACUCACCAGGCGGUCGCGCCGGAUCGGGCCGCGAGGGCGCCAGAACCGGCGUUCAUUGCUUCUGUGAGGUACAACGGUCCUCUCACAGGUUUCACGCGAGCGCUUAAGGCAACGCACGCGACGUUGCGGCACCGCUAAGGGUGCGCCGUGAAGUGUCGUUUCCACCGCAUGGGGCUCUAUACUCGCCGAAAUCUCGAGUGUUUGCCACCAACGGACAACUGAACGGUCAAUUCCUGGUUUGGUUGGCCAAUGCUCGACGAUUGUUAGGGUUCGUAUGAGUGAUCACCCAAUCCGAAACCGGGCUUUAUGCGGACGUGGCAGGGAUGGCACUGAUCUUUUCAUGGUUGAAUGUGCUUUAUGAGAAUUUUUUCCGCGGUCGGUGAGACUGAAAACGCUGUGCGGGGCUCGGACGCGAGCGCUGCACGGUCGAAACGGUGACUCCCGAACCGAGAACCGCUGCGAUCCACCGGUUGAGGGAUCCACUCCUCUCGGCACGGCGUUUGGAGACCGCGGAAAGAGGAUGGCGGAGGAGAAGGCGCAGGAGGGCAACACGACGUACUUCUCGGAGUUUUCCUCCGAUGAGCUCGACGCUAAGCUCAAGAGAAAGGACGAGGACGGGCGAACGCUGCUGCACGUCGCCGCCGCGGCUGGUACGCGCCCCCGGAGAUGCGCAACGGAAGAUCUCCCUUCACCAACCGUCAUCGGCGGUGCCCAUCCCUCGAACCGCCGUCCCAAACGUCGAUGACUCCGCUGAACCGCCGCGCGCCUCACUCCCGCCGUCACCCUCAGGCAGAACCGAGCUCGUCGAACUGUUCCUCGCGCACCCGACGGGACGCGCCGCCGUAAAUAAGGGCGACGAGGUGAGUCCCCGGAAGCAGGGCGCCCUCUGACGAGACGUCGCAGAUCCACAAAAUUUCCCUCGACCCCCGCCGAACGUCUCCCUGACCUCUCACCCCGUCCCCGCUCGCGAUGUAUUACAGGAGGACUGGACCCCACUGCACUCUGCGUCGAGUUGCGGCCAUACCGCGGUGGUCGCCUCCCUGCUCGCCGCGGGCGCCGAUCCAAACGCCGCCAACUCCGGCGGCCAGGCGCCCAUCCACUACGCCGCGAGCAAAGGCCACCUGGACUGCAUCCGCAAGCUCGUCGCCGCGGGAUGCGACCCGGACGCGGUGGACGGGACCAAAUCCACGCCACUACAUCGCGCGGCGUCGCAGGGCAGGUCGAACGUCAUCGUCGCGAUGACCGACGGGUCCGUGCUCGGCCCGGAUGGAUCGGGGGUGCGAUGUGCAAUCGAAGCGAGAAACGCGAUGGGUCAGACGCCUCUGCUGGUGGCGUGCGAGGCGGGGCAGGACGAGGCGGCGUUGGCGCUGGCGAGAGCAGGGGCGAACCUGAGGGUGGAGGAUUGCGAGGGCGCGAACGUCGCGACGCUCGCACCGAAGCUGGUAUCGGCGUUGCGCGCGAUCGGGCAGGGCGACGAAGGGCUGUAUUUCUGAGGUCGUUCUGAAGUGGCGCAGAGCUGCAAACAUGGACAUUUAGUGCCGCGUGUAUGAUGUUUAGGUUAGGUGGAUCCCGGAAUAAGAGAAAUGAACAAAAAAAACCACGGGAUACAUGUUACUCAGUUAUGAGUCGAACGUCAAUUGUUUAUACUUUUACGUAAAACCACCAAACCGAGAUUUUUCGGGUUGAACACCAAGAAAACGCGUCUGUAACACCACCGGCCGAGUUGUCGACUCCAUCGGUGGAGGCGCGAAGGCGGAGGCGACGCGCGACCAUGACAGGAAAAGAGGGCGGCUACGGCGCCAUUGAUAGCGUUGGGAAGGGAAGAUCCGAGGAGGUGGAUCCGUAUUACGACGUCGAGGCGGACGAAGAGGUAUGCAGGAUGCCCGGCAAGACGGUGUUCGCCACCGUGUGCCUGUACCUGACGUUCGUCGCCAUGGGCUUCGGCACCGGGUGGAGCAGCAACGACAGCAUCUUCCAGGAGCUGAACAAGUUCAUCGAGCGAUACGACGACCUGCAGUUCGCCAGUGACCUGGUGUUCGCGUCGUCGUGCGCGGCGUCGAUUGUGCUCGUGCUGGCGUUCGUCGGGCUGUACUGCAACCCGUCGCGGUACGACCUGCGGUCGCUGGGAUUCUUCGAAGGGACGAUAUCGACCGUGCUCGCGGUGAGCUGCUUGGUGCAGUUCUCCUUGUUCAUGUUCUGGCAGCAGAGCAGGUACGUGGUGCUGGCGUGCGCGUUCAUGGGCGCGAUGAUAGGCAACAUCCAGGCGUUCAUCAUCUACCCAUUCUUCAACGCGUUUUAUCGCCUGGAGCUCAUCGCGUACAUGAACAUGGGGGAGACGCUCACGAGCAUGACGUGCGGGACGCUGGCUCUGGCGCAGUCGCCCACGGUGGGAGUCGAAACCUUCAGCGUGCAAACGUACUUCACCAUCCUCUUCGGCUUGACGUGCAUGGCGGCCUCGGCGUGGGGGUCGCUGGCGUGGCAGACUGGAUUCAGGCGCGACGCCGACGAGGUGGACUCGCCGCAAGACCUCUCGGAGGGAGAGGAGGAAAACGAAAACCACCCGGAGCGAAAGCCGCUCCUGCAAAAGGUGGAGCGCGGCGGUGGCGACGGGGCGGCGCUCGCGGACGGAGGGGGGAGCGGCGAGCUGGUGUGGACGGCUGGCGAGAUCAUCACGCGAGGACCGCACGGGAUGACGGCGCCCGCGGAGGAGGUGAGAGGCGCGAGGAGGCAGGGACCCAUGCAGAAGCUGCGCGGGCUGUGCACGAACGUCGCGGGGGUGUUGGGUAAGGAAGGUACGCACCUCAGGUCGCUUCUGGCCAUCGCGGGGACGAACUCGAUUCUGACGUGGACGGUGCUGCCCGCGCUUUUGCCGUUCACCGCCGCCGCCGUCUCCGGGUCGUGCAGAACCGACGACCCGAUCAGCAAGGGGUUCAUACGCAUGUGCACGUCGUUGUCUUCCAUGAUUCGCGUCACGGGGCCGCUGAUGAUACGCAGCGACGGCAGGUAUUGGGGGAAUCCGAACUUUGUCAAGUGCGUCGGGGUGUGCGGCAUCUGCCUUAACCUCGGAUUCUGCUUACCCGCGUUCUUCCCCGAUCCGGACGGGUACUGGCAGACGGUGAGGGGGAAGUUGUUCUUGAUGGUGGCGUAUUUCCUCACAACCCCGGUCGAGGCGUUCGUGCAGCUGCACGUUCUGAUCAACACCCAGAGGGAGAACGCGGGUUCGAGCAAACGAAUCAUCGACGCCGGGUUCUUCUUCACCUCGCUCUGGGUGCUCGGCGGGUUCAUCGUGUCCGAGAUGCUUCAGCAGUGGACGAUGACGGGCACCGCGGCGUGCCCGGGGAUAGACGAGCUGGCGGAUACCGAUCCACGGGACCUGCCGUUCGAUCCGAAGGAGCUGGACAAGGAUUUCGAGGCCAAGGCGAUUCAGGACGAGAGGUCAGCUUCGCUGGGAUACCUUCUUGGUUACGAGCCGUACGGAUACCAGUACCAACCCCAUCGGCAUCCUCUGAUGGGGCCCACGUGGUUCAACCUCUUUCCAGGCUGAAUCGACGCAUCAAUCAAUCGAACCUCAACUAGAGCUAACACUUAUUUAGGCACGACAUUCAUUAAAAGUCGGAACGCAUGGCUUUCACGCGUCCGCCGUCGUCGUCGUCGCCUUCAAUCCUCCGAGGAGCUCCUCCUCGCGCGACAUCAGGCCGCGUCCUAUGAGCACCACCCUGUUGAGCGGCCGCUCACCGACCCGACCCGGUGGACCCUCGGUUAUCUCGUACACCUCUCGCACCGCCUGGAGCACGCGCCGCCUGUCGGUUCCCUCGUCCUCCGCCGCGAACAGCACGCCCUUCGCCCUCAGAACCUCCAGCUGGCGUCCCCCGCCCGCUUCGCCCUCUUCGCCCUCGUGCGACCCCGACGGACCGCCUCGCUCCCACAGGAGCUCCUCGAGCCACGUUUCGAACUUUCCGACGUCUAUCCUUCCGUCCGCGACCAGACACACGGUGCGGAUGCUCGCGUCGUGCACCUCCGAGAGCGGGCGGCUCGCGUAUUUCUCCACCCCUCUCGCCCAGAAUCCCGGCGCGGGCGCGGUUUGCGCCAAGUCGCCGGCGAGCGUCGGUCUCGUUCCCGCCUUGCGCCCCGCGGACGACACCGCGCCUUGGUUGAGGAUCACGCCGAGGUCCACGACGCUGCGGGUGGAUCGGACGAUCUUUGCCUCGGCGUUGAUCCCCGCCACGAGUUCCGAAACGCGCUCCAGAUCCCUCUCCGAGACCAAGUCGCACUUGUUCAGCACCACCGUGUCGGCGUACGCGAUCUGCAGCGACGCCUCUUUCCCCUCGGACAGUUGCCGCUCGAUGUUUGAGGCGUCCACGAGCGUGACUACGGCGUCGAGUACCGCGCCGUCCUCCUCGAGGAUCUCAUCGUCCACCCAGAGCUCCUGAGCCACCGGGCCGGGAUCCGCGAGCCCGGUGGUCUCGAGCAGGAUGAAGUCGAACUUGCGCCCGGUCGACGCGCGCUUCUCGAGCAGGUUGUCGAUGGUCUGCACCAACGAUCCCUUCACGGUGCAGCACACGCAGCCGUUGUUGAGCUCCACCCACUCCUCCACCGCGUUGUCCCCGUCCGGCUUGUCCUGCACCAGCAUCUUCUCCACGCCGAGCUCGGCGCCGAAGUCGUUCAGGAUGACGGCGACCCUGUACCCGUGGUCGGCGUUCAGGACGUAGUUCACCAGCGUGGUCUUCCCGGCGCCCAAAAAGCCCGUGACCACCGUCACGCCGGUGGGAGCCAUGACGACACCGACCGAGACACACGGCGCGCCACCGCCGCCGCCGCCGCCGCCGAGAGUGAAUAAAAUGCUCGGCUGCGCCUCUGCGACGUCUGGAGAAAAAAACCGUUUGUCUUCACUCCCGCCGCGCGCGCGUAACCUCGUUCUAUUCUACGCGGUAUUCUACGUCGCCGUUCGACUCGCCUAUUGAUGAUAAUACUGCGCGGGUAACUGAUACCCGCGCUGGGCGUAGUAGGCGGCGUGGUGCGCCGCGACGUCCUCGACGCCCGCGGCGGCGGCUGACCUCUUCCGCCCGGCGCCCCCGUCCUCCCCGCCCCCGCCCCCCGCUCGAGCCGGGAACCUGCGCUCGUGCGCCCUCUCCGCGUCCGCGAGCUGUUCAGUCGUGCCCACCAGGUCCGCGUACUCGACCAGCGCGGAGGAGAUCCGAGCUCGAUCGCGUUCGGGAAGCCUCGGCUGAAGCCCCGACGGAUGAGACCCGCUCGUUCGGGGUUCGUCGAAAACGCCGUCGCAGCACCGCUCGACGACGGCGCGGACGUUCGCGAAGCUCGCCCCGACGGACCGCUCAAAGUUGAGCCACCCGUCCCACACCAGCGCGUUGGCGCCGUCCCCUACCUCCGCCGCGCGCUCGUACACCUUCCGAGCGCCCUCGACGUCGCCGCACGCCUCGUGAAGCAUCGCCGCGUACUUGCACGCCAACACCCCGUACGCUUUGCUCCCGGCGCCCUCGCGGCUCUUCUCAACCUGCAUCGCGCGCUCGUACGUCUCCUUAGCGACGUCCAAGGCACCCGCCCGCCGCUCGAGGUUGGCGCGCUCCACGACGCAUCGGAGGAGGCCGGGCGCCACGUCAUCCGCCACGUGGGCGUACGCGGCUCUCGCGGCGUCGACGUCGCCGACGGCUUCCUCGAACCGAGCGAGCGCGAAAUGCACCUCGACGUCGCGCUUGCAAAACACGUUCGCCGCGCGUUGCAGCGCGGCUCUCGCGGCGGCGACGCCCUGCCCCGCAUCCGACGCCUGCCACCGCGCGUACCUGAGCCAAAACCGCGAAUAGGACGCGCACGGCACGAGGCACCGCUCGUAUAAGCGGGUCACGCUGGAGACGUCCCCGGCGCGCUCCUCGUUGUCCAGGUACGUGUCCCAGUUCGCCAGCUGCGCGUCGUCGAGGGGCUUGACGUGGAAGUAGGGGCGCUUGACUCGCUGUUCGAAGGGCUCGCGCGUCGCCCUCACCGCCAAGGUCGCCCGGUACGUUUCGAAUCGAACGUCUCGGAACCGAAGCAGCCGCGGGUCGGACCCGCCCGCAGCCUCCGUCGCCGCCGCCCGCGCCGCCGCCUCGGCAGCCUCCUCCGCGCCGUCUCCUCCGUCUACUCCGUUCGACGCGGCGGCAUCGGUAGCGAGCCUCGACGCCGCGGUGGCGCCGGGUGCCGUCGCCCCCUUGGGUGGGAUCCCUCCCACCGCCGCGUCGAUGGCUCUUAGUUCCUCCGGCGGUAUCACCGCCGACGGGCUCCGGUUCGUGACGAACGUCUCAAACCCGGCCCAGUACUUGUCGAGCUCCUUCAGGGGAACCCGCAGCACCCUGCCGUACAGCCUGGUGACGUGCACGGGAGACCCACAGCCGCUGUGCUGCUCGAAGUGAAUGUACGCGUCCCACAGCGGGUGCGCCAGCCAGUCCGUGCCCGCGUACGCGAGUCCGCUCUCGAACAGCUCGCGAACUUUUUCCGCGUCGCGUCGCAUCGCGAUGGCGUGCGACGCCCGUUGGGUCCACAGAUCGAUGCUGUAGGGGAACGCGUGGGUGGCGCGCUCGUACACGUGCUCCACGCCGUCGAUUCCCGCGAGCCUCGACUCGGCGUCGGCGUACUUCUUCCAGUAGCCGUAGCACAGCGGGAACUCGGCGAGGAAGGCGUCGUAGACGGCUCGGAUCUUGUGCACGUCCUCGGUCCGUUCGGCGGCGCCGAUGAGGGCGGUCCAGCAGUUGAAGUCCGCGGGAUCGGCGCGAACCUUGUCCCACAGCGGUACGGUUGGGCAUCCGCGCGUCUUGGGCCUGGCGUCUCCGUUCGCCGACGGCGGGGUUCCCACGCCCGGAUGCGCACCUGGUAAAAGCGAUCAAAAAGCGUCAGAGCCGUCGGUUGGAGUCUGAGGUUCGGAGCGCGCGGGAUCUGACGACGGCGGGAAGGGAGGGGGGUUGACGCGCACCGCUAUCCUCCGUCAUUAUCCUCUACCUCACACCUCGAUGGCGGUCGAUGUCGACCGCACGAUUCGGUCCCCGUCGUCCACCGGCGACGCUCCGAACAGUGGCGUGGCCGAUCGGUCCUCGUCAUCAGACGCUGCGAACGGCGGGAUUUUUUUUUGCCGGUGCCGAGGGUGGUGAAUCCUUCGCCCGCGAGGUUCCAGUCGCGAGGACCAUAGCGGGCAUCAUCUGGACGCAAGGACGAUGAGACGCGCACGGGCAUCUCCCGAGAGGGUCACCGACAUCACCGGCAUCGCGGCGUCGAGAGAUGGCUUCGCGGUGGGGCGAACCAAGGGCGGGUUUAGAGUGGCCAUCUCGCUCGCUCUGUUAGUCGGCAUCUACUUCUUCUCGGCGGUUUGGGGCAGGGGUGCGACUUCUACCACCGGUGCAUCGUCUGACAUCGCAUCGGCGGGGGUGACGAGGCGAGUAAUCGGCGACGGCCGCGUGGAGGCCAUCUGGAACGUCCCGGCGAGCGCAAAAGGGACGGUGCUGGCUCUGCACGGGUGCUCGCACUCCGCGCUGGACUGGUUCCCGAGAGACGAAUCGAGAUGCCCGGAGUGUCGGGGUUUGGCGCAGGAGCAGAAGAUCACGAACGCCGCGCUAGACGCCGGGUACGCGCUUCUCGCCGUGUCUUCCGCGGGGCACUGCUGGAGCCGGGACGACGUGCCGAGGUUGGCGCUCGCCCUGGACGCGUACGGCGCGGAACACGGCGCGUCGAGGCGUCGACCAAUGUACGCAUUCGGAGCGUCCAGCGGCGGGUCCUUCGCCGGCGUACUCCCCUCUCUCUCGGAUCUCCCUCGACGCCCCGACGGUCUGAUCAUUCAAAUCGCGGGUGGACCCGGCGGUACCGGGUUAGGGUUAGCGCAUUACCCACCCACGGUGCUGAGUCACAUGCCACGGGACGAGUCGACGGCGGCGGCGGUGCGUCGCUCGAUUGACGAGUUGACGGCGGCGGGGGCGCGCGUUCUGGAGCACAGGUUGGAGAGGAGGGCUCUGACCCCGUCGUUUUUCGAGGAGGAGAGCGCGGGAAAGGUCACGGCGCGGGAGAGCGCGGGAUUGUUCCACGCGCUCAGGGACGAGCUCGGGGUUCUGGACGCGCACGAUCUGCUCAUCCGCGACCCGAGGUCGUUUGACGUCGGCCAAAUCGCCAAACUGCGCGAACGGACGCCGGCGUGGGACUCGCUCGUUCCGGACGAGAGCGACGUGAGGGAGAUCCUGAACGUGGCGUACGCCGCGCACGAGCUGUCCGCGCAGGACUUCAUGAAAAACCUGCGGUGGAUCGUAGACGCGAGUAGCGCGUGACGUCGGUUCGAGCGAUCGUCGAAUUCUCGUUUCGGUUCGUGGUUUGUUUGUCAGCGCCUACGCUUCGAGCCGAUGCCCGUGCCCGGGGUGUCCUCGUCCAUCAGAUCCAAACCCCCGCCGUCCUCCUCGCCGUCCGCGUCGCCGCCGUCGCCGCCUUCCUCCCCCCCGGCCGCGCCUCCGCUCGCGCCGCCCUCGCCCUCGGCGCCGCCCUCGCCCUCGGCGCCGCCCUCGCCCGCUCCCGGCACCUUCAUCUCCCUUCGCAGCGUCUCAGCCGCGUCGGCCACGUCCUUCCUGUGUUCCUUGCGCCUCUCCGCCUCCUCCGUGGUCCGCGUCAUCUGGCUAUCGAGCCUCGCGAGCACGUCCUUGGAGUUAUCGUGCCACGCGGCGAGCUGGUCGAUGAUCUCCUUGAGCUGCCCGGGUCGGAGGUCGCGGCCCACCGGACAGCUGUGCACCUCGAACGCCCUCCUCUUAUGGUCGAGCUUGCCGCGCAGCAAUCCGGGGGCGAUGCACUCGUUGAUGAGCAUGUCCUCGAGCUCACGCACGCUGGACAUCUCUAGCGCGGACAUGAGCUCGUCGUAUGGAAUCGAAACCGACGCGUCCGCCAUCUGAACGACGGUGAGCUGCCGGAGCUUGAGAAGCUGCGCGGGGGAGAGCGGCGGGAGCCCGGAUUCGUGCUGGCGAUACUCGGGCAGGGUUCCGUAGGCGAACACGCGCAGGAGCGCCACGUGCGGGGCCGCGGGCGUGGACUCGAGCUGCCGCGAUCGGGUCAGGGGUCGAAGACGUCAGCGGGUCGGUCGAGCGGGCGGGAUCUGGCGAGAGGGCUCCGGGGAUGGGGAAAACAAACAACGAGAGUUCUCAGAUGGCGCACCUCCUUGACGCCGUCCAGAUCCAGCAGCUCGCCGAAGACGUAGAGCUUGGGAGCGCUCGUGGCGCGCUCGAUGAGUUCCACGACCCGCUCGCCGCGCGCGUCGCGGCCCUGCGCCACGAAUUCCUCCACCACGGAGUCGUCGAACCCCACCAUCGCGCGCCGUCUGAUGGAUGCCUUCCCUCGUGAAGUCUGAAGUCGUCGUGGUGACGAGGCCGAGCUCGAGGGUCAAAUUCUCGCUUUCAAAAUUUCGUAUGGGCAAACAGUUAGGAAACCGUUUGACAAGUCCCGUCUCUGCUUUGGCCACGGGGCCUGACUUUUGGCGGCCAAAGCAGUGUCUCUCGCGGGCGUCCGGUGCACAGCAGGACGCGAGCGGCACCGAUCGAGUGUCACCGUCGCCGCGUCGAAGGUUCAGGCGACCGCGCGUUGAGCAUCGCGCGGAGGUGAACAGGGCGCGGGCGUCCGCCGCGUCUGGAUUCGGGGUCGCCGAGUUUGAAAAAAGGGCGAUCGCCACCCUUCUCGCUCGGGAGUGAGUGUCUGUGAGACCCGCCCGCGGUAAAGAUGGGCGGUCCGGGCUCCGGGCCGCAGGGCUUCGGCGCGGGAGGAUUCCACCUGAAGCCCAAACGCAAGCGCAUGGCGACGGAGAACGCCAUCACCAAGGUGAACCCAUCCGAGCCCAAGCGCGCCAUGUUCCACUGCCAUUACUGCAGCAAGGACAUCAGCGCGGUGGUUCGGAUCAAGUGCGCGGUGUGCGCGGACUGCACGCUGUGCGUCGAGUGCUUCUCCGUCGGGGUGGAGCCCCACCCGCACGAAGCAUCGCACGCGUACCACGUCAUCGACAACCUCUCCUUCCCGCUGUUCACCAUGGACUGGGGCGCCGACGAAGAGAUCCUGCUGCUCGAGGCGAUCGAGAUUUACGGCCUCGGCAACUGGACCGAGGUUGCGGAGCAUGUGGGCACCAAGACCAAGCUCCAGUGCCACCAGCACUACUUCGACUGCUACGUCAACUCGGAGACUACCCCUCUGCCCGACAUGUCCAAGAUUCUGGGGCCCAAGUACACGAAGGAGGAGCCCAACGAGGAGCCCAAGGCGAAGAAGGUCAAGGCGGAGGAUGGCGACGCCGACGACGACGCGGCCGAGAGGGCGGACACGCUCGCGUCGUUCGCGCGGCCCGGGGACGAGCGGCAUUGGGGUAACGUGCCGGAGCUGACGGGAUACAACGUGAAGAGGAACGAGUUCGACCCGGAGUACGACAUCGAGGCGGAGCUCCCUCUGGCGGAGAUGGAGUUUCGAGACACCGACACCGAGCUGGACCGAAAGCUCAAGAUUCGCAUGCUCGAGAUCUACAACAAGAGGCUGGAGGAACGGAUCCGGCGUAAGGAGUUCAUCAUCGACCGCGGGUUGCUGAACGUCAAACGACAGCAGGCGCUGGAGCGCAAGCGCACGCCGCAGGAGCGGGACAUCCACGGCGCGGUGCGGGUGUUUGCCAGGUUUCUCGACCCCAACGAGUACGAGAUCAUGCUCGAGGGUUUCAUGGCGGAGAGCCGCAUCAGGAACCGAAUCGCGGAGCUGAAGGAGUACAGGCGCAACGGAAUCCACACACUGAGCGAAGGGGAAGUCUACGAUGCCGAGAAGCGUCAUCGCAUGGCCGAGAUUGCGCGCAUCAAGGCGAUUGAGUACCCCGGCAGGGGCGGGUCGAGGGCGAACAGGUACCUCGGCCGCGACGGGUUCGUGCAGGCGCCCGCGGGAGACGCCGCGCCCAAGGAGCUCCAAAAGCUGACCGGCAUCGCGGCGGGCGGCGGCGGGAGCGGUGCGCUGACUUCACUGGGCGGUACCGCGAGAAAGAAGGCGCCGCUGCCGCUGGAUCUCACGCACCUCCCCGGUGUGGAGCUGCUGAGCAAACGCGAGAAGGAGCUCUGCGUGGCAAACAGGCUGCUGCCGGUGCACUACCUGUCCAUUAAGGAGGCGCUGAUGCGCGCGAGCGCGAACGGUCAGGUGCUGAAGCGAUCGGAGGUGAGGCACAUGUUCAAGGUUGAGCCCAUCAAGGCUGUGAGGGUGUUUGAACUGCUGCUGCAACACGGAUGGGUGAAGGACCCGAACGAGACUGAAGGUUAGCCAGAGAGCGACGCUCUCCUCAUCACAGUACACUCAUAGAGACGACGCGUGCGUACGAACGUUUAAUGGACAUAAGGUAUGCAUCAUUAAAAGCCUCGUAAUGGUUCGGCAGCUCUCGCCGAGAUAAAAAAUCACUUUUGGGCCGAUCCCCAAUUUACAGACUCGGAAUCCACCCUGCGCUUAAGCGAAGCGAGGCGUGGAGGAGUUGCUGUUCCCGUUGUUGUUCGCGGGGUUCAUGCUCUCGCGGAUGCCGCGGUACACGAGCCCGAGUGAGCGACCGAUGAGGGUCACGAGAAGCCAAGAGGAGAAGUUCUUGACGUUGUUGAGCGUCGACUUGGCAAUCGGGACGACGACGUCGGCAAUCUCGAGGAACAUGGACAUGAGCAUGCGCGCGCCCCUCACCUGGUCCAGCUCGCUGUGCCUGCAGAUGCUGAUCCUCCGCGUCACGAUCUCACCCGAUGCGUCGAGGCCCAUGAGACAGUGCCAGUCCUCGUACAUGGCCACCACGUCGCGGUAGUUCCUCUCCACCCAGUCGUUCAGCUUCACCUCGUUGCGGAACUUCUCCAUGGAGCGGGUGGACUUGAGCCUGGGCUGAACCGAGAGCGCGUAGCGCACAACCUUGGACGCGGAAGCGGCCGCGGCGAGCAUCGCGCUCCUCUUCGCGCGCUCCGCCUGGACAGCCUUGCGGGAUUUGCCCUUGGCCGCCGCGAGCGCGCGCGAGCCCGGCGUCGUCACCGCCGGCGCAGAGGCUCCCUCGCGCACGCGGGAGAGGUACGCGCUCGCCACAGCCUCGGCAACUCGCAUCAUGGCAUCCUCGAGCACGGACACGGAAACGGCGGCCAUGGAGAAGUUCAUGCCCUCAUCCCGACGCUCCUUAGCCGCGGACGCGAGCUCGAUAGCCGCCUCCGCCAUCUCGCCGUCCUCAACCUCGAAGACGCUCUCCAUCGACCGCGAUAAGCCGGCCAUGUGCGUGAGAAGGUUGACGUAGAGAGCCGACUUGGAGCCGGGGAGCUCGACCUCGUAGUAGUUGACGAGCUGCGCCGCGAGGUUACCCGCUCGCGCGCACAUCUCCUCGUCGACGGCGUCCCCUUCCUCGUCGAGGUCCUCCUCCAAGCCGCCCGCCGCCGCCGCCGCGUUCGCCGCCGCGCGAGUCUCCAGCAGCCACUCUCGGGUCGCGUUCUCGGCGACGAUGGCGAAAAGGUUCUGCGCCUGCUCAGCCUCCUGGCCGACCGCGGGCGCGUACGUCUUGAAAGCGCUCUUGAGCGUCCUGAGGACGACAUCGCAGAGAGACGCGCGGGCCUCGGCGUUGAUGGCCUGGAGCUCCAUCACCGGUCCUCGCUUGCCCGCGUCCACGGUACCGUCCCACCAGCCGCCCGAGAGCUUGCUGGUGACCACGCCGGAGAGCGCGCCGGUUCCCGCGGCGGAGAAGACGCCCUCGUAGGAGUGGGCGAUGGCGGGCAGGUCGCCCACGGGCACCUCCUGCACGAGGUCCGCGGCAGCUUCCGGCUGCGCCGCGGCGGAGACGGUCGCGAGCGCGGACGCGUCGGCGUCGCGAUCCUCGCGAUCCUUACCCUCGAGCCACGCCCUUCCGGCGGUGACGAGGGCGCCGCCGACCAUGAUGGACGCCGGAUCGAUGACGUCGGUGCGAACGUCCCUGCGUGCGGUACGGGGGUUUGCGAGGCGCGGAACGAACGGUCAGCCGCGGAUGGCCGGAAGGAGCGCCUGACGGGGAGUGCGGGAGAAGAUCGAUUUGAACUGGCGUAAACCCGGUUUUCGUAGGGUAGUGCCUUUUGCGCGCGCGGGAACCCGAGGGGCGACGGGCGUGACGGGGGAGCCGGAUGGCGAUCGAUGCGACCGCCGCCGUCAUUCCAUGUUGCAAAUCGAAAGCCCGGACGUGAGCUCACCUGGACGGACGAGCGCCGAGGCGCUGGCGCGUCGGCGCGCCGAGGGAUCGGCGAGCCUUGAUCACGCCAGCGGGUUGGGACUUGUGCGACGCAGGUCCGGCGCGGGCGAACGCCGCGCCCCUAGCGAUGGGCACGCUCGCGGCGGUCAUGGCGGCCAUUUUGCCUACCUCCCGCGAAGUUGGAUUACGUACGGACGUCCGCCGACUCGGACUCCGCUACGCUGGUAAUGGCGAACCCUCACCGCGCCCCAACCCUCAUCCGCCCCCGAGGGGUCCAGGUGGGCAACCUUUAGACCGUCAGUGCGGACCAGGCUUAUCCAGAUGCCUUUUUGUAUGCGCGCAGGUUAGGGAAAAUUCUGAAAAUUGACUCAGAAAAUGACCGUCUGAUGGAAACCGACAGUUUUGAAAUCCAGAUCCCAACGAGCCUCUGCAUCGGCUCUUUUCUUCCGUGUCAGGUUGCUCGAAGUCGUCGUUGUUCUCCGGCCAGUGGAGCGGGGCGCCGCUUGAGAGGAGGAAGGUGGGGGGGAUGGUGCACAUCACCAACAUCGGUGGGUCGCUGACCACCGCGGUGUGCCUCUCGCUCAUCGCGUGGUCCAUCCGCGUGCUUCGAGCCGCGAAGCUGGCGGACCAGAAGACGCGAGCCCGUGUCCUAAGGGAGAACACGGGGUUGCCCUCCAUGCGACUGAUCAACAGCCGUCGGACGCCCGCGCGGCUGUCUCCCGCGGCUUUCUGGAUGUUGGUGGAGUCGCGAUGCCUACGUCCGGUACUCGUGGACGUCCGGAGCGCCAAGGAACUGGCGGAUACUCACCCGGAGGACGACGGCAUCUCCAAGCGCCUGGAGAUGGUUCGGAUACCCAUCGAGGAACUCGCGCACGUGCUGCGAAACAAGGCGACGCAGUGGAGACUCCGAGCCCGAGACGGGCCGCACGCUAAGCCCCCGUCGCUGCGGGACACCAUGGUGUUCAUCUCCACCCACGGCAACGCCGCGACGCAGGCGGCGGCGAUCGCGAUGGCGCUCGGGUACCAGAGGGUGAUGGCUGUCGACGGCGGACUCGCCGCCGCCGCGCCGCUCGCGCCGCCGUCAUCCUCCGGCACCCCCACCGCGUCUUCGCUGCACAACGGACUGGUCACCGGCGAGGGCGGCGGCGGAGGCGGUCGGGGGGGUAACGGUCGUGUCGGAUCCCCGAGGAGCGGGCACGACUCGCCGUUCGGGUCGUCGCCGAGGACCCCGUCGGCUUCGUCGCUCUCGUUCGUGCCACCCGGGGAGACGCUCAGCAGGGACGCGCUCUUACUGCUGAUGGAGUACGGACAGGCGCAGGGCGCGCCGCUGGUGACGCUGGUGGACGUGCGCAGACACGACGAGCGCGCCCUGUACGGAAGCAUCAGGGGCAGCGUGCACCUCGCGGCGGAGCAGUUACCCAGGGCGCUGCUGAUGCCGCCGGAUGAUUUCCUUCGCGCGUUUCACUUUCGCAAACCGGGUCCGGACGACGUGGUGGUGGUGCACAGCCGGCGGCAGGAGCGCGCGAGCUACGCCAAGCAGCUCCUCGGUGACGCGGGUCUGCACAGGUGUCUGGUGUUGUCCGAGGGGGUCAUGGGGUGGAGAAGCGGCGGCGGCGGUGGCGAAGACGUGAGGGCGUACGACGCAUUCGGCGAAGGGGAGCCGCCGCCGGAGCCGUACCCGACGGAGCCGCCGGUGGAGAUCGACAGGCCGGAGGCUGAGGCGGAGCUGAUGCACAAGAACGUGCUGCUCCCCUGAGUCCCGCGAGGUGGGUCCGGGCGCCGGCGCGGUGUCGUGUUCGCGUAGUAAUCGACUAGUCUUGAAUAAAAGAAAGCGUGCUCUUCGUACAAAUCAACUAAAAAUGAAAAAUCCCGACUCGAUUGGUCCCCGUCGCCGCCGUCUCUCUACGCAAAGCCGAGGGGGCACAUGGACUUGUUCUUGUGCUUCGCCUCGACGACGUCGCCGAUCUGAUCCGCCGUGCCCAUGUCCUUCACGAACUUGAGAAACUCCGCGAAGAUCCCCGGAAGAGUCCUGUAGUUGGCGUAAGGCACCCCGAACUUCUCAGCCUCCUCCGCCACGAUCUUGCGGAUGGCCGGGUAGUGCACGAAGCAGAUCGCGGGGAAGAGGUGGUGCUCCACCUGCAGGUUGAGCCCACCGGUGAAGAAGUUACCGACCUUAUCGCCCCAGUCCGCGGACGUCACGAGCUGCUGGAUCCCCCAGUCGCGCUCCCACGCCUCGCCGCCGGUGUCCUCCGGAACCUUCGUCUCAGCCACGUUGUGCGACACGGCAAAGGUGCACGCCAGCACCAUGCCCUGCACCGCGAUGAAGCUCGCGACGCCCGCCGCGACCGCCGCUCCGGACGCGCCCCACGCGAGGGGGCCCAGGAGCAGUCCGAAGUGCGCGAUCUUACCGAUCACGACUGUGGCGAGCUCCAGCGCGGUGGCGCCGUGGAGCUUGGCGCCCUCGCAAUCUCGCGUGAACAAGCCCUUGAUGUCGCCAACCUGGAACGCCAGCUGCAUCAGGGGGAACGCCGCGAAGAGGUAGAUGUGCUGGAACCUGUGGAACCACUUCUUCGGCUGCCUCGCGUCGAACCGCAGCAGGGGCAUGGCCGUGUAGACGUCCUGAUCCAGGGCGUUAUCGUUGCAGUGGAUGUGGUGGCUCACCUGGUGGUGGUACCGCCACAUCAGCGACGACCCCCCGAUGAGGUCGUCGGUCAUGCCGAGAGCGUUGUUCACCCACGUCUUCGGGCUCAUCGCGCCGUGGUUCCCGCAGUGCUGAAUGGUCAGGCCGAUCCACGCCCCGGCGAGGCCCAGCAUCGCGCCCGCGAUGGGUCCGGUGAAGUUGGCGUAGAGUGCGUAACACGCGACGGCGGUGCCGACGAUGGUCGCCGCCGCGCCGUCGCCGCCCAUCCUGUGCUCCAUCUUACCCUCCCUGGGGAACAGCUCCUUGCGAACUCUAUCGCGGAUGGAGUUGUAAAGGGGAGAGUCGUUGGGCCUGGGCGCCCUGGGCACCGCGGUGACGGGGAAAUCCUCGAGCACGGGGAGCUUGUUGAACCUCGCGGUGGACACCUCGGGACGCAGGUGGUAGGACUCGAUGAGCGCGGUGCAGUCGCGGCCGAUGGCGAGGUUGAGGAGCCACUCGCCGCCCGGGUGCUUGUCGUAGAAGGGCUGGAGGUCGUACGCGACGUCGCGGUACACGGUCCACUUGGUGUCCUUCCACUUCGGGUCGUUCCACGGGUCCUGCAUGUUGGGCAUGGCGACGUCGGGACGGGGGGCGGAGAUGGCCACCCUCUGCUCGGGCUCGGGGACGGUCACCGGCGCGGGGGUGGCGACGGCGCGCGUGACGAGGGACGCGCGCGAGAGGCGCGCGGGAGCGACAUGCUGGGUACGAAGGGUCACACCCCUGAGAUCGGAAGGGAGACGCGGGCCGGAUGCGUCAGCGUCGGGGCCAUCGCGGGUGGCGUGCGGCGCGAGGGGAAGAACGAGGCGUGGAGGACGGAUUUGCGAAGGCAACGAUUCGCACCUCGCGACGACCCUGCUGCUCGCGGCGCCCGAAGACCUGGCGCGGGCGUUGAGACGAAGUCCGGCGGAGCUCACGAUGGUGGCCGCCAUGGUUCGUGUGGUGACUCGAUGCUUAACGCUCACCAAGGGGCGCCUCGACGAAGUGAUGACGUCGCGGCGCGAGUUCGUUCACAGAAGCUUGGAACGACGAGAAGAAACUCUGAGGCGGGUGCUCACACAGCGGCCGACCACGUCGCCUCCGAGCCACUGGUUCGGAUCGGGUCCGUUUCACGGUCUAUUUCUGGUCUAUUUCUGGGUGUUUGUGCUGUGAGAACAAAAAAUCCAGAAUCUCAUAUCCCAACAGCUUAGAUUGGACCAAUCAGAGGCCGGGAUUCGUAAACCCGGUUUGGGGGUUUUCACCCGUCUCAGUGCACUGGCAGACUGGCUGGAGAUCACCCAGGUCUCGUCGCGUGAGAUUGACGAGACCUGGUGGGGAUGGGCGGAGGAGACCGUGGGACGACGAGGUCCCGCCCGAGGUUCCCUCCAGCCACCGUCAUAGCGCGCCGCCGUUCCGCACGGGACGCCGUCGACUUCCGCGCGUGUUUUCCCGGAGGUUUCCGCCGGAUCGAACGCGGAGGCCGGACGCGGGUGACGCGUCGAGCGGGACGGUGCCGGGAGACCGACGAGGGGGUUUGGGCAAUUCUUUCCCGGACAAGUGGAGGAAGAUACGGGGGUGGGGGAGGAUGCAGCCGCUGACGAUGCACGCGCGCGCGCCCGCGCGAGCUUCGACGGGCUCGGGCGCGGGAUCGUCCUCGCGCGGAGGACAGAUGCGGGAACGGGCAUCGUUCGCGUCGCCGAGCGCGGAUCGGCUCCGCGCGGGCGCCCGGCGGCGACCCGGGGGACGGCGACGCCGCGACGGGGGCACGCGCGUGGAGGCGCUCGCGGUGAUCCGCCUGCUCAAGUUCGACCCCGACCGAGUCUCCGUGUCGUUCGCCGAGGACACGUGCAGGAGGAUCGCGGAGCCCGACAGGACCCGACGCUACACCCUCACGCACAACGAUCUCACCCAGCACCUCACCCUCUCCGUCGCGAGCGACUUCAACCCCGACGGCCAGGCUGACGUGUGGUACACGCGGCUCCUGCGAGACGAGGUGCUCGCCGAGUGGUGCGACGACGGCUUGCACGUGCACUGCAACGUCACCGUGGAGGGGCACUGGUGGAUCGCGUGGGCCAAGCAGCUUCGCGCCAUCGUGUUCCGGCAGAAACUACCCCUCGUCCUCGACACCCUGAGGUACGCCGAGGCGGACCUCCUGUUGACCAACCCGAGCCUCGCGAGCGCGCCGGUUUUCGUGCACUUUCACGAGGGGCCGUGUCGAUCGGCGACGAGCGCGAGGUUCAACAACUCGAGGUCCGAGGGCGUCCGCGAGUACUGGGGGCUGUUCAGCAACGCGGGACAGCGCAAGGGGUUCGAUCAGUCGCGAUCGUACGACGAGGAGCUGUCGGGGAGCGAGGCGUUCUCGCUGGAGCGCGACCUGUGGACGCCGGAGAGCGUGGCGCGGGAGAUGCUAACCGGAACCGGAUCCGGAUCUGGCUCGUUCGACGACGACGGCGGCGGCGGCGGACGGGGCGUGGGUGGAGGCGGGGGUGGAGGCGGAGCGGACGGGCGCGUCGGCGCGGGGGCUCGGAGCUUCGCUAAAUCGCCGGGGCUCUCCGCGAGCGGAGGCCCGCCCGAAGACGCGGUUGUGACGAGCCGCUGACCAAUUCUUUUUCAAUAACCAAAACUAGUUUCGAUUAAAACGCCGGCACGCCGCCGCCCGCGGGUCCCGCGAGCAUCAUGCCGAUCACACCCUCGAGGGCCUCGGGCACGAACGUGCUGCGCAUCUCCUUGCCGAGCGCGGCGAUCUCCGCGUCGUCCUUGUGCUUCAUCGUCGCCGCGACGUACGCCAUGAGCCCGCCCUGAUCGGCGGUGAAGCCGAACUUCUGGAGGACGGGCAUGCACACCUGCGUGGCGACGGGCAUGACCAUCAUCAUGAGCAUCAUGAUGUUGUCGGGCUGAGCCGCCAUCGCCGCCUUGGCCGCCUGGAAGUCGGGGACGAAACGGGUGAGGGAACGGCUUGUCAGUCGGUGUUUCCACGGGGUUCGAUUAGAUUCGUCGCGGCGGAUCGACCGAGGCGCGGGUCAUGUGUCGGUCGGCGGGCAUGGGUCAACCCUGGGCGCUCACCUCCAUCUUGGCCAUGUUUUCCGGCUGCUUCAUGAGCUCGAUCGUCUGCGUCAGCGCAUCUGCGGAAGUGGGAAAGGGACUAGCGAGGUCAGAGGGAGGUUCGAGGGAGGAGACGGACAGCCGAUCGGGGCCGCUUUUUGGCGGGACGAGACCGCGGGACGGCCGAUGACCGGCUGGCGCCUGGCGAUGACGACGCGGGAGGAGGGGACGCGCACCCUUGGCCUGAUCCUUGGAGAGCUCGGGUUGCUUGGGCGCCUCGAAGGCGUUGGCGGCGGACAUGUUCGACUAACGGCGUUGAAGAGUGGCGUCGGGUCGGCGGUGCCAACUUGUUUCGCCGACUGAGAGCCACGAGUUCUGGAAGCCGAUUUCUUGUGCUGUGUCCGGCCACAUCGCGACGCGCGGUACCCAUGCUCGCCGCACGCGUCCCGACGGUCGCACUCUCGAGCCCGCGGCGCCACAUCCGCGGAAAAACUUCGAUCGCCUCCAAAAAACCAGCCGCACUUGUCGUCGCCGCCCGCGUCGUCGCGACCCGCGCCAUGCCGGAGGGCCCUUACCCCGAGCUCGCCGUCUUCGACCUCGACGCGUGCUUCUGGGACGAAGAGAUGUACACGCUGCGGGACAUCGUCGAUCCCGCCAGGUCCGUCCGCGGUAACCUCGGCAACGGCGUCGGCGAGGGCGUCGUGUCCGCCAUGAGCGGCAACACCGCCAUCACCAUCAAUCCCGGUGCCCUCAGAGCCUUACAGGAUUUUCACGCGGGCAAGUACCCAGGGAUGAGGAUCGCCGCGGCAUCGUCCGCGGACACUCCUCUGGCCGUGAGGAUUGGAAGAAGCGCGCUCGACGUCUUGGAGAUCGUCCCCGGCGUGACCGCGAGGGCGGUGUUCGCGAUCGGCUGGCCGGAGGGCUUCGACGGCAACAUGCAGAUCGGGCGGACCCCGCCGCUCUCGUCGAACAAGUCUCAGACGCACUUUCCGAUUUUAAGGCGGGAGACGGGAGUGGGGUACGAUCGCAUGCUCUUCUUCGACGACUGCAACUGGGGGGACCACUGCGCGGCGGUGGCGAACGGGUGCCGGGACGAGAUGACGGGGUUGGGGCCGGUGGUGGUUCGAACGCCGCGCGGGCUACAGGUGGCCGAGUGGGAGAAGGGCCUCGAGCUCUAUCGGGAGAGAGUCGCGAAAUUCGCGCCGGCGGAGCCGCCCCUCUAAUUCGACGUCUAAACGACCUACUUAUCUAAGCCGUACCCGCGCGCUUUCCCCCAUGCGCGCGCGCGGGAUAUGGUGUUGAGCGACCCCGUCACGCACACCGCACCCCCCCGCCCCCUCUCCCCUUUUCGCAGACCGGCGACAGCCGCGUCAAUCGCGGCGUCGAAAUCGUCCUCCACCAAAACCCGCGGCGGCGACCACGGAUUGAACAGUUCGGGCUUACCCUUCUCGUCCGCCUUGUUCUUCGCGUACGCCUCCGCGUCCCUCACCUUCUCUUCACAAAACUCCCACGCCUCCUUGAGCGCGGACGUCGACAUGGAACGUUCCGUCCCGCCCGCGAUGGGCACCGUGGUGAGCACGAUCACCUCCGGCUUGGCCUUGAUCACCUCCAUGAGGAACCCCGCCCUGUCCUUGUCGCUGGCCAUGGCGACCACGACCGCGAGGGGGUCGCCCGGGAAGAUUUCUCCGACCGUCUCGAAGAACGCCUGCGCGGACUCGACGGUGUGCGCGCCGUCGGCGACGAUCCCGCACUCGACGUCGAUGCACCUCGACCACCGCUCCCUCACCGCAACCUCAUCCGUCCAUACCCGUCCGCAGAGCGGGGGCAGCACCGUCUCGAAACACCCGGGAGACACCGCGUUCUCCAGCCCGACGCGCAUGGUGUCGUCCGUGAUCUUACUCCAGCGGUAGCCGCCGUCGGAAUCUUCGGGUCCCUGACCCCCGCCGCACCGGAUAAACUCCAUCACCCGCAGUGCGUUGACGGCGUUUUCGCGCUGGUGCGGUCCAACCAGCGACAUCCGAACCCCCUCGAGGUCCCGCUUCACCCACGCGAGGUGCUUCCCGCUCCACAGGUCGUCGCUGCCGUCGGUCCAUAUCUCGUAGUUCACGAGCUGAACCGGCUUGCCCUCCGCCGUCCACUCGAUCUCGCCGGUGGGAAAGGCCUUCACGUCGAGAUCGUACUCGGUGAUCCAGCGCCCGCCCUCGGCCCAAAUCUCCGAGCACAGGAGCGCGUUCACGUCGUCGCGCUGCAGGACGUCCCCUCUGGUCUGGGGCGCCACGAACGUGGGCCUGUGCAUCUGCACGAUACCGCACUUGGCGCGGACGAUGUGCCCGAGAGUACCGCCGAGCGCGUCUACGUGGUCCUUCCCAAUCGCGGUUAUGACCACCGCGGCGAUGGACUCCUGCGUGAAGAUGUUUGUCGCGUCGUGCUCGCCGCCCACGCCGCACUCCACCACCGCCAUCUCCGCGCCGAGCUGCCUGAACUUGACCAUCGCCAACACGGUGAGGAUCUCAAAGUACGUCAGCUUACCCUUCUCCUUAUCCUGCGCGUCGAGGAUGAUCCGCGCGGUUUCCGCGUCGAUCUUCCCGUGCGUGGCGAGUCUGGUGGUUGGAUCGAGAUGCGCGCCUCGUUCGUCGUACGCGGCGUCGGGCGGGAUCGGCCCGCACGUGAUGCGCUCGGCGACGGAGUGCACGUGCGGCGACUUGUACGUCGCGGUGUUAUACCCGGACGCGCGAAGGAUGCCGGCGAGGAAGCCCACGGUGCUCCCCUUGCCCUUGGUGCCCGCGACGUGGAUGGUCUGGAACCCCGGGCCCCAUCGCGCUCCGGUGUGCUCCGUCUUCUCCCACAGGUGCGGCUCUCCCAGCGCGCGUAACAGGUCGUAGACGCGCCGAAGGUCGUACGCGGCGUCUUCGUACUGCUCGUUCGUCCUGCUCAGCGUCCCCAGCCGUCUGAAGUCGGGCAAACCCGUCUUCUCGUAGUUCUUAAACGGCGCGAGGAAGGCGUCGAUGUCCACCAUGCCGUCGUCGUCGCCUCCUUCCCGCGGGGCGGCGGUGCCGAACCCGCGGUGCCAUCGCGUCGCCGUCGGCGAUGACGUAGGCGCGCAUCGGAGGAGCCGGGAUCGCGCGUCAGCCCCGGAGAUCCACGCGAUCCUCACGGCGCGCGCGAUCGCGCCGGCCACCCGACGCGGCGACCCCGUCAUCGGCGCCGCGCGCGCGGGAGUGCCGCUGCGCCAGAGGUUUUCACUCAUUCCCGAAACCGGCGAGUGACUCCACCAGAAUUCCGAGUCAGCUCUCGCUUCCGAGCUCUUCCGCGUCAGAGGCGGGGCGAGCGGGGCGAGGGAAACGCGCGAGAUGCGCUUCCCUCGUGUCAGAGCGAUGCCUGGAGGGGCCGCGAUGGCCGAAAUCGCGGCGGAGGGCGAACCGACCACCUCCGCCGGCCACCCCGAGACGCAGUCCCCGGAACCGGGAGCGAAGGGCGGGGUUGUCCCGAGGACCCCGCGGGCGUCGGCGCGAAACGUGGCGCCGACGUCGGCGUAUCGCGACGUUCUCCGGCGCGAGUGGGACCCGCGCCACAGGCUACGACCCAGGUUGGGCCACUCGCACUUCGUCAAGAACCUUCGCCUGGUCCAGCGCCUGGACAGGCACGCCGGAUGCGUCAACACCGUGGCGUGGAGCGAAGAUGCGUCGCUCCUGCUCUCCGGCAGCGACGACCUGUGCGUGUGCGUGUGGAGCGUCGGCACGUCGUUCCCGUGCCUCGGAACCGUGUACACGGGCCACAACCACAACAUAUUCAGCGCGGAGUUCGUGCCGGGCACGCGAGGCGGCCGGUGCGUCACCACCGCCGGCGACGGAGACGUGCGCGUCGUCGACCUCAUUCGGGGAUUCCAAUCCGCGCGGGGCCGAGGCGACCCCCGAGAUCGCCCAGGCGGACGGAGCCCCUUUCGAACCCGCCGCUUCGGCUUCGACGACGACAACGCCGCCGACGACGGCGCCGCCAGGUCCCUCUUCGCGGGCAGGCCGACGGACCCGAACGAGAUCGGCGACGUCAUGGGCAUGAAGGUUCGAUUCGUCCCGGGCGCGCCCGACGUCUUACUCGCCACGCAUCAGGACGGCCGGGUCAGACGGUUCGACCUGCGCCUAGCUCCUCGGGCCACCGGCGACGUCGUCGUGGAUCUCAGCGUCCAGGGCGGCUGCAGCGACCUCGCCUUCGAUCCGUCCUCGCCGUCGCUCUUCGCGCUGGGAUGCGACGAUCCGUUCGUUCGAGUGUUCGACGUGAGACACCUCGCGGAGACGGCGCGGGACGUCUCGGCCGCGCGUCGCGCGAGAUCGCCCAGCGAGCGCGAACACGCGGACCUCAUACCCGUCGUGGCGAAGUACUCCCCGGGUAAGUCCCACGGGUUCAACAGCAGGUCGCUGAGGUUCGACGGCGUAUCGGGGCUGGCGUACGGUAAACGGGGCGAACUCGCCGUGACGUACCGGGGGGAGCACCUGUACGUCAUCGACCAGCGCGCGUACGAGUCGAGACGUUUGGCGUCAGUCGGGGACGGUCACGGAAACGGUCACGGAAACGGUCACGGCGGGCACGGAGCGGCGGGCGCAGGGACGGAGUGGGGGUCGCUGUUUGGCGCCGGGGGUUCGCCGCCGCCCGCGGGUUCGGAGUCCCCGGAGUUUGGCUACGCGUCCCCGGACACGUCCGGGCUCAGAUCGGGAGGAUCGGAUUCGGACUCGGGUUCCGACGCAGGUGCCGAGUCCGACUCCGACGCCGAGAACGGGGCGGCGGGCGCGAGGAGGAGCGUGUCGGUGCCGCGGGACAGGGUGUUGAGCCCCCGCCCGCACCAACCCUCCGAGGCUGGGUGGGACCUCUUCGACGAUGACCCGACGCACCGACCGAUGGAACGCGACGAUUCCGCGGUGCGUCGGUACGUCGGGCACAGGAACGUGAAGACCUUCUUGAAAUCCGUCGCGUUCAUGUGCGACGACGCGUACGUGUCGACGGGGAGCGACUGCGGCGGGAUGUUCGUGUGGGACGCGCGCACGUGCGAGCUGGUGCUCAAGGUGCAGGCGGAUUCGCAGGUUGUCAACAACGUGUGCCCCCACCCCAGUUUGCCCAUGGUGGUCACCAGCGGCAUAGACGACUGCAUGCGGGUGUGGGAGGGCGGAGACGGGAGGCAUCUGAUCGACCUGCCUGAGAGGUACCCGGACGACGACGACGACGACGACUUCGACGACGACGACUACGACGACUUGGACGAGAUGGACGCCUGGGGCGACGACGGGGAAUACCGGCCGGGCGUCGUCGCGUACGCGAGCGACGCGGAGAUCUCCUCUUCCGACGACGACGACGAGGAGAACGAGUCCGAUCACGUCCACGACCCGGAGGAGGAGGGGGAUGGGGAAGAGGAGGAAAAGGCGGAGCCGUUUGGGGCGUUCGCGCGAGCCGAGGCGGUUGGGUCAGAGUCGGAUGAGCGACGAUCGGGUUCGCCGGGGGACGACGAGCGCGAGAGCGCCGAGCCGAGCGCGAAGAAACAGAGGGCUGAUGCGCCCUGACCCUUACGCGCGUGACACGUAACGACGUCGUCACAAAAAAUCUAAUGACGAUGACGAUGCGUCGUACCCCGCCACGGCUCGUGCGCCGUCUCGCGGUGGAAGACGUCUUCGGGUUCCAGCAGCAGCCUCCUGGAGUACAACCGCCUGACUUUCGCAACCUCGUCGUCCUUGUCCAGACCCGCCAUCUUCACCGCGAUGAUCGCCACGACGCCCAUGACGACGAUGAAGAGUAAGGUGAGGAUGCACUUAUCCGUCGCCAAACCCCGCGUCAGGUCCUUGAUGACCUUCAUGCUCUUCUUCAAGGAGAAGUGAAUCUCGUCGAGGUCGUCCACCACCUUUUCCAUCUGCUGCGUCUGAUUCCGAAGCUGUUCAGCGGUCUGCGUGCCCAGCUCGAUGGUCCUCGCGACGGUCGCCUUGCUACGGUCGAUGAUGGCAUCGGUGUCCUUGAUCUUAUCCCGGCCGUACACCAGGAGCUCCUCCGUCUGCAUCCCCUGCAGCUCGAUCUCGCCGGGUGCGACAAUCUCCGACUGCGCCGCCGCCGCCGCCGCGCCACCCUUGGAACCCUUCGAAAACUUCGAAAACUUGGACCCCCCGCCCGCGCCGGCGUCCGCCGCCCCGGCCACCGCCGGCUCCGACGACGUCGACGCCGCGCCCGACGACGAGAAAGGGUUCUGCUUCUCCCGUUCCGCCGCGUCCCUCGCGGCGGCGAAUGGGUCCGGCUUGGGAUCCCCUUUUUUCUUGGCACCCGGCGCUGGCGACGCGCCCGCCGCGGCUUCCAGCUGCUCCUGCCUCGCGGCGAUGUCCGCCUGCGCCGCCUUCUUCCGCUGGACGUAAUCGUUCAGCUGCUUGACCAUCUCGCGCUUGCGCUGCGCCGUGUGCUCGGGGUCGACGGAAGGGUCCUCCUGGCUCACGCGCUCGUACUCCUUAAUGAGGGACUUCGACUCGGCCAUCUUCUUGGUGAGGGUCUUGACGAACGCGGUCGCCUCCGCGGGGUCGCCCUCCAGUUUUUUCUUGUCCGCGAAUCCCGCACUGGUGGAUAGGUGAGGAGGCGGGGAGUUGAUACGUCAGGGCGCGGCCGAGGGUGCGGAGAACGGGGCGCAGGUCGUCGCGUCCGAUGCGAAAAACCUCAGCUGGGCACGGGGCUGGCGAGGGACGGGAUCGCGCGCGGGUUCCGGCGGGGCGCGUACUCUAUCUGGCCGUAGAUCGCCUUGAUCUGGACGUCCACCUGGGCCGGCGUGGACAUGGCUGCCGUCCGACGGAUGAGCGCGGCCUGGUUUGUUGGGCGGGCAGCGCACGCGCGCGAUGUCACCUCCACGGCUCGUCUCUUUCCAACGUCUACAAGUCAGACUCGCCAGCUCGCAGCGCAGUCCAGGGCUGCCAGGAACUCCAGCUGGAUAAUCUCAUCAGGAUUCGCCUUGUACUUGUAGCCGGGCUGAGGACGAGCGGCAUGUCGAGCCGAGUUGGUGCGGGUGGAAGCGGUGCGAGGGCGUGUUCGCGAGGGAGGAUGACACAGCAGCGCCCAACGUCGGAUGUGAGUAGCACUAGCUAGAGAGGGUCUUAAUAGUCUACAGCGUAGCUCUAAGGAUAAAUGGAUCGGCAACCGCCUCGCGGCUUGUUACACCGCUUACUUGCCGAAGCCGAAGAAUCCCUUCUUCUCGGGCUUAGCAGCGGCGCCCUUGGCUCCCUUAGCCGCGGGCUUGCCGCCAGCCUUCUUCGCGGCGGCCUUCUUCUUGUUCUCCUCGAUGAGCUUCUUCUUGGCCUCCAUCUUCUUCCUGUACUCGUCCGCGGGCAUGUUGGGACCGAACCCGCCGAUGGCGCGGGUCUCCUUGUUCACCCGGGAGGAUGCGCGGGUCUUGUCGCCGACGAGGGCGGGGCGCGCGGCGACGGCGGCGGAGAAAGAGAGGGCGGACAUGGUACGGCUGUGCGGUCAGAAGUGGCGUGCCGUGCCGUCUCUCGCGGAAAACGCGUCGAGACUGGUGGCCGGACGCUUCGCCACGUCGAUCGCCUCGGCCAGGAAAAGCACGUCCUGGCUCGAGGGCAGCCGAGCGGAAGUCUCGGACGUGCGCGCGGGCCAGUGUUGAACGGACGAGACCCACCGCGAGCGCCCCGUUCGAUCGCGAUGGCUCUAAUGACCACCCGCAUGAUGGUGCGCAACGGCGCGGAGUGCCUCGGGCGCUCCGCCCCGUCGCUCCGCUCCGUGCUGCGAUGCGCCCCCUCGACGCAGAGGGCAACGCUCGCGAGCCCGGGCGCCCCGACGCCGGUGAGGCUCGGGGUCGGCGGCGCCGGGCGCUCGAUGGUCUCGAUUCGCGCGAGCUCCGUCACCACCACCGCGGAUACCGCCGCGGCGACGUCCGCGUCGGCGCCGUUCAAGCGCCACGAGCGCAUCGCCGCCAUCAAGGUACGCGCGCCGGUUCGCGGACCCGGGAUGCCCUAUCCACAGAAUUCCGCCUUUUCGCGCCCCAGCCUUCCCAACCCCAACCCCUGACCCCCGCCCCGUUUCCGUUCAUCCCAGGGCAAGGACCAGGGCAAAUCCCGCGUCGGCGAUACCGUGCAGCUCCGCGGCUGGGUCCGCACCGUCCGCGCGCAGAAGGACCUCUCGUUUAUCGAGGUGAACGACGGCUCGUCGCUGAGCGGCAUCCAGGCGGUGGUGAACGGAGACGUGCCCGGGCGCGAGCACCUCGACGCGGGCGACAUCACCACCGGCGCCGCGGUGGUCAUCAAGGGUAUCGUGGUGGAAUCUCCGGGCGGUAAGCAGGCGGUGGAGGUGGCCGUCGAGUCCAUCAAGCUCAUCGGAGGAGCCGACGCGUCCACCUUCCCCCUGCAGAAGAAGAGGCACACCCUCGAGUACCUCCGCAGCAUCGCGCACCUCAGGCCGAGGACCAACACCAUCGGCGCGGUCACCCGCGUCAGGAACCAGCUCGCGUACGCCACGCACACCUUCUUCCAGCAGCACGGCUUCCAGUACGUCAACACCCCGAUCGUCACCGCGUCCGACUGCGAGGGUGCCGGCGAGCAGUUCCAGGUCACCACGCUCAUCAACGGAAUAGACGGGCCAAGCGUCGCCUCCGCCCAAUCGAACGUCGCGUCCGAGGCUGACAUCACCGCCGCCAAGGCCGCCGCCGCGGAGCAGGGCGUCGUCGUCAAGACCCUCAAGGAUGCCAAGAAGGAGGGCAAGGCGACGAAGGAGGAGGUGGACGAAGCCGUCGCCGAGCUCCUCGCGCUAAAGGCGAAGGCGGAGUCCCUCGAGAAUUCUCCCGCGGCGGCGGCGGCGGGCGGCGACAUCCCCCGCGACGCCGCCGGCGCCGUGGACUACGGCAAGGACUUCUUCGGCAAACCCUCCUACCUGACCGUGUCCGGCCAGCUCAACGCCGAGAUUUACGCGUGCGCCAUGAGGGACGUCUACACGUUUGGGCCGACGUUCAGAGCCGAGAACUCCAACACCAGCCGCCACCUCGCCGAGUUUUGGAUGGUCGAGCCCGAGCUCGCGUUCGCGGACCUUCAGGACGACAUGGACUGCGCCGAGGCGUACCUCAAGCACUGCCUGACGCACGUGCUGGAGCACUGCGACGAGGACCUGGAGUUUUUCGAGAAGAACAUCUCGAAGGAUAACCUCCGCGAGCGCCUUCGCGGCGUCGCCACCUCCGACUUUGCCAGGAUCACCUACACGGAGGCUGUCGACCACGUUCUCAAGGCGAAGAAGAAGUUCGAGUUCCCCGUGGAGUGGGGGUGCGACCUUCAGAGCGAGCACGAGCGGUACCUCACCGAGGAGGUCUUCAAGAACCGCCCCGUCAUCGUCCGCGAUUACCCCAAGGCGGUCAAGGCGUUUUACAUGCGCGAAAACGACGACGGCAAGACGGUGGCCGCGAUGGAUGUGCUCGUGCCCAAGGUGGGCGAGCUCAUGGGCGGGUCGCAGAGGGAGGAGCGCCUCGACGUGCUCGAGCGCAGGAUCGAAGAGGUCGGCCUGGAGAAGGAGAGCUACUGGUGGUACCUCGAUCUUCGCAGGUACGGGAGCGUCCCCCACGCGGGCUUCGGCCUCGGGUUUGAGCGGCUGGUGCAGUACGUCACCGGCGUGGAGAACAUUCGGGACGUGAUCCCGUUCCCGAGGUACCCGGGCAGCGCGGAGUUCUGAUAUGUAGGAUCUAUUUAAGUUGUCACGUCAUCGUAAGUAACCGUUUGAACGAGGGCACGCCGACCGCGACCCGCCGCGGCCCAUUUGGAAAAGUCUUCCGUCAAUCAUCAGUCUGUCCGUCAGUCGUCUGCUGAUUUGCCGUUCGCCGGUCACCGGUGCCCAACCUAAACACAACUCCCGAGACGGGGCAUACGCGCCUGCGCGGUCGUUCGGGUGGGAACGCCGCGGGGUGCUGUCUUUUGAGGGCGAGGCGGACCCUCGGAUACUACCGGAGAGCGCCUCGGGCUCUUCGCGCCACGGGGAAGGCGGCGGCCCCCGCGCUGCGUCGAACGACUGGAUUUGGAUCCGUUUGACCGCGAAAUGCCUGUGAGCAAAUUUCCGCCCGAGACGGGCUCGAUGAGGCUGACCAUGCCCGGCGGACGCGCGGGAUCGACUUCACCGGUCGAUCCCAACGACCCGCUUCCGUGGCUCAGACUGUUCCCUCCUGCCGUCAACUUCCACGGCAUCGAGGCCAACACCGUCUACACCGCCGAGGUGACGGUGCGCAACGCGGACAGUCGCAUCCACACCGUGAAGAUGAUCAAGCCCACGACGAAGAAGUUCUUCCUCGUCGCGGACGCGUUCAAGAGCGUCAAGCUCGCGCCGGGAAUGACCGCGAAGUUCGAGGUGGCGUUCGCGGCGGACUCGCAAAACGAUUUCUGGGACAAGAUCGUCAUCCAGACGGAGGUUGGCGACGCGGAGCUGCCCUUAGCCGCGUACGCCCCCGCGCCCGAGUGCAGAGCCGAGGGCGACCUCGACAUGGGCGUCAUCGCGCAGGGGUGCUCGGUGACGCGCGAGCUCACGCUCACGAACCACGGAUCCUCGCCCGGCGCCUACCGCUGCGAUUACGACAGGACCCUCGGUCCCGCGCUGCGCGUGGAACCCGCGGUGGGGUCCGUCCCCCCCGCGUCCGGGUCGACGCCCGGCGUGGCCAAGGUGAGGGUCACGUGCGCGCCGGAUGCACCCGGCGCGUCCACCGAGCAGCUCGAGGUCUUCUUCGACGGCAAGGCGGCGCCGUUCCAUUUCUUCGUGGACCACACGUGCGUCCCGCACACGCUCGAGCUGCUCGUGGACGACGGGACGGGCGCGGGCGGCGCGGGGGGUGACCCGAAGCGGCUGACGGAGAUGCCCUUCGGCGCCGUGCUCUACGGCGACGCGGUGACCGCGACGUGCGUCCUGUUCAACAACGGGCCCAACCAGACCACGUUCGCGAUGGACGUGACGAACGAGGAGGAUCUACAGGGUACCGUCCACGCCAUGUACCGCGGGGAGCCCGGGCCGGGGGGAAGUUCGCGGUGUGGUGAGCUGGACGACGGUACCUUGAUCGUCGAGCCGAGGUCGGGGAUACUGAAGCCUUACGAGCGGCGGAGGAUAUCGGUCACCGUGGCGCCGAAGCUGGCGACGUCCACCAAGGGGUUUAAGUCGGUGUCGAGGAAGAUCGACGGAGACGCAAAGUCGCUCGCGUGCCUCGGGGUCAUCACCUUCUCCGGCGUGCCCAAGGCGAGGUGCCUCCUUCCGAUCACGGCAAAGGCGGUCACGGGCGCGUUGGACGUUCAGCCCGCGUCGCUGGACUUUGGGUCGGUCGCCUGCCAUGACGUGGGCGACCACAUCGUGAUGAUCAAGAACAUGAGCAAGGAGGCGCCCGUGGACUACGUCAUCGACCGGUCCACCUUCUUCAAGCCGCAGCCGGCGAGCGGUAAGAUUCUGCCGGGGCAGAGCGUCAGCGUCGUCGUCCGGUACGAGCCCAAAAACUUGGGCACUCACGUCGAGGAUCUCACCGUCAAGGCGAUGGCCACGAGCGGCAAGGUGAUGGCGAAGCGGACGGUGCGCGUCAAGGGGUUCUCCGAUUUCGUCACGGAGAAGCCGCCGCUCCCCGGCGGGACCAUGGCGGUGCCGGAGGAUUUCGAGAGGCCGCGUAAGUUUGUCAGCGCGGAGGAGGUGAGAAAGGCGACGAUUGCGAGGUCGCGAGCCGGGCGGAAGCACUUGAACCCGAUUCCCACGUCGCUUCAGCGAAACACGGGUCGGUACACGGACGACACGCUCGACAGGCGUUUCAGCGAGACGCUCACGCUGCAGCAGGCGACCGCGCGGGAGACUCACCGCACCGGCUACGUCGAUUACAUUCGGACCAACAGGCGGCGGAGCACAAAGGCGGCGAGGGUUAACCCCGCGGAUCCGACGUCGCUCGGGCUCGUGGACAGGAGCGGGCUGGUGGAUAACGGGCCGCCGCUGCCGGACCCGGUGGAGCCCCUGUGGUUGAACCCGGACGUGCCCGAGGGGAGGCUCAGGCCGCAACACAGGGCACAGCGCCUGGCGGAGGAUGACGAGCUGCUCAAGCUGGGCGUCGUCUCCAACUUUAAGCGAAUGCCGAGCACCGCCAAGGAGAUGAAGGAGUGCUCCAGGGUUCUCAUACCGAAGGAGCUGGCGAAGCUCAAGAUCGGACCGAGCAUGCUGGACUUUGGGGAGGUGUCGGUGCUCAGCGAUAACCUCAAGUUCUUCACCGUGACCAACGAAAACGAUCAGGCGGUGUUGGUCCACGUGGACACCGCGGGUCAACUGGAGCUGAAGAACUCGACGCCGACGUCGCAGGUUGUCCCGCCCGGUAAAACCGCGCACUUUGGCAUCGCGCUCUGCGUCGAUCGCGUGGACAGGAACUUCAAGACCACCGUGGGGUACUCCAUCAACAGCAACCGAACCACGAGCUACGCCUUCGACGUGCUCGCCGACGUCGUCCCCGUGCAGCUCGACCUGAACGCGUCGGCGCUCAAAUUUCGGUUCGCGCCGGAAAAUUGGGAGGAUACCGUGACGGAGACGCUGGUCGUCACGAACCCGAACAUGUACGCGGCCGAGUACCAGUGGCGCGUCCCGCCCGGGUGCGCGUACAGCGUGCAUCCGUCUCGGGGUGCCGUGCCGGGGAACGGCAUGCAGCCGGUGCGGGUCACGUGGUCCCCGUCGUGGACUGUGGGUUCGCCCCUGUCUGAGGAAAAUUUCGCGACGCUCGUCAUGGACGUCGUCGGCGGGAGCACGUCUCGUGCCGUGCGGUGCACCGCGGACGCGGGUGAGCCCAAGUUGCGGUUCAAGGAGACUGUCGUGGACUUUGAGACGAUCGCGGCGGGGCUCGUGGCGACGAGGUAUUGCACGCUUAAGAACGUGGGCAGGUUCGACGCGGUGUAUCGCCUCGACGAAAAUUUCAAGGCGAAGCAUCCGCAGUUUUCGUGCGACCCCGACUUUGGGUCCAUCAGACCGGGCGCGUCGCAGCGACUGACCGUGACGUUCGAGUCCCCGUACCCCGGCGCGCACAAGGUAAACAUGCAGAUGAACUUGCGCGGGGGCAAACCGGUCAAGAUCCCCGUGCUCACCAGCGUCAUCGUCCCGGUGGUGCACUGCAAGCAGCAGGCUUUGAAUUUCGGCGACACGUUCAGGAUGGAGAUCACCAAGCGGCCGGUGACGCUCGUGAACACCUCGGAUAUCGACGCGGAGCUGACUUGCGACCUCAGGCAGUACCCAGACUUCGACCUGGAGAUAUCACCCGAGGCGUGGUCGCCGGAGUAUUACGAAGAUGUCCCGGUGUACGCGUUGGAGACGGAUCCGGGCACCGGAGGGUCUCUGUAUAAGAUUCACGUCGCGGGUAAGCAGGAGCUCACUUUCCGCAUGGUGUUUCAUCCCACGGACACCGCCAGGAAAGUUUCGUUCGCGAUGCCCUUCUUGUUAGAGGGCGUCGUGGACCAGCCCACGCCCGCGGAGAAACUGUGCAAGACGGUCACCGCGGAGUCGAAAGAGCCGCGGGUGCUGCUGGGCACGUCGCUGGUUGACUUUGCGCACAAGAUUCUUCUCCGCGAGGGAAUGAGGAAGGUGCCGCACACGCGGGAGUUUACCAUCACGAACAACGAUCCGGCGAGCGGACCGGAGAGCCUGCACUGGGCUUUCGGCAAGCCCGUCGCGCUGGACGCGGACGAGGCGAGCGUGAUCGACGACGGCUCUCCCAAGCCCUACGAUCUCGUGCACACGUUUCAGUUUGAGCCCAAAUUCGGCAUCCUCAAACGCGGCGAGUCGGUCACCGUCAAGUGCAGCUUCUCGCCGAUGUUGGCGACCAAGUUCGAGGGCAAGGUGCCGGUGUACCUGGACGGCGCGGCGAAGACAAAGAACGCGCAUCUUCGCUUCGGCGUCGCGGGGCUCGGCGCGCACCCCAGGAUCAAGUUUGACGAGAGGGAGGUUCGAUUGGCGCCCACCCCGCUCGGCGUCGUGACGACCCGGAGACUCUGGCUCAUCAACGAGGGUUUCGAUAACAUGGGCAUCUCCUGCAAGCUUCCGGCGGACAAACUCGCGGUGCCGCUGCAGAUCGAGUGGCCUGAGGGCCAAAUGAUCGGCAUCGCCAAGCAGAGGCUCCCGGUGGACGUCAGCUUCGAGAGCAAGAAGCCUCUGAGCUUCACCGCGACGAUUGAGUUUUUGGACGAGGAUGGGAAACGGUUUCCGAUUCCCGUCUCGGGAAUCGCGGAUAACUGCACGCUGACCACGGAACAGUUCCUCGCCGCGAACGACGGCUGCCUGACGAUGGACGGCGCGGACGUCAACCGGCCGGUGAUGCUGCCGCGACAGGCGCGAUACAUGGCGCCGCCGAUGGCGCAGCUCGAUCAGGGCGCGGACAACGCCAGCCUCGCGAGGUGGCUCAACGCGUGCACCCCGGAGGGACCGGUUCGCGACAUCCCCGGCGAUUUCAUCCGCACCAAGGGUUUGCUCCUGGUGGAAAUCAUCAAGUUCUGGACGGGACGAGAGAUCGUGGCGACGGUGGAGAAGCACGGGCUGAACAAGCGCCAGCACGCGCUCUGGCUCUGCGAGAGGUUCGACAAGAUCAUAACGUACCUGAAAGGAACCGGCGCGCUCCUCAACGGUGUCUACCCCGAGUUUCUGGUCGACGAGCAGGACUACCACAGGCUCUUGAGGGACAAGAUGGCCAAGGUGCAGUCAGGGGAGUGGUCCGUCGUGGACGGGGACAGGCUGCAACACUGGAUCGCUCUGUACGAGGACAGGGAUAGGUUCCGCGAUGUUUCCGCGUCGGCUUGGCGCGCGGUGCUGAUGCAGACGAUUCGCAUUUUCGUCCUCAACCGCAUCACGCCAAAGCAGUUCAGCACGGUGCCCAACUGCGGGGACCUCGCGGUCAACUCCGCCACGGACGCGUCCAUCGCCGGGAGCAACGUCUUCUCCGUCGCGGAGAGCAUCAUCUUGAAGUGGAUGACGCACCACCGCGCGAGGGUCUUCCCGGGCGCGGCGAGGGUCUGCGAUUUCGACGACGACCUCCGCGACGGCACCGUCCUUUACGGGCUCUUAGUCAGCCACUGGCCGAACCUCUCGCAGUUCUCCCAGGACAUGAAGUUCGUCCCCGAGACCCGCGAGGAUAUCGUCGCGAACCACGAGGUGGUCCUGGACAUGCUGAGGUACGUGCAGCUGUCGUACGACGACGUCACGGCGGAUGAGCUCGCGAGAUCGAGUCCCAGCGAGCGACUCCUGUUCUGCCUGUUUUUGUACAACCACCUACCGCAGCUGGUGCCCAGGACGGUCAUCGACUUCCCGACGCUGCUCGGGCAAAAGGUUGUGAAGAACAUCGAGCUGACGAACCCGGCGAUGACGCCCAUCUCCUACUCCGUCCGUUUGGAGGGUAACCCCGACUUCACCGUCGAGGCGACCACGGUGAGAAUGGAGAAGAGGAGCUCGGCGCAGCUCGCGGUUUCUUGCACGCCCACGUCGUCGCUCCCCGAACGGUGUCGGCUUAUCCUCGCUGCGGUGAAGGAGGAGUCGCAGGUGAACGGGAGCACGCUCGUGUUCGAUCUGAACCCCGUGGUCAAAUCGUCCGAGCCCAUCCGCAAGAUUGACUUCAAGGCGAAGUGCUACGAGUACACGGAGCAAAUCAUCGAGUUGCAGAAUCCGUACCCGGGAGACUGCGAGUUUGGCAUCGUGUGCACCAACUACACCGCGGACGAGGUCGAGGCGAUGGCUGCCGCGAAGGAGGCGGAACAGAUGGAGUUACACUCCGCCGCGUACACCGGGCGAACGCCGAGGACAUCGAGGAGAUCACAAAAAUCAAUCCGCGAGCUGAUGGGCAAACCCCCAGAUCCGGCCCUGGGUAAGAUUGACCCGUCGCUGUACCCUGACCCCUUCGGCGUUGAUCGCAGAUCGGUUCGACUCAAGAAAGGGGAGAAGGUCAAGCUCCGCGUCAGUUUCCUGCCGUUCAUCAUGGGACCUCACACCGCGCACUUGUCCUUCGAGGAUCACCGAUUUGGCAAGUUUGUCUACGAGCUCGCCGGCGGGGCGGAACACCCGCAGCCGAUGUCGGAGCACAAAGCCGAGGUGGACAUCAAACCCCAGAUGUCGAACAUCGUGGUGUCGUUCAUCAACAACCCGCUGGAGCUGGCGAAGCGCACGUUCCUCGAGAAGCACCCGCUCGCCAAGGUGAAGGACCAGGCUGAUCGCAUUCGAAAGGCUGAGCCGUGGCCGCAGAGCGUGGUGUACGCGCUCGAGGUUGUCUCCUCGCACAUGGAGAUUUUUGGCAAGCCGCGGCUUCCGCUCGUCAAGACCCCGAGGGCAGGUAAGAAGACCGUGACGACGGGCGCGGACGGCCAGAAGGUUGAGCAGUUCAUCCCGGGAGAGAACACGGUGUCGCUCAAUCUCAAUCUUCGCAACGCGGGCGUUUAUCCGGGCAAGGUGGUGCUCAAGUCGCAAUUUGACGUCAGGGUGGUCGACCUCGAGUACAGGUGCGGCCUCACCGGCGACGCCGCGCAGCUCGAGUUCGAGUGCGCUGCGGGCCAAUCGAUCACCCAGAACAUUCCACUGGUAAACAGCGGCAUGAAGCCCAUGAGCGUUACCGCAAACUUUGCCGGGCAGCGCGAGUACUUUGCCGGUUACGGCCGCGACAUGGUUGUCGACGGGAAGAAAAAAGCCGAUUUCCCCCUCACGUUCAGACCCGCGAGGCCGGGAACUUUCCUCGCCAAACUGGUGCUAAAGACGGGCGGCGAGUCCAUCUCGUACGCGCUCAAGGGCGUCGCGAACGAACCACUGGCGCAGGGCCACGUCGUCAUCGGCGCCGACGCGAGGGGCCGGACCCGGCACAGGUUCACGGUGCCCAACGUCUUUGGAGCCGAGCGCGAGGCGGCGUACGAGGUCAGCUCCGACCUCAACUUCGUCGGCGGGGACCCGCAGUGCGUGGUUCGACCCAACGCCACCUCCACGUACGACAUGGGCGUGGCGCCCACGUGCUCCGGCGUGUUCCACGGCAGCAUCACGUUCACGGCGCCGGACGGUUCGUUUUGCUGGUGGACGCUAGAGGUUAGAGUCGCCCCGCCGCCAGUCGAGGACACGCUCGAUUUGACGGUUCCCGUGCGGGAGGCGCUCACGACGCAGAUCACCCUCGCGAACCCCUCCGCCGCGCCCGCGACGUUUCGCAUCUACCGCGAGGGCCACGGCGUGCUGGGCGCGGACACCAUGCGAAUCGCCGCGCGAUCCGAGAAGACGUACGACCUCGUGUACUCGCCGAUGCUCACCGGGCCGACGGAGGGCAGCGUUCGAUUCGUGUCCGCGCAGCUCGGAGAGUUUUGGUACGCGCUCAGACUCGACGCGCUCGACGCGACCGCGGCCGUGGUGCCCGAGAUGCGUUCCGAGGUUGGCGGCGCGCGCGGGUCCACCGUGUUGGACAUCGAGAACCCCUUGGACGAGGAGGUUCUCGUCGCGCUGUCGUGCCCGGAUAAUCCUCGCAACUUUAUCGUCGCGCCGCCGAGCGUCACCGUACCCCCCUUCGGCGUCGGCAAGUUCAGGGUGACGUACGCUCCGAGCAGCCUCAACCAGCUGGAGACCGGGACGAUCGUGGCGACGAACGAGGAGGCGGGCACGUGGACGUGGUCCGUCAGCGGAAGAGGCGCGGAACCCACCAAGCUCCCGGCUACCGACAUCUUCGUCACGCUCGGGCAAACCGGCAGCGGUUCGGUCAGCUUCCAGAACCCUUUCCACGAACCAAUCUACGUGGACGUCGCCAUCGAAACCGACGAGGAUGCCGGCGUGUGGGAGGACAUACUCAAGAAGAGGCAGGGCGUGCACGUGGACGGCUUCCAGGUGGUGCCCAUCCCGUUCAAGUUUUCGCCCCGAGCGAUGACCCGCCACGAGGCGACCAUGGUCAUCACCACCGAGAGCGCGGGCGACACGCUGACGUGGAGGUACCCCCUGAUCGGCAUCGCGGAAGCUGUGCCCAAGGGAGAUCACUUCAGGAUCGAGGGCAAGGCCCGACGGCGGUGCGAGAUGGGCCUGGAGGUGUUCCUGCACGGCCUGAAGGUGGACGUUCCGAUCGAGCACUACACCUUCGAGGUCGUGGUGCCCGAAUCGGAGAAACACCACCUUCGCAAGGCUCUGGUCAUCAAGCCCUUGAUGGCGAGCCUCACGCCGAAGACGAGGAGUUUGCGCUUCGCCGUCGCGUUCCGACCAAAGCGCGCGAUGUCCUGCUCCAUCGACUUCCUCGUCAACAAGCAGAGCGGCGGCAGGUGGCGGUUCCCCAUCCACCUCGAGGCGAUCGAGCCCGAAAUUGACGGCACCGUCGUCGUCGAGGCAAACGUCAACGAGAAGGCCGAGGCUGUCUUCUCCCUGGCCAACCCCGACCCGGAGGCGUGCGCGUUCACGGCGUACUUCACGCCGGAUUCGCCAGCGGAGUUCAGCGUCAAGCCCAACGUCGGGACGAUGCUUCCGGGGAAAUCACCGGAGACUCCUCUGAAGCCCGGAGCGGACAGGGGCGUCGCGGUGGAAACGGCAGACGGCGGCCCGGGCGUGGACCUGAGGAUCAGGUACAGGCCCAAGGAGUACGGCGGAGACAGGGUGGGGAAACUGGUGGUCACCACGAAGGAGAACACGUGGGUGUUCGAGGUGGUGGGCACGAUGCCGGAAUACAACGUGCCCGUGGUGACGACCAAGCUCAACACGAGAAUCGAUCCGUCGGUGGACGAAGCGCUGAAGGUUGCGCAGCGCAGGCGAAGACCGGGGACGAUCGUGCGGGAGAACCUGCGCGCGGAGAACUACACGAGCAGAAGGCUGCUGAGUAAGACGCCGGGACACGAAAUCACCCCGAAGGAUCUCAUGGACACGACUAGGAGCCAAUUCAACUAGCUAUAGGCGCACGUGUAACGGUACUGAUAGACUACCUUUUACCCUCUGAGCUGUAAGCUAAAAUUGACCCACAUGCUCCUAGUCAUCACCCGGCGCGCCUCCCCGCGCGGCACGCCUUGAUCAUCCUCAUGCAUCACUUCCAGCUCCCGAUAUGCGCGGUCGUCGCCAUUUUGGUACUGGCGACCUGCACCCCCGUGCACUCCGUGUGCUCGGGCCCGACCGACCCAGGCGGCGUUCGCACCGCGAUGUUGGCAUCGCACGACGAAUAUAGCCCGCCCGCGCCCCAGUCGGGCGAGACCAAGGUCAUGGUCGAAGUCUCCGGCGAGCUCGAGCUGAUAAAGUCGGUGUCCGAGCCCACGGGUUCGAUCCAGAUGGCCAUCCAGCACACGAUGACCUGGCCCGACUCCAGGCUGGCGUUCAACACAACGACCAGAAACAACGGGUGCUUCGACCACGAGCGUGCCGUGUUCCCCUCGGCGAUGCUCUCCGAGGUCUGGCACCCCGAGUACUCGUUCUUGAACGCCAUCGGAUCCUUCGGCACCGCGUCCACGUUCUUAGUGUUCAAGAACGACGGUGAGGUCAGGGUGACGAUCCGAGAGGGCGUCACCGCGACGUGCAUCUUCGAUUUCAAGAAGAUGCCGUUCGACGAGCAGACGUGCUACGCGCGAAUGUUGCUCAACGCGCCUUCCAAGAUGGUCGCGUUCACAGCCCCGACGACCGGACAGGAGCUGUUCAAGAUCCCGACCGGCGGUUUGCUCGGCGGCACCACCGAGUGGACCGUCCUUGGCACGAACAUGACCGUGGGCGAGAGAGCUGGUGAGAGUGUUUUAUAUUCUCCGACUGUUUGCCCAUACUAACUUUGUGUUUUUUACCUUCGUAACAGGAAUGCCCCCAAUGUCGUACGUCGACUUCACGGUCCGGAUGAAGCGAAAGCCGGACUACUGGAUCGCCUUCGUGUUACUGCCGUCCAUCUUCCUGGUGGCGCUGAGCUACGGCACGUUCUGGAUCCAACGCGGAGCCAUUCCCGCGCGCGCCGCGUUCUGCUUCAUCGCCUACCUCUCAAUCAUCAACCUCACGAAAGGGGCGCUCGCGUCGUUGCCGAAACUGAGCGCCUCGGACGCGUGGAUGCUCGGCGUGCUGAGCAAGAGCCAGUACUUCUGCGCGUACACCGUGCUGGGCGUCGUCGUCGCCAACUACCUGCUCCACGUCGAGACUCGCGUCGACGCCGCGCUUAAGGACGCGAGGGAUAAAGAAGACGCGUCGCUCGGGGAGAAGAUCAGCGACAUGAGGGGGUUCGUCCGCGGCAAGGCUGGGAGGUUCGCGGGGAUGCUCGUGGGGAAGGACGGGAAGAUGAGGUUCGCCGACAGGCACGUCGACGUGUUCUCGCGAUGGUGCUUCCCCGCGGCGUACGUCGCCGCCGUCGCUCUCGUCUCAAUCGAGGCUGGCGUGUUUGCGUGAGUUGUUUAUAAGCGUUGGUUCCGCGUUGUGUGUGUACAGGUCACCGUGUGUAUGAUGACUAUCGAAGAUAUCUCAUUUGCUGGCGGCGUCGUUCACGAGCUCCGCCGCGACGAACGCCCUAAGUUCCCCGUGCUGCUAAACCUUCCAAGACGCCGUCCCAUCCGCAGUGACACUCGCAAAAAAUUCCCCGUAACCGCUCGUAACGGUGGCACUACAUUUAGGUUAAAUGAGGCCCACAAAGACAAACCGCCGCCAAACUUUGCGACCGUAUCUUGGAGCUCAUCUUGUUUGGCCGAGGGUACUUGAACCCGGUCCCGACGUUCCAGCCGCCCUUUUACGGACGCACGCCGCUCAGCGACGUCGUCGACGGAGUCCAAGCGAACUCCUCGAGGCUCUUCCGAGACGAAGACGCCUGGCGUGCUGGAGAUCCACGUGGGUUCCGCGCGUAUUUUUUGAAAGCGACUUAGGGUUGGAAGACCACUAUGCCGAAGGGAGUGAAGGGAAAGGGAGGCAAGAACCGCCGCAGGGGCAAGAACGAGGGUGACGAGAAGCGCGAGCUCAUCUUCAAGGAGGACGGCCAGGAGUACGCGCAGGUCCUGCGCAUGCUCGGGAACGGCCGUCUGGAGGCGCAGUGCAUCGACGGCGUGAAGCGCCUCUGCCACAUUCGCGGCAAGAUGCGCAAGAAGGUUUGGGUGAACACGGGCGACAUCGUCCUCCUCGGCCUCCGCGACUACCAGGACGAGAAGGCGGACGUCAUCCUCAAGUACCUCGCGGACGAGGCCCGUUCCCUUAAGGUAUUCGCCCCGUGUUUUCGGUGACAAACCCCGCGCUCCCUCUCGAGUCCGUUCCACCCCGAAUCCCCCGCUGACGCUCUCUCUCCCACCUCCCAGGCCUACGGUGAGCUUCCCGAGUCCAUCCGCGUCAACGAAACCGACACCUUCGAGGAGGAGCGCGAUGAGAACGACGACUUCUUCGACUUCGACGACGUGGACGCAAUCUAAGUUGGGGGGGCGCGGCGCCGUCGCCUUCGAGACGAGCGAAGAUGCGAAGAAUUAUAUUCCGAGUCCGGAGGCGACGCCAUUGGAAGAUGUGAAUCACGAAAUUCGUGUACAGUUUGUAAUGCGACGUCCGAUUGGGAUGUCACGACACGAACGAUCCGUCGGCACGCGCGCCGAACGCGUCCGUCUCCUCGUCACCGCCUCUUUACCGCCUCGCGCCAACUAAGACUAAUAAGUCGCCUCGCACUCUGGGAAAAAGUUUGGAUAGAAGUACGUCGCCUCCGGGCCGUCGUCCCGGCACAGGAUCCCGUGCCUCUCCGCCAUCAGCAGGUACUCCGACGCGAUCGUGGGGGGAAUGCCCAACGCCACGGACGCGGAGUACGCGUCCAUCCUUCGCAUCGCGUCGCGUGUUUCGUCGUCCGAGGGUCCGAGCGGUCGAUUGAUCAUCUCCGUGAGCGUCGCGCAAACCUCGUCGUCGCUCCUGUCCAGGCUCUGCACCACCUGCACGCCGCUCUCGAACCGCCUGAACUGCAGCGGCACCCCGAGCCGCCUCCACAGCUGGCACGCCUUGAGCAGAUCCUCCGGCGAGAUGAGCUCGGACCCGCGAGCGCGAUUGAACAGGCAGAAGACGUCGGGGAGCGCCAGGAUCCCUCCCCUCUUGGCGAGCACCUGCGGGAGCCAGUCCGCGAGCUGCCUGGCGAGCUGCUGGUGGUACAGCGCCCCCGCGGUCUCCCUCGUCACCGGCGAGGCUAUCCCCAUCGACAGCAUCAUCGCGUCCAUCUCCGUCGUCUCCGCGUCCGACGCGUCCGAGCCGCUCGAGUCCGUUCCCCGUUGUUGGCGUCGGUUGGCGACGGCGGCGAGGUGCUCGGCGAGCGUCACCAUCUCCUUGGCCUUGGCCAUGAGCGCGUUCAUGUCCGUGAACGCCUCAGUUACCGUCUCCUGCCGUUGCUUGUGCUCCUGGUGCUGCCUGUGAAGCACGCCGCCCACGCCCGCGCUGAUGGCGAACGCGGCGGGCCUCCCCGCGGCGGCGGGCGGCGGCGGCGCGGCGGGCGGCGGCGGUUGCCCGGGGGGCACUCGCGUCGCGAGGGACGACGAGGACGGCGCGCCGGUCCUCGUCGACGACGGCGGCGGCGGCUCCGCGAGCCACGUCUUUUUUACCAGCGCGUCGGCGACGGCCGCGGUGAAGGCGUCUGGGUUCUCGCCCCUGAACGCGAGCACGAGCGCGCCCCCCGCGUCGUUCGGUCCGACGAUCCCCCUCCGCAGCGCCAACCUCAGCCGUCUGGUGCGCGACCCGAACAUCUUCAGCGGCACCGGCGCCGCCUCGAUGACCCGCGAGAGGUGUACGCUGCAGCUCAGUCCCUCCGUUCCGGGCGCCCUCGCCUGAUCGAGCCAUAUCAGCCUGUGCGAGGUGACGAGGGCGACUCCCGCGACGUACUUGUCAGCCUCUCUGCCCUGCAGCCCGCCGCGCAUGUUCCCCGCGCGCUUGUCGCCGAACUCGACGUCAACGCGCUCGAUCAUCCGCAGCUCGAGCUCCUCCGGCGCCAGCACCGGCCGACCGCUCGGCGUGAGCGCCACGCCCUCGACCAGGAGCGACAUCGCGACACCGCCGCGGCGCCCCGAAUGGCGCCCCGAAAAGCAGUGGGCACACUCCCGUCACGCGAUCGUCACGCGGAAAAAAGGCGCGCAAAGCGACGUUUGAACCGUCAGAGUCGAAGGCGCGAUGGCGGACCGCGUGCGUCGGGUCUCGUUCCUGGUGGACCUCGGCGCGGGUACCGCCGAGGAGAGGGCGCAGGUGCGGCUGGUGCUGUCGCGAGUUCUGACGCACCUGUCGCGGCAGAGCCCCGCGCCCCCGCGAUGGUCCUUUCGCUUCUACGACUCGUCCCUCACCCCGCAGCGGUUCGACGCGAGGAUGCACGCGCGCGCCAAGGCGUCUUCCGCGGUGGACCCGAAGCUCGGCGCGGCCGCGUCGCUGCGUCGAGACGAGUUCCACGCGUGCACCCCCGACGCGAUCGCCGCGGUCCUGCGCCAGUACGAUCAAGCCGUCGACCUCUACAACGCCGCCGACGCGGAGGGUGCCAAUCACGUGGGCACCCCGCCCGAGCACCCCGGAGAUCUGGUCGACGGCCCCGACUCCGCCGAGCGCACCGGCUGGUUCACCACGCUCGCGAGGCAGAUGGCCGGGGUGAUCCAACGCGCCGCGGGGGAGCUCGCGGGAAUGACCGGCGACGGCGACGGCGGCGGAUCGGAGAGACAGCACAGCGCGGUGGUCAUCCUCGCCAGGGUGCGCGGCGACGCCCCCGCGCCAUCAAACGACGAGAACGACCCGAGCGCUCAACCGCCCCGGACGGGAACCGAGGUUGACUUCCUCCGGCCCUUCAAGGGCAUCGAGGACGCGUACAGGAAGGAGAACACCAGGGCGUACCUCCUCCGACUGGGCGAGCGGGACACGCGCGCGGCGACGGCGGAGACCACGCGCAGGGCGUCGGAGCUCUUCGCCAGGUUCGGGGGAUCGUCCGCGCCCGUCGCCGCCGUCUCCCACGCGGCAGCUCCGCGCGGCUGCCUGCCCCCGGGGCUCCUCAUGUCCGCGUUCGCGCGGGUUAGGCUUCAUCCGGACGACGCGGCGACGCCCUCCCUACACCCGCAAACACCUCUUUCUUUGGGCGUAGGUUCGACCUUAAACGCGAAGGAGCUCCCCGUCUCGGAGCUCUGGGUGCGAAGAGGCUCGACGACGUCCGAGGGAAAAAGGAGCCCCGGGUCGUCGUCGUCAUCCGCCGUGCGCCUCGGUGCGAUCGCCGUCGUUCCGUGCGAUGGCUGGCCGGGCGGGCUCUCGAGGAUAAGGCGCGUCACGAUCGCGUCGCUCGCGUCCGUCGAUCAACUCGCCGCGUGUUGGGUGACGGGGAGACCCCGACCGGGCGUCGGCGGGAGCGGCGUCAUGAGGGGUUACGAGGGGGUAAGGACGUCCAUCGCGGUGGCGGCGAAGGGGUCGGCGGCGUACGCGCUCGGCGCGCUCCUCGCGAUUCGACGCGCGGGGGCGAUCGUCGAGCUGGAGGUGGAGUGCGAUCGCGAGGAGGAGAGGGCCGCGGCUAACCGGAUCGAGGAGGAGGAGGAGGAGGAGGAGGAGGAGGAGGAGGAGGCGUUGGCGACGCAGGAGACCGACGCGACGACGGCGGCUGGCGGCGGCGGCGGAAGGAGAGGUGUUCGAAACGCUCGGCCAGGGAGCGUUCACCUCGCCGCGCUGCAGCCGCUCUCGCCCGGGACGAUGUCGCUCGUCCCCGUCGCGCCGGCGGCGGACGCGCCGAACACCCCGGGCCGGGACGCCGACGCGGCGGCAUCCGACGUGGCAUCCGACGUGGCAUACAACGACGCCGACGUGGACGCGCUAACGUCCGCGCUCGCGGCGGCGUGCGGCGACGACGGUUGGGGCGCGCUCGAGCCGUUCUUUCCGGAUCUUUCCGGAGAGGACGCGGCGGCGCGAGGAGCCUCGGGGUCCGCUUCGGAGCAAAAAGGAAAUUUGGCCAGGAUCAUCGCACACGCGUCGACUGGCGACGACGCCGACGGGAGCGGCGGCGAGGCGACGAACCGCGCGGGGCGAAAUUCCGCCCGGGGCGAUUUCGCGGCGGCGCUCGCCGCCGCCGCCGCCGCCGCGCCCGCCGGGACGCACCGAUGGGAGCGAUGGUACGGCGGCGGGCCCGUUGAACGUAAAUCGUUCGGAGACUCGCUCGCCGCGUCCAUCGCGGGGGCGCCGAACGGGGCUGGCGUGCUGAGCCCGGGCCCGCUCCGGCUACCCGGCGUCGGGUGCGACGACGGGAGAGUCGUGGACGGGCCGUCGGAGAGCGACGCGGCGCUCGACGCGAGGUUCAGGGCCAUGGUCGGCGACGGUGGAAACCCCGACGAAAAUCCCGCCGCCGGGACCGGAACCGCAGCGACGAAUCGAGCCGCGAGGGAAGGACGACGGCGCGAGGGAAAGCCUUCCACGGCGCCGACCGCGACGACACACGCCGCGUGGGUCCUAGACGACCUCCCCUCCGUCCUCGCGCGGGCGCGGUCGGAGUACGACGCGUUGUUUGAGCGUUAUUUCGCCGUGUCAGACGCGGACGCGCCCGACCCCGAUUUCGCCAAACUUUCGAAAACUUUGGCUGGCGACGCCGUCGGCUCGGCGCGUGUGCACCUCCCUGCAGGACAAAACUGCCUCGACGACGCCGUGGACGCCGUGGAAGGGGCGCUCGUGAUGUCACAGGCGCAGCUGGAGGCGAGGCACGUCACGGGGGGAUGCAAGGGCGCGAAGCGACGCGAGCACGCGUUUCAGGCGCACCUCUCGCUCUCGCUUCACUCGCUCCGAUCCGCAAACUCGAAGUCGGACAAGAGGCGGACGAAGAAGGCGGCGAAGCACCUCGCCAAGGUGGUAAAUCCGCUCAGCUUCCUGUUACAUCCCGUGGGGAUACAGGCGCUGCACGCCUUCGUCUUAGACGAGCUCGUGCCGAGGUACGACGAGUCCGUUCCGAGGUUGAUGGAGGCGCUUCGAGCCAACCUGGGCGUGGGCGCCGUCGUCGAGAGAACCGGGAGAGACGGCGAUUCCAACGCGGAUUCCAACGCGAAAACCGCCAAAACUUCCGGAAGGAGGGCCGGAAAGGCGGUCAACGCCGGCGUGUUCUCGCCCGGGGUGGUCGCCGGGAGGAAGACCGCGGGCGGCGGCGGCGGCUCGGACGAGUACGGCGGGGAAUCCGGGGAGUCCUCGGAGGCUCCGGGCUCCUCGCGGCGAGACGCGCCGGGUGGUGCCGGCAAGCCCGACCGGGAAGCCCAAGCCGGUUCGUUCAAGAUGCCGAAUCCCAAGACGGGGGUCAAGUGGCACAACCUGUUCCGCAGCCGCGCGGGCCCCGCGAAGCGCGAGGUGCGGAUGGCGCCCGUGAAGUCCGCCGAGGAGCUCCGAAAAGCGCAGGACGAGGAGGCGGCGGCGCGACGAGAGAAGGAGAAGCGCGCGCUGUUUCUGCGCGAACAGCGGCAACGGCAGCAGCCGGCGCAGCGCGAGAAGUUGCUCAUGGUUCCGCCCGGGUUUCAGCCCACGCCGGACGCGGGUAACCGCAAGGUGAUGCAGAUGCCCGCGCCCAGGAACCUUGCGCUCGCCGCGUUUGGCGCCGGACCGGGAUCACAGACGGCGAUGACACCGGGGCGGCAGGCGGCGAUUGCCGCCAUGCAAACCCCUCUGCCGAACCGGAACCGCCGCGAGUCGGUCUCGAUGACCCCGGGACCCCGGGGCGGGCGGUUGAGCGAGAUCAUGAGCACGCCGAUGGCGAUGAGCACGCCGCGUUCCUCCGGGGGACGGGGCACCGCGCCGCCUGGGAGCAGGGGCGCCGCGAUGCUGCAGCAGGCGAUGUGCACGCCGGCGAGAGAGACUGUUGUAGCGGAGACUCCCGCGGGAUCUCGCGGGAUGGUCGUCGCCGCGACGCCUCUUCACAGUCGCGACGGCGGAGGCGUUGGGGCGCAGCAGCAGCAGCGGGUGGGCGCGCGGAAGGGUAUGUUGGGUUUCGGCGCGAUGGUUCGCGAGGCGAGGGAGGCUGAGGAGGAGCAGGCGCCUUCGAAACGCGCGAAGAAGAUGUUCACCUUUGGCGGGCGCGGCGACUGAUGUUGGCAGUUAUUAGACACCGAUGGACGUAGAAUUAGAAGAGCGUCGGGGGAUGGAAUCACGGGUGCCACGUGCGAGUCCUGAACCCCGCGCCGAGCGCCUCCGCCAGCUUUCUCGCCGCCGCCACGUCCACCCCGGGCCGCUCGACGACGGUGGCCUCCACCUCCACCCCGGCUUCUGCCAGCGACGCGAUGAACCCGCACACGGUGGCGUGGUCGCCGCUCUCCGGUCGCAUGAGCUCGGCGUACUGCGUGGGAUCCGCGGUGGCGAGGGCUACGGUGGCCUUACCGAUCCCGGCGUCCGCCAGCGCCACCGCGGCGGACGGCGGAAAGAGCCCGUUCGUGCUCACUCUGAAGGGCACGCCGUGUCUGGAUUCGUGAACCUGCUCUAUGGUUUCGCGUAUCUGGUCCAUACGGAGAAGGGGUUCGCCCAUCCCCGCGAAGACCACCCCGGGGUCGUUCUCCCCCAUGCCGACGAUCUCCAGCUUCUCGUAGAAGAGAUCGACGACGUCCGCGAGCUCCUCGGCCUCGGGUUCCACGCUCAGGCUGUGAGGGGGAUCGCGAUAGGGAACGAAAAAAGAUUCGGGCGGCAUGGCGAAGCCCGGGCCCCGAGUCUCAAUGAUCGUCGCGGCGUUGCUGCGGUUGGUCAUGGCGAGGUAAAGGGUACGACCGAGCACGUACGCCACUCCGGGGCGCGCGGCGGCCGCGGCCACGCUCCCCGCGUUCGCGGGGUUGAACACCAUGCGCGAGAGUUGUGUUUUCCGUUUAACAAUCUCAGCUACCUACACUUGACGCUUACGGCUUUGGGUAAAGGCUCUCUGCCGUCAUCGUCGCCGUGCUCGUCGCCCUCGGCCCCGACCCGCCGAAGAACACCAGCGCGAACAUGUACAGAUGCAACACGCACGUGUACGCCACCGCCGCCGCCCGUGCGCCCCCGUGCCUGCUCACCGCGCGGAGACCCUCCAGCGCGAGCGCGUCAACCGCCCCCGCCAAGUUGGACACCCGCCGAGCGCGGUCGCCCCCGCCCAACGCCUUCGCGGCGAUGUCGUACGCGAGCUGCUUGGGCGCGUACCGUCCAGUCUCGGCGAGACCCGCGAUGAGAACGUCGUCGUCGUCGUCGUCGUCUACGCCCGCCGACCCGUACCGGUACCCGGCGGCGGCGGACUCCACCGCGCCCGCCUCCUCAUCCGCGAAGCGUCCGUUAUUUUCGUCGGCGUUUCGUCGCGCCGUCUCCAGGCGGAACACGAGCGCGCUGCGCGACGCCGCGAGCGCCUCCGCGCGGGUCUGCUCGGCGAUGAGCGCCUCCGUCGCGGUCCUGAACGCGACGUCGAGGCGGAGCUGGUCGGUCGCAUCCUCCGCGGAAACGUCCGGAACCCCCGAGGAGGAAACGUCGGCGGAAGACGCUAUUCGACCCGCCGCCGCGUCGUUGGCGUCGCGAAGCCGGCGGAGGGAUUCCUGCAGCGCCGCCGCCUCCGCCUCGGCGUCCGACGCGCCGGUUCCCGUCCCCGCACCGCCCGUUACGUUCGACCGUUUCUUUCUCUCGGCGAGAACCCCCUCCGCGCGUUCCCUGCGCCGGUUCGCCGCGACGAUCCGCCGGCGAAGUUCCCGCGCGUUUCGAUCCAAUCGUUCAAACUCGUCCGCCGCGUCGUCCCUCCUCGCGGUGACCUCCGCCAGGCGUCGCUGCUCCGUCGCGAGUGCCCUCGCGCGCGUCCCGCCCUCCUGUGCCACCUCCGCGACGCGCUCCUCCGCGUCCUCCCGCGUCAGCUUGUGCGCGACGCGCUCAUCCUCCAACGCCGCCGCCGCCUUCGCCGCCCUCGCCGCUAACGCCUCCAGCGCGCGCGCCGAGGACGCGGCGCGCUGCUCGCGCGCGGCGAUCGCGCGAUCGGCGCGGUCCUCCGCGUCUCGCGUCUCCUCGGCACGUCGCGUUCGAAGCGCCCUGGCGUGCGCGAGCAGCGCGACUCGCUUGACCCGUCGCUCGAGCUCCGCAUCCGCAUCCGCCCUCUCUCGCGCGGCGGCGAACGCGGGUGUUCCCUCGUUCACGCGUUGGUUCGUCGUCCGUCGUGACGCGGGAGGUUCCGGUUCCGGUCGUUUCGAGUCCCCGGCGGUAUCUUUCGCGGUAUCUUCGGCGGGGUCCGGCGGGUGUGUCGCGGGCGGCGGCGCCGGGGCGGAUGGGUCGGACUCGGCUCGCGGGAUCCGCUCGGCGGGUCCGGUUCGAGUCCCUUCCGUCGGGGGUUCCGGAACGAGUCCCGCGACGAUUCCCUUGGCGUUCGCCGCCGCCGCCUCGCGCGCCAGUCUCCUCUCCCUCAGCAGCUCCAGCUGCGUCUUCUUCUUUGUGGGCUCAGCGGACGCGGGCGUUGGGGCGGUCGGAGGUUGGACGAUUUGUGGGACGAUUUCUGGGUCGGCGUCGACUCGACCCGCGUCGUCCCCGACCGUCCCGGUCGGCGCAUCGCUCGAGGCUUUCGACUCGGCGGGAACCGACGGUGCGACCUCGAUCGCGUUCGCGCCUCCGGCGCCCGAAGCUUCCCCUCGAGGCCUCGGUACCUGCCGCCGCGGCUGCUGCGGAUCGCCCCCCGCGCCAAGCCCGAGCUCGCUCGCCUUCUCCGCGAUCUGCGCUUUGGUCUCCUCGAGCCGAUCUUUGGCCUUCUCCAGCGCGGGCGCCGCGGCGGAGUCGACCUUAUUGAGCGCCUCGGUGAGCCUGGCCUCGGCCUUGGCCGCCGCCUGGGCCAGCCACGACAUGCCCGCCGCUCGAGACAGUGCCCUCUGAUGAGAAAUUUCGGGACCUGACUUGGCAAAUCCGCGUCACCAACGGGCACUAAACGGGGUCACCGAAAGGACGCGGGGCGCGCGCGCGACGUUCGCCACCGAGAUGACGCGGCAUUCCGCGUCGUCGUAGGACACCUCAGAGGCGAUAUACGCGUGAGGGACACCCGGGAUGGGCAGAGGGGGCAACCGCUCGCGCUACGCCGCGGGUGGGGGCGACUCGGACUCCGACAUGGAGCCCACGACCCCCAGCAAGAAGGCGGCGAGCAAGAGCCCCUUCGCCUCCCUCUCCGCCAUCGCGAGCCGCACGCUGCGAUGGCGAACGCGCGCGGCCAAGGACGACAGCUCGGACUCCGAUUCCGACGACGACGUCGUCGACAAGCGCACCGGCGAGAUCAAGACCAAGGAGGACCUCGCGCGCGAAAGGGGCGAGUACGUUCCACCGAGCGUCGAAGAGGCACUCGAGCACCGGGACGAGGAGCACCCGAGGAUACAGGGCGCGCGGGGUCUGGAGCCCUACCCGCUCAAGAUCGGCAUCGGCGACAUGGGAGUCGAGUUCGGACCCGGCAUCGCGCUGUACUUCAACUUUCUACAGUGGAUGUCCGCCAUGUUCUUCAUCCUCUUCCUCCUCAACAUGCCCACCAUCAUGAUUGCGCACGCCGCCAAGUACUUCGGGCCGUACUCGGCCGCGAGGAACAGCACGGGAUUCCAGCAGAUGUGGGAGGCGGAGUACGACAUGGCUUCCACGACGUUCGGGAGCAUCGCGCCGGACGACGUCGAGGAGGGCGACUGGCUGAGAUACUCCAACCCGGACCUCGGCUUGGAGCUGUCGCUGACCAAGACGGAUUUCCUCUACGGCGCCGCCGCCGCGGACAUUCUCGGUUGCGUGCUGUUCCUCGUCAUGUGCGCGUUCUUCAGCCGGCGGCAGAGACAGAUCGUGCGAGCUGUGGACGAGGACUCGAUCGAGAUCACCGACUACAGCGUCAUGAUCAAGGGUCUGCCCGAGGACGCGACUGACAAGGAGGAGGUUCGGUGUUUUUUCGAGCUCAAAUUCGGGAAGGUGGUGGACGCCGUGCUCGCGAAGAACGACGGGGUGCUUCUUUACUACUACAAGAAGAGGAGCGCGCUGGCGAUGCAGCACGACGUGGCAAAGAGCAAGUACAUCAAGACCGGGAAAGGGGAGAAGACCAUCGAUAAGCUGGAGGACAAGAUUGCCGUGGUUGACGACAAGAUCAUCAAGCUCAAGAUGAAGAAAAACUUCAAGACCAAGCUCGCGUUCGUAACCUUCUCCGACGAGGAAUCGUGGGUGGAAUGUCUCAGGGCGUCGCCCAGAAGCUGGCUCGGCCGUUGGCUGAUGCGAUCCGAGGCGCGGUUCCGAGGUAAAUUCGCGUACCAGGUGGAGGAGGCACCCGCGCCGACGGAUGUCAUGUUUGAAAAUUUGGACGUCCCCGAGCGGAGCAGGUACUGGCGGCGGAAGGUCAUCUCGCUCGUCACCUUCGUCCUCCUCCUCGCCUCCUUCGGCGCAAUCACGGUGCUCUCGGGGGUUAAAAACGAGCUCAGCGCCAACACCGCGAUGGACGACGCCAAGCUGGCGUUACAAAUCGGCGGACCGGGCGGGGGUCAAUUCGCCACCCCGGAGAGCGUCGCGCUCGGCGGCGUCGACCCUUCGCUCGUCACCCUUCGCCCCGAUUUCAACGCGACGAGCGACUUUCGUGACGUGUGUAAACCCGAGCUGUCGUCGUGCGAGGUGACGUACUCCGAGCCCGGGCUGCUCGCGAUCAUGCCGUGGGGCACGGCGCUGUCGGUGGUUCCGCUGGCGAACACGAUGAGCCAGACGGAGAAGGACGUCAAGGUGAAGACCAUCGUGAAGGAGAUGACCGACUGCGGGGUGUCGCUGGAAGGGUGCUCGCCGGCGAGGGUCGACGCGGGGGUGAGGGAACGGCGCAGGUGCCACGCGUGUUACUGCGCCGGGCGCCAGUACGCGCUCAAGACGACCACCACAGAAAGGUGGAAGGCGGGCGACCCGGCUAUUCAAUACGCGUCGGAUCUGGAAAUCGCGACCCUCCGCGAGCAGUGCAACGAUUUCCUCGCCGCGCCGUCCUCGCUGGAGUCUCUUCUCGUGGGCGUCGCCGUCGGCGCCGUGGCCAUCGUGAACUCCGUGUUGAAGACGGUGGUCAAGUCCAUCUCCUCGUACGAGAGACCCGCGAGUUUCAUCGAGCAACAGCGGAAGGUGGCGGAGAAGGUUUUCGUCGCGCAGUUUUUCAACACGGCGAUCGUGUCGCUCGCGAUCAACGCCGCGCUGCCGGAGCUGCUGGAGGGGAUACCCAUCGUGUCGAAGCUCAUCCUGAACGGAACGCAUCGCGAUUUCGACUACCUCUGGUACAAGAAGAUCGGCGGUCCGCUGCUGUUCACCAUGUGCAUCAACACCGUCGGGCCAAUCGGCGGGAACAUCGCGGCUGAGGUCACCGGGUUCAUCAACAGGUGCACCGGCAAGUACACCAAGUGGACGCAGCGCGAGCUCAACGAGGCGUUCACCGGGCCGGAGUUCGACAUCGCCACGAGGUACGGAGAGGUUCUCAUGUGCAUCAUGGUGACGAUGAUGUACGGAAGCGGCAUGCCUCUGCUUUACGCGUUUGCAUCGUUUUUCUGCCUCGCCAUCGGCUUCUUCGACAAGAGGUUCCUCCUGAGGGUGUGCCGGCGCCCCCCGAGGUACGGCACCGCGUUGGCGAUGCUCGCGCUCGCCGUCGCGCCGUGGGCGGCGUUCGUGCACCUUCUCUUUGGCAUGUGGAUGCACACGCACUUUCUAACGCCGCUCAUCACGGAAACGGCGGGGGUCGGCGACGAGUACGCAGACGCCGCGUUGUCCGCUACGGGCGGCGGGGCUGCAAACGCCACGGAUAGCGCUUUCAGCGGCCUGCUCUCCUCGGGCGCGACGCUCCAGGACUUGUUGGACAUCGCGAACAACGCGAGUGCGGCGGCGCAGGAUGCGGCGGCGACAGAGUACCCACCGAUUCUGAGCGAGAUUUCAAGGCGAACGAUGCAGACAAACGGGUUCCCGUUUUUCCUGCUGGCGAUCCUCUUCAUCGUGGUGAACGUCGUCGUGAACGUGGUGUCGCAGUUCUGGAAAGCGAUCACCACGUUCUUACCGUGCAUCAACGCGUUGCCGUGCUUCAGGGAGGAGGCGGACUACGAGGGCGUGCCCACCUUUGAGGAUGCCUUCAUGAUGGACAAACUCAUCGGUGCGCACACGUACGAGAUGCGGGAGAUGCCGAUGUACAAGAAGUUCUUCUUCGAGGGCAAGGGUGGAUUCAAGGAGAGGGCCGCGGGAGAUCAGGCUGAUCCUGACACGCCCUUCAAAAAGGGCGAGGAUCCGUACAACGUGGAAGUUGACGAUGACACCGACGACGAGGACACCAUGGCGGAUAUCGCGGCGAUGCUGGGCAAGCCGGCUGAACCGGCAGCCGCGAACGGCGGGGUCGGCGCGGCAGGAGGAGGAGGCGGCGGUCUCGGCGGCGGUCCCGGCGGCGGUCUCGGCGGCGGUCUCGGCGGCGGUCUCGGCGACGGAUUAGGCGGGGGUCUCGGUGGGGGUCUCGGCGGGGGCCUGGGCGGGGGCCUGGGCGGGGGCCUGGGCGGCGGGCCCAGGGGCGGCGGCCCGGGGAUGGCCCCGCCGGCGCCUCCGGGCGGAUGGGGCAGGCCGGUUUCCGCGCCGGCGGGGACGGGUCCGCCGUCCAGGGUCGGUCCGCCGGGGGGCAGGGUAGGACCUCCCGGGGGUAGGGUCGGUCCGCCGGGCGGGGCUCCCGCGCGCUUCGGUCCCUCGCGCGUCGGCCCGGGAAGACAGUAGCGUACCAUCGGAUAGAGCCGGUUAGGAUGAAAAUAUUAGUCGUGUUACAGUUAUGGUCGAACGACGCUAUCCGCGCAGCCGCACGUCUGCCGAGGAGCUCCUUUUCGGACCUGAGAAGUCUUAAAUCAUCGGGAACCCGCCUUCAAAUGGUUGCUACACCCUGAAUGCGGCGAGGUUCCGUCACUGGACGUCUACUCCUUGGCGACUCGCUGCGCCCGCGAGGUUUUCAAUUUCGCGGAAGACUACGUCACCGGCUCGGAAGCCGAGGCCCGAGCUCGCGCGCCGGUUGGCGGACGAGCUGACGGUCACGUGCGAUGAACCCAACGCACGUCGCCUCGUCUCCCGCGCGAAGUUGCCGGGUUUUUACUUGGCCUUCACCGGGAACUUAGCAGGCUGCGACUUCUUCGCAGCCUUGCUCGCGGGCUUGGCCGUGGGCUUGGCGUCGUCGCGGCUAAGCUUGAUGCCGGACCACACGCCGGUGCCCUGCAUGGAAUCGGUGGCGCCCACCGCGUACCGCGCUCCGUCGAACGCGGUCUUCAUGGUUCAGAAAAUAGGCAUGGUUUGAGUUGAGGGUGUGUGCAACGACGAGGGCCGCGCGCGCGUUUGUGCCGGCUCCUCGAGGGCCACACUUACGUGGCGAUAUCUGGGCUCGACGUUGAACGAGAGCCUCAGGAUUUAGCUCAUAUGGAUACGCAGUCAGAAAAGUAGAAUUAGAUGAAAUAGCUUGAAUGUGCGAUGGUAUCAAUACCAUUUCAUUCGUCUUUGAAACAUAUUUAGCGUUAACUUAGGAUUUCAACAACCUCGAGGGCCGCUCGCGCGCCCUCCCCCCACCACCGCACCACGGCCCGUCGCGCCCGCUCACAGCACCUGCACGAGCUCAACGUCGAACUUGAGCGUCGCGUCCGGUGGAAUCAGGCCGCCGCCCGCGCCCCUGCUGCCGUACGCCAGGUUGGCGGGAAUGGUGAGCACGCGCUUGCCCCCCACCUUCAUCGGGGGCACUCCCUCGCCUCCGAGGAUGCCCUCGUCCCAGCCCGCGAUGACCUCCCUGACGCCAACCUUGAACGUGAGCGGGGAGCCGCGCGAGUAGGAGCUGUCGAACACGCGCCCGUCGAGGAGCCUGCCGGUGUAGUGCGCCUUGAUCAGCGACCCCUUCGACGGGGUGAUCCCGGAGCCGACGACGGACUCGCAGAACUGGAGGCCGGACGCGCCGGUCGUGACCUCGCCGGUGCACUCAAACUCGGGGAGACCGCGCGCGAGCGCGGGGGCUGCCUGGGAGAGCGCCGCGGCGGCGAGCACUGCGGCGGCGACAGCCUCGCGGCGCCCCGAGGAAACCUUCUUCUCGUCGGACCCCGCGGACGCGCGCGCGGGAGCCGCGGCGCGGCGGGAAGAGGACCCAGCGCGGCGGGAGGAGGACACGACGGGGCUCGCGGCGAUGCGGAAUGAGGCGGAGAGGGCGGACAUUGUUCUUGCACGUGUCGUGUGGGGACGCGCUUGCGUUGUGAACUGGACAAUCGGGGGCAUCUGCCACGUCAUGAAUUUUGGAUAACUUUUGAGGAUCGUCGGCAAAACGUCUCAAGUUUGGCACCCACGCGCAGAAGACAGAGGGAGCUCGUGGGCGAGGGAUCGCGACUAGUCAAUAAUCAACUCGCAACGUCGCAAUGUAGACUAAUGAUAAACCUACAAGUGGCCGAUCUUAUCGCCCUUCAUCAGAUCUGCCCAACGGCGUUCAUAUCCGAGGAAGAGUUCAGCGGCAGAGCGUCAAAGUACUUGAACUCUCCGUCGGCCAUCUUGUACCUAGACCUCUCCGCCAGCGUCUUCGUCCCGCCCCUGUUCUUCUUUCCCGCAGCCUUGUACGACACCUCGUACGUCACGAACGUCUCCCCGUCGCCCUCUUUGGUUCCCUUCACCCGAAGAGACGUAAACUGAACUUUCUUCAUCGUGGCGUCGGCAUCUUUCUCUAGCUGUGCCCUCGCCUCCGCCGGGUCGUCCUUGCGCUUCAUGUCCUUGGAGUCCGGAUGCGUGGAUGCAACGAUGUAUUUGGGCACGUUCUUGACGUAGGCGCUGAACCGUGCGCGGACGAUGGCCUCGGGGGUGAUUGAGUCGGCGGGCGCGGCGCCGUCGUGAUGGGGUCCACAGCAGACGGAGUAGUCCUUUCCGCUGCCGCACGGGCACCGCGGGUCGACCUUCGCGUCGCCCGCGGAAUCUGUGCCGUCAUCCAUGAGCUCCGCGAGCAUGCCCUUGCGACCCAUGCACACGGAGACGUCGCGGUGACGGCCGUGAGCAGAAACGAGGGUCACAGCACCGCUUCGGGGUUCUAGGGAUUUGGCUCCCGAAAACACGCCACGCGCGGGUUGGGUCGCGCGAGAGGCGACCGAGCCGCGAGCUGGGACGACAAAAGUGCGACAGAUUGCGCUCGACAUGAUGCCUUUGAUUGGGACGCGAUUGGAUACGAGGUCGCGGGCGGGACCGCGCGACGGGUUGUGACGGGCGAGCGACCCUCGGAGCAGGAGCCGUCGCUCAACGUGCUGUGAGAUAAAAAUCUCGGACAGGCUACUGCUGACUCGGCAGUAAAUUGUUAACAUGGGUUGACGCCCUGGGUAGACGCGCCCGGCACAAAACGACGCGCAAUGGCGGACUGGUUCGUGGCGCAGUUCCUUGAUGAAUGGGAAGUCCAUAGGGGUACCUCCUCUGACGUUCUGAAGUACAACAAGCGGUGCUUGGAGUCCGACUUUCACGACUCCGUCACAGCUAAGCUUCAGUGCCGUGGUCCAGCGUGGCCGGGCGACACACCAUGCCGGGUCGCCGACAGGCUGAUGAACCAGUUUCACAACGAAUUCAUCCGCAUUCGCUCCUACGUGGAGUUGGGCGACGCGCGCAAACUGGUGACGGAUCAGGACAGGCUGGCGCAUUUCCUGCUGAGGUCCAGGGAGCUCGUCGCGAUGGAGGCGGGGGCCUGCAACUUUCGACGACUGGAAACUAUCAAAAACCCGUUCCUCUCACCUGGCCAGUGCAGGGAGUGUGUUCGAAAGGACGACCUCGGGAUGCUGAAGAUGCGAGAUGUGGAGGUGAUCGAGUCGAGGCGGAUGCAGCUCAUGGGCGCGCUUCAGGGGCUGCGCAUGAAGGACGGGAAAAGCGUGGAGGAGACAGUUGCGGAAAUAAUCUGCGGCAGACUCGAGAAGAAGACAAAGUUGGUCAGAGAGUAGAGUGGAGGAUGUAACAUUCAUCGCGUGACACGAAGACGCCUAAAAGUCGGGAAACAUGUCGCCGUACAUCGGGCACUCGCGCGACGGAGGUGGCACGAGCUCCUGGUCCCUCGGGGUGAUACGGAGCGCCUCCUUUGAACCGCCGGCAGCAUCCGGCGUGAACGGCGGAGGAUACUCCAUUCGAGCCAACGCUAUCCAAUCCAAAUCUCGGAACCACGCGGACGUUUUGACCCCACCCGCGCCGUCCCUGAGCACACCCAGUCUCUUGUGCUGGUUCUUUUGGAGUAAGCCCUCGACGAGCGCCCGGAGCUCAGGGGAGAACCUUUUGGCCGCGCCAUCGAAGGACACCGGCUCGUUUAGGAUCUUUUUGCGAAUGUCGCCCUGCGUCUCCCCAUGGAAAGGAAGCGUGCCGUUCGACGCGAGUUCGUAGGCCAGACAUCCCAGCGCCCACCAGUCAACCGCCUUAUCGUGACCGCCGUGCCCCCAAAUCUCCGGCGCGAGGUACAGUGGGGUACCGCAGAACGUGAAGGUUCGUUCACCCGGCGCCAGGAAUUUGGACAGGCCAAAGUCCACCAGUCGCAGGUACCCGUCGUUGGCCAGCAUGAGGUUCUCCGGUUUGACGUCCCUGUACGACACUUGCCUCUCGUGCAUGUAUUCGAGCAUCAAAACCACCUGCGCUACGUAGAACGCGGCGCCUCGCUCGGAGAACUCGAAGUUUUGCAUGCACCAGUAAAGCUCCAAGCCCGGGAUUAAGUCCAGCACGUAGUAAACGUGGUCGGCGGCUUUGAAACAGGCGUGAAGCCGGGUGAUGAAAGGGUGAUCCAGCGCCAUCAUCACGUCCCUCUCGUUCCGCACGUUAUGAACCACGUUGUUCUUGACCAUCUGCUCUAUGGGAACAACCUUGAGCGCGUAUGACCGUCGAACCUUCGCGCCGUUGGUCCCGAUUAAUACCCGCGCCGUGACGUGGAAAACCCGACUGAACCCGCCCGAGCCGAGCGUCGCGAUGAGUUUCAGCGAAGGAGGCACGACCCUGUCUUUGGGUCUCACGCGCGCGGGUGACGUCUUCGAGUGAGACGCGCCGGCGCCGUUGGGCAGACCGCGACCGUUAUAACCGUUAUAACCGUUAUAACCGUCGGAUCGAGCCGAGUCCGGAGCGGCGGCGGUUUCGGUUUCGUCGCCGGAGAGGGUCGAGAUCGCGCGCCGCAGUCGACCCGACGCCGCCGCCGGGGGCACGAGCAGCACGGACUGGGUGAGCGCGGCGACUUUGGCGUCGAUCGCCCAUCCGGGUUCCGCCCACUCCUCCCCCAGCAGCGUCCUCGCGACCGCGGCUUUUGAGGGUAGAUAUACUCCCCCGCUCUUGACCACCUGCCUUCGCGUCAGAUUUUUGUCGCCCUUGCGGACGCGGGUGACGGAGACGACCGUCCCGGAGACCAGCACGCCCACGAACACGCCCGCGGGCGCUUCGUCCCCGUCCGCGAGCACCUCCCCGGCUUUGCAGCACCGUAUCUCGAGCUCAUCGGCGAGCGCGGCUGUCGCGUUUUCGCCCUCAGCCGACGACGGAUCCGUUCCGUUUGCGGCUAAACACUUUUCGACGGCGGUUCUCUUCCACGCCCGCUGAACCUCGCCGAGUGACCCGACGGUCCUCGCGAUGGCGUCCCUCGAGAGCGUCACCGCGGACGCCAGCCCCUCCGCGCGAACCCCCAACCCCCUCGGCUCGUUCGUCAGCAGGGAAGAUUCUCCAAAGUAUUCGCCGCGGGUCCAUUUUUUCUUCCCCGCCGCCCGCGCCAUUUCGUCGCCCCCGCGAAGGAGGCUGCCGUGCGCCGCCAGGGCGCGCCUCUCGCCGACGCCAACGCCGGCGCCAAACUCCUCGAACGUCCCCUCGUCCACGAUGAACAGACACUCCGGGGGCAUGCCCGCGCGGAUGACCUCGUCCCCGUCGCUAAACUUUACGAGCCGCGUCGCCUCCGCGAGGGCGGCUAUCUGCUUAACGUCCAGGUGCGCGAAGAGCGGGACGUUCGCGAUGUCUGCGCCGUGAAGCGCAGCCUUGAUCGAGGGACCCGCGAUCGCGGUGAACGCGUCGCGGGUUAUCGCGAGCAGAACGCAGUCCGUCGCCGCGAUCGCGUCCGCGGUUCUUCGCCCGUCGUCGUUCAGCAGCGCCACCUCGCCGAAAACGUCCUUCACACCGAAGCGCCUCACUUCCUCGCCCCCCGCGGCGUGCACCGAUACGAUCCCAACCUCCACCACGUACAGCGCGUCUCCCACGUCCCCUCGCACGAAUAUCGUCUCGCCGGCGCGAUACCUCUGCGGCUCCGCGGACUCCGCCACGCGUCGCAGCGUGGUCGCGUCGAGCGCCCUCAGCGUGGGCGACGCCGACACCAAAUCGAGCCUUCGCCUGGCGUCGGCGUCAGCCUGCGCGGCUCGUACGAGGUCGUAUCGCUCGCGCUUGAGCUCGAACGCUCUGCAUUUACUCGUACCCGCGGCUCGUACCGUAGCGGUGCGCUCGGUGUUGUACAUGAGGCUCACCUCUCCGAAGGGAUCGCCCGGCACGAGCGUCUUCACCGUCGAGCCGUCGACGACGACGUUGGCGGUACCCGACGCCAACACGUAGAACGCGUCGUCGUCUCUCGCGCCCUGAGUGACGAUCGCCUCUCCCGGCUCGAACGACACCUCGCGCAUGGCGUCCUCGAGCUGCGCCGCGACGGACUCGCUCACGUCGUCGAACAGCGGGCACGUUCGCAGGCCGCGGAGGAUGAGGUCACGAUCCUCCGCGGACUUUGGCGAGUGAUACGACGAGGAGCGGGCCCGCGUCGCGGCGUCCGCGCCGGGCCUCGCCGUGGCUACCGCCUUGUUCCGCAGGUGGAAGUGGUCGCGAACUUUACCCCAGAGCUUCUUCUUGGACGAGCCGCUGCGCAGGGUGACCAUUCCACGGGCGGGCUCCAACGUGGCGGCGGAGAGCUCGCGCUCCAUCUGGUCCUCAUCCGCCCACCGGAUGACGCCGGGGCUCUGUUUCGCGGCGGUGCCGUCGCGGGGUGGGAGCGGGGCCGGCGCCGGCGAGUCGCCCUCGUCGUCGCUGCGUUCAUCGUCAGGGGAAAAGUUAGUUGGAGGUGGCGGGGGCACGUUUCGUGCUAAUCGUAAACCCGCGCGGGAGAACCAGCGGCCGGGAGCGCACCUCGGGAGCAUCUUAUCGCCGGGGACCCACACAUCGGAGGCACGGACGCCCCCACUGCGCCGCCCGCACAGGCCCAUCGUGCCCGGAUACGCUGGGUGGGCGCGAGCUGCGCCGCUCGCUCUAUAGAAUAAAAAAGUUCGGCCCGGCACUUGAUAACGCCCGAAGAUGCGCCGGCGUCCCAUAUCCGGACUGCCGGACCAUAUCCUAAAACGAAAACUUCGGCCGGACAAAAAACGGCCGGUCGCAACAAAAAAGCGGCAUCUCGGAGACCAUCAGUGAAGCCACGGCGCCGGAGCACAACGACCUACGCCCCGUCGCAUAGGCCGUGACCACGAUCCGAAUCGGGCACCGAAAAGAGCUCGUGAGGAUCUAGGGAGCGCGGGUCGGAUCCAUCGAGAUCGUCCACGCAGUGUCCCUGUGGAAGGCCCGGAACCCUUGUUUUGGCCAUCGGGUGUUACAAGAGGGCGCGGAAGAAGAUUUAUUUGGCGAUUGUCGGCGGGUGAAGAGACAUGACGAGCUACGAGGACAACUUCUCCAUGGACGAGGCCACCUCGGUGUACAACGGCACCGAGGAGACGCUAGCGGGUAACUUCAUCCACAAGCCGGGCGACGGCUCCGGCGACUGGACCAUGAGCGACUCGUGGGACAUGUUCGUCAAGUGGGAGGACAACCCGCUGAUGUACCUCUUCGCCACGUUCACUCUCAUGUCCAUGCUCAUCUGGAUCGGGUUCGCGGGAGAUAAUCUGCAGCACCAUCGUUCUUACGGCUCACUUUCCUUCGCGGGCGGGGCGACGCACAAGCAACUCUGGGAGAACUCCUUCGGCGGCGGCGGAUUCGUUCUCAUGGUGUUCAGGGUGGCAGCCUUCUGCUUCUGCCUGUGGUUUUCUCUCACGCAGAUCAUCCAGCCGAACGUCGACGCCGGCAACAAGGUGACGGACUACAUGAACUUCCACGACUGGAGCUUCUAUUGUCUGACGAUCUUCUUCGGCCUCGGCGCGUUCGUGUCCGUGCGCGGAGUGUUCGGCGGUGACGGCGAGCGCGCGAGUCGGUACAUCGGCCACAGCGGCGACUGCAACCUCGUCGGCCACUGGCUCAUCACGUGGUACUCGGCGGCGUUCACCCUGUGCCUGGCGUGCGACCUGUGCGUGUGGCUCGAGAUGCUCUUCAAUCCGCAGUGCGUGGGUAACACGUACGGGUUCAAGAUGAGCACGCUCCUGGACCCCGCGAGCAGGCUGUGCUACUUUGAGUGGAACUACAUGGUUGGGUUUGUCGGGAACCUCAUCUUGCUGCUGGUGGAGUCGACCUUGGGACAGUUGCCGUUCCCCAAGUGCUACCUGUCCACCCCUCUGUUCAUCCUCGGUUUAUUCAUCACCCUGGCGUACCUGAUGCACGAGUUCCUCUUCUACCACUGGCCGUACGAGCAGCUCAACUUCUACAGGUGGCAGUGCUUCUGGUACGUCAACGGAUUCAACGGGCUGGUGUUCGGCACGCACUUCUUCCUCAACUGGUUCCUGAGCAUGGGCAGAGGCGACCUGACCAGCGAGGACGUCGGCGACGAGCACAUUCCCCUGUUCAAGGGCGACACGGCGUGAGGACGAGGAGGCGUUGGAGAAUUCGGGGGGGAGGGACCUAGAACAUACAGUAGGGAGUCUAUUAUUCAUGUAAAACACGAGAACCCGUUCUGGUUGAUUCUCACAGCGGCGAUGCGCUCGGGGUUCCUCAACGUCGAGCCUGCCCCGAAGCGCCCCAGAAGCGCUCGAGCGACCGGGGAGAUCGUCGAGGAUGAGAUCCAGCCCACCGCGGAGGAGGAGAUCCGGCCCACGCAGGCUGGUCCGGGCAGCCAGGCAGGCACGACAUCGCAAUGCCAGGGACCGCCGGGGCACGACGACGAGAACCGAACGUACAAGCACACGUGCGAGAACCCGAACAUCGCCGAGGACGAGAUUGCGCAGUGCGAGAAGUGCGGGCGGAUGGUGGGCGGCAUACCGAUCGGCCCGUUCGAGUGGGACGAGGAGUGGGCACGGGUCAAGGAGCCUCCGCACCCCGACACGCUGGGCAAGGCGAGGUUGCACGUGCCCGUCCCGUGCAUGCCGAAGCUGCUGGCGAACGAUGAGAACGUCCUCAAGGUCCUCGCGAAGUCAGCCUUCGUAGAGUACGAGGUCCAGCCCGAGGUGGAGGGUGCGGACGAACGCGACAUCAUCGUCACGGGCAAGCACCCCGGCAUCUUGCUCUUCUACGAGAACGUGUACAGGAACAUUCACAAGGAGCUCAUCGAGGUUGCGAGAAAGCCGGAGAAGAGGCACAAGAUCCUGUUGGAGCCGUACGAGAUGGUGAAGCCAAUCAUCGGGAAGAAAGGGCGGAACCAUCAGGCCAUCGUGGACAUCACCGGCGCGGUGGUGAAGAUCGUCGAGGAACCCUUACCCGGCCAGGAGUUCGAGGACCUGAGGCCCGGUAACCCCGGAAAGGUGUACGCAAUCGUGGAGGGCAAAGACGAGCACUGCAACGAGGCGCUCGCGAUUAUAUACCAGUUCCUGGCGUUCGAACCGACGCCGUCCGGGAUCAAGGCCGCGUUCGAGUUCGGCGAAUCGUUGGUGAAGCGAGUGGAGGGCGGAUACACGUGGGACAGGCCGCACUUUCACGAGACGGACGAGGAGAAGGCGGAGCGAGAGCGCCAGGGGUUCCGCAAGCCCACCGGUUUGGAGCGACAGUUUGCGGAGCAGGACCCGUUCGGCGGGUGGAGGCUGGUGAAGGCCAAGCAGAAAGAUCCGAUCGAGCCCGGGGACAGGAAGAAGGACAGGACGAUCGUGUACUUCUUCAACGCGGUCACGGGGGAGACGAGGGAUUCGAUGCCGCCGAAAUGGAAAUAUCCGUACCAGAACCAUCCAAAGCCGGAGCCCAAACGGAAGGAACCGGAGCCCUCGUCGGCGUUCCAGGAGGAGGACGGGGAGGAGAUGGAGGAGAUACUGGCAGACGACCCGAUGGAAACUUAGUAUGCGACGUGUAAAACAGCUGUAAAUCGGCUACGGCUCACUCGACACACGUGCCGCCUCACUCGCGGAGCUCGGGAAGCACGUCGAGCAGCGCGUCCACCGCCGCGGCGCCCAACUUUUCGCACCUACCCGGCGUCCACCCGUCGGGCUGCGCGAGCUGCACGUUAUCCUUGAACGGCAUCUCCAGCGUCAUGCCCACGCAGUUGUACCUGUACGUCACCUGCGUCUUGGCCGUCACGACGUUACCCGCGGGCGCCGUGCCGUACUCGAGCGGAAACGUCGUCUGAAAAUCCGGGCACGCCCUCGCGUACGCCGCCUUGAACGCCCUCUGCGUCUCAGCCCUUCGCUCGUCCCAGCCCGGGCAUCCCUCGCCGCCGAUGAUGAAGCAGUACGGCUCCGCCUCGUCGCCGUGCACGUCCAGCAUCAGGUCCACCGGCCCGGUCGCGUCCAUCGCGUUACGCGUCCAGAGAACUUCCGGAGAUAGUUCCGGGGUUGGGUUCUCCCACUCUCGGUUCAGGUUCGCCCCCGCCGCGUUGGUCCGGAGGUGUCCCCGGACGCUUCCGUCGGGGUUCAUGUUGGGAACCACGUACACCACCGCCCUGCGCAGCACCUUCCUCGCCACCGGGUCCUCAUCGUCCAGGAGUCUGCGGACGAAACCCUCCAUCCACCAGGACGCCAUGGACUCCCCCGGGUGCUGCCUCCCCAGGAUCCACACCACCCGCUUGGCGCCCCCGUCGCGCGACCACGGCGGAAGCGACCGACGCGAAGCCUCCACCGCCGCCUUAUCCUCCGGGGACUCCCCCGCGAACGCCGGCUCGGGCGUCCACGUCCCGGGCUCGCCGAACCUGAGGCAAUCCAGCGGCCGGCCGUCGAGGGUGUCGCCCAACGCGACGUGCGAGACGUUUGGAUGGGACGAGGCGGACGCGACGAGGUCGAGGUGCCGCUCGUAAUCGUACGGGACAAAGUACGCGAGGUGCACGCAGUCGCCCGGUACGGGGUCCAUGUCGAUGAUCAACUCGCCGUCGACGUACGUCGUGGUCUGGACCCUGCGCCAGUGCUUCCUGUCCGCGGACGCGAACGCCUUGUAGUCGCGCCAUCCGUCGGGGUAGGAUGCGUCUCCCGCGUUUUGGACGACGACGCGCAGCGCGCGGCCGCGCGCGCCGGUGACCCUGAAGUGGAACCACUGGAAGUGCGCCCUGCCGUCCGCCUUCGUGAAGGGUUCCUCGCGCAUGCGCACGGUGAGCGUGUGUGGCGUGGCGGAGACGAGCUCGCCGUUGCCAGAGUCGAACGACGAGCUGAAGCCGUAAGGCGCGCCAUCCGCGGUGCCGAACGACAUGGCCACGGCGCGCGGGGCGAUCGCCGACGGCGCGCGGGAGGGGGCCGGACGGAGGGUGCGGGCGGAGGAGAGCGAGCCGACGCGCGUCAGGGCGGUGCGCACGAGCGAGCCGCGGUGCAUGGAAAGCGCGGGUCGCCGCGCGCCUGUUGUGGCGGAUGGCCAAGCAACAGAACCCCUAAAAAGAUGACAACGAACUCGCAACCCUCGCAGCUUCUCGCGCGCGUCGACCGAGGUAACGACGAGCGCGCCGCGCGCGCAUGUCGGCGUCGACGAGCGUUGUCCUCUCGCGCGCCGUGCACAUCCCAUCGUCGUCCGGGUCCGUCGCGCCGCCGCCGUCCCGUCGCGGCGCCCUUCCCGCCGCGCGCGUCACCAUGGCGACGGCGUCCGCCGAGGUGGAUAAGGCCACCGCGCUCCUGGCGUGGCUCGCCGACGCCACGAACGAUCCGGGGAUCGAGUCGCGCGUCGCCCUGGGGGAGACCCGCCACGGCCGGGGCCUCGUCGCCGUCCGCAACCUCGUCCCGGGCGAGGUCAUCUUCAACGUCCCGUUCCGACUGGUGCUCUCGGAAGAUCACGACGAGGCGGACGCGUCGGACCUGCCGUGGUCCGCGCUCAUGGCCGCGCGGCUGCUCGAGGAAAGAUCGCGAGGAGGCGAACGCGGGCGGUGGAUCGAGUCCCUCCCGCACCUCGUGUCCACGCCGCCGCUGGAGUACACGGACGCCGAGCUCGCGGCGUGCGAAGACCCGAAAACAAUCGCCGAGGCUCGAGCGACGUCGGAGGGACACCUCGCCGCGUACGAGGCGCUCAAACCCCGUCUCGACGCGGUGGGAUGCGACGAACGCGACUUGCGCUGGGCCACCGGCGUGUUGCACAGCAGGUGCUUCACGCACGGCCCGAGGGGCACGCACCUCGCCGUGCCGGGAGUGGACAUGUGCAACCACGACUUCGCCGGCGCCAACGCGGAAGUCGCGGUGGUGACGAGCCCGGAGGACGUGCAGGGCGUCCGCGCGACCGCAGAGAUCGCCGACGUGGACGAGCGCGAGAAGACCGGUGGGGCACGCGGUGACGGGGAUACGAUGUUUUUCCAGCUGAGGGCCGGGGAUGACGGCGUGGAGCAGGGGGAGGAGGUGACCAUAUCGUACGGACCGUGGCCGAACGAUCCCUUCUUUCUCUACUUUGGAUUCGUCCCCGAAGGUAACCCCAACGACGCGGUGGUGCUCUUCGACGACGUCGACGACGUCGCGAUGUGUGCGGCCAGGCUGGACAUGAUGUCCAUCGCCGAGGCGGGGGAGAGGGCGGCGGCGGCGACUGUCGCGUUUGCCGAGGAGGAAAAAGACGGCGGCUCCGGCGCGCCGACUCGCAUGGUCAUCACGCGCGAGGGCAUCGACGAGGGCAUGAUGCGCGCGUGCGGCGCGAUGGGGUUCGACCAGGACACGUUCAACGCGCUGCUGGAGGGACGAUGCAGGGAGCUCCUGCGUUUGUACCCGACGAAGCUCAAGGAGGAUCGCGGGUUACUGAUGAGCGGGACGCUGACGGAGAACGAGGCUACGUCGACGCUGUACAAGAUGAGCAAGAAGGAGGUGCUGCUGGGUCCCCUCGCGGCGGCGGCGGCGAGGCAGAGCGGGGCGGCGGGGACGAUCAUUCAGGCGUGACGCGUCCCGCUCCACCGGGGUAGGCGCGUCGUGACCGGCGGCAUUGUUUUGGUACAACCCCAACGUUAUUAACUUUAUUAUAAAAACCCGGCGCGUCGCCUCGGCCGCGUACCUCUACGCCCUCUUCGCCUUUUUCGGCGCGAGCACCUUCUUGCGCUGGUUCACCAUGUACAUGUACAGCAUGGGAAAGCCCGGGACGUACCCGAGGAAGAACAUCACGACGAUGGACGGAAAGUGGAUGGAGAUGUUGUACGGGUUCGGCAUCGGGUACGAGAGCGCUCCGGUGCUCACCAGGUGGGGGAAUCCGGAGUAGGUGAGGAAGAGCUCGGACGCGACGCCGAGAGGGUAGAGCACGAUGAAGAACGUGUACCUCAUCCAUGUCACCGCGUGCGGGACGGUGCCGAGCAGCUUGAAGAAGUAGUACGAGUAACGCACAACCUCGGUGACGCCCCACGCGAAGAGCAGCGACGGGAGCCCCAGGCCGAGGUCGACCCCACCGACGUUGGCGAGAGGCAGGAACGCCGCGCGCGACGGGGGCGCGACGUAGAGGACGCCCCACACCACCAUCAACCGUGAGGACACUUGCAUCGCGGUGACCAGCACGGGGGAUCGCGCGAUGCCGAACAUCGCGUGGAGCACCUCCAUCACCGCCGCGGUCUGCGCCACCAGCAGCAUCACCUCCACGUUCUCGUACACGUGCUUGGGGCCCAGCGUUAUGCACGCCUUCGCCGCCACUGUGAGCACCAGCGCCCACCCGAAGAUGAGCGUGGCGUUGUACGCGAGCAGGUAGUUCUUCUUGAGACUCAUUCUCGAUGGAUCGGUGCGCAGACCAAGAGUGCAGCGCAGAGGACGAGGGCAAUCCAAUCCGUGUUCCACUCCGACUUGGCACAAAAAGGCGAAACCCGCUCGGCUCCCAUUUCGGCGCUCGACCGACCGCAAAGCGGCCGGACCGACGUGACGUGAAGAUAUUUUCUUGGGUUUCUCACCCUCGAUGACGUGGUUUGGACUUUCAAAAUCUCGGGGGUUCAAACUCCAGAAAACGACGGUGUGACACACUGCGAAAACACGCGGGAAUCAAGGUUAAAUAUCCCAUCCUCAACCCCGCUUUUGCCAAAAAGCGUUACCUUCCGCACACUGGAAGCCUGUUGUUAUCGCAAUGUAUUUGACGUAAAUGCGAAGAUCUCGCCUCUGCAAACCCCCGUUUCGCCAAUUAUGAAGUUGGAAGGGACACAACGGGUUGCAAAACACGUGUGCGUAUCACUGACUCCCCCAUCGCGUGAUUUAGACCCUGGAUAAACCCUGGAACGCGGCGCGAAGUAGCCGUUCCACAGUGUGUUUGCGUUUCGCGGUCUUUCGUUUUUGUGCGCGACAGGGCGCGCUUCGGGCGCCACUAUCGUCGUGCAACGACACACGAACAGGACCGAGAAGGUACGAGAUGUUUUCCUGGGCUCGGGUUGGUCCCGUCGGGGGCGGUCGCGCGGUGCGCCCGUCGUCGGGACGCCGCCGCGCGGGCGUUAUUCGGCGCGGACACGUGAUUUCCCGGACGGCGAAAAGCGAAUUUGCGUUGCCGAAGCGCAUUUCCCCGCCCUUCGGCAUGCGCCCGACGAAGCCUCCCCGAGGGGGUUCGCGACAGCUUUUCGCCGCAUCUGACUCGCGCGGGUGGUUUUCAACCCGGCGAGCUUUCCCGAUUCGCUCGAAUCGCGGGUUACCGCGGGCGCGCAACGCCGCCGCGACGCGCUUUUCCUGACCGGCCGUUUCCCACGCUCCGCCCUUCUUCGCAGGCUGCGCGCAGCGCAUUUUUUCAGCUCCAGUCGACAACUAUGCCCAAGGUACGCACGAGCCCGAGAUGAGACAGCCGAGCCGGACCUUGGAGCCCUGACGUGACCCGCGGGGGCUUCGAACGUGGGGGCGUGGGCGUCCUGACCUCACCGGGACGCGCCGCGCGCCGGCCAGCCCGGGAGGAAUAAAUUGCCAAAACUAUGCCGUUGGGUGCUAAAAUUUGGUUUUUGGCCCGCGGCACGCCCACCGAACCGACGCUGACGCACCCAUCCCUCGCCCGUUUCCACUCGACAGCGAAAGCAAGAAGAUGGCAUGACCAUCAAGCCCCCAAAGCGCGCGCGCACCGCCUACCUGGUGUUCUGCGACAGGUACCGCGAGCAGAUCAUGCGCGCGGUGCACCCCCAGCCCAACGCCAAGUUCACCCGCGAGGAGAUGCAGGCGGUGACCACGAAGCUCGCGGAGCUGUGGAAGAACAUCAGCCCGAACGAGCUCAAGGAGUGCAAGGCCGAGGCUGACAUCCUCAAGGGCCAGUACGAGGCCGAGAAGGCCAAGUUCCCCGCCGGCUCCCUGAAGCGCCACCACAAGAAGGGCAAGAAGGCGAAGAACCAGACCAUCCUCGUCGAGGGCCAGGGCGAGAAGCCCAAGCGCGCGCGCACGGCGUACCUCAUCUUCUGCGACAAGUACAGGAACCAGAUCAUGAAGGAGGUGCACUCUAACCCCAACACCAAGUUCACCCGCGAGGAGAUGCAGCAGGUCACCACCCGCCUGGCGAACAUGUGGCGCAACGUCACGCCCACCGAGCUCGCGUCGUGCAAGAUGGAGGCUGACCUCUGCAAGGAGGAGUACAAGAAGCAGAAGGACUCCUACCGCGCCCCCGUGUACGCCCCCGCGAGCAAGAGUAAGAAGGGUAAGAAGGAGAAGGCUGACAACGGCAAGCCCAAGCGCCCGCGCACCGCCUACCUCCUCUUUGCGGAGGACUGCAGGUCCAAGCUGAAGAAGACGCAGCCCGACCUCGGGUUCACGGACGUCUCCAAGGUGGUCUCCUCGGAGUGGAAGGAGCUCCCCGAGAACAAAAAGCAGCAGUACGUUCGCAACGCCGAGAAGGAGCAGGAGAAGCACAGGGUGCUCAAGGCGCAGUGGGAAGCGAAGCACCCCGUCGCGUGAGCAAGUCGCGGCGUGCGCGGCCUCCAUUUUCGCAAAGGUCAAUCGCCAAACACACCCUUGUACAUCAUCACCGCCCUCCGCGCGUGGGCACGCGCUCGAGCCGAACACCACGUCAAGCACGCGCUCCGUCACCGAAUUACCAACUGUAUAGUGUAGCCGCAACUUAGUCGACGGACCCGCGCGCGCAGCGGAGCAGAGUCUAACCCGUAUCACUGUGAAUAGAUAGGACUUUUUCAUCACCGAAUAAUCGCUAUAAGAGAACAUCUCGCCUCAUUUUCCCUGCAGCAGACGCAGCGCGCGCUCCUCCAUGCUCUCCACGGUCUCGUCUUUCGUCGCCAUCCCCGCGACGGCGACGUCCACCUUUCGUCGUUUGCCCGGCUCCUCGGAUUCCGAUUCCGACUCGGAGCCGUCCGAAUCUGACGCGCCGCCGAGUCGAGCUCCCGCCUCCUCGUCGCCGUCGUCGUCCGAGUCCGACUGUGUCAGUCCAUCCGCCUUUCGACGCUUCAUCCGCUCCUUGUUUCGAAUGUCCCGCAAACGCUCCUUCUCGCGGAGCCUGUCCGCCUUGUCCGCCCUGAGCCGCUCGGCGCGGAUCUUGUCGUAGUGCGCCUUGGCCGCCGCCGCGAGCUCCUCGCCGCCGUCGGGAACGGGACCGUCGGCCCUGGAUUUGACCCCGAGAGCCUCGAGCGGCGCCAUCGCCUCGCCGUCCUCGCCGAAGACGACGCGCUCGUUCGCGCCGUGCCCGCCCUGCUUUAUCCGCAGCUUACCCUUCUUCGCCUUCUGUCGCAUUCGCUCGGCGAGGUCCACCGGCCCCUCCGCGAGUACCGCCUUGGCGCGCUCGCUCAGGUGCCUCUCCCCGUCAUCGUCCCCGGAGUCAUCUCCGUCGUCGUCGUCGGAAUCGGCGGCGUCGCCGAGCCUGUGGUCCGCGCGCUUGACAGUCAUGAGGUCGUCGUCCGAGUCGGCGUCGUCAACCUUCAUGCCGAAGUGACCGCCGCCCACCCUCUUGAGGACGCCGGCGGAUUUGGUCUUGUCGUCCUCCUCGUCGGAGUCGUCCUCGUCGGAGUCGUCCUCGUCGCCGUCGUCCUCGUCGCCGUCGGAAUCAUCGUCGUCUCGCGCCUUGGCCCUGGGGGGCUCGGCCCGCGCGGGCGCCUCCUCGCUCUCGCUAUCGUCGCCCUCGCUAUCGUCGCUAUCCUCCUCUUUUUUGCCGUUCUUACCGGCGCCCUUCUGGCUCUUCAGGAACCUGAGCCUGGGCGGGUUGGGUAAGCCCAUGGAGUGCGCGUACGCCUCCACGUCUAGUGCGUUGACGUCGAACACGUCCUUGUUCGGCUGCAGGUAGAUGCUUCGCAGGUAGCUCACGACCGCCCGCUGCGCUAGGUACUUGAGCUCGGUGUCCUUGCCCAGCAAACCCUGAAUGGAGCUCGUUAUCUUCUGAUUCUUGGCCUGGUUCAGCUUCAUGGUCUUCAGCGGGACCUUAGCCGCGGCGAGUUCCUUCGCGAACGCGGAUUCGGAGGGGGUCAACAGCAGCAGGCCUUUGCCCUCGGCGGUGUAUCUAGCGGUUCGACCCACGCGGUGAAUGUAACACGGCACAUCCUCGGGGCAGUCCGCCUGUAGAACCCAGUCCACGGACGGAAAAUCGAGACCGCGCGCGGCCACGUCCGUUGCGAACAGCACGGUGUGUUUCGCCUUGCAGAAAGCGUCGAACGUGGCCAUGCGCUUCAUCUGCUUCAUCCGCCCGUGGAGCAUCGCGACGGGGAUGCCCGGUCGCAUCCGCCGGAACAUCUCGUGCACAAAUCGCACCUGCUUGCACGAGCUGAGAAACACCAGCGUCUUGCUCGUGAGGUGCGACUUGAUGAACGCCCACAUCGUCUCCAUCUUCUUGUCCAGCUCGCACGUCGCCACCAUCUGCGAGAGCUUGGGCGGCGUCGCGUGAGCGCUCUCCGCGUGCACCGCCAGGUACUCCGGGUCUCUCAUGCUCAGCCUCGCCAGGUCCUUCACGCUCUUCGUCUGCGUCGCGCUGAACAGCAGCGUCUGCCUCCCCUUCUUCGGAAGGUUUUCCAAGAUGGCGGUGAGGGUCUCGCGGAAUCCCAAGUCCAGGAUACGGUCCGCCUCGUCCAGCACCAACACCUUGAGCGAGACGCAGUCGAACAUUGGAGUCUCGUCCAUGUGCUGCAGGAGCCUUCCCGGGGUGCACACCAGCAGGUUCAUCCUGUUCACCGUGUCCUUCUCUUCCUUGACGUUCUUACCCCCGAUCAAGAGACCCGCGCUGAGGGAGUGGUGCUUGCCCGCGGCGACGAGCUGCUGGAAGAUCUGCGUGGCGAGCUCGCGCGUGGGCGCGAUGAUGAGGCCGCCGAUGCCGUCCUGCCGGCCCCACUUGGCCCGGUAGAGGGCCUCCAGGGUGGGAACGAUGAACGCGAGGGUCUUGCCGCUGCCGGUUUUGGCGGCACCGAGGAUGUCUCGGCCGGCGAGCGCGUGCGGGAUGGUCGCGCGCUGGAUGGCGGUGAGCUCCUUGAAGCGUGCGUCCGCGAGUCCUCGCUGCGUCGCCUCCGAGAGGGGCAUGUCCUUGAACUUGCGCACCCCGACGAGGGAGGCGCCGAGGCCCUUCUCGCUUGACUUACGCGGUGCCACCGCGAGUGGAUUAGUGCCCUUCUCCGGGGCGGUCGCCUGUCGGGAGUGGGGGAAGGGGGGUUGGGGGGUGAGAGAGGAAGCGGGCGGACAUCGAUUGUCGGCGGCGGCGAGAUCCUUGGGGCGGCGGCUGGCGCGGGUCGCGCCGCGUACCUUGAUGGCCGCCUCCAGCUCCUCGAUCUCGCGGUCCGCCAUCUUAACGCGGCCACCACCGCGCCCGCCACGACCUUUGCCGCGGUUGUCGCGCCCCAUGCUGGCGGUUGCGGGUGCGUCACUCACUGUCGGCGGUCGGCGGUGCCGAGACUUUCCAUCGGAAGGCGUGACAGAAGAGAUCAGAAAGUUUGUCGUGCCGGCUCGAGAUUGAUACAAGCACUCCCUUUGGCGCUCAGCGGAUGGGCGGCGAGCAGGACCCACCCCUUGUCGGGACGGGGUGGUUCCCCGGCAUCACUCCAGAGGACUUCGGUGCCGGGAAGGCGUGGUUAGAUGACAUCAUAUCCCCCGCCUUGAUCGUCAACGAGGCCCACGUCCGUCACAACGUAAAGACGAUCAUCGGGAAAUGUGGCAGGCCCGACCGCUGGAGGCCGCACCUGAAAACGACCAAGAUGAAAUGGGUUUGGAGGAUACUGAUUGAAGAGGGGGUGAGAAACUUUAAGGUGGCGACGACAAAGGAGGCAGAGGCGAUGAUUCAGCUCGUGCGCGAGAUGAAGUCCCUGAAGCACACCGUCGACGUACUGGUCGCGUACCCACUAGUUGGACCAAACCUCAGAGCACUCGGACGAUUGACGAAGACGCCUGGGGCCAGCCAGAUUAAGCUGUCGGUGUUGGUGGAAUGUGACCGGGCGAUUGAUGACGUCGUGGCUCUCGACUGUGGUAUCGGUGUGUUCAUUGACAUCAACCCUGGCAUGGAUCGCACCGGUCUCGCCUACAACAGAGAUGGAGAGGCUCAACACUCUUUUGACGAUGUCCGUGAGUUGAUUAUCAAGGCGAAAUCGAGGAACGUUUUCCGCGGAAUACACUACUACGAGGGGCACAUAUCAGAGUGUUUGGCAGAAAGGGAUGGACUUUCGCCUAAUCAAAGCAUCUUGAAAGAGAAGCUCGAUUCCCGUGCGUCUGACUGCUUCAGGUGUUACAACCGCUGGCUACUUCCUAUAUUCCAUGAGAGUCUUAAGGAUGGAAAGCUUCCCGGGUGCGGAGGGAUCAAGCCCGAGAUAAUAACAAGUGGGACGCCGGGUUUCACUCAUGCGUUGCGCCACGAAUUGUUCCUAGGUGGGAUGAUAAUCAUUUCUGAGCGCGUGCUAUAUAGGUACAAACAAGAUCUGAGGGGGUUACCCGUCGACCGAUCAGAAGAGGCAAAACUCUCUGACAGCCUCUUCCACGGGAUACACCGAGUGAGCCCUGGCACUGUGGUCUUCCAUGAUUGGCGGGGGGAGAGGCAAAAUCCUGGGCUCGGCCUCAAACCGGCGGCGGUGGUCAUGGCGAGGGUCGUGAGCAAUCCCAGAGCGGGUAUGGUGACGCUAGACUGUGGCUCAAAGUCAAUCGCAGCUGAGGCUGGGGACCCGGCUGGUUACGUCAUUGGCUAUCCUGAGGUAACCGCCAGGUCGUGCAGCGAGGAGCACAUGCCUUGCUCUGUAGCUGAAUUAGCGGGUUCCUCGGGCAAGCGGAAACGAGGAGCGACGGACCCGUGGCAAUCCAAGAAUAGAGGUGAGGUCUGCUUUGUUGUCCCGGAGCACAUCUGUCCUACGGUGAACCUGGCCGACGAGGUGGUGGUAAUUCGCGAGAAGUCGAGUGAGAUUGAGGUCAGGAGGGUGGACGCGCGGGGUCACCACCUACGCCUAGAGGAUAUCCAGGUGUAAAAGCUCGUUUCGAGGGGACCGAGCUGCAUGUCAGCUACCAGGUGCAGGGGCAGACCGCUUUUUAUAACUUUUAGAAGUUUCGCGGCAAAAGAUUCGCAGAUCCUGCCGAGUCAGCAGCUCGAGUCAGCAAAAAUAUCGGGACGACAUCCUGACGUCACAAAACACUUCAUACGCGCUCGCCCGAGUAUCGCUCAACUCGAGACACCCUCUGAAAGACCAACGCUCACGAUAUGUCGCUCGCGUUCAUUCCGAGCCUGCGCCCCCUGCGCGUCACGCGCGGCGGGGCGACUUGCCGCGUUAAAAAGGUGAUAACCGCCGACGCAAAAAAAAGGAGCUUUUCUUCCUCCCGAUACUCCGGAAGCCAUUACGGCAAGACCAAGCCCGACUCCGAGGAGAAGGAGAAGAUCCCCAAGAAAUACGCGCACUCCAGCCGAUACCACGUCGGCUACCAGCGCACCGAUGCCAAGAUGCCCUUCCACGACACCGAGCGCGACGCAGAUCCCGAGCCGGCGAAGAAGGGAAUUCCCAAACGCUACGCGCAUUCCGGCCGAUACCACGUCGGCUACGAGGUCUCCCGCCCCGACGUUGACAUGAUCCACGACGGCGGCGACCACGUCGCCGAGGCGCACAAAAAUCAGUCGAAGGGCAUUCCCCGCAGGUACGCCACCUCCAGCAGGUACCACGUCGGGUACGAGGUGUCCAGGCCCGACGUCGACAUGAUCCACGACAAGGGGAUGCACGAGUUCGUGGCGCACGCCGCGCACGCGGUGUCGCCUCCGUUCAAGCCCCGCAAGUCGUUCGCGUCGUCAUCCCGCUACGGCGGUAACCGCGUCGGUCUGUCCUCCUCCCGCGCGGAGAAGAAGCGCGUCGACGAAGCUAAGCGCUACGCGUGGGCGAGGCGCGACCAGGAGGAAGCGCUCAAGGCGCUAAAGUCCACCAAGUCGACACGCGCGGCGGCGUCCGGCGACGUCAAGCCCGCGAGGGUGACCAAGUACGUCGGCGCCAACCCCCACCACGACAAGUACUUCGACUGGGAGAAGGAGGAUCAGCGCCUGAACAUCGUCAACGAGGUCAUCGAUCGACACCUCCGCGACGCCGACGAGGAGUGCCAGGUGAACUGGAUCCACGGGAUGUUCUCCGGCGGCCACGAGGAGGAGUGCGUGCGCGACGUGGACGCCAUCAUGUCCAUCGUCGCCAAGCACACAGACCUCGCCGAGGCCGUCGCCGUCGUGCGAGAGCUCGUGGAUAGGGGCGGAAGCUCGGCGGCGAACGCGGUAAGGACGUGGUGCGCGGCUCACGCCGAUCUGCCCAACGCGACGGCGCUCUCGGCUAUGCUCGACGACAUGUCCAAGGGCAAGAGCAUCGGCACCCCAUCAAACUGAGCCCCCGCGCCGAGAAGACGACGACCGAACGAACCGAGAAGACCCGCUCGUGGCGGGUCGUCGUGUGUAACCGAAAUACCAUGUAAUACGACGCGCCGCCUUGUCUGAAAUUAAACUCGUCAAUCGCCGUUGUUCCACUCGUCCGGCAGAAGGUGCGACCGGUUGGGCAGCGCCAGCGCGUCGUUCUCCCCGACGGUGACCUCGCACAUCGCGCCCCUGUACCUGUACCUGACGCGCAAAAACUUCUCCUCCCCGGGGCACGGAUCGCAAAACCCGAGCAUCCCGGCCUUGUCCAGCCCCUCGAUCAUGUCGAGGCUCGAGUCGAACACCUGGAACCUCAGCGCCGUCGUCACGUCGACCCACGCGUCGUCGUCGCCCCCGGAACCCCAACCCGACACGAUGGGUUCGCCCCUCCGCGGCACGCCCCCUCGCUCCGGGAAGUUACCGAACACCGCCUCCUCGACGACGAGCCCGUUGACGGACCUCUCCUUCUCCGUCCGUUUCUCCGUGUCCCGCCGCAGCAUCUCAGCCGCCUCCGCCGCCUCCGCCUUUGCCGCCGCGACGCGUUCCCUGUGUCGUUCCCUCAACUUUGCCUUGGCCGUCGCCUCCUUCUUCGCGACGGCGGGCGAUACCAGGUACCUGUCGACCGCGAAAACGAUCGUCCACGGCAACGCGAGCGCGCACGCCACGAUCGUCGGCGUGAGCCGCUGGUACGGCGAGAUGAGCACGGGGAAGCUGAACCGCUGGCCGCUGUGGUUGAACCGAAGCUUGAGGUGAACGCCGCGGAUGCCGACGGCGACGCUCAUGCCCACCGCGGAAUCGUGCCCGACCCUUCGCGUGCCCCCGAAGUCCACGUCGAUCGCCGUCGUUCCAGCCCUGAACCCGAACCUGAACGACGUCUUCUUCGACCACCGUCGCGCGAAGAACCCGGCUAUCCCGGUAGACGCCGGGCCCACGGAGAGGUCAAACUUCCAGCUGUUCCUCCCCUUCGUUCGCGCAACCCCGGUGGACAUCCCGCUCGUCGGCCCGACGUUCCAGCUCAAACUACCCUUGGUGUGCUCGUCGAACAGCGCCCGCUCUAGGCCGACGGCCAACCCCAGGCCGCCCUGCGCGUCCGAGUACGAAUACGUCAGGUUGCCCGCCGUGUGCUCCGAGAGCUGCCUCGUCGUCGCCAGCGUCGCGGCGGAUUGGUUCGACCCGAGAACCGUGGCGAGCUCCCAGCUCGUGUGCUCGCUCGCCGCCACGCGCAUGCCGAGUAUCAACCCCCCGGCACCCAUCCCGCGGCUCAUCUGUCCCUGCGCCCCGACGUACCCCGUCGCGCGGUCGUCGAGGACGCUGUUAAGCGGGACGUCGAAGACGCUGUUAAAGUCCAUGCCGUUCAGAUCCAACCCCGACGAGAGCUUCGCGCCGCGCUUGUACGCGACGUACCGCCUGCGCUGCGCGAUCUCGGCGUCGACGAGGUGCGCCGCGGAGAAUGAGAAGCCGUAGGAGCCUCGGAAGUUGAGCUUGGCCUCCAUGCGCUGCUGCGCCUCCUUGGCCCUCGCGCGCUCGAACUCCUCGCUGAUCUCCGCGAUGGUCUUGUGCCGAUGGCCGACUUCGAGGCCCGCGGCGAGCCCCGCCUCGCCGUAGACGUCGUAUAUCCGCCUUCUGUCCUUGUCCGUGAGCACCUCGUAGGCCUCGUUCAGGCGGUUGAAGUCCCUGGCGGCAGCCUCGCGCAGCGCGGGGGAGGCCUGCUUGUCGGGGUGCGCCACCUGCGCGAGCCGUCGGUACGCGCGCUUGAUGUCAUCCUCGGAGGCGUCGCGCUUGACGUUCAGCGCCGCGUAGAAGUCGCGCCCAGCGCGCGCCUUGGGUUCGUCGUCGUCAUCAUCAUCGCGGGGGAAGUCGCCGUCCUCCAUGGUGACUCCCGGCGUCACGCGCCGUGGCAGUGGCCGAGGUGCCCAACCGUCCCCAACUACGUGUGGGGAAAGGCUGCCCUCGCUCGUUUUCCAACGGUGCGCUUUUUCUCGGUCCGUCACUCUUGCCCGCGUCCUCUCUGUGCGCAGCUGUCGAAAUGGUGCUGGCCAAGGGUAAACUCGCGGACGAUCCGCGCGAUGCGGACGCGGUCAAGCCGUUCAUCCGACCGGUACGUCACCGACCGCUUUGUGGACCAUCCAUGCGUCCCUGACCCUACGCGCACUUUCCACGAUCUCUUCAACGAUCCCUCAAACCGCCGACCCCCAUCUUCUACAGACGUACAAACCGGAGGAGAUCCCGCCCGAGCUUUACACGCUGGGUGCCCUGGUGUUCUCGCUGCUCGGCGUCACCAUGCAGUACAAGUUCUGCGCUUGGGCGGGCGCCACGUUCGCGCUCGCGGCGUUCCUGAACAAGAGGAAGCACGACUCCGAUUCCAGCCAGAUCCUCUCCGGCGUGCUGUUCGCGGUGUCGGGUCUGGCGGUCGUGUUCAUGAACGGGUACCACGGAGAGAAGGCGAGGGCGUUCGGGUCGUCGAAGCACUUCGAGGGAUCCGUCAAGGUUGAGCUGUGAGCUCGUCGGCGCAUAGGAUACGUAGCAACGAAUAGGGAGCGAUAUUUUGGCCGUUUCGACAUACUCAAUCAAGCGGUGUACUCGUCCAGCGCCUCCCUGGCGAGCCGCAUGAACUCCGCCUUGGUCACCGGCGCGCCCGGGUCCGUCCGGGGUUUCGCCUUGUGACCCGUCAUCGCGAUGAUCGCCUUGUCGCACUGUUCCUGGGUGAUCGCUCCCGACCGCACGAUGUCGAACUGCGUAAACACCGCGUCCAGGUCCUUCUCGUCGUAGCCCAACACCGGCGCGCCCCUGAAGUGGUGGUCCCUCAGCUUUUGCUCCAAAAACUUCGCCGGAUCGUCCGGCUUGGCCGUCAUCACCGCCGCGGUCAUGGACUCCAGCAGCGGCACCAGCUUGUGCGUCUCCAUGUACAUCUGCGUCGCCAGGACGGGAUCGACGAAGCCGUCGUCGCCCGGGCCGCCUCUGCGGCACGCCAGCUCGUGGAACUCGUCGAAAUCGACGAAGGUCCCAGCGCCGGCCGCCUGGCACUCCAGGGUUACCGCGCGGCGAACUUUCGCGCCGUCGAGGCCCGUGCGUUCCUGCGCGUCGUUCGGGGGUUGGUGGGAUCGAUCAGCCGAGGUCGGAUUUGGGUCGCGCGGCGGUACGUUUUGGGAACCGGGAUCGGGCGCGGUGGGACUCACCCAGCUCACGUCCUUGUUCUCGUCCAGCCCCUUCUUGAGCUCUCCGUACGUGAUCUUGAGGGCGCCGUUCGCCACGACGUCCCACACCGACUCGCGGAUCCUCUCCAGGUGGUACCGAGCCCUCGGGCCGGGCAUGGGCUUGGCCUCUCCCGGACCCAUGCUCCUCUCGCUCUUUCUUCUCGCGCUCCUCUGUUGACCGCGCCGGCGCCGAUGGGUCGGGGUCGUGCGGACUAGACCGGGACGCGCGCGCGGUUACGACGUGCGCGUGGGAACCAAGGCGAUCGUCGGUCACGACGCCGCGAGCGCGGGUACGAGUGCGGCUUCCAGAGACGGGGCGCCAAAUCUGGAACGGGCCAUUUUCCACAAAGUUGGCCCGAGGAAAAAUGCGCCCCAGUUCUAACCGAACGGCGACUGCCGUCAUGCCCAACCGCUGGGCCGACUUUGAGCCCAUGCCGUACAUCGAGGCCGAGAUGAUGUCGCUGCCGAAGUGCGAAGAUGACAUUCCGACGAUCGACGCAUCGGAUCUCACCGCCGCGGAGUUCGCAGAGCGCUUCAUGCGACCCAACAAGCCGGUAAUGCUGACGAACAUCGGUUGUGAAAGUUGGAAGGCUUUCGAUGAGUGGACCAAGGUGGAUGGAUCCGGGGAGCGCGUGCCGGACGUAUCGCGCAUGUCCGAGCUGUUCGGAGACGCGAAGGUACUCGUGGUGGAUUGCGAAGCCCCGCUGGACACCGACCUGUCCCGACGGGAGAUGCGUUUCGAGGAGUACGCCAGGUACUUUCGAUCGAGGGGUGACGGUUCGCGAAGCGAUGGGGGCGACAAACGACUGCUCUACUGCAAGGACUGGACCUUCACGGAGGAUUUCCCCGAGUAUCCCGCGUACCAAACCCCGCCGCACUUCGCCGACGACUGGCUCAACGAGUACUGGGACGAGCAACGCGGGAAGGGCGUCGGCGACGGCCUCGGAUCGCACAGGUUCGUCUACCUGGGAGUCGAGGGCACGCACACGCCGUUGCACGCGGACGUCCUCCGGUCGUUCUCGUGGUCCGUCAACCUCGCCGGCCACAAGCGUUGGCUCAUGGUCCCGCCCCAUCGCAGCCGCCACCUGCUGGACUGCACGGGCCGGCGGCAUUACCACGAUGUGGAGCGUUGGAGGCAAAGUGACUGGAACACGUUUCCAACAGUGGACAUGGCUUUCCCACUCAUGAUCAUCCAACCCCCGAACAGUGCGUUGUUCGUCCCGUCUCUGUGGUAUCACCAGGUACGAAACCUCACGGACUGUCUCAGCGUUAAUCACAACUGGUUCAACGCGUCGAACGCGCGGUUUUCGUGGGCGAUGCUUCGAGAUGAACUGGACGACGUGAGAGCCGGUUUACCCGACCAAGACGAUCGAGGCGACGGCGUUCUGUGCCAGUCGCUGGUGGAGCGGAAGGCGGGGGCGGACUUCAAGACGUUCGCUGGGAUCCUGGCGUCCGCUAUACGGAGGUACAGGCGGCGCGCUGUGGGUGAAUGCGAGAGCGAGAGUAGGACGCGAUCGGGGAAGAGGCGGCGGUUGGACGGCGAAAACAAAUUGGACGAUGAAAACGAACGCGGUCUGAGGGUGGCGGUUGACCUGCUGGAGGAGGUCCUGGACGCGGACGAUGAGGAGGGCGCGUCGGCCGUGGCCAGCGCGUGGGAGGGGAGCGAGGGCGCGCUCGAGGAGGCGAGGGACGCGUUGAAGAAGGGCCGGGAGACCCUGGUAGGAAAUGAGAGGCUCGGUAGGAGGCUCGAUAGGAAAUGAAUAUCUCGUCGCGGUACGGAUUAAUAGUCAGCCCCGCUUCGCGCGUGGGGUUUUAUGUACUCGUACUCGUAUACUCGUGGAUCACUCACGGGACGGUGUACGCGCCCGGCUGGUCGAACACCAGUUCCUCCGUCUCGUCCUUCUCGAUGACAAAGCCGCGGAGCCUGUCAAUCUCCGGCGCGUCCGCCCCGCACUUCUCGAACCUCCAUCCCUUGUUCGACACCUUCAGGUUCUUAACCGUGACGAAAGCGCCGGGGCACGCCUUGAUGACGAGCGCUCCGUCCAGCUCGAGGCUCUCGAUCUUGACUCCCGCGCCCUCCACGAUCAAGGCGCUGCUCGCGGAGGUGACCUUGAGUCCCUUGCCAGCCUUGCCCUUGAGCUCCUCGAAAGUGCACGCGAAAGACGGGUGCAACACAACCUUGGGACCCGAGGGCACCACGAUGUCGUUCGCGGAAAAGUCGACGGGCGCCGCCAUCUCCGCGCCCGCGAGCUCCAGAACCUUGGCCGCGCACCCGUAAAACUCCAUCUCGCCGCUCGUCGCCGUGUGCGUGGGGUUACCGCCCUCAAACUUACCCACGCCAUCCGCGGGGGAGUUCUUGACGGGGGAGUAUCCGACCCAGUUAUCGAAAACGGUGAACCCGACGCAGGCGCUCGCGUCGAGCGACUUGGGGUAAUCCUGCAUCAUGCACUCGAGCCGGGUUGGGGACUUGAACGCGGUCUUGCUGGCGUCCUUGUACUUGGGGUUGACGAACUCCUCGAUCUGCCCGCCCGUCUUUGCCAGCUGCGUCUUGUACUCCUCCAACGAGACGAUGAGCUGGUUGAUGUUACCGGGGAAAGGGGAGACGCCCUUGUCGUUGUUGACGUCGCCGUCUUUGUUUAUCGUCGCGCGGAGGAGCGGGUCGAGCUGGUUGUACUCCACGUUCACGGUCAUCUUGCGACCGUCGGUGUGAGUGAGCUCGGUGAUGGCGCCAAUCGCCUCCUUCGCCUUGCGAGGGACGCAGAGCGAGUUGAACACGAAUCCCUUCUGCUUGGACACCCCGAGGGCACCGGGCACGACGCGAAAGACGAGCGAGUUGGUAUCCUGGAAGAAAACCACCCACUUCUUGCCCGCGGCGCUCCACCUGUCGAGGAGCCCGCUGGUGUGGAGCAGCGCGUGGACGUCGCCGUGGCCGUGGGGCUUGGUCUGGAGGGCGUACGGGUCGGCAUCUUUGAGCGCGAGGUGCGCGUCGUUGUUGGUCAGGCACGGCACCUUCUCCUGCUUGACGAGGGUCACCUGCUCCUUCUUAGCGCCGAAGUAGUCGUUGCGCUCGAGGAGGUCGAGGGUCUUGGCGUGGGUGUCGUCGGAGGUCAUGAUCGCGAGAGGGAUGCCGACGUCCUUGGCGCUGCGGUGCGCGGGCAUCUCGCCCGCGGACCUCUGCUGCAGCGCGAGGAUGGACUGAAUGUAGAGCUGGAGGUAGCACGAGUCCGUGGACCUCUCGCAAGGGAGCUCGACUUUGAUGCCGGAGUACCCGAGGCGCUCGCCGAGACCUCCCGCGACGAGGACGAACGCGGCGGAUCCGACCUCCCGCAUGCCCUCGCUCUCGAGCUCGACGUGCUCCUUGGACGCGUACUCGACCACGAUGCCGUCGGGCACCGCGGGGGUCCACCCGUCGAAGGGGUUGACGCCCUCCUUGGAAUCCUGGAGGAGCUUCUUGGCGUUGGCGACGUACUGCGCGAUGCCACCGGGGUAGCCCGCGUCGCAGACGGCGGCCUGCGCGAGGAACCUGCGCUUGUCGUCGUCGUCGGUGCCGGGCGCGGGCCAAGACGAGAAGAGGUGGUCCUGCCCGCAGCCGAGGAGCUUGUCGAUCAUGGCGUUCUCAUCGGCGGUGAAGAUGCCGCGGUUGGCCUCGAGGGUCGAGCCCGUCUUGCGUUUCUUGGUCUGUUGUCGAUGACGAACGGCGGGGAGGGUCAGAUGAUCGGGACUGGGAAUACACAAACGGAACGGUGCCGAUCGGGAAAGCGCGUGAUUCCGGGUGACAUCGCGGGGCGGGGAGUGCACACCGGUGUGUCGUCGCUCAUGUCUCGCGGUCUGAAGCAGGAGGCCAAGCCCAUAACACGCGCUCGAUGCGCGGGGUAAGUCCUUGGCUUGAACGUACGCGUCUCGGAGACUGCGCGGCGACGAGCGCUCGCGAGAUUUGGGUGUUGGAAGGAAAGGAAGAGAUUCCCAACAGGCAGCCAGGAGGUUUCUGAUUGGUUGAGAUCCGGUGCGUAUGGCAAGUAGUCAGCUUUUUUUGUCCUUCGCGCUUCGCCCGCGAUUCAAAAAAGGCGCGGGUUCAAGCGUGCAGUUUGAACUUGGCACCCCACCCGCCCACGAUCGCCGCAGAGAGAAGGGGCGCCACUCCUCGGAGAACAUGGCGACCACGUCCCCGAGCGCGAUGGAUCACGUCUCUAAGAAGCCCAAGCUGGCGGACGGCGAGGACGCCAUGGACGUGGACGACAAGGAGAACCGCAAGAUCGCCAAGGUGGCGUUCGACCACGAGACGCACAUGAGGAUCUACUACGACUCGCUCUUCCCCGCCGAGUCCAUGAUGAAGUGGCUCGCGUACGGCAACGACUUGAAGCACCCGCAGGCGGACACGGGUUUCAUGCAGCGCCGCGAGUUCUGCUUCACCCUCCCGGGCGACGUCUUCGUCCGAUACCAGUCCUUCAAGGACGACAAGGAGCUGCGCAAGGAGCUCAAGUCCAAGCUCCCGAGCAAGAUCGACAUCGGGCCCGUGUUCAACGUGGACCCGAGCAAGCGGCUGGCGUACUCCGGCGGGGCCGGGUCCGACCGCGUGUUCGCGCCGACCGAGAGGGAGUUCGUGAUGGACAUCGACAUGACCGACUACGACGACGUGCGCACGUGCUGCUCCGCGGCGGACAUCUGCCACAAGUGCUGGCCCCUCAUGGACGUCGCCGUGAAGGUCAUCGACAAGGGCCUGCGGGAUGACUUCGGGUUCAACCACCUCCUCUGGGUCUACUCCGGCCGACGCGGGAUCCACUGUUGGGUGUGCGACAAGCGCGCUAGGCAGCUGUCCAACGAGGCGCGCGCGGCGGUCGCCGAGUACUUCUCCGUGUACAAGGGCACCGACGCCUCCGGCCUCGUGAAGCGCGUCAACGUGUCCAACCCGCUCCACCCGAGCCUCGAGCGCGCGCUCGUGGACCUGAAGAAGUACUGGAGGGAUGAGUACCUUCCCGAGCAGCAGCUGCUGGAGGAUGACAAGUACGCCGAGCCGGUGCUCGCGAUGAUCCCGGUCGCGGACGUGCGGGAGGACGUGGCGGCGGCGUGGAAGCGAGCGCCCAAGGACGACUCGGUGCAAAAGUGGGACGUCCUCGUGUCGCGCGUGGACAAGGCGAGGAAGGCGGCCAAGGGCGGACCCGACAAGUGGGCUCUGGACAAGUGCGUGAACGAGAUCAUCUUCGCGCACGUCUACCCCAGGCUGGACGUGGAGGUGUCUAAGCACAUGAACCACCUUCUCAAGGCGCCGUUUUGCGUCCACCCCAAGACUGGCCGCGUGUGCGUGCCGAUGGACCCCAACGAUGACGACUUCGACCCCAACAAGGUUCCGACCGUCAUCCAGCUCAUCGACGAGAUGAACGCGGCGAAGGCGGCGGGUAAGGAGGUGUCCUACAAAGAGACGGCCAUGAACGACGCGGUGGAGACGUUCAACCGCACAUUCUGGAACGGACUCAAGAAGGAGUGCAAGGAGGAGAUGGACCAGCUGCACGGGAAGGUUCGGGAGGCUGUCGCCGCCGCCAAACCCCUAGAUUUCUGAGCGCGUCCGCGCGAGGUGAGGUUUUAAUGCAGUACAGUGUCUGUCAUCGAGUGAAGUCCUCGUUUGAACCCCACAAGGCACGCAGACGUCGCCUCAAAAACUUAACCACCGUUCCUGUGACUUCCUUGCGAGGGAUCAAUAUCAAAUCAAAUUGUCAUGCCUGCGUUUCUCGACAUGGUGAAGGCGGCGGAGAGGGGGGAGGUCGACCUGCUCACGCGAUGUCUCGAUCUCGGGUUGAACCCUCGCGAGAGGCAUCAAUACACCGUCUCCUUCUACCAGCAGAACAUUCCCAGCGAGAAGCACCGGAAGCAAAUGGACGGCUUUUCGACGGAAAGUUCGGCGUGGACCGCGGCCGCGGCGUGCGGUCAGUUGGAGUGCCUGCGGGUGCUCGUGUCGAGAUGUGGGUGCGUACCAGACAGAGCUGUCGUGCAUGCAGCGGCUUGCGGCCACACCGAGUGCCUCCGCUUCCUCCUGGAGUCCGGCGGCGACGCGAAGGCUGUCGACAGCGACGGCGACAACGGCGACAACGGCGACAUCGACUCCACAUCCUCCGACGACGAUGAGCUAGUGAACGCGUUCAGGAUGGCGUGUGCCUCGGGUCGCGCGGACUGCGUCCGGCUGCUCAUCGCGCACGGCGCGGAUUGGGAAGACGACUACGCGAAGUGGUUGGCGGAGCAGAGGCCGGAGCCGCAGCUGGAGUGCUAUCGCGGCGACGGCGGACACGACCUGGUCCUCUGGAUCUUCCAACAGGCCCUAUUCGCGUGGCGGCAGGGGGGUAACAAAAGGGUGAGGAUCGCGUUUGGCGGUCAGUCGGCGAAGCCGGUGACGUCGCGGGAUCCGCACGGUCCUUCACUGCAGAAAAAGGGGUCGACUUGCGGUUGCCUUUCUGCGAUGUGCAUGCCGAGAAAGGUGAAGAUGCAUCAUUAGCGCGCGCGACGUAGGUAAAACUGUUGGAUAGACUCCCUUCGUAAGACUUACAGUGUCUGUCAUUCAAAUGAAUCCCUUGCAUAAACCCCGCGAGGCGACCGAAAUCGCCUCCACCCGUCGAUCGCGUGUCCCGUCAUCGGCUCAUUUCUCCCUCGGGGGCGUCUCGAUGGCGAGCAUGCGCGUCGAGUCGGCCACCGCCUGCUCCCAGCCGUACUCCGCAGCCUCCUUGGCGUCCUCCCACCUGCUCGAGUUGUCCCGCGAGCUGUUCCCCUGUUCCGUGGUGUCCCACUGCUCGCCGCUGGUGCUCUGACCGUACGUGCGAAUCUCUCCGUCGGACCCCACGCUCUCGCCCCACGUUCGGCUCCACCGCUCGCCGCCCGCGUUGACCCUCCACGUCUCGCCAACCUUCUUGCCGCUGCCGUCGGCUCCGAAGCGUUCCUCCCACUUGUCCCCCCACCGAGUCCCGGCGCCGUUCUCGGCCCACUUAUCCGUCCACUUGAUCACGUCGCCGCCGCCGUCGGAGUCGUCGCGCUGCUCGCCCCACUUCUCCCACCACGCCUGCACGCCCUGCCGGCCGCUCUUCUCCACCCCGCGUUCCACCAACCCCGCGUCCGAGUAGCGCUCCCACCACUUCUCCUGCCACUCCUUCUUGUGCUUGUCCCUCGCCCACUUGUCCGCGCUUCGCUCGAUGAGCGCGGGUCCCGACGUGUCGGAAGAACCCGAUGCGUCCCCGUUCUCUCGCCGGUACACCUGCCGCCAGGUCUCCCACCACGUGUCGCCCGAGGCGUCGUCGAAUCCCGACUUUUCGGCGCCGAGCUCCUUGUACCCGGACCAGUCCGCCUUCUCCCAGUGCGUCGCGCGAUACUCCCACGUGCCGUCCUUGGCGGUGCGUCCGGUGACGGUCCACCUGCAUCGGUACCCGCCGUCGCCGGUGUCCACCCCGGAUUUGCUGAAGAAGGCGUUGCCGUCGUCGUCCGUCUCGCUGCGCUCCUCGGCGUCAAAGUCGACGAUCAUGUCGAACUCCCUGGCGAUGCCGGUGCCGCGCUCGGGCGGGCGCGUGCUUCCGGGGGCGCGAAUGGAGGAUCUCUCGUCCUUGCCGGAGGGAUUUUUGUCGUCCGCGUCGGUGCCCUCGUCGUUCGCGGAGCCGCGCGACGCGACGUUGCGGCGGACGAGGCUCCUCGGUUGGGGCGGCGCGCCUCGAUGGGGGCGGGAACGACGCUGCUUCGGGGCGAGGCGCGGGGUCGAGGCCGCCGCGCGGGUCGGCACGCGCGUGGCGCGGGUUCCCGCGGUCGUCGCCGCGACGUUAGCGCCGAUGGACGCCGCCGCCGCCAGUCGGGACGUCAUCAUCGUCCGCCGCGCCCGCGUACCGGCGGACCCACGCGGCCGAUGGGAGGAGGCUCCUCGUCGCGCACCCCUUCCCGCUCGCUCGAACGCGCGCGCGAAGAAAUAUCUGCGCCGGGCGAAAUGCGAACGACCGACGCGCGCGCUCCUCUCCCUCCUUUCGUCGGUUCCCGACGAGAGCGUGUGCGUCUCCGAACGAUCGAACGCGCGUUCGUGGGCCGUCGCGACCCUUUGUGAAGGCCCGAACGCCGUGCUGUUCGAAGUUGGAGCGCACGUCGUCUCACGAGCAGUCCAGAAAUAUCUGCGUGUCGAGUUCACGUUCUCAGAAGCGGCCAUGUCAGCGCCAGCUGGAACAUCCCUCGCACGGCGGGACCGGAAAGCAGCAUUCGACACGGCGCUGGAUUCUGAUUGGUCGUCGAAAAUACUCGCAUUUCGCGUUAGGAAGCGUUCGACUCGCAUGGCCUUCCAGUCAGAAUUUGUUGCUGUUAUUGUGCCCGAACACCAGACUGAAAACACGUGCGCAGCUGGAGCGUGGGAAAUGCGCAAAUUUUGUUUUUUGUUUUGGCCGAUUCCGCCGUGGGAACUGGCCGUUGAAAGGUGUCGCGACAGCUUUUUGGCGUUUGGCAGCUUGAACGCCCGUGGCGUGCGGUCAUAUCGAGCACGACGCACGGAGCACCCCGGACUUCACUCCGGACGGUUCGCCCCGCACGUUGCAAAUGGCCGCUCGACGGGACGCCUCGUCACGCGUCGGCGCGGCGAUAGGGCAGAGCCCGUCGCAAUCUCAGAGGUCGUCGCUGGCAAAGAAGAUCGCCAGGUUCGAGCGCGCGGACGAGAACUCGCGAGGAACCCAGAAGUUCGACGGGUCGAUGGGCGAGGAGACGGCGCGACCCGUCGGCGCGCGUCCCAUGGCGCGGCCGAGCGGCAAGACGCCUCUGAAGGUCCGUCGAUUUGCCAUCAUCGGUCACCCCUCACCACUCUCUCGCCUCUCAAACAACAGAUGCGCGCAUCUUCUUUCACCCGAGCGCGGCCAAACGCGACGACGCGCUGACCCAACCCUCCCCACCGUCACAGAGCGCAAACAACGCCAAUCGCAGCCUCAGCGGCUCCCCCAUCGUGUCCAAGGCGCUAGCCGCGCUGGACGCGGCGUCGCGGGGCGAGGACCUCACCGACUCGGACGACGACGACGCGGCGCUCGAACCAAACGUUGGCGACAAUCCUCGGGAGGAGGAGGAGGAGGAGUCGGAGGACGACGCGGCGAGGCGGAUACAGACCUGGUUCCGAGGGUACAAGUCCCGCAGGGAGGCGUCCGAGGAGAAGGUGCGCGAGGUGAUGGCGGAGAAGAGGCGGACGCUCGAGCGCAUCGCGCGAGCGAGAGACGAGGACCGAAGGGCCAAACCGUCGAAUCCCGCCGCCGCCGCCGCCGAGACCGCGUCCCCCGAGCGCCCCGUGUGGCCCGAGGACGCGCCCGCGCCCGCGAGCGCCUCGCCCAUCGGCGGCGGCUUCAAGUCCUUCGUCAGGGACGUCGCGGCGAGGGUCAUCCAGCGCAGGGUUCGAGAAUUCAUCGCCGCGAGGCGAACCCAAAAAACGCCGGUUCGAGCCGCAGAGCCGGCGGCGACGCCGGUGAGCGGCCCGCGCGUGGGCGCCGUUCCCGCGCCGUUCCGCCGCGCGGUCGUCGGGGAACGUCCGGGGCACGGUGACGGGGACGGGGAGGCGUCGCACACGCAGACGUCGUCGCCCACGCAGACGUCGUCGCCGUCGCAGACGUUGUCGCCGUCGCCCGAGCGGCUCCCGAAGCCGUCUCCGGCGAUGGCGCGACACGCGACGCCGCCGCGGCUCCGACGUUCCCCGGCGGGGAAGCCGCCCGGGCGGGUCGUCGACGCCCCUCCCCAAAACCCGCGCGCCAGCGUCUCCGACGAUACGCUCGCGUCGAUCAUGAGCUACCUCGACGCGGUGGAGAACGAGGGCGCUGUCCCGACGCACCACGCGGCGCCGGCCGGGACGUCCUUAGCGCACCAGCACGCGCCGUCGUCGUCGACUGCUAACCGGCGGGUCGUCCCCGAGUGGGUCCGCUCGGGUUUCAGCGCGCCCACGCACUCGCACCCACCCGCGCGGGAGGAGGAGGGACCGGCCGCCGGGAGAUUUGGACUAGCCGCCGUGCUCUCCCAGUAUCGUCCGCAGACGCCCAUUCCGGGGUUGGCGGACGAGGAGACGUCGUCUGCGGACGGGGGCGUCGCGCUCGCGACGGCCACCAACGUGUACGAGGGCGUACGAGCUCGUAUGGACUCGAUGAAGUCGGAGCUUCAACGCCGGGAUAAGCUGGUGGCCAAGCUGGAAGCUGAGCUGCGAAUCGCGUACGAUCGCGCCGCCGCGCAGACGGCGCAGCAGCUCCAGGACCAGCGUCAGGCGCACGAGACGGCGACGCAGCGGCACCUCGAUUUCGCCGAGCGAUUGCUCAAGGACAAGGACGAGCUCGCGGGUCGUUGCGCGGAGCUCAGCGAGAGCCUCGCCGCGGCGGAGGCUCGACACGCGUCGCAGUCUGCCGAGAUGAAAGCCGCGUACGGCGAGCAGCUCAAGAAGGCGAAGCAAAAGUGGGACGAGGCGCAGGCCAAGUGGGAGUCGGAGAAGACGCUGGAGAUUAAGGAGAUGACCAUCCGGGGGCUGGAGCCCGAGAUUCAGAGGCUUGUCCAGAAGCACCGGAACGAGGUGGGCGACUUGAUCGAGAAGCACCGUGAGGAGACGCGCAGGCUGGAGUCCCACCUGACGACGAAGCACGAGGACGCAAUGCGCGCGUUGCGGGCGGAGAUGAACGCGCAGUUCGAGGAGGAGCUCGAGCGUGAACGCGCCAGCGGCGGCGCUCGACUCAGAGACCAGGCGGAGCGGCACGAGCAGAGCAUGAAGACGUUUCGCGAGCGAGCCGCCGCGGAUGGCGCUUCCGGCACCGAGAUGUACGAAAAAGGUCGGCGGGAAGAGCGCGAAAAGUACGAGCAGGUUGUUCAGCGUCUCAACGAGGAGCACACCCGGCGAGAGGAGCGCAUGGCUGACCAGGCUGCCGCAUCCGCCGACGCGGUGCGCCGGCGGCACGACGCGGACCUCGCGGCGCUGCAAACUAGGCUCGAUCAAGAGUCCGCGGCGUGGCGCGCAAAGGUCACCGCCAAGGCUCAGGAGGCGCUGCGCGAGCGCGAAAAGGAGAUCAAGGCUCGCGCGAUCGCCGAGCGAGAUCGGGAGAUCGAGGCGAUCGCCGCGAGGCUGAGGGAAGAGGCGGUGAACGUCGUCGGAGAUUCUCGAGCCGAAGAGCUUCGCGCGACGCGCGAACGGGCGGAUAGAGCCGAGCGUGCGGCGAGCGCCGCCGAGAGGGAGUCCGCGGCGGCCAAGGAGAAGGCGUGCGCGCUGGAGAGGGAGCUACGGGCCGUGCGCGAGACGGCGAUCAAGGAAGGGGUCGUGGGCGGCGCUUUCGAGGAUAGGAUCAAGGCUCUCGCCGCCGCCGCCGCCGCCGCGGAGAAGAGGGCGGCGGAGUGCGAGGCUGAGCUGGCCAAGGCGAGGCUCAUGAAGGAGGAUGAGGCCGCCGCUCUGGAGGCGAGGGUGCGCAUGGCGAUCGGAAAGAAGGAUGAGACGAUCGCGCAGCUCACCGCGCAGCUGAACGCCACCAAGGCGCUGCUCGAGGAGGCGCCCAUGUGUCUCGAGGACUGAUUGGAGCCUCACAGAUUGUUAUCGAGAAUAACGGCUAACGCUUCCGCUUGUACUUCGCCUUCGACUUAAACCCGUGUCCCUUGCCCCCCUUCUUGACGAGUUCGCUGAGAUCCCUCCCGUUGGCGAAGUUUCCGCGCUGCCUGCCCUUGUAGUCGGCACCGCGCCCGUGCCGUUGCAUCAUCGCGCCGUCGUCGUCGGAAUCGUCGUCUUGCUUUGGCCGCUUCGCCUUCUUCACGCCCUUGGUGGCCUCCUUCUUGAACGUCUUGAGGAUCUUGGUCGCGAUGCCGCCAGUCAUACGCGCGUCUCGCUCCAGUUUCUUGAUGGAUUUGACGCCGCCCAUCGUCUUGCCCGCGCGCUUGGCCAUCAUCUGCUCGUCGAGCUCGUCGUCGCCGCCCCACAGCUUCUUUUCCUUCUCGCGAAUAGCCUUCUCCGCGAGUGCGCGCCUCGCUCUCUUGCUCUCCGGGAGCUUAAUCUUCGCGACGAUCUCUUUUUCCUUGCGCUUCUGCCCUUUAGUCUUUUUAGCGCCGCGGCCCGGGAUCUUCUCGAUGUCCUCGAGCUCGUCCACGUCCUCGCGCUCCGCCGCCUUUAGGCUCGCCUUCUGCCCCAGUUUCUUCUCCCGCUCUGACUGGAACCACGUUUUCUGCGGCCGCGAGUGAAUCUCCUUCUGGUGCUCCAUCAGGUUCUCAGCCUUGAUCGCCUCCAUCUCGGCGCGUGCCAGGUGCUUCUCCGCGCGUUCCUCCAUCUCGACUUCCUUGAUAGCCUCGCCCAUGCCCUCGAUCUUGGCGUGAAAGUCCUCGACGACGUGAGUGGGCAGCGAUCUCGCCACCAGCUUGCUCCCGCGCUUGGAUACAGCCUUGAUCAGCUUACGAUCGCUCUCCUCCAUGAACGUGAGGGCGGUUCCCUUACGACCCGCGCGUGCCGUGCGUCCCACGCGGUGCAGGUACGAAGCGAGCGUCCUGGGCGCGUCGUAAGAGACGACGGCGUCGACGCCGGCGAUGUCCAAACCUCGGGCGGCUACGUCGGUGGCAACCAUGUGCGUCGCCUCGCCGGUCCUGAACUCCUCGAGCGCCGCGAGCCUCUGCGUCUGCGUCAAAUCACCGUGAAGCUCGCAAGCUUUCAGGCCGUGAAUGCCCAUGAUGAUCUUGAGCCUGUGCGCCUGUUGUUUGGUCCUGGAGAAGAUUAUGCACCGCUUUGUAAACGUCCUCGCGACGAUGGCCAGGAGGUGAGCCUCCUUCAUCGCCGCCGCGCCCGGCCUUAGCCGGAGCACCUCCUCGGUGAGGGUGCCGGGGGUGGUUCCGAUCUGAUCUGCGCUGAGACGCGCGGGAUUUUUCAUCGAAAACUCGGCGAGCUCCUCGACGCCCGAGGUGAGCGUGGCGGAGAACAGCAUGGUCUGCCUUCGCUUAGGGCAGUGUCGGACAAUCUCGCGAAUCUCCUCCAGGAAACCCAUCUCCAGCAGCCUAUCGGCCUCGUCCAGCACCAGCGUGGCGAGGUCCUCGAGGCCAACGCUGUGCGUGUUGCGCACGUGAUCGAUGAGGCGCCCCGGCGUCGCGACAACCACCUCCGGCCGGGAGCGAAGGCUCGUCGCCUGCACGUUGGCGCUCAAACCUCCGACGACCAACGCGGCGCGGACGGAGGUGAACUGCGCCAGUCGCUCGGUCAUUUGGUGCACCUGCACGGCGAGUUCUCGAGUGGGCACGAGGACCAGCACGUGCGUAGCGGCGACGGGCUUGGGGCCGCGGUGGAGCAUGCGUUCCAGGCACGGUAACAUAAACGCCGCGGUUUUACCCGAUCCGGUCACCGCCCGGCCGCAGAUAUCCCUCCCGGUGAGCGCGAGCGGGACGACCGCCGCCUGGAUGGGCGUGGGCGAGGCGUAGCCGAGGGCGCCGCACGCCUUGACCAGCGGGCGGGAGAGGUUGAGCUCGGUGAAGUUGGCGGCGCUGAACGUGGUGUCCUUUUCGCCAUUCUUGCCCUUGACCACCGCGCGCUCGGUGAACGCGCCUGUGUCGGGGGCGAUGUCCUCCUUCUCCUCCUCUUCGUCCUCUUCUUCUUCUUCUUCCUCCUCCUCAUCAUCAUCCUCGUCUUCUUCCUCCUCCUCGGAGUCAUCAUCCUCAUCCCCCUCGGAUUCAUCAUCAUCAUCCUCGGAGUCGUCCUCGUCCUCGCUGUCGUCUUCGAUCUCCUCGGCCUCGCUGUCGGUGUCCUCCUCCUCCUCGCCGGGCAGGAGCGCAUCAUCGCUGUCGUCGUCGCUGUCGUCGUCGUCGCUGAUGUCGGAGUCGUCUUUCUUGCCCUUGCCCUUCUUUCCGCCCCCCUUGGCGUUCGCUCGAGCCUUCUGGAUCUUAGCGUCCACCGAGGUCACGCCGGCAGCCUUGAGCUCCCGCUCCAUCUCGCGCUUGGAGUCGGGGAACGCCCACGCGGGCUGCGCAGGCGCCUGCUUCUCGUCGUCGCUGUCCUCGAAGACGAAGCCCUCGGAAAAUUUGAAGCCAUCGUUGUCGUCCUCCAUCGUUUCGCCGAUACGUCCCCUGCGCCUCGGCGCGCUCGUCUCUGGCCGAUGGAGCGCCCCGCCGCCAGUUUUUCCCGUGCUGCACAUGAGCGAGUCGGCGGCGGCGAGAAAACGCCUGACCUAAUUUGCGCGAGUCGCGCUCGUCGGCCGCCACUAUCGCGAGCGCAUCGAUAUCAAACUCGAACGAUGGCCGUGGACAAUGGUCUGCUCGCACCCCUGGCGAUAUUCAUCAUCGCCGGUGCGUACUACUUCCUGAGCGCCCAGCGCAUCAUCAACGAAGACUUCGUGGACGCGUCCGUGCGCCAGAUGGUCGGCCUCAUGUACAUCAGCGACGUCGGCUUCAACCUCGUCGCCUCCCGGCUGUCCAAGUCCAAGCGCAAGAAGACGGCAUCUAAGAAGGCACCGACGGGGACUCCCGGCCUGGUCCUCAACCUCCUCCCGCUCACCGACCUCGUCGGGCUGGUGUGCGCUUUCGAGGCCAUCCGCCUCGCGGGCAGCGGCUUCCACCAAACCGUGGGCGGCGCGUCCAUACCCAUAUCGUGCCUCCUCAACGUCCUCAUCACCGGCAAGGUUUUCUCCACCGGGCAGCUCACGGGCAUCUCGAUCGUCAUCCUCGGCCUCGCGGUCAAGGCCAAGGCGCUGUUGGACUCGAACGACGACGACGACGCCGCGGGGUUCCCAGCCGUCGCCGUCGCGCACGUCCUCGUCUCCUGCGUCGGAUACGCCCUCCGCGGCAUCGCGAUGGAGUACCUCAGCGACAACGGCGUCGACGGGCGGACGAUGACGAUGCGGAUGGGCGUCACCGGCGUGGCGGCGUGGGGCGCGUACACCCUGGCCUUCACCGCCCGCGACUUUGGCGCCAAGGUGAUCGAACCCUUCUCCGCCGCGUCUACCCGCGUGGGCGUCAUCGCCUCUUUCUCGCUUUACGCCUCCCACGCGCUCUCGCGCGGCAUCGCCAGCGGGACCAUCACCCAAAUCGUUAGCCUCGGGGGCGCCACUGUGCUGAGCUUGGCGCAAGUCACGAGGGCGUCGAUCAUCAUCCUCUUAUCCUCGGUCGCAUUUUGCGGCGUUGACGAGCGACAGUGCCUCGACGGGUACGGCAUCGCGAGCGCCGCGCUGGUCAUCGCCGGCUCCGCGUACUACGGCAACGCGAAGAGCUUCGAGGAGGAGCUCGACGAUCUGAUCGACCCGGACGUGGCGGACGAGAUGGACUCGGUCAUCGGCGAGGCUGAGGAGAUUUUGGAGGAGUUGGUGGACCUCUACGUGGAGGAGCACGGCUCGGAGCCCACCGAGGACGAGUUCCUGGCGUGGACCGAGUCCCUCAAGCGGGCUGGCGCGGAGGCGGAGAGGAAGGUGAGCAAGAAGGCGGCGACGCCCAAGAAGGCCACCCCCGCGAAGAAGCCGAAGAAGGCUGCUCCGGCGAAGGCCAAGGAGACCAAGUCCAAGGCUAAGGAGACCACCACCGCCAGGCGAAGGUCAGCCAGAAAGUAGCCUGCGUCGCCCUGUAAUAACAAAUGGUGGACCGGUUUCAUCACUCCCACCGAGAAAACUUGAGCCCCUCGCGUCUCCGCAUCCGUUAUCCGUUUGACGAGUUGGCGGCUGCGCCUCACAAAAGCGCGCGACCGAGUCACUCGAACCGCACCGAGCAGUCCUCGCGCAAAGACCUCAUCAUGCUCCCUCACUCGAAGCAGAUCCUCGUCGCGGGUGUGGUGCUCAUCUCGCUCGGCGCGGUCGUCGUGGGCAUCACCACCGCGCGCGCGGUCCGCGGCGACCAGCGCGCUCGCCGCGCGGAGGACGAAGUCCUCGCGCUCAGGACCGCCCUCGACGACGUGAGCGCUCCCGUCGCGCACGAGCGCCGCAACAGGCGCGAGCUCUCCGAGAAGAUGGAGGGUUGGAUCGACGCACGAGCGACUUGGUACGGAGGUCCAGAUGGCCCAGGGCCCGACGGCAUGUCCAUCUACACCGGCAGCUGCGGCUACGGCACCAGCUUGGUGCGUGCGAACCCAACCCUAUUUUUCUGAAAGGAGAGGCUACGCCAGACCCCGUUCGCUGACCUUCCACCCGACCCACUCCUCGCAGAACAACCACUACAUAUCCGCAUGGCACACCGACGGCGGCUACGACUGGGGUCUGACCGACAAGUGCGGUCAGUGCUACGAGGUCAUGUGCGUCGACGGCGCGACCCGCGGCAAGGACUGGAGCGACCUCGGCCCCUGGGGCGGAUGCGCCGAGCCCGGCAAGAAAACAGUCGUCGUGAUGAUCUCCGACUCUUGCCCGUGCCACCACCCAAACUCCGGCAACAAGCGGUGGUGCUGCGGAGACCGCACGCACCUCGAUCUCUCCUACGCCGCGUUCGAUCAGAUCGCCAUCAGGCACAGGGGAGUCGUGGAUCUCAAGGUCAGACCCGCGCCCUGCGAUAAGCAGGGAGUCGUGGCGUAUUACGAGUGACACCGACGCGGGCUUCGCACGACGCCACCGAUGAACGACACCACGACUGCGAGUACGACGAUAGUGUAUGUGUGAUGAUUGAGAGACUAAAAGAUGGAGGUGUCGCGACCGAACACCCUGGUCUUCAUCCAGUCGAACAGGAUGAGCACGCGGUUUCUAAACGACACCUGCUUGGUCACGUAAACGCUCUUCCACAGCAAAAACGCGAACCUUCCCGAAGCCUCGUACCUGAGCCUCUGAGAUUUCCCGAGCUCAAACUGCGUGUCAACGAAAUCAACGAGUCAACGAUAUAGGGAAUAUGGUCUAUUUCGCUUUUCUUGUCACUGUUUGCUUGUGGAAGGAGGAAAACCUGCCGAAAAUGUGGGUGCCCACCUGUUGUGUUCGGGGGACAUUCCACCUGUGCCUUUCUUCUUCCCGCGCGCAAUUUUUUUCAAAAAUCUUCGUUGUGAUGUCGCGUCGGCGGAGGUGACGGCCGGGCAUAGUCUAGGGCACCUUCGAGUGCCUGAGGGUCAAGGGUUAGCCCUCGCCCUAGAUCCAACUUCACGCGGGAUCGGCGCCGACAUGGCGUCCCGCGAAAGCUUCGGCAACGGCGGCGGCGGGCAGGGCACCAGCCCGUCCGAUCGCGCAAUCGCCGCAUACGAGGAGCGGUUCUUCCAGACGGCGAACAGCAACGACAGCAAGCGGCGUAUGCUGGAGGAGCGCAUGACCAGGCCGACCCCAUCGACAGGGAUCACCGCGGGCGACGCGCUGAACGCGUCCAACGUGGGCGCGAACGAUCAGCCGGACUCGGACGACGACGAGCAGAACGCGUUCAGGGUCGAGCCCAAGCGCGCCAGGCGGGGCCCCGGGGGAUCUGGGCACGCCAACAACGGGGCUCGGGGCGUCGCGACGUCGCCGCUCGGGGACAAGGAGAGGGCGACGCCCGGGUCCGCGGGCGGUCGAGGUUCCAUCGACACCUACUACAAGCGGGUCGACGGAGUACCCCCGGCGCCCGCUUUCGGAACCUCCCCGACGCACGGCGUGGGCGGCAUCCCAACCCCCGCGUCGGGCUCGGGCGGAAGGAAGGAGAACUACCCCCCGGGAUCGGUGCCCCCCGAAGCGCGGCACGCGAGGACCGCCAGUCACCACGACAACACCCGCGCGGAGCACGAGUGGGCCGCCGCGCUCGAGCAGGCCAAAGCCGGCGCCAAGCGCGAGGCCGACGAGGCGAGGAAGCGCGCGUCGAGGCUCGAGACGGACCUCGCCGCGGCUGCGGCGAGGUGCGAGGAGCUCGCGGCGGAGCUGGAGGCUUCGCGCGAGCGAGAAGCCUCGGCGGAGGCUGCUCGUCACCAGCGCGAUCAGAACAAGACCGCCGGAGUCAUCGCCCUCGCGGUCAAGGUUGCGCGAUUCGAGCGAACCCGGUCGCGGCGCAAGCUGGCCGAGGACGGCCUCAGGCUCGGCACCGUGUCGGUGCAGAGGUCGGGCACCGUGCUGCAGGAGGUUUGGGAGGACGGCGGCGCCUUUCGCGAUCUCAACUCCCGCGCCGCCGCGGUUCAGACCGCCAAGGACGCCGCGGACGACGAGCGUAAGAGGGUGAAGGGGCGGCUCCCGCUGCCGGGCGCCGCGAUCGACGAGUCAGAGGAGAGGGCUCUGAGAGCGGAGUUUGUCCUCUCCGAGGAGGCGCACAAGGUUCGCGUCGCCGCGCUGAAGCGCGAGGAGGAUCUCAUCGGUCGCGAGCGCGAGGCGCUCGAGCGCGAGAAGAGCGCGCACAUUCGCGAGCUGAAGCGCGCGAGGGACGAGGAUAGCUCUCGGUUCAACCAGCAUCCCCUGCUCGGUGACCGGUACGUCCUGAUGAACAUGCUCGGAAGAGGCGGCUUCUCCGAGGUGUACAAGGCGUACGACGUGCUCGAGAUGCGGGAGGUGGCGUGCAAGCUUCACCAGCUCAACCCGCAGUGGAGCGAGCAGAGGAAGGUGACGUACGUCAAGCACGCGGCGAGAGAGUGCGAGAUCCACAAGCAGCUGCGACACCCGUCCGUGGUGCAGCUCAUCGACGUGUUCGAGGUGGACCAGAACUGCUUCUGCACCGUGCUCGAGCUGUGCACCGGGGACGACCUCGACGCUCGGCUGAAAGCGCAGGGCGCGGUGUCCGAGCGCGAGGCGCGCGCCAUCCUGGCGCAGGUCUUCGCGGGACUGGCGUACAUGAACAGCGGCAGCACCACCGUGAUUCACUACGAUCUGAAGCCCGGGAACAUACUGUUCGACGCGGCGGGACGGGUCAAGAUCACCGACUUUGGCCUCUCGAAGAAACGCGACAUGAACGGGGUGCAGACUUUGUCCGCGGAUACCGGCAUGGAGCUCACGUCUCAGGGCGCGGGCACGUACUGGUACCUCCCGCCCGAGUGCUUUGAGACCGGCCCGACGCCGCCCAAGAUCUCUUCCAAGGUGGACACGUGGUCGUGCGGCGUGAUACUGUACCAGAUGCUGUUCAACCGCAGGCCGUUUGGGCACGACCAGAGCCAGGAGCAGAUUUUACACGCCGGGACUAUUCGCCACGCCAAGGAGGUGGAGUUCCCGCAGACGCCAAAGGUGAGCGCGGAGUGCAAGGAAUUCAUAAAGAGAUGUCUGGCGUACAGGAAGGAGGACAGGCCGGACGUGCCCACCGCGGCGAGGGAUCCAUACAUGACCUACGCCAAGCCCGGGAGCGAGUGAGUUUAGCAUCACGAUGUGAGCGCGAGACGAUUCUUUUCCUCUUCCUGUCGCAAUAGGUUUUCGCGAACUCUCAGCCACAGCGAGCUGCGCCGCGCUUACAUGCACGUCGCUUGUGGAUUUUGCCCCGUCGCAAGUCACGUCCUCGCUCGCACGCGCGCCCAACUGUGUCGCGCUCGUUUCGCCUACCCGGUCCGAGCAUCCGCUGGAGACGACAUGGCCGAGGAGGCUUCAUCGGCCUCACGCGCGAUCAGCUUCCUCCACCUGACGCAGCAGCUCAAGCUCACGCCACGUACGGGCUGGGUGAACCACGGCGUGGACAAGCCGGAGUCCAUCGCCGAUCACAUGUACAGAAUGUCGCUCAUGGCGAUGGUUGCGGCGAAGGAGAUGCCGGGUUUAGACCAGAAUCGGUGCGUGAAGCUCGCGCUUAUUCACGACCUCGCCGAAGCCAUCGUCGGCGACAUCACGCCGCACGACCCGGUCAGCAAGGAGGAAAAGGCAAAGAUGGAGGCUGACGCGAUGGCCAAGAUACGCGAUAUGCUCGGUGAUUCGUUGGGCGGUGAGGAGGUGGAGGCGCUGUGGCACGAGUACGAGGACCAAGUCACGGACGAGGCCAAGCUGCUGAAGGACCUCGACAAGCUCGAGAUGAUCAUGCAGGCGGGGGAGUACGAGAGGGCGCAGGGGAAGGAUCUCUCGCAGUUUUUCGAGUCCACCGCCGGGAAGUUCACGACGCCGGUGGGACAGGCGUGGGAGGCGGAGAUCGUUGCGCGCAGGAAGGCUUAAAAGACGAGCGUUAUUAGAUGGCCUCUCUAUGUCAACUGCUAAGACUACUAUAGUUUUAUUCUCUCCCGUGUCCCCGAUGGUAGACUGUGUUCAGUUGUUGGCUGGGUACACGGAGUGAAAGCUACUCUGCGAACUCCUGAACAGCUCGGGCGACGCCAACAGCUUCUGCAUCGACCACACCACCGUGGAGUAGUACAUCACCUGGACGAUUUUGGUGAAGAUGUACAGUCCGGUGAAAGCGCUCUCGUUCCAGAUUUGCAGGUGUGGGUAGUUCUGGUACACGAGCCCGAGCCUGUAGAAGCGCGUGGCGAGGAUGAAGACGAAGUACAGGAAUGUGAGGAACACCGCGGGCGCAAACUCGUCCGCGAGCUUGAAGAACAUCGCCCUCUUGACCAGCUGCGUCUCCGACAUCAUGUUGUACAGGCACAUCACGGUGAGGAAGAAGGAGCAAAUCUGAAAGAUGGUGGCCAUGACGUCCACCUGGGACGUAGAGCCGUACGUGAUGUCCGCGUACGCGGCGACGAAGACGUCGACGACCAGGGCGCAGUACACCAGCAGCGCGUUCAUCUUAAACGACGGGCUCACGCGCGUGUUGUCUGUCCACGUGGGAAGGGAGGAGAGGUCAGCCGAAGGAGACGAAGGCUGUGGGAGAGGUGCCGAACAACCGUUGUGGAAAUCGCUGUUUCGGGCGUGGAGUGAGCGGGUUCGGAGCGCACCUCUGGUCGCCCCCGCCAUGGUGGCCGUGUCCUUAUCCCUACGAUGAUCCCUCGGACGUCACCCCGUGCGAUCCGGUUGUUCGAGCGAGGGGGCGCUCAGCCAAGCUCUUCUGGUCCUCGAGAAAGUGGGGCGGGCAUUUGAAACGGUUAGGAAAAUAAUUUCUUUCCGGCGACAAACUAAAAACGCUAUGCCGAGUGUUGCUGAAUUAUGGUUUUCAUUUUAGUGUAACUAUUUAGUUGUUCACAUUUCGGUACAUUUGCCAUUAGCGUCAUUUCGCCGGCCAGUCACUUCGAAAACUUGGGCACCGCCGGGAGGAGGGCCUGCUUCCCGCACCUGCCCGGCGCGUCAUUAGCGAGGUUGUGCGCACUUAGGCGCGCUACUCGGCUACCAAACGCGAUUGGGCGUUGAUCAGGCUGGGAGAGAGCCCGGUUGGUCGAUCCCGGCGAUCGGAUACUGGGGGUGCCCAGCUGUCGAUCUGGUUGGACCUUCCAGAGGCAUCGGGCGCGCCAUCCGGUUAGGAGGGUUCCAUGGGGAAGGUAACGCCAGCCAAGAGGAAGGUGGAGACGGUGCGUGUCCCGUCCGAGAAUCGCAAUCCCUACCCAUCAGGGUCGGAUUUCCCGGGGUCAAAUCGCUCGCAUGCGGCCUUCCACGCCCCAUCGUCGCGCGUACCCUCCGUUAGGUUUGCCGACUCUCAGAUCCCUUCGACUGACUUCAUCUCCCUCUCGCGCUUCCUCGACAGCCUUCGGCCGUGAAGGCCCUGGUGGACAAGAUCGUGGCCACGCCGUGCCUGCAGCUGGCCGAUGUGUUCGGUCCUUUUGCAUGGACGUUUGGGAGGGUGAGUCGCUGAACCCGAUUCCCCGCCGCGACCCGCCAAUCCCGUCGCACCCCGCCCAACCGCCGCCGCCGAACGAACUCCCGAACAGCACUUUUCCCUGACUGACCCAGCCCCCGUCCUCGCCAACAAACGCAGGGUGACUUUCAACACUGGAUCGCGGUGCUCAACCACUUCGAUGAGUUCUUCGAACAGCACGUCAAGCCGAGGGCGGACCUGGAGCUCAGGGAUCUGACGCGUUCAGUCGCGGAGCCGUUCCCCCUGGCGCCGUGCCUGUGGAUUCUCAGGACGUCCAACGUCAUCCUGGACAACUGCGCCAACAGGCACAUGUACGCGUCGUCUGAGCACCUCGCGUCGCUCCUAGCGCACGAAGACGAUGACGUGGCGCUCGGUGCGCUCGGAGUUCUCGCCUCGGCCACGCGCAGGCCCCCGGGUACGCGCUCCAGCAACAGGUUCAGGGCGGAUGCGAGGAUGGCGGGCCGGCUCGCCGCUCUUUGCGCCGGACUGCACGACGGCGCGUCCAAGGGCGGUGACGAGCACAAGGCGGCCGAGCGCGGCGCGAACAAUCGGUCCGUCGCGUCCUCCGCGACGGUGUUUGGCCAAAAGAUUGGCGCGAACGACCUGGAGAGCGGAAACAGCUGCGACGUUCACUUUGAAUUUUAUAGCGAAGGCGACGGCGCGACCAGGCUCAUCGCCGAGGAUGUUCGCGCCGGGUCACCGAUGGCGACGGCGUCGGAGCUGGUGAGCAAGCAUGGCGUACCCGACGAACUCAAGUUCACGCUGUACGCGAGGGUUCGGCUGGCGAAGCUCGCGGCGACGAUGCGGGGCGCGGCGAUUGCGACGCAGAUUCGGCUGUGCGCGUUUUGCGUGCUGCUGCAGAGCGAGCUCACCGCGGCGGGCGGGGACGAUCAGGGGCUGCAGUUCAUCAGGGAGCCCUCGCCGGAGUUCGUCGCGGAGCUGCUGAGGAUACUGAGGCUCGAGGGAGACGGCGGGUGCCCCCCCGCGGUGGUGGAACUCGCACUCAGGGUGCUGGCCGCGUUGGCGGGUGACCGGGCGCACCAGGGCGGGGUCAUCACCGCGAUGCGCGCGGGUGGCCAGCCGCAGGUGUUCGCCGCGCUGGUGAACAGCGCGGUGCAGCGGCUGACCGCGGCGCCGUCGCCGCCCAUCGGUAAGCAGGUGGGCGAGAGCUCGCUGCCAACGCUGGAGGUUGAGUCCAUCAACGCGGAGGCUGACGCGCCGGUGCCCCUCGCGGAGGCUCUCGUCGCGCUGCUCGGCACCCUGGUCAUAUCCCACGGCGGGUGCCAGACCUUACGGGACGUGAGCCUGCUCCCCGUGUUGCUGCCGCUGUUGAGGAACAGGAACCCGAGGCACCUGCACAUCGUGUCCCACGCGGUGCACGUGCUCGAGAUUUUCAUGGAUUACGCCAGCGCCGCGGCGGCGGCUUUCCGCGAGCUCGGCGGGUUGGACCUCGUGGUGGACAGGCUGCGGCAGGAGACACGGGACGCGCUCGACGAGUUCGAGGCGACGCAUAAGGACAGGGAUGACGGGGACAACGAGAAGGGGAGCGUGCACUUGGUGUCGUCGCAGCGCAGGGUGCUGAUUAAGGCUCUGAUGCGCGCGAUGGCGCUCACGAAUUUCUCCCCGGGGAUGGGCAACGUCCCCGCCGCGGGUCUCGACGACGGUAAGUUGUGCCUGGCGCUGAACGACAUCUUCGGCAGCGCCAGAUUGUUCGGCAGCGGGGUGUUCUCGCUCGCGGCGAACCUCCUGUGCGACGUGAUGAACCACGAGCCGACGAGCUACUGGAAGCUCGAGAAGCACGGCACCCCCGAGGCGUUCAUCGCGGCUUGGGAAAAGCCCAAGGAGCACGCGCCGUUGCCAUCCGCGGACGCGCUGGCGUGUCUGCCCGUCACUCUGGGCGCGCUGUCGCUCUCCGCGGAGGGCCUCGAGAGGGUGAAGAAGUCCAGGGCCCUGGAUGCGCUCGCCGAUGCUUUUACCACCCGCACCUACGCCAAGCUCUUGCAGGGCGAGACUGCGAGCACCAUCGGCGGCAACCUGGACGAGCUGCUCAGGCACGUCCCCAGCCUCCAGGAUAUGGGCGUGAGACUCGCGGUGGACGUGCUCCGUCGGCUGGUGGAACUGGGCGGCGGCACCGUGGAGCAUGCGCAGGAUUCCAAGGUUGAUAAGGACCCGGUGAAGAAGGCGAGGAUGGACGGCGACUCUAGCCCGGGUGGCGCCAGCGAUUCUCCCAGAGGAAUGGACACGGACUCUGCCGAGAAGGAAGAGCCGGAUGAGAAGCAGCUUUCGCCCUCGUUCCUCAUGGAGGCGGUGGCCAACGCGGCGCACCUGAUCGACAGCAUGCUCCCCACGGACGAGUGCGGCCAGAAGUUUGUUGAGCAGGGCGGAAUGCAGCUCCUGAUUCAGCUGCACACCCUGCCACUGCACGGACCAAAUUUUUCUUCCUCGUCGCAGUGCCACGCGCUCUCCGUCACGCUCCGCGCACUCGCUGGGCAACACUCGAAGGAGCUCGCCAAAAAGGUGCAGGUUGCGCUGGGCACGGCUGUCGAGAAGGCAAUCCUCGCGAUGAGUCACGGUCAUGAGAACGACUUGUAUCCGCCUUUCGCUCCGAUGAGGGAUUUCCAGUGGCGCUGCAUCAAUGAAGAGAAAAUGGAAACCAUCGGCCACGGGGCACCCAAUCCCUUGCCUGUUGAUUCUAUCGCAGCGAAGGCAAAGAAGAUUCGCGCAGCGCUCGCAGACGCGGAGGCGCUACUCAACCUCACUACCACGCUGAUCAGAUCGUCUCCCGGCAUGCUACCAACGCUGUGCAGCGGCGACGACAGCUGGACUUCCCAUAGGUCUCACGACGCCAAUGGUUGGGUUCCGGGACUGAUCACGAGGAUUUCACACCUCCAGCGACAGGUGCAGGCCACCGCAGCAGUGCUCCAAGAUGAGUACGGAUUGAGAAAAUGUGAUAUGGAGGAAAAUCAGAAGAAAGUCAAGGAGCACAUCGCGGAGUGGUGCAAGCAGACGGGAGGUCAAGAGAAGGAUUUCGAUGAGAACGACCCAAAUGUGGAUGCGGCAUUAUCGGGCAAAAUCCGCCUGGCGAAGCAGUCUGUGGAGGUGUUGCAGCUGAUGCAAUCGCUGCAGUCGCUGUCCAACCACUUUGUCACCUCGCACAACUACUUUUGCUCGUCUCUCGCGAAGGCCGCGAGCGGGAUCAGACAUAGGCACCGCGACGAGAACUCUGUGCAGUCGCGCGGCGCCGCGUGCGAGCUCGCUGUGCAGGUGUGCAGAACCCUGCAGGAAAUCGCCGAAUUUGACUACAAGGAAACCGAUGACCACCGGGACUUCAGGCGGGCGCAGCGGGCGUUUGACGACGUGUACGCGAUUCUCAUCGACACCAGACGCCGAUGCAGCCAGGGAUUGGUGCUUAAUUACAUGCGCCAGAACUACAAGAGGGUGGCUGACUCCACCGCCACCGACGGCACCGGCCUCGACCUAAUCGCCGAGGCCUUCGCGGUGGUGUGGCAGCAAUAUGUCAGAUGCGUUGGGAAGAAAAGCGCCUUGAAGCCUCUUGAAGAAGGGGCGGAAAAGACCGAAAUCCAGACAGAGCAUGAGAAGUGGCAAAACCGCGCCGAGAUCAUGGAGCAUGCGCUCAAGACGGGCAUCGGGCUGAUUCAGCAGCUCGUUAACAUCGCCGUGCUGAUGGGCUCAUCCGUGUCCGCCACGCUCCUCACCGCGAGCCUUCCCAAGUUUCGCGCGCCGAACAAGCUCGCGAAGAAAGCUGAGACUUACGUCAGCGGCGUGUUGGCGCUGGAUGAGAUCAUCGCCAGGAACGACGCGGCGGUGUUUGAGCAGAGUAUGAAGGAGGACUCGUCGCCGACCGUGAAGCAGUUUGCGGAUGUACUGCACGCCGCGAUGCUCCCCGCGUUGAUGAAGAUUUGGAACUCGGACUCCCUCAAGUCCUGCCCCACGCAAGUGCUGGUGGUGCUAAUGGCGGCGAUGCGGCACCUCCGCGACGGCACCGGGAAGGUUGACGCGCACGAAGGGCCGCCGAGGCGGGGGCGGACCGGAUCGGGCGGCGCGGCGCGUCUGCUUGGCGGGCUCGCGCCAGCCCCGCCGCCUCCUCCCCCGCCGUUUGUUCCGUCGCCUUCCAUGAUGGCGUCUAUCCAGGAGAUGGGUUUUUCAGAGCCGCAGGCGAGGGCGGCGCUGGUGGCGGUGCGCGGGCAGUCCAUCGAGAUCGCCAUGGAGUGGCUCUUCACGCACCCGGAGGAAGCGGCGGCGGCGGACGAGGCUGCUGCUGCGGCGGCUGCCACCACCACACCCGCCCCCGAAGAGAAGAAGGAGGAGAAGGAGGAGAAGGAGGAGGAAAUCACGCCGUCGCAGGAUGAGCUGGCCAGGGCCAUGGCCAUGUCCAUGGACGAAGCCGAGGCUGCUGACGCCGCUCCGCCCGCCGCGGAGCCCAAGAUUGAGCUCAUAUCACAGGAGAAACUCAUGGCCGACGGACUCCCGGCGAGUACCUGCCUGCGCACGCUCCUGGACCGCGAAUGCAAAAUGCCCGCGGCGGCAGACCUGAUCGAGCCAAUGAUGGACAUUUGCCAGGCGAACGAGGACAUGGUGUUCCCUUGCGUCGGCCUCUUCAAAGCCGCAGUCGGUCCCGCAAAGGAAGCCGAGCAGAAGAGCGCGAUGACCCGGAUCUUGACGAUGGUCGUCAACGCUUUCGAUCCCGAGACAUUCUCCGAGCCGGACCUGUACACCAACAGCCGCUUCCUCGCGCUCUUGCUCUCGGACAGAAACGGUUUGCGAGAAAUCGCCGCGGACGUCGACUGUUUGAUGACCGUUUCGUCCGAGCCCGGGGACGUGCAGGCUGAACGCGCCAGUCGCGUCGAUAACAUGCUCGUGGACUUUACGGACAGGGCCGUGUGCGCGCUGGAGCGAUUCCUCUCAGAGCACAAGGAGUCGGGCUCGGCGGUGAUGCCCAAGUGGUUCGCGACGCUCGUGCUGGUGAUCCACGCAAUCGCGCAGUGGCGAGGCGUGAAGCCGAUGGAGUUUGACAGAACCUCCAACGAAUGGGAGACCAAGCGCCCGAACAUGCGUCAGCGCCUGGAGCAGGAGAGAACCGACGAGGAUAAGCUGGACGCCGCGUACGUGAAGCACAAGACGAACCCGGCGGAUGCGCUGAAGUCCGUCAUCGGCUCACCCAUGGGCUACCUCGACGACGACAUGUGCGAUCGCGCGACGAAACUGUGCAUCGACAUACUGCUUCUUACUGAAACCCAGGGCGAGGAGGUGGACCCGUCCGAGACCAUCGUGGGUGCGCUCACGUCGGAUGAGGACGUGGGUGGCGUGCAAGCCGCGCUCCAGCUGCUGUCGCACCUGACCAAGGACCACCGCCGCGCGUGCAUGCUCCUCAAGCCCAAAAACUGCAUAAACACGUUACUGAACGUCCCGAGGAAAUUCGCGUUUGCCGCGUACGAUGCGCUGGCGUCUUCGAUCCUGCGACACGUGGUCGAGGACCCCGAGGUUCUGCAGGCUGCGAUGGCCACGGAGAUUCACACGAUCCUGGGCGAUCAAUCCAAGAUCAACUCGCGACGGUUCAUGCCGCAGGCUAUGCCGGUCAUCUCGAGGGACCCCGCGGCUUUCGUCGCAGCCAUGGAGAAGUGCUGCGUCAUCACGCAGGGCGCCAGAGGAGACCCGCGGCAGGUUGGUUUCUUUGUGCAUCUUCGCAAGAGGUACAUCGACGACGAGAAUCGCAAGGUCGCAUCUUCGCAAGGUCGCAAUUUGGACCCCAGAACCGACGUCUCACCCAAGGACAGGGAGGCCUACCUCGCGUCCCCUUCGUCCAGGGCGCUCAAGUCUCCGGCUGGUGACACCGCGGCCAAGAGCCAGGGCAAGGGCCACGGGAAGAAAAAGGCGCAUCCGUCGUUCGCGACAGUGAUCCAGGCGCUCGUCGACGCGGUGAUGGCGUAUCCGACGGACGCGGAGCGAGCCGCCGAGUGGGGCGAGGGGGGCGGCACCGCAGCCGUGGACGCCAUGGAAACAUCCGCGGAGGUUGACUCGAAGGAGGUUGACUCGAAGGAGGUUGACUCGAAGGAGGUUGACUCGAAGGAGGUUGACUCGAAGGUGAAUGCGCCGUCGCUUGCGGCUGUUCGCGCCUCCCUCGCGCUUCGCCUGCUCACCGAUUUCACCCUCGUGUACGGCGCCGCCGCCGGGCAGAUCCUUCGCAUGGACGCGCCGACCGAGGGAGCCAAGAGCGGCCUGCUCAAGCACGUCCUCUACGUCCAGCUCCCCGAGGCCAAGGCAAAGCUCGGCGAAGCCGACAAGGACGGCAGGCCCGCGGCGGGCGGAUGGGACGGCGGCGAACGAGCCGCGUACCUUCUCCUCGCGCUCUGCGUCCGAUCGUCGGAGGCGAGACGCAGGGUGCUUCACGAGGUGAGCGUCGCGUUGAAAUCGGCGGAUGCGCUCGUGAAGAACGCUCGCGAAGGCCCGGGACCCGCUCGAGCGUUUGUGGAUCUGGUCAACGCUCUCCUGGCGUACGCGGGGGGUAAACCCGCGGGGUCCGCGCCGGGUGCCCAGAACAACGGCGAGGGCAAGGACCUCCAAAGGCGGUACGCCGGUGACUUGCAGCGGUGCAUGAAGGACGCGAACCUCCUCCCGGCCAUGUGCGCGGCGCUGGACGGGGUGGACCUCAACGACGCCGCCGCGCCGGUGCUCGUCAACGCGAUCUUGCGGCCGCUGGAGGUGAUGACGCGGCCGGCGCCCCCGCCCAAGUCGCCUGCGUCGCACCCGCGGCUCUCGCAGGGCGCGGGGGAGACCGCCGCCGCCGAGACCGCCGCCGAUGCUGCGAACGCGCCGGGCUCGAUCGAGCGACGUAAUCGUGGGCAGGGCAACGAAGGGGGCCACGGGCUGGCGAGAACCGCCACGAUGGCGGCGGAGCACGACCCGGAGCAGAUGGCGCAGCUCGAGCAGGUUGCCGGUCAGAUGUUCGAGUCGAUGGACCGCGACGACGAGGACGACGACGAAUCCGGCGAGGAUGAGUCGGGCGAGGAGGACGAGUCGGGCGAAGAGGACGAGGACGACGAUGAAUCCGACGAGGACUCCGACGGCGAGGCGGACAUCGACCUCAUGGACGAUCACGAAGAGCAGGAGGUUGAAAUGGUCCACGACGAGGGCGACGGCGAGGAGGAGGACGCCGCCGUCGACCACGGGCACCACCACGGCCACGACGACGACGACGAGAUGGAAGCCUCGGACGAGGAUGCCGAGGACGAAGACGCCGAGGACGAUGACGAAGACGAUGAUCACGAUGAGGAGGAGGGCGCCGAGAUCAACAUCGAGGAGGACGUCGACGACGACGGAGACGAGGAAGUUGGCGCCGACGACCGGUGGGACGUCGACGACCAGGACGACCACUUCGACCUCUUUCCCCCGUUCGACGAGCACGGUACCGACGCGGCCCCACCCCCGGGUGGAUGGGGACCGGGUGAGAUCGUCCCGCUCCACGGCCACGCGCACGCGUUGGGACACGGCGAAGAGGAGGACGUGAUGCACUUUGGCGGUGAGGACGACGGCGACGACGACGGCGUCGACGCGGGCGACGACGACGACGGCGACGACGACGACGGCGCCAGACUCGCUGAGCAGCUGCAGGGUCUCAUCGGUAACAUCGCGAACCAGGUUGGCGCCCAGGGCGGCGGGCCCGCCCCCGUCGUCGAGUUGCGGGUGAGGGACAACCGGCUUCGCGAGCUGGUCAUGCGACGGGGCGGUCGCGCGAUUUUGCGGCCGGACGACAUCGGGUCGCUCGUGGCCGGCGCGGGCGCGCCGGGGGGCGCGGGCGCCGCUCGCGCGCGCGGCGCCAACAACCUCGCCGGCGGCGGCAUCCUCUCCGACAUCUUCAACCUCCGAAACUCGCUCGAAGAGGCUCGAAGGGGCGCCGCGACGAGCCCGGCGUCGCGGCGCGGCGGCGCAAACUCCACCAGCGCGGGUAUCGCCACCGACGCGGAGCUCAUCUACGAUCCCACCCGCGGCGCCGGCGGGAUGGAUCCGCUCGAGCAUCCGCUCCUGGGCCGCCGCCCCGUCGAUUUCGCGCGGGGGGGCACGAGCGCGAACGCGAACGCGAACGCCGCCGGCGGAUCGGGCGCCGGCGGAGCCGAGGCUUUGCGGGGUCGGACGCCGCGAGCCGCCGGGAUGCACUCGGUUCUCGCGUCGAUUUCCGGCGAGAUGUCUCGACUCGCCGUCGGUCCCGGCGCGCCUCAAACGGGCGGUCGCGGCGCGUUCCAGGUCAUCGGCGCCGGCGAACAGAAUGGGAGGCUCUUCGUCUUGCCCGAGGUGACGGAUCUCGGAUCGCUGCUUCGCGUGGAGCGAUCCGACGGGGGUCGCGGCGCGGCUAGCUCAUCUACAGCUGGCGGCGACGACGGCGGCAGGCGCUGGGACCCGCCGCGGGUCGGUGACGCGCGAGCGGCGACCUGGGCCGAUCCGAGCCGCGGCAGCGUCGCGCCCCGGCACGUCAACCCGUGCCUGGACGCCGCGGCGAGCGACCUGGAGGCGCACCUCGCGGGUAUUCUCCGAGCGGAGCCCGCCGCUCAGCCGCCGCCGGCUGCCGACCAGCCGGCGGCGGAGCCCGAGAAGACCACCACGGAGGGUGACGUGGAGAUGGCGACUGAACCCGAGCCGGAACGUGCCCCGGAGCCCUCCUCGACGCCCGAAGCGGAGGCGCCUGCUCCUCCUGUGGCGGAUGAGGCGCCCCCCGUGGAGACUGCCGCCGACGAGAUCCGGGAGCACCCCAUCACCGCGGAACCUUCCGAGGAGGAGGACGACGACGAGGACGAAGAGGAACCCGAGCCCGAGGACCAGCCCAUCGACUCCGAGUUCCUCAACGCCCUUCCCCCCGACCUCCGCGAGGAACUCCUCGCCACCAAUCGGCAGAUCGCCAGGCUCAACCGACGAAACACGAGCGCCGACGCCAGCGCCGCCGCCUCGAGUCAACUCGAGCCCAUCGACCCGUCCUUCAUCAGCGCGCUCCCGCCGGAUAUGCAGGCUGAGGUUGUCCAGCAGCAGAGCCGGGAGGUCGCCCGCGUCAUGCGCGAGCGCGCCGCGGAGGACGCGAGGCGAUCCGCCCAAGCCGCGGCGGAGGCUGCCGCGCGGGCCGCCGCCGCCGCCGCCGCCGCGCCCGAGGGUGAGCGAACGGAGGCGCAGAGAGCCGCCGCCGAAGCAGCCGCCGCCGCCGCGCAGGCGGCGGCGCAAGCCGGAGGCGCGGCGCAGGGCGGCAUGGACAACGCGUCCGUCAUCGCGUCGUUUCCCGAGGAGCUUCGACAGGAGGUGCUCCUCUCCGCGGACGAGUCCGUGCUCGCGACGCUGCCCGAGGCGCUUCAGGCUGAGGCCAGGACGCUCCGCGAGAGGCACGCGCAGCAGAUGCGGCAGUUUCAAAACGCGGGAGCCGCCAGAGCCGCGGCGGAGGCGGCAGCCGCCGACGGCAUGGAGGACGACGACGAAGCCGGCGGGACCGCCGCCGCCGCCUUCUCGAGGCAGCUCAGGACCAUGCUCGGGCUCUCGGGCCCGGGGCCGCUGGGCGGCGGCGGCGGUCGGGGGGGCAGGGGCGAACGAAUGUUGGCCGGGGCGUUAACCGCCGCGGACAGAGCCGCGAAAGCGGCGAAGCUCGCGUCGCCCGCGGUGGACCGCGACGCGCUCCUCACGCUGGUCAGGCUGCUUCGCCUGGCGCCGCCCCCGGCUAAGGGCCUGCUCCCAAAGGUUCUCCUCAACCUCGCGGCGCACGCGCCGACCCGCGACGCGCUCCUCAGGCUGCUCUUCGCCAACCUGCGAGCCGUGAUGGAGGCCAACGAGGGCGGCGGCGGCGAUUGCGGCGCGCUCUACGGCCGGGACGUGCACGUCGUAUGCUCCAAGCCCGACGCCGCGGCGAGACUCCUCGCCAAACGCGCGCUGGAGACGGCGGUGUUCCUCGCCAGGCACAGCGCGUUCAUAUCCAGGAGGAUCCCCGCGCUGGCGGUGACUUUGAGCGACGCGGCCGACGCCGCCGCGGCGGGGGCGCUCGGCGCAAAGUCACCCCCGAAAUUUGCAAACGAGAUUGGCACGGACGAGACGGUCCUGACCAGAAGUCCGGCCUCCAUCCCGCUUCCCGCGGCGAGGCCCGACGCCGGCUCGGCCGGCGGCGACGGCGUCGUGGCGCUGCUGCUGAGGUGCCUCGGAUCGACCGCGUUUGCGCCGCACGUGGGUCACCUGGAGCUCAUCCUGCAGCUGCUGGACGCGACGCUCAGGUCCAGCGCGUUCGAGUUGGACUACCACGUCAGGGCUCUGCGAAUACACAGGGAGGCGGAGGAGACGAGGAGAAAGGCGAAUGAGGAGAAGAGCAAAAAGGAGGCGGAGACGCGAAGGACGGCGGCGGAGAUCACGGAGGCGCCCGGGGAGGAGGACGCGACGCUCGCGAUGGACGAAGGCGUCAACACGGCGUCAACGCGGAUGGCUCUUCACAAGGAAAAGGACGAGAAAAAGGACGUCGAGAUGGUCAGGCCACACGGAACCGAAGACUUCGCCGUCGCCCGCAUCCGCGAGGCGCUCGCGUCCGACUACGCCCGGCUCUCCGCCGUCGCGACCCUGCUCGGCCGCGACGGGCUCACCGAUUCCGUCUACGCCAAAGCCGCCGACGUGUGCCGAGCGUUGGCCGACGUCGCCCCCGCCGCCCGCGACGCGCUCGCCUCCGCGCUCUCCGCGCAGGUCAGGUCCAGGAUCGAGGACGCGGUGGCUAACCUCGAAUCCGUGCGAUUCACCGCGUCGGUUGGGAGGACCGCGCAGACGAUGGGCGCGAAGGAGGCGGAGGCUGAGGCGGCGGCGGCGGCGGCGGCGGCGAAGCUUCCCCCCUCCGUCGCGUCGUCGGGUUCCGCGAUUCUUCGCGUGUCGCACGUCGUCGCCGCGCUUCUCAAGUUUGACGUCGACGCGGCCAAACGCGAGGAGACUGAGGCGGCGGGUAACGCCCUCGCGGCCGCCGGCGCGGGCCCCGGCGAAGUGAUCCCGCCGCCGCGCUCCGGCGCCGACGUCGAAGCCGAGCGACGUCGACGACGAAAAGCUAUGGGCCGAGCGAUUCAAUCAUUCGCCGACGAGCUCAACCCGGUGUGGGCCGCGCUCAGCGAGGCGUGCACCGUGCUCGAGCCGCAGAUCGCCGCCGCGGCGGCCGUCGCGGCGGCGUCCUCCCGGGGGGGCACCGCGGCGCCCGCGCUGCCCGCGGGCGCGAGGCAGAUCCAGCCCGUCGUCGAGGCGUACUUUGCCCUCGCCGCCGCCAUCAACGACGCGUCCAAGCGAGUCGCCCCCGAAGCCUCCGUCGAGGAACCGGGAGGAAGGAACGCGACCAUCUCCUCGCCCGAGCGGGGCGGCGUCGUGGGGUCCGACGAGGGUUUGGUGUCGUCGAAUGCGGCGUCGUCGGGCCUGGACGCGGACGACCGCGCCGCGUUUGGUCUGUCGAGGGUGACGUCACCCGCGUUUGGACUCGCGAGGAGCGCGACGCCCGCGAAUGGUGCGGCGACUGCUGGCGGCCGGGCUCCUCACUCGAGUGGUCCAUCGGCGUCUCAUCCCGGGGGGGCGGAUCUCGCGCCGGUGGCGGAGGAGGAGGCGGACGCGGGCGCGGACAAAGACGGGCCGGGCGGGGUGACGAGCGUGUGGAACUUCACCAACGAGCACCGCUCGGUGGUCAACGCGCUGGUCCGGUCGCAGCCCGGGUUGCUCGACGGCAGCCUGCGCCUCAUGCUGGAGAAGCCGCGCCUGCUGGAUUUCGACAACAAGCGGUCGUACAUCCGCGGCAAGCUGAAACGGCUCGCGGAGCGCGAGCAGAUGCGGGGAUCGCACCACGGCCCGGUCCGCGCGCAGAUCAACCGCAAGCAGGUGCUCACCGACUCGUUCAUGCAGCUCCAGCACCUCAAGCCGGCGGAGCUGAGGGGCCGACUGACGAUUCAGUUCUCCGGCGAGGAGGGCAUCGACGCCGGCGGCGUCUCCCGCGAGUGGUACAUGCUCCUCGCCAGGGACAUGUUCAACCCCGACAAGGCGCUGUUCGAGCUGUCUCCGUCCGGCGACGGCGCGUACCAGCCGUUCGGCAACUCCGGCAUCAACGAGACGCACUUGGCGUACUUCAAGUUCAUCGGUCGGAUCAUCGGUAAAGCCGUGUACGACGGGUACCUGGUUGACGCGCACUUCACCCGGCCUUUUUACAAGCACAUGCUGAACAUACCGCUCAACUACGACGACAUGGAGGCGUUCGACCCGGACUACCACAAGAGUCUGGUGUACAUGCUGGAGCACCCGCUGGAGGAGAGCGGGCUCGAUUACCUGACCAUGUCCGCGACGGCUGAUUAUUUUGGGAUGGAGACGGUUGUCGACUUGAUCCCCGACGGGCGGGACGUGAGCGUCACCGACGACAACAAACUCGAGUACGUCAACCUCGUCGCGGCGCACAGGAUGACCAACGCGAUCAAGGAGCAGAUCGCCGCGUUCACCGAGGGUUUCAACGACAUAGUUCCGCACGAGAUCAUCUCCAUCCUCAACCCGUCGGAGCUCGAGCUGCUCAUAUCGGGCACGCCCGAGAUUGACAUCGACGACUUGAAGAACAACACGGAGUACACCGGGUACACCACGUCCGCGCCGCAGGUGCGAUGGUUCUGGGAGGUCGUGAAGGACCUCAGCGAGGAGGACCGCGCGCGCUUGCUGAUGUUCGUGACGGGAACGUCCAAGGUUCCGUUGGACGGUUUCAAGGCGCUGCAGGGCAUCAGCGGGCCGCAGAGGUUUCAGAUUCACAAGGCGUACGGCGGCGGUCAGAGGCUUUGCAGCGCGCACACGUGUUUCAACCAGCUGGACCUGCCGGAGUACAACACGAAGGAGGAGCUGAAAGACCGGCUUCUGUUCGCAAUUAGAGAAGGCAGUGAGGGUUUCGGCUUCGGCUAGCCAGAUUCCACGAGAGAUAGCGUUGGCCGGGUAAACAUCCCCGCGCGACAACACGCAACAAAUUGUAGAAGGAAUGUAAGAGUGAGAGAAAUUCUAAGCGAGCCAACCAUCACGCGUCGUAGUUUACUCCCCCAGUUUUUCGGGAGGGUCCUCCUCGUCGUCUUGCUGGGGCGCGACACCGGUGCCCGUGCCAGCCGCGGCGCCCGGUCCGCCCUUCUGGCUGAGUCCGGACACGAUGUCGUCGAUGCGGAGGAGCAUCGCGGCGGAUUCCACCGCCGUCUUGAUGCUCUGCACCUUGACGGCGUACGCCUCCCAGACACCCAGCUCCUUCAUGUCGACGAUGGUGCCCUUGUCGCCGUCGAUGCCGAAAGUGCAAGCCUUGCCGCCGGUGCUCUCCGCCGUCCACUCCGCGUGCUUGGCCCUGAGCUUCGUCAGGGUGCGAAUCACGUUGGCGCCGCAGUUUUGCGCGAGGGUCCUGGGGAUAACCUCGAGAGCCUGGCCGAUAGCCUUGAACGGCCACUGCUCGACGCCCUCAAUCUUGAGCGCCUCCUCGGAGAUGGCGCGGCUCACGGCCAUCUCGACCGCGCCGCCGCCGGGCAGCAGCCUGGGAUCGUGCACGACGUUCCUGGCCACGCCCAUCGCGUCCUGGAGGUUGCGCUCAACCUCGUUGAGGACGUCCCUGGAAGCGCCGCGGAGGAUGAUGGAGCACGCCUUGGGCUCCUUGCAGUCGACGAAGAAGGAGAAGUACUCCUCUCCAAGCUUCUCCACCUUGAAGAGGCCCGCGCCGGUGCCGAUGUCCUCCUCCUUGAGCUCCUCGACGCGGUGCACGAUGGAAGCGCCGGUGGCUCGCGCUAUGCGGUUGUUAUCCGUCUUCCUCACCCUGCGAAGCGCGGUGAUGCCAGCCUUGCACAGGUAGUGGGUGGCGAGGUCGCUGAGUCCCUUCUCCGUGACCACGAUGUCGGGCUUGAAGGCGGCGAUCUGCGCGCAAACGCCCUGGAUCCAGUCCUCCUCCAUCUUGAGCAGCACCGCCCAGUCCUCCUCCUUGGUGAUCUCGACGUUGGUCUGGUUCUCACCCUUCUUGUACUCGAGGGGGCAGUCCAGGAGCAUAACGCGCGGGUUCUCGAUCCUGCGCUGCAUCCUGCCGGGCGCGACGACGUCCUUGUUCAUCAUCACGCCCUUCAGCACGCGGCAGUCGUCGAUGCUACCGCCGGCGAUUUUCUCAACCUUGGCGAACUUCUUGAUGUCAACCUCCUUGGUGCCGUCGCCGUUGUCCACCGCCACGCACAGCACAGCCUCCAACGCGAGCUCAGCCAUGAGCGGGCCGAAACGGCUGGUGUACUUGGUGCCGAUGCAGCUGCUGACGAUGUUCAUGAGCUGCUGGCGGUCGUCCACGUCGAUGGGAAACGCGAGGGAAUCGAUGAUCUUCACCGCCGCGUCCAGCGCCUUCAUGUACGCUCGGACGAUGACGGUGGGGUGGAUGUCCUUCUCGAGGAAAGGCUGCGAGAGGUGGAGGAUCUCGCCCGCGAGGAUGAUGACGGAGGUGGUUCCGUCGCCGACCUCCUCGUCCUGCGUGCGGCUGAGCUCGAUCAUGGACUGCGUCGGGACGGAGAGGCGAACGGGGAGGGUCAGCGAUCGAUCGUAAACUUUUUGUGGGUUGGGGCGAUGAGUGGGCGAGCGACGUUUCGUCCUCCUCGGUUUGACUUUUUCGAGGGGUCCGGGUGCGGGCGCGCACCUUGGCCGCGGGGUGAGUCACGUCGAUCUCGCGAAGGAUGGCGUUGCCAUCGUUCGUCAGCACGAUACCUGGGUCGACGGAGGAAGGGUUUGGGAUGAGCGGGGACGUCGGUCAGCGCUGCCGUCCGGGUCCCGGGAUCUCGUAAAAGUUUUGGGCGCGAUCGGGGCGGUGUGCCCACAGCCGGCGCGGGGCUGGAGAUGGAAGGGGCCGAUCGGGGUGGAAGCGCACCUCCGGAAGCGUCGAGGAUCAUCUUGAGCAUGGAACGAGGACCGAGCGUGGUGCGGAUGAUAUCCGCGACGGCCUGUGGAGGUGCGCAGAGACGGGGAAGAGGGGUUCAGUCGCGGGUCUUCGCACGUCGACCCUCCGUGGCUCGAGGGAUGUGGCGGUUGGCGCCGAACGCGCGCGGGGGCUUUGACCGCAGAUCCGGGUCGUGGGGAUGGGGUAUUCGCGACGCGACGCACCUUAGCGGCGGCGAUGUUGUUCAGCUGCGCGGUGCGACCGGUCUCACGCUUCGUGUUGGUGUCUGGAUGGGACGGAGAGGCGCGAUCGGUCAGUCGAUGGACUCACGGGGAGGGAGGGGAAAGCCUGAACGAGAAGGGAAGUGUUUCUUCGGCUGGGCGGCGGGUCAGAUCUCGAGCGGCGAGGGGCACUCACUCAUCACCAUGAUGGGGCUUUGCAUGCCCUGCAUCUUGACCGGACGUUCACUCGUGAACUCCGCGACUCUCCUGGGUUGGAUUCAAGCAGCGCGGUGUGGAGGCGCCAGUUGAUCUGCCCACUGCGCUGCGCCGAGAUCGCGCUUUUCAAACAGAUCGGCUCGCAGCGUGUGUCAAUCGGGAGCACGAACCACGAAAUGGGAGGUCCGACGCAGGUGGCGCAUCUUGAUAAGUUGGCCGGCGCACUGAAGCGGGCGCGGACCUUCGCGAUGGACCCCCGGUCCGCCCCGUGGUACUACCUCCACGUCGAGGCGUACCAGAAGGGUGUCGUCGCGCAGCAGGGCCCGAUUCCCUUCGACGAGCUCCAUGUCAUGUACAAGGACGGCAAGGUGGAACGGGACACGUUCGUUUGGAGCGAAUGCCACGAGGCGGACGACUUCUUCCAGAUCGAGUCCGUGCCGGAGCUCGUGGCCGCACUCGAGGUUCCCCUCGAGGGCGACGCGGCCGAGGCUGAAGAUCUGACGACGAGCGUGACGCAAUCCCUGCCCGAAGAUCCUCCGAAGGACGAGACGCGACCGCCCGAGAGCGCCGCGGACACCGAGGCGAACACGACGAAGAAGGAGACCGAGCCCGUCGAGCGGGCAUCCGCACCCGAGCAGACCACGACGCUCCCGAUCGCACCCGCCCCCUCCCCCACGCCGUCAUCGAUGCGCACACCCGGAAGGUCGGGAUCCGGCGCGCUGGAGGCGAUCAUGCGCCGCGUGGGUGGAUCCACCGCCAAACGCGUCGCGUCCCCGCGCCUCGCGUCGCGCGGAAGAUUCACGACGUCUCGGCGCGGUGACGGCGACGACGACGACGCCUCCGACGACGCCUCCGACGACGCGUCCUCCUCCGACGACGACGUGGAAGCCGACGUCAUGCUCGGUCGCAAGAAGUGGUUCCCCGACGUCGAGAACGCGCUCAACGUGGAGUACGCCGCGCUCAAACGCGCGCUGCACAAGGACUACGUCGCUCACGUGCGUAAGCUCGAGGCGAGUCUGGAAUCCAUCGAGGCUCGCAUAAGGGACGCGAGGGAGCGACGCGCGGCGGUUCGCCGGGAGACGGCGAGGGAGCGGAGGGAACACGAGAGACUGGCGAGGUCCGCGAACGACGUCGCGCGGGAGCUCGAGCGCUUACGACGGAGGGAGGAGGAGCUCGGCGAGCGCGAGCGGGCGGCGAGGGAUCGCGAGGACGAGAUCGCGUCAGCCACCGCGGAGCUCGCGUCCCGGGCGGAGGACCUUGUAAGGCGCGAGCGUGUAUUGGAACGGCGCGAGCGCGCGGUGCAGAACGAGACGGAGGCGCUGGACGCCCGCGGGCGCGAGUUGGACGCGCAAUUCGACGCGUGCGAGGCGACGAUGGCAAAGUGCAAAGCGGAGAGGGACGAGCACGCGUCCGCGAUGCGCGAAGUCUCCGAGGUGGAGCGACGGCUCGAGGAGGACGCCCGGCGCAUCGCGGCGCAGGGCGAGGCGCUCGCGCGUCGCGGGGAGGAGGACCGCCGCCGCGUGAAGGAGCGCGAGGCGGCCAUCGAGCGACGCGAGGCGGCCAUCGCGGAGAAGGCGGAGGAGGCGGAGGCUGUCCUGGCCAUGGAGCGGGAGGCGGUGCGACUGGCCAUCGGCGAUCGGUUUGAGGAGAUGGAGCGAUCGAGACGGGAGGUGAUGGCCGCGGCGGCGAGGAAGGCGGAGGAUCCGGCGUGGGACGCGGUGCCUCCACCUCCUCCCCGGAUCAGUCACCCUUCAACGGCGGCGGCCCGCCACAGUUCCCCGUCGUCGUUCCGCACCCCGCGGCGGCCUCCACCUCCUCCACCUCCUCCACCUCCUCCACCGCAACACUCUCAACACUCUCAACACCAACAUCAGCCUCAUCCUCACCCUCGCGACGACGAUGUCGGCGUCGUCGGCGGCGAGGCGAGCGUGCUGACUGGCGCGGGCGCGCGUUGGGCCGCGGGCGUACCCUCCCCCGCGGCGGCGGCGGCGGUGAGGAAGGGCGCGGUCCUCGUGCCCGUGUACCGCGGCGGCAUGCCCGGCGCCGGCGGCGUCAGGAUAUGCGACGUCGCCGUCGCGUCGACCACCACGCUCGGCGGUUUGCGCUCGGCGCUCGCGGCGCAUCUCGGGUUGUCAACGCGGGACGGGCUCGCGAUUCGCCGGCGGGGCACAGCUGUGCCGCCGACGCAGGAUCACCUCCCGGCGUCGACGUACUUCGGCUCGUACGACGACGCGGUGGUGUUAGACUGAGACUUAGCCAGUAGCAGUUAGCUUUUGGAUGACGACAUCGCAUCGUCGCGACCAUGAAUGAGCAGAUGUCGUCCGCGUUGGUUGGAACGAGGUCCGGUGUCCUCUUGAAAGGGAUCAGUUUGUUGUCGGGGCAGCAGAGCGAGGCGCGCCUGGUGGCGGCGGCGACGAAGGCUCCGGGGGUCGGGUAUCGUCAUGCCGUUCCAGGUGAGCGGCACAAAGAAGGGCGGGAUGCCCGUCACCGUCGAGAAGCGGCCGAAAGGCAAGGUGGCGACAGUCAUCGGCAACGUUCGGGGCGAUAAGGCGGAGCUUUUGGCGAUGGUGAAGGCUGCGGUGGGCGCGGGAGGCUCCGUCGCCGGUCACGAUAGCGUCGAGAUUCAGGGCGAUCACGCCGCGAAGAUCCAGCAGCUGCUGCUCAGGCACCAGGACCGGACCGGGCACGCCACCAUGAAGGGCGUCGCCGGCCUGAAGCCGAAGCCCGAAAAGCCGGAGCCACGGGAGGAAGAAUCGCGGGCUCGGAGAGAGGAGAAGGUGAGGUCCGCGGAGGUACUCGCGCAGCAGAAACAGCGCCGCGUCGAGGCCAGGCAGAGGGCGGUGAGAGAGGCGGUGAACGCCAAGGUUGAGUCCACGCGCCACUUCCACGUGUACGCCAACAUGAUGAAGACGUGGCGAUACUGGGAUCAAAACUGGGACGCGCUGCGAGAGAUGCACGACAGACACGUCCGGGAUCUCGACGAGGCUGCGCGAGCGGGACGGGGCCGGGGGAUCACGAGCAUCCUCGACGCCGAGGUCGACGAGCCCGCACCCGGUCGACGACGCGGCGAGGUGCUCGAGGCGAUCGACCGGGGACUCGCCGCGCUCGGCGGCGCGGCGGCGCCAGAGUCUGCGACGAGGUCGCCGCCGCCGCACCACGACCAGAGAGCCGCGCUCAUGGCGCUGGGCAUGAUCGCGGCGCCGUCGCCGUUCAGGCAGUCGCGUCAGGAGCGGCUCGCCGAGGCGAAGAGGCGGCAGGCGGCGGCGAAAGAGGCGGCGAAGAACGCGCCUCCAGUCGCGGCGGCGGCGAAGGAGGCGACGAGGGCGCCCGCGUUUGAUCCGGCGCUGGCCGCGCUUCGAGCCUUUGGGGACUACCCCGACCGUUCGCGUCCGGCGGCGUCGGCGUCGGCGAGGUCGAGGCCGCCUCCCGUGAGACCCGGGGCGACGAGGCCGCCGCCUUCGCGGGUCCCCCGCGGCGGGGCGGGUCGCGGCGGGGCAGUCGGUACUCGUCGAAGGGGGCACGGGAAGGGGGACCCGAAGAGGUCGUCGCUCGGGUACACGGGCGCGCGCAAGGGAACCGGCGGAGGCGUUUACGGCGGGGACGUUGAAGAGGAUCGCGACGUUGCGUUCGAUGACGAUGAAUCGGAGGAGGAGGAGGAGGAGGAGGAGGAUCACGAUUACUUGUACGCCGGCGGCGGCGACACUCGGGGAUGGGAGGCUUCGCCCAGUGGAGGUUUCUCAUUCGGACCGAUCGCCGGCGCGGAAAACUCGCCGUCCUGGCAGCACCUUUCGCGCGGAGACGAAGCGGAAAUGGACCAGGAAGAGGCUGACCUGCGCGAAGCUCUGCGACGUAGCCUCCUCGAGGCGGAGUCCGAGCCGACCCGCCGCGUGGGCUUACACGUCGAAUGCGGCGACCUCUGGGGAGAGCUCACGGAAGAGGAGGCGUUCGAGCUCGCGAAGCGGCUCAGCGAGGAGCAGGAGAAGCUCGACCGCGCCUCGCGCGCGGAGUUUGAGUCGUUCGAUGAACCCGCGCGUUGCGGUUUAGGGUUUCGUGAUCGUGAUUCGGAGGCUCGAGAUCCGCGCGAUCGACUCGCGGAGCUCUGCGGUUUCGACGCGGAUGAUGAAGCCGCCGUCGGUCUGGCCGAUCUCGUGUCGUCCAUGGACACGCUGGAGGAGGCUGCGGAUCUCGUCGCGGCGACGGCGGGGUGUGAUCGAGGGGAGGCGGAGGAGGUCGCGGCGGCGCUGCGUGAUGACGGUGACGAGCCCGAGACGGAGGAGCCAGAGAUUGAGGAGUCCUCGCCGGCGGACGAUGACGACGCGGCUGGGUUCAUGCCGAAGUGCAUGGAUGAAGACGCCGCGCUCGCCGAGGCGCUCCGUCUGAGCAAGCUAGACGCUGAAACGAGGGUUGCUGCACCGGCGUUCACGGACUCCGCGCCGGCGCUGAGCGGAGACUUGUUGGGGUGGGCUGAUGCGCAACUCUCCAUGUUCACGGGUGAAGAGGACAACGCCUUUCUGGCCGAGUACGUCUGCGACAUGGAGACAGCCGCAGAGAUUGAGGAGUUCCUUCGCGAGAGUUUUCCGAGCGAGGAAUCCAGCGCCGCGGCAUCGUUCGCGCGCGCGUUGGUGCUCAUGCGUAGCUAGGAUGUAGUCGAUUAAUGUAGCUAGAUGCUAGUGUAGUCAGAUCUUAAACGCUCACAGUCUCGAGUCUGCCUCCCAUUGCCGCGAACUGUGCAUCGAUGUCCCCGUAGUCGUCGAUGCCUCCAGCUUCAUUCGUUUCGUCCUCCUCGUCUUCGUCGUCCGACAGUGCAGGCGACGGUGGGCAGUUGCUUUGUCUAGGCGGGAGCCCCGACUCCGUCCAUACGUCCUCUGGCAGCGCGCGAGUUGCCACGAUGCUGCACUCCGCGGUUCCCAGCAGCACCUGGUUAUCACCCUCCCUCACGGUAACAGACCUGAACUUCUCCGGAUGUGUGAACGUGUCAAGUAUCAGCCGCUGCAUCGAAACCUCACCCUUACUCGACUCCUCGAGCUGCGUCUCGAAACCGGUAAGGACUUCAUUGAUCUUCACCUUCUUUUCCUCGUCCUUCUCGGACUCGAGACCCUCCUUCAGCCGCCCAAUUUUCUCCUCAAGGUCUGCCUUAACUUCGUCACUCAGCGCACCCUCGAUAACCUCGGAUUGCUGGACGUCCCAUAAGAUUAACUUACCCUGUCGCUCGCCCGUGAUCGUUGGAUCGUGUGUUGACACGGAAAUCAGGUGACCGGUGGACGACAUCGCCCAAACCCCAACCACGGUGCUCUCGUGACCGUCGAGCGUCUCCAGGAGAGCGCCUUCACUUGACGCCUUCUCCGUGUCCCAUACCCGAACGGUACGAUCCUCCGAACCAGAGAAGAGCGUCGUCCCGCGCAUCGCCAUGCACGUCACCGCGCGUUCGUGACCCGUCAGCUCGCCGAUCAACUCUUCCGGUCCCUUCCACAGCCUGAUGAUCCCCUCGUUCCCGGCGGUGAUGACGCACUCUUUGGACGCCCACGCGACGCAUGAGAGAAUCUCCUUCUCGUGCGCCUUCCACCCCAGUUUUAGGUACGGUGACCGCCCAUCUGUCGACCGCAGGUCCCAUAAUCCGACCCUGCCGUCGAAGCCCGCGGUGUAGAGCGUCUCCAUGGCCUCGCCGGUGGUCGGGUCGGUCGUCGAGACGAGAGCGCAGCACGAAACCGUGUUGGCAUGCGCCUUUUCGGGGACGUACAUCACUUUGCACUGACCAGAAUCCACGCCCCACAGCCUCACCUCGCCUCCCUCGUGCCCGGUUAUGAUCUUCCUGUUGUGACGCGAGUAGGCCAGGCACGUAAUCUCCGACGCGGAGUCGUCGGUGAACACCCGCAGCGAGCACAUGUCGUAGGUGUCCCAAUGUCGGAUGGACCCAUCCUGAGAAGCGGAAAUUAUUCGCUCCUGGUCGUCGACCAUCCCGGCCGUGAGCGCGAUGACCGGCCCGACGUGACCCUCCCCCGGCUUGUAAAGGAAUUGAAAUAUCUUCUCGCGGCAGAUCUGGAUCCCCUUGACCAAGCCUUGCGCGGUGAGAACGAGGGCCCGGAGGCUGGGCGCGCCACGAAGCAGCGCCAAAUCUGCCGCCGGCAACCAAUCCCCCUUCUUCGUGUUCUCAUCGAACACCGUCGCGAGACCCGUGCGCUGCUCCCUCAGCGUGACGCACUCCAGACGUAGGUCGUAUAUGUAAAAGUACCCGCGUCGGUCGACGAGGAACAGCUCGCGGGUCUCGCCGACGUAAACCACUGCGGUGAACAUGCAUCGCUCCGGAUUAUCGAGCUCCAUCAUCCGGCGCCCGCUCAACGUAUCGUAACCCCUCGCCUUCAUAUCGUACGCCAGAGUCACGACCAUGUUCUCCUCCGCGAUGUACAGAGCCUUGAACACGCCGCGAGAGCUGCCGUUGGGGUCCAGCGGGACGCGCUCGAACGGCUCGUCGUGAGUCGAUCCCUCUGUGUGAGUCGAUCCCUCGACAAAGUCACACCCGCCGAGGUCGCGUAUCGACUUCGCCGGUCUCCAUCGAACGACGGCGCCCUCCGAGUCCCCCGCGAAGAGCGAACCGAGGUCCCCGACCUCACCGGUGGAGUCGAACGUCAGCGUGUUGAUCCAGCCGGGCAACGUGCCGAGGAUGAACACCCUGUGCGGCUCGAACCACGGGUACGUCACUCCGGACGGUUUCUUCGGAACCUCACCCGGCGUGCCCCCGGGUCGCCACAGUCGCACGGUCCUGUCGGUGCUGCCGGACGCGAGGUACGCGUGGCACUGGGCGAGCGCGGUGACGGUUCCGUCGUGCCCGGAGAUGUCCUGGACGGCGCCCUCGAUCUCGACCCUCGGGUCCCAGACGCGAAUCUGGCCAUCGGCACCUCCGGAGACGACGAUUGCUCCCGAGAAGCAAUCCGCCUGUUCCCUCAGGGACAGCAUCGAGCCGACCCUGCCGCGGUGGCCUUCGAACACUCGACAGUCCUUCGAUAUCGUCACGUCGUUGUUGAGCACCAUCAGCCUCCAGUAGGCAACCUUACCGUCCUCCCGUCCCGCCAAGACCGUCCGCAAUUCGGGCACCCACGCCAUGCACACAAGCUCGGGCCUCCUGGCCUCGAUGUAGACCUGCUCCACCGACCUCCUCUUGUGCUGGGGUCCUCGCUUGCGGGGUAUGACUAGUUCGAAGUCGGGCAGGGCCUCGAGGUUGCCAUCAUCGCCCACAUCGCCGUGACCCAUCGCGCUGGGCCUUCCGAGAUGCGAUUUGUGGCCGCCCCGUCCCAUUUUGGCGCACGCAAAUCCCGAACGCGCUCGGCGGGCCUCGGCAUUUUACCGGGCGGCACCCACCACCAUGGCCUCCAUCGCCCGAGCCGUCGCCGCCGCGACAGCCUCUUCGGCGGCACUCGUCGUCACCGUACACAGCGUCCGACGCGUGUCGACGCCUCCGAUUCGCCCCGCGCGUUCGGCCGAGCAUGCGAGACAGGCCCCGCUUCGCGAGUUUUACGGCACCGCCGCCACGUCCAGCCGGCAUCCCCCGCACGUGUGCAACGCGGCGGGGUUCAACUCGCGCCGCCUUCGGUCUUCGCAGGAACUCGUCGGCGACGGCGAUGCCGAGGAUGAUGAGGACUACGACCCUUACAUGCACGGCGGAAGGCCCAACCGCUCUGCCAUCAAGCGCCUCAUCGACGAGUACAAGGGCCUGACCAAGGAGCUCUGCGCGCUGCCCAAAACCUCGGUUGCGAAGAUCCAGAUGCCAGACGAGCUACGCGAGGAGGUCUACGCCGCCAUCAGCAUCACGAGCAACAUCGCGCGUAAACGCGCGGAAGGAAGGGUGACCAAGACGCUGCGACAGCUCAGCGACGAGGACGUGCUCCCCAUCCAGACCGCGGUCGAGAACAUCCAGAACGGCAUCGGGCUCAUCACCGUGCCGCCCGAGGUGGAGUCCACCGCGCACAUGUGGCGGUCCGCAUUGCUAAACGGGGACAAGGAUGUUCAAUCGGUGGUGUUCGGGGUGUUGCAGGAGAGGGAGGACUGGACGUUCACGCGGCAGGAGCUCGGCCAGCUGGCGACGACGGCGAGGAGGGAGAGGGAGGAGGCUGAGGCUGAGCGCGAGGCGUUUAAGAAAGCGCAGGAGGAGGCGGAGGCCGCCGCCGUCAUCAUGCCGGACGGGACCGCCGUGCCAUCGGCGAAGGGUCCGGUGCAGGUUCAACCCAAACGGAAGAAGAGCGGCGCGGGGAAGGCGACGAAGAAGCUGCUGAAGCACCUGAGAAAGAUCGCCGAGGUUGCUCACGACGAGGGGUUGUUGUAAUAAAACGGACGCGACUAACAUUAGUCUCGCUUCGAGAACCGAGGGAGGUCUCGUUUUCCCGCAUCGUGUCUCUCUUUUCGCGUAUCGGCAUCGUGAAGGGGCUGGUUUAGUCAAACAUAUCAAACAUCUCCUCGCGCUGCCUCUUCAGAUCCUUCUCCAACUUUCGAUAGUGAGUAGCUGCAGCGGCCUCGUCUCUAUGCAAGUAACAUGGGUAGUGAGGGUCCCCGGGAACAUUGCACCCAUAGAAAUUUUUCCCAACCGUACCCGUAGCAAUCUUUGUUGCUCGAAAAUCCAUGAAUUCUUUCUGAGACUCGCUCAGCUCAGUGACGUUACCAGAGCGAUACGCGAUGUAUGCCUCCUGAGAGACUACAACAUCAGUAACUGUGACGUUGUGAGCGAUGCCACGAGCAGCCCUAUCAGCAUCGGUGAGCUUCCGACCACAGGACGCCGCUUUGCCGGAGUUUCCUCGCCGCAUGGCAAAGCAGCCGGGCCACAUGCUGACAUGCUCAGCGAACAGCUUACCUGCAUCGAUGGUAAGGUUGAAGUCAAUGAGAUGGUGGUAAUCUUCAAUCUUGAUGUCGAGUUCUCCCAGAAGUCCGUGAGUGAAGCCCCUGGGGUUGGACUGCUCGGGGUCUUUUUGGAGCUCUUUUUUGUCGGGUCGUCUUAUGCGGUACAGGCUGAAGCCCUCACCGGCCACCUCCUUGUAUGCGUCCAGGACUGAAGGUCUAAGGAGCUCUGCAAGAGGCGGUGCGUACUCAGCGUUGGCAAGGUAAUUAUCGAACAAGUCCAUCGCUCUCUGCAGAGCUGCUUCGGCCUGUUUGCUGAGCGACUUCUUCUCUUUGCGUGUAUCCCACUCACGGACCACGGUGGGGGCCACGAGCUUGGCGGGAACGAGCAUGGGUUUCUUCAGGUUCUCAAUCGCCUCAGGUGUCCAAAACCUGAGAUCUUCGUUGGCAUCAGUCUCGUACGCGUUCGCGUGCGCACCGUCCAUGUUCAACAGGCGAGGCGUGUGUGAGUGCGGGUCGAAGUGAAAAGAGCCCCAAAUAGGGCACACGCCAGAUCUGAAAAGUCGUUGCUCGUCUCACAGACCCUAAAGACCCGUCGUUCGCGGCGCCGCCCGGUCACAACGCCGCGCGUCGACGCGUGCGAAAGUUCAUCACUCAGCGAUUGACCAUCCGCGCGAGCGGUCGUCGAUUGUUCACCGCGACACCGGGUCUCGCGCGCAUCGAUAUCGCGCGCGCCUGAACCCGUCGUUGCUUUUUCCGUCCCACAGCUGUCCGAAACCCCGAAACGGGUGGCGCGACGACCAUGACGCGGUUCAGGCGCAUCGCCACCGCGGCGCUCGCGAUCCUCGCGCUCGCGGCACAUCCGCUCGUCGUCGAAUCGAUCGACCCUGGCGCGGCGAAAUUCGUCGAUGCGCGUCGCGCCGGCGGCGAUGACCCGUCCGCCGGCGAGGGGAACUCGCGAGCAGAAGCUUCCUCUCCCCGCGUCGAGCGCACGCGGGACGGCGGCGUCCACCGCCUCUUCGCGCGCGCGAUCCGUCGCUCGCUCGAUCGCAUCCGCGCCAAUCGCGAGGAUGACGCGCCAGAUCCCAUCGCGUGGUCGCAGCCGACGGCGCACUCGACGUCUCCGAUCGAGCCCGCGUCGCGAACCCUCCCGCGAAGGCUCAAACUCGAGCCCCAGCAACGACGCCGCUCGCUGCAGCAGGGCACCGACAUCUCCGGCUGCCCCGACCUCGCGUCCGGCGAUCUCAAGUUCUCCGUCACCACCUGGUCGUCGCUUCCCUCCGAGGAUCUCGUCCGCGUGGGCGCCGUGGACGCCGCCAUCACGGGCGGAGCCGCCGCAGCCAGGGAGAUGUACGUCUCGCUCGUCGUCACGCACAAAAAGGCGGACGCGUCGGUGAACCUUCGAGGCGUCACCGUCGCUUUCGAAUUUUCGCGAACCGUCGUCGUCGACGAAUCGACGGGCGAGACCGAGGUUGCCGAUCCGAGCCGGUUCGUGUUCAUGUGCUGGGGCGCGCAGCUCCUACCCGCCGCCGUCGACGGCUCGGACGGCGGGCACAGGUCGGUUCCGUGCUCCGAGCUCACCCUCGACAUCGACGCCGUGGGCCCGCGAGUGACCUUCGGGGACGUGACGCUCGGCCCGGGUGAGUUUCUCGCCGGCGGAUACAGCAACUUUCUCUUCAGCUUCAAGGAGAUGGGCGCGAUGCCGAUGGAAAACUCCGUCACCUUACUCGCGCCGUUCUGCGACGACGCCGCGGUGGACAGGCCAGCCGCCGAGCUUCCUCUCCUCGCGCCGACGUUCAUGCUGGGCUGGAACCCCAACAAGCACCUUGAGCUCUCGGCGUGCCCGGCGCUGCUGGACAUGGUGUUCCACUCGCUCGUUCCCGAAGUGGACGCCGGUGACACGUCGACCACGAUCGCAUCCGGGGUCGUCGGGCAUAGGAGCUGCGCCAGCAUGGACGUCACCGGAGUCACCGUGCCGGUACCUUACGCGAGAACCGUGGACCCGGCGUCGUUUGAGACCGGGUGCUCGGGAAUCCAGCUGGCUCUCCCGGCUCCGACGUUCCGAAGCGACGGCAUGUCCGCGAUGCAGGGCAUGGAGCAGCCUGCGCUGACAUGUGACGACGUCGUCGUGACAAUGACAUCCGACGGACUUCGCAUCAGCUUCGUGGACGGCGCGCUCAAGCUUUGUCCCGGCUGUUUCCUUGUAGGUGGACCCGAUAACGUGAUGGCUUCGUGGCGGACCCUUGACGGAUCCGACGCGAGCUUAAUUCCCAUCGGCCCACCCGCUAUGCCGUACUGCGGCGCGGGACCGGACAUGUCUCUGACCGCGGAGGUUGGACCGGUGACCCCGUGCAACGCCGAGGAGAACGCAGAGCUUGACGGCGAGGUUCUGAACGGCGGUACGUUUCUCACGUCAUCCGCCGGCGCGUGCUGCCUGGCGUGUCAGGAGAACCCAGGAUGCAACGUUUGGACGUUUUGCACCGACGAGGGAGGAUGCGGAGGAGCCGCGCCGACGUACAGCUACAGUCGAUGCAGCCUCAAGUACCAGGACCCCGCGCAGCUGUCCCCUGGACCCGCACCGGGGAAGCGAGGUCCGGAGAUCACGUUCACGUCCGGGAGCCUUCCUGAGAAGGAGACUGAAAUUUUCGUCGCGGACACGGUGCAGCAAAUUCGUAACGAAACCGGUGAAACGUGCGCAGUCUGCCAGAUCGAGGAUGCAGCGAACUACAAAGGCGAUCCGCUCAUUGACGGAACCAACCUUCUGGUUGACUCCCCCGAAGCCUGCUGCGCCAAGUGCGCCGAAGAUGACAGGUGCAACAGUUUUGUGUACUGCGGAUCCGAGUCCGGCUGCGGCGGCGAGUACUACGACUAUAAACACCGCGAGUGCUGGCUCAAGUUCCUGGCGGAAGACAUGUGGACGCAGUUCCCCGUUCCGGCGUGGAACAGGGGCGAGGGUAUACCCUGGACGAGCGGCAUCGUGAACCGAACGAGGUGCGUCGAGAGGGUCUUCCCGCCGCCUUCGCCCCCGGCCAUCGUCACGAUCCCCCUUCCGCAGCCACCGCCGCCGUCGCCAGAGCAACCCUCGCCGGUUCGCACUGCACCCACGACGUGCUCCGAAGGUGCGUCGAGCAUCGCCGAGCUGUGCACCGGCGUGUUGCUGGGUCAAGAGGAGAGCCUCGAGGUCGACGACGCGAGCGAGUGUUGCGGGGUCAUCACCUGGAUGAACGCCGACGAGCGAAGGUGCUUCUGCGAUUCGGGCGUCGUCGACUCGCUCGGCCGGCUUGCGGAUCCCCUCCUACUCGUGGGUGGGAUUGUGUGCGAGGUCGAGAUCCUCAGCGGAGACGCAUGCGCGCCAGCUCCGACGCCGACGCCGGCUCCCGUCCCGGAGCCCUCCGCGCCGGAGCCGCCACCGCCGGAUGCGCCAACCCAGCCGACGCCCGCGCCAGGGCCGCCUCUUCCGGGAGCGCCUCCUGCGCCAGUCGUGGUGCCCCAGCCGGACGCGCCGGCACCGCCGCCUCCCGACGCACCGGAUGCGCCGGCACCGUCGCCUCCAGAAGCACCGGAUGCGCCGGCACCGCCGCCUCCCGACGCACCGGAUGCGCCGGCACCGAGCCCGCCGCCUCCCGACGCACCGGAUGCGCCGGCACCGAGCCCGCCGCCGCCCGACGCACCGGAUGCACCGGCACCGAGCCCACCGCCGCCCGACGCACCGAGCCCACUGCCGCCUCCCGACGCACCACCGGCACCGAGCCCACCGCCGCCCGACGCACCACCGGCACCGAGCCCACCGCCGCCCGACGCACCGCCGGCACCGAGCCCGCCGCCUCCUGACGCACCGCCGGCACCGAGCCCGCCGCCUCCCGACGCACCGGAUGCGCCGGCACCGCCGCCUCCCGACGCACCGCCGGCACCGAGCCCACCGCCUCCCGACGCACCGCCGGCACCGAGCCCACCGCCGCCGUCGCCGGAUGCGCCGCCGCCGAGCCCGCCGCCUCUCGCGCCGCCGGCUCCUUCGCCGCCGCCGCCGCCUGUGGUACCGAGCCCGCCGCCACCGAAUGCUCCAACUGCGCCAUCGCCGCCGCCACCUGACGCACCGAUGGCUCCGAGCCCACCGCCCCCCGGAGCCCCGGCUGCUCCAUCGCCUCCGCCGCCGGACGCUCCCGUCGUGGUCGUCCUCGCACCUCCGAUUUCUGUUCCGCAGCCCCCGUGCAUCGUGCUCCUCACGCGUCUCACCGAACAGUGCGCCCCGCUGCUGGGAGACGACACGAGCGCGACGAUGAUGCAAGACUGCUGCGAGAUUCUUGCGGAGAUGAACGGUGAGGAGCUCAGAUGCUUUUGCGCGGAGGAUGUACUCGAGCGGCUCGGGACGCAAAUCAGGCCUGUGACGCUCCUGGCUCCAUUCCUGUGCGGUCCUGAGCUCGAGAUCUACUCAGGCGAGUCGUGUGAACUUCAGGCGGAGCCGGUUAUUGUCCCGGUUCCGGCACCCGACCCGCCGGCUCCGUCGCCGCCACCGCCCGAUGCACCGCCCGCACCGGCUGAACCAUCACCGCCGCCGCCGAAUGCACCGACGGCACCGAGUCCGCCGCCGCCCGAUGCGCCGGUCGCACCGUCACCGCCGCCGCCGAAUGCACCAGUCGCGCCGAGCCCACCACCACCGGAUGCUCCAACGUCGCCAUCGCCGCCACCACCGCUCGCACCGACGGCACCGAGCCCACCUCCGCCAGACGCACCGAGCUCACCGAGCCCACCGCCGCCCGACGCACCGAGCCCACCGCCUCCCGACGCACCGACGGCACCGAGCCCGCCGCCGCCCAACGCACCGACUGCACCGAGCCCACCGCCGCCAGCCUCACCGACGGCACCGAGCCCGCCACCGCCAGUAGCACCCCAAGCUCCCCUGCCAGUACCCAAGAAUGCCUGCCCGGUCAUAUCCCUCCGCGGGCGAGGGGCCGGACCCGACCGUAACGAGGCUCUGGUUGGAACCGUGUGGGUUGAUCCGGGCGCGACCGCGAUUGACGCCGAGGACGGCGACCUCACCGAUGAAAUUGUUCGGGACGCGUCGCAGCUGGACACUGCGACGCCCGGGGUCUAUCGGGUCACGUACUCCGUGACCGAUUCCGCUGGGUGCGAAACGCGCGCGGUUCGAUACGUCCGCGUGAUCGCGCUCGUCGCCACCUCCGACGCCGAAUACCUCAGCACGCUCUGUCUGAGGCAGGUUCCGAGGGUGACGAUGACCUGCGAGGUUGGCAUGCAGAGGCACGAGGACCACCGGCCAAACCCGGCGGCGUUUCCCGCGUGUUGCCUCCUGGCACAGGAGAUGGACGCGUCCGCGUGUUUCUGCGACGGUCGCGUCAUCGGCGAGCUCAACGCUCGAAACGCGACGUUCUUUGAGGAUCUCGUGGAUUUCACCCCGAUGGCGUGCGGUUUCAAGAUCAAGACCGGGGAGGUGUGCACUGACAUGCGCGCGCUGGAGAGAUUCUUCGCGGCGGAAAUUGUUGACACCGGCGAGGACGUCGCCACCGUCGAGGAGCUCAUAUCCGAGGGAGGCGCCCUGAACGCAGAGCUGCCGUGCGACGAGCAGGUAGCGGCCGUCACCGCGAUGUGCCAGCGCCUGACCCGCGCGACGCCCGGUCCAGCGCCACUCGUGAGCGACUUUGUGCCGUGCUGCACCGCGGCAGCUGUGCUCAACGUGUCCGAGUGCCUCUGCGACGAAAAUUUUGUCUUUGCCGACGAGGAACGAACCACAUUCCUGCAACAGCUCAUAGGCUUCGCGCCCCUGGGAUGCGGGUUUGCGCUCACGGGAACCUGCCCGGCGAUAACCGACAAACUUGAGCUCCCGAGCGUGGAGGGCAUCACCGUGCCGGACGCGUUCUCGUCAGAAUCUGUCCCGGCGGUUCUUCCAGUGGCGGGCGGAUGGAACACGUCCGCGCUCACCUGGGAGUUCAUGUUCGGUGACGACGACGUCGUGACCGUCGACGACGCGAGUGAGCAGCUCUUCUGGGUACAGGACGGGGGCGUACAGCUUUUCAACCUGAUUUCGUGUGCCGAAUACGUCUCACUCGCGCCUCAGGUCUGCGGCGACGUGAGGCUGAACUCCGAGGUUUCCACGUUUGUGCUCACCGAGUGCUGUGCGUUCCUCCACGCUGCGCACGCUCGAGGGUGCCUGUGCCCCCUCGCGGGACUCGCGGCACUCGCCUUGGUCAAUCCUGACCUCGAGGAUAUCUCACCGAUUGCGUGUGCUUUGCGUUUGGACACGAUUCCGUCUCUCGGCGAGGGAUACUGCAAGACACAGCUCACGCUGGAGCACGUCAUGUCCCCGGCUGAGUCGCAAAUUUUCGAAGAGACAAAAUCAGCAGGCGAUGGGAGCCAGUCGCAGGUGGACUUCUUCGACGAUCGCAACCUGCAGCUGGGUACGUUCAUCGGCGCCGCACCGAGGGCCACGCCCGUUGUCAUCACCACCCCGACGACUCUCAAGAUCGCCGGCGAGGAUGACGCGGUCGUCACCAGCGUCGUUCCGCCGGGGUCCGUCUUCGGGGUCGUCGCGCCGGAGGUUAUGAGAACCGUGAGGGACGCCGACAUCGUGGAGAAUGUCCUCCCGGAGACACUGGCGCCGGGCGAGACCUACGCGAUCCCGUCCAGCGCUAUAGUCACCAGCGAUGUCACGUCACUGCCCACGUACCGCGCGAGCGAGUCCAACUCCAGCGCAGGCGGCGCGGUGGCCAUCAAGGCUGGAGGAGACAACCGGCUCCUGCUCACCGUCCCGGACCUGGGCGGCGUGGUAAAACUGCCGUGGACCGCAUCGCUCGAGCCCGUGCCCGUGAUCCCCGAGGCUAACUACGCCGAAGACGGCACGGACGAGCUCCCCGUGGUCGUCGUCACCAACCACAUCGACGGGGUCACCUCGCUGGUUCCCCUCGCGUCAGACGGCAGAAGCUACGCCGUCGUCAAGGCGGAUGUGGCCGAGGCGGAGGGCGAUACCGACAACGAGGAUUACGAGAACGGGUAUCGCGGUCUGAUCUACGGUAACGGAAACGAGACCGGCCUGGGAAAUAUAGUCCGAGGAUCAACCACCAGCUGUCUGUUCGCGGUCGUCAUCGCGGAGGCGUCCUGCAUUCCGAUGCUGGAGAGCGUCUCUGAAAUUUUCGAGCUUGACAUUGGCUGGCGCGUGUGCUGCUCACGAAUAUCCGCGGUCAACGACGACGGGUGCUUCUGCGACGGCGCCGUGAACGCCGCUCUUGAAGUUACUGCUCGUUCGAACAUCCAUGCGCGGGUCAUGGACGCGAUCCCAGGAGCGUGCGGUUUCCAGCUCACCUCUGGAGAGUCGUGCCCGACGGCUAUCUUUGCCGAUUCCGAGGAUGAAGACAAACUCAACGUGACAACCUCCGACCCAACGCGCGAGCUCGUCUCCAUCCACGCCGACGUAUACACCGCGCCCGAGGUUAUUUCUAGCGUCACCGCCGCGGGUGCCGUGGUGGUCUCCUCCACGGACGCUUCGAGGGACGACGCCGAGGUCGCCGAUAACGUCGCGGCUGAGGGACUCGGCGCAAACUACGACGCCGACACCGGCCUGGUCACCCUCACGCUCCCGGGCGACGCGACCGUCACCGCGGACGUCGCCGUGUUCUACCCGAACGGAAUCAAACCGUCGUCCGUCUCGAGUCCGCCGCCGGGCCCGGUCGCGGCGGAGGCGGUCGCGCUUGAUCCCGAGGAUCCGAGCCGGCCCCUGCCCGGCUACGGCGUCGUCAUGAGCGACGGCCGGGUGGUCCCCGCGCUGGAGGAUUGAAGACGAUACAGUCACGGGACCGUGCGACGCGGUUCGCAUGCUCAAGAACUUCCUGACCGUCAGCCUCGAGUCCGGUAUGGAGUCGUUCGUCGUCAUGGGCGCCAUAACCCACUGCAAGGGUUUCCCGCUGGAGGUUCCCCAGGUUGUCCUGCCCAUCAUGUAUCGGCCCAGGGGCGGCGACGGCGGCUACGCGCCGCCGCUCUCGGAACCGAAGGUGGAGUGCCUCGGGAUCACGCUCAUCUCCAACCAGGGCGAGGUGCUCAGAGACGACCUCUGCGAUCGUUUCUCGUUCGAAAUCAAGGAUUACGGCGUGGACGUGAUCAUCCGCGACGUGUCCAUAUGCGUCGACUGCGCGCUGACCGGACGGUCAACCGACGGAGCCAUCGCCAGGGUGUCGCACCCGAGAUCCGAUACGCUCGCGGCGAUGCAGCCGGACGUGACCGCGAUGACGUGCGACGUCGACGCCGUCGCCGCGGAGGAUCGACGCCGACGUUUGCUCGAGUCGCCUUCGAACGACCGAAGGCUGCUCCAGUUCCUCGCCGAGCAGUACAGCAACCCGACGGAGGUGAACGACUUCUUCAGCCGGCUCAGGCCGAGCGACGGAGGCGGUGACUGGUCAUCGGGUAGAGACUCGGGGUACGCCCUGAUCGGUGACGAGGAUCCCCGCGACCCUCCAUCGCCCGACGCGCCGACCCCUCCCGAGAUCAUGCCCGAGAAUGUCGUCCUUUGCGUCGACGACGUGGGUCGCCUCGCAGGGAACGUCCAGUGGUGGAGCCGAGGAUCCGGGCCGCUUCAGCCCGGCUUACCCAACCAGCCCUACGACGAGUACGUAUUCUCAGGAUCCGUCGAUGCUUUGGCGGGCGAACGCGGCGUCGACCUCCAAGGCAUCGUGUUACCCAUCGUGUUCAGCCCGUGGGUCCUCGACGACGACGACGGGGGUAACUGGCGCGCGGUGUUUGAUCCGGCGAGCGAGCUCGAGGUCGCGUGCGCGGGUGUCAAAAAAAUCUCCGGCGAUGGCUCCGUGGAACCAUCCACCGACGAACCCUGCGGCGGCGUGACGUUCGCGCUGUCCACCUACUCCUCCCCCGACGGCGGUGAAGAGGGACAGGAGACGCCCACGACGACCGGCGACCGGGCCCCCGCGGUGCUCCUCCUGGAGGUAUCCUUCUCCGCGGUUGGUUCCGUCGACGCCGGCGGCAGGGUCGAGGGCGGCGGACCGAGGGGCGAGAUGUUCCGGGUGCGACACGCGUCGGGCGCGAGCCUCGAUUUCGUCGGUCCCACCGUCGGCGCGCUCGAGUGCGCGCCCGACGGUGUCGUGGGAACGGUCGUGACGGGCAUCGAGCCCUCAUCCAUUGCGCCCUCGAUCCCAACAACGAUCGAGCCCGUUGCGGGUGCCGACGACCGCGGAAGCCUCGUCGUCUCCGGCGCCGACCGCGACGUUUCUUCGUGCGCGGGCCGCCCCGGCCUUAACCUCAAGGGCGAGCUGCUCAACGACGGCGGGUCCCUCAUCAAAGACGAGGCUGGCGACUGCUGCGCGGAUUGCGCCGCCCUGCCCGAGUGCAACGUGUGGGUGUACUGCGAGGGUGACUGCGUCAACUACGCGUACCACAGCUGUUGGCUCAAGCGCGCCGCCGUCGGUUUCGACGCGGGUUCCGCGCCGGACGCGUGGGCGGCGUCGCCGGAGGUGCCGUGGACCUCGGGGUGGUUCCCACCGAAACGAGGGGUUCAGCCGGUGGUGGAUGUGGCGGAGCCGACGGGCGAGCCGCCGGAGGAGCCCGAGGAUACGCCGCCAGAGGAGGCGCCUCCGAUCAGGGUCGUGCCAGUGCCCGUCGGACCCGUCGAGCCCGAGCCCGAGCCCGAGCCCGAGCCCGAGCCCGAGCCGUCGACGACGCCCGCGCCGACGAUCCCGUCCCCUCAAGGCGCAGACGAAGGCUCCGGCGCGACGUUCACGCUCGUCCCCGGUCAGCCAGUCACCAUCCCGGCGGCGGAGAUCACCAUCAUCCCCGGAGGUCCGGAGGUCGUAGCCGUCCCCGCGGGCGAACCGUCGUUCGCCGUCCCGGUCGCGGAUCCCUCAUCGACGACGUGCGCGGACGCCGACGUGUUCGCGUGCCCGCCCGACGCCGUCGCGACGGCACCCCUGUCCACGGCGAGGCUCCGCAGCUCCUUCCAGCUGCUCCGCGCUACAUCGUCCGAGACGGGCGGGUCGGAAACCGAGAGCCUUGAGCUCCUCCGCCCGGGCGACGAAGUCACCGAGAUUUUCGUCACCGGGACCCUCAUCAACGCCAACCUUCAGGAUACGGCGUGCCUGUCCAACCUCGAGGUGCCGUUCGACUUUCCCCGCGUCGUCAUCGCGCGGUCCGGCGACGCGUUCACGGCUCGGCCCGAGGAUUUCAUCGUGCGGUGCUUCUACGUCGGCGUGAGGUCGAGGGAGGCUUCGGCGGCUCCGGGGGCGUCGUCGCCCGCCGCGGGAACGUCCACCCCGCCGCCCCCGCGGUCCUGCGAGGACACCGUGGACCUCGCGAUGACCGAGUCCGGGCCGGUGAUGGCGUUUAAAGACGACGUCGCGUUGUGCCCGGGGUGUUGGCUGGUCGGCGGCCGAGACGGCGUGCUGUUCUCGUGGAGGCACCGCGACGGUUUGAGGCUUCGGGUGGCCGCAGGGGACGAGGUUGGGGACGGCGCCGCGAGGUGCAAGCCGGUGGCGUGACCGUAAGUUGGUCGCGGACGAUACGACACGACGAGAGGUGCGACGAUGAACGCGUUUGAACGAGUGCGAGUGAAGGAACGAGAUGCCCGGGCGUGUCCGCUCGAUUCAACUUUGUGGCGACACGACAUUCAGGCAGAUGCUUUCGCGGGUUGCUCCGCCCUACGUGUUCCUCUACUCCAUCACGAUCGAGUCUAUCAACACCAAGGAACACGUAAGGCAAAAAAUGCCAACUGAGCAACCGCGAAAACAUCUGCCGAGAGUUGAAUCGAGCGGAUGCGCCGCUCACACGGGUGACGACUGCGUUAUGUUUUGAAAUCGAUAACAUUACAAGCAAAAACCAUCCUCAACACGUUUCUACUCCUUGGUCGCCAUCCCGACAGCGUUGCGGAUAGCGUUCGGGAACGUCUGCAUCACCGUGUCCACGUCAAUCAGCCUGCCCUUAUCCAUCACCUGCCCGGUUCCGUUGAUCAUGAGUACCCUCUGGCCUUCCUGGAGAGGAUGGUCCACCACCUCCGCAACGAUCUCACCGCAGCUCACGAAAGUGCCAGGCUCACCUUUGGGAUCGGAUACGAGGAACGCCAUGGAGAAGCCGGUGGGCAAGCGAUCCACCCGCUGCGGGAGCGCGAACGGCAUGUUCUGGCCGCUCGUGGUGAGACCGUUCGCCCACUGAUAGAGGCUGCUGCAGAAUAUCUCCUCGUCGAUGCCGGAAGGGAUCUUGGCGGUGCCGAGCUGAACUUGUUUGAUGUCGAUCUCCCGCCAGCCCUUGAAGUUGGGCUUCUCGGCCUCCGCGCGGACCUUGAUGGAGCGAACAGUCCGGAUCCGGGUCGCGCGACGCGACCUGAGGGUCGCGACGGAUCCCGAUACGGCGUGAGCGGAGGAGAUGGCGGCGGACAUGGUACUCGCGCGCUGUCAAGAGUGCGACGACGCUUCGAUUUGCAUUCGUGGACCCGCACAGAGAUCGCCAACUGGCUCGAGAUUUUCCUCCGGAUAAGAGCGAUCCAAGCGCUGUUGAGCUGCACUUGCACGCGCGACCCGAAGGCCGCACGUCGCAUCAGCGCUCGCCAGACGCUCGCCAUGUCCGUUAUGGCCGUCUCCGCGACCACCCUGUCCGUCCUCGCGCGCCCGCGCGCCGGGACGGUCGUCCGCAAGGCCGCGCUCGCGCCCAUCGCCUCCAGGGUUGGGGUUCGGGCGGUCCCCAGCCCCCGCGCGCGUAUCGUCGCGCCUCGCAGAGGCGAGCUGACGGCUCGCGAGGCGCUCCCGGCGCCCGAUGUCGCCCCCGCGGUAAUCGCGGAGGUCGCCGACGGCCUCGAGGGCGGCAUCCAGGCCAUCUACCUCGGCUCCCUCCUCGCCAUCCUGGGCUUCGCGGGCUUCAUCAUCGUGCGCCAGGUGCUGAUCCGCAGGGAGCUCGACGACAGCGCGAAGAAGAUGGGCGAGCGCAUCCGCGCGGGCAACGCCACCGCGGAGGAGUACUUCGAGAUGGGCUCGAUCAUGCUCCGCAAGAAGGUGUUCACGCAGGCGGUGCGCAACCUUAAGCUCGCGGCGCAGAUGUGGGAGGGAGACAAGGAGGACCUCGCUCAGAUUCACAACGCCCUCGGGUUCGGCUACCUCUCCACCGACAAGGUCGACGAGGCCAUCGCCGAGUUCAACAAGGCUGUCGAGCUCACGCCGGGGUACGUGACGGCGUGGAACAACCUGGGGGAUGCGCUGGAGCAGAAGAAGGAGUUCAAGGGUGCCAUCGAGGCUUACGAGGAGUCUCUCAUCCUGUCGCCCGGAAACAAGGUCGCCACCGUGCGCCUGGACGAGAUCAAGAGAAGGCAGGGGCGUCUCGGUCUGCUCGAUUGAUCGGCGUCGGUACGGGCCUGUGGGGUGGCGGCGGCGAGGCGCGAUCGGUCGCGGAUCUCGACUACGCGCGGAUGCGUCGGAUGCGCGACCGACGGGACUCGAUCGGGCGCUCUUCGCGCGCGAUUCGUGCUAUUAAUACGAUGUGCUACUUGUAGAUGACGAAACCCCACCCCACGUCGCCGCCUCGCCUCGGGUUCCGUCCGGGCGCGUCCGCUCGCGCCCGCUUCCCCGUUCCCGCCUUCGCCGGAUCGGCUCGUCAUCAUCCGGAUCGGUUCUUAGCCGCCUGCUCCUCGAGCAGCUUCUUCUUCGUCCUCGCCUUCUUGUUCUGGAACCAGUUGUACACGUUCGCCUCGUUGACCGGCCCGAGCUUGGCGAGCUCGUCGGUGAUCUUCGUCCGCAGGUCGCCGUUUGGGGUGCCCAUGCCCGUCGCGAAGAGUUCCUCGAGUCGGGCGAGCUGCGCGGCGGAUGGGGUCCAACGCGCGCCCCUGGGCCCGUCGCCCCCCUUGGAGUAGACGGGACCGGGGUAGGAGGGCUGGGAUCCGGCCGCGGAGACGCCGAUGGAGUUGGCGAUCGCCGCGAGGGUCUGGGAGCGCUGAUGCCCGGGCUUGCUCUCCUCGUAGAUCUGCUGGGUCAGCAGAGCGCGCUGCUCGCAGAGGUGCGAGAACGCCGCGAUCUGAUGCCUCAGGGUGUCCAGCUGUGUCCAGGUCAUCGCGCCCGGGGCGAUCGUGGGGUACGGACCGUCGCCGUCCAUGCCGAACCUCUUCACCUGCUCAUCCGUGGGCAGCGGCGGCACGUCGAAGAUGGGGUCGUUCGCGCACAACCCCUCCGACAUCGUCCCUCGAGCUUCUCCCCUACGUUUGUUUGUCCGUGCCUCCUCGUCGGCGAUCUGGCUGUCCGACGAACCUUGCCGGGCCCGACGCGUCCCCCGCGGCGGUACCUGGUGUCCCUGUGGAACCUCGGGGAAACCUUCGCUCGGGCGUCGACGGCGGAUACACCUGCCGCGACGUCGUUUGUGGCGGGUCAACAUUCAAAAAAUCAGACAAAACCCUCACUGGGCUCUCCGUCACAGACUGACAGCUUCGACCGGCAGAGCUUUUGACGUGCCGUCUCGCGGCGUUUUGUCCCACGGCGAGGGACGCGCGUCGACGCUCCCGUUACCCCGAGACCCUCUGGUGGGUGAGGAGAGUCGGUAUAGAGGAGCCAUGAGCGGCGGGUCCGACGAGGCGACGCUUCGGGCCGAGUGCGAGGCGAUGGGCGCCUGCGCCUGCUGCAUCCUGAGAUUUCGGGGCGUGCCGUCGGGCGAGGUGGACGAGUAUCGCGCCGCGGCAUCCGCCUCGAAGGACGAGCCGCCGUGCCCGUGCUGCCUCGGAAUCCUCCAGCUGGACCUCGACGCAUCGACCGCGCGAGAGCGCGAGGGCGCGGACGCCGCCGAAGCGUCGGCGCCGAACGGCGAGGAUGAUGCCACGAACGGCACCGCCGCCGCCGCCGACGCCAGGAACCGCUCCGACGUCCUCGUCCGCGUGGACCCGCCCGCGGUGCACGCGAGGUGCGUCUCCCAGUACGCCGCGGGAAUUCGCGCGGGCGGGCACGAGUUCGACGCCUUCGCCCUGGAGGUGACCAUGCCACCCGCGCUGGCGGUCCGACAGGCGGCGACCCGAUGCCACCUCCUCGACGCGCUCGCGCGCGCCAAGAGAAGCGCCGACGGCGGGGGCGACGGGGGAGACCAGUUGGACGUUCCCGCGGGACCCGCCGCGGACGUCCAGCUGCCGAAGACGACGGACGUCAAGGACGUGCUCAGGGCUCUGCUCGUACCCGCGCUCGUGGACGCCUCGGCGGCACAGCUGGCGACGACGACGACAGCUGUGCGUCGGCACGACCAGGCGGCGGAUUUUCGCUUCGCGCUCCUCUUCGAGCACGACCUCUCCGCGACGGAGGCGGCGUUCGCGUACCAGGACCACGAGGAAACCCGCGGAGGGGGAGGGGGAGGUGGAGGUGGAGGUGCGCAUAAUAAGAGGCGCCGCGCGCCGCCGCCGCACCUCGUCGGUUCCGUCUUUGUCCCGGCCGAGUCACCGGCGGGGGCGUGGCAGAACCACGGCGAGCGGUACAACAACGCGGAGCGCGUCGCGAUGGGUCAGCUCACGGACAUCGCGACGAUCGCGCGGUGGAGGCGGGACGGUCGUGCAACCGUGACGACGCCGCCGAGCGCGCCGGAGGUUGGCGCGACGGUUCGCAUGCUGACGUGGCGCCAGCCGGUGUACGUCGGCGGUCGGUACCUGAAGCGGGCCAGGGGGACGCCCCAGGCGCCGUGGAUCGACUCCGAGACGGGAGUCACGAUCGGCGAGGGUUCCGUGCAGACGUCUCUGGACGCCGUCGUCUCCCGGGCGUUUCGCGCGGACGGGAGCAAGCUGAACGCGGCUGGGAGGGAGGACAUCGACGUGCGCAUGCUCGGCGGCGGUCGGCCUUUCAUCCUGGAGGUUCACAACCCGAGACGGCCGAACGCGGCGGCCACGGCGGAGGCUCGAGCGGCGAUGGAGGCGGCGCUGGAAGCGGCGGAUGGAGGCGCCGUGGCCGCCGUGGACGUACACGUCACCGACGCCGCGGCGUACCGGGCUAUGCACGAGGCGAGCGAGGAGAAGGAGAAGGAAUACACGGCGGUGUGCUGGGCGGAGAAGCCGCUCACUCUGGAGGACGAGCUCAUGCUGAGCGGCAUCAAAGAUUUGCAGAUCCAGCAGUCCACGCCGGUGAGGGUGCUGCAUCGACGCACGUCGAUGACGCGGCCGAGGACGAUCGUGAGCUGCCGGUGCGAGAGGGUGCCGAACGCCGCGAGGUUCUUCACGCUGAGACUGAAGACGCAGGCGGGGACGUACGUCAAGGAGUUUGUCCACGGGGACUUUGGCAGGACCCGGCCCAACGUUGGGGAGAUGCUGGGUUGCGCGGCGGACAUCAUACAGCUGGACGUGACGGACGUCGUCAUGGACUUUGCGAACGGCGAGUUGAAGGGGGUGGACGGGGACGAGCGGGAGGCAAAGAGAGGUGCAAAGGUGGAAUAGUCGCAACCGACGUCUGCAAACGAGCUAACUUUUAAGGGUUGACAUCAUCGAAAGAAUCGGCCACCCAGCCCCGCCCUCACUGUUGCUUGCAGUCCACGUCACCGUCCUCCGGCGCCCUCUUCAGCCUCAGCUGCUGCGUCUCCACCUUCUCCUCGAGCUCCGCCUUGAUGACCUCUCUCGGCUUCUUGUACUGCACGAUGAGCGUGUUGUUCUUCCAGUCGUACGACAGCGCGUCGUCCUGCAACGAUAACUUCAGCACCUUGAGCUCCGGGACGUCGAACCGCUUGUAGAACUUCUUGUUCGUCGUCCUGAUGACGAUCUUCUGGUCGCCGUGAUCGCACGUCACCUGGUACGUCUCGAUCGGGUAAGGAAGAUUUCGCACUCUCCACACGAAGCUCUGCGGGGUGUCCUGGCUACGCUGCCAAGUCGGGUUGACGCUGCUCUCCGCGAGGAUCCCCACGUCGGGCGAGAACGUCCUCGGGGCCUCGCCCGUGAGGUACUCCCACUCCUCGUCUUUCCCCAGCACCGUCCGGCCCCUUCGUUUUCUCAGCAGGAGCUCGUCGGUUUUCAGAUCGUACUCCUCGAUCAUCUCCCCGCCAUCGUCGAACUCGGUCACCACCCGCCGCCUGCCGCCGUGGUUCAUCGACGUUGACUUGCCCCCUUUGCGAAACAUGGCGCGAAUCGAGAGGUGAACGCCCUGCUCUCGGUACCACGUCCACGGCGUCGCCGCGAAGUGACGGCUCGGGUGGCGAGGAGGUUCGGAAGUGAGUGCCCACUCGUUGACCCGCCAGAAGCCCGGACACCUGGCGGAUCCGGCGCUUCAAGUCAGUUCGAGUGUGGACCGUAUUCCACGGACGGAUGCGACGAAUUGGCGCCAAAAGCGCGGGCGCGCCCGACCCGCCACCCAGUCGCCGACCUCUCCAGGGUCGGAAACCCUUCGCGUUCCAACCCCCGAGUGGCACUCGCGACGAACGCCCGGCGAUGGGGCUGUGGAGCGCGCUCCACAAGGUCCGGGCCGGCCAAGAUCGCGUCCUGACCGACGGGCGCAACCACGGCCACUGCCUCGCGCCGAGCGGGGCGUGGUCUCCGGACUCGGAGUGGAUCGUGUACGACACCCGGAGCGACGCGGCGGGGCAAAAGUUCGACGGGGGCGCCAUUCAGUGCGUCAACGUCAGAUCCGGGCAGGUUCGCACGCUGUACAGGACUCGGAACGGCGCCGCGUGCGGGGUGGCGAGCUGGAACCCGAGGAGAGAUAAGAGGGAGGUCGUCUUCGUCCACGGUCCGGAGAAUCCCACGGCGAGUUACUUCUACGCCCCACACCAGAGGCGGGGCGUGCGUGUCGACGCCUCCGCGCAGCUGAGAAGGCCCAAAUGGCACAGAGAGCCCGAGAUGGACGCGAAAGCCGCGUCCGCGGGCGUCGCCGACCACCCCGAGGGCGCGGAGGUGGAGCGGGCCAUGCCGAGCGGCAAGAACGCUCGGGGGGGCGAGCCCGUGGUGACCUCGCUCGUCCCCGCGCGUUGGCCGUGCCGCAACCUCGACGCCCGCGACCUGCUCGGCCCGCAGUUCACGGACGGCGCGCUGCGGGGGGGCACGGGCGACCACCAGUACUCCCCCGACGGCGCGCUCGUGGCGUCGUCCUACGUCGACGGGGUGUUGCUUCGAAACCAGGCGUCGGGCGCGUACGGCCGGGUGGAGACGGCGUGCGUGUGCACAGCCGUGACGACACUGGACGGUCGCGGCGGCGUCGAGGUGGACAAGGAGGAGCACCCGAGGAACCACGACGGGGACGGGUGGACCGUCGUCGCCACGUCGCACGAGGACGCGCCGCGGGUCGGGUCGGAUGAAAUCUCAAACGCGACGAGGGAGGCUUGGAUCGGGGCGCGGGGGUACCGCCGCGCGGGCAAUGGAUGGGUGGGACGCGCGCUGGCGUUCCUCGGGGAGGUUCACACGGGUAAUUCCAGGGCGCCGAGCCACCUCGAGCUCUUCGUCCUGGACCUCCCCGCGAAGCCGAGGGAUCUUCGGCUGUCGGAGCGGGGCAAGCCGCUGAGCGGGUCGGACACGGCGCGUCCGCAGCCGCCGCCGGGGGCGACGCAGCGACGCCUGACGGACACGAGCGGCCGCACCUAUCCCGGCAUGUGCGUGGGCCCGUUGGAGAAGCACGGGCACGAGGGACCGCCGUCCCCGCGCGCGGGUGCGGGCAAGAGCGGCGGUUCGGGCAAGCGGAAAAACGCCGGGCCUAAAUUUUGGCCCAGGUCCUCGCCUUGCGGCUCGCGCAUUUGCGUCGUCGCGAUGGACGACAUGUGCGUGCCGCAGCUGUACCUGGUGGCGACCGGGUCCUCGACACCCGCGCGGCUGCGGCAGCUCACGGAUUUGCCCAAGCCCGGGGUUCAGAGCGCGUUUUCGUGGUCCCCCGACGGUGCGCACAUCGCGUUUGUCCACGACGGGAGCGUGUGUCUGCUGACGGUUCCCGGCGACGCGGUUCAUCGCGGCGCGGACGGCGACGGUGGCGCGAACGACGACGGCGAGUGCGACGGCGAAGACGAAGACGACGCGCUCGCGAAGCUCAUGGAGCAGGAGAACGCCGUCGGCGGUCCGGAUGAUAGGGGUAGGAAGCGCAGGGUGAAACGGCUCACGCGGCGGCGCACCGGCGAGGCGGCGCCGCAGCCGCAGGGCGUGACGUUUUCACCGUGCGGCAAGUACGUGGCGUACGUCCGGCGCACGUCCGCGUCGUCGUCGUCGCGCGACCCGGCGCCGGGUACGACCGUCGCGCAGGGAACCCAGUCGCCCAAGAGCCCGCUCGAGUCCGAGAGAAACGGCGAGAACACGGAUCUCUUCUACAACUCAGACGACGACACCGAGGGCGGACCCAAGUACUUUAACCAGGUUUGCGUCGUCGGCAUAGAGGUUGUCCUGCGCCAGCCGUUCAGGCUCGCGGCGCAGAUCGUCGGCACGGUCGCGACGGUGCUGUGUGGGUUCGUCGCGACGGACCUCGCGAAGCUGGGCGUGGGCGCCGUUCGAGACGGGCUUCGUCGGCGGCGGGUGGAGAUGCUGCGAAAGAUCGGGCGGCGGGGGCGGGGGCGGGGCAAGCAGCUCAGGACGGACACGUGGCAGGAUUUCCAGCGGGAGUACGAGCGGACGGGAAGGCGUCUGGAGAAGAAACCGAAGAGACCCGCCGCGGCGAAGGGCUGGGACGAUUUCAAGCGCGAGUACGAGCGCUAGAGCUCGGAUAGAUUGUAGACGAAUGACGAGCGCGCGAGAUUGGUUCACUCCUGAAACGGGGUCCUGUCCCCAUCCGCAAUCGCGGUGAGGCCCUCCCUGUACGUCGGAUACAGCAACGUCACCCCGAGCUCAUCCUUGAUCCUCGCGUUCCUCACCCGCUUCUCCCCGCGCGCUCCCUCCGCGCCCGCGUCCAUCCCGCCCGCGUCCAUCCCGCCGAACCCCCCCGGCUCCAUCCCCAGGAGCGCCCGCGCAAACGCCGCCGCGUCCUCCCUCGGCGCCGGCUCAUCGUCGACGACGUUAUAAAUCACCAUCGAUCUUGACGAGGAGGAGGAAGAAGAAGAAGAUGAUGAUGAUGAUGAUGUCUCCGCGCUCGCGCUCAUGCUGGCGCACAGCACGUUCACCACGUCGCCCACGUGACACCUCGACGUGAACUUCCUCGCGCUCCUCGCCCUGCGACUCUCGCCGAUCGCUUCCCCGCCCGCGGACCUCGCCACGGUGUCGAGUAUGCUCCGCCCCGGGCCGUAUAUCCCCCCGAGUCGGAAAGUGACGACGGGUAGGUCGGUCGUCUCCCACUCCAACUCCGCGUCGCGCCGCCGGCGCGCGACGGGCGACGCCGGCGCGCACGCCGACGACUCGUCCACCCAUCCGCCGCGAUGUUCGCCGUAGACGCCGGUGCUGCUGAGGUACCCCAGCCAUCGCAGGUGGCCGCGGUCGUGAGCGCGCGUCAACGCGUCCAUGCACGCCGCGUCCGCGAGGACCGGGUCCCUGUCGAAGUCCGCGUUGGGCGGGGUGGAGUUGAGCACGUGCGUCGCGCCGAGGACGGCGUCGAUCCCGUCGGCGUCCAUGCGCACGACGUCGUCGGGGCGCCAGAGAUGGGCGUGGACGCCCGCGGCCCUCAGGCUGCGCACGCGCGCCUCGUCCCUGCACGUGCCCGACACGUGCCACCCCGCGCGCUUGAGCGUGUUGAUGAGGCCGAGCGAGGUGUAACCCAGGCCGAAGCAGAAGAUCCGGCCGCCGUUCGGGCCGAACGACGAAGGGUCCGGCACCGAGAUGGAAACGCCCGGCCUCGUCCCAGGCGUGCCCUCUCGCGCGGGGUCGCCCCCGCAUCGAACCCUGGAUGGCGUGCGGAUGCCCCGUGGAUGGCGAGCGCGCGUCGGUCGAUCCGAGACGGCGCCGUGGAUCGUCGGUGAUGACGCCAGGGCGGCGCGCAUGAUGCCGAACCGCUCCCCCGUGCCCUUGCCAGCUGCGGCGAGAGGAUGGGAAACUCCGACCAAGGACGUUGUUACUCGCCCGUGACGAGGACACUUGUCCUCGCGCUCCCAGAUUAGGGCACAGCCAGAAUUGAAUUGCGCCAGCCAGGAUGCCCCUGACCUACGAGCCCAGGGCGGCGCCCUGGGAGCACCUCCUGGUCGAGAAGAUAUUCCAGAAGGGAGGCAACGGCGUCAGCGGCAUCGCGCGAUGGCUCCAGCGCCACGUCCGCGCCACGGAUUACACCCCCCCGGGCACGAUUUUGCGCACCGAUUUCCGUCGAUCCGUCGCCGAGCUCAACAUCGACGUGUCCCCCGAGGACUUCGCGGCCGUCGCGGAGUGCUGCGCGUACGACGGUGACCACGCGGGCGAACCCGGAUCGUUGCUCAGCGUGCGGCACAUCGCCAACCGGCUCGUGGAUCUCGCCGCGGCGGGCUCGGGCCAGGCGUCCGUGUUCGGGCAGAACGAGUCGAGCCCGCUGACGGGCACCGAGACCGAGCGCGCCACGUUGGAGGCGCGCAAGGCUGCGGUGUCCGAGGCGAGGGCGUUCAACCCCGACGUGGAGGAGCCCGGGCGCGGACACCCGCACUCGCCCGCGGCGCCCGCCGCCAGGAGCGACCCGAACUCCCUCCUCUACGACAAUCCGAGCGGCGCCAACGUCCGAGCCCCGCCCCCGCCCCAGCUCGAGGCGGCGUACGCCCGCGGCGAGAUCCCGACGAGCCCGCGCGCCAAGGCUCUCGCCGACUACCAGGACAGGCGCCUCGAGCGCAUCGGCUCCGGCGUCGUGGCGCACGUCGGCGUGCCCCCGAAGCUCUCCUUACCCGUCGACUACACCCCCGACGCAAUGCCCGCGCUCGACACCGUCCAAGCCGUGGAGGACGCCGUUCGAGCCGCGCUCAUGGCGAGGACCACGAGCAAGUCCCAGGCGAUGCGAAUCCUGAGCGGCAUGCCCGUCGCCGGGGGUAGGGUGAAGCACGCCGGCGCCCUCACCCCGUCCCAGUUCCGCGAGGCGAUGCUCCGCCUCAACGUCAACCCCGCGGAUCCGACACUCGUCGACGAUCUCUUCGCCAAGCACGACGCCGACGGCAACGGCCACCUCGACUACGCCGAAUUCGUCGAGUUUCUCAUGCCGAGCGACUUCGCGCCGGUCUCCCCGGCGGAGUACAGGAGGGCGUACAGGGGUUACACGCACGCGACGGGGGACCUCGUGGACGCGACGUCGUCGGGGGCGGGCGCUCGCUCCGGGACAUCGCUCCCGGCGCCGGAGAGCCCGCCGCCCCACCCGCUGGGCGCGGACAACCGCGUGCUGGUGGGGGCCGCGGGUACCCCGACGCCCAAGGGCCGGUCCACCCGCGCGGAAGCGGCGCGGAACGCCGCCAUCGCGGAGGGAUGGCGGACGGGAAGCCGGGUGGAGGCUGCCCGGGACGCCAGGAUGCACGCCAUGCUCCCGGCGGAUGCGGCUCGACCGGGGAAAUCAACCGCGGGCUCUGGGCCCGGCGGGUACAGCUCCAAGCUGUACUUGAACAAACCCGGCGGCGGGGACCACUCGCUCACCGUGCGCAGGAUCGAGGCGGCGGUGCUCCACCACCUGCGAAACGCCAACGGGGGCGACGCGACUCCCAAACACGCGGAGAACCUCUUUCGAUUUUUCGACACCGACGACGACGGCACGCUCUCCUCCGCGAACCUUCGCAAGGCGCUCCUCCGCAUCAACGUCGAUCCCACCGACGCGGAUUUCGCCGAGUUCGUCGCCAAGCACGCGAACGGUCGCGCGAACGGCGAGGUGGACAUCAAGACGCUCGCGCACGCCAUCGUGCCGACCACGGAGCAGAUGAAGGCGGCUCGCGGCGGCGUCGUCGAGCGGUGGGGAGCGGAUGGCGCCGACCGAUGGGCCGGGUACGACAGGCACAAGAUCGCCGCGACGCUCGAGAACCUCAACGAGCCGAAUCUCUUCGACCGCGCCAAGGCGGGGGACGCGGGGAACGUGCCGAAGGUGCACACCGUGCACGAGCUCGAGGAGCUCCUGCGGGAGAAGGCUCUGACGUUGGAGAAGGGUUUCCGGGGGGCGCGGACGUGGUUCAAGUACUUUGACCGCGACGGGAGCGGCGGCGUCGACAAGGACGAGUUUCAGAUGGCGAUGAACCAGUUCAACAUCGCGCCAACCCCCGAGGUCAUCGACGAGAUGUUCUUGAGGUACGAUAAGAGCGGCGAGGGCGAGCUGGAAUACAUGGAGCUGCUCGCCGCGCUGGCGCCGGCCAAGGGGCUCUACCAUUCCACCGCCGACAUGCUCGAGUCCCUCGACGUCAACGCCCCGGCCAGGGUGUCCGCUGGGGACGGGGUGAAACAGCCGGCGCGUCUGAGCCUCGGCGCGCCCCGUGCGCACGCGGAUGACCAGGGUAAGCAGCGGCUGAGCGUGAAGCAGUUCAAGCGUAAGCUCACGGAUUGGAUGGCGGCUCGCGGCCAGGGGCUGAUGGCGCUUCGCAAGCUCUUCAAGGAGCUCGAUUACGAUAACAGCGGGUACAUCGACCGCGAGGAGUUCGCCAAGGGGAUUAUGCGCAUGAACAUCCACCCCACCAAGGAGUCCCUCGCCAAGAUUCUCGACUAUUACGACGACGACGGCAACGGCACGAUCGAGUUCGAGGAGUUCAUCGCGUCCGUGCUACCUGACCACGAUUACCGAGGGUACGAAGACGGUAACUGGCAGGCCAUAGCGCACCACGACCCUAAGCCCCCGAACAUCAUGCCCACCUCGCACAUGCUCUACGGCAACCAGUUGGAGAAGCUGUUGAUCGAUAAGAUCAUCCAGGCGAGCGACAAGGGCGGCAGCGCGAGGAAGAUAUUCCGCGAGCUGGACUGGGAUCACAGCGGGACGGUUGACAAGGAUGAGUUCAGGAAGUGGAUCAAGUAUCUGAACUUUUUCCCAGACGAGGGGACGUUCGAGCGGCUGUGGAGAAACUACGACAGAGAUAACAAGGGGUACUUCGAGUACAAGGACUUCGUCAACAAGGUCGCGCCCAAGCACGACCUCAACGCGUCCGUGUUUUAAAUGUGUAGAUGGGCAGCACGCAGUGCCAGUGUAAUUGAUAUUCAAAAGCGAUCCGCUAAUGUAGCGUCACAUCCGACUACGCGAAAGGGUUCUGCUGUUGCUGAUACUGCUGCUGCGGCGCGCCGAACGGAUUAGUCUGCUGCUGCGGCGCGCCGAACGGGUUCGCCUGGUGCGCCGCCGGCGCGGGGGCCGCGAAGGGGUCCUGGGCGGCGAAGGGGUCGAAGGGCGCCGCCGCUGCUUGGGUCGCCGCCGGCGCGGGUUGCGCAAAGGGGUCCGCCACGGCGCCACCCCCGGUGGAGAACAGCGUCUGCAUCUGGUGCCCGUUGGCCUGGACCGACUGCAUCAUCGCGUUGAACUCGUUGCCCGUCGAGCUCACCGGGCCGGAUCCGCCGUUGAAGCUCUGGCCGGGGCUCGGGGGCAUGGGCACCUGAGCGGCGAAGGGGUCGUUGACGGCGUUGGCAGCCGACGGCGUGAACGACGGGGGCGCGGCGAAAGGAUCCUGGGCGGACGGCGCCGGCUGAAACGCGGGGUUUGAGCGGUUUUGAGCGUUGGCGAUCGCGCUCGCGAACGCGUUGGACUGGGAACCGGCGGGCUGGAACGAGUGCUCCUGCGCGGCGGCUGGCUGGAACGACUGCUCCCGCUGCUGGUACGACCGCUGGGGAGGCACCUCCUCCCUGUACUUGUCCGAGAACCUCUGCGGCGCGGCGCCGUCGCCCCCCGUGUUCCUCUUGAGAAGCUCCUUGCGCGUCGUGGAGAUGAUCUGGGUGAAGUGCCUGGAGGUGGCCGGGUCGAACUGGAGGACGUCGGUGAACGGCUUCUUCUCCCCGGGCCUCAGCGCAAACUCCAGCGCGAGUUGGUAGAUCUUGCGGUUGUCCUUCACCACCAGGUACACCUGCUUGAGGUCGACGAUCUUCUUCGUCCACUUGUGCACCACGAAUCCCCUGUCGUCGACCUUGAUGCUCACGAUGUACUGGCCGUGCACCAGGAUGCGACGGGGGUACUUCUUCGUGCUGAACGCGCGGAUGAUCGCCUCGCCGUGCGCCUGUGACGAAAAAAGUGCGGGUUGGGGGGUUUGUUGAGCGAUGGUUCGUGGGGCGGCCCCGAGCUUGGAUCACCGGGAACGUCGCGGUAAAAACGUGCACCGUGGUUAACCGUGUCCGAGUUGACGUUCAUCCUGCCCCGGUGCGCCGACCGGGCGGGCGCGAGCGGACGUCGUCAAAAAAGUCCCGUCUCCCAACCUUUGGGCUGUGGCUGAUGGACGCGGGCGUGUGCCCUUGGUCCAUCGCAGGUGGAGUGGGGUUGACGCGCACCUUAUUGCACUCAAAAAUGUGUCCUCCCUGCUCCUCGAUGUAGUCUAGGUCCCCAAUCAUCAUGGUGCGACCCCGGCCGAUGUCCUCGAUGGAGAACUCCGAGCGCUGCAUCCUCCCUAUCUGGUGGUCCCCUGGACUUCCCUAAACACACGCCGAUCCCUGACAAACAAUUGAGAGGGAACCCUGUUACCCUCGCCACACCUCGCCGCCUCGGCGAAGGAAAUAGUCCGACAAGAGGGGCGCGAACGACUCUCUCGACUGGAUCUACGGAUACGCGAUCGGCACGGGACCACCGAACCGGCGCACACGCUGUGACCUAGCGAGGCGCCUUUCUCCCGAACACUCACUCAACUGCAAAAGGACCUUCGGGAUAGAGAAAAAGAAUUUUCCCGCCUCGCUUCAAAUCUCAAGAGUUAUGCGUUAGAUGCGUGAAAUACGUGUACAUCGUAACAAUUUCUGUGGUAUUCCAGCACAGGGUUUCGUGGUUGGAAAGGAAGGUCUUUAGGAUCUGCUCUCACAUGAAAUGACUGCCCCGUAGCGUCGUCAAAAGGCGUUUCAACUCGAGUCCCGACGCGCUUCCGUCGUCGUCGCAAAAUUCGUCGUUCGCGGCGUCCUCAUCCGUGACGUGCGCCACCCACCUCACGCCGCGGCGAGGCUCGCCCGUCCAGCGUUCUCAACCUGCGCGGCAGCGAGCGCGGCGCGCUUCUUUUCUUCCCGGAGCGCCGCGAGCGCCUCAGUCUCCCACGCCCGGGCCUGCGCCUUGACGCUCACCGCGGACACCGCGUACCACUCGCGGAUCUCCUCGGCGGUGGCCUCGCAACCGUCGACGCCGGGAAUGGCGUGGAGGUUACCGGGGACGUCGGGGUUCUUGGGGUCCAGCGUGCCGUAUACGUCCGCGGCGUUGUCCCAGCGAACCAUGGGAACGCACGCGGCGUGCGCCCACGUCCACUCGUCGCGUUUGAUCUCCCCGGGCUUCUCCUUCCAUCCGAGGCGGAGGGACCGCGAGAGGUCCACGAAGUCCUCGUCGCAGCGAUCGCACCGCGUCUUUGAGGUGGGCGAGUCGUUGAUGACGUACUCGCACACUUUGUAGUCGAAGGCGGCAAUGCGAGCGUAUCCUCGAGCCAACGCCGCUUUCGAGAGAUCCUCGAGUUCCUUCUUGAGCAACUCCUCCUUCUCGACGGCCUUCUCGACGGCCUGCGCGCCGACGCGAGCGGCGUUGAUCAGCUGAACCGUGAUCGCGUCGUCGUUGACGCCGGGGAUCUCGUCGAUGUCGCCGAAGAGGGCCACGGCGCUUUUCCAGCGCUUCUCAGGAACGCAGUCCACGUGCGCCCAGGACCAGGGCCCGCUCUUCAGGGCGCCCGGGGUCUCCUUCCAGCCGAGGCGGAGCGUGCCCUCGAUGAAUGCCUCAUGGCAGUGUUUGCAUUCUCCGGGGCGUUUUGCAUUGUCCGGGACGCGCUUGAUGAGGUACUUGGGAUCGGACAUCGCAGAAGACAUCGCGGGCGCCUGGGCGUUGAGGGAAGGGAGGGGAACUCGCGUUCAACAAAAAGCGGAGGAGGGGGGCGCGGGGGAAAAACACGGCGGGGGGGCACGCGCGUACGCGCACGAGUCGAUACGGCGCGAGACGAGCGUUGUAUCACGAAUACGAGCGAGGAUACGUACCAGGAGGUAGGAUGGAUGUAGAAAGGUGAAGCGUCAGCGUCGGGACUACCGCGCGCACAGCUGUGUGAGGACCGAGACCGGGGUUUGAAAAUUUUAAACCUGACACUGAAGCAGAAAAGGGUGAGUCCGUUUAUUUACACAAGUCGGCGUCGCUGUUCACGCUAUGGUGCCACGCAUCCGCAUCCGCAUCCGCAUCCGCGUGAUCACGGCCGUCCUCGCACGUUUGUCUUUUCGUGUCUCGACACGCUCCCGUCGUCCACUCCGCCGUCGUCCCGUUUCGUCCGUGGCUCUCCUCCCGGGCAGAAGCACAGCUGUGCUGCACGUCACGCCGCGGGGAGACUCGUCCUCCUCGUCUUGCCCCCGCGGGUGACGCCCUGCACCUCCCCGUCCUCACGCUUCUUCUUGGCGGGCUUGGCGGGUGCUUUCACGUCCGACACGCCUGCGAGCCUGAACUCCUCGAGGAGCUCGUUGCCCGUGAUGGUAUCGAUCUGCUUCUGCUCAGCGGUCUCCUCGGCUUUCUCGAGCGCCGACGGUUUGGACAGCCCAAGGACGAUGAGUUCCGUCUUGCAGGUGAUCGUGUCUCUCCAGUGGCCGCCCGCGGCGGUGAUGGCCGUCUUGGCGUCGGCUCUGGACAUUCCGUGGAGCGUUCCGACGAGCACGACGCACUUGUUCUUGAUGCGGGAGGCGCCGGCGGUCUUUUGGGGCGAGUCAAAGUCCAGGGCCUUGGCGGCGGUGUUCACCGCAGUCUGCGCCUUAACCUUGGCCUCAGCCUUAGCCUCAGCCUUAGCCUUAGCCUCGGCCGCCUUGGCCUCAGCCUUGACGAUCUUCGCGGCCUCCUUAGCCGCAUCCUUCUCAGCCUUGGCCUUGGCCUUCUCGGCAGCCUUCCUGGAGGCCUCUCUCUCCUUCUCAGCCACCUUCUCAGCCUCGUGCUGGGCGGUGGCGGUGGCGCGGCGCAUGGCGUUGGCGCGCGCGUUGGAGUGCGCGAGGCGAACAGUCCGCGACGCACCCUCGGUGGUGGCGACGCCGGGGAUCUCGUCAACCUCGCCGUAGACAUCCUCGGCCGUGUCCCACCUGUCGACGGGAACGCACGUGACGUGACUCCACUUCCACGGUCCUUUUUCGAUAGCUGCGGGCGUCUCCCUAAAGCCGAGGCGGAGCUCGUCGUCGGGGAAGACCAUGUUGCAAUGCACGCACUUGCCCUUGGCGCUCAUCGGCUUCUGGAUGAUGUACAUGGGCUCCUGCAUCGCGAAUACGUUGGUAAGAAGAGAAGGCGGAUACGCCUGCGACGCGAGGUGGAGGGGAACGUCAGAGGGGUGCGAAAGGUUGACGCAGGGAAAGGACAGCGGCUUCUCGCCACGCGCGCACGCGCGCGUCUCGAUGCCAAGCGAGACGCGCGGAGGAUCGCGGAUCUGGCCAAGGUGCGCACCGGGAGGUCGGGUGGAUGAGAGAAAGUUGGGGCGGAUGCCUGCGCUUGCGCACAGCUGUGCGGAGGACCCGUCGCUUUGGGGGUUUGAAUAAGAGUCACAUCAGGUUCAAAAAUAGACUAUUAAUGUUAAGUCAGUUUACCGGAGCGACGGGCGAAUCACUUCUUCCCUUUGACCCCUUUGGUCGCCGCGGCAGCCGUCUUCUUCCCGCCGAACACGAGCGCGAAGACCGCGACGCUCAGGACGAACCCGACGCCCAGGACGAGGAGCGAGGAACCGGAAGAACCGGUCGGUUUGCCGCCCUGCGCCGCGGCAGCCGCCGCCUUGGCCUUCUUCGCCCUGGCAGCCUCGGCUUCCUUCUUCGCCUUCUCCUCAGCUGCCUUCUCCGCCUUUGCCUUCGCAUCCGCCUCCUUCUUAGCCUUGGCCGUGGCCUCGGCCGCCGCCUUGGCCGCGGCCUCGGCCUCCUUCUUGGCCUUGGCCUCCGCCUCCUUCUUGGCCUUGGCCGCGGCGUCCGCCUCAGCCUUGGCCGCCUUCUCAGCCUCAGCCUUGGCCUUCUCGGCAGCCUUGGCGUCGGCCGCAGCCUUGGCCUUGGCGGCCUUCUCGGCCUCGGCGGCAGCCUUGGCGUCGGCCUCAGCCUUGGCCUUGGCGUCGGCCUCAGCCUUGGCGGCUCGCUCGGCGCCCUCCGCGGCGAGCUUGGCCGCCUUCGCAUCCGCCUCCUCCUUCUCCUUCUUCAUGCGGGCCUCGUUCGCGGCGCGCUGCUUCUCCUUCUCCGCCGCCGCCUUGUCCGCAGCCUCCUUCUCCGCCGCGAUCUCCUCGGCGGUCUUCUCGGGCGCCGGGGACUUGGACUCGGGGGACGGGGGCUUGCUGCCGUGGUUGCGCUUCUCGUUUUUGUGCAUCUCGCGCUCGUGUCGAUGGAGGCGCUGCUUGACGAGGCGGAUCUUCUGUUCGACGAUGGGGACCUGGUCGGGACCCGCGAGCUUGAGGGAUUCCUGCGAUGAGGCGUUUGGUGAGUCGGUCAGUCUCGGCGUCGUCGACGGGACGGCGUCGGUCGUCAGGGUCAGUCGCGGGUCGAAAACCCGAGUUUGGGUUCGACUGGAAAAGGAGGGGAGGUUUUUCUCGUUAUUUUUCUAACCUCGAGCGCGAUCAGCGCCUCGGCGUCCUUCUCGGAAGCCUCGAGCGCGGCAGCCUUGCGGAAGUGCGCCUUAUCCCAGUCGGGCUUGAGCUCGCAGCAUUUCUCGGCGUCUUGAAGCGCCUGAGACACCUUGCUCAGCUUGAGGAAGGAUGCGGAACGGUUCGAGUAGAUGGGCGCCAGCUUCGCGUCGCUGAUGAGGGAGAGAUAACAACGUUUGACGAACGGGGUUAGUUGGAGAGUAUUUCACGCGGUUCGGUACGAGCGCGCUCGCGGAGGACGGCGGGUGGGGGCACGGGGUGCGUCGAUCGCGAGCGGUGACUCACUUUUCGAUGCCGUGAUCGGCGGCAGCCUUGAUCGCCUUGGUGUACGUCGCGGCCGCCUUGAGGUAGUCGCCGCUGCGGAAGAACGUGUUGCCCUCCUCCUUCAGCUCGAGCAUCUCCUUGUACUGGCCCUUGCCGGACUCGUUCACGAGCACCUGCUCGUAGAACCUGGUGAACUCAUCGUAGUCCAGGGCGCCCGAGCGAUCGGUGUCGAAGUCGUCCAUCAUGAUCUGGGAGUAGCCGUCGAAGUGCUCCUUGGUGAUCUCCACGCCGAUCUCCCUGAGCACAUCGUAGAGUUCGCCGAUCUCGAGCGAGCCGCUGUUGUCCUUGUCGAACUUUUGGAACGCCGCUUUGAUCUCCGAGUCCUUCGCUCGGGUGACGGCCAUCGUGGGAGGCUAGGUGGCGCGCUACGAGCAGGCGGUGACGAGUGGGUGUUCAAGAGAGGCUGUUCCGAUCGAACGGGCAGUGAGCCGGUGCUCGAGGGCAGUGACCCCCGCGCCGGACUCGGGGCUCGAUCAUCCAUCCGUUUGCCCUCGCUUUUUUUCGACUGACGUUAAGACAGGUCAGCAUAACCUGAGCGCGUACAAAUCAGGGAGCGGAGAUCUCCGGAUUCGGGAGCUGGAAUCGGGAGAAUCGGGCGCGAAUCCAGCGUGACGAGUUUUUUUUGUCCCAGUCGCGGCGUGGUGAGCCGCUGUUGUUGAUACAAGGUGUCGCUGCUAAAGCUACUCGCGCCCUGCCUCGCCGAGGCGAUCACUUCUUCUCCGGCUCGACCCUGUCGGUGACCAGGAUGAGGUGGUACCCGAACUGCGUCUUCACCGGCCCCUGGAUCACGCCCACCGGACCGUUGAACACCGCGUCGUUGAACUCCUUCACCAUCUGCCCGGGCUUGAACGUGCCCAGGCUGCCGCCCUUGCUCUUGGACGGGCACUCGCUGUAGUUGCCGGCCUCGCGCGCGAACCUGUCCUCGAGGUUGUCCUGGGGGCCGUCCUGGAGCCUCUCCAGCAGCGACUGAGCCAGGGAGGGAUCCUUCACGAGGAUGUGAGACGCCGUCGCCUCCUCGCCCCCCACGAGCACCGCGAGGAUGCCCUUGAUGGCGCCCUGGGAGGACCACAGCACGGCCGCGAGGGAGGCGAAGAUGGCGAGCGUGGGGAUGAGAUCGUCGCCCUCGGCGAGCUGCGCCACCUCGGACGCGAAGGCGGCCUGGGCGGACCCGAGGAAGGUCGCGGCGGAGGCCAACCUCGCGAUGGAGGACUUGGUCGCUACCGAUUUGACAACCAUCGGUGCCUUGACGGUGGGCUUGGCGGCCGCUGUGAUCUUGGCUGCGAGAGGCGCGCGCUGCUUCCUGGUGGCGGCCGCCGCGCGAAGGGCGACGGGGGCGCGAAGGGCGACGAUAGAGGUCAUGGCUGCGUGUGAGAGUCGGUGCGGGUGCCGUCGAUUGUGGACGAGAGAGCGAUCCGUUUUAUCCGGAACGCUCACUGAUUGGGUGGAUUUGGCCGGGAGAUCUGCAAAUGCCAGCCAAUUACGCGUCGCCUGGCACAGACCUUUUAGUCCCGCCGCUUUCGCCGCGCUUUCGCUGCCAGGCCGCCUGUGAAGAGGUGCGAGACACAACGCACGCCGCGAGGUAGCUAGCUAGCGGCUCGCACAAACCCGGGAGGGUCGAAGGCCGGGAAAAAUGGGGCGUCAAGGACACAAAGGCCGCGAGGCGAGCAUACAUGCCGCGCUCGACGACUUCGUCACGAAGCUCAAGCGCAAGCGGCUCGGGGGCAGCUCGCUGGCGCUGGCGAGGCACACCACCGAGGUGCUGAUCCACGCCGUGGCGGCGCAGCAGGCGCCCACGGCGGAGGGGAUCAUCGAGGGCGUGAGGGCCGUGAGCAAGAAACUGGUAGAGGCCAGGCCGCUUGGUGCGUCCGAACCUCAGAACCCGUGUGCCCUCGAUGUUCCCACCGCCGUCUCCCUUCAGUCGCACUCCUUCGCUUCAAAAAACAUGAACCCUCAACCCUAUUUUCCCCAUCCCGUCGCGUCCAACAGAGCUGGUCGUGGGCAACAUGUGCAGGAGGGUCCUGCACAUCAUUCGCGAGGAGGCGGCUGGCGACGGGGGGAAGGCUAGCAACGCCGCGAGCGACGCUAACGACGCCAGCGACGGCAGCGACGACGAGGACAACUCCGUCCGCGGCGGAGCCAUGAAGGCGUUCAAAGCCGAAGUCAUCGAGGUCAUCGGCGAGCUCAUCGACGAGCUGGAAUCCGUCAACGCGCACAUCGUCCAGCAGGCCCUCGAGCACGUCUCGCCGUCCUCCGUCGUGCUCACCAGCGGUGGCAGCGACAUCGUCGAGGCCUUCCUCCGGGAGGCCAACAGGAAGCGCAAGUUUCAGUGCAUCGUCGCGGAGGGGGCGCCCGCGCUCGCCGGCCAUCAGAUGGCGCGAGCCCUCGCCGAGAGGGGGGUGGAGACGACGGCGGUGGCGGACGCGUCGGUGUUCGCGAUGAUGUCCCGCACCAACCUGGUGGUGCUGAGCGCGUGCGGUGUUUUCGCUAACGGGGGUAUCCUGGCCCCAGCGGGUCACCACACGGUGGCGCUGGCGGCCAAGUCGCACAGCGUCCCCGUGGUUUUCCUCGCGGGCCUUCACGAGCUGUCGCCCAUCGGCCCCGGCGACGACGCGUUCCACGCCAACGACCUGCGUUCCCCAGCGGACGUCAUCGACUACACCGCGCUGGCGGAUUGCGGAAUCGGUCGGAAUGGGUCAGGUAUCGACAGGCGCUCAGGGGCCCAGGCGGAAGGGGACGUCGCACAGCUGUGCGUCGCAAACCCCGCGUACGAUUACGUCCCGCCCGAGCUCGUCACCCUGGUGCUCACCGACGUCGGCGGCGCGGUGCCCGCGUUCGUGAAGCAGCUGCUCGGGGAGAUUUACGAUCCCGCGGACCGGACGUUCUGAUGUGCGAUCCGCCGCCGCGUGUGUGCGCGCGUAGAUGUAGCUCGAUUGUAACGGAAGACGGCGUCGUCGGUCCGAGGCUCUUCCCGGGAGAACCCGAGGAGGACCGAUGCGCCCGCGCCAAAAUUGUCAACUCUCUCGGCUCCCGAAAAAGCACGCGGUGCAGGCGCGCGCGGGGCCGCAGAGUCCGCGGAGCACGGGCAACGAUGGGCGAGGGCGACAUGGACACGGAUAAGAACGUCGACAGCGACGGGUUCUCGCUCGGCAGCGACUCCGACGCGGACGACCCGCCCGCCGCGGCGGUCGGGAGCGGAGCGGACGCGGGCGAUUCCGGGGGCGCGUCGCGACCCCGGCCUCCGAUGCCCAAGUUGGGUCUCGCGGGUAUCGGGAACUCGGGUGCGGCAGCGGCGACGCCGCUGACCGCGCGCAAGCCUCCGGGCCUUGGUCUGAGCCUCGGCGGCGGAGGAGACGCCCCGGCCAGCCGCAGCGCCGAGCCCUCCCCGCCGGACGCGGCCAACCCGAGCGGCGCCAUCCCGAGAAUGUCGCUCAGCGAACACAGGCCGGUGGGGCUCAACCUCGGCGCGCUGCGCGACAGGGCGAGGGAAGACGUCGACGAGGACAAGUCCGAGCUUCAGAUUCGACGCGAGAAGUUCGCGCACUUCGAGAAGCACUGCACGGAGAUCGUCCCAGGCGUGUACGUCAGCGGCGAGGGAGUCGCGAAGAAUCGAGCCACCCUCGACGAGCACGGCAUCACGCACGUCAUCAACUGCGUCGGAUUCGUCAUUCCGAACUACUUCGAGCCCGACUUGGUGUACAAGACGAUGUGGCUGCAGGACACCCCCGACGAGGACAUAUCCCCCGUGCUGUACGACUGCUUCGACUUCAUCGAGGAGGCGACGGUGGAGCGCGGCGGCAGAGUCUUGGUGCACUGCUCGCAAGGGGUGUCCAGGUCGUGCUCCGUGGUGAUAUCGUACCUCAUGUGGAGGGACGGGGGUUCCUACGAGGACACGUUCGCGGCGGUGAAGGAGAAGCGCGGUAUCGCCAACCCGAACAUGGGGUUCACGUGCCAGAUGCUUCAGUGGGCCAAGAGGAUCGGGACCGAGGCGGACCGCGCGCCGCCGCACAGGCUCUACCGCGUGGCGCCCCACAACGAGCACGACCCGACCUACCUGGUCGCCAAACCGUGCACGAGCUGCGAUACCACGCAGCUCGACGCGAGGGGCGCGUACGUGGUGGCGACGUCCAAUCGUAAGGCUUUCGCGUGGGUGGGAACCUCGCUGAUUGACGAAGAGUUUCGAACCGUCGCGGAGAGGUUCGCGCGACAGCUGUACAGGUACGACGGUCUUGGACCCGCCGACUCGUUGGUGGUGACGGUGUCGGGCGGCGAUGAGCCGACGGAGGUGCUCGAAGCCUUGGACGCGAUCGGGGACGGCCAAGGCGGCGGGUGGAAGGGCGCCGCGGGCGCGAGGCGCGAGAGCCUCGACGACGAAUUCGCGAUGUACGAGCGCGGAACGCGAUCGGAGAUUGCGGCGAACAGCGGCGCCGCGAUCCCGCCGCCGGAGUGGGCGCGGGCGCUGACCAAGGCGGGCGGUGCGGGUCUCGGCGCGGCGGGUAACCCCAGCCUGAGCAAGGGAUGGUCGCUGAAGGAACCGGCGACGAGCGGAUCGACUCAAUCGUCGAGUCAUCAGUCGCCCGGGAACCUUACUUCCGGGAACCUCGCGCGGCACCUCUCGCUACCUCCGUCGCGGGACGACACCGCGAGUCCGUCGUCGCUCGGGAUCGGUGGGCUCGGGCUGGACGGCGCCGGGAGGGAGGGGCGGGAAGGUGUCGGCCGGUCGGAGUCGGAGCCGAUGGACCAGUCACCCUCAAAGAUGGACCACUCGCCCUCGCGGCGGGAGCGAGGCGGGGACGCGCGCGGCGACGGGCCCACUUUGCACGAGUGGCCGAGCCUGGUGGAGUACGAUAUGUACGACGGAGACGAUUUGGAGUCGUCCGGGGUGUACUUGCUUCGAAACGGUCGGAACGUGUACGUGUGGAUCGGCUCCAGGGUUGUGCUGGACGGUUCGGACAAGUUCGUGUCGGGCGGGAGGAUCGGGGAGGAGGCGGCGGCGAGGCUGGGGAUCCGUGGGGGGGCGCGCGUGACUGUCGAGGCGGAGGGUGGCGAGAGCGGGGAGUUCUGGGAGGCGUUCGAGUCCGGGGAGGCGUGAUGAGGUCGCGCACGGGCGGAUCCAAGCAGACGCCAGACGAAGAGUUUUUCACGCUGCAUAUGUGUAUUUCUCAUUUACAGCGAGGUUGCGCCCCCGUCGCCCCACCCCGCGCGCGUGUUGCGCGAACGGCAGCUCCUCGGCCGCGUGUCGUAUCCGCCCCGUACGACGGUUCGUGCGUUUCGCCCCAUCCCGAUCCCCAAGACUAAAAGCUAUGUACGCAGCAGACAAAGAAUAGAAUACCCCGGAAAAGUCAAUUUACGCGAGGAAGCCGAGCUUGCCGCCGUUCUGCUUGGCGGUGCGUAUGAGGUUCUGGCGAACCUUGCCGUCCGCGCCGAUCUCCUUGCAGAAGUCGGUGAUGACCUGCGUCACGGGGGCGAUACGAGUCAGCGACGUUCUUCAAUAUCGGUUCGUCCGAGGCGGGUGAGGCGGGGGUGGACGGGUGCGCGUGUCGGGCACGCGCCUCCGCGUGUCCAAGGGCGGGGGGAUCUAAAACGUGACAGCUAAGAUGUUAUCCGAGUGCGGAACGUUGCGUCGACGCCGGUCCGAGCGCUCACCUGGGAGUGGAGGGCGAUGGCCUUGCCGCGGAUCUGGUUGAAACGCUUCACCCCGAUGAUGUUGCGCGCGACGACGACGAUGGGCGCGAAAAGGCCGCCCUCGUAGUCGUUGCCCGCGACCACCUUGAGCGCGCCGCGCUCGGUGCGAGCACGGGGCUGGGCGGGCACAGCAGCGGCCACCCGGGCGCCCAUCGGGGCGGACUGCUUGAAGCCGAGGCCGCGAGCCUUGGCGGCGGAGAGGGAGACGGAACCGGCGAUGGCGGACAUCGUUGGUAUCACGAGUGUUCGGACUGCGUGCGUGUGCGUCGCGUGUAGUGUCCGACGGCCGCCGCGUUCGACUCGUUUCUUUUGCUGCGAUGGAGGCGCCUUUUCGGUGCCAAAACAGACCAAGUUUAACGGUUCACGUGUGCGAGGCCGAUUUCCUGCCACAGGUUGAGCCACGUCGAGCCAAUCAGGCCAAAGGACGCUGAAAAAAGCUUGAACCAGAAAACGACGAGUUAAAAAGUCCUAAAAAAAUCGUGCCGGAAGCAACGCGGUGCCCCAAAAGCUGCCCAAGCAGUGCCGUGAGCGAGGAGCCCUUCGGCUGCUGCUCGGCCCGUUCUCGCAGUCUCGUUCUCGGCACUCACAACAAAACUCAAAAUGUGGGAUCCAACAACAGAGCGUGGGGCGCAGGUAAGGGUGGGCACUUCAGGGCGGCAUGGACGAGACCGGGGUGAAGAUGAGCACAAUGUUGGACGACGGCGCGUCCACCGCCUCGAUACCCUCACCGACGCACUGGUACGACGACCCGCAACGAGCACUCGGGGCGGAGCUGGUUGAGAUUCUCACGAGGACGCCGUUCGUGCUGGUGCUCGCCUAUUACGUCGGCAAGGCGUUCGCCAAGGCCAGGCUCCCGCGCAUCAGCGGCUACCUCGUCACCGGUGUGGUAUGUGGCUCGCACGUCCUCGGCAUCCUGGGCCGCGGCGCCACGCGGAGGCUCGCGGGGCUCGAUAACCUCUGCCUCGCAGUCAUCGGCGUCGCCGCCGGUUCCGAGCUCCACCUCGCGGACCUGCGACGCUCGCCCAAGCCCACGCUGAUCAUGACCGCCGCCAUCACCGCGUUCUCCUGGGCGUUCGUCUUCGUCACGUUCUGCGUCGUCGCGCCGUCGUCCAACCUGGACUUCCUCGACGGGCUAUCCGUCGUGCACGUCGUCGCGGUUGGCUCGCUCGCGGCGACGCUUUCCGUCGCGAGGUCGCCGGCGUCCGCCAUCGCGGUGCUCAGGGAGAUGGAAGGCCGGGGACCGUUCUGCUCGCUCGUGAUGUCGGUGACGGUCGUGAAGGACGUGCUGGUGGUGGUGAUGUUCGCCGUGAACCUGGAGCUCGUCGCCGCGGCGCGGCUGGACUUUUCGGCCGUCGGGGGCGGAGCGGGCUCGGGGGAGGGGAGCGGGGCGGGGGGCGGGCUCGGGGGAGAAGAAGGGGGGGUUUCGUCGACGGCGGUCGCCGCGCUCGUCGCGUUCAUGCACCCCGUCUUCAGCGUCGCGACGUCCGUCGGGCUCGGGGUCGUCGCGGGGUUCGCGCUCGGUCAGUGUCUCAAACCCCCGCGGCUUCGAACGCUCGCGAACCGACCGGCGCUCGCGAGGGCGGUUCGAUGCGUCCAGACGCUGGCGCUGUCCGCGUCCAGCUUCUGGGCGGCCAAAGCGUUGGGUCUGGAGCCCUUACUGCUGUGCGUCGUCGCCGGGGCGCUCGCGGCGAACAGGCAGCACGUCACCGGCGAGGAGGAACGGGAGAGGCUCGACUCGGUGCUGAGGGCGUCGAUGCCGCUCGUCAACGUCGUCUUCUUCACGCUAGCCGGCGUCGGCGUGCACCUGACGUCCGUGUACAAGUCGUCCGUCGUCGCGACGCUCUUGGUGGGUGCCAGGCUGCUCGCGCUGUACCACGCGGCGAGGAUCGGAUGUGACGCCAUCGGGGCGCCGGAGAGUCACAAGAAUGUGGCGUGGAUGGGAUACGUGACCCAGGCCGGGGUGGCGUUGGGUUUGGUCAGGACCGCCGCCGCGAGGUUUCCGCAGUGGGGAGACGAGUUCGGCGCGCUGAUGGUGGCGACGAUCGUGAUGAACCAACUCGUGGGUCCGCCCAUGUUCCGAGCGGCCAUCGUGAGCGUCGGAGAGAGCGGCGUGGAUCCCGGGCCGACGCCCAACCGGGCGGCGACUUCGGAGCUCGAUAAAACGCUCGAGGUACCCGUCGCGUCGGAGGCUUGAGCCGGGGAAUUCAAUGCCCGUCUACCCUUAGUCACGCGAGGACGAUAGCCGUAGCGAGAGGGGGUACGCAGCACCCUCGCCACCGCCAACAGGGGAAGUGAGAUGUCCCUCGCGGUGCUUCACAAAUCAGAUUACAGAUUACAACGGGGCGAGAGGCGCCGCGGCUACUCCGCGUCGCGACUCUCGCGCUCGCACGUCGCUCGUUACUCCUCCUCCAUCGGGGGGAAGUUGCCCACGAUGUCCUUGUACAGCUUGCCCUUGUUGCGGGACUCCCAGAGCGCGUCGAAACCGUUGUUCACGACCUGUGGGAAUCAAUCGAGGAGGUGUCGUCAGAGACGUGAUUCCUCGUACGGCGUCGGUCGUUCGCGGCGCGUGGCGUGGAUGAGAAAAAAAGCCCUAAAUCCGGGGGUCGCGCGCCCGAACGGGUCGAUCGCGCGACGGCGAAGGUUCUCGGAGGGUUCGGGGGCGCGGCGGUGGCGCGCAACGUACCUUCUCGCCGACGAGAGCACCCGCGAUGACGACACCCACGUAGACGCUGGAGCGCUGCGGUGGAGGAGAGGGAGAGAUGGGGCGUGGUCAGGUGAUCGUUCGAGUCAUCCGUCGCGCGCGGGUGCGGGACCCCGCGGGUCGUGUCUCCUCGCGCGGGUGACAUGCAGGGGUCGGGGGUGCAACCGCGGGUGUACUCACCGACAUGAACGUCUUGUAGAACGCUUCGAACACCAUGGCGUUCGGAGUUUAGCCGUAAGCACGUGCCUCCGCGGAGCGCACCGACACAGUGCACCUCUCCGAGCUACGGGCAGCAGGCACAUGCCGAUCUCGGCGCCCUCGAAAAAAUCUUCAGGCGAUCCUCGUUGGUUUUCUCGAGUCGACCAGGUAGCGUUAUACGCGCCGGGUUUUCAAGAUCGUAUGGGCAUUUGGUCAGAGAAAGUUCCUAAUUUGGACUGUCGAACCACCUCGAGACGACAACCGGUCCUAUCAUGCGCGUCUUUCAGGGUUCGACCCGCAUUGCGCCCAGCGCGCGUCACGCGUGGAGUCGCGCGAAACCUUCAGCGUCCGAGGCUUCGGGCGGAAUCGUCUUCUGCCUCCCCCAGGCGGUCAACCCAGGGUUCUGGGCUUGUGGCGAGCACCAUGGCCUCAACAUUGGCCAGGCUCUCAAAGUAUGCAAAGGGCGAGAACACCACGAGCGUCUUGAGCCACGCCAAGGUACGCCGAGCUCUGAGCUUAACCCUUCACGCAGACUCCAGACGGGCGCGCUGAUACCUUACCCACUCUUCCUCGCACCAGGCUGCUUACGUCGCUCAGACCGCCCCGAAGGAGUUCAAGGUGCGCCCCCCAACCUCCCGCAUUUCGCGCGGGCAACUGUCUGCGGCUCUGGGUUUUUUGAACCGCCGGUUUGAGGCGCGGGCGGGGGAGCGCGCAAUUCCCCGCGCGGAUCGAGCGAGUGAUCCCGGCGAGGAUCGACGCCGGUGGAAUAUGUCCAGAUCAUCGGGCCGAUGCCACGCGACUCGCGUGCCCUCAGUGGGAACCUCGUGCAACUCGCCCGGAGAAGUCCCCCGGCACACGCCCUCGUGAAAUCCUAGCGGAGCGUAAUCAACCCGCCGCGGGUCGAAAUCUUAACCACCCCUGGACUGACGGACCGUCCCGAUUAACCUCCCCCACGCACAACAGCACAUCGCCGUCGCGGUCGAGAAGGCGACCAACGAUGAUGUCGUCUCCCCCAAGGAGAAGCACGUGCAGACCCUGCUCGAGGUUGUCCGAUCAGGCGCAUCGGUAGCCGACGUGACCUUCCUGGUCAACUAUCUGAACCAUCAGGUUACCGACUGCAAGCGCGUGACCCAGAUGCUGAAGACGCACGUCUUGCUCCACCGUCUCCUGCUGGACAGCGGCGAGGAGUUCCGCACGCAGAUCAUGAAGAUGCACAAGUGGGUCGUGGAGGACCGGAACACGGACUCGACCCUCAAAUGCCUCUUCUCCAUCCGCGCGUGGAAGGACGAGGCCAACAUGGAGGUGAGCGGAUGGUGCCGCACCUACGCGUCUUACCUCGACGAGUUCGUCUCAAACUGGGAGGAUUUCUCCGAUUUUGCGCGCAUCAAUAAGAACCCGCAGGGCGACGCGACCCAGAUGCGGUCCCUCCCCGCGGAUGAGCUCGUUCGCAAGCUCCCCAAGGCGCAGCUCUUGAUGCGGCGGAUAAUCGACUGCGAGGCCAUCAACGAAUCUCUCACAGCCAACGAGGUGGUCAUCGCCGCCACCAGGCUCCUGUUCAAGGACUCGUUCAAGUGGUACCACAUGUGCAACGACGGAGUAAUCAGGCUCAUCGACCUGUUCUUCGACAUGAACAAGCAUCACGCGGCAAAGGCGCUCGAGAUGUACAAGAAGGCGACCACGCAGGGUGACGACUUAUCCCGAAUGUACCGCAACGCCGAGGAAAAUUGGCUCGCGUUUCGAUCCGAGAAGUUUCCCGCGGUCGAGAACCCGCCCGGAUCCUUCCUGCAGACCAUGGAGGAGUACGUCAAGAACGCUCCGGCGGAAGGGAAGGGACCGGCGCCGUCCCCGCCGCGCGCCGCCGCCCCCGCGCCGGCGCCGCCGCCGCCCGCCCCCGUCGACCCCAUGUCGGACCUCCUCGGCGGGAUGAGCCUCAACACUCCGAGCCCUUCGCAACAGGCGCCCGCAGCGGCCACCUUCGACGCGUUCGGCAGCGGUGACACCUUCGGGGCGAACGGAGGCGCGGGAUUCACGGGGGGUAGCGCGGGAUUCACCGGAGGAAGCGCGGGAUUCACCGGGGGCAGCGCGGGAUUCACGGGGGGCAGCGCGGCGCAGCAGACGCCUUCGCCGACGGCGGCGGCGCCCCCGGGCGAUAUCUUCAGCGCCUCCCCGCCUGCGGCGGUGGCGGCGGCGUCGGCGUCGGCGUCCCCGCCCCAGGUUGAUUUCGACCCCUUUGGGACGAGCGCCGCGGCGGCUGCGCCCAUCCCGCCCCCCGCGGCUGGGGCGGGCGGGGCGCCGCAGGGUCCGCCCAGCGUGAACCCGUUCGGCUCCGACCCGUUCGGCGCGCCGGAGCAGCCCAAACCCGCGGUGGACCUGGACUCGUUGUACGCGCAAGGUACGCGUUCGCCGCCCCAGCAGAUGGGUGGCAUGGGGAUGGGGAUGCAGCAGCCGGGGAUGAUGCAGCAACCCGGAAUGGCGAUGGGGAUGGGCAUGCAGCAGCCGGGGAUGGGCAUGGGUAUGGGGAUGCAGCCCGGUAUGGGGAUGCAGCCCGGUAUGGCAAUGCAGCCCGGUAUGGGGAUGCAACCCGGUAUGGCAAUGCAACCCGGUAUGGGGAUGCAACCCGGUAUGGGGAUGCAACCCGGUAUGGGGAUGCAGCCCGGUAUGGGGAUGCAACCCGGUAUGGCGAUGCAACCGGGCAUGAUGCAGCAGCGGUACGCAGCGUCCCAAAUGCAACCCGGCAUGCAGCAGAUGGGCAUGCAGUUCACGCCCCCGCAGUUCGGUAAGACCUCCCCCAAGAACGAUGGCGGGGCGCAGGGCGGCGGCUCGCUGCUCUGAGAAAAGUGUAUCUAACAGCUUAGGCCUUGUGGUGCAAAGAUAUCUUGGAAGAAAAACGCAAACGCGCUUUCAGCACUCCUCCGCGACGCCGUGGCGAUGAUGACCGGCGCCGUGUCGGCCCUUCACGCGACGUCUGUAUCGGUAUCGACGUCACGCUCCUCGUCGUCGCCGCGCACGCGCUCCAGACCCAUCGCGUCCUCCUCUCCGCGUGCGUCAGCGCUCGUCUCGUCCGAGGCUCGCACGUUCCCUCGGCGAGCGCGCGCGUAUUCCCGCGGUUCGCGCCCGUCCGUCGUCGUCUACGCCUUCGCCGCGUCCGCUGCCGCGCCCGACGAGAUGAACGACGCCGCACCGAUCAAAUCCACCGCGCGAUUGAGCCCCGACGCCAGGCGCGUCGUCCUCCUGUGCGCCGUGACGAUGCUCCUGGCGUCCGCGGAUAGAACGAUCUUCUCCCUCGGCUCGCUGGCCAUCGCGCGCGAUCUCUCGCUGUCGAUGUCCACCGUCGGCCUCCUCCAGUCGGCGUUCUUCUGGGGCUACGGCGUGACGCAAAUCCUCGGCGGCGUCGCCGCGGACAGGUUCGGAGGAGCCAAAGUCCUGCUCGCGGGUCUGGGUCUGUGGUCCGUGGGCGUCGCGAUGAUCCCCGCCGCGACGCUCACUCCCACCCCCGUCGCCGUCAUCGUCGCCGCUCGCGUGCUCUUCGGCGCGGCGUCGGGUUGCGUGAUGCCCGCGUCCGCGGCGGCGGUCGCGUUGUCCGUGCCCGCGGAGAGACGGAGCUCUAGCCUCAGCCUCAUCUUCACGUUCUUCAACUGCGGCAGCGCGUUUGGGCUACUGUUGGCGGGUAGCCUCAUCCAGACCGUGGGGUGGAAGGCGGUGUUCCUGGCGUUCGGGGCGGUGGGCGUGGCGUGGUCGGCGAUCGGGCUCGCCACCGUGCCCGAGUCGGCGAAAAAGGGCAAAGUUCGUCAAAGUUCGUCGCGCGGGUCGGAACGCGAGGGCGACGACGGGCGCCCCGGCGGUUGGCUCUCGCUGCCGGGGUGGAUGUAUCCGCAGCUCGGCGCGCUGGCGUGGUGCCACGUGUGCAUCAACUGGGGAUUCUUCAUCCUCCAGUCGUGGCUCCCCGUCUACCUCGCCAAGGAGCUGGGGUUCUCGUUGGGCGGCAGCGGGCUCGCGUCGGCGCUGCCGUGGUUCCUCACCGCCGCGUGCUCAUUCUCGAGCGGCCAGAUUGCCGAUAUCCUGGUCGCCAGGGGGUGGGAGCGGUGGAAGGUUCGGCGGUUGAUGAUGAACAUCGCGACGGUCGGGCCCGCGACGGCGUUGAUGCUGUUGCCCGCGGCCAGGUCGCCGGUGGUGGCGGUUUUCUUACUGGCGGUGAUGCUGGGCACGCAGGCUGUGAGCAUAGCGGGAUACCACUCAUACCUGCAGGACGUGCUCCCGUCCAGGGCUGGGUCAUUCUUGGGAAUGACCAACACGUUGGGGGUCAUCGCGGGGAUAGUGGCGAACUUGUUCGUCGGGUACGUGGUGGAGACGACGGGUGGAUUCAGGCUGGUGUUUUUGGUGACUGCGCUCGUGUACGCCUCGAGCGGAGUUGUUUGGAACCUUUCGGCAAGAGGACGCGUCAUGUUUGCGUAGAAAGACUUAGGCGAUUCUUCAGUAUUCCCCACGGCGAUACAUUCGUAGACUACUCGCGCGGUAGGUUAGUUCGUGUUGUCAACACCGUUCGUUGAACUCCACUCGGACACGGUCGACUUGUUCAGUCGUCUCUCGUUUCUCUCGUCAGCACGCGGCUGCGAGGGCGCGUCGCUGGUGCGGCCGCGCCGGCUGCCUUCGAGCCAUCGACAGGGCCCGCCUCUCCCUCGACGUUCGCAGGUGCACCCCGUACGCCGUGUGCAGCCUCGCCGGGGACAGCACCCCCCUCGCCGUCCUCGACAUCCUCGCCGGAACUCCCACCGAUCCCUCCUCUUCUCCCGCUGAUCCCUCCAACUUUGCCGUCGCCGCUCGCAUCGCCUCGUACGUAGCGAACCAGACCACGCCCUGCUGAAGCGAAUCCGCGAGGCGUAUGCGCGUCACGCGCAGCGCCGCGGUUCCGAGCCUGGCGGCGGUGGGCACGUCCGCGCACCUCACCGCGCGGGAGAUGAGCCUCCGGCCGUAAUACGGGGACAGCGCGACGGCGGUGAGCGCGGUGGCGCCGAAGGCGCACACUCCGCCGGAGACGGCGCCGUGCACCGCGUUGGUCACGCGCCCGUGCGCGGUGGGGACCCACGGGUGCAACGACGCGAUCGCACCCUCGCUCCCGUCCAUCCGUCUCUUGAUCUUAUCGUACAGGUCCCACUCGAUGAGGUAGUGCGCGGCGAUUGGCACGGCUCGAGCCGCGACUUGAUGCGCGGAGAGUCUCCGCAGUCGACCCCCGAGCUUCGAGACUAUGACCGGCGUCGCGACGUUCGCGGCGCCGACGGACACCAGGCUCGGCAGACCCAUCGCGCUCGUCGCCACCUGCAUGGAGCACGCGUACACCGCGGACGGGCCGAGGGUCGACUUGACCCCGGCCGCGACGGUGCGAACCAUCUCGCGGCGAACGGAUCUCACCGCUCCCAGGUAGCCGUGCGCCCAGCCCUUGUAUAUCUUCCUGGUCCCCAGCACGAAGUUCUUGACCUUGCCACGGUUCAGCGCCAUCGCCGCGAAACUGUUGGCGGUGGCGAACACGCCCGCGUCGGCUGUCGUGACGUCGGGGUAAUCGGAGUUGUCAGCGAGUAAGCUGGUGAUGGGCAAGUAAAGUAAAGACGCAUCGGGAAUGGGCACGAGGGUAACAGAUGCACGCGGAGGAGCGGGAUGCGGCGUGAAUAAGCGAGCGACGUACCGAGCAGCUUGGAUGGUAUGCCACUGCUGAUCGAAUCGACUACUACGUCCGAGGGAACGCUGCCGAACAGCGACGACAGCGUAUCGAAAACCAUGCUUCCGCGCGCAGUUCGUUAUCUGGUUGGCCCUUCGCGGCUGAAAUAAAAACGCCCGACGAGUGAGGACGCGCGCUCCUGACGACCACGCGGCUCAACCCCCCGCGGUGCCUCGUUCGGUCGCGCUAUUCCCUCGCCCAAUCGAUUCGUCGACCAGGGGGUGCGCCGCGUGAAAUGGCGCAGCGUUCGCGAACCGCCGGGCUGUAUCGAUCCCUCCUCCCGAAAAGAGUUUUGUCACUGUCCAUGUCUUUUUUCCGGCGUUUCCGCGGCCGAGAACUUUCAUCGCGCAAAUCGACCAACGAGAGCGAGGUCGAGCUGGGCGGGUUGCCGAAACCUUCCGUGGCGGUCGAAUCGACACCGAAACAGACUGGUGUUUCUUGAGUCAGAGAAAUCUCCGCAGAAAAGCCAACCGUGAAGCAGUCUACAAAUCGACGAGAAACUGGAGCACGUUGUUAGGGCUUUCACUCGAUUUUCAGCGGUGGGGCGCAGCAGCAUGUUCUGCGGCACAGUGCACGCGCGCGAGUAACACGGAGACCGUGGGGCGGGGGCCUUCGGACCGAAUAGCGCCGUGGCCAGGUAUUGUGUCAAGCCCGACCCGCUCGCUUCGUGCGACUCGUGCGUGUAUUGCGCAGAGACAAGCGUCUCACCUCCACUCCAACGCUUCAAUGAAACACUGGUGGCAGCGACCAUGAGAGGCAUCGAUGAAAAGGCCUCCGGAGGUCCCACUCGACAUCAUCAUCCAUGAAGACUUCACCCAGCAUUCGAAGGAUAAAGUGUAGAAGCGCAAGUUAAAAGUCGUCAAGAGCACUGGUGAGCCGCCAUUUCUAUCCCUAGGUCGCCUCCAGAACUAGAUCUGAAAGAGUCCACACUUUUUCUGUCACGUCGUAUUUGACUCUCGUUUUGUCUGUGCAUUUGGGUCUUUUGGUCGAGAGGAAAAGACGACAUUACUUGGUCCGUGUUUUGUAUCCGCCGGAUUAGACCCCGAGCGAUGCCGACCUACCAUUAUUCCCGGAUUAGACCCCGUGGACACCGAUCCUCUCGACAUGACCAGAUUGAAUGCCCGGACGCGAUUCGUUUUGGUUUCGGAUAUCCCGCGUCGAGUUGUUUCAAACCUCGAAAGGCUUCGUUCAGUGAAGUUUUGUUUUGUACACUCGUCUUUCGGGUGGCGUCAUUGACUGGGACCUCCUCGUGAUCCAUUACUCAGGCUUCUUGUUCUGUUAAGGACCCAACUGCUGCACCGACGAGAACGUUGUUGUAAGUUUAGAAAAGUUGUUGUAAGAAAACGAGUCCACACAAGUUGCAGUGGCACGAUUGAAACUCAUCAUUGAGUCAGUCAUCUCAUUGGAUCCCCGCCCUGAUCCCCGUAUCAUCGUCAGUCUGAGUCGACACUUACGGCGUUCGCGAACGCCCGUCGCGACUGGGUGUAUUCCUCGCCGUCGCUGUCGCUGUCGAGGAGCCUAUCCAGUGCCCGUUCCUUGUUAGACUUCACGCUCCCGGGAGUGCCAGUCGCACCGCCGCCGCCCCCAAGGAUGCUGCCGCCCAACCUCUUGCCGCCCGUGAACCCGGGCGAGGACACCGCGGAUCCCCCGCCGGGAGUCGCGAACGACGAGUCCCCGGCGUCGGCGCUCCUGAAGCUCUCGUCGGCGCCCGCUCCCGGAGAGUCGAAACCGCCGCGACUGCCGUCGUCGGAGAGAGCCGACGAGAGCGAGGCGCCGUCGAUGCUCCCCCUCCUGUCCACGCUCGCCCUCCUGAUCUUGUCCGUGAACUUGGCCGCGGCAACCUUGACGUUCGCGUCGCGCUCCAGCGGUUGCGCGAGCGCGUCGAGGCUCGAUCCGAGCCGCUGCCACUCCUGGAACACCCCGCGAUCCACGCGCCUGUCCUCGCCGUACACCUGCUCGAUGACGGCGUCGGUGUUCCCGGUGAUGAGACCGAGCGCGCUGCUGAUGUCGCCCUCGAACGCCUGCCAGUACCAGUCCAGGAACCACGACGUGAGCAGCCGCUUGGACGUCACCGCGCGGGACACCGUCUCCUUGCGCCUGUCAAUCUCGGCCAAAAACUCGCGCCACUGGUUGAACACGCUCUGCUUGUACAGGCGCUGCGACUUGACGUAAGCCUUCUGCACCAGGUUCGCGAGCCGGCGGUACUCCCUGCACCACUCCUUCCACAGCGUAAAGUGCACUCGCGAUGACUUCUCGCGGUACACCGCCUGGCGCAUCUGGUGCUGAUGACGCGCCAGUCGCAUGGCGACCCGAGCUCGGUCAAUGUGCGACAGCCACUUGCGCCACGCCUGGCCGAGCUGCCCUUUGGUCCACGACUUGACCGCGCGUCGCAUCGCGGCGGCGAGGUGCAGGUUAUCGGCGACGUGCGACAGCCAUAUCUUCCACCAGUGUCUCGUGCGAAGGACGUCCAUCUUUCGAGCCGCCUUCUUCGCCGUCGCCGUCUUGCGAGCCAACACGAAGGAUUGCGAUCGCCACGCGCGCAUUAUCCUGCUGCCGAGAACCUUGGCGAAGUGCGCCGCGCCCUUCUGCUCGAUCCAACGCAUGCGCCUGAUUUCGUUCGUAGCGUCCAGCCACUUGUUGAGGGACCUGGUCAUCACGGAAUUCCUGAUGCGGGCGACAACCUUGGUGGCGCGGCGGCGGUAGACGACCAGCCGCUUCACCUCCGUGAACCAAGCCUCCCAAAUCGCCUCCACCCUGUCCCGCGCGCGUCGCGUCGCGAACCGCACCGCGCGCGCCUCCUUCGCGCGCCACUCGCGGCGAUCCGCGAUCCAAUCGAUCCACUUGUACCAGGAGGCGGUGAUCUUCACCAUCAUCAUCCGCCGCACGAUUUUGUUCGCCACGGCGCGGUCCUUUGCCAGUCGCUCAACCGCGUCCCUCCACGCGACAAACGCGAUGGAUUGCUUCAUCGAACGCAUGCGCGCGACGAUCUUCUUGGCGCGCGCCAGCUUGUCCUUGCUCUGGCGCGCGGUUUGGCUCCAUGAUCGAAAGGCGGCGGCCAAAGUCUUGUGGGUCCACAUCCCGUGGAUGUUGGCAACGACGGAUCGCUGGCGGAGCAGCAGCGCGGUGGUAUCUCGCCAGCCCCGGAACGAUCGGGUCGCGUCGGCGUAGCGCAUGCGCCAGACGAACGAGCGCACGCGCGCGCGGUGCACCUUGAAUCGCACGACCGUCGCGUGCCAGCCCCGGAACGCGGAGGAGAGGUUUCGGUUGAGCCACCCGCGGAGGAGCUUGUCGCACUUUUUCCUCAUUCGUCGCCGCUCGCGCACGGCGUCGCGCCAUCCGUUGAGAGCCUUGUAGGCGGACCCGCGCAUCAGCCUCACGGCGAACAGCACGGCGCUGUCCCUCGCGGCGAGCAUGGCGAGCGUGUGCGUCUGCCAAACUUCGAACGCGUUGGCGACGUCGCGGUAGCGCCACGUUCGAACCAGCCGCUCAGCCUUGACCCUGGUGACGCGCAUCGUCGUCGACUGAUGGCGCCAGCGCUCAAACGCCAUGGUGGCGCUCUGCGCCGCCCAACGCGUGAGCGUCCUGCGCGUGAACGCGAGGACGCGGUUGCGAUGGGAGCGCUGCGCGCCGCUGAUCUGGCACCACCCCGUGAACGCCCUCGAGAGCGCGUCGCGGUUGAGCCGGCGGCCGAUGACGCCGACGACGUGUCGAUCCCUCUUCGCCUUGCGCACCGUCUGGAGCCACUGCAUGAACGACGAGUGAAGCUGGCGCCCGAGGACGCGGAGGACCAGCGCGGAGAGCUUAUCGCGCCGCCGCUGCUUCCCCUUGGCCACCUGCACCCACGAGUAAAACGUGUCCGCGACGGCGGCUCUGGUCCACCGCGCGAUGACCCGCUCCGCCGCCGCCUUGAGCCGCCGCUGCUCCCUCCAAUGAAACGCCCACGCGUCGAAAGCGUUCGAGACGCACCGCAUCUUCAUGCGAGUCACCGCACGCGUCGCGAUACAGCGCAUGACGUGCUCGUGGCUCUUGCCCCCAACCUCGGAGCGCAUGCGCCAGGUGAUGAGAGCGCGUCUGGCGCAGGACUUGACGCGGUCCACUCGCAUCUGGUGAGCGAGGCGCCGGCGCUGCUUCAUGAACACGCUCCUGUGCUUCCACGCGCGCAGGGUCGACACGGCCGUGCGAGCGCCGCGCCUGUCGUCGAAGAGGAGUAGCGCGCGUCGCAUGCGCGCGAUUUUCUUGGCGUAUUCGCGCCAGGUUGCGAAGGGCGCGGCCAGCCGUGCGUAGUACAUCCUUCGCAUCGCUCGAUUCGCCGCGGUUCGCCUUCUCCGCCGAUCCUCCGUCACCUGCACCCACUUGCGCCAAGCCUUGGUGAGCCACCGCUGGAAGAACGUCCUCGCCGCCAUCUGCAUCACCUUCUCGCGCUGCGCAGCCUGGGACUCGUACGCUUCCCGAACCUUGGCGCCGUAAAACUGCGCGUCGGAGAUCCACCCCGCUCGGGUCUCGCCAAUCUCGGCGCGAAACCCAUCCGCCAUGCCCCGCAUCUCGUCCCUGAGCUCCAGCAUCUGUCGCUCCACCUCCUUCCUGGCGCGCACCUCCUUGAGCACGAACGCGCUCCACUCCUUGAUGAGCACGCCGGACAUGGACCUGAGCGCGUGGGACUGCUCGCCCGCGGAGUCGCGCCUGUGUCCGGGCGGGGGCCGACCACCGGACGAUACCCCGGGGGUCAUUCCGCCGCCGACGCCGUAGCCGUAGCCGCCGCCGCCGCGCGUGCUCCGCGUCUGCUGGCUGCGUAAGGAUCCCGGCGCGACCGGGACCUCGUCCUUGGUACCCUCCCAACGACCGGGCACCUCCGGCGGAAGUCGACGCGCGGGCGACCCCGGCCUGGAGCUCGUCCCCGGCUUGUUCUUCUCGACAAUCUCGAGCUCGUGGUAGCCCACCAGGCGCCGCACGCUCUGGUCCACCUCCGUGUCGACCGAGGCGCGCGACGCGUUGACUCCCGCGGGGUUGACUCCCGCGGUGCCGUGGUGCUUCCGCGGGGAGGUACCGGCAGGGGAGAUCGAAGGCGCGUGGUGGGGGGCCGGGGUCGGGUCGGGGAGUUGCCGAGCUGCAAAAGCGAGCUCUCGAGAGCGAGCGUCGGAUUCGGAAUCAGAGUCGACGUCGCCGCCGGCAUCGGCGAGCGGGUGCGCCCGGAUACCACGCGGCGUUGUCACGGGGUUGUGAAAGCCGUCCCCGGGAUCGCGCAUGGAUCGGGGCACGCGCAUGACCUCCACGCGCAGGAUGCACGAGGGCAACCUGCGAUUCUUGAGCCUCAUCUCGCACGAGCUCCAGUCGGGCUCCUCGGGCUCGUCGUUCGUCUCCCACUGCUCGUUGACGCCGAAGUUGGGGUUGUAGAAGCACAGCCUGCCCCCUGCGGUGCGUUGCCGCGCCUGGAGCAUCUUACCGCCCAGCAUUUGGGACGCGAACCCGACGUACCGGCCCUGCUUGACCACGGUGAGGUGCGUGGCGGGAUCGGCGAUCGAGCGCGCGUCGUCCAGCCUGCUCACGCCGAAGCGCACGGCGUCGCCGCCCCGAGAGUUAUCCACGUCGACGACGUAGGGCAGGCCGUCGACAGCGAAAGCGACGACCUCGCCGUCCUGCAGGCCCGGACCCCGAUCGUCGUCGGCGGUCCUCACGGGCGACAUGGUGAGCCCGGCGUUGGAUCGGCCCGGGGCGUUCGCUGUCGGUUCGUCAUCGUCGUCCAGGGACAUCCUCCGUUGGCGCGAGCCGCCGCCUGGGAUCGGGGUUCGGGGGUAAUCGAAGGUGUCAGGAACGAUCGGGGGACGAUGGACCAAUCGGGCUCGAGAGGGGCGCGUGGAUCGAGCUUCCGCGGGGCGAUCCCACAACACGAACACGCGCAGUAAAAACAACAACCGAACUGCACUGGUUUUGGUCCUCAGCGCGAGGUAGAUCUGCAAGAUGCGGGGCGGGAGGUUCGUGUGUGCGCUCACCUCCGAAAAGGGCCUUGGCCGCCUGCUUGGCCCACUGGUCCUGGUCACCGCCGUUCGCCAUGGCGACGGACCCGCGAGACGCGACGCGUAGACACCGCGCGCGCUCGUAUGAUUACCCGGCAGGUGACGCCAGCGUGAGACCAGCGUGGACCAACAACAACAGUUGAAAAAAUCUUGCCCUUGAAGGCCCGUAACCUCAAACUUUUUCCGAGGUGACAAGCAGACAGUGCCCACUCUCACGCGGAGGGAAUGUUCCCUCCUCUCACGGACUCUCACGCGGUAUAACGCGAUGCUUCACGAAACACGUUUGGACCGAAAAACUGUAAGAAGCUCGCUUCCAUGACGUCGCCAUUGGACGAGUGCGCGGGUCUCCCCCACGCAUUCUCCCAAGGGGAUGACUGCCAAAGCGGAUGUCGACCAGAAGAUCGAUGCCGACAAGCUGCCCUCGGUCGACGACGAGCGUCCCAAGUUCCUGAAGGAUCCCUUCGGAUGGUAUGCUCAGCUCUCCUACAGGCGGCCGAGGACGAUGUUCUUUUCGAUGUGGGCGUGCAUCUUCCUGAUGUGCGCCAUCGGCGCGCCGUUUUUUAAGCAGACGCCCAACUCGGACUACGACUGGCUCCUCGGCAGGGACUCCGCCGUCGUCCAGAGGUCGUACGCGCUGAAGAAGGUGCAGGAGCGCACCGCGCAGUUCACCGUGCUCGCAGAGAGAUCGGUGCCGCAGAACGAGCAACUCUUCCAUCUCAUGUACGAGGCGCGCGGAACGGAUAACCUGCUCAAGCCCGCCAUCUUGAAGGAGAUGCUUGAGAUCGAGAAGGUACUCUUCACCGAUAAGAGGUUCGCCACCUACUGCGUCGCGGAGGUGGCGGAUUCCAGCAAGUGCUCCGCUAACGGGUUCCAAUCCCCGUUGACCAUGUUCUACAACAUCUCCAUCGGCCGGGACGCAAACAACCAGACCGUGUACGCGGCGACGCCCUACAAGGACGGCGCCGGCGCCAACUACGUGGACACCGAGCUCGGGAUCAAGACCAGGCUCUCGAUGGUCCUCGCCACGACGCAGGGACCCAAGGCGAAGCUCUGGUUCGACGCGGGUUUCAAUUCGGAUGGCGUCAGCACCGACGCCCGCUACAUGCAGGCGUUUUACUUCCUCGGCAUGCCCCUCGCGGGUUACAACAACCCCGCGGACCGCAACGAGGAGCAGCGCGUCCCCGGAAACGAGCUCUUACUCGCGGCGAGCGACGCGCUGAAGGAACGGUUCAACAUGAAGGAGACUUGGUCGAAGAGCAGCUUCCAGACGGAGGCUGUCACGACAACCGCGGAUGGCGGGAUGAAGGUAUACUGGUGGUCGCUCCCGGGCCAGGAGGACGAGUGGCUCACGCUGAGCGACAAGGACCUCAACUGGACUGUCCUCUCCUUCCUCGGCGUCAUGGCAUACGUCGCCUACCACACCGGAUCCAUCAUCAUCAGCGCGACGUCGAUGAUGAUGACUGUGACUUCCAUCUUUGUCGCGUUUUUCUUGUUCCGCGUGGUGUUCCAGGUCUCGUUCUUCCAGUUCAUCAACUUCCUCAUCAUCUUCGUGGUGAUGGGCAUCGGCGCCGACGAUGUGUUUGUGUUCAUGGACGCCUUCCACCAGAGCAUAGACGAGCUGAGGGCCAAGAACAAGCCCGCUACGCUGCCGCACAGGAUCAAGCACACGAUGCGCCGAGCGCUCCACGCCAUCUUCGUCACGUCCUUCACGACCUCCGCCGCCUUCUGCGCCACCGCCCUGUCGCCGCUGAUCCCGCUGAGGUCGUUCGGCGUGUUCUCGGCGCUGGUCAUCUUCUGCGUCUUCGCGAUCAACGCCGUGGUGCUGCCGCCGCUCACCGUUUUGUACAUUCGAAACCUCCAUGGCCGCGGCUGGAUCGGAUCGCUCAAGGCCAUGAUCCAGGGCGUCCUCCCGUUCACGGUGUUCACCCUCCCCGCGUACGAGGAUCCGGGUCUGGCAUUACCCGAUGACGAGGACAAGGCCAUGGCCGCGUCGACCGACCCGGCAGAUAAGUACAACGUGAAGCACAUGCGAAUGACGGAGCGGUUCUUUUAUGUCCGCUAUUUCAACUUUCUCAACUCGCCCGCGAAGUACGUCAUCCUCGCGGCGUUCGCCGGCCUGUUCGCUGGGGGUGUUGCGCUGUGGGUCAGUCUGGAGGUCCCGAAGGAGCCCGAGCAAUGGUUCCCCAAGUCCCACAUGUUCCAACAGUAUCAGGACAUGGGCAGCCAGAAGGUCAUGAAGGGCGGAAGCAAGGCUGAGAGACUCGACGUGAGCCUCGUAUGGGGUCUCGACGGCCUGAACACCAAGGGAACUGAUCCUUGGAUCCCGUCGGAUCUUGGAGAGGUCACGUACGACGCGAACUUUGACCCAUCUACCGCCGCGGCGCAGAAACACAUCAUGGAGUCGUACGAGUCCCUCAAAACUGCCCCAUGCACCGCCAAGGCGUGCAGUGGCGGCAAGCUUGUGGACCCCGUGGUCACGAUCCGGAACAUCCUGGCCGAGACCGACGCCAGCGGCGCGGUCGUCGGUGGGUUUUACAAGUACCUCAAUGCCCUAGGCGGGGCGUACGCCAGCUCGCACCCCGUGAACGCGCCGAUCGUCGGCGACGCAUUCAACGUGGAAAUGUGUAAGUACAGUAAGCUUGAUGCCACGAAAGUUCGCUACGCCGGGCACGUUGGGUACUACGUGAAGGACUGCGACGCUUCGCCGGUGCCGAGCGCGACGUUCAUCCUGAUAGAGGCCACCAGCAGCAUCCGCAUGCCCCAGGCGCCCGUGGACUUUACCGAAGCACAGGAGGCGUGGGAGGAUUUCGGCAAGUCGCUUGACACUGGCGCCCCCGCUGAGCUCACCGGUGCGGAGGCCACCAGCACCAACAUCUUCUGGCUCUGGUCCGUCACCUCCAUCUCGCUCAUGGACAACGUCUACCUCGGCCUCGCCGUGUGCUUCCCGAUGGUGUUCUUCGUCCUGUCCGUGUCCACCGGUAACGUCAUCCUCGCGUUUUACUCGACGAUGACAAUCGCGGGUAUCGUGACCACGGUGAUUGGCAUCGGCGCCGGCGGUCUGAUGGGCUGGGACCUCGGCACGACGGAGGCAAUCGCGGCGGUCAUCGUCAUCGGGUUCAGCGUCGAUUACUGCGUGCACCUCGCUAACGCGUACAUCGAGAACGACGCUGUCGACAGGGUGAGCCGCACGAGGAUUGCGCUCACCACGAUGGGCAUCUCGGUCACCGCGGGCGCAAUCACCACCAUCAUCGCGGGUGCCUUCCUCGGCCUCUGCAUCCUCACGUUUUUCGUCAAGUUCUCGUUCCUCAUCUGCUGGACGAUCAUCUCGAGCUACAUUUGGGCCGUGAUCUUCUUUGGGGCUCUGUGCAUAACCGCCGGACCGAGCGGAAAAUUCGGGGACAUCUCGUGGCUGCUGGCCAAGAUGUUCCCUUGGUGCCAUUGAUGAACUGUUGGCGCGCGCGUGUGUAGAUAGGCUUGACGCUCGUGAAAAAUAAUUUCCUGACAACUCCUAUCGAAUAUCUCCUCAAUCCUUGAUUUGCUCGAGCAGCUGCGCGAUCACGUCGUCCGCGAACGGGAUGUGCACGAGGUCCACCCCUUCCGAACCCCUCUUCGUCCUCGUCAGCUCGUGGUCGACAAACUCCGUCAGGUGGCUCUUCAGCGUCGUCUCGGAAGUCGCGAGGAACUGCUCGCGGCACCGCGUGUAGAACGCGUGGAAGGUCAUCCCGCCGGACUCCGGGUUCGCCAGCUGGUGCUCCGCGAGUAAACGAAAGAUGUCCCUCGCGUUGCUGGUCAGCGAACGCAACACGUUGACCGCGCCCCUCACGUGCCUCUCCUCACCCUUGCUCGCCAGCAUCUGCGGCACGUGCGCGGUCUCGUACUUGUACGGCGCGAAGGUCGUAGCCUCCUGCCAGACAAAGUUGAACCGCGCAGCCUCUCGCUUCGACCACAGCAGCGGCGCGUUGACGUGGUCCACCGACGCCACCAGGUGCACCCUGGGCAUAGCCGCGAGCUCCCCGAGCAGCGCCUGAGCCUCGGGAGAACGAAGCUGCUGCCCGUCGAUGUUGUGGAGGACGAUGUACAGCCGUUUGGGCGGGUGGUGGUGGUGCCUUUCGGAUUUAGCGCCGUUCGGCCCGAGCGAGGAGCUUCGUUCCCCAGGGGGGAGAUCCUUCGCGCCCGCCAGGGACACGUUCUUAUCUUCGCCGACAGCCGCGUCGGACCCGCCGCCUCCUCCGUCGACUCCUGGGUUGUUGGUUCCUCCCCGCUUGGACGCGCGCUCCCCGCGUUGCUUCGCCGCGAUCGCCGACUUGGUCCGCUGCGCGAGCAGGUGCGGCGCGCUGGUCGCCUCCGCGAUCAUCGCGAGUAGGGUCUCCGUGUUUGUGCCGUGGAGGUCCCUGGAGGGGACGCCGGGGUGCACGGCUGCGGCGGCGGCGGCCAGGAUCUGCUUCGGCGUGAGACCGGGGAAGUAACCGUUCACCACGAUGACCCCGCCGUCCGUCAGCAUCUUGCCGGCGAAGUCCUCCAUGAGCUCCUUCUUGCUGCCGAAGCCGUAGAGGAGCAAGGAGAACUCGCUCUGCAGCAGCUGCCACCAACGGGCGAAGUUCUUCUCGAGCGCCGUCUUCAGCCGAGCGCGCUCGUUCACGUGUCCCACGGGGAGCCGACCGAGCAGCUCGCGAACCGUGUCCUCGUCCGCGAGGUCCAAGGAUGCCAGAGAGGCGUCGGACUUGGAGUUUUUGCCCUUCAUGGCGAUGUAACCGCGGCCGCCGCGGCCGUUGGCCAGCCGCUGAGCGAGCUGCGCCUCAGCCUCGGACACCACCAUCGCGGUAUAGUCGACACCCUUCGCGCCCCCUUUUUUACCCUUGGGCUUGCCCGGCCGCCCGCUCGCGCCCGCGACGCCGCCACGAGCGCCUCCCGAGGAGUCGCCCGCGAGCGCCUGCGCGGAAGCCUUCGCCGCCCCCCGGCCGAGCACCUGCUUCCCCUCCGCUGCAGCCUUUUGGUAAAACUCAACCUGCUCCUUGGACAUCGGCUUGUGACCGGCGGCUCGCCUGUGGGGCUUGCUCUUGGCCGCCCGGCUGCCGGGGCGGGCUAUCAUGCCCACGAUCUUUGUGGGCGCCACCUCCGCGCCGCGUGCGCCUCUCUGUGUAUGUUGGGAAGGGGGAGAAAGGGUCGCGUCAGAGGUGCCUCGAUUUGAAAAAGCCGAUUGUGUUUGACGCGGAGCGCGAGGAGACGGGGCGGGGAGUCCUCGGACGACGCACCUGCCGUCCCAUCCUCGCCGCCACCCUAACGCCCUGAGCCUAUCCUCGCCCGUUUCACGCCGAAUCCAGGGUCGCCUCAGUCACGUGCCGCGAGGUGUGGGGCGUGUCUCGGUCAGUGGGGUGCUCCAGUGGGCCCAGAUCCAAAGCGCAGUUCGAGAGCUGAGUUUCGAGCAGACAGGAGCUCUAUCCGAUCCGGGUGCCGGUUCAAUCUUAUCGGCACGUCCGAUGGCUGCGUGCAUGGCUUCCAAGAUGGCCGUCGCCCCUUCUCGGGGCGCGCUUGCCCGCAAGGUCUCCGUCAAGGCCGCGCGUCGCACCGCGAUCCGCGUCCGCGCCUUCGCCCCCGCCUACGACGAGGUCUUCGACGGGAACACCGGGCAGAUGGAGAAGGUGCUCUCGCAGUCCGUCGAGUCCGUCUCCGCGGGCGGCCUGGAGUGGAGCUACCGCGUCGGCGUCCCCGAGGAGGGCACCGAGGCCAAGCCCACCAAGGUGCUCAUGGUCCACGGCGCGGGUCUCAACUCGUUCACCUACAACAAGCUCUCCAGGGAGCUCCAGAAGAUGGGCUACACCACCUUCGCCCCAGACAUGCCCGGGCACGGCGCCACGUCGAAGCCCACCUCCGGUUUCGACUACUCUGCCGCCUCUUACCAAUCCGCGCUCGAGGCGUUCAUGACCGCCGCGGGCAUCGCCGACGUCGAGGACCCGGUGGACAUGGUCGUCUCCGGGUUCAUCACCUCCCAGGCGGCGCUCCUCCUCGCCGCCGCCAACCCAGGGCUCUUCCGCAGGGUCAUCGUGAUGAACACCCCGCUGGGCCCCGGGCACAAGCUCCCCGAUCCCCUCGCGGUUUACACCCGCCCGUUCGGCAUGGGCAAGGGCGCGCAGGCGGACGUUUACAAGCUGGCGUACUUUGGCAACGAGUUCGCCAUCCCCGAGGAGACCAUGGCCAAGUACGAGGCUCCUUACGCGGGCGGCGACGGCGAAGCCGCUCGCGCCGCGCUGGAAGCGACCGUGACCAAGAACGAUCUCAAGGCGCUCACGAGCGCGGUGAGCAAGGCUUGGUCCGUCCGCGGGCUGCCCAAGGUGCGGAUCGUGUGGGGCGUGAACGACAAGUAUCUGGGCGACAAGGACAUGUACAAGUGGGCGGAGGACGUGCGCGCAACCUUCGAUUGCAUCCGCAGCGUGGGGCACAUGCCGCAGGAGGAUUUCCCGCAAGAGGCGGCCAAGUUCGUCGGCGCCUACCUCGAGAGCGAGCUGAAGGUGAGCGCGCUGGGCAGCGUGCGUCUCGGGAAGGUUACCAAGGACGACGAUUACCAGAGGUGAUCGUCGGGAUCUAUCUCAAUUGAAUGCGCAAAAAAGCGAACAGUAGCAUCGAGCGCGACAACCUCCUCCCACGUGCCUUGCCGUUUCCUUGAACUCCCACAGUUGAACUGGAGCCUGCACGUCAUCGCCAACGAAAAUCCGCGAAGAGGCCACUUCCACGCACGCGAGCGCGACGGGUCGAACGUGAGUGUCAACAUGGCGGCGGCGGAGCUCAGCGCGGUAUAUCGCGCCAUGCAGAAGAGCGCGGCGAGGUUCUCAAACUACAACGUUCGAGAGUGAGUCCUCGACCCCCGCGCGAUCCACCCCGAACCCGGGACUAACCCUAACAAUCGGCAUCCGCCCGCUCCCGACGUCCCGGGCUCACGUCCGUCCCUCUUUCCCGUCGCUCGCUCGCAGGUACUUCAAGCGCAGGGUUCGGGAGGAGUUCGAGAAGAACGCCAACCUGGUGGGCGAGGAGGCGGCCGCGGCGCUGGCCAAGGCGAAGAAGGACCUCGCCGUGAUCGACAGGCAGGUUCAGGUAUACUCGCUGUACGGGUCCGAGUUGAGGUCUGUGCUCGAAAUAACAAGGAAGCCGUGAAGGAACCCACAGUAGCACGCUUAGUCUCGGUAUAACAACACCACGCGGAAGCGGUGGAGAGAUCGUCGUCUCGUCGUCUCGUCACGGGAGCCGUCCGAUUUGGAGCUCCGAGCAGGCGCCUCGGAAAACAAAACGCAAUCCGUCGUCACACGCCGUCACUUCAGCCUCUCCAACACGUAGCUCGUCUUUCUCGCCGACGAGCGCGUGACCCGCCGCCCGGAGUCGUCGUCGCUGAUCGCGGCGGGCGUCGCGUCGAUCCUCUUCAGCGCCGCCGCCUGCGAGAUGGACUUUCGCCUCGUCGUCGUCGCCGAGGGCGUCGACUCGGAGUUUGAGACGCCUGUCGAUUUCGACCCCUUUUGCUUCUUCCUCGCCGUCGUCGUCGUCGUCGCCGCCGCCGCCUUGGGAGGUUUCUCCGCCGCCGCCGCCGCGACCGACGCCCGCCUCGACUUGCGCUCCGCCGCCGUCGACGCCCUCGGGGUCCCAUCCGGGAAGAUCAUCGACCCGGACGUCGUCGCGCCGGGCGUCGCGGACUGUUGUUCCGACAGCCGCCGGCUGCUCCUCCUCCUCGCGGCGGUUGGCGGCGGGGGGGGCGCGGCUUGGGGGGCGACGGGCACGGGGGUGGUACCCGCGAUGACGCCGCCGCCUUCCUCGUCCUCGUCCACGACCAUCGCGUCCGCCGCUUUCUUCGCCGGUGACUUUGCCGGUGAUUUCGCCGGUGACUUGGCCGGUGAUUUCGCCGGUGACUUGGCCGGCGACUUGGCCGGUGACUUGGCCGGUGACUUGGCCGGUGACUUGGCCGGCGAGACGGGCCUCCGCGGAGAGACUGGGCGCGCGGGUCGCGAGGUCGCGGGCGUCAUCGCCGGCUGCCUCGCGGGCGUGGGCCCGAACCCGAGCCCCUGCCCGAACGCGGGCGCGGUCCAGUGCCUCGGCGCCGGGGACAGCCCCGAGGGCGCCGCCGAGCGGGCCGCCGCCGCUCUCCGUUCCGCGGCUUGUUUCUUCUUCGCGCCAAACGGGCUAAACACCGCCGCGGGCUCGGGGACCCUCGACGCGACGGGCUCCCUGGCGCGGGACCCGGCGACCAACGGCCGGACCCUGAACCCCUCGUCUGACCCGUCCGACCCGUCUGACCCGUCCCCCGCGUCGUCCCCGUCGUCAGCGUCGACGUCCAUCGCCUCGUCCUCCCCGUCCCCGUCGCCGCGAAGAUCCAGCGCCGUCCACGCGUCGCCACCGCCGCCCGUCGCCGCCCUGCCCGGCCGGCCCGUCUCAUCGGCCGCGCGAGCCAAGGGCCCGGGGGACGCGUCGAUGGCGCCGUCUUCGGACACGCCGGCGUCCAGCCCGGAGUCCAGCCCGGCCUCGCCCAGGGUGUUAGCGGCGGCGGCGGAUGCCGCGAGCGGCGCGGCGAAGAAGGGUACGUGGCCGCCUGCGCUCUUCGGCUCGCCUUCGGCUAGCGCUCCCCCCAUCGCGCGGAGCACCCCGCCCGCGGACGGCGACUUCUCCGAGGGCAGGAUCGCGCCCGCCGGGGUUUUCGCAAAGUCCAUCGGCGUCGCGGGCUGCACCACGAGGCCCCUCGCGAGCGCGCGCUUACCCCCGCCAGCCUCGUCUCUCGCCUCCGCGGCGCCGACCAGGUGGAGCCUCUGCAUGGACUCCGGCAUCGAUCGCACCGCCGCCUCGAGCGCCGCCAACGCGUCCGCGGGGAGAGCCCUCGCGCCCCCCGCCAGCGCAGCCGCGCGCGCCGCCGCCUCCGUCGUCCUGCCCCGGGUGAGAUAGUAGACCACGCCGAGGUGCUCGGCGGCGCCCGCGGCGGUCCCGGCGUUGGAAUCCAGCCACGACAUGAGCGCCGGCUCGAGCUCCCCGUCAAAGGGCAGGUCGAGGACCGACUCGAGCGCGCCGCGCGCCGCCGCGUGCGACGCCAGCCUGGCGACGAGCUUAUCCGCCACGGCGCGCCUGGACGCGUGCGGCGCGGCGGCGACGGCGUCCCUGGCGCAGACGAACGCCUCGGUGGCGAGGCCGCACUCCAGCCGAACGGCGACGCCGAGCUCCGCUUCCACCGUCGCGUCAGUCACGUAGCCGUCCGCGCCGCCUGUCGACGCGUCACCCGUACCCCCGACGCCGACCGUUCCAUUCGAAUGCGUCAGGUUCCUGCCCUUGAACCCCGCGGCGACGUCGCUCCGCCGCGCCCUGGCGACGGCGAGCGCAUCCGCCGGCUUUCCCCUCGCCGCGAGCGUCGCGACGAACCGGAGUGGCAAACCGGGGUGCGAAGCGCCCGGGAGCAGGGCGCACGCCAGCUCGAGCGACGAGCCGCGCGAGUGGUCGUCGAGCAGCGCCGCGCACCGCGUCUCGACGAAGAGCCGCGGGUGCAGGCGGACGUGCGACGCGAACCUCGCGGGGGCGCCGUCGGGGGGCAAGCCGGCGUCGAGGAGGUAGUAGAGGAAGAGGCUCUGCUUGGCGACGAGGGCGGCGGGCGCGGCGCUCCCGUGCCUGAACACCCUCUCCGCAGCCUCCGUCGCGGACUUGAACGGGUACGGCGGCGCGUGCACGCCCACGCCCGCGAGUAGAUCGUCGAGGAAGAGCCCGCCGCCGUCGGCGUCGGGCGGUAGGUCCGCCGCCGCCGCCGCCGCCGCCGCCGCGGCUCGCCGAACGGUAACCUCCGACGCCCACUGCGCGGGGCCCCCGUACCUGUCCUGCGACGCCGCGGCGCCGGCGACGAGUCCCUCGCGCAGCGCCCAGGAGAGCGCCGCGGCGUGCUGCAUCCGCCGCGCGGCGUCGUCGUGCGCCACCUGCAGCCUCCGUUGGAACCCGGGGCUUCCAUCCGCCGACAGCUGCGCCAGCUGUGUCGACGUCGCCGCAUCCGCCGCCUCGGCGCUGUCGCCGCCCGCGGCGGGGUCCGCGCCGAGCGCGACGAGGACGUCGCGGAGCGCCUCGAAGACGGCGCCGGCGCGGUCGACCUCGUCCGCGGCGCCCUGGGUGCGCAACGCCGCCGCCUGGUCCAACGCCUGCUCCGCGGAUCGAAGCGAAGACGCGGCCCACUCGGCAACCAUCUCGCCGUCCUGGAGGUACGCCUCGACGCCGUCGGGGGAGGAGAAGUCGUCGUGGCCGCACACCUCGUCGACGUAGUGGCACACCAGCUGGGGCAUGCCGUUGGCGACCGCCGCGUCGAAGAGCUGGUGGAGCUUGGCGACGUCCGAGGCGCCGUCGCCGGCCGCCGACGCCGCGUGCGCCGUCGCGGAGGCGGAGCUGACGGAGGCGCCGGUGAGGACGCCGGCCUGCGCGCACCGCGAGUGGAUCACCCGGAGCUUCUGAACCUUGGAGAGGUCCGCGGGGUCGCACAUCGCCAGCUCCGCGAGCGCCUGCUCCCGAGGGGGGAGCGCGUUCCUGAACGCCAUCUCGAGGGGCGCUUCUCAGGCGAGUGAGAUCCCUAAUAACUUUCGGAUUCCCGCCUCCGCCUCUGUGCCGGAUCCGGGCGCCGGAUCGAGAGCCCGCGCGCCUCCCUUUGCGACGCGGACGAGCCGGUCAGACGAUCGGGGCGGUACGCUCGUCCGGGUCCGCUCCUCGCAGAGUGCGCCCAAGUGGUGUUCUUCCGUUUGUUUGAAAAUCAUCGGCAGCUCCGUCGCUUACACGCGCUGCGAGCGCCCACCUUCGUCCUGUCGCCUCUCCGGGACUGGAUAUCGGAUGGUGAGGCGCGCGACACACGACCGCGGCGCCCGUAUCCGACCACGGCGACCAACCGCGGCGAUGUCGAGCGCAUCUCAGCAUCUCGCUCCAGCGUUCGCGCGGCUCUCCGGGGCCGCAUCGAGGCGCAGCGCCCCUCCGGUGACCCGAUGUCACGCGGUUUGCCACGCGGACGACGACGUGUCGGCACCCGAGGGCCGAUCGUUGUCGUCCGGGAGGCGGGCGCUGUUCCUCGCCGCCGGCGUCGGCGCGUCCAUCCCCAUCCCCGCGCGACCCGCGCGCGCAUCCGAGGCGUCCAACCUCGCGUCCCUCGCGUCGCAGGAGCCCGACGCCGAGAUCGCGCUCGAGGUCUGGGACGAGGUCGUCCGGCUCGCGAGGCGAUCGGGAGAGCUCGCCACGCCCACGGGUGGGAACUGGAUGUACUCGAGGGCGACGUGCCUGGGCGGGCUUUCGCGGUGGACCGACGCCGAGCGCGCGUACGCCGAGGCCACCGACAUCCUCGAGCUCGCGCUCGAAUCCUCGGGGCCGGGGAGCCGGGACCGCGCCGGCGCGUUGACCCUCGCGCUGGCGCACGACGGCAGGAGUCUCGCGCUCGGCGCCCUCGCCGACUGGCCCGCCGCGGUGGACGCGAGCAGACGCGCGCUCGCCGCGGGGGGCGCCGCGGGCGUCGCGGAGAACGGCGGCAUCGACGUCCCCACCACCGCGCUCCUCGCGGGUUUGCGGGGUGGACCCCCGACGGUGGCGCAGCGGCUCGACUUCAACGCGGCGAUGGCUCGGUGGGGCGCCGGCGACGUGGGGUUCGCGGCGAACGCGUUGGCUCGGCUCGAUAAGGGCCCGUCGCCGGUCGCCGGUCGCGGGGGCCAGUUCUGGGAGGCCAGGGCGGCGCUCGCGGCGGCGCUGUACGCCAACGGGUCCCUCCCGGCGGCGGAGGCGGAGUGGUCACAGCUGUGCGAACCCGUCGGGCCCAACCCGCCGGCGACGCCGUCUGAUCCGUUUCGGAAAGUCGUCAACAAGGCUGCGCAGGGCGCGUUUGACGCGGGGGGGAUCCUGAUGGACAAGAGGUGCGAGGAUUUCAGCACCGGGACGCCGCUGCCGUGCGACGACGCGGGGAUACCGGGUUCGGGCGGGAGCGCCAGCCCGUGUCUCAUCUUCACCGACGCGGAGACGGAGCGAAGGCUGUGGCCGGCGAGCGCGAGGCGGUCGCUGCUCGAGUUCAUCAGGGACGGGCCGGAGGCGUUGCGCAGGUAGUACAGUACGUCUUCUCGUGUAACCCUUAGUGCGCGUGCCGUCGUCGCGUGAUUGCUGUCGCUCGAGGUCGCGGUGCCCUCGUUCUCAACUCGACGCGUCGUGCCUUCUCCGCUCGCAACCGCGCCGGCUUUACGCGGCGUCAGGGACGGCGACCGCCUUCUCGUCCAGCUGUUCAGUUGUCGUACCUUCGCCUCGCUUCGUAAAUAUUCAGUCUGCUCUGACUCCGGUGGCCAGAAGCGCAGAGCGACCCCCGCCGGGCUUGUCGGUUGCACCGCACGCGUGAUGGUGGUCAUCGAGGAUGAUAGCGUGAGGAUGGACGCCGUGUGCCAGCCCCUGCAGGUGCGCCACCGCCCCGGGCCCUCGCGUCGAUUCCGAUCGGUCAACCAAGCGACGCCCGGGUGCCCAUGUCUCCGCCGAGGCCCCGAUCCUGACCUCACGCUCCCCCUCACCGCCGUCUCCCCCUUCCGCAGUACCACCCCGGGGCGACCGUCACUAAGGUCGUGGGCACGAGCAACUUCCCUCCGUCCUUCGCCGCGGUGGGCUACGCUCCAUGCUUCAAGGGCUUCGGGUGAGCCUGAGAGAUCCCGAUCCCCCGAAAUCAAAUCCCAGAUCCACGGCCGAACGAACCACUGACCCGAGCCGCUCCAACCCGAUCCCCGAACCAACUCACAGUCCCGUGCCCGGUGGUAAGGCUGAGAAUAACCCCGACGUCGCCUUCGUAAAGCGUGCGGAGGUCCAGCCCGACGCGGGCGCCAUCCACGGCGCGUUCCAGCACGUCGCCAUCUUUAAGAACAUCCUCGUCGCCGCCGACGGAUGCAAAUCGGCCAAGCUCAGGGUGUUCGACGUGCGGGAUUGGUCCGAGAAGCAGGUCAUACGCGUUGGCGCCGUCAGCGAGGCCACUACGGGCGACUCCUCGGGCGCCGGCGGCCCCGCGCCCGCGGCGGUCACCUCCCUGGUAUUCGAUGGUACCACAAUCGCGUGCGGCACCGCGGAGGGUCACGCGCACACGUGGCGACUGGCCGAGCACGAGGGCAAACGCGGGUACGUUCGCCUGCUGCACCCGCUGCGCGUGGACUCGCAGCCGGUGACGCGGCUAUCGCUCGCGUCGGAGGCCAACCUGCUGACGGCGUACUCGCCCACGAAGCGAACGCUGGUGGUUUGGUCUCUGGAAACCGGCAAGCUUCAUGCGGCGUAUUCGGUGGACGGGGUGGCGAAAGGUACGCCCCUGCGUUUCACCGCGCACGUGGAGUCGGUCAUCGCUUGCGUCCACGCGUUCGGGGACGGGGACGACCCGGACGGCGGAAAGGGCGUGCUCGCCGCGCUUCUGGACGUCAAGACCGGCGAGGGCGGCGCCGUCAAGGGCGCGAGGGAGGUCACCGAGGGCGAGGGGGAGCCCCGGUGCCUAACCUUCGACGGCGAGUUGCUCUGCGUCGGAACCUCGGGAGGCGCGGUCAUCGCGUGGAACGUGGGCGAGGCGUACGCCCCGUGGAAGGGGUACCACGGCGGCGAGGUUGGAUGCGUCGCGAACGUGCCGGGCGACGCGGCGAGGAUCGUCUCGGGGGGAGCCGACGGUAGAAUAAUUCUGUGGGACGGCGAGGGUAAAGCGCAGGCUCGGAUGGAGGUUGGAUCUCCGGUGACGGCGAUUCACGCGCCGUCGCCGAGGCUGGCGCUCGCGGGAACCGAGGACGGCGCGGUCCACGUGGUGGCGCUGUGCGACGGCGAGACGGACGCGGACGAGGCUCUCACCGCCGAGCUUCGCGGCGGGAAGAGAAGGUCCAACGAGCUCGCGCGGUACAGCUUCAAGUUCGACGCGAAGGGCGCCUCCCCGGGGUGUGAGUCUUUCGAGGCGUUCACGCGCACGUUCCGGAUCGAGGAGGGCGCGUACACGGCCCCGCCCGCCGAGAAGGAGGAUACGAAGAAAUCGAGGGCUGACGAGGCCAGGGACAAAAAGGUCGCGGAGGCCAUGAUGAAGGGGGUUGGCGAGACAGAGGAGGAGCGGAAGAAGCGGGAGGACGAGGAGGAAGCCGCCAAGCACCGCGCGAUGGACGGCGCCGGCGUCGCCCGCGACCCUAACAUCAAGUCCAGCACCGAGGGUUUACGGCGGUGCUCCAACCCGCGGUGCGUAGAGCGCGAGGAUACAAUCGCGGGCAAGAUGCUGAGGUGUUCGCGGUGCAAGGCGGCGUGUUACUGCUCCUCGCACUGUCAGCGGACGCACUGGCGGGACGGUCACAGGGAGUCCUGCAAGCCCCCGGGCGCAGCCGCGCCCGAACUGACUGAGGAGGCGGCGAAAGACGCGCCGGCACCGCCCUCGCCGGCGCCGCAGCGAAGGCAGCUCGUCAUCGAGGACGACUCCGAGGAUGAAUCCUCCGAGGAGGAGGAGGAGGAGGAGAAGGAGGAGGAGAAGGAGGAGGAGAAGGAGGAGAAGAAGGAGGAGGAGGAGGAGGAGGAGGACAAGGAGGAGGAGAAGGAGGAGGAGGAGGAGGACAAGGUGGAGGAGAAUGAGCCCACCGCGCGUGACGAGAAGGAGGCAGAGCCGGAGCUGGAGAAGGAUGAAUCGCCCUUCGACGAGACCGAAGAGCCGCUCGUCGUUCGCCCGGGCCUACCGCCUUUGGACGAGAUCUUCGCCGACCUGGACCUCGACCCGGACGAGUUGGCGCAGCUCAACAACAUGAACGACAUGAACGACAUGGACGAGUCGCUCGAUGACUUCGAUGACUUCGAUGACUUCGACGUCAUUCGGGCGGGCGACGAGCGGACUCGAGCGAUGGAUGAUGAGUUGUUUGAGGACCUGGACGACGACGACAUCGACGAGGAGGACAUGGAGGAGUUCCAGAAGGCGAUGGAUAUGCCCGCGUUACCCCCGUGGAUGACCACUCACAGGCCGGGCGCCCAGCAGAGCGUGACUGCGCCGUCGGACACGGGUGGCGUCGAGGAGCCCUCGGCUUCCGCUUCGAAGCCGGGGUCCAAUCCAUCGCCUGCGGUGGAGAAGGAGGAGGCUCCCGAGGUGGCGGAAGACUCGGAUGAUGACCCGCUGUACGACCUCGACUGAUUCAUCGAAUUUCAUCGAAGCGAAAACUUAUCAUAUCGGCACCCGCCCGGCACACAUUCCCAAGCGGGGCCCGACUGGAAACACCGGGGCAAGGCGACGGAUGCUUCGAACCCUUCGCGGCGCUUGUAGAUCGAUGUCAGCCCUCACGUCCGCCCAUGGCGGCGUCUACUGGCGCUCGGCCGCCCUCAGGCGCGCCGAGACCUCCCCCGCCACCUUUGCCCUCUCGUGCUCAAACCCUGCUCGAGGACACGUCGUCUCCUCCCACCAUGCAGCGGCGAACGAGGACGGCGAGACCUCCUCCGCGGCCCCAGGGAGCGCGCACGGGGGUUUCAGGGUGAAGCGCACCAAGGUCGUGGACGCACCGCGGCGCACAGCGGACCCGAGCGACCUAGCCACGGGCUUCGUCAGCGGCACCCGCAACGAGUUUCACGGCAGAAAGCGUGUGAAAAAGUACGUCCGACACGUGAAGGAUGCGCCAGGCGCGCUCUCGCGCUUCCCGUACCUACACGACAGCUUCUGCUUCGACGGCAAGGAGUGCACGACGGAGGGUCUCACGCGCGCCUUCGAACCCCAGGUCUCCGAGGAGCGCAUCGCGCGCCUCGACGCCGUCGUCCAGCAGAGAUCUUUCGACCUCAUGCCGAUCCUCGAGGGGGUCUACGACAUCGGCAACGUGCUGGCCGUGUGCAGGUCAACCGAGGCGCUCGGCAUCGGAUCCCUCGGCGUCAUCUCCGACGCGGGGCUCGCGUUCAAGCAAUCCGGGCGGACCUCGGGCGGCGCGGUCAAGUGGACCAACUUGGAGCAGUGGCGGUCCACCGAGGAAGCCAUUCGAGAGGUGAAAGCCCGAGGAUACCGCGUUUUAACCACGGUGUUUGAAGGCGGACACCCGCUGGAGCACUACGAUUGGACGGUACCCACGGCGGUGAUCUUGGGCAACGAGCGCGAUGGUGUGAGCGACGAGGCCAAGCGCCUGGCGGACGGCGGCGUGUACAUAUCCAUGAACGGGUUCACCGAGAGUCUGAACGUGUCGGUGGCGAGCUCGAUGAUCAUGCACCACGCCGUGCAGGACCGGACGAGGCGACUGGGCUCGCACGGGAACCUCAGCGAACGGGAGAAGGAGACCCUGCGGGCGGUGUACCUGGCGAGGCUCGUGCCGCGGUAUCAGAAGCACGGGUACCUUAGACAGCUUCUCGAGCGCGCGGAGCGGGACAGCGAAACCGCGGCUCUCGAGGAGGAGGAGGAGGACGACGAGGAGGAGAGGUGCGAGGAGACUGACGACGAAGUGUUCCUGCUGAACGCUCUGGAGGUCGCCAAGAUUGUAAAGCGGCCGAGGAAGAAAAAGUUCGGAAGGCCGGUGAAGGACGACCACGCGAGGAUCAUGACCGAGGUCGAGACGGUCAGGGCGGAUGCAUGAAUUGAAACUAGCCUUGAAUUGAAACUACCUUCGUACCUUCGAAGGUAAAACAGAAAAGCACGUCACCGUCUACUCCGUCGCGUGGUUCUGCCGCCCCUGGCUGGUUCCUCCGGCGGCGCCUCCUUCUUCUCCUCCUCAACCGUGACCUCCUCCUUGGGAGGUUUCGUGUCUGCCACCGGUGUGGCGGCAGCCUCCGCCUCGGGUGGUGGUUUUUCGUCCGUCUCCAUCGGCUCCGCUUCCGGCUCCGGCUCCUCCUUGGCCUCCUCCUUGGCCUCCUCCUUGGCCUCCUCCUUGGCGCUGAUGGGAAGGCCCAAGGUCAGAGCCUCCGCAACUGCGUCGAUGUCCUCCUCCGAUCGCUCGACAAUCGCCUCCGCGUCCGCUUUCUCGUCUCCCUGUUCCUCGGAGGAUGAUUCUCGCUGUUUCUUGACGGGCAGCGGCCUGAAGGGCUUGUACUUGCUCCCGUUGGACUUGCAGCACGGCGGGCACGUGAAGUGAAUGUCGGGAUCCUCGGGUUCCUCCUCCGUGGGCGGCGCCAUCCCGCAGCAGUCGUAGUGGAACCAACCCUCGCACUUAUCGCACGAGAUCAUCGGUCGCAACGCGUCGUAAGGCGUCUUGCAAAGGCAGUACACCUCGCAGCGCUCGCCCAGUUCCUCGAGCUCGUCCUUGAGGUUGAUCGGCAGCGCGCGACCUUCGUCCAUCAGCUUGACAACCUCCUCAACCGGGACGUUCUUGCUCCCGUCCACCGCAUCCGCCGCGCGAUCCAGCCAUGCCUGGCCCUUAGCCUCCGUCUCCUGCACCCGGUCGCCGAGCGGGUCGGGGCCCGGCACCUCGGCCGUUUUCCCCGGGAUGAUCACCCCAGCCGCGACGCCCGUCUCGCGGAGCUCGGUGAGAACCGCGAGCGUCGGGAACUUUGAAACGUCGUCGGCGUCGGCGGCGUCGGCGGCGGAGCCAACCUUCUCGGCGAGUGCCGCGUUGGCGCGCUCGCGCCACGCGGCGCCGCACACCUCGCGGAGCAGGCUCGGAAGCUCGGGUUCCAGCGGGUUCGGGUCGAUCUCCAUCGCGAGCGCCCCCUUGAGACCCGCGAAGAUCUGCCGAAGCGGGUUACCCGGCCCGGUGACGGCGGCCAGCCUCUCCGCGGCGGCUUGAGCGAUUUUCGCGAGCUCCAUGGCCACAGUCUCGAGCUCCUUCUCCUCCUCGCUGGGCUGCUCCGGGGGUUUCUUGCGGCGGGGCUUGGGCGCUUGGGGCGGGUCCGGUGCGGGCGGGGUCGGGGACUUGGACUUGGGAACGUCCUCGUUCGUGGCGAGGAGAGCGGCCUCCUCAGCCUUCACCUCGGGUUCCUCCUCCUUCUUCGGCUCCUCUUCAGCCUCGACCUUCGCAUCUUCGGGCGCAGCCUCCGCAAUCUCGGCAUCCGCCUCGGGUUUCUCCUCCUCGAUGGCGGUGUCCGCCUUGGUGGCGGUGUCUGCCUCCUCCUUGGGCGCAGCCUCGGCGGGCGGCUCGUCCCCGGCUUGGGAGUCGUCCUCCUCGUCCUGCUCCACGGCAGCCGCCGCCGCCGCCGCGGCUACCCUCUGCUGCUCCAUGAGUCCGCUGCCCAGCGCGUCGAGCUGCAUGUCGUGCUGCUUGCUCAGGGUCAGGAAGUGCUGCUGCAUCAUCAUGACCUGGAUCAUGACCUGGUACUGCUGCGUCGCCGCCUCCUGCGAGCCCGGCGCCGCUCGCGGCGCCGCGGCAAUUUGCUGCUGGAUGGACUGCUGGCACGUGGCGAGUUGGUGGACAAAGGUUCCAAUCUCCUGUAGCUGCGCCACGAGCAUGGCCUCGAAGGGAGCCGCGGACUCCGCCGCCUUGGCGACGGUGGCCUCGUCCGCGUUACCCCCAGCGAGCCCCGCGGCGGCGGCGGCGGUCACCGCGCCCUUGAGCUGCAUCAGCUGCUGCUGCUUGAUGGCCGCGGCUUGGCCGACUUGCUGCCCGAGCGCCUCGAGCUGCUGGUCCGGCGGCAGGUGCGCCAUGCGCUGCGCCGCCUCCAUCGCGGCGUUGUGCGUCCCGCCGCCCCCGGCGCCGAGCAGCGCGGCCGCCAUCGCGGUCGCGCCGGCCAGCACCUGCGCGUGUUGCACAGCCGCGGCGCGUUCGGCGACGGCGCGGGUCCUCGCCUCUCUCGCGCCCCGCAGUUCCAUGUACGCAUCCGCGGCUUUGUUGGCCUUGUCGGCUGUCUCCCGCGCCUCCUUCUCGAGGGGAGCGAGCGUGGACCUGCGCUCGAGCGCGUCCGCCACCGCCGCGCGCCACGCCGCGUGUUCGGCGAACACUUCAGCGAGAAGAUCCUCCUCUGGAAGCUUACCGGCAAAGUCCAUAGCCUCCAAGAGCAUCUCCCCCAGGUUGACCAGCGCGGGUCGGCGAGUGCGGUGGAUGUGCUUGUACACCUCCUUGGGGUUGUUGAGCUUGAGCACGUCCCCGGCGGCAGCCUGGCACGCGAGGCAGGUGUACUUCUGCGCGUUCCUCGCGAACGUGGCGGUGACCCCCGCGCACCGCAGGUGGUACCAGUCACCGCACACGUCGCACCCGAGCAUCUCGCGGCCGCCGGGUUGCCGGCAGAGACAAAACUGGCCCUCCUCGCUCUCCGGGGGCUCGCCGGUGCCCUCAAGAUCCGCGGUCGCCGCCCUGAUGGACUGCACGACGAGCUUCAGCGCGGUGAUUGAGUCGUCCACCGCGAUGGCGUGGACGCCGGCGCUGCUGCGGGGACGUAUCAGGAGCUUACGCAGCCGCUCGGACCACGCCGUCAUCGCCGCCGCCGCCGCGGCGAGCUCGACGCCCUCCUCGGAUUUGAGCGGAAGGCCCUCGCCCGUCGACUGCAUCUCGAGGACGUCGGCCAUGGCGGGCCUGUCGUCGACCUUGUCCUUCGCCGCGGCGAGUCGCUGGUUGACGGCGGCGGCGACCCUAGUGGCGGCGGCGGCCAUCCGCGCCACCUCCCUGGCCUCGGCCGCGGCUUCCUCGUCCUUGACCGCGCCGGCGGCAGCGGGCGACUCUUUACGAGUAACGUGCUUGCUCCCUUUCUUCCCCUUCUUCUUGCUCUUCCUCAGCCGCUCAGCCUCCGCCGCAGCCUCCGCAGCCUUCGCCGCGGCCGUCGCGGACUCUUCGUCGGCCGCAGCCUGGUCGGCGGCUUGCGUCGCGGCGGCGGCGGCUGCUUCCUCGGCGAGUUGCUCCGCGGAGGGCUUCGGCUUUGGCGGCCCCAAAAGUUUCCUCGCCGCCUCCACCCACCGCCGGUGCUCGUCCAGGAUGGUCUCCAGCUCCGUGACGCGCGGCACAAUCGCGGGCAGCUUCUUGCCCUGCUCCACGAGCUCCUGGAUAACCUCGGGAGUCGGCCUCUUCUCGGCGUUCGCCGCGGCUUGAAGGACGCUGGCGGGCUUUUGCUUCGUCGCCACGCGGUCGUUAAGGCCCAUCGCGGAGUCAACCUUCUCGCUCCACUCGUCGAUCUUCUCGAGCCUGCGCGCGAGCUCGUCCCGCAGCUCCUCUUCCAUGUCAUCGGUGUUGAUGUCUUUGGCUCGCUCGCGCAGGUCCUCGAGGAUCUCCAGCUGGGGUAAGGGCUCCGAACCGCCCGGCUUCUUGCUCGCGGGGCUCGAAUCCGCGGAUUUGCUCAGACUCUUUUUCUUAUCUUUCGCAUCCGCGGCGGCGGCUGGCAUCGAGAGCGCGUCACGUACCUCGCGCUCCCACUCGAGCGCCGCGAGGCACGCGCGCACGUCAGCCGCGGCGGGAAGCUCGAGUCCGAAGCGCUCGUGGUCCAGCAUGAGCUCCGUGAACGUCUGCUCCGCGCCCUCCUCCUUCCACCUCUCCACGGCUUUCUCGGCGCGAUCGCCCCACUCCUUCGCCUCCGCGACCCUCUCUGUCAGAGCCUGGAGCUCCUUGACCUGCACGAAGAACUUAUUCGCGUCUCGCACGAGUCGCUCGGCGUGCGCCAAGGUCGGGGGCGGCGCGGCGGCGCCCCGGCGCGUGAGCUGCUUCCCCUUGAGGCACUGCUGAGCUUUUUCAACCCACGAUCGGGCAGAGUUGGAGGCGUCGUAGAGUACGUCAAAGAGAGCCAACGCGCACGGGAUGGCCUGCGCCUCCUUCACCAGCUUCUCGACAUCCUCGAGGGGCUUGAGGUUGCCAACCUCGGCGUCGGCGUGCAUCGCCGCGGCGCGUUUCUCCCACGCCUCGCCGUUGGCCACGUUCUGCCGCAGGCGGUCCAGCAACGCGCGCUCCUGGUCGGUGACGUGGUCCUCGUCGACGGGGGGCGGCACAGCUGGCGGCGCGGCGGCAUCCGACUCGGCAUCCGUCGUGGGAGCCUUCUUCCCGCCGCCGCCGCCCUUCUUUCCUUUCUUACCGCCCUUCGCCGUCGGUGCCGGGGGCUCGGGUGCCUUAUCCGGGGUCUUGACGCCCUCGAUGAUGGCGGCGCCCGCCGCGACGACGGCUCGGAUCUCAUCCAGGGAAAUCGGGUCGGGCUUGCCGGCGGCGACGAGCUUGGCGGGGUCCGCCCACUCUCUGACGCGUAUGCGCUCCCUCAGCGCCGCGAGGUCCGUGACCGGGCACACGGCCAUGGACUCGCCCUCCUCGAGGAGCGAUCGGAGCCGCUCGAGCUUCGCGUUCUGCUCGUCAGCCUUGAUGGUCACCUCCACCCACUGCUUCGCGCGCUCGCAAGCCGCCUCGAGGAGCUCAACCCGCGGGCACUGGCACGGGAGGUCCAAACCCUCCUCCAAGAGAGCCUCCGCGUCGUCAAUCUCCGCGGCGGGGACGCGCUCCAUCAGCGUCUGCGCCUUGGUCGACCACGCCUGGGUCUCCUCCACCGCAGAGUCCACAGAGUCCAGGUCGUUGGGCUGAACGGGCAGGUUGACCGCGCCGGCUUUGAGCUCGGCGAGUUGGUCAAGCGUGGGCAGCUCCGAUCUCGCGGGUCGGUGCCGCCGGCCGGGUAAAGCGCGCCUCACGCGCUCGCUCCAUGCGUGCGCGGCGGCGACCGCCUCCUUGAGCCUCCUCGCGGAUGUGACCUCAAUCGGGCCCCGCGCCACCUCCGCGGCGAGCGAGAUGCACUUCUUGGGAUUCGGGUUGGGCGUCUCCGCGAGGGUGGCCACCACUCGCGACUCGAGGUCCUCCCCGGCGGCGAGAACCCUGCGGAACAUCUCCUCCUCCUCCGCGGGCAACGGGAACGGCGCGGCGUCGAGAAGCUGCCGGAGCCUGUUGAGGGACAUGCGCCUCGGCGGGGCCACGCCGCCGGUCUUGCCGUCCUUGUUCGGCUUGGGGUUGGCAUCCUUGGCGUCGACGUCCAUCGCAUCCUGGACGCCAUCCUCCGCCUUGACCUCCGCCUUGACCUCCGCGGGUUCCUUCUUCGUCGUCGCCUCGGGCGUGGGGGUCUCCUCCUUGCCGUACUUACCCCCACGGCGGCGUCGGAGGGGCGCGCCGGCGGCGGCGGCGACGACGAUAUCCGCGUCGUCGAGCUCGGGCUCCUCCCAUCCGGUUCGGCCAUCCACGGUCUCGUCCUCGCCGAGGUUGAUGCGGCGCUUGAGAAUGGCGAGCUCCUUCUGGAACGCGAUGGCGAUGGAGACAUUCGCGGCCAUCUUGCGCACGUCGUCCAUGUCCGUGCCCGCCCACGUGAACUCCUCAGCCGCGAUCAUGAUAGCCUCGAGGUCAGUCGUCGGCGUCGGCGGGGACUUUUGCUCCAAAGCCUCCUUGGCCCGCUUCACCCACGCGGCGGCGCGCUUCUGCCUCAACUUGGCCGCCCCGUAAGCCUUCUCCUUCUCGCUCACCUUGGCGCGUUUGCCGCACGCGCGCUCCGUGCUGGAGCACAGCCGCUCGAGCUGCGCGAUGCUCUUGCGGUAGAACAUCACGCGGUGCGAGUUUGGACACUCGCAUAGCUCGGCGGAGUGGCGAAGGCACGCCGCCCUGUCGGGAUUGCACGAGCACGCCACCCCGGAGAGGUGAAGGAUGAACCGGCAGAUGGUGCACUCGCGAUCGUACGCGCCGUUCGCGUUGCUCGUGGGUAGCAAACUCUCCGCGUCGUCCAGGGGGUCCAGCGCGGCGUCCAUCGCCGCGCGGGUCGCCGUAGCCGCGGCGUCCGCCUCGGGCGACGCACCGUCCGACUCGGAUUUGAUCCCCGCAGACGCCCUCGCAUCCUGCGCGUUCUUAGCCGUCAUGGCGGCUGCGGCGAGCUUCCUCGGCGUGUACCGUCUGGUGCGCACGACGCCGUCGGUGAGAAGUUGCUCGCGUGCGCCGCGUUCCUCGUUGGUCAGCCGUCUCAGGUCUCCGAUGAGCCACCUGGCGGUUUCCUCCGAGGGCGAAUCCGCCGCGGCGACGCAGAGCAGCUCGUCGUGGCAGAGCACCGAGGGUUUGCGGUAGAGCCUGUACCGCUCCACGCCGUCGUACCCGAACCUGAGCCAGUCCGGCGGGGCGAAGUUGACCGCCUCGGCGACGUUGAAACCGGUGUUGAAUCCGCCGUGGUACGACUUGGGGAAGGUGACCACGAAUUCACCCGCGUGUUGAUCCGUCCGGUACACGGGGACGCCCUCGCUGACCAGGAGAGAGGGCGAGAGCAUGGUGACGAGCUGGAGGAGCAGAUCGGGCUGAGCCGCGAACAGGUCGGGCAUCGCCUGCUUGAAGCACUCCUCGAACGCGUCCGCGGCGGCGCCGGGAACCCCGUACCAGGUCUUGGCCGCGCCCACGUGGUUGUAGUUGACGCUGUACAGCAUGUGGUCCUCAAAGUGCCAGCAAAAGGACGAAAACGUGCUGCCGACGUAGAGCCACGGGACGAUCACGCCCGGGAUGUGGUCGUUGACCUGACGGAGCAAGCUCGGGUGCUCGCCCUCCGCGCUGGGCAGGUUGUUGAGGUUCCACGGGUGCUCCGCGGCGGCGUUGUGUUCAUCCGGUCGCUUUCCGGGCCCGUGGUCGGCGUCCCAGGUUCGUGGGAACGCGCUGCCGUGGACGCUGGUGUCGAGGUCCGCGCCGUAGUACACGUCCACGGACUUGCCGCUGCCCUCCUCGACCAUCUUCCAGAAGGCUUCCUCGAUGUCCGGGAUGGAGACCGGCUCGUCUUGGCCGAAGAAUUGCGCGUCGAAACGAGCGCACUCCUCCUUGAACUGCUCGAUGGUGAACGUCUUGCCCGAGUUGAACCCGAUGUCCUCGGCGUCGUUCGCGGCGGCGAUGCAGUCGGGACAGAACCAGUCGCCCUGGGGGAGCUCAUCCAACGGCGGUGACAGGCAGUACAUGUGGUACCUGCGCGGCGGGGGCGAGGCGGUGUUAGCAAAAAAGAGAAUUGGGAAAAAACAGUCUCGUGGUGGCGGGGAGGAUCUCCUCGCUGACGGGGACGCGAGAUUCGGGUCGUUGCGAUCGGGGCGUUGAUCGACGCGCGCGGGACUCACCCUCGGUCGCAUCCGUCGCAGAGGAUCAUGGACUCCUCGUGGGAGGUUCCCCCGCAAUUUACGCAGCCCGCGGGCUGCUCCUCGAGCUGCUGCGCCACCUCCUCGAGGCCCUGUUGAGUUGGAUGGGUGAGCCGGUCGGGUGUCAAGAAAAGGGUCAGCGAGAGUCUCUCGCGCCUGCUUGGCGGGGAGCCGCGAUGGAAAUGCGGGGGUGGCGAGGCGGGCGGUGGGGGAAAGGAGGGGACGCACCAUCUCGAGCUUGGCCCUCGGUGGCGGCGCGGCGGCGUUGCCGAGCUCGAACAGCGCCUCGAUCAGAUCCUCCUCGACGCCGAUGGAGUCCCGCCUGGCGCGGUCCUUGAGCUCCUUGGACUUCUCCUCCCUGGCGAGCCUCUCUUGCUCUUUUUUGGUCUGAGCCGCCUCCUUCGCCUUGCCCGCGGGCGAGAGGUUCUCCUGUCGCGCCUUGUGCUGUUCGAAGUCCAGGAGCCACUUCUGGUACAGCGCCCGCAGCGCCAUCGCCGCGGAGGUGACCGUGGCGGGCGUGUCCAUCACCCUGGCCAUGUCGCGCCAGCCCUUGGCGCGGCACACCGCGUCGAAUCCGCCCCGCUGCGUGACGUUGUCGUAGAGCGCCUGCAGGUCCAGCUUCUUGCCGCCGUAGACGGGCCAGCGCGUGACGCUCUGCCCGCGGCUCUGCAUGAAGUCGGCGUACUCAGUCCUGAAGCUCCUAUUCUUCCCUUUCUUCAGCCGAAGCUGCAGCUCGUUCACCGUCUGGACGCGCGUCUUGAAGGCGAAGGAAGCGGCGUCCUGAUUGAACGGGACCUUGAACGAACUCGGAGGGACGAUCCGGCAGAUGCCGAACUCCUCCGCCUCGGCGCGGAUGGAGGCGAUGUACCGCAGAGGAUCGGCGAACUCAUCUUCCGUGGGAUGGUACACCGGCGCCUCCUUCAGCGCGCUCAGGCGAUACUUCUUGCCCAUGGCGCGAGGGGGCGAAACACGCGCGGGCUCCUCCGAUGCUUUUUCCGGGUGGACCCGGCGGAUAUUCUGCCUUCGCGCCGGUCCUUUGCGUCACUCGCGCCUGCGCGCGAAGGCCGCGUUCGAACCUCUCGCGGGUCUGCGCGGCUCGAGCUCGGCUACGACCGGGCUCGCCGCGAUGACCGAGCGAUCGAACCGACCCGCGCGCCGUCGCGCCUGUCGCCAAUGCCAGACGAGCGAUGCACGGCUGGACUUUGCACGCGUGUACAGGUUCGGGCUCACGUCGGCAAAAAAACACGACAAAGCACACAGGCAAACAGUCUGAUUUCGACCCAAAGAUGCCGGCAAAACCAGAAACGGCGGUCUAUUUCUCUCCCGAACAACGCCGAAGCCUCUCGGACGGUUCAAACCGCACCUGCACCUGGCGGAGAUCUCUGAUGGCGGACCUGGGCCUGGAGCUCUCCAGCCCGCCCACGGAUGGCGUCACGUCCCUGCGCUUCGGCGAUGAUUCGGGCCUCCUCCUCGCCACCAGCUGGGACGCGGGCGUGCGGCUGUACGACGCCGAUCCAGUCUCGGGCAGCUCAACCCUCAGGCAGCACUUCACCACGCCCGGGCCCGUGUUCGACGCGUGCUUCGCCGCGGGUGGGGACACCGCGAUCGUCAGCGGGGGGCUCGGCAAGAGCGUGGUGAGGCACGACCUCACGUCGGGCGCCGACGACGUCGUGGGAACGCACGGCGCGGCGGUGAAGUGCGUGGAGUGGGAUCACGAGACGGGCCUGAUCUUGUCCGGGGGUUGGGACGGGAGGCUCAAGUGCUGGGAUGCUCGCCUCCCCGAGGAACGGCGAUGCAUCGCGGACGUCGAGCUCCCGGGUAAGGUCUACUCCAUGUCCCUGACGGGCUCGGGGAGCCCCACGAGGAGGCUCGUGGUCGCCAUGGCCGGCAGGGCGGUGCACGUGUACACGCCGAUGGGCCUGACCAUGUCCGGAGCGCCCGAGCAGGCGAGGGAGUCCCCGAUGGGUCACCAGUCCCGGUGCGUGCGGUGGCUCCCGGACGGCACCGGCUUCGCGCUCGCGUCCGUGGAGGGCAGGGUGGCGUGGGAGUACCUCGACCUAACGCCGGCUGCGCAGGAGAAGAAGUACGCGUUUAAGUGCCACCGGGUGCGAGACGCCGGGGUCGAGACGAUCCAUCCGGUGCACGCGGUGGCGUUUCACCCGUGGGGAACGUUCGCGACGGGCGGAGGCGACGGUGUCGUCAACGUGUGGGACGGCGCGCACAAGAAGAGGCUGUAUCAGUACCCCAAAUACGCCACGUCAAUCGCCGCGCUCGCUUUCAACGCCGACGGGGACAAGUUGGCGGUGGCGGCGAGUUACGUGGGCGAGAGCGGGGACGCGCCCGCGCCGAGGGACGCGGUGUACGUGAGGAAGGUGGAGCCAGGGGAGGUGACGCCCAAGAGCGGGGUGCCGAAGUAGUCGAUGAGUCGCUAGCCGCGCCGUGGUUCUCCGUGUCGACGAUGCGUGUGUUGGAUCUAAAUUUUACUUCAAAAAACCCAACUGCCGAUAGGAACCGAUGAUCCGUGGCACUCCUUGCACCGAGAGCGCUGACGACCGUGCUCGCAGAUUGCUGACCCACCACAGUCCUUGCACACAGAGCGCCGACGGCCGUGCUUGCAGAUUGCUGACCCACCACAGUCCUUGCACUGAGAGCGAUGACGACCGUGCUCACAGAUUUGAGACCCACCGCACUCCUUGCACUGAGAGCGCCGACGGCCGUGCUCGCAGACUGAUGCACCACCGCACUCCUUGCAAUGAGAGCGCUGACGACCGUGCUCGCAGAUUGCUGAUCCGCCGCACUGCUUGCACUGAGCGCGCUGACGACCGUGCUCGCAGAUUGAUGCACCACCGCACUCCUUGCAGUAUCUGCGCUGACGACCAUGCUCGCAGACUGAUGCACCACCGCACUCCUUGCACCGAGAGCGCACACGACCGUGCUCGCAGAUUGAUGCACCACCGCACUCCUUGCACUGAGCGCGCUGACGACCGUGCUCGCAGAUUUCAGACCCACCGCACUCCUUGCACACAGAGCGCCGACGGCCGUGCUCGCAGAUUUGAGACCCACCGCACUCCUUGCACUGAGAGCGAUGACGACCGUGCUCGCAGAUUUGAGACCCGCCGCACUCCUUGCACUGAGAGCGCCUGCGGCCGUGCUCGCAGAUUGAUGCACCACCGCACUCCUUGCAAUGAGAGCGCUGACGACCGUGCUCGCAGAUUGCUGAUCCGCCGCACUCCUUGCACUGAGCGCGCUGACGACCGUGCUCGCAGAUUGCUGAUCCGCCGCACUCCUUGCACCGAGAGCGCCGACGACCGUGCUCGCAGAAACCAGACUUUGGAGUUGGCUUAUCGCUCCAGUCUCGCUGUCUCUUCACGCCCCGCUGCGCGGGCGCUGAACCCAACCCUACGUUCACAGGUCGCGCAUCCAUCAUCCUGCGGAUCCUGGGCUCAACCCCCUUCUUCUCCGCCGCCACCCUUGCUCAGGUACUCGAGCACUCUGAACGAACGCCCCUGCAAGAUCUCACGUUUCUGCUCCCUCUUCCACUGAUUGAUGUCCUCCCACUGCUCCGCGGUGACGGGCACCGAGUUGGCUCUUAUCUUGCGGUGGACGUCCCACGAGGACACCGCGACGAUGGCCCCCGCGGCGAGGAACUGCAGCAGCUUCGACGGGGCCCCACCGCUCAUGCGGCAGCCCCGCGCUGAAUUUUUUGCGAUGACGUCGCUCCCCGGAACCUUCUAAGUUAACAGCACCGACAAAGUAGACCCGCACACGGAGAUGCGCGCAGCCGCGACGAGCCGCGCGACUGGAGGGACCGCGAUGGUGAUGCGGUCUGCGACAUGCAGGCGCGCCGCGGAGUGCAUGCGCCGCGCCGCGACCGCGCCUCGACUCCGAGCGACGGAUCGCCCGACGCAUCAUCGCCGGCUCCACCCGGCUUCCACCGCAGCCGUCGCGACACGCGCGGACGCGGCUGAGCCGUCUCCGACCGGAACGACGGGGGCUCCCGCGCCGCGCGCCAAAGGCGUUAAGCUCCCCGCGUUCGAUUACACCGCGCUCGUCGCGUCCGUGUGCGAGGUGCGCGCGUUGGGCGUGCCCACGAAGGUGGAGCUCGCCGCGCAGGCCGACGCCUACACCCUCGUGCUCGGCCUGCGUGGCAUCGACGGAAACGUCGCGCUGCACGUGUCCUGGCACCCCGACGCCGCGCGCGUGUGCCUCGGACCGCCCCCGCCGAGGAUCCACAAGACCGAGCAGCUAUCGUUCGGCGAGCAGUGCCACGCGCUGCUCAGGAACCUCGUGCUGACGCGCGCGGCGCUGCCCGAGCCGUGGGAGAGGGUCGCGACGUUCUCAUUCGCCGAUCGGCCCGGAGACGAACCGCGGUUCACGCUGCACUGCGAGGUCAUGGGACGCAACAGCAACGCCGUGCUGGUGGACGAUGCCACGGGGAAGAUCGCCGCGUGCGCCUACCAGGUGGGAGCCGCGCAAACGUCCGUGCGACCGCUGUCGCCGGGGUUUGAGUACCGACCGCCACCGCCUGCGCCGGGCGUAGCUCCGAACGACGCGCCCGCCCUCGCGGAGUGGCGCGAUAUCGUCACGAGAGCGGCGGCGUUGGUCGCGGACGACCGGGUCAAAUCGUCCAAAAGUAAGGGGGGAACUAAGGGAGGAACCGGGCACGGGCAGCAGCCGACGCCCGGGGUGGAGAAGGGUAUGGUUCGCGCGUUUCGCGGCGUGAGCCCGGCGCUCGCGGCGACGCUCCUCGCCGGCUCCGGCGCGAACGUCGGUUCCUCGGACCCUUCGCCGUCCGCCCUUACCGACGACGCGUGGCGCGCGCUCCACGAGGAGUGGCGGCGGUGGGUGGACGCGUUGACCGGCGCGGUGGACGCGGUCGGCGGCGGCGGCGGAGGUGGCGGAGGAGGCGGCGAUAACGCGGCGGCGACCGCGAUCCUCGAAGCCGCGGGUUGGUGCGACGGGGGCGGGCAGCUCCUGUUGCACGAGCCGGCGGACCCGAUCGGCGCGGGCCUGACGCCGCUCUCGGCGGCGUCCAGGGCGGCGGACCCCGCGGGCGCCGGCGGGCCCGUCGGCGCGCUGUUCGCCGAGGUUUACGGCGGCGCGGGCGACGCCGACGUGUUCCGCCGGGAGAAGGACCGAUUGCUCCAAGCCGUCGGCGCCGCCGUGAAAAAAAAUCGUCAGAAGGUCAACUCCUUUCGUAAGCAGAUCGCCGAGGCGGAGGCGCACGAGGACGUCAAGACCCGCGCGGACGAGAUCAUGGCGUAUCAACACGGGUACCAGCAGGGAGCGAGCGCGCUCACGGUGUACGACUUUGAGACUGGGGAGGCUAAGGAAAUCCCAAUCGACGCGCUCAAGGGACCGGUUGCGGCGGCUGAGGCGCUGUAUAAAAAAGCGAGGAAACAGCGGAGGACCGCGGGCGCCGUGGAGCCACUGCUCGAGGCGGCGUCGCGCGAGGCGGAGUACCUCGAGCAGGUUGAGUUUUCCCUCCGGGAACUGACGGGGCAGGGUGGCAAGGAUGACGUUUUGGCGCUGGAGGAGAUCGACGCCGAGCUCGUAGACGCGAGGCUCGUCAAGCCCACGGGCAAGGGCGCCGCGGCCGAGAUCAAGCGACAGGAGAGAUCGAGCGGCGGCGGCAAGGGGAAGAGAGGGGCAACGCCCUCGAAGCCCAAGAAGAAGGGCGGGCGGGACGAUCCGAUGAUCAACAUUCGGAGGUACGUCGCCCCCAGCGGGAAGGAGGUGCUCGUCGGUCGAAACAGCCGAGGCAACGAGGCGGUGAGCCUCUCCAUCGGCAAGGAUCAGGACGUGUGGUUCCACGUGCGCGGGGCGCCCGGCGCGCACGUCAUCUUGCGGCAGCAGCCCGGACAGGAGGCCAGCGACGAGGACCUUCAGUACGCCGCGGAUCUCGCCGCGUUUCACUCCAAGCUGCGAACGGGCGGGAAGGUUGACGUGUCGUUCACGUCGCCGAAAUUCGUGCGAAAGCCGAGCGGCGGGAGGUUGGGGAUGGUGACGAUUGACAAGGAGAGGGUGAUGCUGGGGAUGCCGGACGCGAGCGAGGCGGCGGCGGAGGAGGAACGCGAUCGCGCGGCGGGGAAGAAGACGGCGUCCUCUUGGUAGCACCGGUUUAAUGCGACGUUUCGACGCGUCGAGAUCUUCCGCAACAGCCGCAAACAGAAGCAAAUAUCAUAUCGAAACUCCCGAAAACCCGAAAAGGUGCGGCGGCCACUUCGCAGGAAGCGCCCGUGGUCCGCGCGGGCCCGUCGAGCGACAGCCAAGACGAGCCGCCGCGGUGUUACCGAGCUCGCGCGCGCCAUGUCGGUCCUCGCGACGCAUCUUCCGGCGGUCGCCCCGAGGCCCCCGACCGGGUGCGCGAGCCGAUGGGCACCUCUCCGGGCUGCCACGUCGACGACCAAACCUCCGACGAGGACGGGCGUCCGAGGCGCGGCGUCCUCCGCCUCCGCGUCGUCGCCUUCGUCCCCGGAUGACGCCACCGCGACGAUAAGACCCUUAUCAGGCGUUUGGUGCGAUCCUCGGAGGGUCCGAUCGCUUCGCGGCGGCGACGUCCCGGUGGGCGAAGGUCCUGUGGUGUACUGGAUGUCCCGGGACCAGCGGGCGAUGGACAACUGGGCGCUCUGCCACGCCCUCGCCGUCGCGCGCGAGCAUCGCCGACCGCUGCACGUGGUCUUCGCGCUCGUCCCUGAGUUCGCCAACGCGGGCGCGAGGCAGUACUGCUUCAUGCUCCGCGGGCUGAGGGAGCUGGAGUCGAGGCUGAGAGAUCUCGGCAUCCCGUUCCACCUCGCGCAAGGGCCGGACCCCGGCGUCUCCGUCCCGGCCGCCGCGGAACGCCUCGGGUGCUCCAUGCUCGUCACGGAUUUCUCCCCUCUGCGAAUCGGACGCGCGUGGCGGGACUCGGUGACCACGCUGCUGUGCCCGGUGGACGUUCCGGUGGCGGAGGUUGACGCCCACAACGUCGUGCCGGCGUGGGUGGCGUCGGAGAAGCAGGAAUACGCGGCGAGGACCAUCCGGAAGAAGAUCAACGGACGUCUCACCGACUUUCUCACCGACUUUCCAACGGUCGAGGACGUGCGCGAGGCGGCGACGGAGGCUGCCGCGGGCGCCGAGAAACACCCGGUGAGAAGCGCCGGGUCCAUCGAUUGGGACGGCCUGAUCGACGCGGCGCGGGCAGGCGCGGGGGGGGCGGUGCCCGAGGUGCUCUCGCCGUCGCCGCCGCGGUCGAGGGCGCCGGGUGAAACAGCCGCGCUCGCGGCGCUGUUUGGUACCAGCGCCUCGUUUCUCCCCAAUCGCCUCGCGCUGUACGGCAGCAGGAACGACCCCAACGUUCCGGAGGCGCUCUCCGGUCUCUCCCCGUACCUCCACUUUGGGCAGCUCUCGGCGCAGCGGUGCGCCGUCGAGGCUACGAAACACCGCGCGAAGCAUCCGGAGGCUGUGGAUUCAUUUCUAGAAGAGCUCAUCGUCCGACGCGAGCUCGCGGAUAACUUUUGCCUCCACAACCCCCACUACGACUCCAUCGCGGGCGCCCCGGGGUGGGCGCGGGAGUCCCUCGCGUUGCACGCUUCCGAUGCGCGAGAGUUUGCGUACACUUUGGAGGAGUUGGAGCAUUCGCGAACGCACGACGAGCUCUGGAACGCGGCGCAGAAGGAGCUGACGCACCUGGGCACCAUGCACGGGUUCCUGCGCAUGUACUGGGCCAAGAAGAUCCUGGAGUGGACCGGCGAGGGACCGGAGGAGGCGCUGCGACGGGCGAUUUAUCUCAACGACAGGUACCAGCUGGACGGUCGCGAUCCGAAUGGUUACGUCGGGUGCAUGUGGGCCAUCUGCGGGGUUCACGACCAGGGCUGGAAAGAGCGCGACGUGUUCGGAAAGGUUCGGUACAUGAACUACGCGGGGUGCAAGCGAAAGUUUAAGAUCGCCGAGUACGUGGAGAGGGUGGAGAGGGAGGUUGCGAAGGAGCUCGCGGUGAGGUUGGCGAGGCGGGAGGAGGCGGUGGUGUGAAAUUUUCCAUGUGUGUGUGAAAAUCACGAAAAUGUCCCGAGUGCCUCUCGGCACAACGCUGGUGUCUCUGCCGCCGAAUGAAUUAUUCGCGAGGGUGGGACGCGUGCACGAGCUUCCAAAGAUGCGCCGGGGUCGUCUGGGUUUAACAGAGGGGUGGGUAUAUCGGGACUUUCAUCGGCUGCACGCGUCCUUGCGGGGAGAAGCACAUAACGCGCCAAUGAAUGGAGGCGGGAACACGUAAUCGCCAAUGAAAUAAUCAUUGGAUUAUACACAUAAGGGGUAUUUUUUUACUAACUUGCGUAGUCUAUCGUAGUCAUAUGUAGUCAUCUCAUAAUUCAAGAAUCACGGUUUAUUUAUCUACAUAGAAUCUAGCCAGGGGACGAAAUGACUGUUUAUAACUCAUCAAGGACAGCUUGGUUUCUGAAACCGAGGCAAACCGAGGCAUUAUAGGCAAGCAGAACUACAAAUGUGAACUCGCCAAUGAUUUUCCAGCUGCUUUUGACUCAAGAAUGCCUGUCUAUUUGCGCACGGGUUUUGGUUACGGACGAAAGUUACGGGGAUUUUGACGAAAACUGAAAAAAGUUACGGGGAUUUUGCCUUUGCGUCCGCAGCCUGGCAGCCCGUGCGUCAGCGAGCCCAACCGACAGGCCAUUUUUUCGCCGAGUUGAACGCCCCUCGCGCAGUUCGACGCGCGCGUGCGGAGAGUUUGCCAUGCGUGGGCGCGCGUCUUUACUCGCCAUCGUGGUCGCGAGCCUCCUCGCGACCGCUUCGGCUCAGCCUAAACCCGAGAGGCCGAGCGGUGGGGGUCCGGGAGGCGGGGGGGCGGGAGCGGGAGACAAAAAACCACCGGGCUCGAGGCCCGGUGCGCCCCCGGCUGAAGGAAAGCCCCCCUCGCGGCCAGGUUCCGGGGGGUCCCUCGCCGCUGGUGGCAAGCUCGCGUUCGACUCCGCGACUGGUAAGCUGAAGGGAACGUGGGCCGGAGCCAUCAUCCCUUCUUACAGGGCGCCCAUGGCUGCUCCGCUCCUCGGCACGGUGGGCUACGGAACGGACUCUAAACUCAUCUACGGUCCGUUCGAGGCUGGGUUCGGUGCCGGGCCGACGUCCACGUCAGCGUCCGACGCUAGGCCCCCUUACCCUUGCAAGGACGGAUCCACCUACUCGGGUUACUGCCCAGGCGGCAUGGACGUCAAGACUUGCGAGGAGACGCUCUUCAAGACGUGCGCCAGCGGCACCGUUCGAACCGAACUCUUCAUGGACGAGUGCGGGGGCCACGCCAACCCUUACCACUACCACAUGGACCCCGUGUGCCUCUACAAACCGGACGACCCCGGUCAUUCCGGCGUCGUUGGCGUCAUGCUCGACGGCAGGCCCCUCUACGGCCGGCACGAAACCACGGGGACGGCACCCGCGGACCUCGACCCGUGCGGCGGGCACACCGGAACAGUGCCCGCGUACGAUUCGUGGGGCAUCCCGGAGGGCGCCAAGAUCUACCACUACCACGCGCGGACCAAGCCGCCGUUCUUGCUCGGGUGCUACGGCGACGAGACUACCAGCUCGCUGCAGCACUGCCGGCGGCUGUACCAGUCCGGGACGCGCAAGUGCGGUGACGGCGCGGGGGUAACGAUGAGCGGGUCUGUGGAGUUGGAGUACGAUCUCUGGUGCCCGUGCUACGACUCGGACGGCAAGCAAGCCGAUGGGGACUCCGACGACGACAAAGGGGGUGUGGUCGCGGCCCCCGGCCUCCCGGCCUCCCCGCCUCGGCCUCCCGGCCUUCCGGACGGCUACGACACCUGGGAGGAGUACAAGAAGGAGCAGGACAGGAAGGCUGAACACGCCAAGAGGGAUGCGGAGAAGAAGAAAGAGGCUGAGGAGAAGAAGAAGAAGGAGGCUGAGGAGAAGAAGAAGGAGGCUGAGGACAAGAAGAAAGAGGCUGAGGAGAAGAAGAAGCAGGCUGAGGAGAAGCGCAAGAAGCUCGAGGAGAAGAAGAAGGAGGCUGAGGAGAAGCGCAAGAAGCUCGAGGAGGAGCGGAAAGAGGCAAAAGCCAAGCGCGACGCGAUGCUCGCGAAGAUUGCCGACGCAAAGGCUGCGCGGCGCGCUAAGGUCCUCGCGGACGCGGCCAUCGCGGGCAAGAACGCGACGAGGGUGAAGUUCAAGAAGCCCGCGCCCAACGCCACCGCCGCGUGCGACCUCGCCUUUGCCGCCAUGCCCUCGGUGAACUCCUCCAAGGCUUUUUGCAACGCCACCGAGACCUCCGCUUCCUCGGGCCGACGCCGCCGCAUCCUCAACACCGAAUACGACGUGACGAUCGAGGUUAACCCCGAGGAGGUCAACGUGACCGCCGCGGUCACCGAGCUGCAGAGCGGGGGUAUCACCCCCACCACCACCCAAGUCGACCCGCUGGUGGCGCUGGCCUCGGUGGACGGCGUCGAUUCGGGGGACCUGACGGCGCUAAAGACCGAGGUGGCGGGCGCCGCGGAGGUGCAGGCGGAGGUUGCCGCCAUCGAGGACCAGGUCGACUCGACCGAGGCUGAGGUUUCCGACGCCGAGGCGGAGGUGAAGGACGCCGAGGCGGAGGCUGACGGGCUCCAGGCGGAGGCUGACGAGCUCCAGGCGGAGGCUGACGAGCUCAAGGCAGAGGCUGAGUACGCCGACCAGGUUGCCGACGAGGAGAAGAAGAAGGCGGAUGCUGCUGCUGACACCGUGAGUGCCCUUCCCCCGCGCUCCGACGACGAGGCCGACGUGGACAUCAUUACCACGACCAAACCGAAAGGAGGAGCCGCGGGGCUCGCGGGGCUUUUCACCGCGCUCGUCGCCACGGCCGCGGCGCUUGUCAGCGUUGGGCAAAUCGGGUGAGCCCCGUUGUAUCAUACAAACCCCGUUGUAUCAUAGACUACGAAGGUAUCUAAAAGUAGCUAGCAAUAUCAGCUUGUUGUAAAGUCAAGACGACGAGACUCUCUUCAGGCUCCCGCCACGCCCGGCGCCCACACCGCGAUCCUCCCGUCCGCGAGUCCCCCGACGAUGCACUCCUCCGGCGUGGUCCGCAGCGCCGUCACCGCCGGCCCCGGCCCGUCGUAGCGCGCGCAGACGCGAAGGUCGUGACAGUUACGGACGACGACCGCACCCUUCUCACCCCCGGUGACCAGGAAACGUCCAUCGGGCGACAGCGUCAGCGCGUGCAGCCGCUCCGUGGCGUUCGCGGUCGCGAGGGGUGGCGCGUCCGACGGGGAGUUGAUCCCGUGCGUCGAGAGCGUCAGUUGAUCCCCGUCGUACACGAGAACCGCCGCGACGGGCGCCUCGAGGAAACAGAGCCACGACGGGACGCCCGCAUCCGACCCCGCAUCCCUGAGCGUCCGCAGGUGACGGCCCUGGCGCAGCGUGUGCAGCAACACCGCGCCGUCCGCGCCCCCCGACGCCACCAGGUCGAGCUCCGCGGAAGCCGCGACGCACGUCACCCCGUCCGCGUGACCGAAGAGGAUCCGACGAGGACGCUGCCCGAGCCCGCCGCCGCGAGAGAAGGACGGAUGCGCGCCGCCCCACCCGUCGGGCGGCGGCGUCACCUCCCACACGGCCACCGUGGUAUCGCGAGAGCCGCUCACCACGAUCGUCGCGCCGUCGUUCCACCCCAGGGCGUCGUCCCAGCCGGAGCCGUCGUCGUUAUAUCCCUGCGCGAUGUUGAGCGCUUUGGUGCGGAGGGCGCCGAGCGCACCCUUGACGUCGGACUUGGCCCACGCGCGUCCCACCCGCCCGGCGGUGGUGGAUAUACACGUCACGAGGUCCCUGUGCCCGGUCGCGAUCUGCAGCUCGCGGCUGUCCUCGACGGAGAGCACCCUCAGGCCGUGGUCCCAGUGUCCGCACGAGAGUAAAAUUUUUCCACCCGCGAGCGUCGCGAAAUGCUGCGAACCCACGACAGCCUCCGCGGCGAAAGGGGCGACCCUUCGCUUCACGGCGACGGAAUCGCACUCCACCGCGUACCCCGCCGCGUAUUGAUCCCCACCCUGCGUCCAGUUUCCGGAACCCGUGAUGUGUUCCUUGACGUCCUUGAUGAGAUCAGCGGCGGACCCGAUGGCCUGCGUGAGCGCAGAGUUGCCCCCGUCGAUCUUUGGGCGGACAAACCGGUGAGAGCCCACGGCGCAAUCGACCGACGCCGUCACCACCUUGACCCCAGAAGGAAGCCCGGGGACGUUCGCCGAUUGCCCGAAGAGGUUCCCCCCGCCGACCGACGCGAGGUCCGAUCCCUCGACGGAGACGAAAGCGACGGGUGAUGCCGGCGCGUUUGGGGGAAACCGAGGCGGCGCCGUCACGGAUGUCAGCGCGACGCUGUGCGGCGAGUGGCGAAUGGGCGGGAGCGGCGACGGGGGCGGCGCUCGCCUCGGGUGGGGUUUCCUGAAGAGCUGCGCGGGGGUCUGGCCGAAGUUGACGAUCUGCGACUCCGCGGCGGCGCGAGCGUCCGGGUCCUUGACCGCGUCGAGGUCGACGGACCCUUCGUACGUGAGCGGGUGGAAGACGUUGCGGCGCUUCACGCUCUCGUCUCCGCGUUGCGCGUGGCCAAACACGAGAUCGAUCCACAGGUGCAUCCUGGCAGAGACAGUCUCGGAUUCCAGAGCCUCGCGCAUGACGCGAAUAAACUCGUGCGGGGAACCAUCGGCCCACGGGGGUAACGCGACGUCGCCGACGGACGCGCCUUGCUGAGUGGCACCCAGGUUGAAGCCGCUGGAGUUUGCGAGAAAUUCGGGGAGGGAGUAAAAUUCCGGGAUGAGCUCCUUGACGUCGGCGGUGGACUCGAGGCACGCACGCCAGCACCUGUCCACGGAGGCGAAGAGCCUGUCCGCGUGGUCGAAUCGUCCCCCCUGGAGCGACCUCGCCAGCCCCGUGAACGGCUGGAGCCUGAUGAGGAAGAAGAGGACAAUCGCGGCGGAGGAGUAGUGCGACCCGUAGUGAAACGGCGGCGUCAGGCUGUCGGGAUCCUCCGCCAGCAGCUGGUACCGCUCGAUGAACUGCUUGAGCCUCGGUUCGUGGAGGGCGCCGACGGGCUUGGCCAGGUCCCUGAACACCUGCGGGUCGUUCAGGUCGAUAGAGUCGGACGUAUAAUCCGACAGCACCCACGGAAACACGGGGUAUUGCGUUAAAUCGUUCCUGGUUCGACCGGCGAGCGUGUUGAGCGACAUGAGGUAGUCAAACGUGGAAAGCUCACGCCGGCACCAUCGCUCCUGCGCGCGCUGCGCCGCGGCGAGCUUACGACGCCGAUCCAUGAGCGUGAUCCCCGGCCUGCACGUCGCGAUGCGCAUGGCGGCGUCGCGCGCCGAUCGCUUAUCUUGAAACGCGAGAAACGCGCUCCGCCGAUCGAUGAGGAAAAUCUCGACGGCGACGUGCUGCAGCCGGUACCUCGCGUGGUGAACCUCAUCGACGCGAGCGAUGGGCCAGCGCCAGAACCGUUUCUUGCUCUUUUCGCUGCCCUCGGCGGUUGACGCGGAUUCUUCGCCGUUUCGAUCGUCGUCCUGGUCCCUAUCCGCGAUGAAACUCACCGCGGCGCGCGAAACCUUGACCUGCCCCCGAACCGUUCGCUUGGAGCCGACCAGCACGGCGGGCAGGCUCAGCAGAAUCUUACGCCUAUCCUCGCGCGUGAGCUCCGCAGCCUCGCGCUCAGCCUCCGCAGCUUUUGCCGCGGCGGCAGCCUCGGCCUCGGCCUCGGCGCUCGCGACGGCAGCCUCGUCCAUCGUCCCGUCGUCCUCCUCGGUUUUCCUCACCCGGAGAGCGUCCCCGCCGACCAACUUGCUCAUCUCAUCCGCGUUGACGGAUACGCCCAAACUACCGGCAGCCUUUUCCCCGUCCCGGUCCUCGUCGCGGUACACGACGUAGUGGUAGUCUCGCUUGAGACGUAACCUGCGGUGGGAACUGUCCUCGGCGCUGUCGAGCUUCCACUUGUACGGCGGUCGAGUCGGGUCCUCGGAUGAACCCCGAUACGCCGCCGACCAUGGCCCGCUCUCAUCCGUGAGCUCGCGCAGUAGCGACGUCCAUCGACGGUCCAUGGCCUGCGCCUCCUCUUCGGACCGCGCGUUGGCGAGGGCUCUGCGCUGCGCUUCCCUGUCGCACACCUGGGACAUCACCGCGGCUCUGCGCUCGAGUAAACCGCGCUCGGCGGUUCGCUCGUGGUAAUAGGACGAAGCCGCCUCCGAAGCGGCGCGCUCGCUCGCGGCUCGGCGAGCCUCGGCAGCCCUGCGGCCCUCCUUGGCGUCGAACGCGGCUCCCGCGGCGGCUUUUUGCUCGGAGAUGAGCCCGCGCAGGGGAUCCCCGCCGUCCGACCCCGACGUGGUCAUCACGGCGGCGGCCACCGCGCUGGCUCGGACGCUCCCUCCGCCGGGGACGACGCCGCCCCGAAGGGAUCCGCCGCCGCCGUCUCCGUGAAGCACAUCCUUCCCUCUCCCCACGGCCGCGCCCACGAGCCGCCCCGCGAGCGCCGCUCGUUCGGGCGACGACGGCGCGAGGUCGUUCUCCGCGCGGACGAGCGCGGCGAGGAACCAGUGCAGCCGAGCGGACGUGCUCUCCCGCUCCUCGUUGGACAUCGGGGCGCUCGGCAGGAUUGAACCGAGGAGCGUCUCCAGUUUGUUGGUUGCGGAUUCAGCCAUCGGCGACGGAGCCUCUCGGAUGUACGCGACGAUUAGGCGGAACGCGACGCGCUGUAACGCCGCCCGUUGCGCGGGUCUCUGCGCCGCGAGUUUUUUGCGCGGUAGAUCCUCCGUGGACCCAAAGUCGACGUCGUGACCGUCCAGAACCGUGGAAUUUUGCCUCGAGUGACCCGGCGUACCCCUCGCGCCGUUAUUAGACUUUACGGUGGGUGCCAAAGCCUCGAUCGCCGACCACGCCCCCUCGCACAUGCGCAGAGUCUCCGCCGCGAGACCCUGCUCCGGGGAGAGCUCGGUGACGAGCGGAAGGAGGGACCAGAGGUUAUCGCAGCACGGAGCCGCCGCGAGCGUGCUCGUCCAACUCGCCGAUGAAACGUCUCCGGCAUCCUCCGAAGGCGGCGGCGGCAGAGUCUGUUCGAGGAGCCCCUCGAAAAGGUCGGCGAGCAGCGUGCGCAACGAGGCCGGCGCAUCGAGCUGGUUCCGGUCCCCCGCGGCCGCGACGACGGCCGCGGUCGUCUCCACGACCCCGGCGCCCCCCUCGACCCGCAGCACCGCGUGGGUGUGGAGCGCCCUGAAGAGUCUCAGCGCCAACGCGCGUUCCUCGUCGACGCUCUUGGUGAACACCGGCAUGAGCCACUGCUGCCACCCGGCCUGGCCCAGGACCACGUGCGCGUUCCCGGCCGCGCCCUCGACCAGGCUCAGGAUCAGUUCCAACACCCCCGCGCGCAUCUCGCUCUCCUCACUCUUCUCCAAGAGUCGAAGCAGGAGACCCGCGGCGGAGGCGUGGACGAUGCCCGGUACCCCCGAGGUGGACGAUCCGGCGACGGGCUCGAGCAGGGUUCCCUUGGACAGCUGAACGGCUCCGGCGGAUCCGCUGCUGGACACCGAGGCGAAGAAACGACCGGCCGCGUAUUUAGCCGCGGCCCUCGCCGAGGCGACGGAUACCCCGCCAAAGGUUGAAGAUUUUGACGACGGUUUCGAUCCCUUGGCGACUGGCGCGGCGACCGCGGGGACGGGCUGGCCCCCGAGCAUGAGCUCGAACAGCGCCGCCCGUAUGUCGUGUGUCAGCGGGAAUCGAACGAGCGCCUCUCCCACCGCGGACAUGAGCCCCGGGGGCGCCAUCUGGUGUUUACCGUCCCCGGCGUCGUGCGCGUCGGCGGCGUCAACUUCCCGGGACCUCGGCAUCAGCGCGGUGAGCAGGCGAAUGGCGACCGCCCUGGUCUCCGCGUGCGUGCGGGUGAGGGGCGCGAGGACCACCGCGGCGCCGCAGCACUCGCUGACGAUGGCCCCGGCGAGCCACGUCCCGAGCGGCGACCCGGGCUGGAGCAUGUCGACGAAAGCCUCCAGAACGUCGGCGGCGGCGGCGCCGGCGGCGUCCGACUCGCCGGCGUCCUCGACGGCGGAGAACGCCGCCUGAACCGUCUCGUAGUACACCGCGGGAACGGCGCCCACGAGGAGCUCGCCCAUCACGGCGAGCAGCGCCCUGCGACGGGCGCGCGCCGCCGCCGGGUUCAGCCCGGGGUGCGACCUAAAUUCAGCCACGGCGUCGACAAUCGUAUUCGGGGGUAUCAGCGACCUCAGCGCCGCGGGAUCGCGUUUGGCGAGCUUCUGAAGGAAGCGCGAGUGCGCCGCGAGCGCCUCCUCGGGUACGUUUGCCCCGGCCCACAUGCGAAGGUCCAGGAGAAGCCGAACGGCCGCCUGCUCGGUGUCCCCACCCGGCCCCUGCCACGCGUGCCUUCCCACGCUCCUCACAAGCCGCUCCAUCGACGGCAGCGCCGCGGCGGAGAGUCGCCGGCCCCCGUCGCGGCGGAGCAGGUGCGCGAUGAGCGCGAAACCCCCGCUCACCUGCAGCGCCUCCUGGUUCAGCCGCGAGCCCUCGAGCAUCGCCGCGAGCAGGUCGAUCGCGUCUCGAAGUUCAGCCGCCGCGUCGUCGUCGUCGCCGCCGUCGCGCUCAAUCGGCGCGAGAAGCGGGAAGAGCACGUGCACGCCGCCGAGGCAGUGUACGAUGUCCCUGGCGCUGUGCGUGGCGCACACUCGCGCGGAUCCCACGAGGUCCGCAGCCUUUAACCUGUUCCCACCGUCGUGCCCGGUCCCCCCGACGACGCCCUCCUUCAGAACCCCCACGAGCCCCUUCUCCUUGACGUCCUUGAGGAGGUUCCCGAGCGACCCGCCGUGAUCCGCCACGGUGGAGUAACAGUCCCGCCCGUACGCAGCCGCCGCGUUGAGCGACAGCACCAGCCUCGGCGCCAGGCUCUCGCGAACCUCGCGAGCCUCCGACGGGCUCAUCCCGACCCCCGCGAGCGCGAGACCCGACGCGGUAUCCGCGGGAGAAAACGAUCCGAGAUAAUCCGGACCGAGCGAGUUGACCGCGGCGACAGCCGAGUGCCCCAGGACGUCGUCGAAAAAUCGCACCGACCCAAACUGCCCGGAAAAUGGCGCGGCACCCACGGCUGCGGCCGCCGCCGCGCCUUUCGCGACCGCGUGGUGACUCAUCGCCGCCGCCGCGGCCAUCGCCGCGGCGUCAAACUCGUUGAAGGCGCCAAAGGACGAAGCCGUCAGCGGCUCGGUCACCUUCGGGAACCUGAGCUUGGCGGUUGAUUUCUGCUCGCCGUCGACGAAGAGCUUGACCGCGGCGGUGGAAAGCGGCGGACGGCCGGGCGAGUGCGCGAUGACGAGGAACAUCCAUCGCUUCUCCUUGAUCUCCGCGGGAAGAUGCGCGUUCUCAGCCUUCGCCACGCCGCUCUGCCCCGCCGAGAACGUGCUAACGUCCACCCCGUCGGGGCUGAGCUCCGCGGCGACGCCGAGCCCGGACGCCGUCCUCAACGCGAACAGGGCCAUGCGACUGGUGCUUCCACCCGUCGGGAAGGAUUCCACGCGCAUCCACGCCGCGAACGUGUAACCCGCGCGCCCGCUCGGCCAAGCGAGAGGGUUGCUGAGCACCAGCGAACCCGGCCCAUUUUCAACCUCCCCGCCGCCGCCGCCGCCGCCGCCCAGGAGCGUGUGAUGACCCCCCCCGCCGUUACCCGCGCCCGUGAAGUCGAAGUACGCCGCCGGCCCGUCGCGACGUGCGGCGGCGCGCAGCGCACUCAGCAACAGGCGCCGGCCGCGCGGUCCCAUCCGGGGGUCCGCCAGCAUCCGGAACACGGCGCGGAAAUUUCGAGCCGAGAGCGAGUGCGACGCGCAGGAUCCGAUGCAAACCGCGAUCCGCGCGGACGUGCUGUCGUCCGACGACCCAAACCCCGCCCCCGCCGGGUCAUCCCCUUCUUUCUCAACUCGCGAGUGCGUUUCCCCCGUUUCGUCGCUGUUUCCCUCGUCGUCGCGCGCAGCGUCUGCGAACCAUUCCAACAGUUCGCCGAGCAGGUCCGCCUGGUCGGCGGCGGCGCGGGACGCGACGGAAUCCGCCAGCAGUCUCGCGAAGACGUCGAGGAUCCACGUCCUCAGCGUCGCCUGAUCGGCACCGAGCGCCUUCGCGGUCCAUCCCCCGCGUCCGCGCAGCAGCGACGUGAUCACCGGGAGCGCGCCCGGGUUUCGAAUGACCGCGCCGGCUCCCGGAUCUCGGCCAUCCUCGGGGAAGUCGGCGUCGACCGCCAGCUGCAGGACCUUGGCCAGCAGCGUCCGCGAGGCGGGAGCGUCCCCCCACGCCGUGCACAGCGCCGCGUUGAGCGUUUCGUAGCCCACGUCCCGCCCAAACGCCGACGCGGCGUCUUCAGACUCGGCCAGCAGACUUCUCAGCGUGGACAGCACAUCCAGCACGACGAGCUCUCGAACCCUCGCGUCGCCGUACUCCCCGUUGAGCAGGCUGAUCACCUGCACGUAGGCUUCCCCGUUGGCUUCCGCGGACGCCAGGUGCGCCCGGAUCGCGGCGCCUCCCGGACCGGCCAGCGCCGCGCGGAGCCCCGCGAGAAGCGCCGUCAGAGCCGCCGGGUCGCGAUCGGGCCCCGCCGCCGCCUCCCUGGCGCGGGGUAAACUCUGAAGGUACCGACGCAGGAGCGCGCUCCACGGCCCCUUGGCGUGGGAUACACCCGCACCGCUCGCCACGAGCGCGGUGAGGCAGCGUAUGGCCAGCCCCUGGGUGCCCGGGGCCCACGCGAGUUCAAACAUAAAAUCGACGACGGUUCCCGAAGCCGUCGCCGCCGCGCCCACCGCGGGACCGCCGCGUUCCAGCACGGUGGACAGCACCUCCAACACCCCGUGCGUCGCGAGCGCCUCGACGUUAACGCCUUCAACCCCCUUAGUAACGCCUUCCACCGCGGGAAAGCCCCACGCGUUCGCCUGAACCUUCGCGACGCCUGCGAGUCGAGUCGCGGCGUCGGCGCGAAGCACAGCCACCGACGUGGGCCGGGGCGACGCCGCCAACAACCUCGAAAGCGCCGGGGCGAGCACGACGACCGCCGCGGGCUGCAACGCGCGAGCUUCGAUGGCGUCGAGCAUCGCCGUGACCUCCGGCUCGUUGCCCCCGGUCCCGGCGUCGACGGUGACGUGCCCGCCGCCGUCCCCAGCCGCGGCGGCUCCCGCCAGCCACGCGGCGACGCCGCCGGGGGAGACCCCGCCGGGGGAUCGGCAAUCGUGGGAGAGCAGCUGGGUCCACGCGCCGCGGCCCCUGGCGACGUCGAUCGCGACGUGCGGGUACGAGGCGAUGAGACGGUGCACGAAGUGCGCGGCGUGUCUGCGCAGGAGACUUCCCGCCUUUGCCGCGACGUCCUCGGGAUUCAAAAAUUGGCGAGCGGUGACCCGAGCAGGGGAGGACGCCGCGGGGGACGAUACCGACGGCGCGGACGUGGACCCCGCCCCCCCCCCGACACCGCCGAUUUCGUCGAAAGGAUCGCCCGCGUCGUUUGCGUCGUCGUCAUCCCCGAAUGGAUUCCCUGACGCCGCGGUGAACCCCCGCGGCUCCGCAGACUCCGCAGACUCCGCGGGCUCCGCGGGCUCCUUCGGGGGCGUCGCCGGCGCCGGGGAUGGACCCGGGGCGACGGCGCUCGCCCCUCCCUCGGUUCGUUCACCGGCGGUUUCCGCGGUGAUGUCCAACCUGGAGGCUUCCAUGACCGCGCCGACGAUGUGAAGCGCGAGCCGCUCCAUCGAACCCCGAGCGGCGGACCUCGACCCCGCCGCCGCCGCCGCCGCCGCCAGGUCCCCGGAGGACCCGCGGCUGCCGAUUCCCCCCCCUCCCACGGUCGGCCCAUCCCCUCCGCCGACCCCGCCCUCGCCGGCGAUGAACGCCCAGAGCACGUCGAACGCGCGUCGAAGCUCCUCCCCGGGCGGUCGGGUCUGAACGUCCCGAGCCCCGACGGCGAAAAACCCGUCGACGUCGCCCUCCUCGACGACGUCGCCGGCCCAAUCCCCCUCCGCUCCCCCGUCGCGAACGAGCGACGCCGCCGACGCCACGGCGCCCCGACGCAGCAUCGCGACCAGCCUCGGCCCGAACGCCCCGCCCUCGAUCGCGCGCUUGACGUUCUGUCCGUUUCGUCGGACGGCUCGUCGCACGGCGUCGAGCGCGAGCGCCCCAAGCUCGAGCACCUCAAACGACAGCUGUGCGCCGCCGCCAGCUGUGUCGCCCCCGUUCAGGUCCCACUCGGUCACCUCAGGACGAGGACGCGCCGGGUCCGCAUCAUGCGUCCCGGUGGCGUCGACGCCGAUGCCCUCUAUGAGCAUCUCGAGCCCCCCCGCGCCCCGCAGCGAGUGCUGCGCCGCGGCGGAUCCGGCGAGCGCCGCGCAGAGCGUCCUGAGGAGUAAACCCUCGAGCGCCACCGCCGCAGCCUCCGAGCCGGUGGGGGCGCGGUGGAGCAGCCGCUGGAUCCUGAUCAUCUCCACGAGCGCGGUGAGACCGCCGCACUCCAGCAGGGGCUUGACCGCGGGGGAUUCGGCGGCUGGCGAGCGAGGCGCGACGGUUGAGUUUUGAAGGGUUCGAUCGGCUGAAUGCGUCCCGGAUCGAUCAGCCGCGGCGCCGCCGUCGUCUGACAUGCCGAACCCCCCCGCGAUGGACCCGAAUCGAAGGUCCGCGUCCAAAAAGUUGCUCAGCACCGACGCGCCGUGCGCGCAGAGGAGUUCCAGGGUACCCAGCUGCGCGGCCACCUCCGCGGCUGUUCCCAUGCUGGACCCGCCGCGUCCCCCGGGGUGCCGCAUCGCCGCGAGGUUCCCCAGCACGUUCAGGCGGUGCAUGGCGAGCUUGAGGAGCGCGGUGAGGGCGUCGAGGAGUCCGAGGCGGAUGAGCCAAGCGCGGUUGUGCGCGGAUCUGGUGGCGACGACGCACGCGUUGAGCAGGGCGAGUCCCGCGGCGCGCUGGAGGGCAUCGGGUCCGUCGGUGCGGAUCUGUGCGCCCGACGCCCCGAGCGCUAACGCGGCCUCCAGCUUAGCGUGCACGCGGUGCAACGACGAUACGAGGCCGCGAAGCACCGCGGUGGGGUGCCCGCCGGCGCAUCCCACGAUCGUCCCGUCGCCCCCGGGGCCGUUCGAUCCGUCCGAGGGCGGGGGAAACCACCCGUCGAAGCAGGCGUUGAACCCCUCGAGGAACGAUUCCAGUGCCUCAUCCUGCUGCUGCGAAGCUUCGGGGGCUCCCUCGAACACGGUCCACAGGAACUGGACGUGCGACUCGUUCGGAUCCCUGUCGUUGAAUCGAACGUCCCGAAGCGACGCGGGAUCGGCGCCCUCCGGCCCGAGCCCCGAGCCGCCCCCGCCCGCGGGUCCCGAGUUUCCCGCUCUCGAGGAGGAAUCGCGUGCCGACGAGGACGUCGAGGCGCCGCUCACUCCAGCGCGGGCCUGCGCCGCGGCCGACUCCGCCGCGGCCGAGAGCUUGGAGAGGCUCUUCUUGAAGAAAUCCAUGGCGCCCCGGUGAUCGUCGAGCCCUCUCGACGCCUCCAGGCGCGCCUCCUAAGUGGGAGGGAAUACUCGAGGCUAACAACUGCGGCAGCUGCGGUGACUUUCGCGGUGAGAUCCGAAAACGAAAGUUGGGACGAUCUUUGCUUCAACUCGUCUCAAGACUCUACAGGCUACAUACGGGCAAAAACUUCCCCCACACCCCCACAACGUGCACUUACGCACCCUCCGCGGACUUGAUGAAGGGAUCGAUGGGCUUACCGAGCGCGUACACGAUGAAUCCAAUCUCCCUGAGGUGGUCGUGGUCGAGGAUGAGUCGGCCGUCGAAAACAAACGCGGGCUUCUGCAUGACGUCGUAGAUCUCCUUCCAGUCGUACGACUUGAACUCGUCCCACUCGGUCAUGAUGGUGACGGCGUGGGCGUCCUGAAGGGCCUCCUUGGCGGUCUUGUAGCAGGUGAUGUUACCCAUCAUGCCCUCCAUGUCGUACGCGAUCUGGUCCUCCUUGACCUGGGGAUCGUAAAUUGCGAGCUGCGCGCCAUCCUCGAUGAGGCCCUUGCCCACGUCGAUGGCCGGGGUCUCGCGGGUGUCGCCGGUGUCCUUCUUGAACGCGAAGCCCAGCAUGGCGAUCUUCUUGUUGCGGAUGGUGUUGAACAUGGCGGACACCACGCGACGCACAAAGCGGCUCUUCUGGUAGUCGUUCAUGCCAACCACGCUGUACCAGUAAUCCGCAACCUCCUUCAAGCCAUGGCACUCACAGAUGUACGCGAGGUUCAGGAUAUCCUUCUGGAAGCAGGAGCCGCCGAAGCCCACGGAAGCGUUCAGGAACUUCGGUCCGAUGCGGCUGUCCGUGCCGAUGGAGUGGGCAACCUGCGCGACGUCGGCGCCGGUGGCUUCGCAGAGCGCCGACAUGGCGUUGAUGGAGGAGAUGCGCUGCGCGAGGAACGCGUUGGCGGCGAGCUUGGAGAGCUCGGCGGACCAGAGGUUGGCGGUGAUGAUCUGAUUCUUGGGAACCCAGUUGGCGUACACCUCCGCGAGGGCGUCGACGGCAGCCUGGCCAGCCUCGUUCUCGAUCUUGCCUCCGAUGAGGACGCGGUCGGGCGCGGUGAGGUCGGAGAUGGCGGUGCCCUCGGCGAGGAACUCGGGGUUGGAGAGGAUGUCGAACUGGACGCUGGCGUCGCUGCAGUUGCGCUUGAGGACCUUCUCGAUGGCUUCCGCGGUGCGAACCGGCACGGUGGAUUUCUCGACGAUGAUCUUGUUGUCCUUGGACUCAGCCGCGAUGGUUCGCGCGGCGGACUCCCAGUAGGUGAGGUCCGCCGCCUUGCCGCUUCCGAGGCCGGUCUUCUUGGUGGGGGUGUUGACGGACACGAAGAUCAUCUGCGACUCGCGGAUGGCACCCGCGACGUCGGUGGAGAAGAAGAGGUUCUUGCCCCUGCACGCCUUGACCACCUCGUCGAGGCCGGGCUCGUAGAUUGGGAGCUCGUCGCUGUUCCAAGCGUCGAUCCUGGGCUGGCUGAUGUCCACCACGGUCACCUUGAUGUGGGGGCACUUCAGGGCGAUCAUGGCCAUGGUCGGGCCACCGACGUAGCCGGCGCCGAUGCAGCAGACUGGAGAGACGGGGGGAAAGGGCGGGGAACGGUCAGCGGGUCGGGUAAAGGGAAACGGGGGCUUCCCUUCGCGGGGCCGCGGAUGGGGACAUCGGUUCGGAGAUGACAGCGACGGCGAGAGGCGGGGACCGCGUAGGGCGCCCCUUCAGGCGGGUGGGCGCGCGUCGGGGUGCACACUCACUCGUUGUAAUCUUAACCAUCGCUUUUCGAUCAAAUCUGCGGAGGGAAGGGGGAAACGGCGGGUGAGCGGGGCGCCGGGGGCGGGGGCGAAAAGUAAUCCGUUGAUGGCCGAGAGGGGCCGACGUUUCGCGACGGGGACCGCGCCACGACGCCGGUGCGACGAUCGAGCGGGAAGAAACCGACGAGUGCGUUUCGCGCGACGUCGGGGGUUGUGAGGGAGGUCAAGACAGGGCGCGGGGACUCACCACGCGCUCGCUGCGCUGCGAUCUGGUGGUUGAUCGUUGCUGGGCACGUCCACUCACUCUCGCCGGCGAUGCCGCGGGAGAUGGGUGGCGGAGAAGCCUCGCCGCGAAACGAAGAUUCCCAGUAAUAAUCCGCAUACGCACGCGAGGUUGUAAUUGCCUUAAACAUUUCAUAUUUCAAGUUUCAACACGUCAACUCAGAAGAAGCCGCCGGUGUCCCACAGGACCCCCCGCGUGGUCACCCCCAGGGUCAGGAUGAGCGCGGGAACAGCCACGAAGAUGGCGAUUCCCACCGUCAGCUCGUUCCACGUCCCGCCGGUGUACUCGUCUCCGGCCCAGUUGUCGGAGUAGAGGUCCUCCCUCUCGCGCUUCUUCUGGGGAGGCGCCGGAGGGACGCCGAGGUCCGCCUUCGCCGCGUUCCUCCGCCUCUGCUCGUCCCUCUCCCUCUCCUCGUCGCUGGGGGGCCCCCUCACGGCGUCCACCGCCGCCUUGGUCACGCUCACCUCGCUCUCCACGACGACCGUGCACUCGUACGCGCGGGUGCUCCGGAUGGCGUCGUUGACGAAUGCCAAUCGCUCCGUGCCGUCGAUGAACCAGAGCUCGCCGUCGUUCACCGGGUCCGAGACCGCGACGAGCCGCUGACCCGGGGUGACGCCGGCGGCCUCCGCGGCGCUGCCGAUGGCGACGCCGGUGACGAAUAUCACCGGUCCCUCGCGCUCGUCCAGGAUCACCUUGUCGAACUGGAGCGUUCGCCUCGCCUCCUCCGUGCUGACGACGAGGUCGAUAGUGCCGUUCUCCACGUCCGCGCCAGUCGGGACGGCUUUGGCGCGCACGGGGCGAAUUGCGACGCGGUUAGCGUCGACGCGACGGGAGAGAAGGCUCACGCCGAUCUGGGCGCGGGUUGCCCCGCAUCGAACCACGGACGCUGCGCAGGACAUGACGUGUCGACGGCGCCGAUGUUGAUUGUGAUAUUUCCCGGGCUCUUGCUUGGCAAAACACUUUCCUACACUUGUCAGGCCCUCCUUGAUCCAGUGUCCGGCCCAGAUUUGUUCUGUCCACAUGGCGAUCGGUGAGGAACUUUCACGCAGCCGCGCCGCCUUCAAAACUGGAGUAAUAGACCCUGGCAACACCCCAGUCAACUCCAACUCAAGAAAUUAGACCGUCGCACGCCCGAACCAGAAAAAAACCGGUUGCUCGUUGUGGAUAGAGGGGCGCAGUUGUUUGAAACGUCGUUUCGAGGCUGUCCGGCGGGCACUGUUGUCCACGCGUGGGCACUCUCAAGGGAACGUAAGGUCCCAAAAACCCUCCGCGACUCUAGAUCUGAGCCGCAUCGACCCGGAUGGCCGCCCUAUCGACCACCGGGCCCGCAGCCGUGGCCCGCCCGGCGCGAUCUCUCUCGCUCACGACCCGCAGGAGCACCCAUGCGAGGGCCCCCGCCGGUCGCGCCCGAACGGUGCAGGUGCAGGCGCAGGUGCGCAUCCAGUUCGAGCUCGAGGGCGCCUCCCCCGACGUCAGGGUGAUCGGUAACCACCCCGCGCUCGGAAACUGGGAUCCCGCCCAAGGCCUCCGCAACGGCGACUACAUCACGCUGGAAGACCCCGGCGCCAUGAGGCUCGAGUACAAGUGGCACAACGGGAGCGAGUACGAGAUGGGCGGCAACCGCAUGGUCGUCCUCCCGGACGCCGCCGAUCGCGACGUCACCCUCGCGCUGGCCGUCGUCGAUCGCCUUCGCGCGGUCCCCGACGUCGUUUACCAGCCCCCCGUCGUGCAGCAGCAGCAGGCGCCCCCCCCCAAUGUGCCCACCGUCGAGCCCGUGUACAAGGGUCAGCCGGCACAGUACGCGGGUCAGUCCGGGUACGACGGCUACCAGGCCCCGGUCAACAUAACCUACCACGAUCACCACGAUCCGUACUACGACGAUCACGAUCACGACAACGACAACGACGUCAUCGAUCACUCGUACGGCUCCUACCAGGCUCCCGCCGCCUACCAGGCUCCCCCCGUCCACGAGGCUCCCGCCUACGAGGCUCCCACGCGCUCCUACCACGACGAGGCGUCCCCGGGGGCCAGCAUCGACGACGGCGCCAAACGCAUGCAGUUCGUCCCGGUGUCCGCCGCGGGCCCCGACGCGGGCGAUCGCAAACCCGACGGCUCCGGUCCCCCGCGCUGGUUCCGCGAGGGCGUGGUGUACUCCAUCCAGACGCUCGGCUUUUGCGGAUGCGAGGGACCGCCGGGUUCGUUCUCCGAGGGGGAACGGCUGAUGAAGCUGCUGAACGAGGGGUGGAUCGAGCACCUCGCCAGGCUCGGGUGCACGGUGCUCUACCUCGGCCCGCUCAUGCGCGCGUCGCACGAUCUCGGCCACGGGUACGACACCGCGGAUUACUUCCAGCUGGACCCGCGCUUGGGAACUGUGGAGACGCUUCGCGCGGUGGUGGACGCGUGCCACCUCCUGGGCAUCAGGGUCAUCGUCGACGGCGUGUUCAACCACACCGGCCGCGAUCACUUCGCGGCGCAGGACGUCGUGAGGAACGGGAGGAGUUCGCAGUACUGGGACUGGUACAGGGGCGCGAGGGAACUUCCCGGCGGCGGCGCGGAGAUCCCGGGCUGGGAAGGUCACGCGGGGCUGCCCCAGCUGAACCACCAGAACCCGGACGUGCGCCGCCACAUCACGGACUGCGGCAGGUUUUGGAUGUCGAGCGAGGGCGCGAACAUCGACGGGUGGAGGCUCGACGUCGCGCACGAGGUGGCGCCGGAAUUUUGGCGGGAGUUUAGCGCCGCGUGCCGAGACGCCAAGCCCGACUGCGUGCUCCUCGGCGAGCUCAUGCACGGCGACUACAACACCCACGUGGGCCCCGGGCUUCUGGACAGCGGGACCAACUACCAGCUGUCCAAGGCGCUGUGGUCCUCUCUCAACGACCACAACUACUGGGAGCUGGCGCACUCGUACGGCCGCGAUAAGGACAUGUACGGCGCCCUCACCAUGCUCAACUUUCUCGGCAAUCACGACCAGAUGAGGAUCCACAGCCGCCUCAACAACCCGUCCGCGCACUACCCGCUCGCCGCCGCGUCCAUGAUCCUCGGCCGCGGUGUGCCGUGCCUCUACUACGGAGACGAACUCGGCGAGCAGGGCAAGCCCGGGGGCCCCGAGGGCGACCUCGCCAUGCGCCGCGCCAUCGACCUCCGAGACGCCCUCGCGAACCAAAGCGCGAAAGACGUCGCCAGGCGCACCGCCGAGCUCGUCGCGCUGCGCAGGUCGCACGAGGCGCUCCGCGACGCGGACGCCGAUCAGGUCCCGCUGGCGCACACCAACGAGACCAUGGCGUUCGCGAGGGUCGCGCACGGCGGCGCGUCGGCCGUCGUCGCCUUCAACAACUCGGAUAACUCCCAGCGAAUGACGCUGCCCGUGGGCGAGAAGAUCGGGGCACACGACGGGUGCGAGUUUGAGGAGCCGCUCGCAAACGGUCAGCGGCUGCACGUGUCCGGGGGACAGCUCCACGUCGAGCUGCCCCCCAACGGGCUCCGGGUGUUCCUCCGCGUGUAAACCGGGGGAGGAGACGGAGGGAGACGCGACGUCAAACUUCGAUACUUGCACACAUACAUAUGAUAACUUACGCGGUCCGCCCAGACGAUGGACCUUAUAAUAAUUAAACCGCACGCUUCAACACGAAAAGCCUCACCUCGCCAGGAGCGCGGCGUCCACGCUGCCCGGACCGAUGCCACCGAGCCUUCCCUUAGCCUUACCGCCGGGGCCCUUUUUCUUGGGGCCCCACGCCGCCGCGAUCACCGCCGCCAUCUCCUUCUCCUCCGCGGUCAUCGCUCCCUUUCGCCUCCACGAGGUCCUGGCUCGGAUCACCUCCGUCUCUUUUCCGUCGUCUCCCAGCUUCACCAGCUGGUGGAGCACCCGCGCGUUGUCCUCCUCGAUCACCACACCCUCCGCCGACCCCUCCCGCGCGGUCACCGCGGCGAUGACGUCUCCGUAGCCGCACUCGCUCUUGAACUCGAUGUCGAGCUCGCACAGCUGGUAGUCGGUCCACAUGUCAACCGGGACGGAUUCGAGUAUCCACUCGGUGUACACGACGUUGUUGACGUGACCGUUCAUGUCCAGGUCCAAACGGUCGCCGGUGAACGCCUUGGGCUGGGACAGCGGCAGGUUGGUGUUCCUGACGUCCAGGAGCUUGGGCAUGACGUAGUCCUCGCCCAUGAUGUAGUUGUUGAGGAGCGCGUGAUAGUUUGUCACAUCCUCUGUGGUUUUCUUGGGAAUUCGAACCAUUCGGCGCUUGGCGACGUCGAACGCGACCCAUCUGCUGGUCGCCGCGCCCACCGCCCGGCACGUCCCCUCCGGUCCAUCGCACAGCACGAGCUCGAAGUCUCUCCGCGCCGACACGCUCCGCUCCACCUCGACCCAGGUCUUGACCUCCACCUCGUCGCCCCAACGCGGGUACUCGUGCACCUCUAUGUGCAUCUGCGUGCAAACGAACGCCUGGUUGUUGCUCCGCAUCUCCGCCGGGGAGGACUGGCCCUUGCCCCACAUGGCCUGGAUAUGAUUGCACGCGCACUCCUGCAUCAUGGACGCCACCGUCCUCAUGGUGCACGCCUUGUCCGGCCCCACCUCGUCGAAUCGGACGGGGAAUAUCUCGCUGAAGACGCGUCCGUCCUCGAUGAGCGCGCGGACGUGCACGGGCGGGGGCGCGUCGAGCCCCUGGGUUCGCUGGUCGUAGAACACGGCCGAAGGGACAUGGGACGGUCUCUCGGAGACGUCCCGGAGGCGCGGCGCGAGGGAAGGACCGUCGCCGGACGCCUUUCGACGGACCACAGGUUGGGGGGACCGGAUUCGGUUGGGCGGAUUGAAUUUAUGCGCACCUCGCCGGUCGUUAUCCGACCGCGCGAGGACCUGGUGCGCGGACCCGCGCGCGUGGACGGCGAGGGAAUUCAUCUCGCCGGUCCCUGCGAGGACUGGAGAAGGGUCGCGAGUGACCGUGCGACGCACGCACGUGCCGCGACCGCGCCGAUGAGUUCUGGCGGGACGCGCCGAAUUCGCAACCGGUAUCUAAAAGGCCAAGUGGGCACGCUUCUGGCCGAGAUACGUCCCAGCCGCUGGACACGGCAACGAUAGGCCCAGAUUGUCCGAGGCAGAAUUUUAACCAAAACGUACGAGUUCGUGGUUAGGUUCUCGACCGGAAACUCGAAAUAUGGGUGUUGAGCUGUGGAUUCUCAAUGAAAUGAAGAACGCAUCUCAGUCGAUAUCAUACGAUCGAAGGCGAAAAGACCACCGUCGCGUCAGCGCCGACUUUUCGACAACGUUUCGUUCAAACAACCGCCCCUCGCAAUCGCGCCUCCCGUCACACCGAACCCGCCUGUUCGUCGAGCGCAAGUUCACCACGAUGUCCGUCACGACGACCGCGAUGUCCGCGGCGAUGUGCUCACCCGCCUCCGCCAUCGCGCGCCGCGCGCGGGUGCGCUCCACCGCCCCCGGGGCUCGCCGGCUCAGGGCGCCGCUCAUCGUCGCCGCCUCCGCCGCCCCCGCUGAGGAGGCCCCCGCCGCGAACGAGCGCUACAUGGCGCGCGGCGUCUCCGCGUCCAAGGAGGACGUCCACGCCGCCAUCGCCAACGUCGAUAAGGGCCUCUUCCCCAAGGCGUUCUGCAAGGUCGUCCCCGACCUCCUCACCGGCGACGAGGAGUACUGCACGUGCAUGCACGCCGACGGCGCGGGCACCAAGUCCUCGCUCGCGUACAUGUACUGGAAGGAGACCGGCGAUCUCUCCGUCUGGCGGGGUAUCGCGCAGGAUGCGGUCAUCAUGAACACCGACGACCUCCUCUGCAUCGGCUGCGUGGACAACAUCCUCCUCUCCUCCACCAUCGGCCGCAACAAGAGCCUCAUCCCCGGCGAGGUGCUCAAGGCGCUCAUCUCCGGAACCGAAGACGUCCUCGCCACCAUGAGGGACAACGGCGUCGGGAUCAUCUCCACCGGCGGCGAGACCGCGGACGUGGGCGACCUCGUCCGCACCGUCAUCGUCGACUCCACCGUCACCGCGCGCAUGAAGCGAUCCGACGUCAUCUCCAACGACGGCAUCCGCGCGGGCGACGUCGUCGUCGGCCUCGCGUCCUACGGCAAGGCCACCUACGAGACCGAGUACAACGGCGGGAUGGGCAGCAACGGUCUAACCUCCGCCAGGCACGACGUCUUUCACAAGGCGCUCGCCGCCAAGUACCCGGAGUCCUUCGACGCCUCCGUUCCGAGCGACCUUGUGUACUCGGGCAAGUACGCGCUCACCGACGUCGAGCCGGAGACUGGGUUGACGGUGGGCAAACUCGUGCUCUCGCCGACGCGCACGUACGCCCCGGUGGUGAAGAAGCUGCUCGAUUCCAUGGAUCGGAGCGACAUUCACGGCAUGGUGCACUGCUCCGGCGGGGCGCAGAGUAAGGUUGGCCACUUCCUGGUGGACGGACUCCACGUGAUCAAGGACAACAUGCUGCCGGUGCCGCCGCUGUUCAGGCUGAUCAACGAGUGCAGCGGCACGGAGUGGAGCGAGAUGUACAAGGUGUUCAACUGCGGGCACCGCAUGGAGGUGUACGUCUCCCCGGAGAACGCGGAGAAGGUGAUCGAGGUGAGCAAGAGCUUCAACAUCGACGCGCAGGUUGUGGGGCGGGUGGAGGCCAUCGAGGGCAAGUCCAAGGUGACCGUGAAGAGCGAGUACGGCGAGUUCACGUACUGAUGAGCAAACGGGCAGGGUUUCGCGGGGUGUGUUGAUAUAUGCAGCGAGCGAGGGAUGCGUCCAUGUAAUGUAACAGUCCAAAGUAGACGCCACGCAGCGCCGCGUCUUCGCACGCGCGGUGAAAGAUCUGGUUGAAGGGCAGAUGAGAUGCGGCAACAGCAUCCAAACACCCUUCACAACGGGACGCGCGGGUCGGGGCGCGCCGCCAUGGGGAUCAGGGUGAGGGCGAGCGCCUUCGCUCACCCCAAGUCCCCGCACGUCGCCGCGUUGGACGAGCGACACUUCGUCUCCGCGCUGCAGCUCGUGCUCCCGCGCGGGGGCGGCGACGCCGGCGAUGGGGCGAGCGCGACGGAGGGUUUCGCCGACGUAUCGGACGCGCUUCGACGCCGGGGUGCCGGCGGCGGCGUCGACGGCGCGACCUCGCUCGUGGGACCCGCACCGGACGGCGACGACUUUCGCGUCGCGCGCAUGACCCUCGCGCAGCUCGUCGACGACGCCUUCCUCGCGCAGCACGUCCGCCCGGAGUCGGGCGCGCGAUUCUUCGCGUGCCCGCUGGACGGCAGGCUCGACGCCGACGACGUCGUCGCGAUAACCCCGUCGGGUCACCUGCGCGCGUCGUUCACCCCAUCGACUCACGCGCGCGCGGGCGUCACCGGCGCCAAGACGGACCGCGGGACGCUCAAGCACGAGGCGAGCGUCCACCUCGCGAAGAAAGAGUUUGUCCCCGGCGAGCCCUUUCGCGACAGGCUGGUGGCGUGUCUCGCCAGGCUGGACGAGGAGGGCGACGGGCGCGGCGUCGGUUGGUACGCGUGCGCGUGCGAGAGAGCAACGGACGGCGAGCCCCUGGCGGUCCGAUUCCCGCCCGGCGUCGAGAGCGAGGGGAGGCGAAUAACGCAUUCGCGCAGGCUAGUUCGACGGGGCGGGGAGGACGACGGGGACGGGGAGGGACCGCCGGCUCCCCCCGUCGAGUUCUUCCGUCGCGACCGGGGCGACGAGGCGUGCGCGAUGGACGCCGACGGGGACGGGGACGGGGACGAAAAGUCGGCACCCGGGGACGGGGACGACGGGGACGACUGUGGGGACGUCGCGACGCGCCUCGCGGGUUUUCACGAGUGGAUCGGCGCCGUUGCGGCUGGGGUCGGGCGCGAGGCGUGGGUCGGGACCGCGGGCGACCAGGAGGCGUGGGUCGGGACCGCGGGCGACGACGUCGUCGCCGAGGCGCAUCGGUGGGAGGGGCUGCUCACGCCCAGGAUGGUUCGAAGCGCAGUUGAGUUUUGCGCGGAUGCGGUGGACUCGGGUCGGUAUCCGUGGGCGGCGGUGACGUCGUGGGGGUUUCCGGAAGAUCCAACGAGGGCGCCCGGGGCGAGCGGUUGCGGCGAGCUGACGUUCGCGGUGACGCCCGGGGGUCGGUACCUACUCUUCGCGGACUCGUCGUCGUGAGGACGCGGGCGGACGCGCGUGUCUUGAAUAUCAACUCUUGUAUUGCAAACAGCAGCGAGCUUGUCUAAUAAAGCUCGCUGUGGAAACUGAAACCAUGAUGGCAUGUCACUCGGGUAAUACGUACACACUGCAGUUCUUGAUACGAUGACGAUGGUGUCUCCGCGCUGAUGGUACAGGUUUCUUCCCGGACGCUCCUCAGUCCUCGUCCUGGGUGGAGGCGUGACGGGUCGGGGACGCGGAGUUUUCCUUGGAGCCGCUGCCGCUGCCCCCGUUGUUGCUCCCCCCGCCGCUGCCAUCCUCGCCCUCGUGGCUGACGUCGUCGCCGCCGCUGCCCUGCUUCUCCUCAGCCUCGUGCUCGUCGUGGUCAUCCACCUCCUCGCCCUCCUUGAGCCUGACAAACUGACCCCGGACUCGCGGCCUCGCCUCCGCCAGCCUCUUGCGGCUGGCGUACCUCACCUUCUUCUCAAAGUUGCGCUCCUUACGCUUCUUGAGGAAGCGGGCGAUUGCCUCGGCGCGUCGUUCCGCCGAGGUGGACGCGGCGCCAACCCUCCCAAACGUCUCCUGCUGGUGCUGCACCGCGCCCUGGAGCACGCUGUAAAACUUGGAGACAAACUCAGCCGCCGCCGCGCUCGAGCCGAGGGGACCCGCGGCGGACGCGGAGACAGCCGCCGCGGACGCCGCCGCGCCCAUGUGCUGCGCGUAGAGCAUCGGGUCAACGCCCGGGGGGCACGGCGGGAAGGGGUUCAUCGGCGGGGGGUUGGUCCCGUCGCCCGGCUGGCCAAUCGGCGGAAACGGAAACGGCGGGAAGGGCAUCCCCGCCGCCGCCGCCGCCGCCGCGGCCGCGGCGGGGUUGGGGGGCAUGCCGAAGAAGGGCGGCAUGCCGGGGUAGCCCGGAGGCAUAUGCAUCUGCGCGGCGGCGGCGGGCGCUUCACGCUUGGCGGCGUCGUCCAGCCCCGUGCCCUCCUCCGCCACGGCCGCGAUGCCCGCGAGCGACGCGAGCGCCCCCUCCGCCCUCGCUCCCUCGCUCCAGGGUCGGGGUGUCGCCAGUCUCGUUUUGCGCGUCUGGCUGGUUGUCUCGUUUAGUUAUCAAAGUUCUACUCAGUUUACGUCCAUGCCGCCACCCUUGGGGCCGUUCUUGUUCACGUCCAUCCCGAGUUUUUCCAGCAGAUGAUCCGUCUCCACCUUGCUCACCAGCAGGUUCACGCUGCUCUUCCCCUUCCAGCACGCGAUGGCGAUCUCCUCCGGCGAGCACCCCGCGGGCAACGCGCUCGCAUCCGCCGCUGAUAUCCUCGGCACAAACACGCACGAGCCGCUCACCGCCGCGUUCACCUCCGCCUUCGUCGCGUCGUCCAUGAACUUGGCCCUGUCGGGCUUCUCCGGGUCCUCCGCGCCCGGGAGCUGGAGGCUCCUCCUCUGGAGAAUCAGCCUGAGCUCGUCAAUCGUCGGGUGGAUGAUCUGCCGGUUCACAAACGGGAGCAUCACGUGCAAGCCGUCCUGCACCAGCCUGUAGUCGCACGCGCCCUCGGAUGCCGUCGCGUCCUUGUGCUCCUGCCUCUCGAAAACCUUCAAACCCGCGGCGAUCACCUUGAGCUGCUCCCUGUGGUCGGCGGCCAGGUACUCGCGCAAGCCGUCGGUGAGCGCGUAGAUUCGCUUGGGGCGGGUGUUAUCCGCGGUGCGCGUCACCGCGUUCUUAUCCAGCGGGAGCUUGGCGAGGUCGAUGCCGUAGGUGUCCCUGAUGCUAUGAAUCACCUUCGUAUCGGAGACGGGGAGGAUUGGGUCGAGGCCGCCGAACUGGGAGCCGCCGCCCUGCCUGUUCCUGGUGCCGCCACCGCGCACCUCGGUCAGGAGCAGCUCCGCCUCGGGCUCCAACGGGGCGCCGCCGUUCGCCGCGAUAGCCUCGCGCUCGGCCCUCAGCUCGUGGGUGUUGACCAGGGUGAGCUCAACCUUGACGCUGUCCUUCACGACGUUAAGGUCCGUCUUGAUCGUGAUCGGGCCCUUCAGUUUCUUGGGCCCCGGGUUGAGCGACGCGGGCAUCUCGGCCACCUUCUCGAACACCGCGAUGAAGAACCCGCCGGUGUCGUCCUGGUGGGGUAGGAUCCUCAUGCACCGCUCGAGCGGGAGCUUCGCGUAGCUCGGGUCGGGGAACAUGGUGGGGUGCACCUUGGCGACCUCCUGGGCCUCCUCGAAGGAGUUGGCCUUGCCCGCCUUGGUGUGAACCUCCCAGGUGUGGAUGCCUGGACUGCGGACGAGCUUGGGGAGCUGGUCGGACAUGUCGAGGAGCUUGAGCGAUCCCUCACUCUGCUGGAGAAGCGCAGCGACGACGGCCUCGUCCUCGAUGGGGUUGAAGGUGCACGUGCUGUAUACCAGCCUACCGCCGAUCUUGAGCAGCUGAGCCGCGCGGACGGCGAUCUUGAGUUGCAGGGGGUGGAGGCCGUUGCCGUUGCCGACGCUCCACCUGGGCCAGAUGUCGGGAGCCUUGCGCAUGGUGCCGUCACCGGAGCAGGGCACGUCGCACAGGAUAGCAUCGAACUGGAACGUCCUCCCGCCCCUGGACACGAUAUCGGGGAAGUGCUGCGCCUCGUGGUUGGUGACGAGCAGGCCCGGGGAGUUGGCUCGCUUGGUCUGGUGCGUCAACAGGUUGCACCGCUUGAGAUCCACGUCGUUUGCGAUGACAAAGCCGGUGGGAAGCUUCUCCUUCUCCUCGCCCAAGGAGCCGUGGAGCAUCUCCAGCAGCUGGAACGUCUUGCUCCCGGGCGCGGCGCACAUGUCCAGCACCCUGUGGUCCGGGGUGAUGUUCAGGAAGAACGCCGGAAUCAUGGACACCGUCUCCUGCCGCGUGAUGGAUCCGUACUCGUUCGCGCGCUUGACAAAGUCGUGGAUGGACUCCAAGAACGGGAGGCGCCUCAGCUGCUGCCUGCUGUAGUUGAACUGCCACGCGAGUCGGUCCGGGUACCAUCGGACGGCCCGCGGGGGUUCGACGACGUUCCCCUCCUCGUCGAUGGACUGGUCGCCCUCGUUCACCUUGGCGAAGAGCUUGUUCUCGAUCUGGUCCCUGAUGUCCAGCGCGAACUUGCCGGUGCCGUUGAUGCGGAAGGAGGUUGGGAGCGGGGUGCGAAGGGACUCCAUGAACGCGUCCCACUCAUCCUCGGGGACGAUCCUCUGGCCCUUGUAGUACUCCUCGAACUUCUCGUUCUCCUUGCAGUACGGCUUGUAUUCGCCCUUCGCGUCGGGAACGCGCGAUUUCUUGGGAUCCCAGACGUUCUCGCGCUUGCCCUUCUUGAAGUCGCGCUUGAGGAUGCGGUCGUCGCCGCCGCCGCCCUUGCGCUUCUUGUUGUUGUACCGGCCGCCCAUUUUCGUUUGUCGAACGCGCGUUCGUCCAGUGGGAGUGCGGCGUGCAGUGAGAGCGCGGAGGUGGAAAUCGCACGAAAAAGCGGCGGCGGCUGGGCGGCUGCCGCUCGCAAAUUUCGACUCAAGAACGAGGGUUCGUCGGAGAAAGCGAAAAAACGAUAGCGCGACAGUUACAAGUCCCGCCACCCGCACCCGUGUGUCUCCUCAUUUCUCUCAGAUCGUCACUCGCGCCGCGACACUUCUCCUCCGCGCGCGCGCAUCGGAGACUACGAGUUUGCAGCAUGGGAGACUACGACCGCGGCGGCUGGGGCAACCAGGGCGGCUUUAACCAGGGCGGCUUCAACCAGGGCGGCGGUUUCAACGACCGCGGGGGCGACAGGGGCGACUCCUACGGCGGAGCCUGGGGAGGUGGCCGCGGCGGAGGAGGUUCCCGAGGCGGAGGCUUCUCCAACGUGAGGCCCGGCGACUGGUCGUGCCCCAACGGAUGCGGAAACGUGUUCGCGUCCAAGUCCAACUGCUUCCGCUGCGGCGUGCCCAAACCCGAGGGCGCCGGCGACUCGGUGCGACGCGCGUUCCCCAGAUCUCUCCCGCCCCGAACCGCGAUUUCGCCGCGCCACGAAUAACCUACGAUACGCGCCACGCCCACGUCUCGCUCGCUCGCUCGGAAAAAUGUUCCAAAUGUCCCAAAUGUCCCCUCGCUUCCCUCGCUGACGCGCCCCUCCUCCUCCCCCCGCGGUACCAGUACGAUCAGCAGGGCGGCGAUCGCGGCUUCGGCGGCGGCUGGGGCGGCGGCGGCGGCUACCGCGAGCGCUCCGCCCCGUCCCGCCGCCCCGGCGACUGGGACUGCCCCGCGGGCUGCGGCCUCGUCUUCGCGUCCAAGUCCAACUGCUUCCGCUGCGGCGUGCCCAAGCCCGAGGGCGCGGGCGACGACUUCAACGGCGGCGGGAACUUCAACGGCGGCGGCGACGUCAACGGUGGCGGUUACGUCGACCCCGGGCAGCCACCCCGCGACCACGGCGCCCCGCCGGCGCAGGGCGGCUACUGAGCCAGUCGCGAGACGGACCGGCUUCCUCGCGGCGACCCGAUGACAGAAUUGACGGUUCGAGCCCCCCGCGGGUAGCGGGCGCUCGCCGUCGCGUGACGAAUCGAAUUGUGUUUGUGUCCUACUACCUACCGUGUUGUUAUGAUGAUUGACCUACGUGCAUCGUGCGUGUGCGACGAUUCGUCACCACAUGAUGAUAGUCUCCCUAUGAUAAGUCACCCUCAUGACUGCAACAGCGAGUAAAGAGCGAAGCUCGCGACGGAUCCGGCGCCCAAACCCGCGAUGCACGCGAACGACAUCUUCACCCCUUCCUCCGCCCUCUCCCGCGGUACCAACCGCGAAGGUCCGUACAUCAUGCACACCGACGCCAGGUGCCCGUUGGUGAAGGCCAGCGCCGCCACGAGCAGCGCCGGCGCGACGUCGGUGCCCGCGAGGAACCUCGGGAAGCGCCACCUCCCCGGGACGACGACGUUGCACGCCCACAGCGGCGGCACGAGCGCGAACCUCGCCAGCGCGCACGCAAACACGGAACGGCCGCCAGGCGCCGCACCCGUCGUUAACGAAGUCGUCGCACCCGUCGUCGUUGACGAAGUCGUCGUCGUCGUCGUUCGAGGAUACACGUUCGCGAAGGCGCGCCCGCAAAGGUCCCCGACGUUGAACACCAGGAAGAGCGUCGGCACAAACAAGUCGCCGAGGAGCCGCGACGUGCCCCGCUCGGGUCGUCGCAAACACGGGGGCGACGUCGCGCCGUUCGCGGCGCUGCAAACGGAGCUGGUGACCGCGGGGAACACGCACAGGGUCACGGUGAACGUGAGCGCGACGGCCAGGCGGUAGAACCACCUGCCGUCCCCGGCUGUCCCCGCCGCCUCCCCGUCGUCCUCGUCCUCCCCGUCGUCCUCCUCCGCCGUCUCGUCCCCGUCGCCGUCCCCCCACGGGUCCAGCAGCGGCACCGUCGUCGCGUCGCUGUCUAACCUGUGGUGCGACGGCGCGGAUCCCAUGCCCCUCCGGUUGGGCCCCGACAGCUGUGCCGCCCUCGCCGCCGCGGCUGCGUAAAACGGGAUGCGUUCCAGGAACCGAGUCGACGCCGCGCACCCGAACACCGCGAGCGCCGAGGUGAAGAAGUACGCCGCCGCCUGCGCCGCGAUGGCGUCCGCCUCUUCGUCCGACGCGUCGUCGUCCCCUGAUCUCCCGGCCGCGGUGGAGAGGAGCGCGAUGACCGCCGUCGCGAUGCCGGCGACGGCCUGGCCGGACAUGAUGGCCUGGUUGUACACCGGCGGCAAGACGGACGCCAGGGCGAAGCUUCCGGCCUGCACGAGCGCGGUGAGCACGCCGAGUGUCAUGAGCGUGACCAGGGUGAUUGCCAUCGUGGCAUCGCCGCUCAUGCGCCUCGCGUACGUGAUGCAACCCGUCAGCGCGAGUAGGACGGCCAUGGCGAAGAGCGGCGCGGUCAGCAUCGCCCCGGGCGAGAGCCUGUUCGCGACGCCGGUCACCACCAUCGCGUACUGCGCGCACGCGUUGGUGAGCAGGUACACCACGCCGAACACGCUCUCGAAGCUGUCGGCCAGCGCGGGGGUGAACGGCGGCGCGAAGAGGCGGACGUCGAAGUACGCGCGCUCCGUGAUGAACACGUUCCAGGGGAACAUGGUGCCAGCCCCGGCGAGGAGGAAGACGAUGUAGCACAGCCCAAAGCGGUCGUCGCGGGGGCGGUCGUCGUCCGGGCGUUCGGGAUCCGCGUCGGCAUCCCCGAGGAGGUGGUCCGAGGUCGACGCGUCGCGCGCCAUCGCCCCGCGACCCCGAGCGGGCGCGUUCGCUGUGGCGAGCCCCUGGCGCGGGAAAGUUCACGAGCCCAGCAGCUGGCCACGUUCGCGUCCUUGGCUGCCGAGGGAUAAAUACCCCAACCCUCACUCUGCGUUGGCACGUCGAACAUGGCCACCGUCCUCAACUCAUCCAUCGCGGUCUCGCGCGUGACCGUCGCACCCCGCGCGGUGCGCGCUCGCACCGUCGCGGCCCACCCCGCGGCGCGACCCGCCGCGUCCUCCUCCUCCUUCGUCGCCUCCCCCUCCGUCGCCUCCUCGCUUUCCAAGAGAAAUCGGCUCGCCACCACCGGCCUGAAGGCCUCGGUCGCGCGCAACGUUGGCUCCACGCGCCGCGGAGGUCUGGUCGUCCGCGCCGCCGGCGAUGAAGGCGAGGUGAGAACGCGCCCGAUACGCCUCAUCAGCUCCCGAUCCUCCCCGCGCGACGCGUAGCGUCAUCGUCACCGCCUCGUCACCAAUAAUUAGCCGAAUUUCUAUCCGAAGGAGAGCGCGUUGGCUGCGAUCUUCCCGCCUCUUCGUCCUGACCUUCGCUCCCCAAACGACACGCCGUAGGCUCCGGGCUUCUUCUACACCCGCGCGGGCGUCAUUGCCAUCGGCGUGGGCGUCACCGGCGCCGGGUUCGCGCUGUACUACGGCCUCCAGGCUAACGGGGUGGAUCCCAUCUGGGCCGGGAACAUCGUGCAGCUCACCUUCGUGCUCGGCCUGACCGUGGCGUGGGUCGGGUCCUACGUGAGCCGCGUCAUGAACAAGGACAUGACCUACGUGAAGCAGCUCAAGGACUACGAGGACGCCGUCAUGGCCAAGCGGCUGGAGGAGCUGCCGGAGGCGGAGCUCGAGAAGAUGAUGGAGGAGAUCAAACGCGUCGACGCCCCGAAAUGAGCCAAUAUAUACCGAGUCGAAACACUCAACCCACGCGUGCAUAAUACAUUGUCUAUAAGAUUGUCACAUAGCCGUUAACGUCUAAUACUCCGCCGCCCCGUCCCGGUCGCGAGCCGCCCACGCCUCCCUGUCUCGCGCGAUCCUUCCGGAGAUGGCCGGCAUGGCGCGCCUGUCCAGGAACGGGUACUCGCCCACCCACGUGUUCGUUCGCGGAAAGUACGCCUCCCGCACAGCCUCGAACCGAGCGAAAUAACUCUCGUCCGAUCCGACCACCAUCUCCACCUCGUCCCCCUCGCGUAUCUUCGCGUGCUGCCUCUGCAGCGGGACCCUGAGCUCCACCCUGGCGCCGCUGUAAUCGCCCACGAGCAACGACAGCAUCCAGGUCUCCCGCGAGACAUCGCGACGAUUGCCGAAAUUGCCAAAAUUCUCAUCGGACGAGCCUCGAUACCCCCCCCCGUCCGACGUCCGUCCGAAGCGCUCGUCGAAGUACCCCGGGCCCGGGGCGGCGUCGCGCGUCGCCACCGCGAGGACCCUGGCGCGCCACAGCCCGAUGUUCCGUCCCGCGCGCGCCGCGGAGUUCCUUCGCGCGGCGAGCGCCACCGGCGCCCACAGGAAGAACGUGGCGGUGGGCACCGCGAGCAGCGCCGUGAGGUUCACCGUCGCCACCAGCCCGACGAGGCUCAGCCCCAGCCGCUGCACCGCCGUCUCCGGUCCGCCCCAGAAGUACGCGUACUGCUCUCCGGUGGCUCCGAUGGGUAACAGCGACUGUAUCUCGCGCUGGGUGAGCAGCGUGACGUCCGGGGGGGGCCCGCCGGGCGGCGCCUGCCGCUCGUAGUCGUCCCGCGAUGCGGACGACGACGGGGCGCGCGGGCCGCCGUCGUAGUAGCCGCCGUCGUAGUAGCCGCCGUCGCGGUAGCCGCGCGCCCGCGCGUCGCGUGGAUCGUACGAAUAGUCGUAGUACUCGUCCCCGCGGUCCUCUUCGGGGGCGCGUUCCCCGGCGUUUCGGGCUCGCGCGAGAUGCACCGCGGCGUCCUUUCGUCGGCGGCCGCGAGGAUGGCGCAGAGAGAGCGCGCUCGACGUGGAAGCGCGCUGUGAGCGGGCGGCGCCGGACGCGUGUGAGGCGAGAAGAGCGCGUCGCGCCGCGGGAGCGGUGGUGACGGCCCUCGAGACGGCGCUCGAUGAGGUCGACGCGUGCAUCGUCGCGCGCUCGUCGCGGCAAAGAAUGCUGCCCUAACUUUCACAUGGAGUGUCUGGCGUCAGAUUAUUCGGGCGCUCGCGGCGCGACCAUGCGCGCGGCGCUCCUCGCGGUCGCGCGUCGCGUGCCCUCGCGAGUCGCGUCGGCUUCUGCACGCGGCCGAGAUGUCGCGACGACCGCCGGCGCCGGCACCCGCGACUCGCCCUUCGACCCGGCGGCGGAGGACGCGCCCGUCGUUGACAUCGCCGAGCUCCAAACCGGGGCGGUGUUCACCCGUCGCCGUGCGUUCACCGCCCACGACGUCGCCUCCUUCGCGUCCCUGGCCGGUGACCACAACCCCAUACACGUCGACCCGGACGCCGCGACUGCCGCGGGCUUUCGCGACGGCCCGGUGGUUCACGGCAUGCUGUGCGCGUCCAUGUUCUCCGCCAUCAUCGGCACAAGGUUCCCGGGCGCGGUGUACGCCACGCAGUCCCUCGCGUUUCGAAAGCCGGUGCGCGUGGGGGAGAGGGUGCGGGCGGAGGUGGAGGUGACCAGGGUGGGGGGCGGACGGGUGGCGUUCGCGACGAGGGUGGUGAGGGAGGAGGACGGGGAGGUGGCGCUGGACGGAGCAGCCGUGGCGCUCGUCAGACGAUGACGCUUUUUAGAUGGCUAGAGUAAUGCUAGUAGAGUAGCUCUUCACUUGUCGCCGCCGAGCGAGGCGAACAUGCUGUCCAGCCUGGACCCCCCGCCGGUCGACGAGUCGGUACCGCCGGAUCCGCCUAAUAACCCACGUCCGAGCCCGAACCUCGACGCGCGGGACGAACUCCCGGGCGGCUUCGCUCCCGGGGGCUUGGCCACUCGCAGCUCCCCCGUCCGUUCCAGCGCGCUCGCCAGCCUCUCCUUGUUACGCUCCCACCUGCUCUCCGGUCGCUCGUCGCUCCUCGGCUGCGAACGACGCCCCCCGGCGGAGAGCAGGCCAGCGCGCUCGACGUCCACGUCACCACCCCGCCCGCCCAGGUCCGCCAUCUCCGACUCGCGCCCCAUGUCCCCCGACGCGAGCUCAAAGUAGUACGGAGAGCCCGAGCCGAUCUUCGGCUUCGUCUGAUUUUGCAUGGCGGAUCGCUCGCGCUCGGCGAUCCGCUUGCCGUCCGUCGUGUGCACGUUGCGCUCCAGGUCCUUCUCGUCGCUCUCGAACUUGUACUUGUCACGAAGGGACCCGCCGAACGAGCUGGUGCACGCGCUGAAGAUCUUAUCGAAGACGCCAAACGCGAGCGCUCCGCAGUAAAACACGAGAAUCGCCGGAAACACCGCGGCGAAAUUCCUCGCGCUAUCCGGAACGCCGUCCACGAACUUACGUCCAAACGUGGUCUCCUUGUUCGCGUCGCCCUCCCGGAGGGACGGGACCAUCAUGAGGAAGUUGAGCGAGAGCGGGGCGGCGAACCUGCACGUCAGCGCCGCGUUGAUGAGCAGGGAGAAGGAAUCCGUGUGCCCGGGCACGAGCGCGUAAAAGCUGAACAUGCCGAGUCGGAACAGCGAGUGAUACGCGCACCAGCACAUGUAACCCAGCGGGAUGGCGACCGCCAUGUGCAGGCCGCCCUUAUCCUUCGCGGCGCGGACCAUCGCGCUGAACGGCGACACGUCCGCGCCCUCCAUGGCCUGCGUGCUGAACAUGGUGCCCUCGGCCCACACCGUCAGCACGGAAAACGCGCCCAGCGCGACGGCGAGUACCCUGAGCAAAACGGGCUCCACCCUGCACUUCCACCACCACUCCACAGCCUCCACCGCCUCGCCGUACCGUCCCUGCCUCGGGGCCCGGAGCGGCGACCGGAACCGCCGCUGCCCGCCGUCCGGCGUCAUCAAACACCCCCGGUCGCCCAACCCCCCAGCGCCGGCGCCGCAGUUGAAAACCGCCUCAGCCUCGAUCGCGUUCUCCACCGCCACGGCGUACUGCGCCGCGGUGCGCCGAUACACCCGCGUGCGACGUCGUAGCUCCCUGCGCAGGGCGACGAGGUCGGAGAGCUCGUCGUAGUCGUAAUCGAGGACGCCGUCCACGUCGUCGUCCACCUUGUCCAUGGCGCCUUCAAACGCGGACGACUUGGGCGUCUCUCGCGCGAUGACGGCGACGGCCCAGGCGUAGACGUGGUGCCGCGGGAUGACCUCCCGCGUCGUCUCCGACGCCUUGAUGACCUUACGCAAACCCACGAAGGCAUCCUCCAGGGCCCUGGACGCGACGCCGAGUCUCCGAUGGGCCUCCGCCUGUCGCUUGGCCACAUCCGCUCGGCGCCAGAUGAUCUUCGGGACGUCCACGAGGCCGAAGCCGAGGGCGAAGAUGCCCGCGCAGAUGCCGAACAUGGUGGAGGACGCGAGCGCGAACGUCGCCAUGCUCUCGCUGGUCAUCGCGCCGUAGGACGUCAGCAGUAUCGCGCCCAGGAGCAGGAUGAACACGAUGACGCCGUAGAAGAUACCGUUCUCGCGGAGGCUGGUGGACGCGCGAGCCAGCGCGGAGAAGUCUCCGGCGUCCUCGUACAACUGGUGGAACGGCAGCACGAACCACGUCAGGGUGAAUGUGAUCCAGUAGGACAGGUCCCACAGCGUGCUCAGGCUGGACGUUUCCUCGUCGUACAUCGUCGCCGCGACGUCCGCGGGGACCAGGGCGACGAUUGAGAGAGACAGCGUCCAAGACACCAUGACCAUGAACCGCACCGCGAGGUCGCACUCGCUCGCGGCGAAGUAGUGGAGCAUGUAGGCGGUCACCAGGGUCACCGCCAGGAUGGCGGGGACGCCGUAGCUCGCCUCCCCCAUUGCGAACCCAGGUGGAGCCCCGAACGCGGCACGCGUCGCGAAAAUGAAUGUGAAGAUCCGUCUCGACCGUCUCACCUCGACUCGCCGCGCCUUUCGGGCUCGUCACUCACGCAGCACGCGAGACGCGCCGCCGGGACCCGAUGCUCGCCGCGCUCGCGCCUCGCGCGCUCCCCGCGCGAACAGCGCCCGCGCCCCGUCCCCGUUUCGCCCGCGCGAGCGCCCCGUCCGCCGCCCGUGCCCCGUCGCGCGCCGCGCCCCGAGCCUCGGGCGACGCCGAUAAGGUCGGGACGGUCGUGGGCGGCGUGGCGGGUCCGGACGAGGGCCCCAUCGACGAGUCCUCUUUCGGCGCGACCCCGUGGGACCCCGCUGACGGCGAGGACCCCAUCAGCGACGAGGUCCUGCUGAAGAUCGUCCUGUCCCAGAUAAGCGACCAGGAGGUGAACGAGCUCGUGUGGACCGCGCUCGGGUACGUCAAGGAGAUCGAGCUCGACAUGGAGACGCUGACGGGCAAGGAGGUUUGGAAGCCCACGAACGUGUUCCCCAAGUGGGCCGCGGCGUACCCCGAGGCGCCGGACGUCAUCGGCGUGACGCGCAAGUACUGGCCGGAGAUUGACGCGCCCGUCAAGGCGGCGUGCGCCGCGUUGACCAGAUCCGUCGCGGACGACCACAAGCAGGGGCUGAAGAAGACCCUCCGCAGGCUCGGCUGGAAGGGCUACCGGAUGGAUGGGCUCACGCCCAACAUGACGCGCCGGGCGCAGGCGGCGAAUUGGCUGCUGUACUACAGGCGGGAGCUGCGUGGGGUGCCGAUCGAGGAACUGAAGAGGCGGAGGGAGGAGAGGCGGAAGCGGGAGGAGGCGGAGCAGCGGACGGACGCGCCCACGGGCACCACCAAGCAGGGCGUCGUGUAAAAGUUAGAGAACCAAACCCUUCAACCCUCGAGUUGUCGAGAGCAGAGUGGAUCAAACGUCGCGUCGACCAUAGAAAUCCCCGUCACCAUCCGGUCACAGAUGGCCGCGCCGUCCCUCAGCUACGCCACCCACAACCCCUCGCGAAGCACCGAAACCGCGAGGGAGAUGUCCGCAAUUCGCACCGCCGAACCCUUCGGCGAGGGCGUACCCUUCGGAGACGUGCGUACCUCGUAACCUUCACCGCCCCGCGCCCUCUCCCCGGGCGCCCCAAUUUUUCGUUGUUGCUUUUUUCUAGGUUUCCGAUGUUGACGCGCCCCGCCGUCCACUCGUCUUCCCCAUCCAACAGCCCGGGUGGUACACCAAGUUCAACUCGCCGUACUACACCCAGAGCCACGUGGAGUACCGCGCCAAGGUGAGGGCGUUCGUGGAGAAGGAGAUCAUGCCCCACACGCACGAGUGGGACGAGAAGAAGUCCUUGCCCCUGGAGCUGUACCGCAAGACGUACGAGGCUGGCAUCCUGCCCGGCGUCGUCGGGUCGCCGUGGGCGGGUGGCAUGGGCGCGCACCUGGACGUCAAGGGCCCCAAGGAUUUCGAUUACUUCCACGAGCUCAUCAUCCUGGACGAGUUCGGGCGAUGCGGCAGCGGCGGUGUGCUCUGGGGCCUUCUCGAGGGCGUGCACAUCGGGCUCCCGCCGGUGCUCAACUUUGGCAGCGAGGAUCUUCGCGAGCGAUGCGGCUUGCGCGUCCUCCGGGGCGAGGCCACCAUAUGCCUGUGCAUCACCGAACCCUACGCGGGUAGUGACGUGGCCAACAUCAGGUGCACCGCGAAGAAAUCCAAUUGCGGAAACUUCUACGUCGUCGACGGCGAGAAGAAGUGGAUCACCAACGGCGUGUGGGCGGAUUACUUCACCGUCGCCGUGCGAACCGGCGGCUCCGGCAUGGGCGGCAUCUCCCUCUUGCUCAUAGAGAAGACCAUGCCCGGCGUUCAGUGCCGACGUAUGGACUGCAUGGGGGUGUGGGCGAGCGGCACCAGCUUCAUCACCUUCGAGAACGUCAAGGUGCCCGUGGGUAACCUCAUCGGCGCCGAGAACAACGGGUUCAAGUACAUCAUGCACAACUUCAACCACGAGCGCUGGGGUUUCGUGGUGCAGGCGAACAGGUUCGCCAGGGUCUGCUACGAGGAGGCGUUUAAGUACGCGCACAGGAGGCGGACGUUUGGUAAGAGGCUCGUGGAGCACCCGGUGAUUCGCGCCAAGCUCGCGGACAUGGUCCGACAGAUCGACGCGACGCAUCACCAGAUGGAGAACAUCACGUACCAGAUGUGCACCAUGCCCAAGGAGCAGAGCGCCAAGGCGCUGGCGGGAAUCACCGCGCUCGCGAAGGUUCAGUCCACCAAGGUGUUCGAGUACUGCGCCAGGGAGGCUGCGCAGAUCUUCGGGGGCGCGUCCUACGUCAGGGGCGGGCAAGGGGAGAAGGUCGAGAGGCUGUACAGGGACGUGAGAGCGUACGCCAUACCGGGCGGGAGCGAGGAGAUCAUGAUGGACCUCGGCGUCCGCCAGGCGAUGAAGGAGUGGGACGCCGUCCAGUCCAGGAUGUGAUUGUGAUGUACGAUAACAACUCGGCCACGCCACGAGAAACCAAACCAUUCACUCGUUCUCCCCCAUGAGCGCAGCCUGCGCCGCCGCCUCCGCCGCCGCCUUCUCCUCCUGGCGCUGGAUCCACAUCGGGUUCUCCUCCAAGACGUCGGCGUCGGCGGACGUCGGCGCGUGUUCCCUGAGCAACGCUUCGAUCUCGGGCAUGUUCGCGCCCGCGACCGACGCCACCUGCGUGCCGUUCCGGUAGAACAGAAAGUGUGGCAUCGACUUGCCCCGGUACUCCGCGAGUAAAUCGUGAGACUCCGCCUUGCAGUGGAGGACCACCGCGCAGUUCUGCGCGUACUCGGCCUCUUUUUGGAUUCGCUUCAGCACGGGCACGAGGGGUUCGCACCGCCCGCCCCACUCCGCGUACACCUCGAUGACUGCGUCGGUGUUGGAUAUCGAGUCGUGCGAGUCAGUUGAAAGGUCGUCGGAGAGCGUGGAGGGAUGCGUGGGGACGAUGGGGACGGGGCGAUGAGGGACGCUCGGGGUUGGGUUCAAAUCGGGUGCCCGCCGAGGCGGGGAGACUUGGGAUCGUGGCGCGCACCCUUGAGUCCCUGCUCGCACAGCUUGUCCUUCAGGAACGUAUCCGCCUCCGCGUCGGUCUCGCCGCUGACCGCUAUGCUCAUCGACGCCUUCUCGUAGACAUUUCGCUCCACGACCGCUGCUGCCGCCAUCGUGGCGCUCCAGACGUGUGUGCCAAUUUUGGCUCUCGAUACACACUCCACUGCUCGACAGUAGAGUUUGCCACGCUGUACACGAAACGCUCGCCACUGAAGGGUGCGCGCCCCCGACAUGCAGAUUCGCGCCUUAUCCGGCGAGCCACUCGGCGUCGAGGUUCUCGGCGCCGACUUACGGACCGCCACCGCCGAGGACGUCGAGCGCAUGGUGGACGCCAUGCACAGGACCGGUCGCGGCGUGCUCGUUGUUCGGGACCAGCACCUGGCCCCGACGGAUUGCGAAAGGGCGUGCGCGAUGCUCGCGCCUCACUUCGUCGCGCAGCAGCCGUACACCCGCUGGCCCGGCCAGUCCAAGCCCAUCCCGGGCUGCCCACACCUCGCGCUGCUGGGUAACUACCGCGCCAGGGAGGAUAACGAGUUCGGCAUGGACGUCGUGAAGGGCGAGGUCAUCGGCGAGUACAAGCCGGCGAAACAAAAUCUCGAGGAGUGGCACACCGACGGGAGCUUCCUGCCGAAUCCGAAGGUGGCCAUCGCGCUGUACGCGCCGCAGCUCGACGACGCGCUCCCACCCGAGGGCGGCGAAACCCGUUUCGCCAGCUGCACCGCCGCGUUCGAAGCCCUCGCCCGGGAGGAACAGGAGAAGCUGCGUGGCCUGUGUUCGGUGCACUCGUGGGAGAAGUUCAUGCGACUGCUCGAGUCCCGCGAUCCGGGUAGGCAGAAGGUGACGGCGGAACAGAUCGCGGAGAAGCCCCCGCAGCUCUGGCCGGUGGUCAGGACGCACCCGGUGACAAAGGCGGAGUCGCUGUACAUCAACCCGAAAAACACGGCCGCGGUGGUGAACAAAGCCACCGGCGAACCCAUCCCGGAGGAGGACGCCCGGAGACUGGUCGAUCGACUCGCCGAGGCGGUGGUUGGCGACGGGCUGCCCGGUAACUCGAAGGUUUACGCGCACACGUGGAAGAGAGGGGAUUUUGUCAUAUGGGACAACAGGGUGCUGCUGCACGCCGCGUCGCCGUUCGACGCGGAGAAGUACCAGCGUCUGCUGUUCCGGAUGGAAUUCAAGGGGGAGCCCGUGCUCGGGCCGUCGACGCCGUGAGCGGAGUUUACUUUUUUGUCUACUCGACUCGUCGUUUAAUGACUAAGGUCCCGGCGUGGCCGGGGCUGCGAUUGGCUGCACUUUGAACUUCUUGCCGGCGAUCUCGUCCUCGUCGGCCGCGUCCAUCUGGGACAGCAAAAACUCUACCCACUGGUCCGCCACGGUCUGUUUCUCCUCCUCCGGAGUGAGCGCCCUCGCCACGUGCACCGGCGUCUGCAGCGCCGUCUUUGCCACCGUCCCCGCGAAACCGAGAGCGCCGAACGCCACCCGCACGGGCGCUGUGGCCACCGACCGAAUCAGACCCGGCUUUGCAGCCGCCCGCUCGCCCAGCCCCAUCUUCGACUUCUCGUCCUCGCUCAUGUUCAGCAUCCUGGCCAUGAGCUCGAGGACGUCGGGCGAUUGCUCCCGCUCAAAGUACGUCAAGAGCAGCUUGGACACGAUCCUCUUGUCCAGAAGCUCCGUCGACGAGUCCAUCAGGUGCUUCGCCUGCUGCAUGCUCUGCUGCAGCGCCUGCCUCGCCUUGCCCGCCUCGCCGAUCGCGCGCUGCGUCUCGGCGGCGGCGGCGUCCGCUCUUUCCUUUUCGGCUCUCGCGUCGCGCUCAGCCCCGCUCGCUCGCUCGUUCGCCGCGGUGACCUGCUCCUUGGCCACGACGAGCUCCGCGGCGAGGUGCGCGUUCUUCUCCCGCAGCGCCUGGGCCUCCAAACUCAAACGCCCCCGCGCCUCCUCGUCCGUGUUGAAGAUGUCCAUCGCCACCUGCAGGUUGGCCAGCUCGCGAUCCUUGGCGUCGACGGCGACGCGCAUCACCUCCAGCUCCCUCUCUGACGCGGCUAAUCGCGCGGUGAGCUCGUUCACCAACGCCGCGUGCUCCUCCUCGCGUUCUCUGACCAGCGCCGUCGCGUUGAGCUCGGCCUCCUCGACCUUCGCGUCGUCCUCCUCCUCGAGCUCGAGCAGGUGGUGGCGCAGUCGAACGAGCUCCUUCUGAUUCUUCUCAAUCUCCGCGUCCCGCGCCUCGAUCUCCCCUCGCGCGCGGGCGCGCUCCCGCGCGAGCGCGUCGCGGAGCUCCUCAGCCUCCGCGCCGUUGUCGUCCUCGCCGGCUCUGGCCGCGGCAGCCUCGGCCUCCGCCGCCGUCGCGCGCUCCUCGGCUCGAGUCAACCGCCGUCGGAGCUCCUCCUCCUCCGCCGCUGCCUCUUCCAACCUACCCGCCCACGUCGCCUCCACAUCGCCCGCCGCGGCUCGCACCGCGCGAAGCUCCUCCCUGAGGGCUCCGAUCGUCGCCGCGUCGUGAGCGGCGGACGCGGCUCCGUCCGCCUCCACCAUCGCCUCCAUCAUCGCCGCCGCCUUCCGCUGCUCACGCUCCAUGGCCUCGGCCACCGCCGCGGCGACCGCGCGCUGCUUCUCCGUCUCGGCCGCCCUGGCGUCGGCGUCGAUCCGACGCCGGAGCCGCGCGGUCUCCUCCUCGGCCGCCCUGGCGCGUUGCUCCAAAGCGGACAUGGACGCCGCGAUCGGCGUGCCGCCCGGGGAGGUUGGAACGACGCUCGGAACGGCCCCGACGACGCCCGAGGUGGGGGAGGCGGCGGCGGCGGCGCGCGGGGGCUGGGGCGGCCGAACCGGAGUCAUCGUCGGGGUGGUAACCUCAGGUUGCGGCGGCGGCGGCGGCGGCGCGGUCGUCGAUUGGGGAGCGACGGGGGUCGGAGGAGCCGGGGGUAGGCUUCCGUUCGGGACGUACGGCCGCAGGCUUCCGGGCUCGGCGGGCAUGAGGCCGCUCGUCGCGGAGGAUGACGGCUUGGCACGCGCCUCUGACGCGUCCCCCGCCUUCUUGGCGCGUUCCGCGGCGAGCCUCGCCCUCAGCUGCGCGAGCGCCGAGCUCUGCGAGGGCGCCGGCGCGGGCGAGUCGAUCCCGUCGUCCGUGCCGUCCAGAUCUUCAUCUUCAUCGUCCCCAUCCUCGCUCCACUCCGCGUCCUCGUCGUCCUCGUACAGCGGGUUGUCGACGGAGUUGUCUAGGAAAUCGCCCACCACGUCGCCGACCUUCGCGGACGCAGCCUUGGCCUUGGCCGCGAGGCCGACGAGCGCGCCCUGCAGCAUACACGCGGGACGGAAGUGGUGACCAAACGGUAAAAGUCCGCGGCUUCAGUUCUGAGCGAACCGGCGAGGCGGGACUGGUGAGCAAACAAUUUCGGCCCAUGUUUGGAGCGCGGCGUGAUCAUGACCAUCCCCAAGCAAGAAUCGACCGCCUGGUACCCGCCCCCGGCUCCGUCACGAUCGCACCAGCGAAUCGCCGUCCAGCGAGACUCGAACGAUCCUCCCCUCGACCCCGCCUCCGCCUCCACCCGACCCGCCGACCCUCUCCCUCGGCACCUCCGCCUCCACCUCGAACCUCGCGCCCUUCUUCGGCACCGUCACCAGCUCGUCCCCGCGCGUCACCAGCACCACGCACCUCGCGCUGUCCCGCGCGACGAUCCCGCGCGUCCCGCACAGCGACGGCCUCUCACACGCCGACACCGUCACCGCCGCGCCGACCAACUCCGCCGACCUGAGCCGACGCUCCGCCUCUCUCUCGCCUUUUGCCUCUCUCUCGCCCCCCGCGGUCCCUCCGGAAGAGCCCCCCUGCAGAAGACCCGCGACGUACGCGCGCCACAGCUCGUGUAGGGGAAGGAACGUCUCCCACCUCGCCUUGUGCACCGGAACGACGGCGCGGCCGCAUCGGCGGCGUCGCGCGGCGGCUCCGACGAGCCUCGCGUCCCGCCCCGCGCGCGCCAAUCGUCUCGCCCUCGCGGCUCUCACCUCGUCGACGCUGAACGCCCCGUUGGCGCUGUCCAGGAGGAGCGCCUUGUCCUUGGUCUUGGAGGUUAUGACGGCCUCGGCGUCGGCGCCCGCCUUCGGGUUGGUGGCGACGAGGUCGCGGAGGUGCUGCUGGAUCCACGCGCGCCUCGUCGCCGCGUCCGAGGCGUCGCCUCCGCUCGAUCCGUCGUCGUCGCCUCGGGAGUCGCUCGUCGGGAGGAGAUUUCGGGGAAACGCGCGGGCGUGCGCGGACGACAUCACGCCCGCGCGGGUUCUGGAGCCUAUGGGGGCGUACCACGCGGCGUCCGGUCCGCCGUCGGAGCCCCUGGACGUCGACGCGUCGGCGCCGAAUCUGAGCCGCGAGGGAUCGGAACGCUCCGGCGCGCGGGGCUUCGCGUCCGCGGGUCCGCCCGCGCGUUUCGCGCCUCCUCCACCUCCCGAGCCAAAACCCCGGCCUCCGUUCGAUCCGAACCCCGCUCCUCCCGGGCCCGCGCCGCCCCCCUCGACCUUGUCGGGCCGACGCCGAUGCUGAUGCGUUGGUUGUUGCUUCUUCGUCGUCCUCGCCGAGAGCGCACUGAGGCCCAUGAGCCCGCCGCCGCCCUUGAUGCGCUUCUCCAAGGACUCGAUGCGACGCUUCUUAGAGGACGACGUGCCAUGGCCUUCUUCCGCCAUGGAAUCCGGUGGGCGCCUCGCCGGUCCCCGGUGGCGAGUCCCGAGUGAAUGCGGGAAAAAGUUUUGCUUUGGUUCGACCGCAGGAUGCCGGCUUUUUGCGUCGUCUGAAAGUUCAUGUCAUCAUGUUAGGUCAUGUGGCGUGGCCCGAACCACUUUUUUCAAGCAAGUGGGCAACCCCGCCAAAAAACCAAAUCUUCUGACUGGUCUUCAGCCAAUUCUACGGUCGCAAUCGGAUGACCGUCGGGAUGACUCACGUUUUUUUUGUCCACACGGCUGGGAACGGACGUCACAACUCCGAGCGAGCGACGGCGGGGCUCGCCGAUGGCGCCGCCCGUGUACGAGCCCGAUGAGGCUGGCGUGGAGCCGGAGGUAAGGAUGGGCAGGGUUUGCGACGAAGAUUCGCAGGCGCAGCGCCACGACUCCGUCUCGAGCGUCGAGCGCAACGUGCUGGCGGUCGACCCGGGGGCGCGCAGCAGCCACGAAGCGGCAAAAAAGGGGCUUUUUGUGGGGCGCGCGAACUCGCAGGUUGGGGGGCUCUCUCUCGGGUUCGCGACCGAGCCGCGGCAUCACGGGCAAGGUUCGGAGCUGUCGAUGACCCAAACCCAAAGACUCGCGUCCUUCCCCAGCGGCCGCACGUGGUCGCUCUCCGAUUUUCGUAUGGGCGAGCGGGUGGGCGCGAGCCGGCUCAGCGCGGUGUACCACGCGAUGCACAAGAGCACGGGCAUGGAACUCGCGCUGAAGUGUUACCUGAGGGACAGGCUGGAUGCCUUCUCGCUGGCGCAGAUCAAGCGCGAGGUGAGCAUCCACGCCAAACUGGCGCACCCCUCCGUGGUUCCAUUCUACGGGUCCUUCGAGGAUGAGCGCGGAAACAUCUACCUGCUUCACGAGUACGCGCGGGGCGGCGACGUGUUCGCGCUGAUGAACAAGAGCGGCGGGACGUUCUCGGAGGCUCAGACGUGCAGGCAGGUCAUCCAACCCGUCGCGUCCGCGGUGGCGUACCUCCACGCCAGGGGCAUCACGCACAGGGACAUCAAGCCCGAGAAUCUGCUCGUGAGCGACGUCGACGCGGCGUGCAAGGUGACGGACUUUGGGUUCGCCAUGGACUUCACGCAAAACCAGUGCAAGACCCGACUGGGAACCACGGACUACAUGGCGCCCGAGAUUGUGCGGUGCGAUAAGGCCAUGAGGGAAAGGUUACGGGCAGAGAACAGGAGCGGGUACGGCCCGGAGGUUGACUGCUGGGCCAUCGGGGUGCUCGCGUACGAGUGCCUCGUGGGCGCCGCGCCGUUUGAAGGGGGCGGGACGGAGGAGGUGUACGCGCGGAUCCUCACGGGAAAGUACCACCUCCCGGGCAGGUUCACCCCCGAGGCUGCAGACUUUAUCGCGCGCGCCCUGGACCUCAACCCGGGCACGCGGAUCUCCGCCGAGCAGAUGCUGCGCCACCCCUGGAUCGUCGCGCACACGCAAUCGAGCGAGCCGAGCCCCGAGCCGGCGCGCCGGCGUCGCACGUCGAUGCAGAGCAACCUGAGGGACGUGCUGGAGAACGAACCGUCGGUCAUGCUGUCGGAGGAUGAGCCCGGCGAGCAGCCCGAGGUGUUUGGCCUGAGGAACCCGGCGAGUACCGACCUCUUGUCGUACUCGGCGUCUUCGUCGCCCGCGGGUUUGGCGGUUGGUGGGGCGGGGCUCGGCGGCGGUCAUCGUCAGGGGCAUGGGCCCGGCGAAGUGGCGGAGGUUUUCGGUCAGGGACCUCCGGGACGGUUCGAACCGCACCAAAACUACCACCGAGCGAGGAGCGACCCGCAGCAGAGGGCGCUCGCGAACGCGUCGGCGAUGCGCUACAACUCGGAGGAGAAUUCGCAGGACGACUUGCGCGCGAACUCGUUCUCGCACAGGAUUCACCACACGUUCAAGCGGGGUUGGGGACGGGUUCGGGAGUUCAUAUACAGCGGGGAGUCCGGUGUGGACAGCAUGUACGAGGGGGAGAUGUCCCCGGCUGGGUACAGGUCGCCGAGCAUGAGCAGCCCGGUGGCGCCUCACCCGAUGGCGGGUAUCGAGGACUCCGAUCAGAUGACGGAGUAGUUGGUGCCCCCGGGGUCGGUAACGGGUUUACCAAAUUUAUUUCGCACUACUGUGUCUUGAACAGCGCAGAAAGCUCGCGGUGUAGCUUAAGAUUUAUUUGUAACAGAAAACGAUAAAAGACGCGACGUGGACGUUCGAUUACAAACAGGCUGAGGUUGCUCGGCGUCUGCGAGAGAUUUGAUCAAGAGACUCGGGUCCUGCACGAGGUCGUCAUUGAAGGUCGUCCCAGAGACGGUAAGCAACUGCGAACUUUUCCGCAGUUGCUCAUUCUUCGCGACGACCUCGUGUAUGACUUAGAGUGAGGCAGUACUCAGAUCAAAUCACUCGCAGAAGGAGAGUUUUUCGUCAUCAGCAGCGGGAGAUUAGCAGCGGGUGCUGCAAGGACCGACCAAUUCUUGCACGUUCCUCGGAAUAAAGCCACACCAGCUUGGCUUGAGGCAACCUCUGGACCGGCUCUCUUCCUCUUCGUCUGGAAUUGGGCAGUCCUCGCAUCGAGACACCAGUGGUUGAACCUUUAAAGGGACCCACUCGCACCAGCCGGCGCAGCAGGGAGGAUCAACGCAAGGAGACCCAUCGUACUCCAAGUCUUCCCCGCAGGUGUCGCACCUGGUCAGCUCGGCUGUCUCGAGUUCUUCAGGGGGUAUCUGCGCGCAGAAGCGCGCGCACUCAGCCGCGGAAGGGACGGGGAGCGCGAGGAGGACCGCGGCGGCGAGGAUGAGCGCGGCGACGGAGGGAACGAAGAUGCGCCGCAUGGUGUCGUGCGUGUCGUGCGUGUCGUGGAGUGAGGCAAGACUGGGCAAAAAGGGGCGCUUUCGCCCCUUGGAACCGCCAACGUUGUCGCGUCCGAGGAACCCACCGGUGCUCGGAAAGUGUCCUUCUCCACGUUGAACCUCGGUCGCGCGUCCAUCUAAAAGCUAAUGCGCUAUUACAUCGAGCUAAGAUGCGGCGUCGUCCAUCGCCCGCUAUGCCUAAGGGACGCGAGCGCUGAACUUCGCCGGGUCGUCCACCUUCACGCGAAGGUACUUGGUUCUAUCGCCGUCGUCCGCCGCGUUCCCGUCCCCGAACCUCCACGGCGUCGCGCUCGGCGGCAGCGUCACCUCCACCGCUCGCAGGAACAGACCGUCGACGUCGUCCUCGGGCGAGUGCUUCGGGUUAUACCUCGCGUCGCCCAGUAUCGGACAGCCCAGCGCGCCCGCCGCGUGCCUGCGAAGCUGGUGCGUCCGGCCAGUCUUCGGCCACAUGUCCACCAGCGUGAGUCGCCCGUGCCUCAUCGACGCGUCCGGGGCGUCCCUCACCACCCGCCAGUGACUCACGCACUGCUUCCCCUCCAUCGGGGCGUCGAUCACCCCGAGUUUCAACGCCGCGGCUCCGGCUCUGUCGUUCUCGUCAUCGUCGUCAUCGUCAACGAGUACUUCGGGCUCCGCCGGCGUUCCGCACAGCACGGCGCGAUACCUCUUCGUCACCCUCCUCGACGCGAACGCCUCCGACAGCGACGUCGCCGCGAGCCUCGUCUUGGCGACGACGAGGAGCCCGCUCGUAAGGGCGUCGAGCCUGUGCACGGGCCUGGGACGAACCAGCGCGCCCUCGACGCCGAUUGUCGGGGCUAAAAAAUAUGGGAGCAUGCGCUCGGCGGUCCACCCGCCGCGGGCGUCCCCGACGGUGUUCACGCCCUCGGGUUUGACCACCACGGCGAAGUGCGCGUCUUCAUGCGCCACCUCGAGCCUAGGAAGGUCCUCGGGGAGGUCCGAUACGUCGAGGGGUUUCCCAGACGAGACCCGCGCGACGAUGGCGAUGUCCUCGCCGGGCAUUGGCCUGUAGUCGCCCCUCCUGAUCUCGCCGGAGACUCGGACCUCCCCGCGCCUCACGGACUUCUUCGCGGCGGGCAGGGUCGCGAAGCGAUCCGGGAAAACCUCGAAAGUCACCGCCGCGAGGUUCCAUCCAGGAAGGUCAUGGAUCCUGGCGCGCUUCGAGGCUGGUCCGUCAAAACCGUCGUCGGCGGCGGUCUCGGGAGAUGCGGCGCGUGCCUCCGCCGGGCGAAGCGGGGGCACGGUCCCGCGGGCUACGACCUCGAACGACGCCUUGGCCUCCCGCGGCUGCUUCUUGUUGCCCUUCAUCCACGAGACGACCGAGACGGGCGAACCUCGAGGGCCGGUCGGGACGGCGAGCAGCUGCGCGCAGGCCAUCUGUACUGUCGUGAGUUUUGGCAACGCUUCCAGCUCAGCACGAAGCCGUAUCUGGCGCGAUUUAACGCCGUCUCGAUCGACACCGUGGCAUAGCCCAUCGCGCGGGUUUCAGCCAUGAGUGCGCUGGGCAUCGUCACCGGCGCGUUCGGCGCGGUAUGGUCCGUCGUCGCCACCGUCCUCCGGGGGCUGUUCGGCUUCCUGAACGACUUCAAGGCGGCGGCCAGCGUGGCGAUCUUCGGCUGGUGCGUGGGGCUCUUCGUCGGUACCGUGAUCGUCAGGCACUGGCGACGGGCCGUGGCGAGGUCGGAACGAGAGUCCGCGCGUAAAGUCGCGGCGGAAGCGGUCAAAUCACGCCGUAAGGACAUCCCGAACCCGCUGCCCCCCGACGUCAUCGAGACCGCGCUCAAGCACAUCCCCCGGUGGGCUCGCGAUCCCGAUUGGAACCGAGCGGCGUUCCUCAAUCGCGUGCUCGACGCGCUCUGGCCGCACGUCGACACGUCGGUCUGCGAGGUUGUUCGCGACAGCGUGGAGCCCAUCCUGCGUGAUCUCGUCCCGAGGAAUAUAGUGCACUGGAUAGGCUUCGAGAAGCUCACGCUUGGUCCCACCCCGCCCACCAUCGGCGGCGUGAAGGUGCUCGGCAGCAGCUCCGACGACGUCGUCCUCGAGCUGGAGCUGCAGUGGGCGUCGGGCGCCGACUUCGUGCUCGCGGCGUACGUCUUCGGCGUGCGGGUGCCGGUUCGACUCAGCGACGUGCAACUCGUCGCGGCGGUUCGCGUCCAUUUCACCCCGCUCGUCGACGAGCUGCCGUGCCUCGGCGGGCUGGAGGUGAGCCUCCUCGGCAUGCCGGACCACCUCGACCUCGCCGCCGUCGUCCCGCCGGGCGUCGACCUCAUGGCGCUUCCCGCGAUGGACGUCCUCCUGCCCUGGAUCCUUCGCAAGAUCCUCGGCCCGAUGUUCGUGUAUCCCUCGCGCAUGAUCAUCCCCAUCAUGGACAACAGCGGUCUGGAACCCCCCGCGACGGGGAUGAUCAAAGUUCGCGUCCGCGGCGGCUACAACAUGCAGAAGCGGCGAAAAGACGGCAAGGCCACCGGGCUGGUGCUGCCCGGGAGUAAGCUGAUCGGGUUCGGGGGCGAGCGGUACCAGGUCCGGCUGUACACCCGCGAGCAGCGUAAGGUGAUGCUCAUGUCCAAGUCGAGGGACGAGCCCACGUGGGACGAGUUGCACUACUUCCUGGCCAAUCCCGAGUCCACCCUCCACUGCGUCUUGCUCACCAUGAACAUGCGCGAGCUCGGUCGGUGCGAGAUACCGAUGCGGCUCUUGUGCGAUCCGAGUCGCGAGGGGAAAACCGCGAACCUGCACCUGCCCAUCGAGGACCCAACACCGUUCCAAGAGCCCGAGCCCGAACCCCCGGUCCCGCCCAAGCGUGCCACCGCCGCGGACAUCGAGAGGCUGAACAAGGAGUACGCCCUCGCGAUGAAAAAUCAUCGCGAAAAGCUCGCGAGGCUGCGGCUCGAGCAGCUCGCAAAGGCGAAGCUUCCGGAGCCCAGGCCCAACACCCCGACCGUCGCGAUCGACCUCGAGUACGUGCCCAUGGGCUCUGGCAAGUCCCGCCGGACGAGCCUCGCCGGGAUAACCUCAGUCGCGAGCCCGGGCGCGAAGACUGCCUCGGGCGUAGAAGAAGACGAGGAGGAGGAGGAGGAGGAGACGGUGGCGGGCAACCGCGAGGGGCGCGUCGGGAUCCUGCGGGUCACCGUCAACCGCGCGGUGAACGUGCGCAAGGCGGACAACGCCAAGCAGCCGCAACCCGUGUGCGUGGCGCAGAUCUCGGGCCAAAAGUUCGUCACCGCGGCGCCCGUGGACCCGACCAACAAGCCGCUGUGGGACGAGACUUUUCUCUUCUUCAACGUGUCGGAUCGCGACGCGGUUUCGCUGACGCUCUGCGACGGCGGGGAGCGCGGGGAGUUUCUCGGGGAGUGCGUGGUGGACAUGCGGAAAAUAACGCGGGACAUGGAGCUGUCGGACAUGUUCCACCUGGCUGGGGUCAAGAACAACGCGCAGAUCUUCGCGCAGUUCAAGUUCUCCUACCUGGGGUGAUCGACGACGGGUGGCGUUUCCGUCUCGACGCUCUAUAUUCAACACGUGUGUAAUGUAGUUUAAUCAAAUCGAUCCAUUCGGACGCGCAGUGCCAACGACCUCACUGCACCGAGUGGUUCCACUCGUCGUCGUGCGCGGUCGGCGACACGUCCUCGAACGGCUCCUUGAACUUGUUCUUCUGCGGCGGGACCACCUGCCGCCGCCGCCGCGUCCGAUCCCGCAACCCGCCGAGCUGCGACGCCACCGCCUUGGCCGCGGCGGCUCGCCUGACCUCGUCCGGGACCUCGUCCUCGAGCCACGCGUCGUCGCCGUCCGCCGCCUCGCUCUCCCGCAUGAUAUCCUCCAGCCGAUCGCGCUCCUUCUCCAUCGUCUCGUCCAGCACGGUCUUCCGCACGACUCGACGCCUGCGGACGUUCACCCUCGCCUUGCCCGCCUCCACGUCCUUCAUCUGCCGGAGCUGCGCGCUCCACUUCUCCUUCCACUCCUCGGUGCCCACGUUCGACAGGUUGCCCCGCUCGGCGCACAGCGCGUGAUAGGCCUCGUUGAUCUCCGCGAAUUUCGCGGGCGCCAGAGGGUCCUCUCGGUUGACGUCGGGGUGGUGCAUCUUGGCCAUCCUCUUGUACGCGCGCUUGACAGCCUCCUGGGACGCGCCGGGCGACACGCCGAGGACGAAGUACCUGCGCUCCUCCUCGGGGGUCAACGCGCGAGUGACGACCGACGAUCGACGCGGGCGGGCGGGCGCGAAGGGAACGUUUCUUCCUCGCGCGGCAACCGCGGACGGCGAGACCCCGCGGGGACUCGCCGCCGUCGCCGGCACGCGCGCGGCGAGCGUCGACAUGAAGAAUGUGAGAUAUCUCCCGAAUGGUGGCUCAAUCGUCGUGGUCCAAUCAGGAGUCGCGGGAAAUUUCACCAUUCACAGACCGUCGUUUGCUUCCCCGCAGCCCGAUUGAUGAAAUCCAAAAAGGUGCACCACCGCCCGCGAGGGGAACGUUUUUCUCGGGGGACACUUGCCGCGGACCUCACUGCGUCGACGCGCGCGCGGGCGAGGUCUUCGGCGCCUUUUUCGGCCGUAUCGACCCUCGCGCACGAUCAGUACCGCCCGUGUGAGUCGCCGGCGAGCCCCGGAGCCGCUCCAACGCCGCGCCCCACGGCGACGUCGCGUCCUCGGCGCUUCGACGCGACGGGACGUUUCGAAGACGACAUCUCGAGACGCGACAUGACCACCCCGGUGCGCACCCCUGCGAGCCAAGGCGCCGCCAGGCGCGGGGCGACGCUGUGCGAUUCCGACUCUUCCGACGACGAUUCUGGGUUCUCGUGCGGGCAGUACUCCGUCACCAAGCGCCCGGGGGCCACCCCCGGCGUUGUCUCCUCGGCGUUCGCGACGACCCCAUCCGCGACCGCCCAGAGGAGGCGCUCGCAGCUCGCGCUCGCCAAGUGCGCGAGGCUGGCGAGCAGGGAAAAGGAAACGCUCAGGCAACGGUGUUUGCACCUGGAGGAGCGCAUCGCGGAGCUCCAGGGUGACGCAUCGUGCGACGCGGAGAUGCGAGCGGUCAACGCGGCGCUCGAACGCGAGAUCCGCAGGCUGGAGCAGGAGCACGAGCGCGCCGCGGAGAAUGACGAGUGGCUUCGCAACGCGCUCCAGGAGAAGCAAGCGGCGGUGGCCAGCCUCGAACGGGAACGGGGAACGCUCCGCGCGAGGCUCAUGGAGCUGGAGCAGACUGUGGCGGAGGGCGAGGCGUGCCUCCGCGACGCCGAAGCCGAGCGGGACAAGACGGCGCGGCGGCUGAGGCGAGCGUUAAAGGCGGAGGCGUCUGGUCGGCUCGCCGCCGAGGCCACCGCCGCGGCUCUCAACGCGGAGGUCUCGCGUCUGCACGCGGCGUUGGAGCGCGUGCAGAAGCAGCAGCGAGCGGGAACAAACGCUGACGACGACGACGGUUCAUGCGACGACGACGACUUGCCAUCCGCGCUCAGGCCCGGGAAGGUGACCGUGGAGUGCGUGAGCGCGUCGCGACGGGUCGAGUCGGAUUGGGACGGCGACUCGGAUCACGACUCGGAACGCGACGGUUCGUUUCCCACCGCCACACGCGCCGCCCCGGGCACCGCGCCGAGGGGACGCUUAGGUGACAGCGCCAUGGACGAGGGCUCGCCGUCAUCCGCCAACUCCGACGCGUCCGUCGCGAGUAAGCACCACUCGGUUGCGCCGCUCGGUUCGUACGAAUUUCGCGUCGAGUACACGCCCGAGUCCAAGCCCCCACAGACGCGACACGUGGCGCGCCACGUCGCUACUAUCGCCCCGAGCGGCGGCGAUAGUAGCGGGUGGUCGUCUCCCGGGAGCGGGUGGCUGGCGGUGGAGCGCGGGUCGGUGGCGGUCGCGGCGAGGGCGUGGGCGCGGGCGCUCGGCGACGGGGCGUGGUCGUUGGUCGUCGGCGUGAUGAUAGCCGUCGCGGUGACGCUCGCGAUGGUGGCGGCGCAACAGCUGUGGACGCUGUGCGGCACCCCGGGCGGGACGUGGGGUCCGGUGAGUGGGUUUUCGAUGAGGAUGGGGGGAAUGCCGCCGAGGGCGCGACCGUCGUGGCGGGAGGGGUUCAUCUUGGUGUGAAGAGGGCUUGUAGCUAGGAGAGGCGGUCUCUGACGGAAAGCCGGAGAAGUAAUCUCGCGGCGAAUAAAAUCACGUUUACGUUUCCGGCUUUUGCUUUUCGUGAGCACAACGCUCGUCGCGCGGAGGCGAGGGGCGGUAGCGUCGACAGGGUAGGCCGUCUCCAUGUUCUGGCCGAGCUCAUCGUCGAAUUCUCGCGCCACCUUCCGGUGCGUUUGUCGUUCUCGACCCUACCGGCGAACUUCGCCCGUCGCUCCCCGCCCGAUUUUAUUCCUCUUUUCUGGCACCCCCCGCUCCGCGUUUGACCUUUCACGCACCCAUCGGACGCGCAGGCCGAAGAAGAAUGCGCCGGUCGGUUCCAAGGGCGCCGCGCUCAAGCAGCACAUCGACGCCACCCUGGGUAGCGGGAACCUGCGAGAGGCGGUGCUCCUACCCCCCGGCGAGGAUCUCAACGAGUGGCUCGCGGUGAACACCGUGGACUUUUACAACGCGAUAUCGAUGCUCUACGCCACGUUGGCCGAGUACUGCACCGAUGGAUCGUGCCCGACGAUGUGCGCGGGGCCCAAGUACGAGUACAGGUGGGCGGACGGCGUCAAGGUGAAGAAACCCAUCGCGUGCACCGCGCCGCAGUACGUGGAUUACCUGCUCUCGUGGGUGGAGUCGCAGGUGGAUGACGAGGCGCUCUUCCCGCAGGCGCAGGGCGCGGACUUCCCUUCGAACUUUCCGGACGUGGUGAGGAAGAUAUUCACCAGACUGUUCAGGGUCUACGCGCACAUAUACCACUCGCACUUCCCGCAGAUCUGCACGCUCGGGGCGGAGGCGCACCUCAACACCCUGUUCAAGCACUUCAUCUACUUCACAUCCGCGUUUGGGCUGGUGCGGCGCGAGGAGCUCGCGCCGCUCGGGGAGCUCGUGGACGGCAUCCUCGGGGUGGUGCCGUCUCACGUGAAGAUAAACAACAACGUGGGUGGCGGGGGUGGUGGCGGCGGCGGUGCGGGUGGUGGUUCGGCGGUUUGAUGGGUGUUAAGGGCGACCUAGGUAGCUUCGUAGACUGUCUCGUUUUUAAACGCGACGCCAACCAUAAACUCUCAGAGACGGAUGACUGGUUCUAUUGUCAUGCCGUGCCAAGAUGUAAUUCAUUAAUUCCCGUCGCCUGUCGUCCACGUCCCGCAGUCACGGACCCACCGAAGCAGCUUCGGGUUUUAGGGUUCGUGACUGGCGCAUCGUGGCCGCUCCGAAAAAAUCCAGACGGCAGAGGACUCCUGAAACUACCGAGGGAUCCUCCCAAGCGGCGCUUCUCGCCACAAGGUGAAGGCGCCUGGCGCCGUCGUCUGAGUGCGCGCUAGGGUGCGUACGAGGUCGGCGAGGUCAGCGCCAUGGGGAAGGAUCGCGGUAAGGGCGGAUCCGCGGCGGCGAAGGGUAAGUCGUCGGCGACGGCGCCGAAGGCCAUCGGGAAAGAUGGCACCUCGGCAAGCCCCGCCGACGCCGCAAAGGCGCUGGACAAGGAGGUCCGGGCGGAGUGCGAGAAGGCGUUCGGGUACUUCAAGAAGGGUAACGCGAAGCAGUGCACCAAGGAGAUGGAGCGGCUGAUCAAAAAGUACCCCGGACACCCCUUACCGCACAUAGGGCACGUCCGGAUCUCGCACAAGCUCGCGCUCGAGCAGAGGACGCUCAAGAACGUCACGAGACUGUUCAAGGAGUGCCACGAGCGCGCGAGCGCGGCCGUGGACGCUUGCCCGGACUCGAUCCUGGUCAAGCUCAUGUUCGUUGAAGUGGUCUACGACGAUCCGUUCCCCAGCGACGAGGCCGUGGCUCGCGUCGAGACGCUGGCCACCGCCGAACUCCCGAGCGGCGCGGGCAGGUCGGAUCUGAAGGUUGCCAAGGCGCUGGCGCGCGAUUCCUUCGACGAGCACAUCCUCAUGCUGCCGUUCUUCCCGGACAUCAACAGGCACCAAAAGACCGAGGAGUUGGUCGCCGCGAUGCGCGGAUCGCUCAAGGAAUCGUACGAUCAGAUCUGCAACCUCCUCCGCCACUCCUCGCGGUUCAUGCAACAGCAAGCCGUCGGCAACGCCGGAGCCGAGGUGGCGGAAGGGGCGACCGGCAAGGCGGCCGACGACCUCGUCCGCCUCGAGAGCUUCAUAACCAUACGCGAGAACAACCACCAGUACCACCGGGUCGCCAAGCAAGCCUCCAUCAAGCAGAUCGCGCAACAGAAGGAGCUCGAGGAGCACAAAAGGAACCAGGAGUACGCCAGGGUCAACCUGGAUCUGAGAAGGCGGGAGGAAGAGGCCAAUCGUCGCCGCGCUGCCGCGAUCGAAGCCGCGAAGGAGCGCGCGGACUCCCCGACGACCGUCAAGAGCGGCGUCGGGUCUGAGGCUGACGAGUCGACGCGGAACGGCGGUGGGAGCCCCGGGGCGGCUGAGUCCAACUCAGGGGCGGCUGAGUCCAACGCCGACUCGCCCGGGGCGAAGGAUGCGUCAGUUGUCUCAAUCGUCGAGGGCGCGGUGACCAAGGCGCGCGCGGAGGAAAGCCAGGCCAAACAGAGUUCCAAGCUGGCGGACUUUGCCGACGUCGCGGUGACUGCCAAGCAACCGAAGACCAAGGCUGAGAGGGAGUCCAACGCGGCGAGGGAGAGGGAGAUCAAGGAGAAGCUGCUCCGCAGGAGGCAGUUCGAAUCUGUGAGGAAGUACUGGAAGACAGAGGUUGAGAAGGACCCCAUGUCGGUUCUUUCCAUGACGGACAUACCGCUCAAGGAGCUCAGGAAUUUCGUCGACAAGCUAUACGAUGGGCCGCGACGCUCGGAGGACCUCAAGAUCGUCCGUGACAUCGUACAGGGCUACAUCAGCACGGGUAAGUGGAUCCGGUGGAAGUGCAACUUCAAGGAUUGCUGCGGGGGCGGCGAGCACCUCACCGCGGAGGAUAUGUUCGCCUGCAUCGAGACACGCUUCCCGCAGGACGGGACAGGGACCAGCAGGGACCAGCUCGGCGACGCGAGGCACGGGAUCCUGCCCAUCGUGACGCCCCACGACGUUAACGUCUGCGGCUGGAUUGGGAAAGGCGACGAGUCGACGGGUUUGGGCGGAGGCGUGUUUCCCAAGGAUCACGAGCUUCCCUCCGUCGUCGCCGUAAACAACGCCGUGACGCCGGCGGACAUCGCCGACGUCGUCGCCGGCCGCCGCGCGCCGCUGCUGUCGGUGGACAGCGCGGUGUACCGACGCGAUGCCAUCGAGGAGGAGACGAUCCGGCGGCAGACGCGACGCGCGGAGAGCAGGAACGGCGUCAACGCCGGGGUGGUGACGGACAGCGACGACGAGGAGGACUUCGCCGAGCCCCUGGUGGACACCACGAUGCUUCGAAGGAUCGCUUCCCAGAACCACUACCACGUGGACCUCAACAACGACCGCGAGUGGGAGCUUCCCGAGCCCCUUGACAGAGACUACCGAAAGGCGAGGUACGCCCUGCUGAAGGACGCGCUCUCCCGCCUGGAGGAGGAACCCGAGCUGCUGGAUAAUCUGAGGGAGCACAUGUUGCACCCCACGCUGCUGCCGGUGCUUGCCGGAGCCAUGAAGCUCGAACACGAGGAGGAAGAAGAGAGGCAGAGAAAAGAGUACGCCCGGUUCGACAUGUCCCUGGCCGACGAAGCGGAGGGCCUACCCUUCCCGGAUUGUUUCAAGCGGCACGGCGACGAGUUCCUCAAGUAUUUCAACGAAGUGGAACAUCACGCGCAGCUCGAGAAGGGGAACUUCAAGUCGCGCAUCAUGCAAGCACAAUCCCGGCAAAUUGUGGAUAUGGACAUGGACUACAAGGACCUGGAGCAGAUGUGCAUCAGCCACAAUAUGUCCUACAACGAUAUUUUCAGGGACCAGAUCAGCAACUUUGACAAGCUCGACAAGAACAUCCCGGGGUCCACCCCCGCGGGGCGUUUCAUGAAGUACGCCGAAACUACCAACAUGUUGCGCGCGCAGAGAAUCAGGGAGGCUGUCUCGCAGUCCAUCUCUGACCCGAGUACGGUGCCCCAGGUCACCGCGCCCGUCAUUCGUGGACCAAACGGCGAUGACAUCUACGAAGAGGUCGUCAAGUUCCUCGUGGACACGGACACGCCGGCACAUACCUACGCGCCCUACGGCCUGAAGCACUUUAAGCACAGCUUCACAGGCAGCGAAGCGGCGGAUCGCGCGCUGAGGGAACUCGAGGAGAAGGCGAAAUGGGUCGAAGAGCACGCGCCGCUGCCCUCGUGGGAUUAUCACACAUACAAUGAUUCUGGGUCCGUGCCAGACGAUGAGCAGAAACUCACUGAAGACAUCAUUUUCGGGAUUCGGUGCCUGAUGAGGGCCGGCCAGAUGCCGCUGCGAUUGAUGCAGACGAUGGCGCAGUUCAUCUCUGCGAGGCUGCACGAAAUCAAAAACAGGUUUAACGAGAACGAGAAGGCCGGCAUCGGACUGAGAAGGCGCAGACCAAAGCUCGGGGCGCCGGAGCGCGUCCUCGCGGAUUCACCGGAUGCGACCGUCGGCAGGACGUCGUCUCGGACGCCAGAAGCUGCCGUGGAGGCGGAAAGUUCCAACUCGGCUAUCCCUACGGAUCCCAUCAGGACGGAUGAUUUCGGAGCUCGCCUACGACUGCUGGAGAAGGACGACCUGAAGGCGCUGUGGUCUUUCCUCAUGGAAAUUUCCAUUGGCUCACGUAACAACCGUGACAGGACGUUGCUCAGGCACAAAGUCAAGAGCAGCUCGUGCCUCUGGCAGAUGCUCUCGGAGGAAUCUGCACUUUUCGGAAUCACGGGCGAGACCGGAGUUGAGUUCGUGACUGGCGGUGGCGCCGAAGCGGAAGACACCAAGAAGGACGUUAAGAGCAAGGGCGGUAAGGGCGGCAAGGGGAAGAAACCCACUCCCAAGGGUAAGUGCGCAGAGUACUGCGUAGACGAGUCGUCGCGUACGUUUCGCCUGUGCGUUGGCGCGUGGCAGGCUCUCUACCCGGUGGGCCCGGCUGCCAUGAUUCCCGGCCUCAUCUCCGAGGCGAACAGCGAGGAGGAGGCAUUCAUCCGCGCCAAGACGGCCGCGGCGCAGCCCAAGGAAGAUUUUGUCGGCGAGAAUCUGCUCAAGUGGCUCUACAGCGAGAGCGCGGAAACUGCACCGUCGCAGGAGGAAGUUGCCAAUUACGUCCUCCCCAGUGACUAUGAGUACCAGGCAAGGUUUGAGAGUUGCGUCGACCAGCUCAAGACAAACAACGAGAUUUUCCGUGGGAUCGCAUGUGUGAAGGUUGUCAUCCGACACCGGAUCGACUCGAUCAUGACCUGCGCCAACUCCAUGCUCACUGACAGGAUGCCCCUGGAUACCAUUCGCGCCUUGGACCCUGCCAACCCAAAGGACGAGGCAAAGAUGCGCAUGUUCUUCGAGGAGUACGCCAAGCUUCGGUACAUGAUCAAGGCCCUACGGAAGAAGCUGCUGGACAUGGACCUACACGAGCUCGAUACUGAGACCCAGUACUUCAGAGAAUACAUGCAGUUGAUCCAACGGCAGCACGAGCAGUACAAUCAGAGACUCUUCGAGCUGAGUGGCCCCAAGAAGGUUGAAAUUUUCCAAAAGGACAAAAGGGACGACCCAAAAGAGGCUGAGCGCCUCCGCGAAAAGCAGGAGAUGCAGCUCAGGCUGAAGCUCAGCAAGGAUAGGCUGGAGGCCUUGCAGCACUCUCGGCGGAGGGCUUCCGACGCGAUCUUGUUCAAGAGGAACAAGGUUGAAAAGAUCGUCGCAUCAAAGAACUUCCUCGCCGCCGAGGAAAAAUCUUCGCAGGUGAUCCUCCACAAACAUGCCUCGGAACAGAUCGAUGCGGCGAUCGCUUCGUGGAAGGAAUCGGGCGGUAACAUCCCCGCGGAGGCCAUGGAGAUAUGCCGGAAGCUUCAGAGCCUCCCGGACAAGAUGACCCCGACGCUCGUCGCCGCGCAGGAGCGGCUGUUGGUCUUUGACCUGCAGAUGGAGGCCAUCAUGAACGAGCGGACCGAGAUCAUCACAGACAUCAACGUCUACGCCAAGGUUGAGUACUACAGGUGGCUUCAUCCGACGCUCAUCCACUGCCUGCAAUCGAUGCUCGAGCGCAGGGCUGAGGCUGCGAACACCGCAGAGAAGGAGCUCGAGCAGGAGCUCCUUUUGGCUGAUGAAUCCAAGGCUGAAGAGGAGAGGCGGCGCAAGGAGGAAAAGGCAAAGGCCAAGAAAGCGCGCGAGAAGGAAGAGAAGCGACUGCGCCGCGAGAAGGAAGCCGCCGAGGCUGCUGAGGUCCAGGCUAAGGCUCGCGCUGAGCAAGAUGCCGCCGACGCCAGGCUCAAGGCUGAGCUCGAGGCUGUCGCCAAGGCUAGAGCGGCGGCCAAGGCAGAGGCUGAUGCGGCGGAGGAACUCGAGCUUCAGGAGCGCCGCCGCGUCCUCGAGGCCGAGGAAGCCGCCGAGCAUGAGCGAAUGAUCCGCGAGAUGCACGAACUGGAGACGGCGCGGGCUGCCUCCAUGAUCACCGCCGAUCGGGACGCGCGCGAGGCUGCGGCUGCCGAACAGAUGGAGAUUGAGCGCGCCGUGCGGGAAGCCGAGGAGGCAGAGGCCGCGGCUGUGGAGGCUGAGGCUCGCGCCAAGGAGCAGGAGAGGCGUAAACGCGAGGAUAUCAUGGCGGCUGCGAACGCAAAGCUCGCGGCUGCGAAAGCGGCGGAGGCUGCGUCCAUCGCGGCGGCGGCGGCGGCGGCGGAGGCUGCCAGGAUUGCCGCGGAGGCGGCGCGGGAGGCGGCGGAGGCGCAAGCGCUCGCGAACGGCGAGGAGCGACCGCGGCAGCCGCGUCUCAGCGCGAGGGCCUCGGACUUUACCCCGUCCAACAGGGCUCACAACGCGCCGGCGUCGUCCGAGUCGUCGACGGAUUCCCCGGGCGACGGGCUGUUCGAUUCCGCGGGUUCUCACGGCUACGGGGGCAGCCGCGGGGGCCGAGGCGGAAGGGGCGGCCGCGGCCGGGGCGGGAGGGGCGGCCGCGGCUAUAACGUCGGGCUCAAGCACGGGAGCAGCACCAGCCUCGCGUCCGAGGGAAGCGACGAGUACUCGUCCGCGUCGCCGCACGCGCCGCCGAUGCCGCCGGGGAUGCCGCCCAUGAUCGUCGGACCCAACGGCGUUCCGGUGCCCUUCUACCCCGCGCCGCAUCACCCCAACGGCAUCCCACCCCCGGGGAUACCCCCGGGUUUCCAGGUGCCCCACGGCUACCCCCCCGGGAUGGUCCCACCUCCGCCGGGGUACCCACCGUACGUUCACGGUCACGGUUCCCACGGGAUGCACCCGCCCCCGCCGCCUGUCGUGGGCCACCCGCCGCCGCCGCCGCCGCCGCCGCCGCCGCCGCCGCUGCCCCCCGGUCCGCCCCCCGCCGCUCGCGCCGUGGAUGAGAGCGGCGCGCCCGCCCCUCCCCCCGCGGCGGCGCUCCCGCCCGUGAUGAAGUUCGGCGAGCACUCGCUACCGAUGGAUCCCGGCGCCUACGCGCAGUAUCAGGCGCACUAUCAGGCGCACAUGGCGACCCAGGCGCAGAUGCAAAACGGCAAGCUCAACAACGCGUACGUUCAGCCGAGCGACGUCGGCAAAGUCUCCGCGAUCGAGGCCGACGCGCGAGCCGCGUCGGAAGCCGCCAAGGUGGCCGCCAACCGCGCCACUCGCGCCGCGGAGGAGGCUGCGCACGCCGCGGAGGAGGCUGCCGCGAUCGAGCACCGCCUCGCGGAGGAGGAUUACCCCGCGUUGGCUCUUCCGGCCCCAAGCGGCGGGUCGGACGGAUCAUCCGCCGGGUCCACUGGCCCGCCCGUGGACGACAACGGGUUCGCGGUCGACGAAAUGCAGGCGGCGCUCGAGGCGUCCGUGAGGGAGACCAGGAAGGAGCGCCCGAAGCGGGGGUACGCGCGCGCGUUGUCGGGGGAGGCGCUCGACGGCUUGGCUCCCGACUCGCCGCAGCGAGCGGAGGGACCCGGCGCCGGCUUGCGCAACCUGGAGGGCGAGUACAACUGCUUCUUGAACGUCGUGAUCCAGUCGCUCUGGCACCUGCCGCCGUUCUCCAGGGCGGUCCAGGACAGCGCAAAGGGCGGCGGCGCGUGGCGAGGGAACGGGCGCGGCGACGAGGAUCCGGACGCGGAGGUCGCCGCCGCGCUCAGGGACGUGUUCCGAGCGAUGGACCAAUCAAACGGCUCCGUCCGAGCGAUGGACCAAUCGGACGGCUCCGUCGCCGACUCCGGCGACUCGAACGGCGCGCCGCACGCGGACAUCGGCGCCGUCCAGAACGCCGUGGCGCCCACCGCCCUGCGAAAGGCGCUCGCCGUGCUCACCCAGGGCCGGGGUUCCCUCUUUGGCGAGAACGAGAUGGCCGACGCGAGCGAGGCGCUUCAGGCGAUUUUCCACUCGGUGCAUCGCGCGCUUCGACCCGCGCCCGGGACGAAGCACGCGCGCCCCCUCAGCGCCGCGGCGUCUUCCAGGUCCGGGGGCAUGUUCCUGGACCAGGAGUCCGGGUACUGCUCGGUGGUUCACAGGUGCUUCGGGGUUGACGUGGAGGAGAGCAUGACGUGCUCGCGGUGCGCGGUGCGGUCCAGGACGCUUCGAUACACCAAGUUUUUGCACCUGGUGCCGGCGGCGGCGCUCAAUCUCGCGAUGGCGUACGCCGACGGGGUGGAUUCGAUGGAGAGCGCCAUGCGGCACAUCGACGGCUCCGACGCGAAGCCCUGCGACGUGGACGCGGGCGGUUGCGGCGCCAUGAACGGCAUCGAGCACGCGCUCGCGGCUGACGGCGUUCAGAGAAAGUCGCCGGCGAUUUUCUGCGUGGCGCUCGCGUGGGAGUCGGCGUCGGCCACGUCCGAUCAGGUGGCCGAGACUUUGGCGAACGUUCAGACGACUCUGAACCUGGCGGAAGUGUACGAGCGCGCGCCGCGAGACGCGGGGACGUACCACCUGCGCUGCGCGAUGUGCUACUACGGCGAGCACUACGCGGCGUUUGCGGUGACGGAUGCCGGUCGAUUCGACGGUCACGAGCGAUGGAUGCUGUUCGAUGAUCACCGGUCGAAGGAAGUUGGCGAGUGGGAAGAGGUGGCGAGGGUGUGCGCGGCGGGGCGCAUGCAGCCGUGCGUGCUGUUUUACCAGAGAGAGAACGCGACGGUGGAGGUUUGAUUCUUUUGACGAUCACGAAAAUUUUAUACGACGAAUUUACUAACAGCUAUGCGCUAUGAUCAGAACAACGUCCCGGGCUGCCUGCGCGAGGGAAAGGAUCUCAUCAGUCUCUCGCUCACGUGUAUUUUGAUUGUCUGUGAAAGGGCGGACGCGGGACCCCGUCAGCACCGAGGGAAGAGAAAAGCCAAAAACCCGACGAUCGAAACAGGCGGACGCGACGAGAAAUAACGAAAACGAAUAGAUUCGGGCGCACUUUGAGCUCGUCACUCGUGUUCGUUCCUCGUGGCAUACACCAGGCUCUCCUGUACGGCCAUGGGCAGUUCCGCUAUGUCCACCCGCUCGUCCUUCUGGAAUAUCUGCAGAUCCGGCAAAUCAAACAUCAGAGUCGGCUCCUCCGAAAGCGCGUACUUGCACCCCUCCGUGGUUUCCUUCGGAUACACCCGCUUGAUGCACUCACACGUCCGCUCGAAACGUUCGGGUAUGGGCUCCGUCUCGUAUAACAGCUUGGGCGCCUCUGUGAUCAUCUGCGGCACCUUCUCCAGCGGGAAUAUGUCCAGAAGUUCUAUCAGUCUGGGCACGGCGUCGGCGAUUUUCACAGUCAGAACCCGGGGGUCGUUGAACACCAUCUCCGAGACAUCGACGUCCGGCAGCGUGCGCACGAGCCUGUCGAAUUUCACCGCCAGCAGCUCGACGUCGCCGUAGAUGGAGUCGAUCUCGAUCAACGUGGCGGAGACUUUCUCCGCCUGGUACGGCCUCAUGCCCUUACCCUGGAAGAACAGCUGCACUCGGGCCAUGUCCACCGCGAGCGAUGCCUGGGCUCCCUCGGGGACCUUCAGGAACUGCGCGGCGAGCUCGGCCCGGGCCUGUUCCCCCGCUAUCCGUGUCGCCUCCUCGAGGAUCUCGCGGCACUCCUGAAUCGCCGCCUUGAGCUCCUCGCCGCUUACGGGUCGAUACGAAGAGUCCUCAGGUGAACCAUCCACGUCAUCCCCGCCACUGCCGGAUGGGCCCCCAUCCGCUGACGACGCCCUCGCCGUGGUCAACCGGCUGGGUGGCGAUCGUCGCGCGGAUACGGGGUUUGCCCGUGCCCUCGCAAUACAUAUCACAGCGCCCGCCCGCGCCGCCCACGUCGCCGCCAUCACGAGUGGCGCCCUUGCAGCCACGCGCAGCCUUAUCGCCGUGCACACCUGGCACGGCGGGAAAAUCAGCAAUCAGCCGGAAAAAUCUUGGAGGGUGUUGACGAUAUCAAGGCCGAUCGUUCGACAACGUGUUGAACCACAUCGUCCUUCACGCCCGAACCCAGAACCACCCACCGACCAUGGGCUGCCUUUCCUCAAAACCCGAGGUCGUCGCGGAGAAGCCGGUCGCGGAGAAGCCUCGGGAGAAAUCGCGCGAGGAAAUCCUCGCGUCGCUCUCCCCGGAGGACAGAGAGGCUGAGCUCGAGAUCGAGAACGUCUUCGCCCUCUUCAGCAAGAUCGACAUCGACAAGAGCGGUGGCGUUGACAAGCAGGAGCUCGCCGACGCGCUGGAGCAGAAGCCGAGGCUUCGCAAGCGCCUCUGCGAAAACACCGGCAUCGCGUACGACGAAGACAACGGCGCCCUCGCAUCCAACCAACUCGCCUCCAAGACUAUCGACACAAUCGACGACGACGCCGACGGAGUCGUCAAGCCCAUCGAGCUGGAGCGAGCCAUUCGCGGCUGGGCCAAGAUCGACUACGAUCCCGUGGCGGACCAGGCCGAACGCGACAGGCAAAACCAACUCAAGGGCGCCGCGGAGCGCGCCAAGAUUCGCAGCGAGAUGCACGGCGGGUUCGCGGGAGUCACCGACGCGAAUGAAGCCAUGGCCAUCGGCGUCAACGCUCAGCGGCUGACGCAGAAGAGCCGCGACGCCGCGUUCGGGGACUCGGCCCCGGAGGUUUUCGGCAACGGCGCCGAGUACGUCAAGUCGCCGGAGCUCAAGGCGCGGCGCGCGUCGAUGGAGAAGCACUUCGAGGAGGAGGCGCGGGCGCAGAAGCUGCUGAACAAGGUUGGCGAGGACUUCAAGGGCCACGACGAGGCCACCGCGAGGGCGCAGGCGGAGAGCGUGGUGCUGGGCGGCGUUGAGGUGGCGAUCGACGGCGAGGAUGAACGGCGGAAGAAGAAGAUGCCGGCCAAGCUGGUAAAGCGGAUGAAGGAGGAGAGCGCCAAGCGCGGUGGUGAACCCAAGUUCGUCCCUCCCUCCGCGCAGUGAGACCAGACGCGUCAACAGAGAGUUGACAAUGCCCCUGGCAGACCUGGUUUUUGAGUUCGUAACAAUGAAAUGAAAUCCGGACGCGCUUUUCUCAACGAGGCAGAUACCAGACCGUAUCCGAGGCGUGAUCUAGCUCUAGGUCGUCAACCGACGGAGGUCACAGUCAAGCGGCCGCGCGGUCCGUCCGUGUCCCCGCCGGGUUCGCGACCAGCCCGUCGCUCGCGACUUCCCGACUCGUCGCGCCCACAGCGUGCCUCUCCCGUCAGGGCGGGAACCUGCCCCCGUCGCAGAGGGCGGCUCUCGGGGCGAAUUUUCGCACGUGUGGACGGAACCCGCGCCGAAAUGUUGUCGUCGUCCAGCGCGGCGCUCCGGCGCAACAACUCGUUCUUCGAGUCCACCCCCAAGGUGCAGUACCCGACGCAGGCGUCAGACUACCGCCUGAUGGAGGAGAUCGGCCGCGGCGUGAGCGCCAAGGUUUACCGCGCGGAGUGCGUUCCCCUGAACAACGAGCAGGUGGCGGUCAAGAAGCUGGACCUCGAGGAUCAGGAUCCGGGGCACCUCGAGGAGAUCCGCCGGGAGGUUGCGUCCAUGAGCAUGCUCUCGCACCCCAACCUCGUCAUGGCGCACUGCUCCUUCGUCGAGGGCCAGUACCUGUGGAUCGUCAUGCCCUUCUGCGGAGGAGGGAGCGCGCUGAACAUCAUGAAGUGGUCGCACCCCAAGGGCCUGGACGAGACCUCCAUCGCCACGAUCCUCAAAGAGGUGCUCAAGGCGCUCGACUACUUCCACCGCAACGGCAACAUUCACCGCGACGUCAAGGCGGGUAACAUACUCAUCGACGACAACGGCUCGGUCAAGAUCGGCGACUUCGGCGUCUCGGCCGCGUCCUGGGGCUCCGGCGCCAAGCCCCACGCCACCUUCGUGGGCACCCCGUGUUGGAUGGCGCCAGAGGUGAUGGAGCAGGUGAACGGGUACGACUGGCACGCGGACAUCUGGUCGCUGGGCAUCACGGUGCUCGAGCUGUGCCACGGCCACGCGCCGUUCGCCAAGUAUCCCCCGAUGAAGGUCCUGCUGAUGACGCUGCAGAACCCGCCGCCGCAGCUCGAGGCGGAGCAGGCGGAGAGCGGCCACCACUUCUCGAGGGCGCUCAGAGAUUUCGUCUCGAUAUGUCUGCAGAAGGACCCGUCCAAGCGACCGAGCGCCGCCAAGCUCCUCGAGCACAAGUUCCUGAAGGAGGCCAAGAAGCCCGACUUCCUCGUCAAGCACCUGCUCGACGGCAUACCCACCCUCGGGGACAGGACCGCGAAGCUCAACGAACGCGAGAAGGCGAGGCAGGCGCAGCGAGCCGCCGCCGUCGCCGCGGGGGGGCUCUCGUCCGCGCCGUCCACCGAGGCUGCCGAGGAGAAGCGAUCGAACGCCGAGUACCUCAAGGGGGUCUCCCGCUGGGACUUCGACAUGGACGCCAUCCGCGCCGAGGCUGCGGCGAUGACCCUGGACGACGAUAAGCUCCCAACCGUGGUGGAGGGCGAGACUCUGCCGACGUCUGGAAACAAUUCAGGGUUCAACUCCCCGCGGGGGGGUUCGUCAACACAGUCCCAGUCGCAGCAUCCGUCGGAGGAGAAGCGCGUGGAGCAAAAAGGUCGGUUCACCGUCAUCGACGACGACGCGAACAAGAGCGGCAUGAACUCCGCGGGCGGCAGCGCCGAUAACCUGUCGCGAGCCACGUCGGUGCAGAAGGGGCGGUUCACCGUCAUGGAGGAGGACGGCGACGGGCAAGCCGGCGCGGCGUCCAAGACGAACUCGUCCUCCAAGGCGUUACAGGGCUCGUCCGUGAUCAUCGGGAGCAGCGAGCCGGAGUCCGGGACGGUGGCGGCCGCCGCGAAAGCCGCGAUUGAGCGCGAGAUGGACCCGCCCAAGCUCAAGCCUCGCAGGUUAUACGACGCGGCGGAGAGCGCGGGGGAGAUUGCGAAGAUGCUGCGGGAGAUGCACGACGAGAUGGAGGAGCAGCAGGAGAAGAUCACCGUCUUGGUGGACGAUAACAGGUGGCUCAGGAAGCGCGUGCUGGAGCUGGAGGCCAUGCUCGGUCAAUAGCGCUACGUUUCUACGAGUAGUCUACGAAGGUACUCAUUGUUUUCUACGCGGAUUCUUAUUACACCUACAGAGCUCAUCAGUCCUCGAACGAGGGUAUCAUCUCGUACGUGAACCCCGGUAUCCCCCGCCACACCGCCGCGAGUAUCGUCGUGACGUAUAAACCCGGCGCAAGGGUAAUGCACCCGAGGACGAGCAGCGCCAGGCUCGUCCCCCUCUCCUCGUCGUCCGGGAUGGGCAUGAAGCCAAAGUACCACAGCAGGUAGCAUCCGAGCAGGACACACCCGACGAAGGUCAGCCCAACGCCGAGCGCGACCGUCUUCUUGCCGGGUUUCCUCAGCUUCGGAUCCAUGUGCGCGGGCAUGGUGAACCGCGGGUCAUCCCCCGAGGGCUCAUCCAGCGUGUCCAGCCUGGCGAACGUCCUCCGCUGCACCCCUGCGCCCAUCGAGACUGCUCCGAGAAGUUUUCGUCUUCGUCACCCGAACGCAACGUUCCGGUCGGGGCGAAAAGGCGCGGCACGUUCGGAUUUCGUCAUAUCCGAUCGCCGCGCAGUCGAGAGCCAUGGGUCUCGGCAUCGGUCCCAACAAGGACCGCGUCCAGGCGGCGAUCAAAGAGCUUCAACAGAAGAAGGCUGCCGAGGCUGCGGCGGCGGGGAACGGCGAGGGCAAGGAGAACGAGGCGCCCGCCACCCCCGCGCCUCAAUCAGGGGGCGGUGGAUCUCCCGCGAAAGCAUCGUCCAAGCGCGAUCGCGACCCCAAUGAGAAGGCCGCCGCUCUGGCGGCCACCAAGCUGGUCAAGAAGAAGCAGCGCAAGCGCUUCAUCCCCAAGGAUCCAUGCCUGUUCUUCCUCUACUACUUCGGAUUGGUCAUCGUCGCCGCGUGCGUCGUGAGGGUCAUCAACGGCCCGUUCCAGUUCGAGCAGAAGAUCCUGGCCGAGCGCGACAGGAUCCGCGAGAUCCAGGAUGCGAACGAAGAGGCGCUGCGGGUGAUGAAAGAGAGCAUCCCGCUCGUAUUCGCCGCGGGCGACGGUAACACCACCGAGGUAGAGCGACUUCUGGCGCUGGGACAGGACGUCAUGGAACGAUCUCCCGCGGGAGAGACCCCGCUGCACACCGCCGCCAUCUCGGGCGAGCCCGUCAUUGUCAAGAUGCUCCUCGACGCCGGCGCGGAUCCCGACGCGCGGACCAUGGGAAGGGAGUACCUCAAGAUGACCCCGGCGCACUGGAUGGUGUUCGGGAACAAACGGGAAGCGCUGAAGAUCCUCAUCGACGCCGGCGCGGACGUCAACGCGAUGAACACCAAGGGCAAAACGCCCACGGACAUGGCGUGGGACCUUCCCAAGGACACGAGGGAGGGAAUCCUGACGCUGCUGCUGGAGAACGGCGGAAAGAAGGGCGAGGACCUGAACGAGGAUCCCCCCGAGGAUGAUCCCGAUCCCUCCGAGGAUGAUCCUGAUCCGGCCGAGGCGACGACGGCCACCGACGCGGAGGAAGUCGAGCCCGCGGAGGAAGUCGAGCCCGCGUCGCCCGCGGAUGCGGAGUCCGCCGCCGAGUUGUGAGCGCGUUUGCCCUGGACCCAAUUUUAACGUCUGUAUGUAUGUCUGCACUCCCAUCUAUCCUACACGCACGCACUACGCUAUCCCCUCGGCUCACGCGGCGCCGAACGCUCGCACGGCACGAUCCCGACAUCCGCGCACCUCGCCGUGUCCUUGAACCGCUCCAACGCCCAGAGGAAAGACGUGAGCGGCGCGUCGCACUCGGGCGUGACACUCGCGUGCGUCAACCGAAGCGAGCUCACCUCCCCGAUGUGCGCGAAAGAGUUCUUCAGGCUGACAAAGUGCUGCCUCGCCAGGGGCGCCCUCGCCGCGGACUUGGACACCGUUCGCAGCGUCGGAUCCUUCGAGUCGGGGAUGAGGCGCUCGCCCCUGGCUCGAGCUCCGUGCGCUCGCACCCCGCCCUCCCAGUUCCCCGCCACCCACUCGAUGAGCAAAAUAUCCGGGGGCUUGCGCUGGUAGUGCAUCUCGAGAAAGUUGGCCAGCGCGUUGGAGUCCGCGCGGUGCAUGACGAUCCCGAUGAACCCUAUGGAGGUGCGAAGCAUCGUCCACAUGGGGUCCACGGCGGCGGCAGCGGCCAUCCGCCGCCCUAUUCCCGCCAGGUGUCCCUCGCACAUCGUCGCGUCGUCCUCGGUCAGCAACAAGUAGUCGGCGCCGCCGCCGCCGCCCACCCCGCCCACAUCCCGCAGCACCGAGACCAGGUCCAGGGUCUGCUGCCGGACCCGCGGGCCGGGAACGUCGUCCGGGUUGUUCCUGUCGUCCACCGCAACCUGGGCGCCGGGAUCCGUCCUGCGCCGGUCCGCAUCCACCGCAGCCUCGAGGGCGACCCUCGCGGCCAUGUCCCGGGGCCCCGCGGGUCGGUCGCGAAUCUUGCGAAACGCGGCGUGCUCCUGCGCGCUCGAGUGACUCACCACCCGCACCGUCACCCUGUCGAAGCCGUGCUCCCCUCGCCGCGCCUCCGCGAGCGCCGAGUCGACGGUCCUGGUGAGGUAGUCAACCCCCGGCCUCGCCACCGUCGGCACCAGGAUGAGGAGGUGGCCGCCGAUCCUGCCGCCGGCGGCCAGGGGCGGCGCCUUCCUCCUCGCGAGACCCUCCGCGGCGUCGCGCUCGCGCUCGCGCCGAAGCUCCUCGGCCCUCGCCGCGCUACCCCCCCUCGCGACCCGAUGCGACGCCCCCCCGUUAUAUGACCGCUCUCUCGCCUCCUUCUGCUCCUCGAGCUCCGCCGUCUUUCUCGCAGCCUCGCGCGCGCGCGAGUCCCCGCCGGGCCGCAUGUCCGCGCCCUCGCAGCACGCGUCCGCCUCGGGCUCGCCCGCCCACCUCCCCUUGAGCCAGCACACGCCGGCGUCCUUCACGAGAACCCAACCGCGGCAGUCGGGGUCGGCGAGGCACGCGCGGCAGCAAUCUUCGCGCGACGCCGGAGCCGGAACGGGCGGCCCGCGCCGUAGGUCCCCGCCUCGGAUCUCCACGCCGUCCCAGAUCCUGACGGGACCUCUCUCCGGGGCGGCGCCGUCGCCGCACACGUCCCCGGUGUCGCCCGGGGGUCGGACUCCCGUGUUACUGUCUCGGCGAGCAAAGCCGGGUGACGGCUUUUUUCCCGACGAUUCGUGCGACGACGAACGCGACGACGAGGACGAGCGUCCAUCGCCGGCGGUCCCUCGUUCCCGAUUUAGACGGUCGUCCGCUCCCCUCUCGCGUCCGAGCGCGCCGUCGUGACCUUCGCGCUGCGCCAGUUUCCUCUGCCGCUCCGUCCAACCCUGGGCCGGGUCGCGAUGCAUCUCGGCGACGAAGCCCGUCGCCUGGCGCAGGUCGUGCCGGGUCAGCCUGGAGCUCGGCAGCCUGCCCACGCCCCCGAGCAGCGGAACGCACGCGACGAUGCAUAUCAGCGCGAGCACCUCCAGCUCGCGACCGAACCCGAUGAACCCGCCCGCGCCGUCGUGCCCGCGUCGAUGACGGGAGGAGCGAGCCGGACCUCCGGAGUGGGCGCCGUGCCGCUCCCAAGCGCGGUUCGAGCGGGGCGAGGGCGGCGCGGGCGGCGUGUGGGGGCCGACGUCGCCCGGAUACUGCUUUCCGGCGAUCUCGUACGCCCGCCGCACGCUCGCGGGCACGUCGCGAGCCCUCAUCGCGCACCGUGCCGUUCGCCUCGGACGGGCGCUUUCGAAAUCUGCUGGCCAGCUGGAGUGCGCGGCCGUCUUGAGACGGUGAACACCGAAAUGUAGGUUGUUGUUGUUGACUUUUUUACCUGUACAAAUACACGCUGCCACUAUUUCAGCCGGUGACGCAGCAUCCCGCGCCCUUCUCCGUCUCGCUCGAGGUCUGGUUACCCCAGUAGAUGACGCGCGCACCCAUGCAGCAGCACCAGAACUGUCCGCACCCGCCGACGCACCCCUUCAUCGGGCCGAGGCAUCCAUCGUCCUCGUUCACGUCGAGCCGCAAGUCGUCCUUGGUGGUUCGGUCGCAGAUGUCCACCAUGUUGAACGUCCUCGCAAAGUCCUUAUACUCCAUCCAGAAGGUCCCGUCGUCCGUCUCCUUGUAGCCAACCUCCGAGGCGAUGCCCGGGUGCUUCUUCCACUCGUCGCUGCCGUCGGACCACGCGCCUUUCCACUCGAACGUGCCCCACGGGUUACGAAGUUGGAGCAGCUUGACGCCGCCCAUGCCGAGCGUGGUGCCCGCCCUGCGAACCUGCAGGAUGGAAUACGCGUGGCCGGAGACGAUCCCGUUGUCGCCUUGGCCCUCUCGCUCGCCGGUGACGUUCGCGGCGCCCAUGAGCGAGUGUUUGUACGAGUAUUUGAGCAGGACGCGGAAGAAUCGGUCCUCCUCCAAGACGUCGGCGUCGCCCUCGUUGGCAAAGCCGAUGCGCCUCCGGCCCUUGGGUCCGUCGUCGUCGCCGACAAAGUACAUGUCUCGGCGCUCCCACUUGGUCCCCUUCCGCAUCAACUGGAAAACGUAGUCGCCGGUCAUCGCGUGCCACGCCCAGAGCGAGAGCCCGCCGUCCAGCUGAUUGUAUCCGCCGCAGAACUUGGCGAACGCCUUCUCGAGUAUCGCGGCCCAGAGCUCGUUGCUGUUCGGGUUCAUGUAUUUGGCCUCUUUGGUUCCCUUACGAACCGGGAUCCUGUCGUCAACCGUGACGAUGCACCACUUACCGGCGCGCCCGUCCCAGAGUCGAACCCUGUACUUGCCCCUAUCGCUGUACUCCCAGUUGAGGAAGCAGUUACGGAUCGCGCCGGGAUGCUCCGCGAGCGAAGCCAUGGCUGCGACGAGCCAACAGUCGCCGACGGCGCCCUGGCACAGGUCCGCCGGUUCGAUCUUUCCCUCGAAGAGGUGCAUGCGCUGACCCUCCUUGACCACGGAGAGCUCAUUGGCGCGGAUGAACUCGACGUUCCUCGCCACCUCAGCGUCACCGAUGGCCCCGACACCGUCGAACCCGGUGUCCUUGUAGUAGUAGCAGCCGCAGCACUUGCACAGGAAGCAGCAAAAAGUACCGAUGAAGCCCCAGGACGCGCGGCCGACGUAGACGCCGAUGCACGGGAGGAGGUAGAUGGUGACGGACUUGUAGAUGAGCACGAACGGAAACAGCAGAAAGUUCCUGAAUCGAACGAGGCCGGACGGUGGAGGUCGGGGUCAGUCUCGGUCAAACCGUCCCGGUUGUCGUCUAUUUGGCACGGUUUCAAAAGAACGGGGCGCAUCCAUCUCAUCGUGUCACGCACCAGAAGCAGUGCGCGCGGCCGGUGCAAAUCCCAUUCAGCUCGAACAGAUUCGGGUUACGGGCCUUGUUCAGGUACGCCGUAGCUUUUUUCAUCACCAUGGUGUCCGGCGGCGGUUGUAUCAGGGCGGGUCCGGGCGGUUGUUAUGCGGAUCGGCCUGUUCGCCACCACCGGGAACUUUCCAAAUCGAAUUUCCCGCCUGGUUUGGUUUGGCAAUGGCGCAAUCGAUGGAAUCCGGCUCCUCGCACAGCUGGACAGUCAGAAAGAUGUCCAAAAUCCGUGGCUCAGAGAUAUCCAGCGUGGCAGCGAACGAAAGGGACAUUCAGACGAAGAAAUCUGCGAACCCCGCGAACGAGUCGGGUUUGCGAUCGCGACGAGGGCACACUCUUUCCGUCUCGGGUUGACCGCCUCGCCGACCCAAAGCGGAGGCGAGAUCGACGUUAACAUGGUCGUAGACAAGGUUCCCGCGAAAGCUGCGAUGAAGGCAGCGGCUCCCGGCAAGCGCAAGGCGCCCGAGGAGUCCACCGUCUGGGAUCCCUCCAGCAAAUCUCCCAAGCCCGAUUCCAACGGGGGCUCCGCAGACCAUCAACAGAUUUCCGGCGCCAACGCGCUGGCCGUCGUCGAUCCAAGCGCGAUCGGCGGAGCUAUGGUGCCCGACGGGAAGCUCAAAGGGAAGGUGGCGAGGGGCGGAAGCAAGUACAAGGGCGUCUACCGCGAUAAGAACGUCUCCGGCAAGUACAAGUGCAGCAUCCGACGCAAGGAGCGCGAGGUGCACCUGGGCUACUACGGCAGCGAGGAGGAGGCCGCGAGGGCGUACGACAAGGCGCACUGGUGCUGCAAGUCCUCGACUAAGAACUUCGACAUCUCCACCUACGACGCGGAGGAGAUGGCGAAGAUCAAGGAGAUGCCCUCGAACGACCUCACGGAGCUGCGCAAGCACCUCGGCGUGGGGUUGAGCAAGGAGGGCAAGGAGGGCAGCAGCAAGUACCGCGGGGUGUGCAAGGAGAAGAAGACGCAAAAGUUUCGGGCCGAGAUUCAGAUCGCGGGGAAGAAGGAGAGCCUGGGAUACCACGCCAACGAGAUGGACGCCGUCCGCGCUUACGAUCGCGCGCUCAUCGUGAUGAAGGGGGACAAGGCCAAGACCAACCUGCCCAUCGAGCAGUACGACGCCGAGCGCGCCAAGCUCGCCGCCUACGACUUCAACGAGUUCCAGGCGAAGGAGAUUGAAACCAAGUCUCACAGAAACGCCAACUGGACGUCAAACUUUCGAGGGGUGCGACGGUACACGCACAAGCAAAAGAACGAUCAGCUGAACGUCAAGUGGCGCGCGGAGAUCACCGUGAACGGCAAAAAGAAGAGCCUCGGGUACCACGACACCCAGGAGGAGGCUGCGAGGGCGUACGACAAGGCUGUGGUGUCGCAGCCGGGUUUCAAGCGGCACUGGCUGAACUUCCCGGAGGGUGCCCUUCCGGCGCCCGCGCCCGCGGCGGCGCUGCCCGCGCCCGGUGAUGCACCGGGCGGUGCGGGAGGCGGUGCGAGAGGCGCGGCGGGUGGAGCUGGCGGGGUCAAGGCGAGGGGGGGUCUCAAGGCGAAGAAGGCUGCCGCGGCGGCGGCGGCGGGUGUGAAAGAGGAGGCCGGCCGGCCGGAAGGGGGCUUCCUGGCGUCGCUGGCCGAGUGAUCCGGCCGAGACCUGUCGGGGUACGAGGACCCGAACCCCGGGCGAACGGGCGCAUUCAUCCGACGCGUAACACGGGACGGUAAGACACGCACGACAUGACUUAGCACGCGAACCAACCACCUUUUUACCUUCGUACCUUAGAAUUUAAUGUGAAGUUGUUUGUUGCUGACACCCGUCGCCUACGCGUACUGCGGUCGACCGAGCCAGAUUGGAAGCGACGACCGGCACAGCGGGCAGCUGUCAUCCUUGCGAAGCCACGUCGCGACGCAAUCCCUGUGGAACACGUGCGUCCGCGCGCACGGCAUCUUGAUCACCCGGCUUCCCACGUCGAACUCGUCCCUGCAUAUGGGGCACUCGGGCUCGCCGAGCGACGCCACGUCGUCGCCGGUCCUGAGCGUCACGACGCGCUCCGCCAGCGCCGCCAGGGCGUCGCUCCCCGCGGACCCCAUCGUUCGUCUCGCGCCGAAAGCCGCGCCGUCGACCGCCGCGUCCGAACCGAACGACGACGCGUCGAAACCCGAGAGGACUUCCAUCAGCGCGUCGACGUCCACAGCCGUAUUCGACGAAGGGUGCGCCGACGACAGCCAGGCAGUCAGCGCGUCUCUCCUCCUCUCCGCAGUCUCCGUUGGGUCGCGGAACAUCUCGAAGAGCUCCGCGGGAAUGGCCCCGCCCGUCCCGGGUCCCGCCGUGCGCCUCUGCCUGUCGAACUCGCUCUCCACCUCACCGGAGAACUGCCCCUCGAACGCCUUCGGUGCGUUUCGUUCUUCGUUCGCCUCUGAUGAGCCGAUGACGUUCUUGGCGUUCUCGUCGUCAUCGGCGUCCACGGUCAGCGCGGCAGCCUCGAGACACUCGGAGAUCUUACCCGCAUCAUCGUGGCCCUCAAACACCACCGCCGCUGCCUCAAAGAGGCGCAGGCCGUGCCGCCAGCCGGACGAAUCGGGAGCAUGCCUACUUCUCAGGACCGUCGCAGAUCUCAGAAUGGCCGCGAGCAGAUCUGAUCGAAGGCUCCCGACAACCUCGGCGCGCUCCGUCCAACCCCUGAGGCGAUCGCACGCCUCUCCGAACUUGGCCUUCUUGGUAAGAUCUUUCACCGUCUCCCUCAGCGUUUCGGCGCUGAUCGGCGGAUGCUCCUCCAUGGCCCCGCGCGCCUCAGUCUGCGGCCGCUCAGGGGUGCCUACCAGUGUUGGGUUGUUGUCCUGACACCCGCGCGAAAUCGAGUCGUUCGACUUGCCUUCGUCGCGGGGUCAUUGCCGAGAGCGCGGUGCUCUCGGAGCGCACGAUUCGUCGCCCCGCACCCUCCCCGGUUCGCCCUUGGCGCGCGCCCUGGAGUAAGGCGCCGCCGCGGGACGAGAUGGACGCCAAGUACGGCGAUAAGGCGGUCCGCGCCGUCGUGCCGGGCCUGGGGCUCUCGCUGCGUUUGCCGCGAAGGCGGGGAUCGGGCGCGGGCACCGCGAUUCGCAGGACGAUAUGCGCGCUUCUGGCGUUCGCGCUUCUGGUGUUUCUGCCUUUACGGAGCAUCUCGGGUCGAUCCUCGAGCGCUCUGCCCCGCGCGGACUGCGGGCCGGUCGCGACGGAGUCCGGGGGCGACGAGCCCGCGCCCGCGAACCUCCGCUCGCUCGUGGGCGAAGAUGGCCACCUGGACGACCGCCGGUUCACCGUGCUCCUCAACACGUUCAAGCGGAGGGACCUGCUGAAGAAGGCGGUGGCGCAUUACGCGACGUGCGCAGACGUCGCGGAGAUUCGGGUGGUGUGGUCCGAGCAGGUCCCGCCCCCGACACGCGGCGAAGAGAACGGCGCGUACUUUGGCCCGAAGCCGUCCAUGGUGACGUACGAUACGCACCCCACCACGUCCAUACAGAACAGGUUCGACCCGCCAUCUGGUUCGAACGCCAUCUCCACGCGGGCGGUGUUCAACGUGGACGACGACGUGAGGAUGCCGUGCGCCGCGCUGACUCGGGGGUUCGACGCGUGGCGCGCCAACGAAGACGUCCUGGUUGGAUACUACCCUCGAACGCACAAGCCGGACGACGCCGGGUGCGGGUGGCGGUACGUUUGGGACGAUUUCAGCCUAUGGAGGCACGGAGACUUCAGCAUCGUGCUGACCAAAGCGGCGUUCAUGCGCACGGGGUACAUGUCGCUGUACAGCGAGGGCCUGCCGCAGUCGGCGAGGAGGUACAUCGACGAGUAUAAGAACUGCGAGGACAUCGCGAUGCAAAUUUUGACGGCGAAGAUCACGGGGAAGCCGCCGGUGUACGUCCCCGUGCCGACGAUGCACUACCUUUGGGCGAAGCUGGAAGGAUUCGGCGUGGCGGGAAUUAGCAAGGGGAGCGGGCACCACGUCCACAGGGGCGAGUGCAUCACGGAUUUGUCGAGGAUGAUCGGGGGAGGGGGACCUUCAUCGACGCCGCUGGUGCGGGCGCCGCUUCAAGCGUGGCGAGGGUGACACCGACGCACGCGCGUUGAGCUCUAUAGCCUGAUUGAUUGAGAUUUUAGCAAAUUCAUACACACGCGUUUACGCGGGGGCCUGGAACCCGAGCGCGGCGAGCCACGCGUCUCCCGAGCCGGCAACUUUGCGGAGCACGGUGACAACCUCCUGCUUGACAAACUGCGCGCCGCACGCCGACAGCGCCGCGGUGAGCGACUCCUCGGUCACCUCCUUACCCGCGAAGGUACCGUAAACCUCCGCCUCCAUACCCUCCAGCUGCGCCCUGAUCCGCAUCAGCACCUGGUCGAAAUCGGACCUCGGGAAACUCGCCGGGUGCUGCUCCAUGAACUGGUACGAGUACUCGUCCGCCUCUGUGAGCACAAAGUUGCGUCUGAACACGCUCACGACGGCGCCGACGUAAAGAUCGUGCGCCUCGUACUUCUCCGCGGAACCGGGCUUCAACACCGUCUGCCUCUCGAGGAACUUACCGCCGGUGAUGUGCGCGGGAAUGUUGCGCUUGCGGUCGGGUGGCUCGUAGAUGGCGAUGGUGUCGUUGGCGAGGUACACGCUCAAGAUGAAGUCGCGCUCCGCGUCGAUAUCCGAGAGUUCGUACUGCUCCCCGGGCGCAAUCUUCGCCUUGUACCGUAAGAUGGUCCUGGCGUAGUCCAUCUGCUUGUGAAAGUCCGGAGCGACGGGCUUGGGAAUGAGCGCGAUGCAGUUCUGAAGCGAGUCUUCGAGCCCGCCGAAUCCGUUGUAGGGGGGCACGGCGUUUUGCGGAAUCGGAAGCGGCUUCUCCUCGACGUCAAUCUCCGGAAAGUCCGCCGCGGACAUCCCCUCGUUCUCGAUGUACCAAGCCUUGGUGAAGUUGUCCGCGUCGUACAGGUAAAAGUCGCGGUUGUAAACCUUGACGUACUGACCGACGACGAAGUCCUUGUGCGUGUACGUGGUCGUGCUCUUCGUGGGGCCGAGGGCGUCAACUUCCAGGGGCUUGUUGGGGAGCGGCUGGCGCCUGAGGAACACGGGGAAGGGAUCGCGGCCGCUGUUGGGCUCCGACACCUCGAGGACCUCCACGGAAUCGUCUGCGAGGUAGUAGUGCACGACGAAAGGCCUCUUCUCGCCGUACAGAGCGCCGCGAUCGUCCCACACGGCGAAGAACCGGAGCACCUUUCGGUCGUUGGCGAGAAACUUCUUGAGCUUAUCGGGGGCGAGCGCGUUGGACGGCUUGCCCGCGGCGGCCUCGAUGUAAGCGGCGAGGACAUCGUCGCGGGGCGCGGGCGGGUAAGGGUUGGCGCUCGUGUCCUUCUUGAGCGUCGCCCUGUAUCCGUCGAUGGGAUCAUCCGGGUACGCGCCGUCCGGGGCCACCUCCAGGCCCAGGGCGCCGGUGAGGUACUCGCGGGUGAACGCGUCGCAGGAGACGACGAAGAAGGUGCGUCCGUACAUGGUGCACGUGCUACCGACGGAUAUGUCCGCGGGGCCGAACACGCCGCCCUCGUUGUCCUUGGGCACCCUGUGGCGCUUGAGGAAGACGCCCUGGGGGAUGCCGCUGUUCGGCUGCCUGGGCUCCUCCACGUGAACCGACUCGUCCUCGAGGUACAUGUAGAUGGUGCACUUGCGCACGCGGUGGUUCUCCACCGCGCUCUCGGUCACGGACUCCUUGAAGUAGCAGUUCCAGCGAAGCACCUGGCGUCGAAAGCGAUCGGUCGAGGUCAGCCGGGGAGACGAGGGGUUUGGGAAAUCGACAGAUUUGGCACGGGAGGGAUCCGUCUCGGGGGUGAGAACGCACCUUGCGGUCGAAGGCGACGAACUUAGGGAGCGUGGACAUCGGCAGCGUGGUCUCCUUGAGCUGCUCGGGGGCCGGGGGAGGCGCGGAGACCUCGGGCUUGAGACCCGUGGACCUCUCGCCGGGCACCGCGUACCCGUUGAUGUACGCGAGGGACUGCGCCCUCCUCUGGACUGGCGCCUGUGGCGGGUGGGGAAAACGGGAGAAGAUGUUAGCCAUCGGCGGUCGGGGAGCGGUCUUGUGGAGUGUUUCGAGCGGCGGCGCGGGGAAACGAGGGCGCGGGGGUCUCGACGAGAGUGACGACGGAUCAAAUCGAACGCGAUCCGGUCGCCCACGACUGCCGAGACCCGCACCGCGCGGCGUCUCCGGCCCCGGACUCGCAUUGGCAAUUUCGGCAUCAAAUCCCGCGUGAUGCCAAAACCGACAACAAUCCGCGAGGAGAAACGCGCGCGUGUGGACCGCGGCGACCUACCCUUGGGUCCACGAAGGUCAUCCCCGGAAGCUUGGGGAUCGCAACAUCGCCGACGUCGAGCACCAUGAUUCGCUCGCGGCCUGUUUCGCCCUAGAGCUGCGCGAUGCCGUAUAUGCGGUCAAGCCCAAUUUUGGUGCACUGUGUGAGCUCUCAGUGGUUGGCGCGUCAAGUCGGCUCCGGUUUCUCUCCCGUCUUCGAGCCGGAGCAGGUUUCCGCCCUGCGGCCACUUUGCGCCCGCCCGACGGUCAGGAGGAUGACCGGGACGCGGAAGGACAUCGUCGUGGUCGACCUCGGUGGAUCGACGAUCAAGGUCGGCUUCGCCGGCGACGCAGAUCCCUCGAGGUGCGCAUCCCCCGCCGCGUCUCUCCCCCCCGAUCGAUGGUCGCAAUCUCGAUGCCCUAACUAACCUCCGCGCGCUCCCCUCCUCACCACCGACAGCGUCGUGCCCAACUGCGUGGCCAAGCCCAAGGGCGAGAAGCGCAGCUACAUUGCGGACGAGAUUAACCAGGUCAAGGACAUCUCCUCGCUCAACCUCAGGCGUCCCGUCGACCGCGGGUACGUCGUAAACUGGGACCUGCAGAGGGACAUCCUCGACCACGUCUUCAAAAAGGUGCUCAAGAUCAACCCGCGGAACUGCCACCUGGUCAUCACCGAGGCGCCGUUCAACCUUCCCGCGCUCGCCGCCGAGCAGGACGAGUGCAUAUUCGAAAAGUUCGGGUUCAAAUCCGCGCUGAUAUGCCCGCCGUCUUUACUCGCGCUGACGUACCAUCUCGCGAAGCGGCCGCGUUCGGAUCCGUGCGUGUCGGCGCGAUGCGGCGUCGUCGUCGACGCCGGCUUCUCGUUCGUGCACGCCACGCCGGUGUUCGACGGCAGGGUUUUGCGCAACGGCAUAAGGCGCGUUAACCUCGGGGGCAAGGCGCUGACCAAUUACCUGAAGGAGAUGGUGUCGUACAGGCAGUGGAACAUGAUGGACGAGUACGUCCUGAUGGACGACGUCAAGGAGAAACUCUGUUACGUCGCCGGCUGCGCGGUGGAUGAGCUGAAGCGGGCCAAGGUGCGGGGCGCGUCGAACGAGGUCAACAGGGAGUACGUGCUUCCCGACGGGGUGCACGUGUUGCGAGGGUACGUCAAGGAGGGACCGGCGAGGGACCCGGACGCGGAGAGCAGCGACGACGACGACGACGACGACGACGGGGGCGGCAAGCGGCGGAGGAAGAAGCAGGGCGGCGGCGAGAAGCGGCGGAAGGGCGCGGCGGGCGCGGGUUUCGUGGAGCAGUGCCUGGGAAUGGGCAACGAACGGUUCAUGGUGCCCGAGGCGCUGUUCCACCCGGCGGACAUCGGCCUCAAUCAGGCUGGCGUCGCGGAGGUUGUCACGCAGGCGGUGCGGUCCGUCGCGACGGAUCUGAGGGCGAUGAUGUACGCAAACGUCAUCGUCGCGGGUGGUUGCGCCGCGUUCCCGGGGUUCAAGGAGCGGUUCGAGGCCGAACUCCGGCCGCUCGUCCCAACCGACGAAGCGCUGACGGUGGAAGUGUCCACGUCGCCGACGCUGGACGCGUGGCGAGGCGGCAGCGUCGUCGGCGCCGGGGAAGAUUUCGAGCGGCUGGCGGUGACGCGCGAGGCGUGGAAGAAGGACGCGUCGGAGUUUAGGCGGCGUUACGAGGAACACGCGGGGGUGGUCAAGGGUCGCAUGUGACGGCACGUGCGUGCGUACGUCACCGGGAAGAGGACGCUCGUGUCGUGAUGCGGACCGACCGCGAUUUCGGGUCUCGUAUUCGACAACGCGUCAAUGAGCGCGAGCUACUUUAGUCCUUAGUCCUUCGACGAGUCAUCUUCGAAAGCGGCGUUUUCCACCGUGCACGUUGAAGCCGGAGACCCCUCGUUGGCCUCCGUUCCCUUCUCCCGGGCGCGCUCGCGCUCCUCCCUCGCCCGUAGCACGACAUCCCACGCCCGCGUGCCGUCGUUCUUACCCCCCGGCACGCACGUGGGCAUCGCCUCGGGGGACACGGAGAGGAGCUCCAUCGCCGACUCGAUUCCAGACGCGUCGGACUCGCCCAGGAUCUGGAUCUUGUCCUUGGUGCUCUUUCGCACCAUCGUCUUGAUCGCGGACCACAUCGCCCUGAACACGUAAGGCGCGUUGACCAGCCACAUGGCGUGCAGCGUGUCCGUGUACUUGUCCUGGCACAGGGAGAUGAGAUCGUAGAGGAAGGUCCGGACGGAGCCGGUGAGGUGCGAGGUGGUGAUCCCCUGCAGGUCGAUGACCCACACGUGCUUGUGCAAGCGGUGGCCCUUGGCGAUCGCGGUGCGGCGCUUGACGUGAUCGAGCGCCUCCAUGAUUUGCACCCUGUGCAUCAUCGCGAGUCCCUUGGCGAAGCCCGGGCCCUCGAGCCCUUUCGCGUCGAUGUCGACUAUCCGCUCGCAGAUGAUGGGGUGGCCGAACUCGUCGCAUCCGUGUAGCGUCACUGGCCAGGAUCGGUGGAACUCCUCGGUGUUCGCGAGGUCACGCUCGAGGAUUGAGUCGACCUCCUGCGCUGCGCGCCACGCCAGGAUCUUCUCAAUCUCCUUACUAGCCUUCUGCGCGCGGUACUCGGGCGGUUUACCCGGGUAAUCCUCCGUCGCAGCGUUGACAGUGCGGGUGAUGAGCACAUCGUCGACGUCCUCAAAACCGGGAUUGAGCACCUUGAGGGCCCGGACCACCGCCUUGGUGUCGUCGUUCAGUCCCAUGCGCUCAGCCUCCAGACGCUCCUCGAUGCGCUUCUCCUGCGCGGCCUUCUCCAUCCAGCCCCAAGAGCUGGACUUUGCGGAGAUGCCGAGGGUCUGGCUCAGGAGGGACGGCAUGGCGUAGUGCUAUCCCCUCCGCCCCUUAAAGGUUCCCAAAAGACCAAGGUCGUCGCUCCCGAGAUCGCAAAGGUCCUGGUUCACCGAAAGAUCCUCGCGGGCAAUCUGGUGCGGUUGCAGCUCUGGGAUCUCACCCCGGGGGGACGAGAUGCGCGCCCGACAGGCGCAGGGCAGUCUGGUUCACCUCGGAUCGGAACAUUCGAUUUGUCGGUCUUCGCGUUGAGCAGCUGAGCAGGCUGGCCCUUUUUCAGAUGUCCGUGAUUCUGUUACAUGUUCCGCUAAGACUUGGGUACAGCAGCACACGCCUCGCUCUCACUUGAAGAUGGAAAAGGGGUUCCUCGCGCCCGGCCCGCCAAAGUCGAACGCGGGCUUCUGCUUGGACUGCGCCACGCCCUCGCACCCAUCCUCCGCGGACAGCCAGAAGUUAUCGCCUCCGUCGAGGUGCAGGUAGAACCUGUGGUGCAGCCCGAAAGCCUCGGGGCCAAACUUGGCGCGGUACCAAUCCGCGCCCGCCUCGGCCGCGUACACGCCCCCGUCCCUCCACCGCCUGCCCCUGUCGCUCAUCCACCCGCUGUACUCCUCGAUCUCCUCCGCGCUCCAUCCCUCGGCGUCGUCGCCGCUCGCGAGGGAAAGGUGGAUGAACAUGGUGGACGUUUGGCCGUGCGGAGCCGCGCUGACCUUGCGAACCUCGCGGCCGUGGAAGACGGUGGCGUCGUCCGCGGAGGCGUCCUUCGCGUAGCCGUCGGGUUUCAUGGACAUGCGCGCGACGGACGCGUCGUACAGCUUGGGCUGCCUCGGGUCGUCCGGACCGGCGGCGGCGACCUCCCCGAGGUGUUCCCUCAGCGCCGGGGAGAGGACGAGGCCAAACAUCAUGCCUCCGCAAAAGUUGAAGGUGACCCCGGGGGUGUCGUGGCAGUCCACGAGGUACUGCGCGAUGUUCCCGCCGUACUUGGCGUCCCUCUGCGCGGGAUCGUAGAGCGCGGGGUACAUCUCCGCCGCCGUCAGGGACGGUGGCGAGCCCGAGGAUGCGACGUUCGACACGAUCGAAGAGCGACGCGCUUUGGUACGCGCUUUGGUCUCGGUGAGGCGAGCGGUGGCGAGGGGUCGGAACGCGAGGGCUCUCGCGGUGAAUGCGUGGGCGAACAUGCGCGGGGCGAGAGGUUCACGCUCGCUCGAAGGGGACGCGCGCGCUCGGUGUUGUGAGCGAGAUAUGGCGUGACGUAGCCAGUUUCGACGAAGAUACGAGAAAUAUUUCAUGAGGCGCAUCCGUCUCCCCUCGGAACCGGUCUGCUGUGGACAAUUUCUUCCUAUUUGGCACAGGGUAUCAGUCAGGAAUUAUAUUCGGAAACACUAAACUGGCAAACAAUUCGAAUAAUCUUAUUCAAACCUCGGAAAAGUCAGUUCCGGGCAGAUCUCAGGGCACUGGGCGGGCAUGGCCGCGUCCAUGGAGGAACAACCGGGUACCCCGACCGCGGCCGUGCCUUCGGGCAAGGCCACUGCGGCGAAAACGAAGAAUCGGACCCCGAUCAAGGCUAAGACCAAGUUCGGCAAGAACGUGUCGAAGUGCGGCAUCGUCUGGGGCGAGCACAACGAGCACCUCCGAUGCAGGGUCACCGCGGGGAAGGACCCGGUCACCGGCGGCUGCACGUGGCGCUGCUGCGAACCCAAGGUGGACGGGAAACCCAAGUGCGCAAAGCAUACCGCGUACGACGAGAACAGGAAGCUCGCAAAGGAGACCGGUGACGUGGCCAAGCCCGUCGCGGGCAUCAAGCCCAAACCCGGCAUGCAGAAGCUCUCCGUGAUGAAGACCCCGACGAAGAAGGCGAAGACCCCGACGAAGAAGCCAAAGGCGAAGACCCCGACGAAGAAGCCAAAGGCGCCGCCAGCGCCGACGCCCGCCAAGAAGCCCAAAAAACUCGCCGCCGCGGAGAAGACGUACGUCGACCCAAACACCGAGGAGCAAACGUCCGACAAGUGGGGCUGGUGGCACGACGAUACGGAUCUGCUCGGCUCGAUCCGAGCCGGCGCGGGCGACGAGCUCGGGCUGGUGUGGGUCAAGACGAAGGGCACCCCGUGGUGGCCCGCGCAGCGGUUUUCCAUCGCCAAAUACGACCACAAGAUCCCCGACGGGUGCUUCUCGCAGCUGCGCAACGUCAAACGCGACGACGACCUCUCGGACGUCGGCGCGUACAUGUACUUUGGCACCGGCAAGUCGGAACCGUACAAGCCGGAGAUCAUCCUCUUGAAGGCGAAGACGGCGGAGGAGCGCGUCGUUUCCUGGUCCGAGGGUUGGAAGCAGGGGUACGCCGAAGUUCGGGGCGACAAGGGCGGUAAGGGCAGGGGCAAAUACAGCGCGGACGUCAUGGGGGGCGUCUGGGACGCGUGCAACAUGAUCAAGGACGGGUCGCGGAAACCGUGGGGCUGGUUCGACCACAGGCUCCCGCCGACGCCCUCCCCGUCCCCGUCCCCGUCCCCGGAGCCCAAAGCCAAGAAGAGGAAGGCGGACGGCGCGUCCGAGGGCACGCCAAAGGCGAAAAAACUGAGCAAGAAGGAGGAGAAGGCGAUCGCCAAGGCUGAGGAGGAGGCGCGUUUGGCCGCGGAGGCUGCCAGGAUCAAGUGGCCCAAGCUCACGGCGCUCACUGACUUUCCCAAGUCGGACGCGUUUGCCCCGGCGGAGGCCGAGAUGACGCUCCCGUUCGAGAUUAGGAAGGAGGGAAAACCCCCGUUCUACCAUAAGCUCAACCGGUGCGAGUGGCUGUGCAGGCGUCCGCCGGGGCUGAUCCCCAAGGAGGACGCCGAGCCGUGCCUGUGCAAGCCGUCGCCCGAGUGCCGGGUCGCCAUGUUCCAGAUUCAGGAGGCGGCAAAGGCGGCGAAGGAGGCCAAGAAGGCGGCUGACGGGAAAACGGCCGACGCGACCGCCGACGGAAAUCCCCCGGCGGAACCCGCUGGCAACACGGAGGCCAUCGCGACCGUUCCCCGCACCGGAUGCGGCGCGGAGUGCUUCAACCGCACGUGCCUCACCACCUGCGACCCGCGGGUGUGCCCUUGCGGCCCGUCGUGCAGCAACCGACCGUUUCACCAGCUCAAAUCCCCAAAGACGGACACGCUGCUGACGGAGAACCGCGGUUGGGGUCUUUUCCUCGCCGAACCCGUCAAGGCGGGCACUUUUAUCGUCGAGUACGUCGGCGAGAUUCUCGACGAGCACACCACCGAGAAGAGGCUGUGGGAGGAUAAGAAGCGCGGCGAAGAUAACUUUUACCUCAUGGAGGUGAUGCCCAACCAGUGCAUCGACGCCAGGUACAAAGGCAACCUCUCGCGUUUCAUCAACUCCUCGUGCCAUCCCAACUGCGAGACGCAGAAGUGGCAGGAUUCCGCCACCGGAGAGACGCGCGUCGGCAUCUUUGCCAUUCAGGAUAUCCCGGAGGGGACUGAGCUCACGUACGACUACAACUUUGCGCACUUUGGCGGCGAGGGAACCACGUCCUUUUCGUGCAUGUGCGGCCACCCGCUGUGCCGCGGUACCCUCGACGCCAACCCCGAACGUACCCGCCACUACAACAGGAGGGUCGCCAUCAGCUGGGCGCAUGACGACGUGUUUUACAAGGGUGUCGUGCUGUCCUACAACAUGAAGACGACCAAGUACGAGAUUUUAUACGACACCGGCGAAAAGGAGUACGUCGCGCUGGAGGAGCAGCUGACGGAGGGCGAGGACUACUACUGGCUCACUCCGCCCAACCCCGACGAAGUGAAGAGGGACGAGAAGAGGAAAUCCGACGCGGGCGCCAAGGGUGAUAAGAAGGGAAAGAACGGGACAAAGGCGGUAAAGGCAAAGGGGGGCGUCAAGAAGACGUCGUCCAAGCCGAAGGUGAAGCAGGCGGCGGCGCCCGAGCCGGCUGGCGAGCCCGCGGCCGUGGUUCCCGCCGCGGCCGAGGCACCCACGCUCGAGCCCAAGCCCGAGCCGGUUCAGGCGUGAUGCGAGCGAUUGUUUUGUUGAUUACUUCACCGUAUUAUUUUCAAUAACGAACCCACUGUUCGAGUCGUCGUGCAUGAUACAAGGUACGAAGGUUUAAGUUAUUGUGGCGUGGGGCGCCUCAUCAUAGUCUAUUUAACACGUUUGCUCCCCGCCGAGUUUUGUAAGUACAGCUUGCUUACUCGAGAAAGGAAACGAGCGGGCACUUGUCCGCGUCGCCGCCACCGGGACCAGCAAGCACGACGAUGUUCGAACCGUUCCCCGAGUACAGUCCCAUCUCCUUCGCCUUGACGAUGGCGGGAGAUUCCUUAUCCCACGCGAACUUCCCUGGCGAGAGGUCGUCGACAACCAUGGGAAACUGCGCGAAGAUCGCGCCCGUCUGUCGACCCACCGCCUCAUCCGCGGUGACCACGAGCACCGGGCACGAUGGGCGGUACUUCGACAUGGCCCUCGACGCGGCUCCCGCGCCGGUGACAACCACGAUGAGCUCGGCGUCGCAGUCGAGCGCGCCGCCCGCCGCCGACGCCGCGGCGGACUCCAACGUCGUGAACGGGCGCUGCGUGUGAUCCCUGAUGAAGGAAAUCGCCGCCUGAGACGUGUGCGCGAGCUCGGCGUUGGCGGAGAUGGCGGCCAUGGUGGCCACGGCCACCGCCGGGUUGGCUCCAUUGGCCGUCUCCCCCGAGAGCAUCGUCGCGUCGGCGCCGUCGAAAACGGCGUUGGCGACGUCGGUCAUCUCCGCGCGCGUGGGCAGGGGGUUCGUGCACAUGGACUCGAGCAUCUGCGUGGCGCAGAUGACGAAGCGGCCCGCGACGUUGGAUUUGGUGAUGAGCAUCUUUUGCGCGAGCGGCACCUUCUCGGAGGGGAUCUCCAUGCCGAGGUCGCCGCGGGCCACCAUGACGCCGUCGGUGUACUUGAGGAUGUCGUCAAAGUUUGCGAUGCCCUCCUCGUUCUCGAUCUUGGAGAUGAUCUUGACGCUCUGGCCACCGGCUUCGUCGAGGAUCUUGCGGAUCAGCUGCACGUCCUCGCCGGUUUGCACAAACGAGGCAGCGACAAAGUCCAUCUUGUUCUUGCAGCAGAAGUUCUGAACGUCGUUGAUAUCCUUUUCGGUGAGCACGGGGAUAUCGACCUUGACGCCGGGAAGGUUGCAGUUCUUGCGCUCGCCGAGCUUCUUGGAGUUGAGCACGGUGCCCUUGAGGACCGUGUCGCUCUCGAUGUGGUUGACACGGAUAGAGAUUGAGCCGUCGGCGAUGAGAAUAUUGUUGCCGGGCUUGACACUCUGGCACAGCUUGGCGUAGGACAGACCGAUGCGGGUCUCCUCCUCGGUCUUGUAUCCCUCAAACUCCACGUACUUGUCACCCACGGCCUCGAUGGUGAUGGGCUGGCCGGCUUCGAGCUCGAUGGGCUGGUGGUCCCUGAGCAUGGCGGUGCGAAUCUCGGGGCCCUUGGUAUCCAGCAGGCACGCGCAGUUUGCGCCCUUCUCGGCUAUGACCUUCCUGACGCGGUCGAGCACCUGCUGAUGCCCCUCGUGAUCGCCGUGAGAGAAGUUGAACCUCGCGACGCUCAUACCGGCGUCCAGGAGCUGACCGACGGAUUCCUCGUCCCAGCACGCGGGGCCCAUGGUGCACACAAUCUUGGUCUUGCGCUUGGGCGCCUCGGGCGAGAAGACCUCCUCGAGGGAAAUAGCCGUGGCGCGGAGGGAGACCGUCUUGUGAUCCUUCUGCACGGCGAACUGCGCAAACUCGGAUCCGGGCACGGCGUGCUGCGCUACCUUCCUCUUGUAGAUUCCGGGCGCGUCCAAGAUGCGGUAGGAUGGGAUGGAGUUGACGGUGUUGGUCGCGCCGGCGACCCCGCCGAUGAUCACAACCUUGGCGCCGGGAUGGCACAGGUUGUGCUCCAGCGCGAAGAGGAGCGCACGCGCGGUCCAGUACGUCUCCGUCUCCGGGUCCGCGGGUUCCGGAAUCUUGAACGCGUACUGGCCGUACGCGGUGUUCGUGUGCCUCGCGACGUGGUCCAGCGAGGUGACCACGACGAUUGGCACGGCGGGUCGGUACUUUGACGCGAGGUUGGCGCGGAAUCCGAGUUCGCUAAACACCACGAUGCAGCCCAGCGCAGCGCCGAGGUCCACUGCCGUCUUCGCGGCGCAGGACACGACGGCCUCGAUAGAUCCGACGGGCAUCGGGGUGAAGUCGCGGAUGAAGUUGUAGAUCUGGCAUCGGUCGACGCCCUCCUCGGCGUUUGCGGCGAUUGCGGCCAUGGUGGCGACAGCCUUCUCAGGGAACGCGCCGUUAGCCGUCUCGCCGGAGAGCAUCGUGGCAUCCGCGCCGUCCAGCACCGCGUUCGCCACGUCCAGCAUCUCUGCACGGGUCGGCAGAGGGUUGUCGCACAUCGACUCGAGCAUCUGCGUGGCGCAGAUGCAAAACUUGCCCGCGAUGUUGCACUUGGUGAUCAUCAUCUUCUGGGCGAGGGCGACCUUCUCGGAGGGGAUCUCCAUGCCGAGGUCGCCGCGGGCCACCAUGACGCCGUCGGUAUACUUGAGGAUGUCGUCGAAGUUGCGCAUGCCCUCCUCGUUCUCGAUCUUGGAGAUGAUCUGGAUGUUCUCUCCGCCGUUUUCGUCGAGGAGCUUGCGAACCAUCUGAACGUCAUCGCCGGUUUGCACAAAGGACACUGCUAUGUAGUCCAUCUGGUUGGGACACGCAAAGUUCUUGAUAUCCUCGAUGUCCUUGGGCUGCAAGACAUCGAGCUCGACCUUAACGCCGGGGAGGUUGCCGUUCUUGCGCUCGCCAAGCUUCUUGGAGUUCAGAACUUUACCCUUCAGAUUUUUCUCGUCGAGAAUUUCCACAACCUCGAUCACCACUGAGCCAUCGGCGAACAGCAGCCGGUUGCCAGGCUUGACGCUCUGGCACAGCUUGGCGUAGGAGCACCCGAUCUUGGUCUCCUCGGGGGUCUUGUAACCCUCCCAUGUCAGGUAUUCCUCCGGUCCGGCGGCGUAGACGAUGAUGUCCUGGCCGGCUUCGAGCUCGAUGGGCUGGUGGUCCUUGAGCAUAGCCGUCCUCACCUCAGGGCCCUUGGUGUCGAGGAGCACGGCGGUGUUGGAUCCCUUCUUCUUGAUUACCGUGCGCAGGCGAUGGAGCACCUCGCCGUGACCCUCAUGAUCGCCGUGCGAGAAGUUGAAGCGCGCGACGCCCAUGCCGGCGUCGAUCAGCUUGCUCAUGGACUCUUCGUCCCAGCACUUGGGUCCCAUGGUGCACACGAUCUUGGUCUUCCUUACGGUAUCGCCCGUGGUCACUAUGUUCUCGAGGCCGAUCUUGGUGGAGCAGAACGAGAUGGUAUGGUCGCCCUCGUAACCCGUGGGCUUGAUCAGGCUGGCGAGCUCGUCGCCGACAACCUUAACCUUGAAGAUGGGGGUUCGAUCCUCCCAGUCGAUCCCGAUCAUCGGGUUGGUGCCGAUGGACUCCAUGAUGACAACCUGAUCGGACUCGAGGUCACCGGUCUCGAGCGCCGCAAUCCCGAGCUUCCUGAUGGUGUUGAGCACCAUGGGCAGGGUUUCGUCGCUGGUACCCAUCUCCGGGAGGUACAUGGGGACCAGAGACGACACGACGUUACACUGCGCGGCUACCCUGUGGUUGGUGGUGACGACAACGAUUGGCACGGGAGGCUUGUACUUGGAGAGGAGCGCCGCCGGGAGCAUGGUCUGCGCGAAGACUACCAUGGCGCACGCGCCCAUGUCGAGGCAAGCCUUUACCGCGCUGGAAGCGACGGCCUCGAGGGCGGUGACGGGCUUGGGGGUGUUGUUCCAGACGUUCUUGUAGGUCAUGUCGCCGUCGCAGCCAACCUCGGCAUUUGCAGCGAUUGCGGCCAUAGUGGCCACGGCAACUGCUGGAUUCGCUCCGUUAGCCGUCUCGCCGGAGAGCAUCGUGCAGUCACAACCGUCGAAUACGGCGUUGGCGACGUCCAGCAUCUCUGCACGGGUCGGCAGAGGGUUGUCGCACAUCGACUCGAGCAUCUGCGUGGCGCAGAUGCAAAACUUGCCCGCGAUGUUGCACUUGGUGAUCAUCAUCUUCUGGGCGAGGGCGACCUUUUCGGAGGGGAUCUCCAUGCCGAGGUCGCCGCGGGCCACCAUGACGCCGUCGGUGUACUUGAGGAUGUCGUCGAAAUUCUCCAUACCGGCGCCGUUCUCGAUCUUGGAGAUGAUCUUGACCUUGUGACCACCCGCUUCAUCGAGGAUCUUGCGGAUCAGCUGCACGUCCUCGCCGGUUUGCACAAACGAGGCAGCGACAAAGUCCAUCUUGUUCUUGCAGCAGAAGUUCUGAACGUCGUUGAUAUCCUUUUCGGUGAGCACGGGGAUAUCGACCUUGACGCCGGGAAGGUUGCAGUUCUUGCGCUCGCCGAGCUUCUUGGAGUUGAGCACGGUGCCCUUGAGGACCGUGUCGCUCUCGAUGCUGUCAACUCUAAUGGAAAUUGAGCCGUCGGCGAUGAGAAUAUUGUUGCCGGGCUUGACACUCUGGCACAGCUUGGCGUAGGACAGACCGAUGCGGGUCUCCUCCUCGGUCUUGUAUCCCUCAAACUCCACGUACUUGUCACCCACGGCCUCGAUGGUGAUGGGCUGGCCGGCUUCGAGCUCGAUGGGCUGGUGGUCCUUGAGCAUGGCGGUGCGAAUCUCGGGGCCUUUGGUAUCCAGCAGGCAUCCCCAGUGGUGGGUGUAAUCGAGGCCCUUCUCCUUCUUCAUGGCCUCGCCCUCCUCCUCGCACGCCUUCCUGAAGCGAUCGAGCACCUGCUGGUGGUCCUCGUGGGUUCCGUGCGAGAAGUUGAACCUCGCGACGCCGAGGCCCGCGCGGAGCAGCGACUUGAUCCCGUCCUCCGACCAGCACUUGGGUCCGAGUGUGCAGACAAUCUUGGUCUUCCGGAAGGAAUGCGUGGGGUUGAGGAUCAGGUCCAGGCCGAUGCGAGAGGAGCGAAGGGACAGCACGGGAUUGAGCACGCCGGGGUCGACGUACGUCGUGAGCAUCGCCUCGGUGGGCUCCGGGGUGCUGACGCCGUCCUUGACCGACACCACGGUGGCCACCGCGGAGUUUUGCACGGCGAAUCCGUCGGGGGACGCGACGAGGAUCACGCGGCGGCCCUCGAACGGGAUGUCGCGCUCCUUCGCAAUCUCCCACGCCUUGAGCACGGAGUUGGCCACCUCGGGGACGCCGUCGAGCUGGCAUGGGAUCUGGCCGAACCUCGUGUUGGUGUGCGCGAGGACAGACUUGGACGUGGUGCACACAAAGAUGGGGCACGGCGGGCGGUACUUGGUGAUGAGAUCCGCCGCCUUGCCGGUCUCGUCCAGAAGGACGAUGGCGGUGCCCUCGGUGGCGUCGAUGACGCCGUCGCCGUCUUUGUCCGCGGAAAAGCACACGGCGGAGAAGGCAACCUGGGAGAGGGACGCCUCGAGGCCGCCAACCUUGUGAGUGUACGCGUUGGAUCGGUGCAAAAACUGGUACUGCGCCCAGUAGUCCACUCCCAGCUCGGCGUUGGUGGCGAUUGCGGCCAUGGUGGCGACAGCCUUCUCAGGGAACGCGCCGUUAGCCGUCUCGCCGGAGAGCAUCGUGCAGUCACAACCGUCGAAUACGGCGUUGGCGACGUCGGUCAUCUCCGCGCGGGUCGGCAGAGGGUUGUCGCACAUCGACUCGAGCAUCUGUGUGGCGCAGAUGCAAAACUUGCCCGCGAUGUUGCACUUGGUGAUCAUCAUCUUCUGGGCGAGGGCGACCUUCUCGGAGGGGAUCUCCAUGCCGAGGUCGCCGCGGGCCACCAUGACGCCGUCGGUGUACUUGAGGAUGUCGUCGAAGUUGCGCAUGCCCUCCUCGUUCUCGAUCUUGGAGAUGAUCUGGAUGUUCUCUCCGCCGUUUUCGUCGAGGAGCUUGCGAACCAUCUGAACGUCAUCGCCGGUUUGCACAAAGGACACUGCGACGUAGUCCAUCUUGUUCACGCAGGCGAACUCCUUAAUGUCCUCGAUGUCCUUCUCCUGGAGAACGUCGAGCUCGACCUUAACGCCGGGGAGGUUGCCGUUCUUGCGCUCGCCAAGCUUCUUGGAGUUGAUAACCUUUCCCUUGAGAUUUUUCUCGUCGAGAAUUUCCACAACCUCGAUCACCACUGAGCCAUCGGCGAACAGCAGCCGGUUGCCAGGCUUGACGCUCUGGCACAGCUUGGCGUAGGAGCACCCGAUCUUGGUCUCCUCGGGGGUCUUGUACCCCUCCCACUCGGUGUACUCAUCGGGUCCGGCGGCGUAGACGAUGAUGUCCUGGCCGGCUUCGAGCUCGAUGGGCUGGUGGUCCUUGAGCAUGGCGGUGCGAAUCUCGGGGCCCUUGGUGUCGAGGAGCACGGCGCAGUGCGCUUUCUUCUCCUCGCAUACCUUACGGAAGCGAUCCAGCACCUCCUGGUGACCCUCGUGUGACCCGUGCGAGAAGUUGAAGCGCGCGACGCCCAUGCCGGCGUCGAUCAGCUUGCCCAUGGACUCCUCGUCCCAGCACUUGGGUCCCAUGGUGCACACGAUCUUGGUCUUCCGCAUCAUCGGCUGGUCCUCCAUGAUCAUCGCCGGGGAGAUGCUGGUCGACCGGACUGUCAGGGUGUUCUGAGCGACGCCGCGUGUGGGGGGCAUGACGCUCUCGGGGACGUACUCGGGCGUCCAGAAUCGACUUUCGUCGAAGUCGUCGGGAUCGACGAACGAGAACUUCGGCAUCGGGGGACGCACCGCGGGCGGGCCCAUCCCGGCGCCGGUCGCCGUUCCGCACGCCAUAUUCUAUCGAUUCAAGGUUCGGAUGUCGCGGAACUGGGGUCGAUCGGGGGAAAUGCGGGUGAGCAUACGAUGGGACAGAGCGCUUGAAGGUCAUGUCGAACGCGAAAUCCGGCGAAAUAACAAUCGCGUCCCGAUUUGGUACGAAGGUGCGUUGGUGUGCACGCGGCGCCGUGUGGGGUCGUAUCGCGCAGGGUUCAGGUUGGAAUCCGGGGCGUACCAAUGAACUGACGGGUAGACGUCGACGUGUGGUGUUUUUCAGGCUGGAGACACUCGUAGGCGCCUCAAGCAAUGGCCUCGGCCCCGACCGUCAGGCGCGCAGUAUCGAGCCCUGCUGACACUGAAAAAAAUCGCGCCUCGUCAUGAAAAAGAAAGCCCCGACUCCUCCCGCGAGCACUGCCUCCCCGGACACCGGGUCGACGCCAGCUCCGGAUCAGAGACCGAUGGUCAGCGACAAGUGGGGUAUCGGGCACUCGGUGUCCGGCGUGAUGCCGAACGGCGAGAAGUUCUCCGGCGAGGUUUUCGGCUACGACGAGGCCACGGGCCUCGUCACCGUCCGCGCCCCCGGCAACAUCGGCGGCACCCACGACGUGAGGAUCAUCAAGGCGGAGGCGUGCACGGACGUCAAGUCCAUCCCACCCAAGACACCGGCCAAGACCGACGGAGCGAUGCCCGCGGUCGACGACACGAGGAGCAAAAAGCGCGAGGAGGAAAACAUCAAGGCUGCGCAGGCGCGCGCCGGUGAGUCACCCGACCCGUCCCGUCGUCCCGCGCGAGCCCGAAAACAAACCCUACAUUCUCCACUCUCGACGCAUCCGCGCGUCGUUCCCUCCCUCACGGAAGUCGCUCCCUUUUCCGAUCCAAUCGCAGCCAACGUCGGCGUGGGCGUCACGCAGGAGGCGCAGGACAUCUUCGACGCCCUCGCGAGGACCCUCCCGUGCCGGUGGGCGGAUCGCGACAUCGUGGUCAUGGACGAGGUGAUCAUCCGGCCGCCGUACGCCGCGUGCGCGGGUGUCGCGGGGGGCGACCCGCGCGCAGUCGAGAGGGUGCAGAAGGUGCUGGCGAACGAGAAGAAGAAGCUCGGCCUCUAGCUAGAUGCCCUCAGGCGUGGGGCGCGAGUGAGUCGUGAUGGUCUACGUUCGUUGUAACUAAGUAUCGCAAAGUCUAGUGUCGCCUAUGUGUUCGGAGCCGACGAACGCCACCCGAGUUGGAGGGGUCGCGUCACCUCUUCUUCUUGCUCUCCUGCUUCCCCCCCUUCGCCCCGCCCUUCGCCUCCAUCUGGGGUUUGUACUUCGUCUCCCAGUCCGGGUGGUCCUCGUCGAUGGGCAGCCACUUGAUCGGGUGCUGGUUGAAGUAGUUCCAGUCCGGGACGCACAGGAUGACCGCCACGAUCACGCCGCAGGUGAAGAUGUACGACAUCGUGUCGAAGGAUCCGCUCAGGUAGCCCGCGAGGAACGCGAUGAUGCCCGCGAUGACCAGGAUGACCUGAUACAUCCUCUCCGCCAAUUUUUGCCCCCUGAAAUCCAUCGUGCGACGGGUCGUGAACCCGACUCCGCGCGGCUCGUUCUGCCGCGAGCGAGUCCCGAGGGUGCGCUCUGAAAUUUCCCUCGUCCGCUGUUUUGCGCGAGACGUUGGUCAAACCCGGUCCAAAUAAGGAAGGCGCGAGGUCGACGAACGAGGGCACCAUGUCGAAGCCUCGCGGCGUCGUGGAGCCGUCCAUGGUGGCGGUCAGCGUCAACGAGUACGUCGGCGACGUAUCGCGGGCGGGAUACUACGAGGGUCACGGCGUGGCGCACUUCCGCGCGGGGCAUCGGUACGAGGGCGGCUUCUCCAAGGGAAAGAUGUCCGGCUCGGGAAGGUACGAGUGGGUCGACGGCAUCGUGUACGAAGGGGACUUCGUGGACAACGUGGCGACGGGGGUCGGUAAAUACACGUGGCCAGACGGCGCGACGUACACGGGCGAGGUACGCCGAGGCCUGAGGCACGGCCGCGGCGUCCAGGCGUUCGCCGACGGGCGCGUCACGUACGACGGCGAGUGGAAGGACGGGAUGAGGCACGGGAUCGGCACGCUCACCUUCGACGCCGACGGCUACGCGCGGUACGAAGGCGAGUGGCGUCACGACCGCAAGCACGGUAAGGGUAGGAUGCAGUACGCCUCGGGUAACUGGUACGAGGGCGGGUGGGCGUGCGACCAGAAGAACGGCCGAGGCGUCAUGUGUUGGCCCGCGUCGGGUGAGACGUACCGCGGCGAAUGGGUCGACGGCAAACCCCACGGCGUCGGGACGCACGCGUGGGACCGCGUUUUGUCGGACAAGACGGAGACGGACGCGUUCAACUCCUCGUUCAACUCCUGGUUCAACACGCACAACUCCUACCGCGGCACGUUCGCGGCGGGGAUGCGACAGGGCUACGGCCGGUUCGCCUACGCCAACGGUUCGUCCUACGACGGCAACUGGUACGCGGAUCAAAAGCACGGCGACGGCGCGUACACGUUUGAAGACGGCAGCGUGUUUGUCGGUCGAUUCGAACGCGACCGACCGGUGCUCGGCACGCAUCCCGGUGACGGCGACAACCCCGGCGGCAGUGCACGGUUCGAACCCACCGACCACCUGCGCUUGGACGUCGCGGACCUCAUGAGCGAGGAGGAGCAGGCGAGGGAUGACGAGCCCGCGACUUCGCUGGACUUUACGCUGAAGCGAUACUCCUCCGAGCUCCGAGCCAUCUACCGACGCGCGGCGAUCGCGGGCACUGCGAUCGACCCAACCGACGAACAACCCGACCGUAACCCGACGCCCCUCUCCGUGCCCGGUUUCGUCCGUUUAAUGCGCCGCGCGGGCGUCGCGGGAGCCGACGUCACGUGCGUUCAGCUGGCUCGAGCCGCGCACGCGGCUUGGAGGGACUCGCCCCCCGUGAUGGAACCGGUUGGCGACGCGGACGAGGACGAGAGCUCGAGGGAGGAGAGGCGUUUGCGACACGAGCGCGAGUUAAGGCGCGGGAACGUGAUGGACCCGAACGGCGUCAUGGUGUACAGGCAGUUCGCCGAGGCGUGCGUGCGGGUAGCGCACGUCAAGUUCAACGAAGCCUUCGGUUUGGACCGGAGAGCCGAGCACCUCAUCGUGGAGCACCUGCUCCCGUCCGAGCUGGACGAGGCGCUGGACGAGUCUCGGACGCUGCCGUGGGACGCGAAGAUGGAGGCGGUGGAGGUGAGAGAGAGCGCGGAGGCCAAGGCUGAGACGUAUUUCCGCGAGGUUCGCGGCACAGCCGAAAGUGACGGCGCGGACGAGGAGUCGCACAGCUGUGCGACGCCCACGGUGACGGGUCGCGCUUUUCUGCGUUGGCUCAAAUCUAAGGGUGCGCUCGCGGACGGCGACGAGGGGGGCGAGCCGGUGACGUGGCCGCCGCCCGAGCCGGAUCCCGACGCGGAUCCCGGGAACGACGACGGGGAGGGCGAGGAGGAGAAGGCGGCUGACGGGGACGGCGCUGGAGACGCUGAGGAAGCUGAGGAGGGCGAAAAAACCGAGGAGGGGGCGAAGGAGAAAGCCCCGCCGGCGCCGUCGCUCACGACCCUUCAGGCGCUCGCCGCGUUCUACCACGCCAUCGGUCCCGUCGCGGCGGCCGCCGAGGAGGAAGCCGCGCGGGAGGAGGCUGACCGGGCGAGGUACGAAGCGGAGGAAGCCGCCGCCGCGACGGGGACGGAGAAUGGGGAGCCCGACGGGGACGCCGCCCUGGAGAGCGCGAGGAUCGCCGCGGAGGCGACGCGGCUCGCCAGGGCUGUCGACUGCGAGGCGAUGUUCCCGGAGUUCUUCGAAGCCCUCGGGAGGUGCGCGGACGCGGCGGUGAAGACCGAGGGGUCCUCGUUGGCGGAGAAGCUCGCGACGUUCUUCGCCGAGGUGGUCGACGUGACGCCCGCCGUCGCUAGCGCCUAAACAAUCGAUCGUUCUUGGAGCGUCUCAUCGUCAACUCGAGAGCUCGUGUGCUACGCGGGACACGACUUUAUGAUCUCUAUCUUGGGCUCGCACGACGCGUCGCACUUCCACCCGAGCGCGCCCACGAAGGGCGCCCACGAAGCGGGCCAGACCGCGCCGACGGCGAAGACAAUCACCACCGCCGCGCCGAGGAGCCCCAGCCAGCUCAGGAUCCUGUCGAAGGAGUUCCUCAGCUGCUCCUCCUGCUGCUGCAGCAUGUCGCACUGCACCUCCAGCAUCCUCCCCUUCGAGUUGAGCAUGUGAACCUCCUUCUCCAGCCGCUUGAUGUGCUCCCUCUGAUCAGCGGCGUGCGCUUUCGCCUUUCGCACCACCGAAUCGCUCAUGUCGCUCCCGUAUUUUGCGCCCAAAUCGUGCACCUUCGCGAGCGCCUCUGCGAGCUCGUCCCUGAGCUGCACGUUCUCCUCCCCGAGCUCUCGAGCUUCUAGCCGCGCUUCGGCCAAGUCCGCGCGGAGCACAUCCACCGAAACCUUCGGCCUCCUGCCCCCAUCCACCAUGGUGGCGCUUUCGUCGGCGGUGCGCCCCCGCGAGUGAAAAAUCGGCUCUUCCAAGCCACCUCGGAACCUGCUCCGACUGUCCGAUCUCGAUCAAGUAUCAAGGCACCCUCCGGCUUCCAUGAUCUUCCGCAGGUGCCGUGCUGCCCCUCGGGCCACAACUGAGAGGUUCCGAUCCGCAACCACCGGCGGCGCGGGCGGCAGUCACCGAUCGCACGCGAAGGUCGCGGUGGAUAAAAGGAGAAGGUUCGAGCAACGCCUCGAUCCCGGAGCGCGCCGGAUCUCCCCGUCCGAGAAUACAGACACGUGGCCUUGUUGCGGAUUGGAUUAAUUUUGGAUGUCGUUGAGGAACGCUGCGAGGGCGGUGGCGAGGGCCACCGCCAGGCCGUGGGGGCGAGCGGCGGUCCCUAGCAAUGCCGACACCGCAGUCGCACCGCUUCGCGCAUCCGGUCGAAGGCAGAUAAGCGAUUUUCCAGGUGCGCAGCCGAACCCAAUUUCCCGUCGACGCUGGCCUUCCGACAGUGUCGACUCGAAGAAUUCGUUGCCCUAACCGCUCCCACCCGCAACCCGCAUACUCGUGCACAGGAGGGUCAAACGGCGACGACGCGUGGGCGACCCGAAUGUGGAAUACCAUGCGCGCAAGAUCCAGGCAGCGCAGUGCGCGUGCCUUCCACAGCAGCUCCAACGCCGCGAGCGAGGGCGGAUCCGCGACGCCGACGAGCGGCGGUGGGAUCAUGGUCGCGAGCGGGCACCCUUCGAGCCACCCUCAGGUGCUCGUCGUCCCUUUGAACCGACGCCCGCUGAUGCCCGGGGUGAUCAUGCCCGUGCGUGUGAUGGACGAGCGGCUCAUCCAGGAGAUCGAGGAGAUGAAGGCGCGCGGGCAGGCGUACGUGGGCACCUUCCUCAAGCGAACCGAGGGCGAGAGCGAAAACGUGAGCGACCCGAGCGACGACAUGCACGACAUAGGCACGUUCGCGCAGGUUCAAUCCGUGAUUCGAAUCCCCGACAUCUCCGCGGACACGCUCAAGGACGAGGACGAGAAGGGAUCGUCGGUUGGGGACGACAAGGUGGACAUCAAGGCCAAGGCAGAGGCUCGGGUCAGGGCGGCAAAGGGCGAGGAUGGCGGCGGCGGCGCGACGCUGCUGCUGCUCGGGCACCGCCGGCUUCGCAAGACGGCGACGGUGCGACACCAGCCCAUGGUGGUGCAGGUGGACCACAUCAAGGAUCCGAAGGUGGCGGACAGGGACGACGACGACGUCCUCAAGGCCACGGCGAACGAGGUCAUCGCCACGAUCAAAGACCUUCUCAAGGUGAACCCGCUCGCGAAAGAGACGCUUCAGUACUUUGCGCAGAGGUUCCAGGAUUUCCAGGACCCCGCCAAGCUCGCCGACCUCGCCGCGUCGAUGUGCAGCGCGGACGACGGCGCGCUUCAGGAGAUUCUGGACACUCUCGACGUCCGCGAGCGCCUCCAGGCCGCGCUCGUGCUCCUGAAAAAGGAGGUUGAGCUGGGUAAGCUGCAGGCGGACAUUGGCCGGCGUGUCGAGGAGAAGAUCUCCGGCGACCAGCGCCGAUACUUCCUCAUGGAACAGCUCAAGUCCAUCAAGAAGGAGCUCGGCAUGGAGAGGGACGAUAAGACGGCGCUGCAGGAGAAGUUCCGGGAGAAGUUCGCGCCGUUCAAGGACGGAGCGCCCGCGCACGCCGUGAAGACAAUCGACGAGGAGUUGAACAAACUCGCCGGAUUGGAGCCGUCGUCGUCGGAGUUUAACGUCACCAGGAACUACCUCGAGUGGCUCACGUCCAUCCCGUGGGGCCACUCGUCCGAGGAACGGCUGGAUAUCUCGCAGGCGGCGGAUGUCCUCGAUGCCGACCACUACGGCUUGGAGGAUGUCAAGGAGCGAAUCCUGGAGUUUAUCGCGGUGGGCCAGCUGCGCGGAACGACGCAGGGCAAGAUCAUCACCAUGGUGGGACCCCCGGGCGUCGGUAAGACGUCCAUCGGGCAGAGCAUCGCGCGCGCGCUGGAUCGAAAAUUCUUCCGCUUCUCCGUCGGAGGUUUGAGCGACGUCGCGGAGAUCAAAGGGCACAGGCGCACGUACGUGGGCGCCAUGCCCGGUAAGCUGGUGCAGUGCCUCAAGAGCACGGGCGUUUCCAACCCGGUGGUUCUGAUCGACGAAGUCGACAAGCUCGGGCGCGGGUUCCAGGGUGAUCCGGCGUCCGCGCUGCUCGAGCUCCUCGAUCCGGAGCAGAACGGAUCGUUCCUCGACCACUACCUGGACGUGCCCGUGGACCUUAGCAAGGUUCUCUUCGUGUGCACCGCCAACGUCUUGGACACCAUCCCGGGUCCCCUCCUCGAUCGCAUGGAGGUGGUGCGACUGAGCGGGUACAUCGCCGACGAGAAGCGCGCCAUCGCCAGGACCUACCUCGAGAAGACGGCGAAGGAGCGAAGCGGCGUCGGAGAAAAGGAGGCUAGCAUCUCCGACGCGGCGAUGAACUCGCUCAUCGAGGACUACUGCAGGGAGGCUGGGGUCCGGAACCUCCAGAAGCACCUCGAGAAGAUCUACCGCAAGGUGGCGCUCAAGCUGGCCAAGGCGAAGGGCCCGGAGGCGUCCAAGAAAAUGGGCCAGGCGAGGAACAAGGUGGCUGCCGCGAAGAAGGCACUCGAGGCGAAGGAGGACGAACUCAAGAAGGCAAAUGCCAGCGCCAAGAGCAAGAAGACGGUGGAGGCGGCGGAGAAGGAGGUGGAGGACGCGAAGGAGGCCUUGGCCGCCGCGGAGGCUGCGGUGAUCGAGGUGAUCGAGUCCACCGCGGUGUCCGAUCCGAUCGUCGUGGACGCGGGCAAGGACCUGAUCGAGUACGUGGGCCAGCCCCCGUUCCAGACGGAUCGCAUCUACGACCAGACCCCGCCCGGAGUCGUCACCGGACUCGCGUGGACAUCCAUGGGCGGGAGCACGCUGUACAUCGAGUGCACGGCGAUCCACCAGAACGGCACGGACAAGAAAGGGGGUACGCUCACCACCACCGGUCAGCUCGGGGACGUCAUGAAGGAGAGCAGCUCCAUCGCGCACACCUUCGCGAGGUCCUUCCUCGCGAGGAGGUUCCCGGGAAAUACCUUCUUCGACGACAACGCCCUUCACAUUCACGUCCCGGCUGGCGCGACGCCCAAGGAUGGACCGAGCGCGGGUUGCACGAUGAUCACAGGCAUGAUCUCGCUCGCGACGGACAGGCCCGUCAAGCCCAACCUCGCGAUGACCGGCGAGGUGACCCUGACGGGUAUCGUGAUGCCCAUCGGCGGCGUCAAGGAGAAGACCAUCGCGGCGAGGAGGAGCGGGGUGACGACCAUCCUGUUUCCAGAGGGGAACAAGAAGGAUUGGGACGAGCUCAGCGACGACAUCAAGGAGGGACUAGAGGUUCACUUUGUGUCCACGUACGACGAGGUGUACAAGCAUGCGCUUUCGGUAGAGUGAAGAUGGGAGUUUGGGCUCAGCCGACGAUUCUUUAUUGAAACAAGUCAUUCGUUGUGCUCGAUCGGUUUAGUUCAAUGCGGCGAGCAGAUCGCCACGGAGAGUCCACCUUCUUCGUCCACGGUCACGGCCACCUUUACAUCGCCCCCGGGAUUCUCGCGCCACCAUUCGCUCAAAUCUUUGUCCAGCUGGUUAUCGGGUGCGAGCCGCAAUCCCAGCGCGUCCACCGGAGUUUGGAGCUCGGGCGACUCGAGCGAACCCAAGGGUUUCUUCCUGGACCCGGCUCUCUUCCACUUCCUCCUGGCGAGUGGCUGCUCGGCGGAGAGCGAGGCGAGGACCACGGGCGGGGACUGGACGGGGCUCGGAGCCGGCGCCAGCGCCGCGUUCAGCAGCGAGUCCCCCGUCGCCUCCGCCGCAUCCUCCGGUCCCUUGUUCGAAUACGACGCUUCCUCCAGCCUCUCUUUCUCCGCCCUCUCCCGCUCCACCUUCGCCGCGUGCCUCUCCCUGAGAGCCUGCACGCCCCCCAGGCGCUUCAGCGACUCGAACUGCUCCCUCGCCCUCCUUCGUUUCUUCUCCGUCCGGGUCUCCCGCGCCCUCAUCGUCGCCCGUCUCUUCGCUUCCACAGCCUCCGCUUUGGCCUCCGCGGACAGCUGGAUCUCCGCGGCGGCUUCGUUGUUCACCGCCUCGACGAUGCAUUGAAGCCUCGCGGUGGCGUCCGUCAGGUCGCUCGUUGCCUGAUCGAGCGCGACGACGGCGGCUUCGACGAUCCUGUCGGCGACUCGGUCCGGUUCGGUUGGAGACGGGGGCGCGAGGUGGUCGUGCGGGGGAACCCUCCACAGGAGCCGACCGGGGAGCCGACGAUCGUCGUCCCGGGUGAAGUCGUCCUCGUCCUCGCCCGACGAGGACGACGAGGACGACGAGGACGACGACGACGAGGAGGAGGAGGAGGAGGAGGAGGAGGAGGAGGAGGAGGUUUUGGCUUUUUUCCAGUCGGGGGUUUUGAACAGCUCGAGGCUUCGUUCCCCGCCCUCGGGUGGGUCCGCCCCCGCGCCGGGGCGUCGCCGGGCGCGGAUCUCGUCCCUCUCCGCCCGCACCCGGCGCGUGUACGUCUCCGCCGCGCGAACCUUGUCGACCGCGGCCAUCUGCGCGAGAUAGAGGACGCUCACCGCGUCCCGUCGGGAGGAACACGCCUGCUCGGGGAAGGCCCUAGCGAGCUUCACGAGGUCUCGCCACCACGAACGCAGGUGGGGUUCGAGUUUGUGGACGCCGCCCUGCGAAUCGGCGUCGUCGUCCUCCUCCUCCUCGUCGUCGUCCUCGCGGCGUAGGUGGCGGCGGUGGUCUUCGAGCCCGAUCCCGCUGGUGAGCCCCUCGUUGCCGGGCAGUCGAGCGGUCGAGUCCUCCGCCUCGGCGGGCGAGGCGGCUGCGACCUUCGGCUCGGACUGGAGGAGCCUCAGGCUGGCGAUGCGAUGGGCGAUCUUGAUGCGAAGGCGCGUCAUGUCGCGGUGCGCCUGCGACGCGGCGUCGUCGGCGGGAGGGUGGUCGAGGCCUGGGCGACGGGUGUCGGUGGUGGCCAUGCCCCACCCCGCCGUGCCAGACGGACGACGCGACGGCCCGACUGUGCGACUCGUCUAGGUUUCGGGGGGCGAUUUCAAACCCAGAUCUCUCGGAUGACACGACGAUCGAACGAGCAGUUUACGAUGAUGAGUCCAGGGUAACAAAGAGCGCGACGUUCCGGCUCCCUUUUCUUUGCCUAACCGGUGACGUGACCCGCGAGCUGCUCCCCGAGGCUCUCCUUCGCGCUCGGCACCACCGGGCUCUUACCCAGGUACGCGUCGAACAGCGCCGUGCACAGCUUACCGUCGGCGAUCUGCCCAGCCUCCUUGCUCCCGAACGAGGUGAUGAGCUUGCCGCCGCUCGCGGUGAACGUCAGCGACUGACCCUUCUUGAAGGUGACGCCGUCGAAGUACGCCUCAAAGCGCCUGAGCGACGGCGAGUCCGCGCCCAGCGCCGGUCUCAGCCGCUCGGACAGCGCGUCCCUGAUCUUGGCGCUGUCGAUAUCCCUGGCGAACACCAGGCGCACGGUCUUCUCCACGUCCGCGGCGGCGUUGACGACGUCGAAGAGGGCCUGGUCCUUCGCCACGUCCUUGACGCUCUUGCCGACGUACCGGUCGCCCACCGCCGCUCUGGCGGAGGCCGGGUUCACGUAGAGGCCGCAGGCGUACACCUUCACGCCUAUGCCCGCGAUGCGCUUGAUCCUGACGCCCAUCCCGGUCAGGGGCGCGCACUUGCCCCCGUUGACGCAGUACUCGCCUGUCGUCGGCGCGAGGAGGGCGAGGGCGCUGAGCUGGCAGGGAAAAGGGCGACGGACACGAUCGGGGGAAACGACGAGAGUUCACGGGGUUGAACGGCGCGGAUCGCGGGUUUCGACGCGCCUCGGGACUCACCUGGAAGCUUAAGACCGGUCUUGGGCUCGGUGACGAGCGCCACGCGGUUGCCGUCGCUGCCGAUGCCGAGGCGCCCGCCCAUCGCGUUCGCCCACAGCCUCCGUGCGGUGGGUACCGGCCUGAGCCUGAACUCGACGGGGGGCUCCCCGCGGCGCUCGUUGCGCCGCCGAGCGACGUCCGCGCGGACGCCCUGGAUGUGCUCCUUGAACCCGAUCAUCGCGGAUGAGUCGACGAGGACCGCCGCCGUGGAUGCGCCGCGGCUGAGUGGCGCACGGGGAGCUCCACGGCGUUAUCCAGGUCGGACCCAAAAAACGGUCGGUUGCUAUUUUGGCGUUUCGCCAGCGCUCCUUCGCGUCAUGAAAUGCGUUGACCACUAACCACUCGGGAUGGCGCCCACGCACUGGGAGGAGGCUUUGGAUGCCUCCGCGGUUUCGCGGCCGGGCACGACGCAGUACGAGCCCGGACCGACGUGGGAGGCGUGGGAGGAUGAGCUCCGCGAGGAGCACGAGUACGACGACUGGGAGAGCAAGCUGCAGGCGUCCGCCAAGCGCGACCCCGCGAUGCGGCCCGCGCGGGUGACCACGGUGGACGUCAUGGUGCGCGAGGCGCUCGUAUCGGGGCUCGGGCAGGACGAGGCGAUCGCGCGCGCCGCGGCGGCGCCCCCUCCGCCGUCCCCGUUUCAUCCCCCGUACAAGGGCCUCGGGAUCGUCCCGAGGGAUCGCGCGCCCAAGCGCGAGGAGGAUUGGUGGGACCACGACGACAUCCACCCGGAUGCGCACAGAGCGCACGGGGGCGCGAACGCGGAGACGGCGACGUACGCGGACGGUUCCCCGCGCAAGCCGCCGCCGCACGGCUGUUCGAACGGGGUGGAACCCGGGACGGGAUCGUUUCGGUCGCCGCGGGGCAAGACCCUCGACUGGAAACCGCACUUACUUCGCGAAGGAGAGGGCGAAUGGUUCGACCCGCGUGAACUCGACCAAGGCGUCGUGAGGGACACCACGGAGGGACGCAGCUGGCUUCAGCACCCGAGACGCGGGGACCGGGCGCCGAGCAGGGCGGGCGAGCGGUACGACGCGGAGUGGGAAGGGGACGGAUGGUACGAGCAGUCGCCGCCGCGAGGGGAAACGGGAGGAGCUACGUCGUCGGAAACCUCCUCCAGGACGGACACGGACGAGUCGCGACUUUGACGACGAGUCCGCCGCUAGCUAGCGUUCGCUGUGACUUAGUAUUCACAAGUAGACUAACACUUAGACCAUCACGAGGCUGCCAUGGGUUUGUUCGAAUCGAAUUUUAUACGUACGCGCGGUCGCCGACGAAGGGCGCGGUUGUCACUCACUGCUGCUUGCACUCGGGGGGCUUCUCCUCGCCGUCGGCGCCGCCCUUCUUUCCCUUGCCCUUCUUGGGGGCGGCGUCCUCGUCGUCGGAGUCAUCCUCGUCGGAGUCAUCGCCGUCGAAGUCGUCCUCGUCGUCCUCGUCGUCCUCGUCGGAGUAGUCCUCGUCGUCCUCGUCCUCGUUGGCCUCGCCGGUGAACCACUCGACCGCGUUGGGGAUGAUCUUGUCCUUGAUGAUGGCGCCAAUCUCGUAGUCCAUCUCCAUAGCCUCUUGGAGCUGCUCCACCUCCUCCGGGUCGAGCUCGGCUUCCUCGUCGGGCACCUCCGGCGGGGAGAAGAAGUUGAAGAACGACUCGGUCUUCUCCGUCUUGGUUAUGGGCUUGGCGUUCUUAGCCGCGCCCUUCUUCGGCUUCUUGCGGAGCACCUUGACGGUGAGGUUCUUGCCCUGCUUCCACGCGAUAUCGGUGCCCUCGGAGUGCUCGAGGAUCGGGUCGUCCAUGUCCGCCAUGAAGUACUUCUUGGAGAGCACCGCGUCCUCGAAGUAAUCGUUGGGCUCGAAGUGGAACUCGAGCGCGAAGCCGAUGGGCUCCUCCUCUUCCUCGUCGUCCUCCUCCUCGUCGUCCUCGUCCUUGGGGAAGUCCUCCUUGGUGAGGGAUCGGGAGGUGAUGUCGAGAAGGUGCUUGAGCGCGCCCUCGUCCUUCUCGGUGAUCUGCUCGCCCAGGAGCUCGUGGUUCCGGAGGGCGCAGAGCCAGAAGUCGGGAACACCCUUCGGCGCCUCCUCGUCCGCGUCGUCCCCAUCCUCGGGCUUUGCAUCGACGUCCUUCUCGCCCUUGACGAUGGCCGCGCGCUUGGCGUAGAGGGGCGCGUAGAGCUUGGCGUACCUCUCCUCCAGCGCGCGCUUCUCCUCGAGGAACUUGCCGUAGAGCUCGUCGUGUUCGCCCUGCGCCUCGGACAGCGCGUUGACGCGAGCGCGAACCUUCCAAUGCAGGGACUCGACGAAACCGCUGCUCAUCCCGACGAGAUCGUCGAGCUUGUGCUGGAGCGCGCCGAUGAGCCCGGCGUUGUUGCCAAGCUGGCCGAGGGCCUUGAGCAUCUCAGCCUUGUCGACAUGGGCGAACUGCGAGUGUUUUGGGGGGACGGUGGGACGGUCAGGGUAUGUACGUGGGGGCUGGAUCUUGGUGGGCACUUUGCGGCGGCCGAUGGCGGCAAUAAAAAAGGCAAGAUGAUGUGUUUGAAAACUCACGUCCGGGUCGUUCGCGUCGUCCUCGUCGGGGAGGGAGUCUUUGAUCUCUUUCAUGUCGACCAUCUUGGACAGAUGUCUGCUGUUUGAAUACGCGCCGAGACGUGCUCAGCGGUGCCUCUAAGAGUGGCGUCGAGUGCCCCCGAUCGCCGACGGUUGGAGGAAAAAGGGGGAGCGCCGCAAACGCGGACGAGAUUCACCACGCUGGGACGACCUACGCAAAUCAGACCCCCGCCUUAGCUGUCGUUUUGGCUUUGAUAGGUGAUUUGAUAGACAAAAUGCAAGUUGAUAACACGACUGUUUUCAAAGUUGACCGUGGUUUUGAAAGUAAAAUCGGGUUUGGGGUGCAGCCUGCACCCCAAAUCGAAGCUACGAAACGACAGCAAAGGGGGGGGUCUGAUUUGCGUAGACCGGCCAGCGACGAGCGAAGACCGCCAAAAGUUGUCCCACGCACCACCACUGUUCAGGCGCGCCAGCACGUGGCAGAUGGGCGUCGUCGCGAUACCGACGGUCCCGUCCGUCGCCGCACACCCCACAGGACGCGUGUCCAUCCGCCCCGCGCGGUCCCGCGCCUCGGUCGCUCCGCCCAGAGCGCUUCCCCCGGCGAACGAGAUCGCCGGCUUCGUCAUCGGCGCGGGCCUCAUCGGGCUCGUGUUCGCGGCGUCAAGGCUGGACGGGGUGAUCGCGGACGCUCAGGUUCGGGGGUUCGAGCGGGAUAAGGACGAACGAUGGAAGAAGACGACGAAGAGCGUGGAGGGCGGCGGGAACAUCUUCAUCCUCCCGGACGACGAAGAAGAGUAGGAAGCGAAGCGAUAGGUUUUAGGUCAUAUUAGAUGUUGCAAGGCGAGAGGCGGUCGCGCGACCGCCGCGUUUAAUCAGAGAGCAAACCGUUCUCGUGCCGGCGACGCGCGGCAAUGCGCGAAUCACUCACUCACUGCACGUUUACGAGCUCGACGUCGAAGAUGAGCGUCGCGUUGCCCGGGAUGGCUCCCUUGACGCCCUUCUUGCCGUACGCCAUGGCCGGGGGAAUGGUGAGCCGGCGCUUAUCGCCCACCCGCAUGCCCGCGACGCCGACGUCCCAGCCCUUGAUGACCUCGCCGAUGCCGAGUCUGAACUGGAACGUGGCGUUGCCCUUAGUCUGGUCGAAGAUCUUACCGCUCUGGAGCUUACCGACGUACUUCAUCGUCACCCUCUUGCCGGGCUCCGCCUUCUUGCCGUCAACCUGGCCCAUCGCGACGUUGAGGAUCUCCAUGCCGUUCUUGAACUCGCGCUUGAGCUGCUUGCCGCCGGAAGCCGGGGUCUCGGGCUUGGGAGCCUCCUUCUUCUUUUCCUCCUUUUUAGCCGGGGUCUUCUCCUCCUUUUUCUCCUUCUUGGCGGGGGGCUCCUCCUUCUUGGCCGGGGGCUCCUCGGGCGCGGCGCGCUUCUUCUUCUCCUCCUUCUUGGCCGGGGGCUUGGCGUCCUCCUCUUCGAUCUCCUGGAUGGUCACCCCGCCCUUCUUGGUCUUCUUCGGGGCGUCGUCCUGUUCGGACUCGGACUCGGAGUCGUCCUCGUCCUCGGAGUCGUCGAAGUCACCUUCGUCCUCCUCGUCGUCGAAGUCCUCGAGGACGCCGAAGUCGUCGGCGUCGUCCUCGGAGUCGUACUCCUCAUCCUCAUCUUCGGAGUCGUCGUCCUCGUCGUCGCCCAUCUGGCGGUCGUACAUCCCGUCCAUCUCGUCGUCGUCCAUGUCCGGCAUGAAGUAGCCCGUGAGGUGGACGGGGUAGGAUCCCUCGACGUAGAACUCGGCGUAUCCGUCGAAGAUGAGGUCGAGGUGGCACGACUCGACGACGCCGCCGAUGAUUGUGCAGAUGUUGAACUCCUGCGCGCCCUCCUCGUCCUCGGCCUCGGCGCGGCACUUGACGAUGAUGCGCUCCUUGUCCUCGGGGAUACCGCCGCCGAGGGUGGCCUGUCAUCGGUUGGGGUGCGGACGGUUCAGUCGGCGCCGGGCAUCGGGUUCGUUCGGAUCUGUCCGGGGACAAAGUCGGCGGCGGUCGGCGGCGAGAUUUUCGCGGUCGAUCGGAGGCGCGCUGCAAGGGACUCACCUGGGAGAUGUGCAGGCGGAGCGCCUCGUCGGGCGGGGGGACGAAGGGCGUCCACUUGCCGGGCUCAACCUUGAGACCCCAGAAAGCCAUCUUCUCUUAGCUAGUAGUCUAUCCUCUGUCGGUGAGGCGGUGUUUGACGACGUGAGAAAAGCGGUUGGAAACAAACCUGAGAACUCCGCCAACCGCCGGCAACUUUUUUUGGGACUUUUUCGCUCGCCGUCUACCGGACUGCCGGCCUGUGCAGCAGCUGUGAGUUUUUUGCCUUUUUUUUUCCCGGAGUCUAGCUAUGGUCGUCGUUACACAACGAUCGCGAAAUUAGUGUAAACAAACCGUUUACCCUUUGCGAAAAAUCGACUUCUUUUUCCCCAAUCCGGGCUGUGCUGGGCACCUCAAUGGUGACAGCUGCCGAAUCGCCUCGGCCGGACAGCCAAUCAGGUGCGCCGCGUGAUCAUCUUUCGCGCGUUCCCCCGGUGGAAGCUGACCUGUAUUUUCAGCAAUCCCUCGCCCACGUCGACGCCAGACCCCGCGGGCGCCGCGGGUGGGAAACCGACGUUCGCGAAACGCGCGGUGUCUACGCUUCGGUGAACCUCAAUACGAAGGUUCAGGGGUGACGCGCCCGGCGGUUCGACAGCCGGUCGCGCGGCACCGGGGGUUUGUUCCAGCGUCGCCGCGUCCGCUCAUCCUGUUUUCGUGUUCAAGUGGGCCAACAGUCACGUGACUGGGAAGCACGACGGGGACCAUGGCGCUCUCGCUGGCGGGGCGCGGGUUUGCGAUUCAGGGCGCGACGCCUCGGAGUCGCGUCACCGGUCGGAGUAGACGCGCGGGUCCUCGGCUCGCGAUCCGCGCGGCCUCGAACGCCGACCAGCCGGUCGCCGCACCCGACGCGCUCGCGACGAUCACGUCGGGUAAACCCGUCGUCGAGGUCUUCUCGCCUGCCGCCAGUCAGCGCUCGGGCGGCGCGUUCGGUCUCGCGCACUCGCUCCGCGCGCCCGCGCUCGCGGUCGUCGGCCUCGAUGAUGUGGUCGACGUCGUCUCGGACGCGUCGAGCUCCGGCAGCGGGCCGUCGCUCUACGACGGCCGCGCGUUCUCGCCCGCGCUGAAAGAUCCCUCCGAGGCGGCCUCCCCGGUGAGGUCGAUCGUUCGGCUCGUGCAGCAGGCGAUGGGGCUCACCGCCGACGGCGUGGACUAUAACGCGUUACCCUUGGGCGGCGUCGUGGAUACGGUCGUCGAGCCGAAGAAGGUGUUCGGGGACGCGAUGGAGCGAACGCGGACGGAGGUUGCCAAGGGCGCCGCGAUUGACGACGCCGAGUGGUCCAAAGUCGUGGACAGCGUCGACGUGGACCUGGCGCUUCUCCUGGUGUCCGUCGUGGCGGUGGUGCCGCUGUGCAAGAAGCUGAACGUGUCGCCCGUGCUGGGUUUCCUCGGCGUGGGUCUGCUGCUGAACCAGGAAGGGGUGUUCAGCGAGAACCGCGAGGUGGAUCAGUUUUGCGAGCUCGGCAUCCAGUUCCUGCUGUUCGAGAUGGGCCUGGAGCUGUCGGUGCAGCGGCUCAAGGCGCUGGGCAAGUACGCGUUCGGGCUGGGUCUGUGCCAGGUGGUGUUCGGUAACCUCCUGUUCGCGGCGGCGCUCCUCCCGCCGGGCGAGGCCUUCGGGACCAAGGUGCUCGAGAUGGUGCAGAGCGGGCGCGGCGUCGACGACCUGCUGCAGAUUAGGUCGCCGCUGGAGGCGAUCGUGGUGGGUUUUGGGCUGACGCUCUCGUCCAGCGCGUUGGGGCUGCAGCUGCUCUCGGACCGCGGGAUGAUGACCACGCGGCUCGGCACCGCAUCCCUCGGCGUUUUACUCUUCCAGGACCUCGCGGUCGUGCCGUUCAUCAUCGCGCUCCCCGUGCUCCAGAAGAUGCAGUCGGCGGGGGCGGGUGAUGGACUGGACGUGGGGCUCAUGGCCGCGUACACCGCCACGAGCUUCCUGGACCUCGGCGUGCUGAGCAUCGGCGGCUGGUUCGUCGCCAAGAAGCUCUACGAGGUCAUCACCGAGCUUGAGUGCGACGACGACGUCUUCGUCGCCCUCUCGCUGCUGGUGCUCUUCGGCUUUUCCAACGCGUCGGCGGCGGCGGGCUUCAGCGACUCGCUCGGCGCCUUCAUCGCGGGCCUGGUGCUCGCGGGCACGCCGUACGCGCACGACAUCAUCGGGAAGCUCCGCGCGUUCAAGGGCCUGUUCCUGAGCCUCUUCUUCGUCACCAUCGGCACCACGAUCGACGUGCCGCUCGCCCGGGACCUCUUCCCCAUCGUGACGCUGAUGACCGCCGGGCUCAUGGCGGGUAAGCUCGCGACGAUCACAGCACUCGGGCCGCUGACGGGCUUGACGUGGCGCGAGGCGCUCGUCGCUGGCGCGUUCCUGUCCCAGGGGGGCGAGUUUGCCUUCGUCAUCUUCGGGCAGGCCACGAGCGGAAGCGGGGGCGCGCUCUUCCCGCAGAACCUGGACGAGCUCCUCGUGGUGGUGGUCAUCGUCUCGAUGGCGCUAACGCCGCUCGCGGUGGACGCGGCGAUGGCGAUCGCGGGUCCCACGCUGGACCUGUCGCCGUGCGAUGCCUCGGAGGAUCCCAACGGUUCUUGCGACGUGGCGUGGGAGAUGGCGGAGAGUUACGGGCAGGAGCUGCCGGUAGUGGAGGGGGAGGAGAGCGUGUUGAAGUCUGAGGCCACGCCGGCCGAGUUCAAUGACUAAUAACUAACGUAGUGAAAAGUUGACCCACGAGUACCCCGCGCGCACUCGCCACAUGGCGCUCCGCGCGGCGAUGAAGGCGCUGGCGACGAUGCCGACGCUCUCGCGGACCGCCGCGGUCGCUCGCGUCGCGCCCCGCGGCUCGCGCUCGCACCGCUGCCCCUCGCCGCUCCUCGCCGCGCCUCGAUCGGCGACGUGUCUUCCCCGUCGUGUCGUCCGCUCCGAGGCGCGCGGCUGGCCGCGCCCGCGCGCGGUCGGUCUCGGUCUCGCGACGCGCGCGGUCGCCGACGAUGGGACCGUCGCGUCGUCUGCGCUCGACCCGCACUCCUUCGAGGUUCGCGCGCGCCCCCUGACUCGCGCGCCCGCCGCCCGUCGCAGUGGGCACCCGCCGAGAGUCCCACGUGACCCGAUCGACUCACCCCGCGCCACCCACCCCGCUCACCCCGCUCGCAGGGAACACGCGCGCUGGCCAAGCUCGCGAUGCUGGUGUACUGGAACGCCGGCCAGGACGGGUUCUGGGACCCGACGUACGACGGCACCGGCCUGGACCUGUCCACCCCGCUGGGCUUCGAGCCCCUCAUCGCGUCCGAUCCCGCCGCGCUGCGCAGGGAGGUGCUGUCGUCGCUGGUCCCUGGCGAACCGGCGCUCUGGCUCGACCCGGACCCCGGGAUGGGCCCGCUCACCCCGUCGUUCGCCACCGUCGAGGAAGCCAGGGACGCCGCGUUGGGUCUGGUCAAGCCGAGCCCGCCCGUCAGCCGCGUCGCCGUCGUGCGACUGGCCAAGCCCGACUGGAUAGCGGUCAUCUUCCGCGGCACCACGCCGUCGCCGCUGCGGGGGUUACUUCGCGAGGGCCAGGUCAACUCCAUGGCGGGACAGGAGACGUGGGAGGAGACGCCGCUCGCGUGGGUACGCGGCGAUGAUGAGGGUCCACGGGUGCACAGGGGGUACGCCGCGGCAUACAGGACGGUUCUCGCCGAGGUUGAAGGCGCGGUGACCGCGCACGCGCGAGCGGAGCUCGAAGCUCGAAGCAAAGCCUCCGCCGGCUCCUCGCAGGACACGCCGCCCCCGUGUAAGGUGGUCGUGGUGGGUCACAGCCUGGGCGGCGCGCUGGCGGCGCUGUGCGCGUCUCGGUUGGCGCACGACCCCGACGUGACGCGACUCGGCGCCCAGGUGGAGUGCGUGACGUUUGGUCAGCCGAGGGUGGGCGACGGCGAGUGGGCGAGCGGCGUGGACGAGCGGACGCCGCGUUUGACGUACACUCGCGUCGUCAAGGCUGGGGACUUGUUCGCCAGGGUACCCACGAGCGGGUUCUGGCUCCCCGGAGGUAACGGCGGACGGUUGCGUGUGGAGUACGCACACGCGGGAGCGCUGGUGUGGACGAGCGAAACGGACGAGAAGGUGCGAGCUUCGGCGGGUCGUGGGGAGGCAGUGCCGGCGGGGUUCUGGACGGACGCUCGGAUGGCGAACCCGAUCUCGGUGGCGAGGGAUCACGCGGGGUACGCGUAUUUCUUCGAGAAGGAGGAGCUCGGGAGGGCGUGGCCGAGCCGGGACGCGCUGUUCCCGAGGUGACACUUUCUUAGCGCGUCGCGAUUUUCUCCAUGAACCAAAAUUUUGACGUCCCAAACAAUACGGGUUAUUUUCCACUUUCAAAAAAAUUACAUGAAGUUUACAUGAAGUUUCCAUGAUCUAUUUUCAGUGGGAUACCUUGGUCUAUUAACUCAACACGCAGAAAUUUUCAUUGGCCAUAUCGGCAUUCCGGCUAAGCGGACAUAAACGUCCGGUAAGCGGACAUGAGACUUGGUGCGGGCCGAUAAACCGUAGUUUUCUUGAUUCAUUUAUACGAGAAGCAGUUUUACGAUCUGUGCUAAAAAUAAUACAUACGUUUUUUCAACAAAUCAGAUGGCGGCCAAGGAAAUUCCGCACGUAAAUCCAAUGAAAAACCGGGGAAAGACCGGGGAAAGACCGGGGAAAAGACUCCUCUGACAGAGUACUACUCCCUGAAAGUACUACUCUGACAGAGUAGCGAUUUAUAUGGACGUAAUCAGACCCCCGUUCUUGAGUUAAUCACAGGCGAUCCGAAAAUGCGCGUCGGCAUUCGAGACGCGAAAAGCAGUCGUCUAAGACGACACAGCCACGCCACCGUGGAUGGUACUACGUACCGCGCCCCAGCAGACGACGAGACGAUCAUGUCCAUCGCCCUCGGCGUCUUGACGACGCUGGUGUUGGUGGCGUGUCGUCCGGUAGCCGCGCAGUCUCCGUCAUGCCCGUGCCUGCAGACCGCCUCGUGGCCGAUUCUCGGGACCGACCGAAUUACAAACGCCAGUUGCAACCGGGUGCUCGUCGGGGGCGAGGUGCAUUGCUAUCCCAGCACGUACGGUCUCGGGAGCUGCGCGAAGCACGACGAGAAUCGCGAGCCACACUGCGACGGGUCUUCCCCCGCCUCCUACUGCGCCGAGCCGUGGUGCUACGUGGACCCGGUAACCUGCCGGGGCUCAACCAAGCGUUUCGCGGAAUCCGACAUUCUCAUCGACGGCGGGUCGAAGGCGUACUAUUCCUACGACACGUGCGGGGGCGACGUCAGCAAGUGGAACAACCUGGUGGUCAACAGUCUCCUCAACGGCAAGACCCUCAGGGCGGCGGUCGCCAUCCCUUACUACUACCCCGACCACUACAUCGAGGACGCGGCGGGCGAGCCGAUAAAAUCCGCGGCGAGCUACGCCCCCGCAGAUCUCCCGGCUGGCGCCAAGGUGAAGGGAAUCUGGAUCGAUUUCUACAACAAGAUCGCCCAGCAGGCCAACUUCACGCUGGAUUGGCGCCCGGUGAGCGGUGGGAGCAAGGGGGCUCACUCGUCGUCGUUCACCGCGUGCGCGCAAGACGUCGCCGACGGCAUAGUGGACCUCUGCGUCGGCGAUUACUGGACCACGGAGGAGCGACUGUCGAUGACGACGUUCACCACCGGCACGCUGACCGACACGUUCUCGGUGCUGCAUCGCAAACAGGUGAACGCCCCGGCGACGUUAUCGAGCAAGCUCGCGAUGGCCGGGGCGCCGUUCUCGAUCGAGCUUUGGAUGACCUGCCUCGCGGUGUGCGUCGCCACCGGCGUUUGCUACAACACGCUGAGGGUCGGUUACAAGGAGUACCUGCCGAAGAUAUCUCACAAGGAGAUGUCUACGGGACAAAAGACAAUAGCGUGGCUCAAGGGAUCCGCGGCGUACACGUUCGGGGCGUUCCUGGAGUUUACGUCGCAGGACGUGCAGGCCGGGUACGACGCAAAGGGUAAUCCAGUUCCGAACAGGGCGUACGAGCUCAACUUGGUUAAGAUGGCGUGGAGUCUCUUCUGCAUGUUCACCCUGCUGACUUACACCGCGAGUCUGACCGCGCGGCUGGUGCGGAACGACGGGGGUAAGGUAGGGAUCACGACACUCGACGAGUGUCAGCAGUUCAAAUGCAAGGUGUGCGUCCCGGGGGUGAUGAUGAACACGAUGAAGCGGCUCUACAAGGACAGGAUCCUCUACCACGCCUCCUCGAGCUCGACCAACGUGUUCAGGGAUCUGGAGAAGGGCGAGUGCGACCUCGGGCUGAUGAUCGAACGCAGGUUCAACACCAUGUGGUCCUCGGGGGAGUAUAAACUGGACGCCGCGUGCGGCUUCGAGAUUGGCAAAGCUGUCAUGCCCAUAGGGUGCUCGCAGCCCGUGCGACAGGAGUACUCCGCCGCUAUUAGCUUCUGGGCUAAGAAAGUCGCAGACAAGGACUACUUCCUGGGAUCUCUCAUCGAGGACACGUACAUGCCAUCGCCGCCGUGCCCCAUGGCGGAGGUUAUCGACCUGAGCGCGAAAUCGUUGGGGGUGGAUGCGUUUUUUGCACCGCUCAUCAUCUACGUCAUACUCAUCUGCUUCGCGCUGGCCAGCAGGCUGUUCUUCACGAAGAGAAAGCACAAGAGGUCGUUUAGGAUGCCGUUCUCCUUUUCUUUUAAGGGGCGGAAGAGCGUUGAGAAGCCGCCGACCAGUAUCGAAGCGCCGCCGAGCUCAAAUGGCCAAGCUCAGAUGGCCGCGGACGAGCUCCCGCCGGUUCCCGAGCGCGCGCGGGCUUGAGAGUAAAUAGCUGCUAAGGGUUGUUUUUAAACGAAGGUAACACUUAUAAAAAUUCACGGGCGUCGUUACGGAACCGCCACGAGACUCAACACGCGUCAUCGUAGAUGAUCCGAGCUCACUUCCACGAGUCCCUCGCCGAGUUUGUCUCACCCUUGGCCUCCUCCAUGGCGAGCAGUGCCACCUUCAUGCGCUGGCUCACCUCAUCCGCCUGCUUCCCCAUCUCCAGCAGCUUCUCCUCCUUCGUCUGUGCAUCCUCCCCGCCGUUCGCGUCGUCCCCCGAAUCGUCGCUCAGCAGCGCCCUGCUCGCCUCCCGCGCCUGCUCCGUCGCCGCCUCCGCCGCGGCGAGCGCCUCCUUCACUUUCGCCCGCCUGGCGUUGCGCCGUUCGAUCAUCUCGUCCCUCGCCUUGACGUCGACGUCGUCGCCCGAGCCGUCGAGUCCGUCGUCGAUGAACCUCGCAUUCUCGUCCCAAGACUGCUCCCACCCCUCCACCGCCCCCUUCAGCUGCCGCUCCCAAUCGCUGAGCUGCCCCAUCGCGCGGUCGAAGUCGUUGGUGAGUCGCUUCAGGUACGACUCCGCCUCGUCCCUGGCUCCGUCGAUGGCUCGGCUCGGCUCCUCGAGGAUGCUCUCCGUGAGCUUCGUCAGCGCCUCCUCCGCGCCGCUGAACUUGCCCCAUCGCUCCACGUUGCCGAUGAUCUCCCUCAGCUCCUCGCCCAGCGCGUCCCACUCCUCGCUCGCCUUCUCCAUCUCCUCUAAAGUUCGAGGCAGAUCGAUGUUCGUCUGCACGGAGAGCUUCUCAAACUCCGCGGCGGCCUUUUCCAUCUGCUCGCUCGCCUUUUCGGUGGCCAACGAGGCGCGCUCCAUGGCCUUGAGCGCUGGGGCCAUGACGACCAUGAACGCGGCAGCGCACGCGGCGACGGAGCCGAGCGCGAAGAGCCCGACCGCGGCGACCAGGUGCGAGCCCGUGGGAAACGUGACGACCGCCGCGGGUGCCUUUGCGGGUGCGGUCGCGGCGGCCGCCUUGCGCGAGCCCAGGGCGAGCUGCGAGACCGCGGGGUUGCCAGAUGCGGAGAUUAUGGUGCGAGAGGAUGCGGGGGAUACGUACGCGAGCCCGGAAAUCUCGUCGGGCAACGCCGCGACGACGACUCGGCAACCAUUAGACUUUCGGGAAUGCUGACGCUGAAGGGACAUCUUCCGGAAGGUCCGGGUCCGAACCGCGGCGGAGGCGUUCCGCGCGCGGCGAGGCGACGUGCGCGUCGCCGCCGCCGCGGACUCGAGGACCCGCGGACCCAAAGCGCAGACACACCGGGUCAUCGUCGCCGCUCCUGUCAGUGUGCGGCUCGCGAGACGAGUCCGAGGAAGGAGAACUUCCCUCGGAGCUGGGGUUGUGUUCUCCAUCACAGGCGACCUGACAGGGGCUACGGGAUACCUGACACUGAACUGGCAGACUUGACGUUUUUACACACACAGCUUGCUAUUGAACGCUACCCCGAUCCCCUGGUGUCCCGCGCCGUGUACCGCCUCAUCUGCGCCGCGUUACUGAUCUCCCUGCUCCGCCUCUUCAGCUCGUCCGUCAGCGCGUGCGUCUCGCUCGGCCUGAACCGUUCGGGAUCCUCCCCCGCGGCUAUGGCGUGUUUGCCGGGCACCACGUGCUGCCACCAAAAAUCGCUAAGCGCGCGGUACAUCAUGGCCCAGUACUCUGGAUCCCUCUCCACCCUGUAUAUCGCGCUGCCGUGCUCCACGGUGUAGCAGAACAGGUCGCACCACUGCCUGUCGAACACCGCCAUCAGCCCCUGCACCUGCGGGACGUAGUACCACGGCGCGCGAGGGUACGGCUUGGCCCCCACCGGGUCGCCCUUGUUCCACGGGCACUUGAUCUCCAGCACUCCGGGCGGGACGCCGGUGGCGGGGUCCACGUCCGCGGCGCCCGGCGCGGCGAUGAGCCCGUCGGGCGAUGCCCCCAGCCACAGCUCGGCCUCAUCCGGCGAGAGCACCCUGAACAGCAUGUGCGACACGUCGGCUCCGGUGAGAUUUUUGUACGCCGCCACGGCUUCGUCCUCCUUGCCGCUGCCCCACUCGGUGGCUUCGUUGCCCGCGAAGGGCUCCGCCAGCCCGAGCUUCUCCUCCCACAGCUCGUUCCGACCGCCCCGCCAGAACCCGCACGCGUUGCUGAACGCGGACGCGGUGAGCCGCGAGGACCGGAGGGCGAGCCACUUAUCGCUCCCCUGCGUCUCGCCUUCGAGCGACAUCGAUCGCACGCCGUUGGACCCGGGCGCAAGCUGCGCGUCACCCAGGGCGCCGGCGAGGACGGACGCCACGGCGGUUGGAAUACGAACCGUCGCGUCGCUCGCGCCGCCGCCCUCGUCGCCGAUCGCGUCGGCGGACGACACCUGGACAACCUCCUCGCGCUGUCGGACGUCCUGCGCGAGGGCGUCUUCCCAGCUCCUGCUCUCUGUGACCACGCCUUUGCCGCCGGGUUUGCCCCUCUCCCUGGGCGCCGGGUGGGUGGAGUAGAAGUCCGCGAGGUUUCCGGACUCGGGCUCGGGCGGCGUGGGCUCGGGUGGAGAUUGGGCGUGGAGCUGGGACGUGGGCGGCGGCGUCAUCUCCCGGCGGAACGACUCCGGCCCCGGGAUCCCCGGGUUGGGAGCCGGGGAUCCCGGGGGAUGAUGCGCGGUGUGCGAUGCUCCCCCGAGUAGCAGCUGCUGGGCCUCCGCCACGAGCGUCGCCCUCUGCGGCGGGGAGAGGGCGCGAUACCUCGCGAAACCCCCCGCCACGCGGCGCUCCCACCGCUCGCGCCCGUCGCUCCCUGGCGGUAAAACCUCCGUCCCGAUCUUGGUCAGCUCGCUCGCGGCGUACUCGCUGAACAGGCUCCUCGCGCCGCGGACGUCCACGUGCCCCCGGGACUCCUCGAGUCGCAGCGCCUGCAGCGCGCGGCCGACGCGUCGCGACGCGUCGCCGGCGGGCGCGGAGGAAGGGCCGGGGUGCGUCGAGCCCGUCGCGCCCGCGGUCGCCGAGCCGUGUCUCCUGCCGCCCCGGUCAUCUCCGUGAUGGUCGUGGUGCGACGCCGCGCAGUGCGCGGCGAGGCGUCGCGCGGCCCUGCCCCCGCCGGGUGCCGCGAGGCGCCCGAAGCAGAGCCGGGCCACCACCGAGUGGUGCGACAUCCGGGCCAGCGGGCGCGGAGUGACUCUGCACGCUUCUCCAUUUAAAAAAGCCAAAAAAGCGCGAGCCACAACUGUCGCCGCGAGAUGGACAGCGACGACGAGCAGCGGGGACCCGUGGAAGUGACAUUCCGGGAUCUCACCCCGGAGAAUGAGCCUGAGCUCCGGAGGCUCAACUCCGUCGUGUUCCCCAUACGAUACUCGGUGCGUCCGCCCUCCCUCACGCCCGCACCUUCCGCGCAGGGUAACAAGCGCACGACGCAUCGCGACGCUCACCUUCGACACCCGGCCGCCACCCUCUCCGCAGGAUAAGUUUUACCAGGAGUGCGCCGCAGCGGGGAGGGUGACGCAGCUGGCGUACAUCGGCGAUGAGCUCGUGGGCGCCAUAGCGUGCAGGCUGGAGCUCACGCCGCUGAAGUCAGGCGCUAGGCUCUACCUGAUGACCGUGGGGGUGUACGCUCCCCACCGGAACGGGGCGAUAGGCACCAGGCUGCUUAGGCACGCGCUGAACGAGGGAUCCGCGGACACGUUCAUCGAGGAUGCCUACCUCCACGUGCACACGCCGAACACCGAGGCGAUCGCAUUCUACAAGCGCUUCGGCUUCGUCGAGGAUGGGGUGGUGCAAAACUAUUACAAGCGGCUGGACCCGCCGGACGCGGCGGUGCUCAAGCUGAACUUGAGGGAGUGGAAGGUGCGUCGAACGAACGUGACGAACCGCGCCUCGCACCGUCCCGCCGCGUCGCGUCUUCUCCCGCCCCGACUCGACCCCGACGACUCGACCUGACCGACCCUUACCCCCCCCCUCCCCACCUCGUCGCCCCCGCAGCGCGAGCCGCUGGCGAAGGUCAGGUACGGGAGAGGCGCGAACGGUGCGGAGCCCGGGGAGUAGGACGGCACGGACGGCGGGACGCGCGCUCGGGACGCGACGCGUGGGCGCGGUUUAGUUGAGACGGGUGGGGACGUCGUCGGGAGACUCGGGGGGGGGGGCGAGCGUCGACGAUGAGUGGCCGGUAAACUUUUAGUGCGCCUCCCCGGCUUCGUCGUUCAAACACCGAAUGCAGUGUAUAUUACAUCUAGAAGAUGCACGAAAUCCACCCUAAUAUUCGCUAGCUCGCCCCGAGCGUAGCGCACAGACACGGCGCGCUUAGUUGUUCUGCGUAGGAGAGGGCGGGAAGGAACGUCAGUUUACGUCGGCGGCGUGAUCGACCUCGGGGGCGGGAGGGGCGGAUCGGCUCCUGCCUGGCGGGCCGAACCGACACCGCGCGCGGGGACGGGUGGGACGGGACUCGAUCAGACGCGAUCACGCGUCGGAACGCGCGUUCGAUGUCGAGUCGAGUUUCCGUCCCGCGCGCGUCUCGAUCGAACGCAGCCUCUCGCGAAGACGGCGCGCGCGACACAGACUAGACUGAAAGCCCGAUCGCGCCAACACCUUUCGAGGGGGCGGUUUUUGGGAAAGCUUCGCGGACACUCACCUUCACGAAGCCGAUGUCCUUGGCAUACUCGCGGAAGCACUGCCUGCAGAUGUUGAGGUUGUACUUGCGAAUGAUACCCCACUGGUUUGCGCACACGCGGCUGUUGAGGGAGGGAGAGGGGGCGAGGGGUCAGCGAAGGUCAGGGGAGAAAUCGGUCAGGGUUGGGGCAUAAAACCCUAGAAAACCCAUCGGGAGGGUGCCCCGGGAACGGUGCGGAGACGGCCGCGGAAGGAUCGAAUCGACGCGUCCGAAUCGACCAAAGGUCGCAGCGGGACGAUAUCGACGCCCCGUGGGUCGUCCACGCGCUCGCAUCGACCCGAGAUCGGCGUCGAGCGGAGCCGCCAACCGCCAAAAUUUGGCGAGAGAGGCACCGUUUCCCGGUCCCGCGCGUGGCCGGAGAUGCACUCACCAGCGGCGCUGGCCCUUGCCGUUGCACUCAGCCUUGGUAGCCCAGAUGUUGGCGAAACCCAUGUUUGCUAGCGAAGCUUGAACCUUUGCUUCACGCAACGAUUCGCGCGCGUUUAAAGAGGGCGCCCGUGAUCCCUGCUCCCCGCUUUUCUCCUCGGUCCUGCGAGAAAACUCAAAAAAACGAAGCGCCGAUUUCUUCCUCCAUCUUUCCCUCCUUUGCCCCCAUUCAUUUCUCUAUUUAGCGUUAAUGCUCGAGUUUCGACUGCUCGAGGUAACUGUUUGCAUGUGUUUUGUCGGGAAGAAAUGAUCACACGAAUGGUCUGGCGGACGAGGCACCACGCACGGCAACGCCAAUCUCCGCAAGUUUAACCGUUUUUGGCCAGGAGGAUGCCACUUCGAGGCGCGCUCACUAUCGCUCGCUCACGACCUCCGCUCUCACCUCGCCACGCCGAGUGGUCGCCCUUUCAAGUUCGAAGGUUCGCCGACCUCCGAUGCGAUAUUCGUCCCCGACUCGCGUCCUCCCCCGCCCGUCGCACCCGAUCGUCUGUUUUGGCUCAUCUCAUUUUGGAAGCGAUGCCGCUUACGUCCCAUCGCGCCCCGAACCCGCCCCAUCGUCCAGCGCGCAGGUCGCCCCUGGAUCCGUUCAUGUCGUCCAUCGACGUAGAGGAACUAGAGGUGCGAGUGCGCCGCAGACUCGCGCUCGUCGACGCCCGCCGCGCCGACUCGAUCCCCGGUGACGCCCGCGCCCGUUCCGAGGAUGCCCGCUCCGGAAAAGGAACCGCCUCGCGCGAGCGCAGGCUUCCCUCCGACGGCGGCGUGGUGGCGCAGAAGGCCGCGUCCGACGUCGCCACCAUCGCAUCCGCGUGCGAGGGCAUCGCAAUUUUCGAUUCGCUCCGCGCCGAGGACAGGGACGCGCUGUUCCGCGCCAUGUACCGCCUCGAGUACGCCGCGGGCGAGGCGGUGGUCAGGCAGGGCGAGGAGGGCUUCAACUUUUACGUCGUCGUCGCGGGAUCCGCGGCGGUCACCGUGCAUCGCGACGGGGACGAACAAGGUGCCGACCACCACGCCAACAACGAGGAGGAGGAUACAGAGGUCAGGACGCUGUGGCCCGGGGAUACCUUCGGCGAGGUCGCGCUCCUCCACUCCGUGCCGCGGACGGCGACGGUUCGGUGCGGCUUAAAGGCGACCACCGUCUGGGCGCUCGAUCGCGAGACGUUCAAGCGAACGCUGUCGCGGGGCGCGUUCCAGCGACGCGAGGCGUACGAGCGGCUCCUUGGCGGGGUGAAGACCUUGGAGCGGCUCGACGAGUACGACAGGAAGCGACUGGCGGACGCCGUCGUGCCGUGCGCGUUCGCCAGGGGCCACGCCAUUUGCGUCCGGGGCAAGGCGGAGGGCGCCAAGUUCCACAUCAUCGAGCGCGGGGAGUGCUCCGUCGAGCUCGUCGGGGGCAAGGAGAUCAAUCGCCUGAAGCCCGGCGAUUACUUCGGCGAGGUGGCUGCGCUUCAGGGGGCGGAACCCACCGCCACCGUCGUCGCCCUGACGGGGGUACAGACGCUCAGUCUGGACCGCGACGCGUUUGUACGGAUGCUCGGCCCCGACGUCAUCGACGCCAUGCGCGUGCGGACUCGAAACUACCACUACGCCACCGCGCAGGACCGCGCAAAGGCGCCGAGCACGCUCCCCAGGCGCUUAAACGCGACCCGCCAGACGACGAGCCCGGGAAUUGGAACGGGCGCGGCGGCGAGGGUCGGGUGCGACGGCGCCGGCGGCGGGAUGCUCGCGGCUCGCGCUCAACUUCGACGCGCGAACCACUCCGCGCACGUCGCCCACGACACCUCCGGAUCGACCGGGGGGUUCGGCGCGUCGUCGUACCUCAGGCGGUACGUCGAGCGUCGGUCCUCCGCCGCUCAAGGUGGCGAGACGCGCGCGGUUCGAUGGAGGGACGGCAGGGGUCGCGCCACCGUGCGCCGGCGGGAUCUCUCCUUCCACAAGGAGCUCGGCGUGGGCAUGUCCGGCGAGGUCUACCUGGCUCUCGCGACGAACCUGGGCAACGCGCACUGCUGCGUCAAGGUGAUGUCCAAGCGUAAGCUGCUCCGUCUGGACCAGGCGGAGAACAUCAUGCGCGAGAGGACGCUCAUGCGAUCGUUCGGCGAUUCCCCGUUCGUGAUGCAGUCGUUGUGCUCGUUUCAGGAUUCCGCUCACCUCUACCUCGUGAUGGACUUCAUGCCCGGCGGCGACUUGUUCCAGCUCCUCGUCAACGGCACCGAGAAGGGCGUAUUCGCCCCUCCCGCCGCGGUGUUCUACGCCUCCGAGGUUCUCCUCGCCCUCGAGUACCUCCACGGGCGGGGGUACGUGUAUCGCGACCUCAAGCCCGAGAACAUCCUCAUCGACGGCGAAGGCCACCUCAAGCUCGCCGACCUCGGGUUCUGCAAGCCCCUGCGACCGGGCGAACGGACGUACACCACGUGUGGCACGAGCGACUACAUGGCGCCGGAGGUGAUGCUGUCGCAGGGGUACGACCGGUCCGCGGAUUACUGGGCGUUUGGCGUCUUGGUCUUCGAGAUGCUGGCGGGGUACGCGCCGUUCCAGGCCAAGUCGGAUUCGCAGCGCCACCGCAGGAUCCUCACCGCGGACCUGCGGUUCAAGGACGGGUUCCAGCUCCGCGCCAAGGACCUGGUGAGCAAGCUGUGCGUCGUGGACACCAGCAGGAGGCUCGGCAUGCUCUCCGGCGGCGUCGACGACAUCAAGCGCCACGCGUUUUUUCACGAGCGGGGCAAGACGGAUUGGGCGGCGAGGGCGCGGCGCGAGGCGACGCCGCCGCUCAUGCCGGUGAUCCGUCGCGCGGAGGAGAUGACGCGGGGAGAGGCGCUCAAGUCGGUGGCGCGGGCGACCGCGGCGGAGGCGCCGUCACCCGCAUCGGACAGGGUGUUCAGCGAGUACUACUAGCGGAACCGUUUUCAAUCCAUCCCAUCUGCGUGAAAUCCGCCCUGCGUCAGGUCGAACGAGCGAGCGCCGGGUUUACUGAAAGUGCCCUCCCAGGUUACCGGGGCCUCGGCCUCGGUCACUCUCCGCGGAGCGUCGGCGCAAGCUCGGCCGGGUUUUAGGGUUGGACGCGCGCGGACGAAGAGGAUGGGCAUCGGCGACGACGGGCGGGAUGCCGCGGGCGGGGUGGCGCGCGACGAGAUCGUUCGGGAGUUGGUUCGGGAGCCGAAGGGAUCGGACGGGAGGUCCGAGAAGGGCGAGGUCGGCGAGCGGGGCGACCCUCGGGCGAUCGACGAGCUCAGGCGAUACGUGUGCCGCGUGCUCGGCGUCGAUCCCAAGGUGGAGGGCGAAUCCGUCGUGCCGUUCAACGGCGUCGGAUCGUCCGCCACGCGCGUGGACUGGGCGCGCGUCGGCGCCAUCUGUCGCUCCUGGAGGGACGGCGAAGCGAGCGAGGACGACGGCGACGGCGCGAACGAGGCGAACGAAGCGAACGAAGCGAACGAAGCGAACGGAGCGGACGGGGCGGACGAAGCGGACGAAGCGGACGGAGCGGACGCCGACGAUCCGAAGCUCACCGCGGCGCAGGAGCGCGACCUCGCGAUCGGUCGCAUCGGACCCCGCGUCGUCGCCGUCGAACGCGCAUCCGCCUCGGGGGACAUGCACCUCGGCGACGGCCCGCACGGCCCAAACACCUCCGUCUCCUCCCGCUCCAACUUUUGCAGCUUUCGCGCCAACGCCUGCGUCUUCGGCGGCAGGUGGCAGUACGAGGUCACCAUACGCACCGCGGGCAUAAUGCAGAUCGGCUGGGCCACCGUGCGAUGCCCGUUCACGCAGGAGCACGGCGUGGGCGACGCGCAGGACUCGUACGCUUUCGACGGGCACAGGGUUCGCAAGUGGAACGUGGCGUGCCAGCCUUACGGCCAACCGUGGGUCCCCGGCGACGUCAUCACGUGCUGCAUCGACCUCAAUUCGGACGAGGACGGCGGUGGCACGGUGAGCUACCUUCGGAACGGCGCGUCCAUGGGGGUGGCGUUCCGGAACGUUCGACGGUCGCAACCCGGCCUCGCGUACUUCCCAGCCGUGUCCCUCAGCGUCAACGAGGCGAUGGACCUCAACUUCGGGAGCUCGCCCAUGCGGUACCCGCGCGAGGGCCACGCGCCGCUCACCGCCGCCGCCGACGUCGCGCCGGCGUGGCGCAAAUCCGUCGAGGCGUUUGCGCGGCUCUGCGCUUUCGGCGGCGUCGACGACCCGGCUCCGUCGAACGUGACCUACCGCUGCGAGGCGUCGGGGACGAUGUAUCGGCAGAGCGGGACGCCCGCGCUGCUGACGUGGGACGACGAGGCGAUGCUCGCGUGCGCCACGCUGCAGGCGGCGGGUCCCGCGGAGGGCAUCGACGAGGACGACGCCGUUCGCGCGCGGCGGCGCCUGAUCCGCGACCGGCGACGCGGGUUGAUACGAACGGUCACUCGCGCGGGGGAACGAAGGCGCGUCGACGAGUUCGAGCGCACGAUGCGUUUGCUGCGCGUCGGUUUGUACGACGGCCGCUUCCGGGUCGAAUUGAAUGAAAUGGGUCCGGAGUCUGGGGACGAGUUCGACUACGCAAACUUUUCCAACUCGGAGUACGCCCUGUUCGUCGGCGAGCUGACCCGCGCGCUCGCCGAGGAGGUCCGCUCGACCCCGUUCCUCGAGGAUCCCGAGUCUAUUCAGGGGACGUCGUCGAUCGAGCCGGGGGCGAGCGAGAAGACGUCCGGUUUGCCGUCGCAUUCGCCGCUGGCGUUUGCCGUGGCAAUCGCUUGCGAUAGAUACGCUCGAAGAGCUUGGAUGUCCCACGCCAAGUGGCACGCGGAGCUCGAGGAUUUGCUGACGUUGAAGUCACCGAGCCCUCGAGACCUCGAGGCGAUGCUCCCCGCGUCGUCGGUGUGGUGGCCGGGCGCCGCCGCGUCCGAGGCGGUGUUCAGGGCGGCUGACGGCGGUCGACACGCGGGCGGGCGGGAAUCUGAGCAGAGAUGCAAGGCGGCGGGUUUGAAACUCAGCGCGGCGAUGUCGAGAUCGUGUGCGCUUCACUGCGGGCUCGUCGACGCCGUCUGGAAUCACGGCGGCAAAGCGUGGCAAGACCGAAGUGGCGAGUGCGUGAUAAUGCAAUUUGGUCCCGGAGGACCCUUUGGCGCCCACGGGACCAUAUGGCUCGCCGCGCUGCUCAAGAAGAACGUACCCGGGCAGCACGGUCGGGCGAGGCGAACGGAUCCGAGCGUGAUGGGCGCCCUCUACUUCGCGAUGCUCGCGCUCAUCCGACCCGAACUGGAGAACCCAACGUGGAAACCGUUCUUUGACGGGCUGGGCAAGUGGCACCCACUUGGAUAUUACAACAGCUUCGCACACCAGUUCGAUCUUCCCCUCUUUGGAGGCGGCGUCUCGCACGUUCGGAAGGAGUACCCGGAGGAUCAUUUGGCGCCCGCGCUGGAAAUCGACGCGAGCGCGCUUCGACCCACCGCCGCGAUGAAACUCGUGAACGACGUCCCGGAUUUUUCUGAGGCGGGUUUGCCCCCGCUGACAUGGCACCAGAAGCACGCCAACGCGUGGCACUUCGACUCUAUCCAGUUCAUGUACCACCUCGCCGUCGGCGCCCAGUACAGGAGCGCCGCGGGUCAGCUGCAGACCCAGAUCCAGGCCGCGAAACAUCUCGAGGAGUACUGCGAGAACCUCCCCAAGGUGGAGGCUGCGCAUCAGCGGCACAACGCGCAGACCAAAAUCAUGACCCAGCUCCAGUCAAUCUCAAACGAGUCCGCGGCGUAUCCCCCCGGCGAAAACGCGAGCGAGGCGUUCAUCCAGCGCCUCCGCGCCGCGCUGACCGAGGCGCGUCAGCUGGCGAGCCAGGGCCUGGUGUCGGACGAGGUCGCGGGCGCCAUCGCGGUCGCGACGCGGGACCUCCAGGAGCGCUACGACGUGGCGUUGGUCGACGAGGGCGCGGAAUUUACCGCGGCGGCUGACGAGGCUCGCGAGAGCGCGAGCGUUUUCAUUGGCGAGUUGAAAGAGGAGAUCGUCAAGCUUCGGGACGAGGUCGUCGAGAGCUCGCGGGUGUGCUGGUGGCACAGGGCGACGCUGCACCGCCCGGAGCAGCAGGCUGGAAUGUUCGCGGCGGCGGCGUACCAGGCUCGGGUGAUCCUCGCGGCGAUGGAGCGGGGCGGGGAGCCGCGCAAGCUGCCGUCAGACACCGACGACGAGGACGGGGACGGGGACGACGGCGGUAGCGUUUCGUCCGCAGGAGACUCCAGCGACGAUGAGGAUGACGACGAUGAGGAGGAGGAAGAUGCGGAGGCGGCUGGCGGAGACGGGAGCGAGUUGGAGGGCUCGGUCGAGCGAGAAAACGUCGACACCGACGACGACGAGAAUGACGACGAGAAUGACGACGAGAAUGACGGCGACGACACCGCGGGCAGCUGCUCCAUCCCCGGCGUCGCCACCAAGAAGGGUGCGCUCCUCCAGCACGUCCCCGCGUACCACCUCGAGGUUCUCAUCGACUCGUUCCACGCGCUUCGUCGCGGUGACCCGCCGUACGCGCCCGUCGCCCCGGCUCGAGCCGCCGCCAGCCCGGGGCUGCACGGCGUGGUCAAGCUCCUCGUGCGACACUUCGCGGAUGAGCGCGUCGUGAACCCGGACGUCCGCGACAUGAUGCUGCAGUCGGUGUCCGUGCUGCUGCAGUACAAGGAGUACGUCGCCGUGUUCGAGGCGAACGAGGAGGCGCGCGCGGAGAUGGUGCCCUCGCUGCUCCGAUCGUUCGACAGCAGGUUCUGGAUCCCGGUGUCCAACAUACUUCUCCGACUGUGCAAGGGUGUCGGGUUCGGGCAGUACGACAACAAGGCGAUCAAGGUCCUCGCUGCGAUCAAGGCGAUCAAGAAGGAUAGCGCCGACCGUUACCGGGAGACCGGGAACGUCGCGGUCGUCGCGAACAGUCAACGCGGCGAGGAUGAUCACGCGGCGUCUCCCGACGCGGCGCUCGCGGAGGCCAUCGCAAACUCCGUGGACAGCUCCAGCCCUCUCUUCCAGGCGCUCAUCGUGGAAACCUUCAAGAGCGAUCCAAAGCUUCUGGAAAAGUUCCUCGACCGCGUGUUCAACACUCUCAACUGGACGAUCACCGAAUUCGGCGUCGCGCUGAAGGAGAUGCUCGACAUGCGCCAGCGCGCGGCGGCGGCUCGAAACCUGCAGCGAAAGUGCACGGUCAUGCUGGAACUCAGCGUGACCCUCGAACGCGUGCUCGAGUUUCUCACGCUCGAGCUCCCCGUCGCGUUUCUGGACAGCUCAGCGUCCAUGCGCAUGAAGCGGCUCGUGGAGAUUUUGCUCUUCGUCCUCGGGCACACGUGCGGAGCGGGCUCCGACGCCAAGCUGUUUGAACAGGCGCUCAGCAUGAAACUCCCGGUUUUCGUCGCCGACAAGAUCUCUCGCGCGCCCGUCCUGGCGCCCAUCGCGGGGAUAAUCCUGAACCUCGAGGUGGCGGCCGCGGCGUGGGUGGAGGGGCGGGGCGAGGAGUUCGGCGUGAACGAAGUGUCGGACACCGUCGCCGACGAGCUCGCGGCGGGCGCCGGCGAAAAUAACAUCUCGCAGCUGGAGUACAUAUGCGCCUUCGACUGGGAGGAACACUUUGGCGCGUUCACCGGCCGCGAAGAGGCGAUCGCGGAGCUCAGGGACGUGGUGCGCAGGGUCCGCGACACCCGCGAGGACAUAGAGCGGCGGCGCAAGGCUGAGGACGAGGUCGACGUCCCCGAGGAUUUCGUCGAUCCGAUUAUGCAGAGCGUCAUGACGGACCCGGUGACGCUGCCCGGGAGCGGCGUCGUCGUGGACAGGGAGACGAUCAGGCGGCACCUGCUCACCGGGGACGGCACCGACCCGUUCAGCCGGACACCGCUCGACGAGUCGAUGCUUCGAGACGCGACGGAUCUCAGGAAGAGGAUCGACGAGUGGCGCAGCGGCCUGCACAAGAACGUGGAAACCGCCCUGGAGGACAUCGACUGAGGACGCGUCUUGAUGUUCAGGAUGCCACCUAUGUUAUAAAAAGUGACCGAUCGACAAAGAUAAUAAAACGCCAAAACGCGGCGCGUACGUCGUUCAAUCCGGCGUCCUCGCUACGCGGAUCGUCAUCGCCGCCUCCGGAUCCGCCGCCGCCAUCUCCUCCGCUACGGAUGCGUACACCUUUGCCGUUCGCAGCUGAUCGUCGUUGGCGACGAUUACGAUCUUGCUCCAGCCCCUCUUCUUCGCCUCCUCGAACGAGAAUAUCGCGCUCUCCCGCGUGUUCAUGCUCGCCUCCUCGAGCACCCACGUGAACUUCUUCCCGACGCACGUGUGCCGCCUCGCGCGGUGCUCGCAACCGCCCGAGUUGCCCGUGAGCUCUCGGAUGCGCCUGUGCUCGCCCCGGCCAUCCUUGGACGCGCCCUCCGGCGGGCCCGGGUAGACGUAUCCGAACCCCGGGAGCGGGCACUUGGGGUACGAGUCGUGGACGUACUCCGUCUUGGUGUAGUUGGCGAUGAGCUUCUCGGCGAAGUGGCGCAUCGUCUCCGCGGGGGAGACGUUCUCCCACGAGUAGUCCACGGGAGCGCCGGUUAAGAUGAGGUUCUUCGCGCUCUUCGCGCAGAAGAGCUGCGCGCCGAGCAGCGUUCGCGACUCGAGAGCGGGCGUGGACGGGAACUUAUUGUCUACGCCGUAGCCGAUGACGAGCGCCGCGUCGUAAGGACCGUCGUCCUUCGCGACGGCGACGACGCCGCCCGACGCGUCGAAGGCUUCGAUGGCCGGUAUUCUCGAUCCCUCGAUCGUCAUCGCGCGGCGCGCAUUGCCGGACGCGGAUGAGGAGGACGCGACGUCGUUCAGAAGACCAGGAGGCGCGAACUUGACGGCGAUCGCGAUGAGCACCGCGACAGCGGCGACGAUGUACGCGAGGCCGGCUUUACCGCCGGCCUCGGGCUGCUUCUUCGAGCGGCGACUCGCCAUCUUCUGAAGCGACGCAGAAACCACGUGGCAGAGGAGAGGCAGUGCUAAAAGCCUUACCCUCGAUCAUAUUUCUCGGUAAAUAGGGAUAAAGUGCAGGUGUAAUCGUAUGAAGAUACAGUGAUAAAGCAUGUCUAAUUCGAUAAACUUUUAGAAAAGUCGAUCUCAUUUUGAACUGAGAAGACCUUGGCACCCCCAAGACGCCACGAGGCGCUUACACAUCACCGCGCGAAGUCGAACGCUCAGUUCGCACCUCGCCCGACGUCGCCUCCAUAUUAGAAGGAGCGGCUCGAUUCUUCCUAGGUAGUCAGAAGCAGACGCGACAGAGAUGUACGGCGGAUACGACGGCAGCGCGACUCAGUUCGCGGGGGAUGGCUUCAUGCCCACCCCGACUGGCGCCACCGGCGCGGCGACCGGCGCGGCCGGCGGGGUGAGUCCUACUUCCCACUCGCCCACGUCGUAUCAUCACCCCGUAUCUCGAUACGACCACGACGCGAGAUAAACCCUCGCGGGUCGGCCCCGACGUGGAAUCGCGCGGCGGCCUCGCACCUGGGCACCCCGGUUCAAAAUCUCGCCUCGCGCUCGCCUCUCACCCUGCACUUCCCCUCGCCUCUCUCCUUUCGCAGCGCGGCCAGGGUCGCCCCGACUCGCUCGUCCCGGUGACGGUCAAGAUGCUCCAGACCGCGAUCGCGGCGUCCAACGUGGUGCGUUCGCGGACCGAUGUCGCCCCCGCGUCCCAACGCGCGCACCUCUCCGUCCCAGAUCCGGCUCGAUUUCAAACCCGCCCAGCUGUGGUUUUGAACCCGCGCGCACGCAAACACUGACGAUUUUUUCGCCCAUCUCGCUCGGCUCGCGACUGCGCGCAGGACGACGGCCUUCGCGUCAACGGCGAGGAGGUCCACAACAUCACCCUCCUCGGUAAGAUCAUCGAGGCGAGCGACACCGCCACCAACCAGGUGUACACCCUCGACGACGGCACGGGCACCGUCAUCGUCAAGCAGUGGGUCGACGCGGAUGACGCAGACGCGUCGUCCAGAAAGGAUGAGCUCGUCGUGGGCAAGUACGCUCGCGUCUACGGGCACGUCAAGCAGUUCGGCAGCGACACCUCCGUCGUCGCGUUCAGCGUCCGUCCCGUCCAGGACCACAACGAGGUCACCUACCACUUCCUCGAGGCUGUCUACUGCAACUCGCACAACGCGCAGCGAGCGGAUGCCAAGCCGGCGGCUGGCACCGCGUACGCCGCGCCCUCCUCGGCGCCCGCGUCCGCGCCCGCCGUCGACCCCGGCGGAAGCUGCGUGGACCAGGCCAAGGCGAUCUUCGAGGGUCCCGACGGGCGCCGCGACGAGGGCGUGAAGAUCGACGUCGUCGUGCAGCAGCUCAACGGGCGGUUCACCGAGGCACAGGUGCGCGAAGCCGUGGAGCACCUGGUCAACGAGGGCCACCUGUACUCCACCAUCGACGACGAUCACUUCAAGUCCACCAACCUCUAGACGGAGCGGUAGUCAAGCAGGGACGGCGAACGAACGGGGGGCUGACUUGUCUUCUAAAACCUAGCUUCUUGAAUUGCAAGUGAUGGGAUGUUGAAUGCGUUCUCGCGUCACCCUCUACGAUUUAACCAGGCCUGCCCAGUCCGCCUGCUCCUUGUACGUCUUGGUCAUUUCCGUUGUCCACGCAUUGUCCGUGAUUUCGGCGACGGUUGCCGGCAACAAAUUAUUUGGCCGGUCGCCUCCCUCCCGCUCCUUCCUGACCAUGUCGCUGAUAUCGCUGAGAGUCUUCGCCCGGACCAUGGACUUUGCCUCCCGCCUGGCCAACCGAAGCUGCGUCCGGAGGUAUUCCUCCUCCCGCCGCAGCUCCUCCACCUCGCGCCUGAGCGCCUCGUUCUCCACACCUAGAUCCACGGGGAGCCACUCGUGCCUCACGUACUUCACGAACCCGCCCGCCGCGCCGGCGACGCCCUGGGUCGUUGCCGGGUUCUUCGACACCGCGGCGGCGACCCGGACGGGAUUAACAUCGUCGGCGGGUGCAGGUCGGACGCAGCCCGCGUCGAAGCCGUACGCGUCAUCCUCCUCGCACCCGAACGCCUCGUCGGGUUCGUCGAAGUAGUCGCUGCCAAGAGGGGCGACGGCGUGAAGCGACGGCGUUUCCUUUCCCAAGUCGAAAGACCCGGACUCGGACGCGGGGUCCAGGUCGAAAGACCCGGAUUUAGACGAGGGAUCCGCGCCGAAAGGCCCAGACGUGGGCCCGGCGAGGCAGACGGAGCCCGCGUGCGAGCGUUUCGCCUGGCGGGACUGGCGCAGUGCCGUGACGUGGCAAACCACCGGCCCGUCGACGCACGCGCACAUCUUGAAGCACUGUUUCGGGGAGCGGAGAGGGCGAAAGGGGGCUGGGUGAGUGCCAGUUUUUUUUUCUCGGCGGGGGCGGGGAGGAAUUGGCAGACCGGGGGAUUUUUUUCGACGCGUCACCCAAUGAAAACAGCCCUCUCUUAGAAGGCAUCUCUUUUGGAUCGGCUGGUGGGGCGCGCCCGUUCCCGGACGGGAGCCACGGCGGAUUCGAGCGGAGAUGUGACUCACCCUAAGACAAUUGCUGUAAUCUCUGAAACCCACGUCGCCGCGCCUGUUGCCGCAGUCGUAGGUGUGGAACCUGGCGCCGCAAGUCCCGCACACCUUGGCGAAAUCGGGGUUUCGUUUCAGCAUGCCCCCACAGCAGUGGCACGAGCCCUUCGCCGCCUUCCUACCCUGGACAUCCUCCUUGCUGUCCUCCUCAUCCUUGGCGGCGCGUUUCUUGGGCCGGAGGCUCAUAUCGUGUCCCGCGGAGCACUUCUCUGCGGGGGACUCGGAUGCCGACAUGGACCCGUGGGCGGCGAUUCCGUGGGCGGCGUCUUUCUGAUGAGCGUGCCACGACCUUUCGGGAGCGUGCCACGACCUAACUUGAACAACCGAUGGCACGUGAUUUUGCACUCCCCUUUUUUUUAGGGUGAAAAAAAUCGGGCCCCAAAAAAUAAUUUCUAGAUUUUCAACCAUGCGGACUUCGGCUAUCAUAACACUUAAUCAAAAACACAACACUUCGGGGCGCGCGUUCGGCAGUUUGGUCCAAAAUCGGCUCUUCGGCGGUGUGAAAACAGUGGUGAAAACAUGUUUGCGGUGAAAGUUGGGGCGGAAUCGCUGGCGAGACCUUCAGCUUUGGGCGCUUCUGGGACGUCUGAUAGAGCUACUGGAUGAACGCAUCCUACGGAGACAUUACAGUUUCUCGCACUCGAGCACUGGUUCACGUUCGAUCCGAUUGACGGUUGGAUUCCACGUCGUCCUACUCCUUCGUCCGCGUGAGCGUCGCAAGCGUCGGCGGCUUCGGCGCGCCCAUCGCGGGCAGCGGCGGUAGGUCGAGCAAACCCCGCACUCGCAUCGACCGCGCGCUCGCCCCAAACUCAACCUCCUCCCCCGCCGCGCGGCCGCCCCCGCCGCCCCCGCCCCCGCCCGCCGUUCCCUCUCCCUCCUCCUCGUCCCCUCCGUACGCGCCCCGCAUCGCCUCCACCUCCGUCCUCCAGUCCCCCACCCUCGGCAGCGGCGGCGGCGGCGAGCGUCGCGACGAAACGUCCGGCAGCGACGUCCUAGACCCGCGGCGCGAGUGCCGCCCCCUCCCGCUCGCUCCCCGCGCCGUCCACGCCCCGGGAGGAGACCCCGAGUCCGACGGAAGCCGAGCCCUGUCCAUUUUGUCGUCGUCGUUCAAAUCGUCGUCGUCGCAUCUCUCGUCGCGCUCCCCGCGGUGGCUCGAGCUGUUGUCGGAGGAGCCACUCGUGACGAAACCCCCCCCGGCGGCUUUUGAGUGCGCCGCGUCGCUCGGACCGGUCGAGCUCGCGGGCCCGCUCGUCGGCGCCCCGUGCUCGCUCCCGCCGUCAAAACCGCCGAACCGAGAGUCGUCCUCGUCAAACUCGUCGGACCAGUAGCCCUCGUAGCGCAACGCGGGUACCUCCACGUCCACCUGAGCGUUGACGACGAAGGGGUGGAGCAGGAGCGCCUCGCUGUCGGGGCGAGCGUCCGGGUCGCGCUGCAGGCACAUGAGCACAAACUCGGACGCCGCGGGCGAGAGCUGCUCGGGGACGCGCGGGAGCUCCUUCGUGCUCGCAAUCUUGAAUAUCGCCUGUACCUGCCCGCUGCAGUCGCCCCACGGGUGCUCGCCGCUGGCCAUCUCGAUCACGGUGCAUCCCACGCUCCACACGUCCGCCGCCGGAUGGUUACCGCUGCCCUUCUGCCGGAUAACCUCGGGCGCCAUCCAGUACGCGGAUCCCUUGAACGACCCCCCGUCUGCCAUCUGCUCGACGAGAGAUUUGGCCAUCCCAAAAUCCGCGAGCUUGAUCCUGCCGCUCUUCUCCACCAGGAUGUUCCCGCCCUUGAUGUCCCUGUGCACGCACCGCUGCGAGUGCAGGUAAUCCAGCCCGAUCAAAAUUUGCCGCGUGUACACCGAGAUGACGCUCUCCUCGAACGCGCCGAACCGCGACAGUAAACUCGCGAUGGACCCGCCGGGAACGUACUCGAGGAAAAUGUACAGCGCCCUGGACUCCCUCGAUAUCCCAACGUAUCGCACGAUGUUCGGGUGCUGAAGCCUAGACAGGAGUUCCACCUCCUGCUCGAGCUGCUCCACCGCCUCUGUCGCGGACGCGUCGAUCCCUCCCUCCUCCGGUUGUGGGUUUAGGCCUAAACCCCCUCCAGUAUCGCCGGUUCUCCUCGUCAUCGCCACCUCCUUGACGGCGAAGAGCUCGCCCGUCUCGCCGUUCAGGCCGAGGUAGACGGUGCCGAACGACCCGCUCCCGAGGCAGUCGCCCUUGGUCCACCGCCGGGGUUUCAUGGGCGCGGGCGCGAGGUAAAAGCCCGUGCGAACCGUGUCUGUACGAUCGUCGGAGUGGCCCGAGCUCGUCGUGUCCGCGCCGACGCUGCCGCGGCUUCCCAAGCGCCUGUGCCGCGGCCUGGACCCCAACCCGCCAGCUGUGUUGGACCCCCACCCGCCGCCAGCUGUGCCGUCGCCGUCGCCGCCGUGCGUGCCGCCGCCGCCGCCGUUCGAGAUCCGCGCGUGCUCGCCGAGGUUAGAGAGGCCGAGCGGACGGACGAACUCGUCGCCGCCGCGCACCGAUCCCCCGGGCGACGGGGAUGAUCGGCCAAACGACGGAGGGCCCGACGAGGGGCCCCUGGGCGAGCGCGCGUGCGGGUCAUCGCGGAAGCCCUGGUGCCCUCGGGCGGCGUCGAAUCCCGGCGAGCGGGGGGGCACGACGGGGAUGCCGUCGUCCCUGCCCCCGAACGCCUCGCGGGAGCGCGUGCGCCUGUGCCCGGGCCUGUGCGCGCCGGGGUUGGACGCGCGAGGCGAUCCCGGGAUUUGGGGCGACGCGCCCGCCUCGAGCGCGGCGGGUCGGCUGGAGGGUCCGGGGGGCGUCGCGGCUUGGUCGACGUCUGCGGGAUCGCGCGGUGCGGGCGAGCCGGUCCUGGAUUUGGACUUCAGCGACACGCCGGUGAGCCUCCUGAACCAGCCCAUCCCGCGAACCGCGCUCCUGACUCAAUUACUCUCGGACGAGCCCGGGUCAGCGGGCGCCGGUGGGUGCCGGUGGGUGACGCUCCCUCUCGCGAUGCUGACGCGCGGCGUUCGUCGCGCGCUAAUGAUGCGUCAUCGUUCAACGGCCUGCCCGGGCUUCGAGUCCGCGGGUCGGGGGCGCCGGGUCGUUUUGACGAGGAGCGGCGAGAACUUGCGCUUGAACGAGGACUCCAGACGGGUGUGUUGCACGGGAAAACGAGCUGCUGACGAAUAAUGAGUGACACGAGCCCCGCGCCCCUCACAUCAGGGCGCGCGACGUGGGCAGAUCGCGACGCGGGUCGGGGGCGUGAUAUACAGGUGGGUUCGAUGGGAGAUCAAAGCCGGGCAUCGGAGCCCGCCGCGCGAUCGGACGCGCGCGACUCGGCGAAGACGAACGGUUCAGAAGCGAGCUUCGAAGACAACGCAACUCGCCACGUGACUCGGAGGGGCGCCCGUCGAUGCCUCCUGACCGCCAGCCUCGUCGCUUGCCUCGUCGCGCUCCUCAUCGUACCUGUUCCGGUCAUCGCCGCGUCGUCGCCCAAGACCCGGCGCUGGGCGGAUCCCAACGAGGUCAAGGCGGGCGAGGCGAGCGAGACCCAGCGCGAGGAGAUCCGAUCCUUCUUCAGCUCGCUCGACGCUGACGGCGACGGCCAGGUCCGCGGCGACGAGCUCGGCGCGUACGUGGCGUCCAGCGUCGGCGGAAAGGACUUCGACACCGACGUCGAGGUCGCGGACGCCGUGCGCGCGGUGCAAGAGCGCAUCGACGGGCAGGACACCGGCGACGCCAUCGACGCCGAGGAGCUCAUGGUGUCGCUGACCAGCACCAAGAACCAGAUGCUGCGACCGCACAAAGUCGCGCGGUGGGUCCGUCACGGCCUCAACUUUCCCCAGUACGCCGAGCGCUUCAUGUCGCACGGCAUCACGCUGCUGGACUUUCCCGCCCUCCUGGCCGACGACGGCGCCGCGCUGAGAGAGGAACUGGGCGUCGAGAGCGCGCUGCACCGAGCCCAGCUCACCCGCGCGCUGAAGCGGCAGCUCCUGCAGCUCGGUCGAUCGCCCGGCGAACCCACGGACGUCCGAGCCGCCGUCGUCGCCGAGGACGUCGUCGUCGUCAAGUGGAGGCCGCCCCGACAGCACGGCCACCCGCCGGUUCACGCGUACGCGGUGCAGGUGAGGGAACCGGGUUCUCACGAGUGGCGCGUAUGCGGCGGGGCGACGCACGAGGACGAGGACGACGAGGUACACAGCGCCAAGGCGUUCGUGACGCCGACGAGGGAGAUGGCGGCGGCUGCCUUGGCGGCCGGGGUCGGAAACGGUCGGAACGUGCCGCUGAGGUUCAGGGUUGUCGCGUGGGGAGGGCACGGCGGGGGAGUGAGCGAUGAAUCCGCGUCGGUGGAGAUGAAACCGCUGCGAAGAUCGUACAAGAGGGAAGGAGUUCGCGCGGGUGGAGGCCAGGUGGAGAGCGACUCGAUCACCGCCGGGAACACCGUCGUCACGGGUUCGAACCCGCGGGUUCGAACCGCCACGGGUUCGAACCGCUCCACCUUGCUCGGAAGUUUGUACAGCGCCCUCGGAACUUUCCUCAUCGCCGCGGGUAUCGCCACCAGGUUCGCUCUCAACGGCGCAUCCUUUGUCGCGACGAGGGGGGUUCAGUUUUUGCUGAGGCGCCCAAAGUCGCACCGCGAGAACGCCGCCGCGGAUUCAGGAGCACGCGAGCCCCCGCCGCGCACGGAUGAGGCGACGGCCAACGGCGACGAGGACCGCGCGUCCCCGCCGCCGCCGGGUCUCGCGGGGCCUCAGCCCCGGUACGACCGCGCGAGGGUCCUGGAGUCGGCGAUGGCGGCGGCGGUGGCGGCGGGGGUGGCGGACGCGUCCGACGAGGCGAUCCUGUCCUCUCCGUCGGUAGCGGCGGUGAACGGGGCGGUGGUCGGGUCCAACUCGGCGAACGGUUCGUUUUACGCGAGCGACGACGACGACGACGACGACGACACAGCUGGCGACAUCGACGUCGCGCCCGUGGUCUGCGGGUUGUCGAGCGAGCCCAAGAAGAAGGGUCGGUGCUGCGUCGUGGGUUGUAACGCGAGGUGGGACCGGUGGAGCUCCAUGGGCGACUUCCGCAUGAUGUACCAGAAGCACUACUGCGGAUUGUGCCAGCGCGCGUACUGCCAGGCGCACACGCGGGUCAGCCCGCACGGGACGAAGGGAAGGUGCGACCCCGAGAGCAAGUGCUACUGCGCGGUGUGCUGGGACGAUUUGAACGCGGCGACGAGGGAGGCGCUCGAGGCGACGAACAGGCUGCCGAGGCGGGAGCCGACGAGCGGGAGCGCGACGCCGGACGCGAGGAAGCGGGCGAAGACGAGGUGGCGCUCGGUGCUGAACUACAAGCUUCGAACGCCGUCCAGGGCGGAGAACUUGAACCUCAUGGACGAGGAUGUCGAGUGACGGGAGUGAGAGGAGACGCAAAGGAACGACGCGAGGAGGGGGAGCGUUUGGACGACGCUUUUGGAUCGUCGUUCGAUUCGCGCGAGUGUUGGUCGACAUUCUCGUUAAGAUUCGGUGCGUUGUUUUUUAUGUAGUAUCCUCCUCUCGCAUCCUCCUUAGCUAAGACGAACCCCGCCCACUCGGGGGUUCCCUUCAUCACCCGUGUCUAUGUUUGCGAAACGGUGCAGUCGGCUGUUCCGUCAGCGGACCCCAACACUCGUGCCGUGUUCCCUCCUCUCAAGGGACCCGUCCUGUUUACCAACCUCACGCGGCGUCCACCGCCCGCGUUCCUCGCGUUUCCUCCUUCGCACCAACGCGAAUUAACUUUACGCGUCUCCGAGGUCCUCGUCCUCGUCGGGCAGCGGCUGCGCGGCGGCGUUGGCGAGCUCCGCCUCGUACUGCGCCUGCUCCGCGGGAUCGAUGGUGACCUCGGGCGGGGCGAGGGCUGGGGACUCCACGAACUGGAGGGUGGGGUCGCCCGCGAGCUUGCGCGCGAGGUAGAGGAAGGGCUUCUCGAAGUUGUAGUUGGACUUGGCGGAGAGCUCGUAGUACUGGAGGUUCUUCUUGCGGUGGAAGGUGAUCGUCUUGGCGCGCACCUGGCGGUUGCGCACGUCCACCUUGUUGCCGCAGAGGACGAUGGGGAUGUCCUCGCACACGCGGGUGAUAUCACGGUGCCACGUGGGCACGUUCUUGUAGGUGGUGCGGGAGGUCACGUCGAACAUGAUGAUGGCGCACUGGCCGUGGAUGUAGUAGCCAUCGCGGAGGCCGCCGAACUUCUCCUGGCCCGCGGUGUCCCAGCAGUCGAAGCGGAUGGGACCGCAGUUGGUGUGAAACUCGAGGGGGUGAACCGCCACGCCGACGGUGGCUGCGGAGAAGGGACGAAGGGGACGUGGGGAGAUGCGGGGGACGCUUCAGUCGAGUCGGUCGCGCCGGCGGCGGAUGUGAGUUUAAAAACGGGUUCGACGACGGGGUUGGAUCUCUCGUGAAACGUUGCACCCCGGGGGGCACGGCGGGUGACGGGAUGCUCAGCGCGCGCGGGGCACUCACGAAGGUACUUCUUCUCGAACUCGCCGGUCAAGUGACGCUUGACGAAGGUGGUCUUGCCUGAGGGAGUGAGGCGGGUGGAAGGUGGGCGGGUCAGGACGCGGAUCUCUAUGGCGCGCGGCGGCGUCGCGAGCUUUCGCCGAUCGUCGAUCUGGAGGGGGACGCGUCGGAACUCGGGAUCUGGCGGGACGGUCGGGACACUCACCGGUACCACCGUCACCGACGAGGAUGAGCUUGAAAGUGGGAGUCUGAGCCAUCUUUCUCCUUUCUGUUGGGAACGGGGAGGGCGCGGGUCAGCGCUCGGGGUCGGCGGCGUGGGGUCCUCGCGACGCGGGGAGAUCCCCCUUGAAAGGGGGCUGAAAAAAAGGCUCGCAGACGGCGACAGGGCGUGGACAAUCUCGACGAUGGGACCGCGAUCGCGUCCCGAACUCGAAGCGGAAUGGGCCGGUGUGUUCGUUGAGCUCACCUGUUCCUUAGCGAACCGUGCGCUGAGGCUUGUCUGAAGUGGACGGGUACCAGGGAUCGUGCCAGGACUUCAAAAAAGAUGCCUACUUGCACUUCGUCAGGUUUUUUUGGCGGCGUUCGCUUUGGUCGGUUGUGACGGUAUGAGGAAGCACCCUGCGCCAAAAGCAAUUGGGCCGAGCUCCGCAACGAACACCUGUGCGCGUGAACGCGAUCGGAGUCACGCCGAAAUUUGGAAUUUGCCAGAUAUUUUGGGAGUUCCGACUGUUUGCCUGUUCCAGACCAAACGGAACCAAUCGAGUCACUGUGAGCCAUCCACCGCAGCAACGCGCGAUGCCUCCGACGAAGCAGGAGCAGACAAUCGGCCAGCUCAGAUAGGGUGACCGAGCGCGUGCGUGUGUCAUUCGCCACGGUCGCACCGGACUUGCGCGCACGAAAGACACGCCCUCGAGCCUCAAAACUCGCGCGUGACUUCGUAACCGAGUCCUCCCGCGGCAGGUCGUGAGAGAUGAGCGCCUCCGUCGCGAGCGCGUGCCGCGCCGUCGCGGCGAACGUCGCCGCCGCAAGGAGCGCUCGGGGGAGGGCGAGCGUGCGACGCGGAGGAGACGCGGUUUGUGGCGCGCGCGCGACGCGCGUGAUCGCGCCGCGCGGGAAUGCGCGCGUCGGGGUGGUGAUGAACUCGAUGGAUGAGCUCGAUGCGGAAGGUGAGUCGCCUGAACGAUCGUUUGGACGCGGCGCGACGUCUUCGACCCACGCGCCGUUGCCCGCAUUCUCCCCAAAAAACAUUUUUUUCGUUGAGCUUCCUCGCCUUCGAAUUAUCGUGGGUCGACGGGGACACGCGACGCGUUACCGGCGCACGGCGCUGCCGUAUCGCGCGCGCACCGCGCCGCAUCGCGCGUCGUUCGAAUCCGAUCCAACGCCAUCGCGCAUCCCCCGCCUUAACUUCCACAUGCUCGGACCGCUGACCCGUCCCCCCGCUCCCGCACCCACGACAGCCGCUGCGGUCAUGGAGCAGAUCCGCCAGCUGCAGGAGGCGAACGACAAGCUCAAGCAGGACAUGGACCUCUUCGCGAUGCCCGAGGCGCUUCCCCAGCGCCCGGACUACGUCCCCGAGGCUGGAUCCCUGCAGGGGACCUCCGCACCCAAGAGCUCGUUCAGCGCGGACGUCCUCGGGAUGGAGAUGCCCUACCUCGGCGAGGGCGAAACGCGCGUCGGGUUCCAGCACUUUGACAAGGUUGAGAACGAGAGGGCCCGGAUGGAGGCGAUGCGGGUGGAGCAGGCCGCGAGGGUGACGGGCGUGACCCCGAGGCCGCCGCCAAAGUACGAGAAGACCGAGUGGCCCCUCUCCAUCGUCUUCGUCUCCUCGGAGGUGACGCCGUGGUCCAAGACUGGGGGCCUCGCCGACGUGUGCGGUUCGCUGCCGAGGGAACUCGUCAAGCGCGGCCACCGCGUGAUGGUCGUCUCGCCGUACUACCAACGGGGAACCAAGGAGGAUAAGUACUUCGAGGGUGCGUUCGACACGUGCUCCAACGCCUCGGUUGGGUGCUUCGGCGCCGCGCACGAGGUUGGGUUCAUGCACCAGAUUCACGACGGCGUCGACUUUGUAUUUGUGAAACACGACUGCUACGAGCGGCCGGGGGGUAUCUACGCGGACGCCAUGGGCAACGCGUGGGACGAUAACCAGUUCAGGUACACGCUGCUGUCGCACGCCGCGUGCGAGGCGCCGCUCAAGAUCAAUUUCGAGGGUAAGGGAACGUACGGCGACGAGGUUGUGUUUGUCGCCAACGACUGGCACGCGGGUCUCGUGCCGCUCGUGGUGGCGUCCAAGUACCGCCAGUACUGGAACACCUACCACAACGCGCGGACCAUCACCGUCAUCCACAACAUCCUGCACCAGGGCAGCGAACCCGCCACGACGUUCCCUAACCUCGGAAUCCCCGACGACUGGUACUGGUGCCUCGAGUACCAGUACCCCGAGCACAUGCGCGCGCACGAGCUCGACCUCGGGCUGGUGGUGAACAUCCUCAAGGGCGCCGUGGCCACCUCGGACCGCGUGCUGACCGUCUCCGAGGGAUACGCCGAGGAGAUUUGCACCCCGCUGGGAGGCAAGGGCCUGGAGGGGAUCCUCACCGAGCGUAAGCACAGGCUGGACGGCGUGGUGAACGGCAUCGACCUGGACGAGUGGAACCCGGCGAAUGAUCCGCACUGCGAGUUCCCUUACGACGUGAGCAACCUCGCGGGGAAGCUCAUGAACAAGCGGGCGCUGCAGCGGGAGCUCGGGUUCGACGUCCGCGACGACGUACCUCUCCUGGGUUUCAUCGGUCGCCUGGACUGGCAGAAGGGACCCGACCUGAUCCGCGACUCGAUCGCCGAGAUGAUGAACGAGGACGUUCAGCUGGUGAUGCUCGGCUCGGGCAUCGGCGAGCUCGAGGGAUUCAUGCAGUGGGCGGAGGCGACGUACAACGACAAGUUCCGCGGGUGGGUCGGAUUCAACGUCCCCGUCGCGCACCGCAUCACCGCCGGCUGCGACAUCCUCUUGAUGCCCUCCAGGUUCGAGCCGUGCGGCCUGAACCAGCUCUACGCCAUGAGGUACGGCACCCUGCCGAUCGCGCAUGCCACCGGCGGCUUGAACGACACCAUCACCAGGCACAACCCGUUCGCGCUGGACGAUCCGGAGGUGGCGGUGGCGGCGGCGAUCGCGUCCGACGAGGGAGAGGACGGGAACAGGGAGAUGGCGGACCUGGGUCCGGGCACCGGCUGGCUCUUUGACUCAAUGGACACUUGGAGUUUCAUGUACUGCGUGUCAAACGCGUGCAAGCUGUUCCGGGAGAACCCGAGGAUGUGGCGCGCGAUGCAGAUCCAGGCGAUGUCCCAGGACCUCUCCUGGUAUCACGCGGCGCUCAAGUGGGAGAAGAUCUUCGAGUGGUCGAAGAUCGACCCGCCGCACUGCGAGAUCAAGCAGGAGCACCACCACCACUACUGAUUCGAUUGGGCGCGCGAAGCAAGGCUGCCCCGUUUUGUACCUUCUACUUUUCGUGAGCGGGAUUCGGCAUAAACGACUUUAUCUCGUUUGAGCAGAUUGCAUUUUAAUACACCAUACCACACGUUGAUUCACGCGGGCUGAUUGAUUCGCGUAAACGACGACGACGCGUCGCGCCGAUGUUCUUGCCGGGCGCGACGUUGGCUCACAUCAUGCUCCGCGGGGGUUCCAUGUUUGCACUCGGGUGCUCCUCGGACACGAUGCUCUGAAUGUCCGUCCCUCCCGGCCCCGGCGGCGACAUCGCAAACUCCGCUUGCCUCCCGUACACGAUCUCCGCCACCCGCACCAGCAUCACCGCGGUCAGCCCCCACACGUCGUGCCCGCCGCGUUCGAACCUGUGCACGCGUAUGCGCUUCCCCCGCGUGAACUCCCAGUCGCGAAACGAGUACCCCUCUUUGGUCAGGAAGGACUCCAGCGGCACCCGGAAGCACCGGUCCACCUCUUCGGGGUUCGGGACGGGUUCGAAAUCGUCCGGGAUCGCCGCGACGACCGGCCGGACGCUGACGUGGCCCUUCGACAGGAACGGCGGGAGCGACGCGAGGACGUUCGCGUCCCCCGGGCUCAAACCGACCUCCUCCGACGCCUCCCUCAGCGCCGCGUCGACGUCGCCCUCGCCGUCGUCGUUCUUGCCGCCGGGCAGGCAGACCUCCCCGGCGUGGGUGCUCAGCCCGGACGCGCGCGUGCAGAGCAGCACCUGCACGCCGCCGUCUGGUCCGCGGGAGAGCGGGACGAGCACGGACGCGCGACGCGACGAGAGCGGCGCCGGAUCGCCUCCGCCGUUCCGCGUCUCCCGAGCCCACCAUCGCGUCAGCGCCUCCGCCGCUUCGUCCAUGCCCAGGGACGCCGGGCGACUCUGCCGCGCGCCCAUGAGGUCCUCGAGUAGUCCCCUGAGUUCGCGUUCGGUUCGGUCGGGGGCUGGCUCGGACCGUCGCGCGGACUCACCGCGCGGCUCGCCACUCGUCCCCGGGGUCUGGUGCCACGGAUCGUUCGGGUAGAAUCCUCCGAACCUCCUGACGAGCGGCGCGCCGAGCAGCGGGGAGGUGAACCGACGGUGGGAUGCCACCGAGGACUCGAGCGAGUCGAACGCGACCCUGGCUGCGAGCGCCCGACCCCACCCCAACCCCAGGGCUCGGUAGGCCAUGCACCGGAGGUGUCGGGUGUGAGAGCCCCCGCACCUUCUUCGAGGUUCACAAUAAAAAAACCGCCAUGUCACGGAGGAUUCCUUCCAACUGUGGGACUCGAAAAUAUCCAAUCUCUUUUUUGUCGCUUUUUGGCGGGUUGUGUACCAGCCGGUGUUCUCGCCGUGCGUGGGACGCACCCCGGCUUAACUGUUUGCGCGUACAGCUCCCGCAUAAUUCGUUACAAGCCCCAGCGUGUGUCAUCGCCCGAACCAAAUGCCUAGUGCGAUCGAGUUUUGGAUUGCGGUUGGAUUUCCCGCGGAAAAAAACCAACCGAGCUGGUGUACCGUGCGCGAUCGCCAAUCGCGAUUCGAGGAUCAGCUGAGUUGGCCUCGAUUCAUUGGAGGCUUCGAACUCGCGUGAAAUAAUGAGAGACCAACAGCGGUUUAUCCGAGAGCAUUUGAGGUUCCGAAACCCGCCCUCGCAGAGAUCAAAAAACCACGCCCACUCGAUAUUUCCGCGGUUCUCACCCCAGCCAGAGGAAGAAAGCAAGGAGAAAAAAAGCCGGGCGCGUGGACUCGUCAAUUGGACGCUCGCACGACCGUCGACCGAUAGGUGAGAGGUGCUCAAGGCGCCUUCGUUGGUUGACCUUCGAACGUAGUCGACCCCAGCGCCGUCGACCGCGACCGGACUCUGUCCCGAGCGCCCGCCGUCUCGUUCGACGAGCGAAAACUCGCGCGCCAAGUUUGCGCCAUCGCAUCAAAGCCUUGGUCCGGAAUCCCACCAGGCGAUCCGGAGCGCUCGGAUAAGAUCUGAGCGAGCGCGGUGAACGAUGGCGUCCGCGAUGACACAGGAUGUGAUUGCCCGCGCCGCCGUGAAGGCUAACCCCGUCGUGUCCGCCGCGUCGCGACGCGGCGCGGGCGCGAGGAGCAACGGCGGCGUCGGGUCCACCCCCGCCACCAAGAGGGCGGUCGUGAGGUGAGUCGCUCUGCGAGAAAUAUGUCCCGAGCCUGGCGCGGCGCGAAGGAGCUCGCGAAGCGUCGUGUUGGAUCGCGGAAGGCUCCGCGAGGCGUUUCCGACCGAUGCGACGUGUCUUUUCGCGAUCGUUCCACCGCGCCAUUGCCCGACCGACCCCGCAUCGCCGAACCGCGCCCGCCAGAGACACGACCAAACGUCGGAUAAGGGAUUUGAUAAUUUGCACGCGAGAAUUUGCGCGCGUCGAACCCGACCAAACCCGCCGCCUCGAAACUGACCGCGCCGCGCCCCGUCUCUCUCACCCUCCGUCCCAGCAGGACCUCUCGUCGUUCGGUGGUGGUGCGCGCCGACAGCAAGCCCGCGUGGCUCACGGGCGAGAAGGAGCCCGAGCCUCAGCCCCCGGCGGAGGCAGAGGCUGCCCCCGGCAGGCCCCCGCUCCCCAAGGGCGGAGCGCCCCCGCCCAUCCCGUCUUCGAUCCCAAAGACCGCGCAGGCGCCCUCUUUCAUGAAGAGGAGCCGGGUGCCGCCGCCGCCAUCGGUGCCGUUCACCACGCCCGCGGCAGAACCCGCGGCUGCGCCCCCCGCCGCGCCCGCGCCCCCGGCGGAACAGGCCGCCGCGGCUCCGCCUCCGCCGCCGCCGACCACGACCGUCGAUCCCUACGCGUCGCUCAACAUGGCUGACCCGUACGCGGCUCUCGACGCGGCACCCGCUCCCCCGCCGCCCGCGCCGCCUCCUCCUCAGGCGGCGCCCCCUCCGCCUACCCAGGCGGCGCCUGCCCCGCCGCCCCCUCCUCCCCAGGCGGCGCCUGCCCCCGCGCCCCCGCCUCCCCAGGCGGCGCCUGCCCCCGCGCCCCCGCCUCCCCAGGCGGCGCCUGCGGCGGCGCCCCCGCCUCCCCAGGCGGCGCCUGCGGCGGCGCCCCCUCCUCCCCAGGCGGCGCCUGCGGCGGCGCCCCCUCCUCCCCAGGCUGCGGCUGCGGCGCCCCCUCCCCAGGGGACCCCCAACGGCCUGCCCCCGCCGGUCAACGCUCCCCCGACGGCCAUGAUGCCCCCCGCGCCGCCUCCCCCCAACGGCGCUCCCGUUCCUCCCCCCGCGGGCGUGAACGGCGCCCCGAACGGCUACCCCGCCGGAGCCAUGAACGGGGGACCCGGGUACACCAACGGUGCCCCCGCGGGCGUCCCCGGGGUCACCCCGCCCGCGCCCGGCAUGCCCGCCGAGGAGGUGUCCAUCUCCCCGGAGAUGACCGAGGAAGAAAUCGCCGCCGCCAUCGCCGUGGAGAAGCAGAAGCUCCAGCUCGCGCAGCAGGCUGAGCUGGACCGACUGGCGCACGAGGCGGCGCAGCGGGAGGCGGCCGAGGCUGCGCGCAUGCAGGCUGAGGCUGAGGCGAGGGCCAUCGCGGAGGCUGAGGAGGCGAAGCGGAAGGAGGAGGAGUUCUUGGCCAACAUCGAGGUCGAGGUUGCCAAAUCCGCGAUUGACCACAUCGCCAACGCGCCGGGCCGAAACCUCUACUUCACCGUCCCCGAGAAGCUCGUCGCCGGGAAGCCCGCCAAGAUUUACAUCAACACCGCGAACAGCGGCAUCCUCGGCGGCAGGCACAGCGUCCGACUCGAGGCGGGUUUCAACGACUGGAAGCUGGAUAAGUUUGACACGUCGAUGAAGCCCGCGGGUCCCGGCGGGUUCUUCUACACCGACUUUGUUGUCCCCGAGCUGGCGUACUGCUUCAACUGCGUGUUCGAGGCUGACAACAUGUACGACAACAACGGCGGUGAGAACUGGUACGAGGAGGUUCACUACGGCAAGACCAAGGAGGAGGUCGAGAAGUACUUCCACGAUAAGAAGAUCUACGAGGCGGCGCUAGAGGAGGCCACCAAGGAGAUUGAGGUGGAGAAGUACGAGCAGGGCAACCGCAAGGAGGGCGUCGCGGAGGGCGAGCUCCACAAGGAUGGUCGCUGCAUUGUCAAGUCUGACCUGCCAGUCAAGCCCGGCGCGACGGUCCAGAUGAUGUUCAACAAGGCGAUGAACCCGAUCGGCGGCGACGGGAAGAUUCGCAUCCACGUGGGCUUCAACAAGUUCGCCCAGGGUUUCGAGCAGGAGAUCACCAUGGAGCUGGUCAAGGGCGCGGCGAUGGACGACCAGAACUACUGGUGGGGUGCCACCGUCAAGAUUCCCCCCACGGCGUACACCGUCGACAUGGUCAUCUCGGACGAGGCUGAGGAUGCGUGGGACAACAACGACGGCAACGACUAUCGCCUCCUCGUGAAGGGCGGCGGCAACGCCACCAACGAGGAGUGGGACGCGCGCAUCCAGGAGCGGAUGGCCUACAUCGCCAUUCAGAAGGAGCUGGAGGCGAAGCGGCAGAAGGAGGCGCUUCGCGCGCGUCGGUUGCGAAAGGCGGAGGCGAGCAAGAAGGCUCGCGAGGUGACCGUGCGCCAGACGCAGCACAUUCUCACCACGGAGCCCACGCACCCGGUGGCGGGCGAGGAGGUGACCAUCACCUACCACCCGGAGAACACCAACCUCGGCAUGGCGCAGGAGGUGUACCUCACCGGGGGGUUCAACCGCUGGACGCACCCGGAGCCGCCGGGGGCGGUUAAGAUGGAGGCAAACCCCGACAAGCUGGGCGUCGGGUCGGCGGUGACGUGCAAGAUCAAAAUCCCGGAGGAUGCGUGGAUGAUGGACUUUGUCUUCAGCGACGGCAUCGCGGAGGGGAGCACGUACGACAACCACUUUGGCAAGGAUUACCACAUACCCAUCGAGGGCAGCACGGAGGAGAAGCCGCCGCUGCACGUCGUCCACGUCUCCGUCGAGAUGGCGCCCAUCGCGAAGGUUGGCGGCCUCGGCGACGUGGUCACCGCGCUCGCGCGCGCGGUUCACGACCAGGGCAACAUGGUGGAGAUCAUCCUCCCGAAGUACUCGUUCUUCAACAUGUCCCCGAUGCUCGGCGGGAUGCAGUACGAGACGCAGUUCGAGUGGGGCGGGACCACCAUCGUGGUGCAGCGGUGCAUCGUAGAGGGCAUCCAGGUUUUCUUCAUCGAACCCCAGAACGGCUUCUUCGACGUCGGGUCCGUGUACGGCAGGAACGACGACGGCGUCAAGUUCGACUACUUCUGCAACGCGGCGCUGGAGUUCCUCACGUGCACGCAGAGGCAACCCGACAUCCUCCACUGCCACGAUUGGUCCACCGCGGAGGUUGCCUCUGCGUACUGGGGCAACUACCAUCACUACGGACUUUGGAAGCCCAAGGUUGUGUUCACCAUCCACAACAUGAACUACGGGCAGAUGAAGAUCGGGGAGGCGAGCUUCCACUCGCAGAUCACCACCACCGUGUCCCCCUCGUACGCCGGCGAGGUUGCCGGCCACCCCGCGGUGAACCAGAACCUCCACAAGUUCCACGGCGUGCGCAACGGCAUCGACACCGAGAUCUGGGACCCCGAGACGGACCAGUUCCUCCCCAUGAAUUACAACGCUGACAACCACGAGGCCGGCAAGCGCGCCGCGCGCGAGACGCUCCAGUCCCGUUUCGGUCUCACCUGGGGCUCCGACCAGCCCAUGGUGGCUGUCGUUUCGCGCCUCACCGCGCAGAAGGGUCUCGACCUCAUCAAGCAUGCCAUCGGCCACAGCGUCAAGCGCGGCGCGCAGUUUGUCCUCCUCGGCUCCGCGCCCGAUCCCCGCGUGCAGGCUGACUUUAACGCGAUGGCCGGGCACAUGGGCGGACCGAACGCGGCGUUCUGCUUCGCGUUCGAUGAGCCCUUGUCCCACGUCGUGUACGCCGCCGCGGAUUUCAUCCUGGUGCCGUCGAUGUUUGAGCCCUGCGGCUUGACGCAGAUGAUCUCCAUGCGGUACGGUGCCGUGCCCGUGGUGCGCGCCACGGGCGGCCUCCGCGAUACCGUCUUCGACCUGGACACCGAGAAGGCGCGCGCGGCGUGGGAGGUUGACGGGUCCACCGACUUCAAGGAAACCGGCGACCAGACGAACGGAUUCUCCUUUGAGGGUACCGACCCCGAGGCGCUCAACUACGCGCUGGACCGCGCGCUGGACUGCUACUACAACGACAAGGUGUGGUUCAGGACGCUUCAGGAGAGGAUCAUGCGCCAGGACUGGUCGUGGAAUCGUCCGGCGCUCGACUACAUCGAACUCUAUUACAGCGCCAUCCGCAGCUAAAUAAGGCGAGAGCGUCGCGGCGCGGCGGGGGUGAUUCUGUAUUUGACGGCGGUGCUCAAGGAGGAGAGGAGAGGAGAGUUGAUGAUGAGAGAGAGUUUGGGUCGUCGCCGAUGCGGAUGCGACUGCGUUGAUAACUAAAUUGUGCAAGCAUUUUUUGUAACCCAUCAUUCAAGAUGAACGAACUCGGCGGUUGGCGUCGCCGCGCGGGAAAAAACCAAUAAAAACCAAACGCACUGGCGCUGGCGGACGGUCAGCUGUCACGGACGCGCGCUGUCUCAUCACUGUCUCGCUGUGAGCCACGAGUUUGCGAAGAAACCCGAUAGGGCUAACGUCACUCAUGAUGACGACGACGGCAAGGUGUGCCGCCGCGACGAGCGCUUCCGCUCGUCGCUCCGCGUUCCUCGGGGGUCGCACCCCGGUUGCGGCGUCAGCGCGACCCGCCCCACCGGCGCGAUCCUCCCGCGGCGCGCCUGUGCGCGUCGUGAGCGACGUGCGCAAGGACUGGAAGUCGAGCAAGAGCAUGACGCUGACCAUCUCCGACGAGGACGCGACGCACACGUUCGAAUCUUACAUCAGCGACGGCGAGCGGAUCAUCAGCGUCACGUUCCCGGAUCAGGCGCGGCGCCGCAAGCUCUCGGACACCACCUGGGAGGUGCAGCUGCUCCCGUUCUCGUUCAUGCAGUGGAGGGCCACAGUCUUCUGCACGCUCCGGCUGGAGCCCGUGAGCGGCGAGCUGCGGCUCUCCGCCGAGGACCUCAGGAUCGACGGGCUUCCCCCCGAGCUCGGCGUCGACGGCAAGGUGUGGCUCACCAUGGACGGCGCCCUGAAGCCCGCGAGGACCGCGCCCGCGGGCAGGCGAAAGGUCCUCGGUAAGAUCACCGUCAACCUCUCCGCGGAUGUCAACGACGCAGUGGCGAUGUUCCCGGGCCUGGACGACGCCGUCAACCUCAUCAACGACACCGUCAUAUCCAACCUGCAGGGGAGCAUCAACGCGACGAUCGCGAAGGACUACGCGAAGUGGAAGGUGGCGCAGAGGGUUCCGGCGUGAGCGCGAGGGGUCGGGUUGGAUUCCGGCGCGAAUCCAAUUAGAAAUGCACACCUUGCAUCUCACUAGAAAACGUGUGUAAUUUUAGGCGUAAUCGUUGUUAACAAUGAAGACAAACACGGCACCCGAUUUGAGCAUUUGAGUUUUGCACACAAAACGGAAGGUCCUCGGAUUCUCCUCGGCGGAGCCGCGUGCGCCGAUGGCGGGCCCGUACGCGCGCUCGCCGGAGAAGGCGAGCCCGAGCACCGGCUCGCCCCUAACGCGCGAUAUUCCCGGAUCGCCCUCGCGCGGCGGGUCUAAGCGGGCGCCCCGAUCCGCCCCGCCCCGUCCCAGCAGCGAUGUUAGCCGGCAAUUGAGGUCGCCCGUCAAGAGCGUCUACCAGGACGCGCUCCUGGAGGGGUUCAUGGGCAAGUACGGCCCGGUGGACGACGCCUCCAUCGCCGCCGCGGAUAAGCACGCGAUCGAGCUCAAGAAACGGUACGCGCGCGCGAGGACGGAGGAGGAGCGGGAGCGAUGGAUCAACCUCGCGUCCGAGGCGACGCUCAAGGCGAACAUGAUGCGAGCCGAGCGGGACUUCCUCCAACGCCAGGGGCGGGAGGUGAGAGGAGCCGCGCGGGUCGACGCUCGCGGCGCUCCCGCCCACCGCACAUUCGUGGGAACCGACGAGGAACACGCCGCGGCGGUCCGGAUGCAGCGCAUCCAACGCGGCAGGGCCGCGCGCGACCGAGUCAAGGCGAUGAGACGCGAGCGAGCUUCGAAUCGAGAAGCUUCCAAUCGAGCGCGCGACGACGCGAGAGUGCGGCACGACGCCGCCGCGCGCAUACAGGCCGCCGUCCGCGCCAAGACCGCGCGCGAGAGGGUCGGUAAGAUGCGCGCGGAUGAACGCGUCGCCGCCGCGAGGGCGAGGGUCGCGAGGAACGCCGCCGCGGAGCGAGCCGCGCGUUGGCGCGAGCCGGAGCCCUCGUUUGAAUCGCCGUACCUCCACUCCGCCGCGUCCUCGAGGGAGGCGACGCCGGUCAAAUCGCGCCCCGCGUCGGCGUCCUCGCAAAAAGAGGCGGCGGCGACGACGACACAGCUUUCGACGACGACGACGACGGCCGUGUCGCCGUCUGGGCGGCGCCCGGCGAGCGGCAUAACCUUCCCGGGCGAGGACGACCACGUCCGAAGGAUGCGCGCGUUCCGCGAGAGGGUGGAGGCCAAGGCGAACGCGAUCGGGGCGCUGCCGGCGCGGCGCACCCGCCCCGCGCCGCCGCCGAAGCCAUCCCCGGCCAAGAGCAUCCUCAAAUCCCCCGCCGAUCGCCCCCGGUCCUCGCCGGGGGCGAUCGAGUACGCGUCCCCUCGUCGCGGCUUUCUCGACGACGACGACGCGCUCGUUCGAAGCGCGCAACCCCCAUCCCCGGGCGACGCGCAUCGGUCGAGAGAGGCCCGGCCGAGAGAGGCUCGUCGGAGCCUCCGCGUCAGCUUCGAGCUCGCCGAGGACCGCGAGCGGCGGGAGGAGGACUCCCCGGCGACGUUGGCGCGCAAAGCGGAGCUCGCCAUGGACGAGCGCUUUCGCCCGAGGGUCCCGCGCGAUGCGGUCGCGGCGGCGCGGGACGCGGAGCGCGCCCUGGCGGCGGCGGAAGCCGCGGUGGCGACGGCGACGCGGAACAAGGCGGCGCGGGACAGGGUCAAGGCGCGCGCGGGCGGGGGGCGGGCGACGCCGGGGCGGAAAAUCGUCGUCGUCGACGAGGAUUCGGAGAGGUCGCGGGAUCGAAUCCCGUUGUCGCCGUCGCCUUCGCCGCGUCGGACCCAAUCCUCGGCGAGGCGGACGCCCCCUACCGCGGGUCGUUCGCCGUCGCUGGAGCUGUCCCCGAGCCCCGUCCCGGCAACCCGCGCGCCCGUGCGGGCCACCGCGAGGGCGUUUCGGCCGAGCAAGAACGAGAGGGCUCGCGAGUACAACAACCGGCUUCGCGAGCGUGAGCACCGCGAGCGUCUGCGGCGUCGCGAACGGUCGGUGCAGGCGGAGAAGGCGGCGGCGGUGCGGGCGGGAGUGUCGGUGGCGGACCAUCUCGACUCGAAGCUCACCGCCCGCCAGCGAGCCGCCGCGAUCAUGCGACAGGUUGACGCGGCGCAGCGCAACUCGGAGACUGUGGCGGGGAUCUUCGUGUCGUACGUCGCCGCGCGUAAAUCCGGGGAGGAAAUCGACAGGAGGCACGCCAAGGACGUCGCGGCGAUGGCGCGGUCCAUGCCCGCGUUCAGGGCGCUCCCGCCCGUGCACGUCGCCGACGCGCUCGCCGCCGCGGAGGUUUCGCGGCACGCGACGGGCUCGGUGAUUUUUCACGAGGGUGACCGCGGCGACGCCCUGUGCGUGGUGGUCGGCGGCGAGGUCGCGCUGUUCCAGAAGGGCACCAAUUUGAAGGGCCCCAGGGAGCUCGCCCCGGACUACGAGCUCCUAUGGGCGACGGAGAGCGUCAGGCGCGGACGCGAGGGCGCGGACGCGGCGUUCCGACUGGCGAAGCCCGGCGAUAAGCGACCGGGCAGCGCGGUGACGCCGACAAAGGAGCGAAGGACACGCGGCAAAGGAGGACAUCAAGGAGGAGGAGGGGCGUACGACGGCGACGACGGGAUCAUCACCGACGCCGCGCACGACGUCCAGGCCGCGGCGCUCGGCGCGCCCAAGCACUGCGGCCGAUUGGCCCGGCGCGUGCGUCUGGGUCACGCGUUCGGCGAAAAGGCGGUGACGCGGCGCGGCGGCGAGGCUCGAGCCGCCACGGCCGUCGCGCUCUCCCCGGUCACCGUCCUCGCGAUCAACAGGUUUAAAUACGCCGCGAUCAUGAAGGCGGUGGGCGCGACGGAGAGUGCGGACGUCGCCGACUUUCUCCGCGACACGGAGCUCUUUCCGGAGACGCGCGUGUCGGACGAGGACCUCACGGAGUUGGCGUCUAAGCUCGUCGUGAUCCGCGCGGGGCCCGGGGAUGUCGUCGUCGCUGCUGGGGACCACGCGAAGGGCGCGUUCUUCGUGCGUUCGGGGCGCGCCAAGGUGAGCGCGACGGCCAGGGUGAUGGUGGAGCCCCCAUCCGAUGAGGUUGUUCGAAGGGACGUCGGGAACGACGAGUCCCGGGACGGGUUUCGCGGCGCUUCCGUUCGGAGCUCCGUUCGCUCGAGUCGGGACUCGUCAUACGACGCGGAGGCGCGUUCGUCGUCGUCGCUGCCGGUGUCGCCGCUUCGACCGCGAACCGGCAGUGGCGGAGGCGCCUGGCGAAGGGCGCCCACCUACGAAACGCGCGACGUCCCGUUGGGCGAACUGGUCCCGCCGGCGAUUUUCGGCGAGGAGUGCCUCGUCCCCUUCGAGUACUCGGACGAAGCCGGGGGCGGGGUCGGGCCGGGACGACACGCGUUCACCGUCCGGGUAGAUCCGGAAGGGGAUCCGCACGGCGCGGUGUUCCUCCGGCUGCCCCCCACGUACCUCGCGUCCCUCCCGGCGGUCGUCGCGAAGCGUCUGACGCAGCUGGCGAAGAGCACGAGCGCGGCGAGUAAGGAGGCGACCAAAGCGCUCGACGACGCGGGCUCGGAACUUCGAAGAUCGACGGAGGGCGGAGGCUGGGCGAGGCGGUCGCCGUCCUCGGGGGGGGCGGCGCCGCCGCCGCCCGCCCGGAGCGUAGCGUCGCCCUCCGUCCGCGCCGGGUUCGGGACGUCCGCCGCCCCGAGGAACGAGCCGACGGCGGCGCUCGACUCGGCCCGGUACGUCGGCGUCGAGGAGGGCCGCGCGCCAAUCGGCGUCGGCCUCGGCGGCGGCGGCGGACGGACUCGGGAGGUGGGCACGCCGAGCGCGCUCGCGAGGCAGGCGCGUCGGGAUUCGCGGGUGAGGCCGGCGACGGCGCUGGCGGCGAUGACGCGGACGGAGAUGCGCGCGGGAGGGUUCGUCCCUUCCUCCCCGAGCGGCGGGCCGGGUGGAUCUGCCCGCCGGCCGAGGUCCGCCGUCGUCGCCGGCGCCUCUCCCGUCCGCCCUUACGCGCCUUCCUCCUCGCUCGAUCCGGACUCCACGUUCGAGGACUACCUCGACCACGACGACGACGCGGACGCGUCGUUCGGAUCGCCGUGGGGCACCCCUGCGAAGGCGUCGUCGUCGGCGGGGUAUCGCGCCGCGAUGGCGCGAGAGUUGCGGUCCAGCAUCCUCGGUCCCCCGGCAAUCGGGUCCGCUCCGGGCCGGGCCGGGGCGUCGCGGGGCGGAUCGACGAAGGCGUGGAGGAAGGCUCCGGACGUCCAGGUGAGGCUUACCAAGAAGGCGGCGGCUCUCGCGGAGAAGAACAGGCCGAUCAGGGAGUGGCGCGAGCGGGGACGGGGACGAGAGAUCGGCGGCGUCGACGACGACGGGUAUUUUUCGUCGAGGCCGGCGACGGCGACGGGCGCGGGCGCGGGGCGGUCCACCGCGGGCGUCGUCGGCGACCGCGGCCGCGUCAGGCCCGCGACUGCGGCUGCGGCGAUGGACUACGGGGGUCUGUGGGGGGAUGACGCGUACGACAUGGGGGGAUGGACGAGGGGCAGCAAACUGUAGGCGGGGACGAUCCCGAUCGGUGAAACGAAACGCGUUUGUCAUACACGCGCGCCGGUUCUCUCGGCGAUCGCGCGAAUCGGCGAUCUUGUCCAAUCGUGACUCGCCGUUUGCGCAGCUUUUUGCACGUGCCGGGGAAUUUUCCGGUCCAUUCUCUGACUGGUCGCCAUAGAAAUCGAUCGGUGCUGAGUCGGACCGUGACGAAUCGGAGAAAGAUGAAAUCCGCUUUUUUAUUCCUAGCUCUUCCCCAAUCGGCGCACACAAUCCAGCUCCCGGAAACGCGCCAAGGCACCAGCCCCGGCCGACUUCCCGACACUUUCAACCCACAAACCACACACACACACACCCAAUAAGCUAAGAUGGGGGUCGAUGAUCACGACACCUUCUCCGGCCUCACCCCUCUCCAGCAAGCUGCUCAGGAGGGUGAUGUCGCCAAAGUCGUCGAGCUGCUGGAUGCCGGUGCGGACGUGAACAUCCAGGCCAACGGCGAGGUGCGCCCGAAAACCCUGAAACUCCCCAGAUCUCUGCCCUGUGCACACCUCGGCCGCCGUGACGUCUUCACGCGACGUGAGAGUCGCGCGCGGGGAACCACCGCGUCUGUCGCUUUUGGCCCCCCCCUUUUUCUUUUUUAUCCCGCACCGUUAGCCGAUCGGCUCCGGCCGGUCCGGCGAACGCCCCCUCGGAUGCUUCCGACGCGCGAUCCGACCCGUUCGAUCCGUCUCUGACCUAUUCGUUCGAUCCUUCAGAUGGCCGGCAAGACCGCCGCCAUGAUCGCCGCCUCCAACGGCAACACGGAGAUCCUCAAGGCCCUCGGUCGCGGUCCCUCGCUCCUGGACCUCAAGGAUGCCGACGGGGGCACCGCCGCGAUGACUGCCGCCGUGCACCACCACGGAUCCGUCCUCGACUACGUGAGUUCCCGCCCAUCGUCUAAUAUCGCCAGUCUCAGUCGAUCGGGUCCGCCCUGAAUCCCCCUCCCUCGCACCGACGCCGCCUCGGCGCGCGUCAUCGCCCCGACCCGUCUGCUGAGUCAGAUCCCGCCGAACCAACCUUGACGUCGACCUCCGUCCUCCCCGCGCGCAGCUGAUCGAGAAACACGUGGAUCUCAACGCGACGGACAGCGACGGCUGGACCGCGCUCAUGUACGCCGUCACCGUCGGCGACGCGGUGUGCGUGGAGAAGCUCGUCAAGGCUGGCGCGGACAUCUCCAUCAAGAACGCGGAUGGGGAGACUGCGAUUGACCUGUGCAAGCAGUCCAAGAAGCGGUACCCGCUCAUCCAGAUCAUCGAUCCGAAGGAGCCCCUCCCCGACAUCACCGAGUAGACGACUAACCUGUAACAACAACAACAACGACGACGACGAUGACGACAAAAACAAAAACCACCGACGACGCGUGGACGAGGCGCGAGCGCGACGCGUCGCCGUAAGUUAGCAACCUCAGUGGUACGGCGGGUUAGGCAUCUUUAAAACCCAAAGCCGUCGACGUUUAGUUGGCUAUGCGUCGUAUUACCGUCGUCUCUAAUGUGUGCUACUGGGCGCGUCGGUGCCGACGCUCUCGAUCUCCUUGCGGAGCAGUCUGGACACCGCCGCGUUCAGGUCCGCCCUCAGCCGCGGGUCCUCGAGGGGCGAAUCGAUCGACUCGAGCUCGCCGGGUGGCGCGACGUCCCUCUUGACAGCCCCUUGUUUGUCCCCCCGCUCCUUCGCCUUCCCCCCGGGCGUCAUCUUCCGCGAGUGCGCUAAACCCGCCCGCUCCUUCACCUUCAUCGCCGACGCCUUCGACGACUCCGCCGUGCCCUUGACGCCUUUGUCCGCCCGCCGCGCCGGUUGGUGGUCGCGCUCGCUCCACAGCGACUCGUCCAUCGCCUCCCACUCGCGGAGCAUCUGCGUGGACGCAUCCGGACCGGCGCUCGGCUUUGGCGUACGAAUCGUGCUCGUCUCUUUGGAGCGAUGCGUCGUCUCUUUUUGAUGGCGCACCGGGACCACCACGUCGGGUUCGUCUUCGAGGACGGAGACUUUCGGGUACAGCGGCGAGGUUGGGUGAUCUUCUCGCUCCGGCCGGUACCCGUGCGCGAGUCCGAGGAACACGCCCAUGCCGACGACGAAGAAGAGCACGAAGGUUAUGGACCACCACCACACCCUGUGCUGCAGCUUCGCGUCGCACACGCCGAUCCAGUUUUUCUCCUCCUCGUCCUUCUCGACCGACCGCGCCGGGCUGACGUCGUCCGCCCGGGUCGCCGACGCGGGCUUGGCGCCGAUGUCGUCCUCGGACGACGACCCGACGAUUGGCGCCUUGGCUGGGUUCUCCUGAUGGAACCUUAAGACCGUCUCCUCGCCCACCUUCUGGUUGCUCCUGUGGUGGUGCUUUCGCGCGCGCGCCUCGCGUCGAUCGCUCGCCGUCUCCCUCGCCGUGUCGUUGUUCACCAACCGUCGCUGCGAUCGAGACCUCGGCGGGCGCGAGUAGAACACCGCGGGAUCGGGCUCGACGGGCUCCGAGGCGCGACGCCCGCGGUCGCCCUCGCGUCUCUCAUCGUCGCGUCCUCCGCCGCCGGUUCCCGCGCGUGGAACCCGCCCAGUCUCCGGGUCCACCAGCGGCUUCUUCACCUCCUCGGUGCUGCACAGGUCCUUGCAGCACUUGGAGCCCCCGAGACCCAUGUCCCCCGGUUGUUCGUUGCCGCCUCCGCGCGGUGCCGCCUAUCCUUCGCGAUGGGGCCGAGACCGGACGAGGGCGACGAUCGCGCGCGAUCACUUCCAGUCGCGCGCCUCGUUCGCCUCGAUUCGUCCGCCGCGCUCGAAUAGGUCGCGCGCCUCGCCUCCUCCCGGCGCGCGCCCGUCGGCUCUGCGCGCGGGACGGGACCGCGCGCGGCUUGCGGGCGGGAGUUACAAAACAGCCGCGGCCCCGAAAUUUUUGGCAACCGACAGCAUUUUUGGCACGGGGACCGGACGUGCGAGAUUGAACCCUCAUCGAGGGUUUCACGUGAUCCGAAACCAAACCGGGGAAAACGAAUCUUUUCCAACUGAGUUCCAUACGGAUCUCGAACCGUCGCCUGACCUGAGGCGGAGAAGCGUUCUUGGUCUGCUCUGCGACCCCUGAAACACGGCUUUCGAGCCGCCAAUCGGCUCACUUUUCCACACACACAUCCACCUUCCCCCAAACAAACAGGUGAGCAUCCGACCCAUUCCUUGGAAACGGAAGCGCGUUUCUCUUUCGUGCGACACGCAUCGGGCCGAUUCGCGAAGCGACCGCGCGUUUACGCGUCGCCCGGCGCGAAUCAGCGCGUUUUCCGAAACCAUUUUUGGCGGCGGGACCGGCUUUUUUCCGCCCGACAGCGACGGGACGGACAGAAUCUGCGCCAGAUCCGCGUCGCGACGUGCCCCGAGUCGGCGCCCGCUCCCAUGGGUUCGUCUCUCGUGCACGGGUAAUCGUGGUCGUGCGCCGGCUUCCCCUCGAUCCGUCCAUUCCUCGCCCCAACGCCCCCCUCCCCGAACCUAUAUUGACGUGAUCUCAAUCCUCCCCGCACGUUUUUGUCGCCGCCGCAGACAAAAUGGCUACCGACGGCAAGGAGCACCUUUCCAUCGUCAUCUGCGGUCACGUCGACUCCGGUAAGUCGACCACCACCGGCCGUCUCAUCUUCGAGCUCGGAGGCAUCCCCGAGCGUGAGAUCGAGAAGCUCCGCGCGGAGGCCGAUGCCCUCGGCAAGUCCUCCUUCGCCUUCGC
This 430571-nucleotide long non-coding RNA is filed under the name Micromonas commoda. RNAcentral describes it as "long non-coding RNA (MCOM_LNC000281)". The record is from RNAcentral. Lineage: Eukaryota; Viridiplantae; Chlorophyta; Mamiellophyceae; Mamiellales; Mamiellaceae.